RNAcentral lists this long non-coding RNA (437964 nucleotides) under Ananas comosus (pineapple). RNAcentral describes it as "long non-coding RNA (ACOM_LNC002895)". The record is from RNAcentral. Lineage: Eukaryota; Viridiplantae; Streptophyta; Magnoliopsida; Poales; Bromeliaceae.
UAAUUGCAUAAAUUUGGUUAAUCAAUUAAUUUUCUAAAUUAGUGCUAAUUAAUGCAUAAAUUUAGGACCUCAAUUAAAAGUUUCUUUAAAUAUUAUAUUAUUUAAUUACCAAACUAACCUUGAAUAAAAUAAUCCUUUUACCUGCUAAGUAUUAAAGUUAUAUUUUUACUCUCUAUUAAUCAACGGUUAAAUUUUUUUUUUUUUUAUUUUUUUAAAGUACCGAAUCAUUUCUCCCAAAAUAAUUAAUCUGAAAUUUAACUAGAGAAAAUACCGCAACCAAAGAAGCUCUUGAAGCAUAUGGUUUAGAGCUUGAGGAGUGAGAGAUGAUCUGGACGAACAGUGCAGCAACCAAGAAACAUCUUUCCUCUUGACUUCUCCCAUCAGCACUUGAGUGCAGUGGGCCAUGAUGAAUUAAUUUUAGGGAAUCUUUUGAUUAUAUACCUUUUACUCCUUAUCAAAAUUUUUUAAUUUAUUUUGAAAUUAUCAAAAUAUUCUUUCAAAAUCAAAUCUUAUUAGUAAACCGCAGCAAAAAUGAGGAUAUUUGAAGAAAUUAUUUAAAAUCAGUAAGUAUAUUUUGAUCCUCCAGGAGUAAAUAUAUAAGAUAUUUUGAAGUUUUGAAGAACAUAUUAGAUAUUAUUUUGAAAUUUUAUACAUAGGAUGAAAACUUCGAUUAACUGCCCUGUGGCCCAGCGUGUUAUAUGCUUCGUCGUACUGUAUUUGAGAUAUCUAAAGUAUAUAUAUGCUUCGGCAUUCUGUGUUCAAAAAGUCUGACAAAAUUUUUUACUUUGUCAAUUCUACAUUCGGAAAGUUUUACUAUGUUGUUAUAUAAUUUUACCUUUUGUUUGAGAGUAAAUUAUUCGGUCCUCAAAUUAUGAGACACGUGACAUUUCGGUCCUUAAAUUUUAAUUUGUUGUAAUUUUUAGCUUUUAUACUGCAUAUUACAUUUUAGUUCUCGAACUUUAAUUAGAUUGUAACGUCCCAGCCCACUAGCAAAAAUAAUUCGUUGGGCCCAAACACUGGCCCAAAAUGCUUAGCCCAGUUAUUAUUACCAGUGUCUAAGUCUCUUAUAUACCCAAUCAUAUCCCCAUUUCUAUUUUCGAUGUGAGAUUAUUGGGGUGACUCGUCUCGCUAGCCUUGUCAUCCAGACCCUGGCAUAGCCGGCUAUCUUGUUAUUCAGACUCUGGCAUACCCGAUCACCUUGCCUUUCAGACCCUGACUCAGUCUCGCUAGCCUUGUCAUCCAGACCCUGGCAUAGCCGGCUAUCUUGUUAUUCAGACUCUGGCAUAGCCGAUCAUAUUGCCUUUCAGACCCUGACUCAGUCGAGAUUCGCAAUACAUUUUUGGCUGGUGAACCGGCUCUGAUACCAAAUGUAACGACCCAGCCCACUAGCAACAAUAACUCGUUGGGCCCAAACACUGGCCCAAAAUGCUUAAGCCCAGUUAUUAUUACCAGUGUCUAAGUCUCUUAUAUACCCAAUCAUAUUCUCAUUUCUAUUCGAUGUGGGAUUAUUGGGGUGUGACAUAGGUGUAAUUCUAGCUCGACGGAUAAGGCAUGUGAUAUUUUGACUUGCUGAAUUAUUGGAAUUAAAUUUCACAGCCUAUUUUUUUAAAAUAAAUAUGGAUAAAAUAUUAAAUAUCUAAUUAAUGCAGCAUUUUAAAUAUUGUUGCAUCAUCAAAUAUGAUAUUGUUACAAUUCAAAAAGUUCGAAGAUUAAAAAGUUCUAUUUUAACUUCUUUGAUUUGUGCUGCAAUCUGUAAGAUGUUGUAGAAGGUCAUCUCGUUGUACAUUAGCAAGUUUAAAUCCAAAGAAAAUCACUAUCAAUUAAUUGCAUUCUCUGUAUGCCAAAAAGAAUUACUCUCUGAUUGCAUGCACCGUUUGGUUUGGGAAUAGGGAUAGGGAUAGGCUCUUAUCCCCCCCUUUAUACCCAAACGCUAAUUUUUUAUUCGAGAAUAGUAGUUCUCGGUUAUCCCCACCAACACCUUCAUUUUCUAUAUAAAACUUUCUAAUAUUUUUCUUAUCCUCGGGAACAACCCAAUUUUCAUCCAAACGCUAUUUUUCUUAUCCUCAUACUUGUACCUAUCCCUGUAAUAACUAGUUCUUGCUUAUACCCGAACCAAACGGUAUAAUAGAGAAUUAAAUAGCUUAUAGCAAAGAAAAUAAAAAACAAGAACACUUGGAACUUAAAAAUUAAUUAAAAAGAAUAAGUGGAAGAGGAACAACUGACCACAGAUCCAAGGAAGAGAUUGAAGAGGGGGCUGCUCCAAAUAUCAAAUUUGAUAAGGAAAUAAAUAAUUGGGCGCAAAUGAUUUGGACAGUACAGCUAUUGAUGGAGAAACUUCUUCCCUCUUUAUUAUCAGAGAUUCUAUUAUGUAUCAGUCAUACCACAUCAUCUAUUAAAAGUCAAUUAUAUCCCUUCUUUUGAGUAAAAAAUAUAAUAAAAAUAUUUUUCUAUUAACCAUGAUGGGAUGGGUGAACAAUCAUAAAGGAACAAUUUGAUUGGUAGAUGACGACACAUCACCAAUACAACUAAUACAUUCUAGAUUUUUUUUUUUUCCUUUAAUGUUCCUAGCAGCACUUGAUUGCAGUGGGCCAUGAUGAAUUAUGGGCCUGUUUCGCCAAUAUUCUAAAAAAUAAUAAUUUUUACAGGAUUAAUUUUAAUUUAGAAAAUUAAUUUUAGUUAAAAAUUGUAGGGCGCUUAGCUUAAUCUAACAAAAAAUUGAUUUUUUUAAAAUUUUCUUUAUUAAUUAUAAUUAAUAAUUUUUUGUCAAUCUUAUUUUAAAAUUUGAAUUCAAAAUUUGAAUUUGAAUAUAAAGUUUUUAAUUUUAAAGUUAAACAAUUAAAAAUUUAAAUUUAAAUUUAAAUUGUUAAAUAAUAGAAAUAAAUUUGAAUUUUCAAUUUUCAAAUUUUAAAUUCCAAAUUUCAAGCUUAUAAUUUAAAAUAUAAAUUUUAAAAUUUAAUAUUAUUUUAAGAAUUUCGCAAAAUAUAAUUUAAAAUUUAAAUUUAUUUGAUAAUUUAAUUUAUUUUAAUAAUUAAUUUUGAAAUUGUAAAUUUCAAAAAUUUAGAAUUUUCAAAUUAAAUCUAAAUUUUAAAUUGAAAUUAAAGGUUUAUAUUUUAUUUAUAAUUUAAAAUUUAAAUUUGAGAUUUGAAAUUAAAAACUAAAAUUUUAUUAUUAAAUUUAAAAUUUAAACUUUCAAAUUGAAAAUUUAAUUUAAUUUUAAAUUUUAAAAUUGAAUUUUAAUUCGAUUUUAAAUUUUGAAUUUAAUAUAAAAUUUGAAUCUUAAUUUUAAAUUAAAUUUUGAUUCCAAGUCAAAAAUUAGAUUUAAAAAGUAGGUUUUAACAAUUUAUUUUGGCUCAAAAAUCAGAAAAUUGAACCAGAUUUUGGAAGAAGUUAUCAUAUACUCUAUUGAUAAAAAAAAACUAUAUAUAUAUAUAUAUAUAUAUUAGGCUGGAAUACUAUUAAUAGUAAAACGCUCUUUUUGCUAUCAAGUUUUUAACCCUUGAUGAAAAAUUGAUAGGGUUAGGAUAAUAUUAGUCGGUUAGAGUUGAGUGGUCCCCCUAGGUUGAGUGGUGCCCACUAGGUUAUAGUAUUUAAUCCAAUGGUUAGAAAUAAUAAAAAGAGUUGAUCCAAAGGCCUAAAAAACUGAUAGCAACAAUAAAAUUUGCUACUAAUAGUAGCCCAGUCCAUACUAUAUAUAUAUAUAUUAUAUAAUAUAUAUUAAGAGUAAAAGACUUUGUGUUUCUGACUUUCUAGUCUUGGAUCAGGUUCUUUGAUUAUUUCUAACAUUGAAUUAUUAUCAUCCUAUCAGCCGCUCAAUCCUAGGAGCACUAUCAUUCCAACUUAAUACAACUUUUUAAUCAAGGGUCAAAAAGUUGGAAGCAUCAAGUAGAGAGAAAGAGAGAGAGAAUUGGACUAGAAUACUAUUAAUAGUAUUUUGGCUCUUUUACUAUCAAAUUUUUAAAUUUUGAAUGAAAAAUUAUAGAAUUAGAAUAAUAGUGGUGUUGGUAUAGUGGUGAUCCCCCUAGGGUUUAAACAAAACAAGUUAAGUAAUAGUUAAUUCAAUUGUCAUAAUGUCACGUUAACCGGCAGAAAUUAUCUGGCUACUUAUUCUACCAAAGUAAAAUUUCAUCUAAAAACUGAAAUAAAUUUUGAUCAGUGAUCUAAUUGAAAUAGAAGUUAAAGUUCGAUAACUUGAUUUGAAAAAAAAAAAAAAAAAACUAAAAAUUUUAUGAAGUAAAUGAAAUUUCAGGAAAAAUUAGGCGACUAAUAUUGUAUUAGACUUAAUUAUAUGCAAUUACUUGUACAUGUGUACGACAUAUAUACUUAAAUACAUCAUAUUGAUAUACACUUUCAUAUGCGUAUAUAUAUUAUUUAAUUACUCUCUCCCUCUUCCUCUAUCCUGCACUUAAUUUCUAUCUUUAAGCCAAUUUAAAUAUUGGGUUAGUUGACUUUGAAUAAGUAUAAAGCGAACCAAAUUUUAAUUUUUUUCAUCUUAUUUCAUUUUCGUGUGAACAUGGUGGAAUCGAGUUUUUAUACUAAUCAAAUAUAGGGAAACAAACAACCCGCCCCUCGUCCGCAUGGUGCCACUCCUAUUUAUAGGCAAAUCCUGGCAGAGACCCAGCCUGAGAGAGGAACCCCCAGCCACUUCCGGCGGCGCCGGAGACGGAAGAAGGGAUUAGAGGAAAGAUUUGCAGAGACAGGAGAAUUAGGAUGCACAUGGGGAGCAAAGAGAAGAGAUACCGCAACCACAGGGGCACACCGGCCAAACCUGACGCAGAGAUGUAACGGGCGUACGUCGGCCGCAGGAGAAGGUCAGCAUAGGGCCCGACAAGCAUCCGACAGGGAGAGGGGAUGGGGCCCGGCUCGGAGAGAGAACGACUCGGAGAGACACGGGACGGGAGGCACGUGACGCCGCUCGUCGCCAGCGAAGGAAGCGGGCAGAGCUGAGGAGGCGGGGGGUCGCUGGGGAGGCGACGCGUGGCGGUUUAGGGUUCGACUUUUAUUAUAUGUAUAGAUAACCUUAUAGUGAUAAGAGUUAAUUUCAUGAGUACAUAUAUACCCUUCCGUCCACCUCUAAUUUUGUCAAUAUUAAAAAUGAUCUUUUAAUUUCAAGAAACUAUUCAAAUUACUUUAUUAACUCAGUUUAAAAUUGUAUGCUAAUUAUUUUUUUCCUUUAAAAUUGUACUAUUCAUUUCCAGCAUAUAUAAAAUUUGUUGAAAUGAAUUCUGUUUAUUGCCCAUACCAUUAUAUGGAGCUAGACUGGUAUACUAUCGGUAGUACGGAGGCCUCCGUGCUAACAAGUUGUUUUUUAAUGAUACGGCUUUUAAAUCAACGAUCGGCUCCAGUAGACUUGAUCUACACUAGAAAAAGUAUUUGAAAACUAAAUUUUGUAACUUUUUGACAUUAUUUGACUAGUAUCCUUAAUUAUCUUUCAUAGUAUUGAUCAUUGAUUUAGAUGCUCAAUUAUCAACAAUAAAGUGAAAAUACUACAUGAGGCCAAAUUAUUCUACCUUAAUUAUUAUCUCUUGUUAUUUUGUUUCCAAAGAUCAAGUGAAUCCAAACAACACAUUAAUCAACAAAGACAUAUAGCAUACUUCUUGAACCCUUUUGCAGAAUCAACUACUUGAUAGCAAAGAAAAUAAAAAUUAAUUAAGAAGAGUAGGGGAAGAAGAAGAAGAACAACUAACCACAGAUCCAGAAAGGAGAUUGAAGAGGGAGCUGCUCCAAAAUAAUUAAUCUCAAAUUUAACUAGAGAAAAUACUGCAACUAGAGAAGCUCUUGAAGUAAAUGUUUUAUUAGGGAUUGAGGAGUGGGAGAUGAGGAUGAACUACACAUUAUAAACAAGAAACUGGGAGCAAGUGAUUUGGACAUUGCAGCUACCAAGAAACUUCCCUCUUGACUUUUCGCAUCAGUACUUGGUUGUAGUGUGCCAUGGAAUUAUAGGGGCUCCUUUUGAUUAUUUGCCUUUUACUACUAUUCAAAAUUUUUAAAUUUAUUCUAAAAUUACUAAAAUAUCUAUGUAAAAUCUAAUCUCAAUAAUAAUAAAUGGCCUUUUUGCAUAAAAUAUCUAUUAGUUUCGAGAUUUCAUAAAAAUGGGUCACUAUUUUGAAUUUUACAAAUUCAGCUCAAAUUUUUAGAAAACUGACUAAAAUAUUCUUAUUCCUCUCUCUCUCUCUUUCUCUCUCUCUCGCUCUCGCUCUCGCUCUCUCUUUCCCCCCGACCCUCCUUGCCUCCUCCACCGUCUUUGCGACGUCGACCUUCGGCGACGGUAAGAAGGAUGUUGCCGCCUCCUCUUUCUCCGCCUUCCCCAAUGCCGGUGCCGGCAUUGACGCUGACGCUGAAGGAAGAGGACUUGGAGCGGGCGCGAAUGAGGGCGGAGUAGAUGGAGGCGAUGAGUUCGUGGCUGUCACACCCCAAUAAUCUCACAUCGGAUAUGAAUGAGAAUGUGAUUGGGUUUAUAAAAGACUUAGACACUAGUAAUAAUAACUGGACUUAAGCAUUUUGGGCCGAUGGUUGGGCCCAACAGUUAUUAUUGCUAGUGGGCUGGGUCGUUACAUUUGGUAUCAGAGCUGAUUCACCAGCAAGAAAUGUGUGGUGAGUCUCGGCUGAGUUAGGGUCUGAAAGACAAGAUGAUAGGCUAUGCCGGAGUCUGAAUGACAAGGUGGCCGGCUAUAGCAGGGACUGGAUGACAAGACUAGCGAGACAAGUCUCACAUCGCAUGGUGAUCUUGCGCUGUGUGUGUGAUUGAACUGACUAGUUUGUCACACCCUAAUAAUCCCACAUCGAAUAUGAAUGGAGAUGUGAUGAUACUAAUAAUAAUAAUUGGGUUUAAGCAUUUUGGGCCAGUGGUUGGGCUGGGUCGUUACAGUAGCCGAGGCGUUGCUCGCUAUCGCACGUGAUGGUGAGAAUGAAGUUGCGCCCGCGCUUCUCCAAUGAGCGAAUAAAGAUGCAAAGGAUAGAAAAUAAAUAAAUAAAAAUAAAUAAAUAUUUUUUUUCUUGAAAGACCAUUGUGUAUCAUAAAUAAAAAUAAAAAAUAUUUUUUUCUUGAAAAUCAUUAUAUAUCAUCGCUCCUACAGAAAUGAUCAAGAAUCAGAGAAGAAGGAAAAAGAAUAUAAAGUUGUUAUUAAAAUAAAGUUGCAUUAUUUCACAAGAAAAUUACAUUUUUCGAGACGAAUGUUGUAUUUUUUGAUACAAAAAUUAUACUUUUUGAGCAAAGUUAUAUUAUUUGAGCGAAAAUUGUACUCUACCUACCAUCCGAUUAUCGUCUUGAAGCGGCUCCUCCUCGCCUUCCUCCUCACGCUCAUCUGCACCUCCGAGGCUCCUUUUCACUCAAUCAAGGACGGGCUCAAGGCGCUCUUUGGCAUUGCACUCUACCCGCUCAACCGCUCUGUGUUGGUUGAGCUCGGCGCCAUGUCCGCACUCUUCUCCCUUGUCGUUAUUUUGCAUUCGUCACGCUUUACCCGCUCAACCGUCCUGUGCUGGUCGAGCCCAGCGUCGUGCCCGCACUUUUCUCCCUCAUCGUCAUUCUGCAUUCGUCACGCUCUACCCGCUCAACCGCCGAUGCUGGUCAAGCUCGGCGUCGUCCCUGCGCUUUUCUCCCUCAUCGUCAUUAUGCAUUCGAAAAGUUUUAGUGUUAUAUAAUUUUAUAUUUUGUUUUGGGGUAAAUUACACUUUUGGUCCUCAAACUAUGACGUGCGUGAUAUUUUAGUCCUCAAAUUUUAAUUUAUUAUAAUUUUUGGCUCGACUUAUGCGAUACAUUUUAUUUUAGUCCUUAAACUUUAAUUAGGUAUAAUAUCUGGCUCGACCUUUAAGACCUGUGACAUUUUAGUCCUUGAACUUGCUGAAUUAUUACAAUUAAGUCUCACAACCAAAUUUCUUUUUAAAAUAAGUAUGGAUAAAUUAUUUGUAUUCAACUAAUAUAGUAUUUUAAUUAUUAUUACAUCAUCAAAGACGAUAUACUACAAUUCAGAAAGUUCAAGAACUAAAAUAUCACAUGCUUUACAAUUUAAGCUAGAAAUUAUAACUAAUUAAAAUUUGAGGACAAAAGUGUCACUAACCUUAUAGUUCUAACGACAAGUUAUAACAAAUUAAACUUUGAGGACGAAAGUAUCACGCGUCACAUGGUUUGGAGGUGAAAAGUGUAAUUUACCGUUUGUUUUACCAUAAAAAAAUAUUAUUAAAUAUAAUAGUAAAAUAUUAUGAUUCGCAAAUUAUACAAAAAUGCUAAAUUUUGUAGGUCAAAUUAUGUAAAAUAUGCGCUGACGCACAGCAGCUACGCUGUGGUUUUUGUAAUGGUCCGCCAAAUAGAGUAUAUCCCUGACGCGCUUUGGCCGCUGAGUCCUGAAAUAUUGUUAAAAUCAAAAAUAAAAAAAAGACGCGGAGAAGACUCGCACGACCCACGCGAGUCGUCUCCGCGUAGGGACCCAGUGAUGCUACCAACUAUACAUAUAUACUCCCUGCACCUGGUGUACUUUUACAUAUAUAUAUAUAUAUAUAUAUAUAUAUAUUGUAAAUAAUAUUUGGUAAUCAAUAUUUUAAAAUUAAGAAAGGAGCUGGGAGACGAUGUACUUUAUAUCUGGGAUAGGUGGAUGGUUAAGAAAGGAUUGCAGAAUACGAGGCAUAAUCUUUUUGAAUUGGUUGCGUACUGGUAGGUUAUUUGAAAGACUAGAAACGAUUGAUUUUUCCGAACAUCCAAUUCCGAUAAUAAUUUUGUUGAUAGUUAAUAGAAAUUCUGUGCACAUAGUAAUUAAUGACUUUGGAAAUUCAUAAUUUCGUGCUCAAAACUCCAAUUCCAAUAAAAUUUAGUUUAAUUAGAUGAUCGUCUCAGAGUAUCUUUUGUAUAGCAGGACUUUCAGUUUUUGAAAAUUAUGAGAAAUAUUACAUAAAAUAAUGAUGAUUGAGAGAUGAUUGUCUUUUUCUGAAUUUCAUAGAUUUUAUCAAAGAAAUUUUAAAUCCACCAAAAAUGCACCAAGUUAACUACUAGACCUUACAAAUAAGCCCCCACGAGUAUUAAAAACCCUCGGGAGCUAAGAAAAAUAAAUUCACCAAAAUUGACUUCCGUUUGUUCAAAUAAAAAUAAAUCCAGAUCGUGCUAUUAUUACAUAAUAGUGUAAUAAAAUAUGAACGAGGCUAUUGUACUAUUAAUAGCACCGAGUUAUUGGUGCUAUUAGGGUUUUGGCCAUUGGAUAAAAAAAAUGUAAGGUUAGAAUAAUAAUGGACCUCUAGGGUUGAGUCGAUGGUUUGUUGAAUAGUAUGAUCUAACGGGUGAAAAUAAUCAAAUGGAUAAAUUUAACAGCAAAAAACUUGGUAGCACCAAGGAGGAGGGUAAACUUGUAAUCUAGAUAAUUGCAAGAUUACCCGCCAGUAAUAAUACGAGAUACCCACUCUCAUUCGAUAAUAUUUUCGGAAUAGUCUUACAUCAUUUGUAAUGCUACUUUGCCAAUUAAAUUAUAGACUGGAUGAACCAAAUAUAAUAAUCUUAACAAAUUUACAUAUAAUUUUGACAGGAUAAUCCGAAUAUUAUAUGACAGGAUAAUCCGAACCAUCCUUUGUGAAUUAUGAAAGUGAUCAAUUUUGUUAAUCAUAAGGUCUACGUGAAUGCGGCCUACGCGCAACGGACGGGAGUUCUGAAAUUAAAAUAAAAAAUAAAAAAAAAAAAGAACACGGAGAGGACUCCCAUGACUCGGUCUACUUCCGUACAUGUAAAUUAUAAAUAAUAUUUGGAAAUUAGUAUUUUAAAAUUAAAAUCUAAUUCAAUAUAUAUUUGAUUUAUAGUAUUUAAAAGGAGGGUUUUUUAUAAACAAUUCUAUGAAGUUUUACAAUUACAAAAAUAUUCUUCUACAAAAAUUACCUAUAAAAGUAGGCCUCUAAUAUGCCAGGUGAGAUAGUCCGCUGAUAAAAUAUUGAAAGUGGUAAAUAAUUUACCAUAUUUAAAAGCAGCCAAGUAUUUACCGUCGAUAAUGGCAUGUUUGUUUGUUAAUAUAGGUUCGACAGGUGGGAUAAGUGUAUUCACAGUUCCUAGUAAGAUUAGGUCAGAGAUUGCACUGUUCUAUAGAUAGCUAGUAUUGGAUUAUGAUAGUAUAGUGACAUAUAGCUGUAGAUUGUUUUCAGUUCCUUUAAUAUCAUUGAGCAUACUUUCUGUAGACUUAGUGGGUGAACCGUUCAGAUCGGUAGCGGUGCCCACUGAGGACUACUUUUUGCAAUAGUUCUCACGCCCUGUUGUUGACUCUUUUUGCAGAGCCUUCUGUUAUGGCUGCUGCUAUUGCUGAGAUUGAUCGCGGAAAAGGUCUUGCGAGUUAGAGUCCUUCCUGACUAGUUGCAGAGCUAGAUGAGUAUCUUCUACAGGUAGUGUUAGUUUUUUGUUCUUAUACAUACUGAUAUUAGUAUCUCGCCGGAGCUAGAAUUUUUGUAUCAAAAUACUAUGUAUAUAUAUAUAUCGCGAAGCUCUGUUAUUAUAUACGUAUUUCUUUUUAAUAGCUCUAUAUUAUUUGUUUUAGUAUUGUAUGAUUACAGAUACAGAUACAGCUAUCACUUCGUAUACAGGAGAAAUUCCUAUAUAUACGGCGGGUCUGUUAGCGUACCGAAAAAAUGAGUAAUCCGGGGGCGUGACACUAAUAAUUUUGUUGAUAGUUAAUAGAAAUUCCGUGCAUGUAGUAAUUAAUGACUUUGGAAAUUCAUAAUUUCAUACUCAAAACUCUAAUUUCCAUAAAAUUUAGUUUAAGAUGAUCGUCUCAGAGUAUAUUUUGUAUAGCAGAAUUUUUCGUUUUAAAAAAUUAUGAAAAUAUUACAUAAAAUAAUGACUUGAUUGCGAGAUGAUUGUUUUAAUUUUCUGAAUUUCAUCGAUUUUAGCGAAGAAAUUUUAAAUCCACCAAAAAUGCACGAAGUUAACUAUUCCACCUUACAAAUAAGUGACCACCAGUAUUAGAAACCCUUGAGCUAAGAAAAAUAAAUUCACGAAAAUUGACUUCCUUUUGUUUAAACAAAAAUAAAUCCAAAUCGUGCAUUCAUUAUAUAAUAGAGUAAUAAAAUAUGAACUAGGCUAUUGUACUAUUAAUAGCACUAAGUUAUUGGUGCCAUUAGGGUUUCGGCCAUUGGAUGAAAAAAUGUAGGAUUAGAAUAAUAGUGGGAUAAUUAAGUAGAUGGUUUGUUGAAUAGUAUGAUCUGACAGCUAAAAAUGAUCAAAUAGGUAGAUCUAACGGUGAAAAACUUGAUAGCACCAGGAGAGAAGGUAAACUUGUAAUUUAAAUAAUUGCAAGAUUACCCGCCAGCAGUAAUAUGAGAUACCCACCCUCAUUCCGUAAUAUUUUCGGAGUAAUCCUACAUCCUUUGUAAUGUUACUUUGCCAAUUAGAUUAUAAACUGGAUAAACCAAUUAAAUAUAAUAAUCUUGACAAAAUUACCUAUAAUUCUGGCAAGAUAAUCCGAAUCAAAUACACCCUUUGUAAAUUAUGAAAGUGAUAAAUUUUGUUAAUCAGAAGGUCUACAUGAAUGCGGCCUACGCGCAGCGGACGCGAGUUCUGAAAUAAAAAUAAAAAUAAAAAAAAGAACGCGGAGAGGACUCCCGUGACUCAGGCACUGGUCUACGUUUGUACAUGUAAAUUAUAAAUAAUGCUUGGAACUUAGUAUUUUAAAAUUAAAAUCUAAUUCAAUAUAUAUUUGAUUUAUAGUAUUUAAAAUGAGGUUUUUUUUUUUUUAUAAACGAUCCUAUGAAGUUUUAUAAUUACAAAAAUAUUCUUCUACAAAAACUACUUAUAAAAGUAGGCCUCUAAUAUGACAGGUGAGAUAGUUCGCUAAUAAAAUAUUGAAAGUGGUAAAUAAUUUACCAUAUUUAAAAGCAGCCAAGUAUUUACCGUCGAUAAAAGCAGUGAAUAGUUAACCGCCUUUAGUGUAUUUUCCUUACUGGUUUGGGGGAAGCAUUUAAAAACAGUGAAUAAUUAAUCGCUUUUAGAAAAUUAUUUAACUUUUAGAAGACAGUAAACCAUUCAUCGUUUUAUAAAAUGGAGCGAAUGGUUUCACCCCUUUUCUUUAUGUCCUCAUCAUGAUAGCGCCCAUCCGACUAGUUGAAAUCUAUUUUUACACAUAAAAAUUUGAAGGGUCUAGUUUUAGAAUAAAAAUUUUGAAGAAGGCUAUUGGCCUAAAAGCCCAUUUUGAAAGUCUCAUUAUGAUGGCCUAAAAACAACUUCACACUAUGCUAAUUUUUCUUCUUUUUUUUUGUUCUUUUAUUUAUUUGUUGGGUGUACAUGCAUGCAUAAUUAAUUAACAAAAGAUUAUGUGCAUUAUGAUCUCAUGACGCUCAGAUCAUAGGCUCUCUUUAUGUUAUAGGAUAUGCUAAUUAUUUUGCUCUUUAAAAUCGCACUAUUCAUUUCCAACAUACAAUUAAUAACUUAUUGAGUUGUCACGCCAAACGGUCCGUAAACUUCCCUAAAAAAAAAAAACACGAAAAAAGAGAGAAAAUCUUUUUUUUUUUAGUUUUUUAAUAUUUUUUUUUUGAAAAUGAGCCUGUAGGGCUCUUAAAAUAUAAACAUUAUUGAUUAAUAUUUAGCUAAAAGUAUGUUCUUUGUUAGGAAGAGAACACAAUUAUUUGUGAAUUUCUUAGUCAUAUAACUUUGGGGAAAAAUUUUUGGAAUAUCUUUUAGUCAUAUGAUUAUGAAUCCACCAUAUAUAGUUAUUCCAAACAGAGUAUGCCAUAUAAUUGUCACAGGAUAAAGUUAUAAUUAAUUCAUAAAUUAAUCACUCCACAUAAGAGGGAACAAAAAUAGCCAAAACCUUAAUUAAUCAUAUUCUCCUUUUUUUAAUAGAAUUUCUUUUUAGAAUUAACGAAAGAAAUCAUAAUUUUGUUUGGUAAUGAGGAACAGAUCAAAUUCAAUAGAAUAAAAAAAAAGCAAAGUUACAUAUAGAUGACUGACCGUCUCUAGAACAAGUGGCAAAGAGCUUGAUGGUUGGUAUCCGAAACCUAAGUUCGAAUCCUAGUUGAUUCACAUUUCUAGCUCAGUUUAUUUCUAAAUGAAAUAAAUGAAACGGAUAGCGUGCUACAUAUUUCUCAAAAAAAAAAAAGAAAAGAAAAAAAAGUUACACAUAGGUGGUGUAGCCAUGUAAUAAUUCUAUUUCAUUGGAACCGACAAUAUUUGUCUUGGUAUAACCAAACGCCUAGGAGUUGCUAAAUCUUAUUUCAUUGAGAACUCAAUUAAUUCUCUCCUUAAUUUGGCUAUAUAUAAUGCAUGGCUCCGGUGUAGAGUUUACUUAGAACUCACAAUCCAAUUGGAUUCUUAAUUAAACCCUAUUUAUUUUUUAAUAAAUCUAAAUCUCAUGUCAUAUAUCCUAAUUAAAUUGGAAUUUGACUUUAAUUUAAAUAACUAUAAAUUUAAUUUUCUCACUAAUCUAUUAGAUAGCAAUAUUUGUUGAAUAAACUAUCUCAUCUAUUUUACUCUAUUCUUAUCAUGUUAUAUCGUCAAGUCCUUUUUGUUUAGGAUUAACCCCACGGAGUUAAGAACUGACAUUCGCUUUUAUCUUUUUCUUCAAAAUUUUUUUCAAUCUUUUUAAUAAGAGUAAAAUAUAGAAAACUCUAUGUAAAUACUUAUUUUUUUACUUCCUCCACCGACUUAAAAAAAAAAAAAAAUCUAUACAUUACCUCUUCAAAAUUUCAAGUUGAUGCGUUUAAACCCCCUACAUCAAGGUUCCGUCACUAUUCCGUCACUUCCUUAUAAUUUAUACUAAAAAAGCCCUUAAAAUGGCAGAAAUACAGAAAAGAAAAAUUUAUUUUUUUUCUUAAAGAACGAGUAAAAAAAAAUUGAAUCAUUUAUUCCUCUCCAUUCGCACCAAACAUUUCUAAGAUUUUAAGGAGGCAGAAUGUAGAUUUUUUGAAAGUUAGGAAAAAAAAAAAGUGAAAAAAAAAGAGUAUUUAUAGGGGGAGAUUUUCUUUAAUUUUUGGGCAAUGGAUAAAGUUUUAAGGGUACAAAGCAUCCUACAAAUUCAUAAUGCUGUGGGGAAGUAAUUAAUUCUUCGGAAGGCACCACCAACUCAUUCUUGAUACAUCCACUUUUAUGUACAUUAAAUUAAAUAGAAGCAAAAUAAAAUAUGCAGACGAGAUAGACAUCUGCAUCUAGAUCAUCGUUUCCUCAAGCAUGGAUUGUUUAGAAGAUCCGAGACGGAAAAUAUAGAAGCAUCAAGCUCGGCGCUUUGCAAUAAUGAAUUCAGCCACAUGAUGUGGAAUCAGUACUGAAUCCUUUCUGUGACAGGCUUGCCGUCUCGUUUUAACUGGAUAGUAAAAUUCGGGAUGUGGCGAACCCUUGUGCGCCAGUCAUUGCUGUGGUCGCCUUCUCCUUCUCCUAGAAGUAGCUCAACAAGUUCCUCUGCUGGAUAGAAAAUGUUCAAAUCCUGAAGGGUGGUCAGGUACACGAUGCCGAAGGGCAGCUCCUUUAGCUUCCGGCAAUAGGAUAGGUGAAGCUUAUUCAGGCUUGCCAUUGCUCCUCUUUCUAUUUCCACCUGACUGAGAUUCGGGGCAUCUAAUAUUGUCAAUCUCUUUAGCUUCGGGAAAGAUGUUGCUUGGAAGUGCAACUUCAUGCCAUCAUAUGCGCAAGAAAGGUGGAGAAACAUCAACGCAGGCAGCGCUUGCAGGUAAGGAAAUGUAUCUUCAUCCAAUUCUGACUCCAAAAGUUGUAAUUUGGUUAGGUUUGAUAGAGACCCAAAGGAUGCGGCAAGCUCAGAGAAUGAGGUUUUGUCUAAUUUACCGUCCAGCCAUAAUUCUUUAAUUGGCAGAGGUAGGCGCAGGGUGCCCAACUGCUGUAAUUCUUGCCUAAAUACACUUUCGACAGAUAAUUUGCUAAGAUGGUUCAUCUUUGUGAUACUAUUCCACAAGUCUGCACAGUGAUGGGUUCUUACGCCGGUUAUCGCAAAUGUCCGCAACUCUGUCAAAGCUUCUACAUUCCGCACAAUCUUCCUAGUUGCUUCAAUAGAUCCUAAAGUCUGCAAGUCCUUCAAGCGCCAUAUUCCAACGGGUGCCUUGAUGCCCUCGCCAACAUAUUCUGAUAAAACUAGGUGUCUCAACUUAUGAAGCCUCGUUAUUCCCUUCGGCAGCUUUCCUAUUUCACUUUUAUCUGUAUUUAGUAUUUGCAGAUUUUGUAGCUUCCCGAUUGAUCUUGGAAGCUCCUUAAUUUUUGUUUCUCUCAAACCAAGAUAAUGCAGGUUGAAGAGGUUACAGAUUUCACUCGGAACUUUCUCAAUUGGCGCUCCUUGUAGUUCCAAGACACGUAAAAAUUUUGAUGAUCUUAAGACCGACUUCAAUAAAUCAUUCCUCAUGGAAUUGUUGAAAACAAGUACUGAACGCAAAUGAGAUUUUUCUUCAGUACAAUAUUCAGUUAUAUCGCUUAGGAUUGACAAGCGUCGUGCUUUGUAUCCCUGCAAUAUUGUCCUUGAAUGCUCGCAAACCAUGCAGAAACUUAACUCCUUUGACUCCGAACGAGCGAGGACUCGAAUGAUGUCAUGCAUUCGAUAUGCAUAAACUCUACCAACUUCGUUCCACUCAGCCACUUGUAAUAGACAGCGAUGAACAAGUUCGUUAAGGUAGUCCUCGGCCACUUCCUCCAUCGUUCUUUCUCUUUCUUCAAUGAACCCUUCAGCCACCCAAAGCCUUAUGAGCCUGUCACUUUCAAUUGUAUAGUCUUCCGGAAAGCUUGAACAAUAUAAGAAGCAGUUUUGAAGGUAAUGGGGAAGAUCGUCCAAACUAAGUUUCAAAAUGUCAUGUACUUUUCCAUGGAGCUUCGAUUCGUUGUUAGUUAGAUACCACUCAAGAUCUUUGUAAACCUUCUCCCAUUCAGACCUGGUUUGUUCUCGAAAUGAUAAGAGACGAGCUAUAGAUACGAUAGCAAGGGGCAAGCCACCGCACUUCUCGACAAUUCUUUUAGCACAUUGUUCUAAAGGCGGUGGGCAAAUCUUGUUUGCACUUUUCCAAAAUGCGUUUUUACAAAACAGAUCCCACGAAUCAUCUGCUUGCAGUGGCUUUAGCUCAAACAUAUGAUUCUCGUUUGCUAAUAGAGCUACAUCGCGAAUCCUUGUUGUGAGAACUAUUCUACUCUUGCUAUUACUAUUCAGAAGUGCAUUCUUUAUAUUGUCCAGUACAUCAGUACUCCAAACAUCAUCUAGAAUGAGUACAUACUUUUUACACUGCAAGUAAGUGCGGAUUUCCUCAACCAAGCUUCUAUAAUCCAUGGUAUCAAUGUUGUUAGGUACUUCUCUUUUCUCAGCUAAGCUUCUUUUAUCCAUGGUAUCAAUGUUGUUAGGUACUUCUCUUUUCUUACGAUCUUCCCUAUGAAACUCUUUUAAGAUUUGUCUAAGCAAAUCAUGAGUCUCAUAACUUUGAGAUACAGCAACCCAAGCACAAGCAUCAAAGGAAGCUUUGAUGAUAUUGUACACAUGAGUCACGAGAGUGGUCUUCCCUAGACCACCCAUCCCCAACACUGAGAUUAUCAUGGGCUGUCGUUGCUGCUCAUCCUCAUCUUUCAACCAUUCGAGCAACAAGUCCCUGUACUUGUCAAUACCCACGAUAUCAUCCUCCUCGACAAAAUGUGCUAAUUCCGCACAGCUCUUGCUACUGCCAACAGCUAUUUGAGGUUUUGCUUCACUUUCCAUUCCUCUUGUAUCAUAUCGUGUCCUUCUCUCCAUAAUGUUUUGGAGCUUAAUUUUGAUCUCUUUAAGUUUGCUGCUAAGGUCGUCCCAUGCUUUUAUAUUUCUGCACCUCUUGAUUGCUCUGGGUAGAACCCCUCCUUGCUCCUCACCCAGCUUGUACGUGAACUCAUCUAUAAUAUCCUCAAUGUCGAAAGCCAAGUCUCUUGUUUGUUUUAUGAAGGUUUUUGUGCUCUCAUCCUUCUCUUUUAAUCUUUCUGCGAUCCGUAGGAAGGAUAGCAUGCUCUCAAGCUCAUCCUUAAUCUCACUUAUAUCCUUCAUGAGUUCUUUCAUUGGUGAUAUCCGUGUUAGUAACAGUGCUGCUGCUGAUUUAGUUGCUUCACUAGCUAAGGUAGCACCGAUCUUCAGGACUAAUGAGCUUAUUACAGCCUCCGCCAUGAGGCUUCCUCCGAAGUGAGCCUGAAAUAAACGAUCUUUUCAAAUUACCAUGUCUCUCUAAAUGGAACACUACAAAAAAUGAUGAUUUUUUAACGCUCUUACGAGUCUUGGCGAUUUUCAUAAAGAACAUGUUACUGUCUCAACCAAAAUAACUCUCUAGUGCACCAAACAAACAUUUGUUACAAUUAAUCCUCAGUUAAAACUAAGAAACACCAGUAACAACAUUGUAGUCUGUGAGAACAAAAAGCAAUAACUUGGUUGAGAAUUAGUUUAAAAAAUUUUUGAGAUAAAAGAUUCAGUAUAACUAGUUAUACUAAACUCCUACAUGACCUCGAUGUUUAUUUUGCAGAGCAAGAUGCCGAAAAGUCCUUUAAAACAGUAUGAAAUGAAUAAAGAGUUGGAAAGUAAAUGAACCUGCCGCUAGUCACUAAGUAGUGGGCAUUGUAUUAAGAGUGAUUGUAAAUUAUUCCAGAAUUAACAAUUAUAAAUCGAGUUUUCCUUGAAGCCCUCUCCUUGUUCAUUAAUAAGGCAAUACCAGGGCUAUCUAUACAAGUCUCAUUUGAGCAAGGAACUAUUAGUGCUCCUUCAAAUAUAUAGUUUUGCGUUAAUAGAAAUAUAAGAACUUAAUUUUAGACUCAUGAACUCUCGUAUUUCUAAUAUAUUAAAUUUCAUUGCCUCGGCAUUCACGCUGCCUAUUGUCGGACCAGAAUCUAAAAAGUUCUAUUUUAACUUCUUUGAUUUGUGCUGCAAUUUGUAAUAUGUUGUAGAAGGUCAUCUCAUUUUACUUUAGCAAGUUUAAAUAUAUCCAGUAUAUAUCCACUAUGUAUGCUAUCCAGUAUCCACUAUGUACAUUACUACAUUUCUCUAUGAUAUACAUUUAGGUAUCGUUUGGUUCGGGGAUAAGCAAAAAGUGGGUAUUCCAGGGAUAGGUAUAAAUUGAGGUACAAGCGGGGAUUAGAUCAAUUUUACGUUUGGAUGAAAAUUGGGUUAUUUCUGGGAAUAAGAAAAAUAACGUUUGGUUAGGUAAGAUGGAAUAAGAAUUAAAGUGGGUAGUUAUAAAUAAAAAUUAAUAAUAUUAUCUCUUUCUUUAUAUUAGAAUUUGAAUUUUUAUAUUUUAUAUUUAUAUUUUAGAAUUUAAAAUAUAAACUUUUAAAUUUUAAAAUUUUAAAAUCUCAAAUUUACAAUUUUAAUUCUAAUCUUUAAAUUUAAGAUAAAUUUAAUUUGAAUAAAAAUAAAUUUUCAAAUUUAAAAUUUUAAAAAUUAAAUUAUCAAAAUCAAUUUAAAAUUAAAAAUGUGGAAUUUAACAUUAAAACUUUAUUUUGAGAUUAAACAAUUUUAAAAUUUAAAUAUAAUUUAAUUAUCAAUAUUUAAUUUUAAAUUUACUUUAAAUUUUAUUAAAUUCUAAAUUUUAAUUUAUUUAAUAUUAAAUAUAAUUUGUUAUAAAUUUAUUAAAAUUUUAAUAUAAAUAAUAUGUAUUAAUAUAGUACAAUUAAUAAUUUAAUAAUAAAAAUAAUAUAUUAUAAUAUAUAAUAUAUUAUUUUAUAUAAUUUAGUUUUAAUUUAUUUUUUAAUUUUAAUUAAGUUUGAAAUUAAGUAUGGGAAUAGCACUAUUCCAUCAAAAUGGUGGAAUAGUAAAAAGCUUGCUAUUUCGGGAUAACCGGGAAUAGCAAGCUUUGACCGGGAUAAAAUAUUCCGGUAAAAAAUGAUCCUGUUUGGCGAAAUAGUGGGGAUAACUUUCGUUAUCCCCGCUUAUCCCCCGAACCAAACGGGGCCUUAUGGUCUAUAUAACUAAGGAAUCACAGUGGAAUCCAAACAUUACACAACAGUGACACACUAUACUCUCAUUGCUUUAUUAGAGAAUUAAGCUAGUUGAUAGCAAAGAGAGAAUCAAAAGCAAGAACCCUUGGAACAUACAUAAAAAUGAAUUAAAAAAGAAUUAAGUGGAAGAAGCACAACUAACCAACCACGGAUUUAGAAAGGAGAUUAAUUUGAAGAUCAGGGGGCUGCUCCAAAAUAGCCUCAAAUUUUGCCCGAGAAAAUGCUGCGAUCAAAUUACUGGGAGCAGAUGAAAGGAUACAUUAGCGCUAGCUGGAGCCACCAAGAAACUUCCCUCCUGCCCGGCCUUCUCGACCAGCAGCAUUUUGUGGGCAAUAAGAAGCCAUUAAAAAACUAGAGAGUCGAUGGGUACACGGAUACCCAAAAGUUUGUCCCAACUCAAAAUUUGAAUGGAAUCAAUUUAUCAAUAUGAAUAUUAAAAAUAAAAGACCGACGGAUAUAUAUGGUUUUGGAUAUGAAUUUUGUUCGAACCCGACGUCUUGAGUCCCAAUCCAAACCUGAAUUGAUUUUACAUUUUAUAUAUAUAUAUAUAUACACACAUAGGCCUUGGUUACUAUACUAUUANAUAUAUAUAUAUAUAUAUAUAUAUAUAUAUAUAUGGUUUUGGAUAUGAAUUUUAUUCGAAUCCGACCUGAAUCCCAAUCCAAACCCGAAUUCCACCCGAAGCAAAAUUGAUUUUACAUUAUAUAUAUAUUUUUGAUCUUAUAUUCGAAUUUAUAUUUUAAAAAUUUAGAUUUAAUAUAGUAUAUCUUGAAAUAUGAUAAAGAGAAAUAAUUAUUUUAGGUUCAGAUUUUUGGAUUUUUUUUUUUUAUAAGAUUUGGAGUUUGGAUAUAAAUUUUUAAAAUUCAUCGGAUUCGGUGUUGGAUUCAGGUUUUAGGUUUGGUAGUCGAGUUCGGAUUCUGUUUUUUGAAAACCCAUUCGGAAUCUGAUCUGUGGACAUUUCUAUUAAAAACACUUCGCACUGUGGUUUAGAAAAAAUUCUAGAAUGCAACAGAUAUAUUGGUGACAUGGUAUAACAAAUCAAUCAAAAAUCUUCUUUAGAAAUAUAUGUCCCAUCAUGAUUAUAAAAAAAAUUUUUUAUUAUAUUUUUAUUUUAAAAAAAAAUAUAAUUGACUUAUUAUUAAUGAUGUGGUGUAAGUGUGGUAGUACUGAAUUCCUCGUGGUUUAGCCAAGUCGGCUUCAUAAUAGAAAUUUUAAUAUUGAUUAAAAAUUGCUUCACACUGGUUACUGGUACCUUUGCACAUGGCCCCUCAUGGGUAGUUCUCAGAUCAGCUUCAGUUUAGAAUUUUAAAUAUUGAUAAAAUAUUGCUUCACACUGGUAUCUUUGCACGUGACCCCCCUUAUGGGUUGUUCUCAGAUCAGCUACGUAUUGAAAGUUUAAUAUUGAUAAAAAAUAGCUUAUUAAUUCACAUGCUUGCUAGGUCAGCAAUAAAGUUGGUUGUUUCUCUGUGUAAGUUUUUACUGAUACUCUAUGUUUAAUUGGAGAUUUGAUCUUGAGUUAACGCUACGUAGUGGAUGAUGCAAGCCUAAUUAAGUCACGUUGAGAGGGAAGAAGUAUAAGGACGAAAAGAGAGUGAUACACGAAGAAUUAUGUCACACCUCAAUAAUCCCACAUCGGAUAGAAAUUGGGAUGUGAUUGAGUGUAUAAGAGACUUAGACACUAGUAAUAAUAACUGAGUUUAAGCAUUGAGGUCGGUGGUUGGGCCUAACGAAUUAUUAUUGCAAGUGAGCUAGAUCGUUAUAUUUGAUAUCAGAAUCAGUUCACCAGCCUUCACCAGUCGAAAAUGUAUUUGGUAUCAGAGUCAGUUCACCAGCCUUCACCAGUCGAAAAUGUAUGGCGAGUCUCGACUGAGACAAGAUCUGAAAGACAAAGUAAUAUAUUAUGCCGAGGUCUGAAAGAUAAAGUAAUAUACAAUACCGGAGUCUGUAUGACAAGAUAACUGGCUAUACCAGAGUCCAAAGCCUGGAUGGCAAGAUUAGCGAGACGAGUCUUACUAGUGAGCUAGGUCGUUUACAAAUUAAUUUUUCGACAAAGGUGAAAAUAUUAUUAAUCAAAUCUAGAUUAGCGAGACGAGUCUCACUAGUGAGCUAGGUCGUUUACAAAUUAAUUUUUCGACAAAGGUGAAAAUAUUAUUAAUCAAAUCUAAAAAUUUAUUACAUUAACCGAACACCACGUUUAUAUAUAUAGAGGCCAUACUCGAAUCCUACUAGACGAAAAUAAUAAAUUUUAAUGUAUCUCUAAAUUUAAUCAUAUUAGAAAUAAUCAAAUAAUUGGACUAAAAAUAGGAAAAGUAGGAAAGUACUAAACCUUUCAAAAAUAGCCUAAACAUAUAAAAAUGAAAGCUGAAACAAUUGAAUUUGGGCCCCAAACUUGACCCUAACGGCUUUGUCGUUUGAUGCGUAAAUCUCAAAAAGUAUUUUUCGAUUUAGAAUUACAUGCUAAAAUCAAAUAGUUGAAUGAAAAGUUAUGACUGUUUAAAAAAAUUUUGUGUCGAUAAAAAAAAAUUAUCAAAUUCAGCAAAAUUUGAAAAUUUCAACUCAGCUUGGUUGAGCCAUAUUUUUUUCAUGAACUCUCGCCGCAACAAUGGACCUAUAUAUAUAAGAGAAAAAUAUUGAUUCAAAGUUAUUUACUCCAAUUUCUGGAGGGAAAUAGCAAAUGCAAAUUUCUCUCGCUCGCUCUCUCCUAGCACAAAUUUAUAUGUUUAUUUUUUAAGACAUUUUUUUUCUUUUAUUUUUUUCUAACUUUCAAAAAUUUAUAUGUUGUUUUUUUAAAAUUUUAAAAAUAUUUUCAGGAGAUACGAUAUUAAUAGAGAGGGCAAAAUAAUCAAAUUAUUUUUUUUUUAUAAAAAAUAAUUUUUAAUAUAUUUUUAUUAUUUUGUAGAAUAUUUUUGAUAUAAAUUAUAAAAAAUUGAUGAGAUAGUGAUGGAAUCCCAACGGAAUGGGCUAAAGAUAACAAUUUUGUAUAUAAGGAGGUUUUUUAAAUACAAUAACUUGAAAUAUUAAGAGAACAAAGUAUAGAUUUUUGAAAGUUAAGAAAAAAAAGUGAAAAAAUAAAAUUUGACAUUUUUAUUUUUAUUUUUUAUGAAGGUGCCCAUAAGGCAUAAGCCUUGUAAAAUAUAGAUAUAUAAAUAUCAACUUGUCAUUAGAUAAAAGUCUAUUCUUUGCGAGGGAAAAAAAAAAUUUGGGGAAUUUUUUUUGGAAUCUCUUUUAGUUACUCCAAACAGAGUAUGCGAUAUAAUUGUGAUAAUUAAAUCAAAUUUAAGUUAAAAUUAACCCUGAAUCAUGUCGUAGAAUAAAGUUAUAAUUAGUUAUUAAAUUAAUCACACCACAUAGUUGGGAACAAACGUAUCCUCCUCUUUUGAUAGAAAACUUUUUCAGAAUUAAGGGAUGAAUCAGAUUCGUUACAUAUUCUAAUAUUAUAGACACCAUGCGAAGCAGUGGUUUAUUAAAAAUAAUCAAUAUGUUUCUUAAAUCAAUCUGUCUAUAAGAAAAGGUCUAAAGAGAGACUGAUUUUCGUUUCAACGAUCGUAUUCGUUUCAACAAUUAUGAUCAUAUGAGUUGCACCUGUGAAUUAAAAUUAAUUGGCCAACAAGUUGGUCAUCAUUAUUUCAAUAUAAUGGACUCCUCUAAUUUGCUAAAUCCAUACAACAUACUAAUUGACAGUUCUAAAUGUAUACGUGGCGUCAUUUCCUUUUUUACGAAUAAAAAAAUUGUUCUCAGAUUUACCUCCUUCCCAAGAUGCUCUUUGGCUCCUUUUCAAGAUUUUACAUCCUUCCCAAGGCGGUCUUUGACUCCUUCCCAAUGUUUUACCAAGUUGGACCAAGAUAUUGGAGGUUUUCUAAGGCAGCUUUCAGCUCUUUCCCAAGUCACAUGGCACCUUUCCAAUAAGGUGAGGCCCAAAAAAAAAAAAAAUCAAAAAAAUCUGUUACAGCUGUGAACUCCCUAUCUCUCUCUGUGUCUCUCGCACUCUCUCUUCCCCAUCUCCCCUUCUCUCUUUCUCUAAGGUGGCCUCAUUCUCUCUCUCCUUCCUCCUCCAUCUAACUUGUCCCCAUUCUCUCUCUUUCUUACUCCAGCUGCCCCCCACACUCUCUCUCCCUCCCAUACUGUCACGCCCCGGAUUACACUUUUCCCGGGCACGCCGACAAAUCCGCCGUAUACAAAGGAAUUUCCCCUGUAUACGAAGCGAUAGCUGUACCUGUAAAUCAAACACUACUACGAACAGUAGUAGAGAGCUGCUAGAGAAAACAGAAGCUAAAUAAAACAGAGUUUCAUAUACAUAGUUCAGANCCUCUGAACUUAUUUUGAUUAUUUUAUUCUAGUUAAUUUAGUUAAAUUUUUAAAUUCAAGAGCUUUAUUAAUUAGUGUUUACCUAUUAAUUAUUUUCAUAUAUUUUUUAAAAAUUAAUUAAAUUUAACUUAAAUAAAUAAAUUAAUUAAUUAAUUACAAAUUAUUAAUUAAAUUAAAUUUAAAUUUUUAAUUUUUAGAAAUUAACUUAUUAAAUUAAAAAAUUAAAUUAAAUUAUUAGUUAAUUAAAUUAAAUUAAAUUUUUAAAAUUUAAUUAAAUGACUAAAUUUUAAUCAAAUUUAGUCUCCAAACAAAAAUUAUAUGGUGAAUGGGCCCAAACAAAUUCUUCAAACCCGAUACCCGAUACCCGAUACCCGAUACCCGAAAUCCGAAUCCCGAUGCCUUUCACGCUCGUCGACCACCUCCUCAUCGUCUUCCUCUUCCUCUUCCCCUUCUUCUUCACCCCCCCAACUCUUUUCCUCUUUUCCCCUUCUCCACCCAAAAACCCUAGCGUCCUCCUCCUCCUCCUCCUCUCUCUCAUCCUCUCCACCCCCUCCUCGUCCAUGGCGCAGAGCAACAACAGCGCCAUCCCCAUCACCGAGCAGUUCUGGUCCCUUGUCGACAAGGCCGAUCGCCGCUUCUCCCGCGUCCGCGAUCGCCCCUCCCAUGACCGCAAUCGGUAAAACCUAACCCCCUACCUCCCCCAAACCUCUCACCCCGAACCCUAAUUCGAUCCCUCUUCUUCUUCUUCUUCUUCUUGUUCUUCGAUCCAGGGACGACGGGGACUUCCACAAGGCGUUCAAGCUCUACACGCGGCUGUGGAAGGCGUGGCGCUCACCGAGGCCGGGAUGCGGCGGUGGGAGGUGGGCGAGAUCGCGUACCGCAUCGCCCAGCUCUACUACGGCCAGUACUGCCGCACCAGCGACUCCUCCUACCUCGCCGAGGCCUUCGUCUUCUACGAGGCGGUCCUCGACCGCGAGUACCUCCGCGACGCCCCCUCCGCCGCCGCCGCCGCCGCAGCCUCCGAGGUCGCCCUCGCGCAUAAGCAGCUCCGUCUCCUCGUAAGGUUCCUCAACGUUUCGCUCAUCCUCGGGCGCCGCGAGAUGGUCUUGCGGCUCGCAUUGCUCCUCCGGAUUGUCCUCGAGGAGCACAGGCGGAGUUUUCAGGUAUACAACUGUUUGUUUCUUUGUACAUUGUUGUUCAUUUCUAUAUCUGCUCUACAUAAUUCAGCUUGAGUUGUUUGAUAUGAUUAUAGUUUCAUAGUAUUAGUACUUCUUUGUUCUCACAUGCUGCACCAAAGUAUUGCAGAAUAAUUGAGAGAGUAGGUCGACCUUGUUGCUUAGACACUCAGCAACAACAAGUACCAUCUGAAGAGUACAAUUAUUCGCAUAAAUUAAUUUAGGAGUUCUCUUUCUUCAAUUGAUGAUUAAUUAAACUGAAAAUUUUGUAACUUGUCGAAUUUUGUAAAUUGACACUAUAUUCUAUAACUUGUAGGCUGAAACUGUUAAGCUCAAACUGAAAUUGAUGGAAUUUGUGAAAAAAAAAGAGGUUGGGUAGUGAAGUCAAAAAUUUCAAGUCUAGGUGCUCAUUUAAAAGAUGAAGUUUAUGUAGGGCGUUUGCAUUUUUCCUUAUAUUAUAGAUCGUAUGAGUUUCAUUUGAUUUCAAUUUGAUUGGAUCCUAAGUAUCAUAUGUCGUGGCAAUCUCGUUUACUACUGCUCUACAAGUAACUAAAAUAGGCCUUUAGCAGUUUCAGCUUGCUUGUUCAUGUUACUUCAGAUAAGCAGUUUCUAACUCCAACACCAUGAGCAAUCCUUUUACAAAUGAGAACUUGGCAUCCUCUAGCCCUAUCCCCGAAAACCCCUGACUCGGACUCAUAUUGAACAACUGAAGAGCCUUCCCCUAAACCCUACCCUAGCACUUACCACAGGCAUACCAAUGAUUUGUCGUACAAUUUGCUGUUUUACAUGGAGUUUAAUAGAUUUGUAUAAUGUAGAUGUUUGGCUUCUUUUUCUAAAGACAUUGAAUUAAAAGUUUGCAGAGGACUUAUUUGUUUUUCUUCCCCAUUAAACUAAUAAGUAAUUUUGAGUUACUUAUAAAGGGUGCAAAGUUUACUUGCUCAAAACCAUGCCUUGUUAAUCCUAUCUUGCAAGAGAAGAAUAUCUAAAAUGGACCGUCUUUAAAUUUCUACAGGUAGAAUGAGAGCGUGAAAAACAUCACCUUGUAAUUUACGAAUCACUUUAGGAAAGGGGUAUUGCUAUUUACCUUUUACGAAUAGGUAUAUUAAACUGAUUGGUCUUUAAUGGUGCUAUUUUCCUUUUCUUAAUGCAAGAAGAGUUUGAUACCUACAAUCCUAGUGUUCAUUUGUUUGUGCAGUUACAAUUUCUUGCAAGAAGAUCCAGAAUCAUUUAGAUUGUUUCAGCAAAGGAUGCUAUUUUUGCCCUUGCGCAGUCAGGAUUAUGUGCUGCUUUUUGUCGAAGUAAGCAUUCUGUGCCUGCCAAUACUAUAAAAAAUAAAAACUUGUCGAAGUAAGCAUCCUGCGGCAUCACUUCUGCAUUUUGCGUUCUGUCGGAAAAUUUACAGAAUAUUCCCUCGGAAUAUUGCAGAAUCUGUUAUGUUCUAAGUUCCAACGGAAUAUUCUGAAAUUAUUGUUAGAUCAAACAAUACAUUAGUUGAGGGAUGAAUUCAAAAAACAAAGUUUUGGAAUGUGUUUCUGGUUGAGACUUGCGAGUGUCCUUGCGCCUUUUUUUCACUAUAAUUGGUAUCUUUUUUUUCUCUUGGCAGCAACAAACAAGCGGUUAUGUUUCUUGAAUAUUAGCCCGGAUGAAGUGAUUAGAUGCCUUUUCUAUAACAAGAACAACGAUUCACUUAUUACAGUCUCAGUUUAUGCUUCGGACAACUUCAGUUCUUUAAAGUGCAGGACAACUCCAAUAGAGUAAGAACUUCAAUCCAUCCGUUAAGUUUGAUUUUGCUAGUGAAUUCUCUAUGCAAAAUUUUAUUCUUUCAUCUAAAUUUGUUUAUGCUUUAAAGUUUGUAGUAUAAUAUAGUUGCUCUGAUUUAUCACUGCUUACUAUGCCAUUUUUAGACAAGCUUUUUAUAGCAGAUAGAUAAAAUAUGCAGCCAAGUAUCCUUUGGCAGAUUGGCACACAUGUCAGGGGCUUAUAACCAUAUUUGGAACCCAAGUUCAUUUUCUUUUUGGUGCUUUACAUUUUGUUAAGACCACAUAUUUACAUUUGUAAGACCAUAUAUUUACAUUUGUAUUCCACUAAAAUCUGAAUUUUGUAUAUAUAAACCUUUUAGAAGCACAGUUUCUUACCAAAAAUGUUUAUAUCUGAAGUUGGGAAAGGAAUCCAAGUUAUGGGAAAUAGUUGGAUUUUUAAUAGGAAAGUUUUGUCAAGAGGGCAAAUUUUUUUGAAGUACAUGGAUAUUCAUACGCGCACGUGUGUGUAGUAAAUAAGGAUUUUGAAGAGAAAAAAUUCAGAAUCCCGAGAUAUUGUAACUAUAUCAUUUUCCUUUAACAUCAAUGUAUUUAAAUAUCUCAGUUUCUGUCCUACUGUGGUAUUUGUAUAGCAACUUUGAUUAAGAUCUAUAGUUUUCUUGCUAUUGGCGUGCUCAUUCAGAACCUUUAACUCACUAAUUGUUUGAAAUGCGCCUUUGACAUUUUAUUAUUAAUUUUUGUCAGGUCUAUCAAGAGGAAUAGAUUUGUUGCUGCAAUUCUAAUGGGACUAAACCGUGAUUCUACAAGUAAAAUCGAUUUCAUAUUAUCUGUUCACGGUAGCUUAACAUCAAGCAGUUGAAUAUCUAUCUUGGAAUAUGUCUUUUCUUGGUUUUCUUAGCUUGAUUAUAGUAAUAUUUAGUUAGUUGGCAUUUGGUGAUAUUGUUGUCCUGCUACAAUCAUUUUUCUGCUUCUGGGAUGAUAGUUUUAGAAUUAUGGUUCGUCUAUUUUGCAGGCAUUCAAAGAAUAGAAAAAAAUUGUGUAUCUAGAAAAUAUGCCUGUCAGGUACUUUAUUAUGCAUGCAGGCUUGUAGAUUGUUUAAUUUAUAUAAUUUAUUUUUUUUCUUUUGUUUGUUGCAGGAAAUGAAUUACUGUUAAAAUAGGAGCUGAAGCAUUUUUCUUUUAUCAUUUUUUAAGUAUUUUCUAUUUUCAAAGUUGAGAGAGUAAGGAAUAAUGUUGAACUGUAUAUCGAAUAUUAUACUCUAUUGCCUUUAAAUUGAUUUUGCUAUUAUUUUGUUUUUAAGCUGUUGUUGAUCAGAAGUUAAUUAGCCUUUUAAAUUAUGUUAAAAGAAUAAUUUUGUUUAUUUUAAUAUUUUGUUUGUUAUUUUGUAUAUGUUUUGUUUAUAAAAUAUAAGCUGUAUAUUUUUAUAUUUAGUUUAUUACCUUUUUAUUAUUGGUGGCCAUUUAUUGCACAAUUGGUGGCGACAAAAUGUUGCCUCUUUAUUUUUAACUAAGGUGGCAACUGUGAUGGUUGUCACUUAAGGUAAAUAUUUGGUGGCAAAAAUGUAUUGCCAUCUUAUCUCCAUCUCCAUGAAAGGUGGCGACUAGUAAGGGCCACUAAAAAGUCCUAUUUGAUUGCGACAAAAUAUCGCCACGUUAUCUUUAAUAAGGCGGCGACUAAUAGUUGCCACUAAAAGUCAUAUUUGGUGGCGACAAAAUAUCGCCACGCUAUCUUUAAUAAAGUGGCGAUAAAUAAUGGCCACUAAAAGCCAUAUUUGGUGGCGAUAAAAUGUCGCCACGCUAUUUUCAAAAAGGUGGCGAUUUUUCAUGCUUCGCCACAAUUUCAUUUAGCGGCAACACUUUCGGUGGCAGCUUGUGGCGACUUUGAAAGUCGCCACCUUUUGAAAAGGUGGCAAUUUUUUAUAUAUAUGGUGGCGACAUUACUCGCCACUAAUAUAUAAUAUUCUUGUAGUGUUAAGAGUUAAAAAAUGAACGGUCAUAAAUGAAUAACCUUCUUAAAAUAGAGGUUAGACCAUUUCAAUUCAUAAUCAGAGUUAUCAAACAUUAUCUAAAUAGUAUAAAGAAUUUUCUAUUAAAAAUUCAAGCAAUUUGGAUUGCUCUACACCGUUAAACAAGCAAACGGCUCAUAUAGGCCAUCAAAAAUUGUCGAUUUUACGACACUUUGAUCACCAUGUAAAUAAUUUUUAAAAUUUAUGAAAUUUAGUUUCUAGAUAUUUCAAAUACUCUAUAUCAACUUCAACAGCUCCGAUUAUCGAUUCGGAAUCUCGAUCAUCAAGAAUAAUUUGAUAGGACAAGUGUUCCUAUCCUAUUAAUAGGAUAAUAGCUCUAACCUAUAUAUAUAUAUAUAUAUAGGGCUAGAGUUGAUCUAGGAUACUUUUACAAGUAUCAUCCCCAUAUUGCUAUCACGUUUUUAGCUAUUGGAUCUACUUUUUAAUUACAAAUAGCCCUUGGAUCAAACACUAUUCCACCNAAUAUAAAUUUUAUAAUUUUUCAAUAUCUUUUACUUAAUGGUCAAAAUGAUUCAAAAUCAAUGACUGAACGUAAAAAUCUUACAAAGAAUGAUGAUAUAAAACUAAAAUUUUAGAUUAAAUAUAUUAAUCUUAAUUAUUUUAUACAGUAUAAUUUUUUUAUUAAUAUUUUACUUGAUUUAGAUAUUUUUACAUAUAAACUUGCAAAUGGCUCAUCACGACUGUUAAAAUUAUUGAUUAGGGGCAUCUUCAAUCAUUAGGUAAGUGAAAUUGAAAAAUUGUGAAAUUUACUUUUUAGGCACUUUAAAUAUUUUAGAUCAAAUCUAACGGACACGAUUAUCGAUUCGAAAGUGCUAGCAUCAAUAACGACUUGAUAUAAUGGAGACCGUCGUACUUCUAAAAGCACACAAACCUAAUAUUUUCUCUCCAUAUAGAAAGAGAGAGUAAAAGUAGAAUACUAUUGAUAGUGUGGCAGUAUGAGAAUAGUGUUUACUAUUAACUUUUUGACCAUUAGAUAUCUAGAGUUUAGGAAAGGUUGGUAAAAUAGUGAUAAGCCAAGGGUGAAAAAAUUGAUAGUAAAUACUAUUUGUAUACUAUUAGUAGCAUACUCCAAUGUUUUUUUUCGGAGCUGAAAUACUUUUAUAAGUAUUGGUCAUUUUUACUUCUAACAUUUCAUGGAUUCCCCCUUAAACUAUUAUUGGCUAGCCUUUGAUUUGGAUCCUCUUUAACUAUUACUGGCUAGUCUUUGGAUUAAUACUAUUUACCAACCACUACUAAAUUUUAGAAAAAUUAUUAUCACUUCAACUCUACGCUCCUUUAUUCAAAGAUUAAAACCGUAAAUAAACCCAAUACUCUUUAGAAUAUUUAUUUUAAUUUAUAUAUAUAUAUAUAUAUAUAUAUAUAUAUAUAUAUAUAUAUAUAUAUAUAUAUAGUUUUUUUAUUAAAUAAAUAAGUUUUUGAUAAAUUUUUAACAAAUUCUUUAAAUUUUGAAUAAUUUAAACUAAUAUUUUUAAAAAAUGAAUUAAAAUAUAUUAAUAAAGAAAAUAAAUAAAUAAACAGGCCGGGAUGGUGGUUAGGCCCAAGUCCAAAAUGGACUGGGUCGCACCAGGCUGCCCCUGGCCCUGUAGCCCGGCACUGUCCGCAUUUGGAUGUGAGUUGGGCUGUCCCAGGCCCAGCAGUGCCGGGCCAUCUGUCUGCCAUCCAUGUCAUCUCCGAACUGACUGAUAGCAAUUUAAUGUAUAAAUAAAUAAAUAAAAGAAAAAAACUUCAAAUACCACUCCUGUAUUUUCAUAUUUUUUUAUUUUUGUAUCAUGUGGUUUAAAGUAUAUCAAUUCAGUACCCUGUGUUUUUAUUUUUCUCUUUUUAUUAUCCAUCCUACUAAUUUUUUUCGUUAAAUCAGUGACAAAGUUAAAACUAAAGGGUGCUAGAGUGAAUAUUCGAUAAAGCUAUAUCUGAAGUUUUUUUAUAUAAUUUAACAAAAUAUUAAAGGAUGAGCUGACGAAAAGAAAAAAAUAAAACCACAAGAGUACUAAUUUGAUGCAUUUUAAACCAUAUGGUACUAAAAUAAAAAAGUACGAAACCACAAGGGUGGUAUUUGAAGUUUACCCAUAAAUAAAUACAUCAAAUUUUAAAAUUAAUUUCCCAUAAAACUGAGCCAUUUUAUCCUAUACUCAAACAAAUUUUACAAUACUUUACUAACUAGUAAAUUUGACUGUAUUUAAUUGAUAAAAAAGUGAAAAUCACAAGAAAAAAGGCAUUACUUAUUAUUUUGUGGUUGAAAUCUAAUCAUUAAAUUGUAUUGUUUAUAAAAUAUUUUGAGAUUUAUUCAUAAGAAAAUUAUUUUUCUUCGUUUAUUAGGACGUUGUCUAACAUAUAUAAAACAAAGGAUUAUUGAACCUUAUUCAAAAAUAUUGCCUAAAUUCAAUUUGAUAUUUGGUCAACAUAAAAGUCAGAUUUUAGUCACUAACAUAUUAUAAUGGGGCUUUUGACCUUGGACAAAGUUUUAGAUAGCUUAUGUAAUGCAAGUUUUUAGUAAGCUUCCUUUGAUUCGAGGUUAAGUAAAAACUAGUUAUUACAGGAUAGGGUUCAGUUCAGGAUUAAACCUGAAAUAGAUUAAUUUUACGUUUGGAUGAUAAUUAAGUUGUUUCCGGAAUUAAGAAAAAUAAUAUUUGGAUAGAUAAGAUAGAAUAAAAAGAAUAGUGAUUAAUUAUAAAUAGAAAAUAAUGAUAUUACCCCAAUUAUUAUAUUUAAUUUUUAAAUAUUUUAUUUUAUAUUUAAAAUUUUAAAUUUAAAUAGAUAAUUUUUACAAUUAAAAAAUUUAAAAUUAAAAUCUAAAAAUUAUAAAAAAAAUAUUGAUUUUAAAAUUUUUAAUUUUAAAAUUUAAAAAUUUAAAAUUUAAAUUGAUAUUUAAAAAUUAAAUAGGGAUGAGAUUAGCUAAUCCCACUCCUAUUCCAGAGGGGGCGGGGUUACCUAACCCCACCCAUAAAUGGGUUAUCUCGGUAUAACCCAUUUGGGUAGGGUUAGCUAAUCUCACUCUCUAAAAAUAGUGUUUGGGAUUAAAGGGUGAGGGAUAACCCCCUUAAUCCCCCUCCCCUUUAACCUCAAACCAAACACUUUAUUAGUGAAUAAAGAUGGAGCCAACAUGAGUUGAUCCUAGCUAGCUUUUUCUCUUCUUUUUUUUUUUACUAAUAUUAAAAAUUUAAAAAGAGUUGUCAUAUUUUUGGAUGGUAGCUGUAAGAUAUACAUCAGAAAUUUUAUUCUAUUUUUGGUAAAAAUUUAUAAAAUUUUACUAAACUAUGAACUAUUUUGAAUUUACUAUUUGACCUUUCAAAAAGUGAAUUUUAUUAUCUAAUCUUUCAAUUUGUUUAAUUUGAGUUAAUUCAUGAUACUUUGAUAUCAAAAUGUAAUGCAAUUUCUUAUUUUAAUGAAUUUAUAGUUGUAAGAUUGAAUGAAAUAUAUUAGACUUAUAUAGAUAAACACCGCAUUCAAAUUUUAAAAUUAAAAUAUUAUUGACUGACUCAGACCAAAUAAAUUAAAUAUAUAGUUUAGAUAAAUUCCGUACUUAUUACCUUUAUUUUUCAUGUGACACAUAAAAAGACAAGCAAACUACCCCCAAAGUGCUAGGACAACAUUGUAUUCCAUAACUCCAUUGUUUGAUAUCUGAAUAAAAACAUAAGCUGCAAUUUCACACUCAACUUCAAGAAGCUUCAGUGAAGGUGCAUCUUAUAGUUCACUUCCUUUUCAAUUCAAAUGGUAAUAUGUAAGUAAAUAAAAAUUUUAAGUAUAAAAUAAUUGUGAAAAGAUAUAUAUAUAUAUAUAUAUAUAUAUAUAUAUAUAUAUAUAUAUAUAUAUAUAUAUAUAUAUAUAAUAAUUUUACAAUCAAAAUAAUCCUCUAUGGAAUAACUGUGCGAAUCAAAUGCAGAAAUUAUAUAAUUUUUAGUAUUUUUAUUACUAAGUAUGAAAUUUUUCUUAAUCUUUUAAUAUGUAGGAACUUUAGAUAACACAAUCCAAACGCUCUCUUGUUGUAUUGUUAUAAUCCCAAACUACAAAUAUUUUAUUGCACGAUGUUUUGAAGAACAAUUACUAGGCUAGCCUUUUUUUUUUUCUUUUUUUUUUUUGGCUUCAGAGUUCAGAUCCAUUAGUGGUGCAAACCCGGGGGUGAGUUUGCCGAUCAGAUUUAUUUUUAUUUUACUUUACUUACCGUUUCAUUCGGGACUGGUCAUAGUGGGAGUAGGUUUCUGGCUUUUUUCUUUUUUGACAGAUCUUGACAAAUCAAGGGAAGAAAAAUAAUCUUCCAUCCACUGCUCCAUUUUUUUAACAAAUCAGAAUGUAUUCAAAACGAACUAUUAUAUAUGUUUUAGUAUUUCUAGCUCUUGCUGGCCGCCCAGUUUGGAAUGACUUGGGCAGAGAGCUCCGUCAAUCCAGAUCUAUUUGCAUCCCUACCUCCAUAUGGUAGUAGUGUCUUAUAAUUAAUAGACAAUAUCUAUAAAUAUUAGGGUAAAUUUCAAAUACCACCCAUAUGGUUUCGCACUUUCUCACUUUAGUAUUCUAUAGUUUAAAGUGUAUCAACUUAGUGUCCUGUGAUUUUAUUUUUAUCUUUUCGUCAGCUUCUCUGUUAAUAUUUCGUUAAAUUAUAUACAGAAAAACUUCAGAUACUCCACCUAGAUUUAUCGAAUACUCAAUUUAGUACCAUUUAGUUUUAACUUUGUCACCGAUUUAACAAAAACAAUUAGUGAAAUCGAUAAUAAAAAAGAUAUAAAUAAAAUCACAGAAUACUAAAUUGAUAUAAUUUAAACCACAGAAUACUAAAGUGAAAUAGCAUAAAACCACUGGAGGUGAUAUUUGAAAUUUUUCCUAAAUAUAUUACUUGAUACCUGCUUCUCAAAGAAUCCAUAACUAAAGAAGAGAAGAGUGAGAUAAAAUCUUAGAGAGAGAGAGAGAGAGAGAGAGAGAGAGAGAGAGAAUGGUGGAGGUGGAAAUAGUGGAAUCAGAUGUAGUAGUUCCAAGUGAAGUGACCCCAAAUCACACUCUAUGGCUAUCAAAUCUCGACCUACUGGUGGCCAGGAGCCACACUCCAACGGUCUACUUCUACCGCCCCAACGGUCACAAUCCGGGCUUCUUUUCGGUGCAGGCACUCAAACAGUCCUUGGCCAAGGCACUUGUGAUUUUCUACCCGCUCGCCGGCCGGCUCCACGUGGGCCCGACUGGCCGCAUCGAGAUCCGGUGCACCGGUGAGGGGGCCCUCUUCGUCAUGGCACGAUCCAAAUCCGUGCUCGACGAGUUCGGGGACUUCGCGCCCUCCGCGGAGAUGCGGCGGCUUCUCGUGCCCAAAGCGGAGCCCGCCAACCCGCCUUGCAUCUUGGUCUUGGUUCAGGUGCGCCCUGUUUGAGCUCAUUUGGAAAUUUUAAAAAAAUUAUAUUUAACAAAUUUUAUAUUUAUACAUAUAUAUAUAUAUAAUUAAAAAAAGUCACUAUGUAUUCAGUGCAUGACAAUUUGUAUAUAUUCUAGUUCGAAAUUUCUAGCUUAUAAUGUUGCAUAUAGAUUUUGAAUCUUAUUUAGAGAAUUUGUAGCAAAAAAAAAAGUACAUAAGAUGCUUGCGAAAAGGUCUAAGAGAAUUUUGAUAUUAUGUUUUUCUUUACUUAUGUUGGUGAUAUAUAAGAAAAUUUGUCCAAAAUUGUUGCAGGUAACGUUCUUCAAGUGCGGCGGCGUAUGUCUGGGCGUGGCGGUGCACCACACGGCCGCAGAUGGCCUCGGCGCCCUGCAUUUCGUCAACGCGUGGGCCGACAUUGCCCGCAGCGCCGAACUCCCCACGCCGCCCUUUCUCGACCGCACGCUCCUCCGCGCCCGUCGACCCCCCGCGGUGCUCUUCGACCACGCCGAGUACUCCCAGAACACGCGAUCCGCCGCCACGCCGCCCUUCGACUCCACAAUCCUGCGGCUCUCCAAAGACCAGCUCAAUUUCCUCAAGAGCACGGCCCUUGGCUCGCAAAAGCGACUCUCCACAUUCAAAGCGGUUGUUGCGCACGUGUGGCGGGCCGCGUGUGAGGCCCGGGGGCUUGGCGGCGCAGAAACUACCACUCUGUACAUGACGGCCGACGCGCGAACGCGUGUGAGCCCGCCGCUCCCGCAAAACUUUCUAGGCAAUGCCAUAUUCAGAACAUCCGCAACUGCGAAAGUGGAGGACGUACUAUCAAACUAUCUCGAAUUCGGAGGUGAAAGAAUUCAGGAAGCGACCGCGAGACUAAACGAUGGUUUCGUGAGGUCGCUGAUAGACUACCUGGAUUCGGUGGACGACGUUAGGGGGCUGCAGAAGGGGGCGUGGGCGAUGCCCGGGACGGAUCUGUGGGUCAUUAGCUGGCUGGGGCUGCCGAUCUACGAGGCUGACUUCGGGUGGGGGAGGCCGGUCUUUAUGGGCCGCGCUUGUUUACAAUUCGCCGGGCUGGUGUUUGUCAUGCACGGCCCCGAGGGCGACGGAGGGAUCUCCGUCGCCGUCGCCCUGGAGCCGGAGAACAUGCCCCGGUUCAAAGCGGUUUUCUACAAGGGUUUGGACGGAAAAGGGGGUGAAUCAUCCCCAGUCUAAUCCACCGUUCACACUGCUUUGAGAUUUGAAUACUGUACGUGAUUGGAUUGUUGAUUAGACUAUCUCCAAAUCCUACGGAUGGUAUUCUUAUGUUUGUUCUUUUUUCGUUUUUAUUUGGAACAGUUUGUGACAAUGUUCUUUUCUUGGGGCUUUUCCUUUCCAAUAAAUGUCUUUUCUGUUUUGUUUAGUUUUUUAAAUAAAUAAUUUGUUAACUAAAAUGCAACUACAAGCAUUAUGAGUUUACUAGUCAAUUUUGAUUUUUACUAUACCUUUCAAUUCGUUUGAUUUAAUUCAAUCAAUGGCGCAUACUAAUUUCUUACUUAAUAAAUUUAUAGUUACGUGAAUUGCAUGAAGUGUACAAAUUAUACUUAUAAAUAUAAACAACAUAUUCGAAUUUUGAAGUUAAAGUGCCGUCGACUUACUGAAAUCAAGUAAACAAAAAAGUUGUAUAGUAUGAUUAAAAUUUUGAAAAAUUAGGUAAUCGAUUCAAAAUGAUUCACGGUUCAAAUAUAUUCUGAACAUUUUCAUCAAAAAAUUAAUAGUGCUUUCAAAAAUCAGUUCUAAUUGUUCUUACGGCAAACUUCGUGUAGGCAGGGACAUCCGCUCCGAUACCACUUGUAUGAAUUGAUAUUCGCGCUAAUACCGGUUGUAUAACUCAAAAUCAAGAUCUCGCGGAUGCGGGUAAAAUAAAGAAGAUGAAACAGGUUUGGGCCGACCCUACGGGCUAACGGGCUGAAUAGAAAUAAGAUGAGACUUGGAUUAUGUGUCUUUGACGCGUCAUUGUCGGCCAAAUCAGUAUUCGGGUCCCAAAAUACGACCCGUCUUGGUUCGUCCACGUUAUCCGACCCGAAAAAUAACUAGAUCCGAAUAAAUAUUCGGGUCGAAUUCAGACACGAAAAUUCAGACAAACUGAGCAAACGGCGUGAUUUCACAUUAAUAAUUUAAAUAUAAGUUAAAUUAUAUUAGGUAAUUUUUUAUUUUAAAUCUAGUUUAUUUUAUAUAUAUACACACGAAGCAUCUCUAUGAUUACAAUAUUCUCAUUUUGAAUACAAUACAAAUUUUGACUUCAAAUUUUAAUUAAAUGAUGUCCUCUUCAAUUUUUCUUAGUUUUGGCUUAAAACCGGUCUAAUUGGGUUUUGGAUCUCGACACCUAAUUCUAAAAACCGGAUCCUGAUCCGGACACGUACAUUAUGUUGUCGCAAAUUCGGAUCCGAUUAGGUACGAAUACCGCAAAAUUGUAUUAAUUCAAUAGGCCUUUUGCAAGAGACCCAAAAUAUUUCCAAUGUUCUUUUCAUACUCUAGAGUCUUUAAAUCUCUAUUCACAUAAAUACAUACACCUAUAUUACUAAAAUACAUAAACCUAGAUUUCCAAUAUAUCCACAAAUCUAUAUGAUAUCUCAAUUUGCAAUCAUUAACCCAUCAAUAACAUUCAUAUUAUAUUUAUAUAUAAAGAGAGAGAGAGAGAGAGAGUUGAGUUUGAAUGCUGUUAAUAGCAAACGAGCUUUGUUGCCACUCAUUUAAUUUCGAUGAUGGAGUCUUGAAAUCGACGAUCGGCACCGUUGAAUAUGAUUUGUAAGACUUGAAGUAUUUAGAAAUCAAAUUUUAUACUUUUUCAAUAUUGUUCUCUUAUCCAUCAAGUGAAUACAAAAAUGAACGGCUGAAAAUAAAUAUUCUGUAAAAAAUGAUGAUAGGAAUCUUGUUAUCAAGAUCAAGAGUAUAGAUUUUGUUCUAAAUAGUUAAAAAAAUUAACCAAAAUUUAAUUGAUUUGGAUAUUUUUACGCUGUUAAACGAAAAAACGUCUCAUGUUGACUAUUCAAAUUACAAAAUUUGAAACCCUUUGAUCAUUAGGUCAAUGAAGUUGAAAAUAUUUGAAAUUUGGUUUCUAGACACGUCAAGUUAUAUUGAUCAUGUUUAAUGGUACCGAUUAUCAAUUUGGAAGCUCUAUCGUCGAAAAUAAAUUAGUAGCAGCGGAGCCCGUUUGUUAUUGAUAGCAUUGCAACUCAACUCUCUAUAUAUAUAGAGAGAGAAAAAGAGAGAGUAUGGCGACUAUACUCUUAUGAAUAUAGACAUUUUUGUACUCAUAAGUUUUUUGUCGUUAUAUCUAUCAUUUUAACCAUUUUCAUCUGUAGGAUUAUAUUAUUCAACCAACCAGUCUCUCAACCCUAGUAAACUACUACAUCUUAACCCGGCACCACUAUCAUUCUAACUGAAUAGCCCUUCAUCCAAUGAUCGAAAAUUUAUGAGUACAAGGGAGUCUAUAUUCAUAAAAGUAUAGUAGCCAUAACAUAUAUAUAUAUAUAUAUAUAUAUAUAUAUAUAUAUAUAUAUAUAGAGUAGGGCUACAAUUUUCGAUGAUGGAGCUUUCGAAUCGAUAAUCGACUUUAUUAGACUUGAUCCACCAUAUUUGAAGUAUUUAGAAAACAAAUUUUACGAUUUUUCAAUAUUAUUUACCUAGCAAUCGAAAAAGUUCAAAAUCAAUAAUUUCUAUUGGUUGAUACUUAUCAUUUGCAAGUACAACGGUGUAAAAGUAUUCAAAUCAGAUGAAAUUUUGAUAAAAAUUCUUUAUACUAUUUAUUGCAAAAUCAAUAUCACUGAUCCAAAAUUUUAAUGUUAUAUCACCUUUUUUUGUGAGAUUUUUAUUUUCAGCCAUUGAUUUGAACCCUUUUGAUCGCUAGGUAAAUGAUAUCGAAAAACCGCAAAAUUUAUUUUCUAGAUAGUUCAAAUAUGCUAGUUCAAAUCUAACGGAGCCAAUCGUCGAUUUGAAAACUUCAUCAUCGAAAAUGGCUUAAGAGCACGGAGGUCUUUGUGCUCUUAAUAGCACAUAAGACCUACUCAUAUAUAUAUAUAUAUAUAUAUAUAUAUAUAUAUAUAUAUAUAAGAACUAGGCUACUAUGCUAUUAAUAGCACAAGUUAUGAUGCUACCAAGUUUUAGCCAUUGGAUUAGAGAGAUGUGUGUUAGGCAUGACGUGGGCCCCUAGGGUUGAGUGGGUGGUUGGUUGAAUAGUAUGAUCUAACGGAUGAAAAUGAUCAAAAGGGUAAAUUAACGGUGGAAAACUUGAUAGACCAAAUACUUUGUGCUAUUAAUGCCCAUAGUAGCCGUAGCUCCUAUAGUAUAUAUAUAUAUAAUAUAAUAUAUAAUAAUGAUAUAUAUAUAUCUCAUAUACUUUCGAAAGUACGGAGGUCUCCAUAUUUGUAAGUUGUUUUUUAUGAUGGAGCAUCCAAUUCAGCGAUCGGCUCCAUUAGGCAUGAUUUACGCUAUUAGAACUAUUUAGAAACCAACUUUCAUAAUUUUUCAACAUCAUUUACUAAGUGAUUAAAGAGUCUCAAAAAUGACUAUUUUAAUGGCCGAUAUGGCACGUUUAAAAGUUUAUCUGUGUAGAAAAAUUCAAAUUACAUGAAACUUCAAUAAAAAAUUCUACUUAACAUCAAGAGCAAGAAUAAUACUUCCGAUUUAAAAUUUAAGUCUUUUAUCACUAUUUUUUGUGAAAUUUUUAUUUUCAGCCGUUCAUUUUGAGUCUAUUUGUUCACUGACAAAUGAAAUAAAAAAAAGUAUAAAAUUUGGUUUCUAAAUAAUUCCGAUAGCUAGCGUAGAUCGUGUCUAACAGAGUCGAUCGCCAAAUCAAAUGCUCCAUCAUCGAAAACAACUUGCAAGCACGAAGUCCUCCGUAUUUUCGAAGCAUAGGAGUCUAACUCUCUCUCUCUCUCUCUAUAUAUGUCAACACAUCAAUAACAUAUAAAAAUAGUAUUUUAACAAAUAGCUACUUUUGUUUAAGAGAUUUGAUUGUUGUGAUAGAAACACUGUUUAAAUAUCUGAUAACCACACAUGCACUUUUCCUAAUUUGUGUUGAGCAGGAAAGGAGUGGGAAAAUCCAAAUAGACAAAAAAAAAAAUGAUUUUACUAAAAAGACAAGCAAUAAAUAGUACAAGACACAAACACACAACCAUAUCAAGCAAAAAACAAUAGAUUGCCUAACUGCUCCAAAAAGUUACAUUAAAUAUUUGAAAUUUUUCCAAUAAAAAAUAAAAAUUUAAAGGGAAUUAAUAAAAUUAUUGAAGUUGGUGGUCCUAUUUUAAAAUGGCUUAUAGUUAAGAGCUCUCCAUACAUUUCAACCUUGACUAAAAUAAUGUGACCAAAAUAUAUAUAAUUGUGGAUAAAGAAACCCCUCCACCGCACGAUUUGCCAUCAUGAAUUGGUUAAGGUUUCAAGGGUGUGAUAUGCGAGAUGUAAUUUUUCUGAUCUACAAAUAUUAUUAAGUUAAUAAUAAUAAUAAUAAUAAUAAUAAUAAUAGUAACAAUAAUAAUAAUAAUAAUAGGCGUAAUUGUUUAUAUAUUUUUAAAAAAUUUUUGCUUUUCUUAUUUACUGUUGGAAGGGUAAUGUUAAAAAUUCUCUUUUGACGUUCAAAAUUAUUUCAAAUAUAUUUCUAAAGUUAAAUUCUAUUAGUAAACUGUUAGAAACGGUCGUUAUCUUUAUAGAAUUACUAUUUUGUGCUUUCAAUUAUACCUUUCUACCGUCACCAACUUUUCUUAUUUGUUCUUAAGUUAAGGACAAAAAGUAUUAAUUUUGACUUUUUAACUUUUCAAAUAUUUUUUUUUACUGUUACCAACUUUUUUUAUUAUUCUUAAGUUAUAGACAAAAGAAAUAUUUUGACUUUUCUUAACUCUGGUAGAAAUUUAAUUUGAGUUUAAUCCGAGAUGACUUAACGAGUAUUAACAACGAGAUUAUUUUUGAAUGAUGGUGAAAUAUGCAAUGGGUAUAAUUUGAAACAAAAAAAAAAAGGAAUAUAUAACAUAUUUCAGAAAUUUUAAAAGAUAUAUUUUUAAAUAUUAUUCCUGAUAGAAUUAUACUACUAUACUAUCGAUAGUAUCAAGCAUUAAGUACUAUCGAGUUUUCGGCCGUUGGAUGAAAGGAUGUGCGGUUAGGAUGAUAAUGAUCCUCUAAAGAUUGAGUGGAUGGUUAGUUAAAUAAUAUAAUAUAACGGAUGUAAAUGAUCAAAAGAUAAAUUUAACGGCAGAGAAAACUCGAUUGUAUCACUAGUUGUCCCUAGCUGAAGUGGCAAAAAGCUUGAUGGUUUGUAUCCGAGAUUCCAAAUUCGAAUACUAGUUUAUUCACAUUUCUAAUUAAAUUUAUUUCUAAAUCAAAUAAACGAAACAGAUAGCAUGCUACUUAUCUCUAAAAAGAUAAAUUAAUAAACACUAGCAACUAGUGACUAAUUGGGAGACACAUUAUUGGAGACCCAAGGCAUAUCCUUUUGUCCCUCAAAAUUUUUUUGAGAAACCCAGUUACUUUAAUAUGAAAAGACUAAGACAACUCAAUGCCCCACUCAUGCAACUACCAACCAAGUAGUUGCAAUAAAGUUUCUUCAAUAUAUAACUAGUCAUGUAUGAAUAUAUAUAUGCAUGAUUUGAAACUUUGUCCUUUCAUUGAAAAUGAGCCACAAGGAUUCGUCGGCUCACGCAAAAAGAAAAAGUCAAGAAACCUAAAGAAAAAAAAAAAAAAAGGACUACUAGGGAGAGUGCUAGUUUAAUUAAAAUGCAUAUAUUACAUAUCUGUCACUGUCUAGUACAAUUAGUCAGUCGUGUUGACUGGUUAUUAUUAGUUAAAAUAAAUUUAAUUUUCUGUUCCGUAAUAAUAGACUCAAAAAACGAAUAAAUUGAGUUGGAUAACUACAACAAACUGGGUGGAGCUGCGAUUCAGAAUAGACCUAACGGCAAGAGCUAGGUCCAACAAUAGACCUAAUGUCUCUGUAAAUUAAGUCAGAUCGAGACUCGUGAACACUGUGAUUGAGCAGGUAAGUGCGAAGAAUGCACCCAUAAGUUUUGAAAUAACUGGUUAGCGUAUUCCGAUCCAUAAGUUGGUCAAACUUUUAGUUAUUUUAAGUAGGUAUUAACAUUCAAUUUUUAUUUGAAUUGAGUGGCAAGUUAGCGCUAUUCGAUUUUCUUAAUGAAGGAAUGAUACAACAGCUAAUUCAACUAAUACGUCAUUUCAAGACUAUUAUUAUUUGACUAUCGCACUUUUCUAGUUUUGAAGUUAAUGCGAAAAUUAUUAUUAAGGCCAAGUCCAUUGUAGUCCUUAUAUGGGAUUACAAGUUGCGUUAUGUUUGGUGAGACAGUAUAGAAGAAAAUAAUUUUAUUUAUUACUAUAGGAGAUAUCGUAAUGUAUAAAUCACAAUGACUCGAUUGUAAUAUAAUUUCUAUAGUUUUAUCAAAAAAUGGAUCGAGAAGCAUAUAUUUCUAUAUGCAUUUGUCCAAACUAUUUUUUUGUUCAAAUAGCAUUCGACAAUUCUCCUUAAUGCAAGAUGGCGACGCACAUGCAACAUUCAAAACAAAACGUUGGUCUGAAUAAUUGCUAUCUAAUCUAAUAUAUAAUUUAUUUUAUCCAAAGCAUAACCUAAUUAAUAUCAUAAAUUUGUCUCGAGUACGAACCAAAGUAAUUAAUAGAGCCAAUUAAUGACCUAAUAGAUGUGGUUUAUAUAAUUCCCUCUUAAGUAUCUUAAUGAAUCCAAACCUCUCAACAACCUGAAAGAAAAAAAAAAAGGCUAAAUUACAGAAAAAUCUUCUGUUAAUAUCCAUUUUUUCGCUUUUUCCCUCUAUCAUUCAAAAAUCUAUACUUUACCUUCUUAAAAAAUUAAAAACAUUCAUAGAAGGGUACGCUGUGACAAAAUAACAAAAUUGCCCCUCAUCUUCUUCGGAGUGGACGUGGACGGAGAGGUGGGCGAAGGCGAGGGCGAGGGUGAGGCGGUGAAGGCGGGCGAGGUCGUGUGUGUGGGCAUGGACAGAGAGGUGGGCAAGGGCGAGGCAGCGGAGGGCGAGGCGCGACCGAGGAUGAGAAAGGAGGAUUUGAAAUGUAUUUUGGGUAUAAAAAAUAGAAUUCUAACGGAACACUGAUGGUGAGGGUCAAAGUGAAUAUUUUUUAUUUUUUAAAGGAAUAAAGAUAAGUUUUAAAAUGACAGAGAGAAAAAUAAAAAAGCAACUAUUGACAUGAAAAUUUUUUAUAAUUUAGCCAAAUAAAAAGCCUAAAUUCUUUGAUCUGUUAUUAAGUUUGUCCAUGACGAAACCAUUUGACCCAUCUCUUCUUUGAGCCAUGAAAUAACUUCUUUUUCUUUUUUCUUUUUUUGGCUAUCAACAUUGGAUUAAUAUCAAUGUCUCUACUCUUCAUUAUAAACUAUGAUUAGGUACAAAAGGAAGAGGAUAGUGCCCUAGUGUCCAUUAAUUGUUUGAUUAACAAGUUUGAGCAACCUAUCUUUUUAAUUGCAUCUUCUUCUAGAAGCCAUUAUAGGUUGGCUUUUUGGGAACAAAGAUGUAUUAAGGUGGAUGGGAUGAGCCAUUAACUAGGGCUUGUGUGGGAUACGCAAACUCAAUGCCUAAGUUACCGCCUGUGGCUAGCAAGGAUUUAAGCGCCCAUCAACACGGAUUGUAUCUAUCGUGCCAACAAAAUAUCGGCACGAUACAAUUCCCGCGCAGAUAGCACAGCUCAAAAUCUUGUAUUAUUUAAAUUAGUAAAUAAUUUUCUAAAUAAAGUUCAAAAGAAUUGAUAAAGAUGUAUAAUAAACAGUUAGAAUAUUUUGUUACUAAAGAAAAUAGAUAUUUCAUGCCAUUAUGUGUCGGCACACAUGUAUUUUUUAUGACCGAUACGUAUCGGCAUCACUCGGCACACACCAUUCUGUAUCGUGCCGGCAAGUUUCUAGCACGACCACGUGCCAUGACACUUAAAUUCUUGGUGGCUAGUGCAGUUGAUUGAUACUCCGUCGCUGACCAAGAGUUUGAAGGUCUGAUCCUUUGCUUGCCCUUUGUUUUUUUUUUUUGAGAUUGGUGGCACGCUACCCGCUUCGUUUAUUUUAUUUAGAAAUAAACUUAGCUGACAAUGUGAAUCAACUAGGAUUCGAAAUUGGGUCUCUGGUACCAACCACCAAGCCCUUUGCCACUUGCUAUAGGGACGAUCGGUCUUUGCUUGCCCUUCGUUAAAGAGGCAAUUCGGCCGCCAGUUUUUGGAAAAAAAAAGAAUAGAUAAAAUAUUAAAGUACAAAAUUUAUGUGAAAUACGAACUAUUUUGAUUUGACAAUUCGACCUUACAAAAAUUUGAUUUUACUAUCAAACUUUUCAAUUUGUUUGAUUUGAAUCAGCCAACGGUUUUUUCACUUUAAAAUUUAAAUAUAUUAUUUAUCUUUACGAGUUUAGUAAGUAUAAUUCAUAUAAUUUUUGUAACUAUAAAUUUAUUAAAAUAAAAAACUAGCUUAAAUUUAAAUUUGAAGUGUUCUUAACUGAUUCAAAUCAAACAAAUCAAAAGAUUGAAGUGUAAAAUCAAAUUUUGAAAGGUCAGGUACUCAAUUCAAAAUAGUCCUAGUUCAAAUAAAUUCUGUACAUUUUUACCGAAAAAUAUAGGCUAGCUAUAGAAGCUUCUAGGAAUGGAUCUGGAUGCUUGUUCCAAACAAAAAUAAAUAUUUUGGGUUUAAUUAUAUCUUAUUAUACUAGUGUUAUUUCCGUGCGCUAUACAAUAAGUAGAAACUAGUGCAGUAACAUAUAAUUAAAAAAAUUAAAAAUAAUGCUAUGUUUAGCUCUAUUUAAUUUAAUGUUUUCUGACUGCUUAAGCUUUUAGGGGCUGUUUGGUUAGAUAUAAUUACAAAAAUAGUGUAGUUAGAAAUAUAUGCAAUUGUAAAUGCUACAGCCAUAAUUACACUUAGUCUGUUUGGUUUUAUACAGUUGCAACUGUCGCAGUUACAUUUCUUCUGUUUGGUAGUUUGCGGUUGAGAUUUGUAUUUGUAAAUUAUGUCAAUUUUUAGAUAGAAAUGUGAGAUUACCUCUUCUGAGCAUAACGUAAUUAUGUUUUAAUUAUUAAUUAAGACUUUUAUAUCCAUAUAUAAUUUAUAUAUUAUAAAAUUAUGUAUGAAUUUAAUAAAUUUUAAAUGUAAAUAUAUUAUAAAUUUAGUCAAAAUAAAAAUUAAGAUAUUAUUAAACUAGCAGACUGGAAAAUAAGAAGCGUAUGAAAAAAAUUUAUUGACCCUAAUAGACAUUAUUAAAUCCCACUUUGUUUAUAUUUUUAAUCGGUAAGCCGACUCCAGCUCAACUACUGCAGUUGGUACUGUAACCAAUUUGGCUGCAGUACCAACUACACAUGCAACUGCAGCAGUUAGGUCUAACUACACUAAACCAAAUAAAAAAUUAAUAGAUACAUGCAUUUCUAACUGCAUUGCAUGUAAUCAAACAAACCCUAGAGCAAACGAUUUAUAGACAAAAAUUUGUUAUUGUUGAUCGAUCUAUUGGCAUGCGUUAUAAUGCAAAGGAUGAUGAUUCGACUAUGCCCACAGUUUCAAAUACCAUAUAAAUUUAUCAAUACAUUAAUAACAUAUUGAACUGUAACGCGGACGUCUUUAACAAUAAUGUUUACAAAAAUAUGCCAACACUACCAAUGUUUCUCCAUUUGUACCUCAAAUUUUACUAAUUAAACCUUUCCUCAUUGGAUGAAUUUAUAGUAUACAUAUUGUGCACCACUCACAUGUAAAAUUGUACUACUCAUUACCCAUUCCCUAUGCCCACAAAGGAAAACUUAUUUAAUAAUCAAAAUACUAAUUAACUAGUACACAAUUGUACAUAUCCCACAUAUGAGAGAGCAAGGGCUUUUGAAUACAUGGACUUAAUUUUGACCAUGCCCUAGAGCCUGUUUUCAUAGCUAGAAUAUCAUAAAAAUAUAUAAAAUUUAUAUAAAUUAUAGACUAUUUUAAUUUAAUUAUUUAAUAUUUUAAUUUAUUUAAUUUAAAUAGUUUGAUAGUUUUUUGAUAUAAUUUGUUUGCUAAUUAUUUUUUUAAUGAAUUUAUAGUUACGUAAAUAAUAUAAAAUAUGCUAACUAUACCCGUAAAGAUAGGCAAUGCAUAUAAUUUUGAAAAUUAAAAAAUUAUUAAUUAGUUUAAAUCAAAUAAAUUAAAAGGGCAGAUAGUAAAAUUAAAAUUUUCAAAAGUUAGGUAGUUAAAUCGUAUUAUACAUUUUUACCCUACAAUAUUUAUAAAACUAAAUUAUAUUUUUAGUUCUUAAAUUAUAAAACGCAUGAUCAAGAGACAGAACCAUGAUCAACAAAAUUUUUGGCACUUUUAUUAGCCUUAAUUUUUUGUUUUUCAUGUAGUAAUUAUACUAAACUGUAAUAAUAUCAUAUAAUUUUCUUAUGAGAUAUGUAACUAUUUAAAAAAAAAUUAUUAGUAAAUUUUCUAACUAGUUGGACAGCUAUAAUAUUUUUCCCUCAAAAAUUUUUGACAAAAAGGGCACUAAAUAAUAAUUUAUAAUAUAUUUUUAUUUUUAAUAAAUAAUAUAUUUUGAUUUUUAAACUUUAAUUUGUUGCUUUGCCAAACACGUCUUAGUGGUUUAAAUUUUGUCGGAAUAUAUAUUUUCAACAUAUCUAAGUAAAAUCUUGUAAUAGAAUAAAAAUGUAGCUCAUAAAAUUAAAUUUCCUUUUUCCUUCUAAUAAAUAUAUUAUUUAAUCUCAUAAUAAUAAUAAUAAUAAUAAUAAUAAUAAUAGUAUUUGUGGAUCGGGUCCGAAAUGUAACGCAAACGGAUCGGCACCUGCGACGAAGCUCCGCCGCGUUUUCCUCUUCGCACGUCACUCUGACGUCACACGUGACGUGUGCCCUCGUUCUUGUUGGUGGAUUUUUUUUUUCAAUUUAACCCUUAAAAUAUUUAUAAUUUGCUGACCGGUACUAUGAAAAUCUAUUUUCUCCAACUCAGCUCAAAAAAAUAAUUAAAAAAAUCUAUUUUUCAAUUUAAUAAACUUUAGAAGACGAUGAAUUAUUUACGGUAAAUAAUUUAUUAUUUUUUUCUAUAUCUUAUAUAUAUAAUUCUAUCAAUCGCAUAAAGAAUUCAGUAAUUUAUAUACAAUCAUAACAAUCCGACAAAAAAUUCUAAAAAUUCACGUACAAUUUUAACAACAUUAUAAAUAUCCUCACAACUUACAUACAAUCCUACCAACGCCAUAAAAAUUCUCACAGCCUAUUAAAAAAAAAAAACGUGAUAAUAAUCUGAAACAGUGAACGAUUUACUUUUUUCUAAAAACGGUGAAUGACUCACCGUUAGCCAAAUAAAAUUUUUAGAAGAGUUAUUCAACAAAUUAGAAAUUUAUACAGAGUGAUUUUUUUUAAAAAAAAAAGUCCGUUUGCGGCCGUAAAUGUCAACUUUUGUUAUAUAUCAAAACUCACUCUAAAAUGAUAAUAAAAUAUUAAUUUAUUUUUUACACCUUUAAUUUUUACAUUAUUCACUUUCGCCAAACAAUUAUCUGAACUUUAUCUUCAGAGAAACAAACAGACCCAAAUUAAGUAUCAUUAUCGCAGCUUCCAACCAGAAAUACCAACCAGAAAUACCGAUGGAUACGGAUGCCAGAGAUUUAAUCCAAAUUUACAAUUUUUUUGUUUUAUUCAGGUUUGAUUUUAAGUUUGAAUUUUUAUAUCUUGUCGGGAUUCGAAUACGCUUCCGCAUGUUACCCUUUUUUUUUUAGUUCAGUAUCAAAUUUUGCGAAAAUUAUCGAGAAAUUGAUCUGUUGACAUACCUACUUCUGCCAAAUCGUCUAAAAAAAAAAUUGAAACAUUUAUUGAGGUGAGGCUGCGAUAGUCAACUUGUUGCGUUUGGAUAAUAAGUUCAUAAAUUAGUUAUAUUUCGUCCUUAUUAGAGAAUUUUAGAAAUAUCAUAUUUAUAUCAUCAAACUUUGAUUUAUUUUUAUUAUUUUUAUUUUAGUUUCGAUAUUUUGUUACAGUUUUUAUAAUUUUUCAAAUAAACGAUAAAAUUGUACGUAGUUUAGCUUGUAAUUAUAUUCGAGAAAUAAGACGAUAAUUAAUUCGUCAGUCGAAAAUGAUCUGAAUGCUAAUUAAUUCAAUUAUCAAACCACUUUUUUUCAUAAUGAUAUAAUAGUGGAAUAAUAAUAAUUUUAAUUUUAAUUUGAUCAAAUUUAUUUAGUAGUUGUCUCAAAGUUUAAUAACUGUAAUUAAUUUUAGCAAAUAAAAUUAUCCCAAUUAGUGAGUAAUAAUUGAUAAGUUUUUAAAUUUUAAUAAAAUAUUUAAUUUAACUAAGUAUCCUAUAAUUGGUGGCCUAUUUAAAAAUAUCCUAUAAUUGAGGUGUCGCCACUCAUUUUUAUCUUUCUUUUUUAUAAAUUUACUCGUUACAUAUCAUAGUUAUUACAAAAAAAUAAUGCAUUUAAAAAAUUAUUUAUCUAUCGACAAAUUUAUAGAGCACUUUAAAUAUGCCAUUAAUUCCAACAUGAGCUAAAUAUAGAUAUUAGAUAAUUUUUUUACGGAACUAAUAAUGAUGGAAUUUUUUUGAGAGAUAAUAAUGAUGGAAUUAAUUGUGUGUAUUAAUUAGCAGAUUCUUAAGAAACUAUUAAAUCUAAUUUUAAUUAAGCAAUUUAAUAUGGUACAAUGCAUCUUUCUACACAAAAAACGUCAACGUAUGACACGUUUUGCAUAUUUUAUGAAUUUUAAAAUUGCUUGUGAAACUUAUUGUUCAAUUAAUCACAGCUGGAUUUUAUUUAAUAUAAAAAAGAAAUACAUUUAGCCUUACAAUGUGGAAGAGUGAAUCAUGAAAAAAAUAUAACUUAAAACAUAAGUUUUAUUAAAGAAUUAUUACUUGAGCCGUGGUUAUUAUAUUUGAAUCAUGUUGAUUUGACCAUCCAAGUUUUCAAAAUUAUGGAUUUUAUUAUUUAAAUCUUUCAAUUUAUUUCAUUUGAAUUAUUCGAUAAUAUUUUGAUUUCAAAUUUUGAAUGCGUUGUUUAAAUGGGGUGUUUUGUUAAUAUGCUUUGUACAAUUUCUCACAACUGUAAUUUAUUAAUGUAUACAGUUUGUUUAAAUUUUGAAGUCAGAAUAACGUUGAUUGAUUCAAAUUAUUGAAUGAUUAGAUAAUAAAAUUAAAAUUUUGAAAGAUUGAAUAGUCAAUUCAAAUGUCGGAUAGUUCAGAUAAGUCCCCCAACAAAAAGAAGCUUUACAAAAAUAAGGCAUAUUAUCAGGUUCAUUUUUGGAAGGUAAAAACAUAUAGAACUUACUCAGACGAUAGACCAUUUUGAUUUUGAUAUCCCACCUUUCAAAAUUUUGAUUCUACAUAUUCAAUAUUUCAAUUUAUUUGAUUUGAACCAGUCAACGGCGCUUUGUGUUCAAAAUUUGAAUGCAUCAUUUAUCAUUACAGAUUUAGUUAGUAUAUUCAUAUAAUUUUUUGCAACUAUAAACUUAUUAAAGUAAUAAUUAAUUUUAAUGUUGAAGUCAAAGUACCGUCGACUAACUCACAUCAAAAAAAUUAGAAAGUUACAACAUAAAUUUAAAAUUUUAAAAAAUUAGAUAUUCAAAUUUAAAAUUUUAAUUAUAUAUUUUUAUUUUUUUUGGACACGAAUUUUUUACUUCGAAAUGCUCAUGUGGCUUAUGAUAACAAAUUUGCUACAACAAGAAGCCAUUUACAUAGAAAUAGUAAUAGGUUUCUAUGAAAGGAAAUGUAAUAAUUAAGGUGAAAGUACUAAGGAAUGGCACUGACUAAGUACCACAUGAAAUUUUUUUUUUUUUUGGAGUACAUUACCAAAUUUAAGAGGGGGAGCCUUUUUUAUUUUGUCCGUAUUUGAUCCGUCAAAAUUCUCUAUAUUAUGGGCGUGUUUGGUUCGCUUCUUUUUCAUUAUGGAAUCGAAAUCAGAAUAAGCGAAUUCAUUUGUUGGCGUCUAGGACGCGGGAGUCCCAUUACAAUUCCGAUUCCAGAGUGGAAUGAGAAUCUCUCAAUCAUCACUUUUUCCAAUCCGGCCUAGGAGGCCGGAUUAGAAGUUGAAUCCGAAUAGCACGUAUAUUUAUUCAGAUUAAAUAUAAUUUUUUAAUUUUUUUAAUUAAAAUAUGAGUUUAAAUUUAGAGAUUAAAUUUAUAAUUUUAAAUUUUAAUUAAAAAUUAAAAUUUAAUCAAGUAUUUCGAAUCUAACUUAUGAAUUUAAAUUUAAAUUAAAUUUUAAUUUAUAUAAAGUUUUAUUCAAAUUUUAUUUAAAACUUAAAUUAAAUUUAUGGAUUUAAAUUAAAAAUUUAAAUUGUAAUUUUAAGUUUGAAUUUGAAUAAAUCAAAAUUUAGUUUUAUAUUUUGAAUUAUCCACUCAACUUCAAAGUUUAAUUUUUUUUAAAAAAUAAAUUUAAAAUUUUGAUGUAAAAUUUUAAUAUUUAAUUUUUAAUUUGAAUAUAAAUUAACAUAUUAUAAAAAUAAAAUUAGUAUAUUAAUUUGAUUACGUUUUUUAUAUCUAUCUGAACCAAACACCGACAAUGAGAAUAAUUUAUUUUGAUUCCGAUUCAAGUGAUGAAUCAAAUAGAAUUAGGUAAUUAGUCAUUCCAAUUUCGAUUCCAGUUUAUUUUGAUUCCGAUUCUGAUUACGAUUCCAACUUCGAACCAAACAAGCCCACAAUGUGGACGUGUGAAUCAUUAAAAUAAUAUAACUUAAAAAAUAAGUUUUAUUAAAGAAUUAUUAUUUAGACCGGUGGUUAUUAUCCGUAGGGUUUUUAAAUGUCAGAUAUUUGAAUCCUGCAUGUGAAUAUUUAUUGUAUUUGAUCGUCCAAUAAAAAAGAGUAGCUUAUAAAGAAUUUAUCUGAACUACAGAUUAAUUUGUUUGAUUUGAAUUAUUCGAUAAGAUUUUGAUUUCAAAUUUUGAAUGUGUCGUUUAAAUAGGGUAUUUCGUUAAUAUAUAUGCUUCGUACAAUUUUCACAACUGUUAAUUUAUUAAUGUAUGCAGUUUGUUUAAAUUUUGAAAUCAAAAUAUCGUUGAUUGCCUCAAAUUAUUGAAAGGUUGGAUAGUAAAAUAAAAAUUUUGAAAGAUUGAAUAGUCAAUUCAAAUUGCCGAUAGUUCAGAUAAGUCCCCCAACAAAAAGAGGCUUUACAAAAACAAGGCAUAUUAUCAGGUUCAUUUUUGAAAGGUAAAAACGUAUAGAACUUAUCCAAACUAUAGACAAUUUUGAUUUAGUUAUCCCACCUUUUAAAAUUUUGAUUUUAUUAUUCAAUAUUUCAAUUUAUUUGAUUUGAACCAGUCAACGACGCUUUGAUUUCAAAACUUGAAUGUAUCAUUAAUCUUUACAGAUUUAAUUAGUAUAUUCUUAUAAUUGUUACAACUAUAAAUUUAUUAAAGUAAUAAUCAACUAUAAUUUUGAAGUCAAAGUGCCGUAAACUGACUCACAUCAAAAAAAUUCGAAAGUUACAAAGUAAAUUUAAAAUUUAAAAAAUUAGAUAUUCAAAUUAAAAUACACGUGUGGCUUAUGAAAACAAGUUUGCUACAACAAGAAGCCAUUUACAUAGAAAUAGUAAUAGGUUUCUACAAAAGGAAAUGUACUAAUUAAGGUGACUCACUAAAUACCACAUGAUUUUUAUUUUUAUUUUUUUGGAGUACAUUACCAAAUUUAAGAGGGGGGGCCUUUUUUUAUUUUGUCCAUAUUUGCACCGUCAAAAUUCUCUGGAUUUUGUGUAACAAUACAUGAUUCUAUAUUAGAAUGAUACAAAUUUAGUUCUUUUAUUUUCGCAGAAGUAAAAAAUACAGUAUCUCGAUUAAAUUUAGGCGAAAUUAUAGAAAUUUUUUUUGUCAAAAUUCUAUUUUUUACUUUUCCCUCUCUGUCAUUGAAAAAACUACACUUUGCUUGCUUAUAAAAUGAAAAAUGUUCACUUCACUCCUGCCGUUAGUAAUCCGUUAGGAUUCGGUUUAUAAAAUAUUAUUAUAUAUUUUUUUAUGUCAAAAAUGCCCUCAACCUUCUCUCCUAUUGCCAAAAAUAGUGAGGGGUAAAAUGAUCAUUUUGUUAUCACAGCUUACACCGUAUCCUUCUGUGACUAUUUUUUAUUUUAUAAGAGGGCAAAGUGUAGAUUUUUAACUGACUGAAGGAAAAGUGAAAAAUCAAAUUUUGACAGAAAAAUUUUAUGUAAUUUAGCCUUAAUUUUAAAAAUAUUUUGGAGCGAGAAGAGUUUAAAAUUUGUUCUAACACAUAUUAUAUUUGCCAAAUAUCAAUUGGAUAGAAAAUAACGUAGAAUUUUAUCCUGGAUUACAAUUCAACAUCUCUGAAGAGGUAAAAAUUAUGUGGAUCCAUUCAAUUUUUUUGACCAAACAAGGACCAAAUCCAAAUAAUUUUAUUAUUAUUAUUAUUAUUAUUAUUAUUAUUAUUAUGUGUUCGGUUAAACGCACCCAGCACUUUGUGUUUGUAAAUUUUUUAUCGUUAUAUUUACGUGUUUAAUCAUUUUUAUCCAUUACAUUAUACUAUUAAAUCAAUCACCCGCUCAAUCCUAGGAGCUUAUAUUAUUUUAACUGUAUAUCUCUUAAUCUAAUAACUAAAUAAAUAUAUAUAAGUAUCAAUAACUUAUACUUUUAAAACAUGAAAGCUAAAUUAUUUAUUAUUAUUAUUUUUUUAUUAUUAUUAUUGGGGAAAAAGUUUACGUGUGGGGCCCACCACCGCGGUAGGCGGAAAAAGGGUGGGGGUGGGGUUUGGUGAGCUUACACUGCAAUCUUCUACAGAUUACCAACUCACUGCACUUCCCCGCGCACACGUGUGCUUUAGGAUUCGCGCAGGCAGGUAGAUCUUCCUCCCCCUCGGCCCUCCCACUUUAGUGAGCGGAAAAAAAAAAAAAUGGAAAAUUUAUAUUACUGACGUGGCAUUUUUAAUCAAUAAAAUUAUUCUAUUAUAAUUAACAAAAAAAAAAAAUAUCAGUGGUAUUAAGUAUAUAAUACUAUAGACUUUAUUCAAUCUCAGGAGCUCGUCAGGAUUUGGUCACCCUCUCACCAACCCCGGUUUAUAUACGAAUAUUUUUCAUGCACCGCCUCCACCACGUCAUCCGCUCACCUCGUUAAAGCACUCUCUCACUCUGUGUAGUAUAACCUCGAGUUUUCACUCACCUUAUAAAUAAAAUAAAUAAAUUUUUAUAUUUUAAAGAUAAUUUUAAGGCUCACAAAUAUAAUAACUAAACCAAAUAAAUAGUUUCUAGUUGUAACAUUCUACCAAAACAUAUUUAUAAAAAAAUAAAUAAAACUAAUAGCGCAAAAAGAAAAAGUGAAUUAGAUAUAAAAUAGAAAAAGAUUUUAAAUUUUAUAUCCGAGAUCGUGCGUUUUAAAAUUCAGCAAAUAUAAUUUGUUAUUAUCAUUAUGAUUUUAGUUAUAUAAUAUAUUUUAAAUGAACCGUACUACAUUUAUACGGUGUUCGGUGACGUGGCGGGCCGGGUCCACGGAGUAGCUUCUUCCUUUUUCACCGUCGCCGGGUUUCGCCCGCAACCUGUAAGCAGGUGCCACGUGUCGCUCCUCAUCGCACCUCACCCUCACCAACUCUGCUCCACUAGUCCUAUAAAUCCCGGCCCCGGUGCCCUUCGCUCACCAGCUCUCCACCAAGAGCUAAUUAUUGUUGUUGUGUCCUCUACCCGCAUUUGUUGUUAUUUAUUAUCAUUGUUCAUCAUACAUUUAUUGCAAAAAAAAAAUUUGCAAAGAAACCCUCCAAUUUUUCCUUUCUCCGAUUCUCCUUCUCCUCCAUCUUCUUCUCCGACUCAUCUUGAAUCUUUAAAAAAAAAAAAAAGAUCGAGGUGCGGAGGUCGACGAUGGUGAAGCCCGCGGGGGCGACGCCGCGGCGGAGGCUCUGGAACUCGAAUCUGGACCUGGUGGUGCCGCGGUUCCACACCCCGAGCGUCUACUUCUACCGGCGCGGCGGCGGCGGCUGCGAGGCGGAGGGGGCAGGGGCGGGGUCGGAGGCGGUGGGGUUCUUCGAGGCGGAGAGGAUGCGGGCGGCGCUGGCGCAGGCGCUGGUGGAGCUCUACCCGAUGGCGGGGCGGCUGGCGCGCGACGAGGACGGGCGCGUGGAGAUCGACUGCAACGGCGAGGGCGUGCUCUUCGUCGAGGCCGACGCCCCCGACGCCGCCGUCGACGACUUCGGCGACUUCGCCCCCACCAUGGAGCUCGCCCGCCUCGUCCCCAAGGUCGACUACACCGACGAAUCCUCCUUCCCCCUCCUCGUCCUCCAGGUACUACCCCGAACAAAAAAGAAAAUUCUGGAAUUAAAUACAUUUCAUUCAUAGCUAGGAUACUCUACUUUCCGAUAAGGAGGAUAGACUCUUUUGUGCUCAUAAAUUUUCGACUGUUGGACGACGAAAUGUGCGAUUGAUUAGGAUGAUAGUAGUCUCUAGAAUUGAAUAGGUUGGAUGGAAAUGGUCAAAGGGUAGAUCUAACAGUCGAAUUUUGAGAUAACAUUCUCUUCUGGUUAAGAGAGAGGGGAGAGUGUCAAAGGGAGAGAAGGGAAAGGUAUUUGUUCGAGAAGGUUUUGGGCCAUUUAUUUUGAAAUGGGUCAAUCUUAAAUUUGAAGCUGGAUUUGGUCAUAAAUGAAUUAAGUCAUUCUCACUUCAGAGUGGAAUAGAAAUUCGAAUUGGAUUCCUAUAAAAUAUUGGAACCAAUAAAUACAAUUUUGAUUUUAUAGUUUAAAAUUAGAUGAAAACGAAUUUUCAAAAAAAAAAAAAGAAAAACUAGAAUUAAAUACAUUUGAUUCUAUUUUUUAUUUUUUUUUUAUGAGGUUGAUUAUUGCAGUGUGCAGUUGUUUCCUUUUUUUUGAAAAAAUAAGUUUACUAAUUUAUAGUGAAUAGUACAAAUAUCUUAGCAAUUGAAAUGUCACUUUCCUUGUGAACUAAUUAUUAGCUGGAUCUUUUUUGAGUGUAUUUUUUUUUUUAAUGAUAGUUGAGUUGAGUUGAAUUUGGGCCCUUCAUUGGUCGCAAUUCAAUUAAUAUAAUAUUAAAACAAAUUCAAUAGUCUUAUAUAAGUUGUCAAAAGAAAAAGAAAAUUAAAAACUUUUAUGUAUAAUUUGAAUAAUAAAAUUUGAUAACGGUAGAAUCCGUGCUAAAGUGAUAACUUUGGUUCUGAAUUAAUUAAAAGGUCAACAUCUACAGUACAAUUUAUAAAUUAGGCCUUUUGUACUUUUAUAAUUUCAAAAUGGUCCUCCCAUUUUCUUUAAGUGUACUGAUUAUUCUAUAAAUGGAGCUCUUUGAAACAGUCCUCCUAUUUUCUUUCACUUCUUUGAAAAGAAAAAGACACUAACUUAUCUUUUUCCCUUUAUAUUUUAAAAAAUAUAUAACUUAUUACUAAACAUAAUUAAGUUUCGGAACUUAGAAUUUUACAUAUCAAUUAUUAAACUUUUAGUCAACUGUAUUAGACAUGAUCAGUAAUGAUUCGCCACCUAAUAUUUGGCGGAAAUGCGGUGGAGAUAGCUGUGUCAUAGCGUUAGUUUGUGACUUGUCACUUUCUCUUCUUUUUUUUUUUGUUUUAAGGAGUAAGUAUUCUUUAAUAAUUGUAUUAUUAGUGUUGGUGAAUUUACAUGCAUCAUUUUUUUUUUUUUUUGUUUUAUAGCAUUACUAUCUUUGACCCAACUUUGACCCUUUUAGCACAACUACAGUUAAAAAUAGGUUACACAAACACUACAUAUGCCCAACUUCAAAAGAAAAAAAACAAAACAAAACAAAACAAAAAAAAGAACAUCAUCUUGAAUAACCCCAACAUGCUUGUUUUGUUUUAAUAAUUGUCUAAAAUAUUCAAGAAUUAAUUCGAAAUAUGAAUGAAUUUGGUUCUUAUAUGUAGAGUAUUAACUGAAUGGAUAUGAUCAGAUUCAAUGUAUAAAAUCUGUUAAUUAAUAUUAGUUUCCUUAUUCGAGUGGAAUUUAGAUUUAGGUUUUAUUAUUAGAGUAAAAUUUGGAAUUGAAUUUUGAACUAAAUUGGGUUUAAAAUCAAACAGUAAGUUAGAAUCAUGACAAGUUAUGGCCAACAAAACUACUAAUUUAAAAAGGAAAAACCGAAAUAAAAUCCAUGCAACCUGAGAUUUUAUCCUUUUUUUUUAAAAAAAAAGAGAUUUAAUUUAAUAGAAUACAAAUAAAAAUGGAAAUGUAGAGCAUUUAAUAUUAGGUAGCAUGUCGAAACUCGAAAGCAAUGCGCCAAAUAAACAAUAAUUGGCGUGACGAGUUACAAUACAUAUAUCAUGCUUCCCACCUACUCUAAAAUAUUCGCCAAAAAUCGUGCAAGUCUUGUUCUUGGAUAGUGUUUGGUAGACAAAUUGACGUAUAUAUAUAUACAUAUAUGCCAUUCGAAAAUACAUCUCAACCUUUUUUUUUUUUAUUGAGAUCUCCUACAGUUUCGAUUAUAUUUUCAUUGAAAAUAAGGGUUAAUAACUAAUAGAGUUAUUAUAUUUGAUAAAAUUGUUAACUUAAUAAAGUAUACAAAUUUGAAUUUAAAAAAAAAAAAAAAAGUUGAAGGUGUCUCAACCGAAACAAAUAAAAGCUAAGGAUUCUAUUUCGAAACCGCCUAUAGGUGAGAGGGUUCUCCAUACAUUUUUGCCUAAUUAUUUUUUUCUUUGUAUGACAAUAUUAAACCUUUCAUUAUUAUUAUUAUUAUUAUUAAAGGUUUUGGUGGACUUUGUCCAACUAACAACAUGUGCUUACUUGGUAUACAAGCUUUUAAAUACUAUAAAAUUUAGAUAUCUUAUUUGGAAUUUUUGCUCUUUGGAAUAGAAAAUUUCUCAUUGACUUGGUCAUGUUCUACCAAAUUACUAUAUAUAUAUAUAGAAGUAUUUAAUGAGUCUAUUAUAAAAUUUUAUUUUAUUUUAUUUUAUUUUAUUUAUUUAACCAAUGUCUCUUAAUAUAGUUGUUAGAUUUUGUCCAAAAUAGUGAAUUUGUUAACACAAUAAUAUAGAAGUUGACGAGAAAACAAAUAGCCUAUCAAUUUCUAUGAAAAAAAAAAAAAAAGUAGUAUAAGAUAGAAAAAAAUAAAUAAAUCUAAACUACAUUAUAGAGAUGGAUAAAAUAUAAUACUACAAUAGUUUUUUAUUUAAAAAAAAUAGUAUAAUGUUGCAAAUAAAGUUAACACUGAAAUAUAAUACAGUAGAGUGUAAUUAAGGGAGAAAAGAAAAAGGUCAUCAGUUUGAGUCUCAUGUAGAUAACUAUCGAUAGAACUGGAGUCCAAAAAAAAUAGUAAUAAUAAUUAUAAAGUAAUAAUAAUAAUAAUAAUAAUAAAAUUACGGAGUAGGCGAGUAGGUAAAUCUCUAGGGAUGCGUGCACAAGUAGGCAACAAAGUUGUGUGCAGCAUUUCGUCUUCACUCACCACCACAUGACUCACCGCUCUUCUUUCUUUUUAGUUGUCCUUAUCGCGGGACGGAGCUAUGCAGAGACUAAGGGUGGCCGAGACCCCUCUCUUAGUAGUUUAAGAACUAAAAUCAAUAACGGUUGGGGCGUAUGUCAUACAUCACAAUCAGGGACGGAUCUAGAAUCCAAUUCUUAAAAGGCCAAAGAAAACUUUAGUAUACUAUUUAUAUAUCUAAAAACAGUAGAAUUUUUGCAGGGAUAACUUAUGAAAGUUAAACUUUAUAGAAAUAUAUUUGCAAUUCACUAUAUUUGUGGUGACCUGUAUGCAAUUAACCCUUAAAUAAAUGUAAUAUUUCUGAAGUAAUGGAACCGGGACCGGCGGUCAUAGUACUUAGCCCGUCGUGAGAGUGAGACAAAUUCGCUAGUCACUCCACCCAACCCAUUGGAAGGCCGGAGUGUUUCUAGGCUAAUUAACGAAAAAAAAAAUAUUAUAGAAAACCCACCGAACUUUAGCUCUUUUGUAAACAGGUGUUUCGACUUUCAAUUUAGACAAUUAGACUUUUUAAACUUCAUCAAAUAAUUCAAUAAAACUUCAAAAUACAUGUUAAAACAGGGUUAAAAAUCAAGGGCCGGUUCAACCCAAACUUUCAAUCAUUAUGCUUAAUUACCAAAGUUGGAAGAGAAAACAUAUUUUUCUUUAUAUUUUGAAGCAGUACAGGAUUAUUAUGUGCAUGAUAUUCGAUCAAACCAAACGUUGAUUGCGGAGAAAGAUCUAUCAGAUUAUGUGAUAAGGCUUAUAAAAUAUAAUUGCUAAAAUUGAAAAAUUAAACGCCUAUUUAAGUUUAGGAGGUCUCUUCACAUUGUACUCUUCUUUCUUUUAUUCUGGUUUAUGAUGUUUUCAUGUCAUAUGGAUUGAAAAGGUUUCACUCUCAAUCUCUCUAUCUAUGUAUUUAUCUCUCUUGACUAUUUGAGAGACUAUAAAUUGGAAAUGUUGAUAUUUUUGUUUCUUAAUCUUGGUCAUUGAUGAAACCAAUAAAUCCAAGUCCUUUCUCAAUUACCUGAGGUUGCUCUUUCAACAUCCUAUUCACAUUUAAACUUGUUCCAAUUUAUACAUCAAAUCAUUGUCAUUGUUGGAGGUGACAUCCUAAAUGAAAAUUUUCUUUGUAGACUAAAACAUGAGGCCUUAAUUACAACAAUAAUAAGGCCUUAAUUACAACAAUAAUAACAGCCCAUUUUUCACAUUGAGAUGUACUAUAAAAUAUAAUUGAUGUCAGCUUCGUAGCAUAGCGAUGCGAUUUCAAGAUCUAUCAGAUUAUGUGAUAAAGCUUAGGAAAUAUGAUUGCCAAAAUUGAAAAAUUAAACGCUUAUUUAAGUUUAGGAGGUCUCUGCACAUUUUACUCUUCUUUCUUUUAUUCUGGUUUAUGAUGUUUUCAUGUCAUAUGCAUUGAAAAGGUUUCUCUCUAUCUCUCUCUCUCUAUCUAUCUAUUUAUCUCUCUUGACUAUUUGAGAGACUAUAAAUUGGAAAUGUUGAUAUUUUAGUUCCUUAAUCUUGGUCAUUGAUGAAACCAAUAAAUCCAAGUCCUUUUUCAAUUACUUGGUUGCUCUUUCAACAUCCUACUUCCAAUUUAUACAUCAAAUCAUUGUCAUUGUUGGAGGUGACAUCCUAAUGAAAAUUUUCUUUGUAGACUAAAACAUGAGGCCUUAAUUUCAACAAUAAUAACAGCCCAUUUUUCACAUUGAGUUAUACUAUAAAAUGUAAUUGAUAUGUCAGCUUCGUAGCAUAGCGAUACGACUGUCGUGUCGUCAACUGCAUUUGUCUUCGUACAAGUGGAAUUACUGAUUCCAUUGAGUGGGGAUGUGCCCAAGUGAUCUUAGAUAUUUCAUGUGGGUAGAAAACUAGUUGGUAAGUGAUUUGUUGAUGUCACUCCGUAUGUCAUCCUCCUAGAAAUUAGGCAAUAGAUAUGCCUUGUUUCAGGCUACUAGGCUCAGAAUCCGGUGAAUGCACUCUUAAAUUUUAGAUAAAAACACGUAGAAUUUAUCUGAAUUAUGAAUCAUUUUGACGUUAUUAUCUAAUCUUUUAAAAUUUUGAUUUUACUAUAUAAUCUUUUACUUUGUUUGAUUUAAGUCACUCAACAAUAUUUUGAUUUCAAAUCAAACAAAUUGAAAAAUAGGAUGAUAAAAUCAAAACUUUGAAGAGCCAACUUAAAAUUUUUCAUAGUUUAGAUAAAUUCGAAAAACUUUAUUAUGAAUGUUUUAAAAUUAAAAGCUAACGUCGUGUUUUGUGAAAUUCAAAAGACGUGGAGAUUUUGUGUGUAUGUCUCUCGGUGUUCUCCAAAUGGUUACAGUAUAAGUUGAUGAUCAUUGGUCGUGUGCAUGAUCCAAUCAAAUGUAUACACUAGUCUUAUUUUAAAUUGUUUGUCGAUGAUUUUAUUGAUAUUUUAUGUUGUGGUUUACAAAAUUAAUUUUUAUAAAUUAUGUUACACUAUUUGAUAGUAUGUUACACUAUGUGAUUCAGGUGACUUAUUUUAAGUGCGGCGGUGUCGCCCUCGGGGUGGGGGUGCAGCACCACGCGGCGGAUGGCUUCUCGGCGCUCCGCGUCAUCAACUCAUGGGCAGACCUCACCCGCGGCGCACCCAUCACCUUCCGCCCCUACAUCGACCGCACGCUGCUCCGCGCCCGCGACCCCCCCACCCCCAAAUUCCCCCACAUCGAGUACCAGCCCCCGCCGUCGAUGCCGCAGGCCGUUGUGCCAUCCCCCGCCGAGCCCCCGAAGACCCCUCCGGCCGCCGUCGACAUCUUCAAGCUGCCCCGGGCGACCCUCGACCUCCUCCGCUCCACACUCCCCGCGGGCUCCCCGCGGUUCAGCAGCUACACCCUCCUCGCCGCGCACGUCUGGCGGUGCGCCUGCCUCGCCCGUGGCCUUCCCGCCGAUCAGCUCACCAAGAUGUACAUCGCCACCGACGGGCGCCAGCGCCUGCAGCCACCGCUUCCCGAGGGGUACUUUGGAAACGUGAUCUUCACCGCAACCCCGAUCGCCGCCGCAGGGGACGUGAUCGGGACCGACGAAUCGAAGCUGGCGACCGCAGCGCAGAGGAUACACGCGGCGCUGGCGCGGAUGGACGAUGAGUACGUGCGGUCGGCGCUGGACUACCUGGAGCUGCAGCCGGACCUGUCGGCGCUGGUGCGGGGGGCGCACACGUUCCGGUGCCCGAACAUCGGGCUGACGAGCUGGGUGCGGUUGCCGAUCCACGACGCCGACUUCGGGUGGGGCCGGCCCGUGUUCAUGGGCCCCGGGGGGAUACCCUACGAGGGGCUCGCGUUCGUGCUGCCGAGCGCGAAUGGCGACGGCAGCCUCUCCGUCGCCAUCUCGCUGCAGGCCGAGCAUAUGGAGAAGUUCCGAAAGCUCAUCUUUGAGAUUUGAAAAUUUGAAAAAAAUUUGAAAAAGGGAGGGAAGGGAACUUAGAUGCAAUUUUUAAAACACUUUGUUAUAUUUUUGUUUUUUUGUUUUUUUUUGUUUAUAACUUGAUAUGCUUGUAUGGAUAAAGGACUCUCUAAGGAGUUAAUAUUACAAAGGAUAAUGUUUUUUUUUUUUUUAAUCUGAAUUUUUUAUGUUAUUCUCUUGAAAUGAGUUUGUAAUCUUGCAUUGAGGUGCUGGUUGAUUGAAUGUAAUUGUAAAUGCAGGAUAGUUAGAGAUGCAAAAAUAUUAAAAUAUAACCAAUAUUGUAGGUUGGAUUGAGUAGAAAGGAUAUGAUAAUAAAUAACUCUUUUCAUUUUAUAUAUUCGAGAAUUGUAUUUAUAAAUUUUGUUCAUCUCAUCACAUCUAAGAUAGAAGAAAAAUAUAUGUUUUAUUUAAAAGAUGAUUAGGUAAAUAAAAGGCGAUUAGAUAGAUAAAUCUACCUCUUAUUUAAAACUAUUGGUUUUAGCUGUCGCAGUUCGAAUUGAGGCCAAUUAGCUUUAUCUUCUGCAAUUCAGCUUCUCUUGCAGUUUCAAGUUUCAACUACAACAGUUGGAUUCUAAUGAAGUAAUGCAAUAAUAAAUCUUGCUCACUAUAUUGCAAGAUCCCUAAUGGAGUAGCAGUUGCAUGUAACCAAAUAGUCCACAAAAUUUAACCUAGUAACCCUAUUACUAUGAAAUUUGAAAUGGCGGAUGCGACUUAUAAGUAGUAAGAAUCUGAAUAUAACAACGGGAGUUCGAACUUCUGACCACUACAGUCCCCAAUCAGGUUAUGCAUUUGCUGAAGGCCACCAUGAUUGCCCACCAGCAGAAUUUUCUCCAUUAAAACCGCAAACCUGGGAGUUUGUUCGCCGUUACCACGACAAUUUGCGAGACGUCGCAGCUUCUUCUCGACAGGCCCUACUUGUCGAGGGUGUUUCACCGUAAUCACAGUUUCAUUUUGCGCGAUUCCACUGGUGGUAACGAAAGGCGAAUUCGAAAUCCGAGUUGCCUUUCGCCGUGCUCGGUUGAAGGGCACAAUCUGAAACCAAGUCUAGAGAGAGCAAACCAUGCUCAGAGCACACCUGUGCACUUGUAAUGAGCUUACCUGGGCAUGUUUUUUUGCGAAAUUAAGGGCCAAUCGAGGAACAAGAACCUCGCGAGUUUAUUUUCACUGUAACAGCAAAAUAACAGGAUGCAGAACUCAGGAGAACACAGUCGCGCACAGCUUUUAACCAUCAUCAACAGAUGAGAGACUCUCAAGAACAACAGCAGCAGCAGCGGUGUAAAUUUUAUAUCUUGAUCGGAAACUCUGAUAAAUAUCAACUCAUUAUCCGAAACUCAAACUCGAGACCAGCACAUUCAUCAUAAAUUGACUGGAAAUAGACCAACCAUAGAUCUGAUUAAUAAAAAAGGACAACACACAAUCUUGCAUCUCAAAUUUGCUGCAGUAAACACACGAUCGACGGAAAUCCCCAUGAAAAAUGUGAAAGUAAAAGCAGCUCAACAUCAUUCCAGAACUAAUCUGCAAUAGAGUACUCACAAAACAAUACCAAAAAAAAAGAAAAACAACUUACUCCACACACUUCAAUUACAUGUAGCAUCAGUCACUGCAGAAAAAGAUAUAAGGCUUGCACUAGUGUUUCGCAUUGUUACUGUCGGUGUACCAUUACACCAGAAUUGGUUUUCCUUUUAUGCAAUCCACUGUAUUUGCUGUAGCAGAUAAUAAACAUGCAUGUUCCCACAAAACCGGGCGCGGAAGCGUGCUAGGAAGAAGCUGCAUCUUUCGCCUCCCAGUGUAACCAAACACGGACAAUUAGCGAUGCAAUUGUCGUGUUUGUGUUAACCAAGAUAGCUGUUAUUAUACUCAGACUUCGACACGACAUGAGCGGGCCACGACAACACAAACUGUUACACCAAACUGACUUUUUCCUAGGCGUUAACUUGAAUCAAAUUUCAAACCAAUUUUCACAAUAAGCCAACCAGUAUCAGUUCAGUUCGGUACUUCGGUUUUACAGGAAUAGUGCUUAGACCCCCAUAGAGGUCAUAUAUAUCAAGGAUUUCAUCGACACGUGCCUUAUCUACAGUGUCGUAUCAUGUCACAAGUUAUCGGACGAUACCGCCUCCGUGCCGAUGGCAUGUCUCAAAACUCUCUUUUCUCUAAAUUAAUAAGUAAUUUUUACAAUAAAGUUCAAAAGACUUAAUAAAGAUAUAAAAUAUGCAAUUAAAACAUUUUGUUGCUAAAGAAAAUAAAUAUUUCAUGCAAUUAUGUGUUGGCACAUAUGUAUUUUUCGUGACCGGCACACAUCGGCACGGUCUGGCACGGUCCCAGACCUUACCGGCAAGGUUUUGGCGCGACCUCGUGCCACGGCACUUAAAUCCUUGAUAUAUAUGUUAUGCGAUAGUAGAAACCCUUCCAUACUCCCUAUCGAUCAAUUUCUCAACAACAAUUAGCAAACAACAAGAGCUGUGCCGAACAAGAUGUUCAUGCAUCAAAUCCGACCCUAUGGAUUGAAAUCUUAUCCGAAUUGAAUGAUAAUCGCCUUCUAUGAUAAGUCCAAGUCUCGAACAUUGGUUGGCACUAAAAUUUCCAUCAGAGAAAUAUCCUCUACUAGUGGAUAUACUUCGAGUAUAGUUAGUAGAUUAAAAACAAACCCUUCAAAAAGGUAUAGAGUUAUAAGCUUACUCUUACACUCUCAUUUGACUUUUGAAGCCGCAUUAAUCAUCCCUUUAAAUCAAAGAAAGGGAUGAUUAAGAAGAGCAACAGCUUCUUCAUUGUAAAACCAUAAAUCAAAAUGAAUUUCAACAAACACUUAAGUUGUCUCUUUCUCCAUCAUCAACUAAUAAAAGGAUAAGCAUUGAUCUCCAAACAUGUGUAUGAAGCUAACAACUCUCAUCCAACAGAAAUUUAAAAAGAAAAAGGAAAAAAAAAAAAUCUGUGAAAGCGAAUCACUCCAUUGUUUGAUCUUUCUACAUUUUUACCCAUAUAACACAGUCGAUCGUGACGAUAUUUCUAAAAAAUGCUAAUGCGCAGGAGAAUCACUACAUUUUAAAGUAUGCACUAACAGAGAGAGAUUUCAUCUACAAUUAAAUGAUGCAAAAUGUAUUUAAUUUAAAUCUAUUUAUCGCCAUCUGUAUAACAAAUAUACGAACAUCUUUGACUAGACCCGCUACCGAACGCCUAUAAAUCAACACUGUAAAACAGAAAACACCAGAGGUUUCAAUGUUGGUGGAGGACGGAGCGCACAAGAAAAGAGAAGCAUCUCAUCCACAUACCACAUAACCGAGAACUAAACCUUUAAAGCUACCUGAUCUUGCCACGAAAUCUUCCUCUUACCGAUUCUGCUCGGGUUUUUCCCUACAUCUCUACAUAUCGACAACUUAAGAUUGCUAGCAGCCGCAUCUCCAUCAACCGUACACCUCUCCGAGUUGUCAACUUUCAACGGCGCCCCAUCCACUUGACAGCCCAUUUCCUCGUCAUUCUGGAAUUAUUUGAGACGAUAAGUUAAACAGGCAUUAGCAAAUAAGUAAUGCUACGGGGACCUGAUAACCACCGCAUACGCAGUGGAUGAGCCAAGUUUCAUGACACGGCAACUAGCCAGUGGUUCAACUUUGGAGUGCCAAGUUUGGCAUCUGACUCAUUAACUGCAUUCUGGGAUACAUUCUGAAGCCCCCAUGGCAUCACUCUUCGUUCUUUACAAAUAAAUCAACUCGUAUGCACGUAUUUUAGAGGAUGAUAGAAUGGUUGAAUUACCAUCGAAGAUACUUGAUUCAAAUCAAACAUUGCAGUAGUGCUCGUUGAUGCACCGCCCCUUCCUCUUCUACUCUUAUCUUCUAAAGAAAGAUCACCGCGAACAGUUGGAUGAGGCGGUCGAGGAAUAGCAACCGGAGAGCACGGGAUCAUGUGAGGCUGCUUCUUGAUUUUGAAUUGUGCUCGUUGAGAUCGAUUCUCAAUCAAUGACUUGUAUUUUCUUCGCAAGAAUCUAUGCAUGGGAAUCCGUUACGAAUUUAGCAUUGUUACAUAACGUAAAAUAAAUAAAUUUAGGGUAACAGGAAAACAUAAACAUAUUUCAGCAUUGAAAGAAGAGGAAAAGGAUCAUAAUAAUACUUGAUUUCAGCCAAGAGCCUGAGUUUCUUCUGCUUUGUCUUCUGAAGUUUCUUCUUUUUUGCUUCAGCUUCCUGUGAAAUUGGGUUAUUAUUAGAUCAUAAGAAUAUAAAGUUUUGUAAUUUUUUACAGAAUAAAAGAAUUUGCAGUUUUGUAAAGAAAACAAAAGAGAAAGGAAUAGAACAACAAUGAAAACACUAAUCAUAAAUUCGUCGUUUCUACCAAGAUCAGAUUUUGGCAUAAGAAACUACAGCAUACCAAUUUACACAUAAGAUCCUCACAAAACCCUAGAUCAAUCAGAACUACAAUACCAACAAAAACAGGGAAAAAAAAGAAAAAAAGAAAAACCCCUAGAUUUACAUGAGACCCAAAUAAUAAUAAUAGAACAAGAUUUACCACAAUAAUAAUCAAGAUAACAAAGAAAAGCAUCAGGAAAAAAAAAAAAGAAAGAGACAAAUAUGCAAAAUUUGUGCAAAAACUGAAGCCUGUAUUGUUGGAAACCUAGAUACACAAAACGAAAUAUUAUGCGUAGAUAAAUUACCAAGAUCAAGAAAAAACUCACACAGAAGAGAACAUCCAAAAAGCUGAAACGAAAACCUAAAAAAAUCGGAUUUUUAUCAAAGAUCUCUUAGAAAAGAGAGAGAGAGAGAAAGAGAAAAAGGUCUCACCUUUACCAACUCCUCGUAGUCCUGUAAAAGGCCCUGAAACUUAAACCUUUCUCUCACAUCCUCCCCAACUGGGUAAGAAGAAGAUGAUGGGAAGGACUCCAUGGAAACCCUUCUCGCCACCCUCUUCAUCAUCCUCCCCUCCCCCCCACCUCCUCCUCAAAGCAAAAACCCACAACAAGAACAAGAAGAAGAAGAUGAUGAUGAUGAUGAUGAUGAAGAUGCCCAAGAAGAGGUCAUAAAAGGAUAAGUAUGAACAGAGAUAUAGAGAGAGAGAGAGAUAAUGGGUUGGUUUGUGGAGAGGGAAAGGGAAAGUUGGUUCCUUUGGCUUCUCUCUCUCUCUCUCUCUCUCUCUCUCUCUCCUAUGGAAGGUAUGACCAAGACAAAAAAGAAAACAAACACACCCCCCAAACAUAAAUUGGGGGAUUGUAGAAAACAUGAGAUGGGUAAUUUUUUCCUUUCCUUUUCCCUUUUUUUUUCUCUCUCUCUUUUGGUGGUGGAUGUGGAGGCCAUGUAGGAGUAGAUUUUCAUUUUGGGGGAAGGGAAGGGAAGGAAAGGGAAGGUGGGGGGGAUGUUGCAGAGGGGCAUUUAUGGGAGGCAAAAUUGGUUUUUUUUUCUUUGUUUUUUUUGUUUUGGUUUUUGGGUUGUUGUAGAGCUUAAUUUUGUUUUGAAGGAGGAAGGUGCUUGGUUGGAAGGUACACCUUGAAGCCACCUAAUCUUAACUCCACUCUUCUCUUUCCAUCUCUUUCUCUCUCUUUCCAUCUUCUUCUUCUACCAUCUUUUCUCUCUACACAUUGUUUUUUUUUUUUUUUGGUACCUUUCAUACAUGAAUGAAUGUUGGUCCAACACCAAUGGGGCCAUUGGAAACUAGAGAGAGAGAGAGAGAGAGAGAGGAAAUGGUCUUCCUUGAAGGGUGGGGUUCUCUCUCUCUCUACAACAAUAUUUAGAUUUGGGCUUUUUUUUGCAAAUAGCCUCUUAUAAUUUUUUUUUUUUUAAAUUGGCCCUGUCAAAAAUUUAUUUACAAAAAUGGUCCUGGUCCUACCACGCAAGCGCCACGUCAGCGCCACGCGGGCGGGGCUGGACCAGAUGGUUAAGUUGAACACGGUGAACCAUUCACCAUGUUCAAUACAAAGUUUUUGUAUUGGACACGGUGAACGUAUCCAAUACAAAAUAGCUAAGAUCGAAAUAUUUGUAUUGGACACGGUGAAUCAUUCACCGCGUCCAAUACAAAAAUUUUGUAUUGAACACGGUGGUUCACCGUGUUCAACUUACAUACCUGGGCCCGCCCUGCCCGCGUGGUCCUGACGUGACGCUGGCGUGGCAGGGACAUGACCAUUUUUGCAAAUAAUUUUUGGACGGGGCUAUUUUUGUAAAUAAAAUUUAUCAGGGGGCUAUUUGCAAAAAAAGCCCUUUAGAUUUUUAUUUUAUUAUUAUUAUAGUAAAAUUGUGUGAAGGCUACAUCAACUAUAAGCUAUUGAGACAAAGGUACUUCUGCUUCCUUUAAUUAUAUUUCAAAUUUAGAAUCAAAGAUAUCAAUUAAUUAUUUAAGUAUUAAUAUUUUAUCCAUACUCCUUCAACUUCUAUUUUUUUGAUAAAAUCUUUGUCUCGAUUAAGUUGGAGAUUUUAUCAAUUAUAAAUUCAAUCACUAAGUAAAAUUUUUAAAAAAAUUUUAACAGUCAAAAAAUCAUUAAAUUUAAACAAAAAUUCUAGCUUAAGAACUCAAAUAAAAAAUUUUAAAAUUAGAAAAGUGUUAUUAGAAAAUUUAAAAAAAAUGGGGAGGUUAUUUCAUAAUUCUCUAUUAUUUGGGAGGUCUCCUUACAUUUUAUAUUUAUUAUAUUUUAUUUUUGGUUGUUGGGUGUUAACUGAGAUGGAGAUGGCUGAAAAGUAAAGACAAUGACAGCUGGCUGCUCUUCUGUUUCCUGCGAAAAAAUUUACUAUAUCAUAUUUACACCACAUCAUCAACAACAAAUCAAUCAUAUCUCUGAAUUAAAAAAAAAAAGGAAAAAUUUCAUCACUACCCUUCCAAAUAAGUCUAAUAUCAUGAAUGCCCCUAUAAAAAUUGAAAUAUCAUAAAUAACCUUUUAAAAGAGAGAAACUUUCAAAAAUAACCUUCACACUAAUUUAUUAUCAAUUUUGAAUAAACAACAAACAAAAUUCCAACUUUGCCCUUAUUGUCAUUACCAUCUUAAAAUAUUUAAUUGACUAUAAAAUUAUUUAUAAUUUUAUAAACACUCUUUUAAAUUUAUAAAUGACCUACAUUUAGAAAUAAGGUUUUUGUCAGUUAAAAAUAUAUAUAUAAUCCUGACAAGUUAAGCUAAAAAAUAAAAAAAAUAAAAAAUUUUGAAAAAAAUUUACCAAAAAAUUGUUUAAAGUAUCAAUUGACUCAUUAAAAUUAGGUUAAACAAUUUAUUCAAAAUAUAACUUAAAUAUAUAUGCAUGAUGUGAAUUAAGUUAUUUGAACUAGCACAAAUUUCUGUGCUUUGGCAUCUCGAAUUUUAAAAUAAAUGAUAUAAAGUAUCUUAUUUUAUAAACCACACAACAGUAAAAUAAUAUAUUUUACUGUUUAUUUUAAUAUUUUAAAAUAAAUAUAUCAUGCUAAAAUACUUUUGUAAAAAAUUUUAGAAGUUAAGGGCAAAAUGGACAUUUCGACCAUAUUUAUGAUAAUCUAAAUAUUUUAUAAUUCUAUAAAGAGAUGAAUAGUAAGGGUAAGGGUAUGUUUGAAAAAUAAUAAGUAUUUGUAGGGGUAAUUGUGAUAUAAUCAAAUUUAUAGGUGCAUCUAUAAUAUUUUUGAAGUUUAGAGGGGCACAAAUAAAAUUGACCCUAAAAAAAAAUAUAACAAAAAAAUUUUUUAUAAUCAUAAUCUCACGAAUAAUUUUAAAAAAAUUAUUUAAUUAAUUUAAAAUAUCAUAUCAUCAAUAUAACUGGUAUAUUUUAAAACUUUUUGAUUUUGUGUAGCUGAGAAUGUGAUGGGGAGGUAGAGUGAAAUUGAUUGAAAUUACUAAAAUACCCCCAUUUUUUUUUUUUACUUUUCCUGUAGGGGGACAUUCCUUCCUGUGUCUUAGGAAAGCACCCAGAAAGUCAUCCUCUGUUGCUUGACUCACAAACCUUUCUUUCGCUUUCUUGUCAUUGAAAAGAAUAUAUAGUAUUUAAAGAACUGAUUAUUUUAAAAAUAAAUAUAAAUAAAAAUUAUACUUAAAUUUUUAUUUAGAUAAAAAUUAGUGUGUAAAUGAAAAUUAAAAAAAUAAUAUUUGAAUGAUUAAGAAGAAUAAAAGAAAUAGUAGAUACAAGAUUUUAAGUGCCCAUCGGCACGGGCCGUACCCACCGUGCCGUACCAUGCCAACAAGAUACCGGCACGAUACAGACCCCGUGUCGAUGGCACAGUUCAAAACUCUCUAUUCUUUAAAUUAGUCAGUAAUUUCUUCAAUAAAGUUCAAAAGAUGUGAUAAAAAGACAUAAUAAAUAGUUAGAAUAUUUUGUUGCUAAAGAAAAUAAAUAUUUUAUGCUAUUAUGUAUUGGCACACAAGAAUUUUUUUUACCGGCACGCAUCGGUACGGCUCAGCACGCACCGUGUCAUACCGUGCCGGCAAGUUUCCGGCACGAUUCCGUACCACGGCACUUAAAUCCUUGAGUAGAUAGUUAUAAUUUAAAAAUACUAAGAAUACUCCUGGCUCUAAACCUAUGUAAUAUAAACUUUGUAUUUUCAUAUUUUAAAUAAUAUGUAUUUAAAUUGAUGAGUUUAAAAAUAAUAUUUUGCCUUUAAAAAUUAAUUAACUAUUGAACCAAAAAUUGAGAAAACAUAUUAUCUUUAUAAUUAUUGCUUGAAAUUAACUAAUAAUAAUUGGAAAUUACCUUGUCUUGUUCUAAUGAGCAUAAUAAUAAUUGAAAAUUAGAUAACAAUCAUAGUAGAUCUCUUAUUAUUUUAGAUAUGAAAGGAAGGCAAUGACCAUUUUUUUUAAAAAAAAAAUCAAAUAAUUAGGUCUCAUAUUCAACAAUAAAUAGCUAGGUUUUCAACUUUAGAUAUUACGUACUCAUCACAAAGUUUUUGGUCAGUGACAUUAGAUAUGAUCUGAAAAGAUAAUAAUAACGAUUUCAAAUUGUCUGAAAGAGUUUCAGAAUCACGAAAAAUGCGGGCUUGAGAUUGUUAUUCAAGGGUUCAUGUUCGAAGUUUAAUUAAGCCAUAUCUUUUCAACUCAAUUUAUUUUAAAAAAUAAAUAAAAUAAGUAACUUUUUUUUUUCAAAAUAAAGAAUAUUUUGUUUGCACAAAGUAGCUUUCAAUAGACGAUAGAGUAGUGAUAUGAAUAGAGAUAAAAAUGGAUCGAAAUUGACGCUUCCGUCCUAAUCCGUGUCAAAUUAGACGAUAAGUAAAAAAGUAAAAUUAUAGAGUCCGCUCCGAUUCCGAUCCGAUAAGUAACGGGUAAGAGGUAGGAGACUAUCUCCGGCCCCGGAUCCGUCCGUUUUGCAUCCGUUGAUUCAAAUCACAUGAUCGGUCCAUGGGUGAAACGUGGUGAACCAGGUCCAGGCAAUAAAUUCCACUUCAAAAAAAAAAAGAAGCCCCAUACAAUUCCCCCCACCACCGCUCUCGCCGACCUUGGAUCGAGCACCGCUUCCGCAAAACCACCACCAUAUAAAUAGCUCCCCGUAAGCGUAGAGACCCUCGUCGAACACCUCUCCCAUGGCGAACCUCAAGGAUCGCCUCCUCCCCCCUCGACCCCCCUCCACCACCGCCGCCUCGCCCAACGACGGCGCCGCCGCCUCCUCCGCCGCGGCGGCGGCGGCGCGGCGCCGUGGGGCGUUCCAUGGGAUGGACGCGCUAGGGCUCAAGAAGCGGGGGCAGAGCGUCCGCGCGUGGAUCCGCGUCGACGCGGCGACGGGGGAGUCCCACGUGAUCCAGGUCGACAAGUUCACGAUGAUGCGGCGCUGCGACCUCCCCGCGCGCGACCUCCGCCUCCUCGACCCCCUCUUCGUCUACCCCUCCACCAUCCUCGGCCGCGAGCGCGCCAUCGUCGUCAACCUCGAGCAGGUCCGCUGCAUCAUCACCGCCGACGAGGUGCUCCUCCUCAACUUCCCCGACGGAUUCGCGGUGCAGCAGUACAUCGCCGAGCUCCGCAGCCGCCUCGCCACCGCCCGCGGCGGCGACGGCGACGGCGACGGCGACGGCUCCCCCGACUACCUCCCAUUCGAGUUCCUCGCCCUCGAGGUCGCGCUCGAGGCCGCGUGCACCUUCCUCGAUGCCCAGGUACUCGGAUUUAGGGUUUCUCCAUGGCCUCUACUUGUCGAAUUAUUGGAUUGAUGAAAUGAAGAGCUAAAUUACUGUGUGACUUUUUAGUUGUUGUUGUUAGGAGUGAUUUGGUGAUAAUUUAGGGGUUGUUUGGUUAUUUGGAAUACUAUUGAUUUUAUUUUUUUCAGAAAACAAAUUUUUGAUGCUUUUUUUUUGCCCGUUUGUUUCCAUGGAAAACUUUUUAAAUUUUUUAUUUUUUCAAAUUUUAUGGCGAACUAGUGUUUUUCUUUUCCGAAGAUAAAACGAAAACAUUAAUUUUUUAUAAAAUUUGGAAAAGGUUUUUUUUAAAAAAACUAGUUUUCUUUGGAAUCUGGAAAAGAUAUUUUUCAUAAAAAUAUCCGGAAAAUUUGCAUUCCAUACUUUUGUGUGAUUUAUUAGAUGCAGUGUGAUUGAUUAAUGUGAAAUUUUCACCUAUAAAUGAACAUAGCUAGUUAGAGUGUGUUAAAUAUGCCCUGGGCAUUUUCCUUUUGAAGAUUGAUGGUCUGGGAUAUUACUUGCUUGUUUUUGAAACUGCCCUUUGCAUGGUUUUGACUUCGAUUAGUUACACCACUGGUCCCUCGGCCUUUAUCCGGUUGUUCACUUUGGUCCCCUGCCUUUUAAUAUUUUUAUUUUGAGUCCUACCAUUUGUUAGUUGUUUCAAUAUACAUUUUCCAUCAAAAAAACUUGUUAACUUUGACACAAAUUGCCGCAUAGUAAGGUGGUGCUGAUGUGGAAAACAACUAAUCAACCAUAGGAAUUCAAUUGCAAAAGCUAAUUGCUUUGGGGCCACAGUGAAAAUCGGGUGAAGGUUAGGAUCAAUGGUGUAAUUAAUGCUUUCGACUUUUGACUACCCUUAUGCUUAAACCUGAUCAAUCUCUGCACAAAUAUACCGAUUGGACAACUUUAGAAAGGAGAGGAGGUGUUGGAAGUACAAUAUUAUUAGGUAUGGAAUGUUGAUAUUUUACAUGUAAAGGGUAUUUCAGAUGUGCGGAAGGAAAAUUUUCAAAUCGUAACAGUUUAUAAAAGAAUAAAGAGCAUAAUAAAGGUAUAAGCAUAUGGAACAGCAUAUGUUCUUUAAUCUGUUUAUCUUUGUCCAUGUUUGAUUUACAAUGUAGGAAGGGAAAAAAUUAUGUUCGAUAUGAAAUUUGCAUUUGCAUCUUAGUAUACGGCUUAUAAAGGAGAUGAAUCAAAUACAGGACGUCAUAGUAGGGGCUCAUAAUUGAAAUGGUUAGUGGCUGAUAAUUGAACUCCUCAUACUUGUCCGCGUUCUUUGUUUCGUACAAUGCAAAGUAGGUUGAGGUGUCCUUUCAAAUUACGGAUAUUGUAUAUGGCUUGUUUGAUACUGAUUACUAAUUUCCAUAGAAGCAUAAAUGCAAUUUAAUCUUCUACUUGCGAGUACCUAAAGAGAAGCAGUUGUAAUGAAGUUUGUAUAAAAUUUGGCUCAUAUACCUCCUAUUCAAUUACCUAAUUUCAAUAAGAUAUGAUGUACAAUGAUUGAAGAUUAGAAAACUAGAUCCUUUAACGAACCUUCCUUUUGUAGAAUGAAAUCUAUGCUUCCACUCAAUCUAUCACUUUUGGCAUAUAUUGAGUGAUGAACAUUUGGGACCAUCUAACUGCUCUCAUGAAAGGCUGUUUGCUAAGUUUAAUUGUAUAUGACGUGCUGCACUUACUAUUUUCAAUCCUUUUGUUAUUGCAUACAAUAAUAACUUUACUCAAGUUUGUCCCAGCAUGCAUACUCAAAUAAGUAAGAGUAGGUAAUUCUAUCUGAAUUCUUCUGCCUACCGAAAUUGUCUCACUUAGUGUAUCAAGUGAUAAUGGUGAGUGAUAAUGGUAUUUUGGAAAUUUCAGCAGUAAAAACAUAAAGGUUUUGUUGCUAAUUUGGAAUGUAUAUGCUAUUUCAUCAGCCACGGGUGCUUUUGAAAUAGUCCAGUUAGAGUAUCAUUGUCCCAUUGCAGUCGCACUUUUGUGAAUGCUAAUAAAUUGCGACUACAAAUACAUAAUAUAUGAAAUAUGAAAUAUUUGUAAAUUUGUAUUUUCAUUAGCAAAAGAGGGGAAAUACAUUAAGAAACUUCACAUGUAAGUUUAUACAAAGCAAAAGCAACAAACUUUUGUAGUCUGCUGAUAUGCCUAUUGUGUACUACUCAGUAGUUGAUUCUGAAUUCAUUUUCUGCACACAAUAUUCACUGAUGAAUUAAUGCCUACAUCCUAGUUCAAUCCAAAACUACGAUCAAGACUUCAAGCCGGUUGAGAAGUCCCGAAGUUGACUCUCCACCAUUCUGUGUUGCUGGUCUGUUAGCUAUUUGUCUUUGUGAAAUAAUUACUGCCAUUAGGGUUGCAUCUUGUUUAACUCGUACUUCCUUUGUACUUCCUUUCUUGCACUUGAUGUUUGACUUAAAACAUGUAGAUUUCAUUCGGUAAGUAGAGAACUGAGGACAUCUGCGAAUUUCAUCAGGCUGCCGAUCUGGAGAUUGAAGCUUACCCUUUGUUAGAUGAGCUGACAUCCAAGAUUAGCACUCUUAACUUGGAACGUGUACGGCGUUUAAAAAGCAAACUCGUUGCAUUGACUAGGAGAGUCCAAAAGGUGAACAAAAACUAACUCUGUUUGUUAGUUCCUUUCUUGCAUAUUGCUUCUUAACAUUGUUCCAGAGUUUCUUUUAAAGGUCAGAGAUGAGAUAGAGCAGCUGAUGGAUGAUGAUGGCGAUAUGGCCGAGAUGUUUCUCACUGAAAAGAAACAGAGAAUGGAAGCAUCAUUCCUAGGUGAGCAGUCUUUAAAUGGAUUUAGUAAUAGUGGGCCUGGCAUAUCAGUUUCUGCUCCAGUUUCUCCUGUUUCUUCACCACCUGAAUCUAGGAAGCUUGAGAAGACCUUUAGCUUUGCUAGGAGCAGGCAUGACAGUUUCAAGAGUUCGGACUCCAGCAUAAACAACAUAGAAGUGUUAGAAAUGUUGUUAGAAGCUUACUUUGUGGUCAUUGAUAAUACCCUCAAUAAGUUAACUUCGGUAAUUACUACAAAUAUUCGUGUUAUUUCAUUUUAUCCUAGUUAGAUUGAAGAAUCUAAAGGUUUGACUUCUGUGCUCUCUCUUUUCAGCUGAAGGAAUACAUUGAUGACACAGAGGAUUUCAUCAACAUUCAGCUGGUAUUUUCUCUUAUCAUUUCCUUAAUAUUAUUUGAGCCACCCGUUGUUCUCACAGUAAUAUCAUGAAAAGCUAUAUAAACUGUGAUACAAUCAACUUAAUAAUCUCUUCAGUGAUUCUGAACACCAGAUAUUGGUCCUACGAAGAGUGAUCAAAAUUAAGCGUGGAUAAACUCUUUAGUUAUCUGGGGAUUCUUUGAGUUUCCAUGAUACACCGUAGUAGUUCUUUUAUUACUUCUUAUAUGCAUUAUCUCCUUGCCUAAAGGGAAGCUCAUCGCUUUUAGGCUAAAGUUUGGUAAUGUAGUGGCUAAAAGUAUCAUUUCUAUACUAUGAAAGGCCCACAAAAUUUAAAAGUGCUUAAAAUCUUUCUUCCUCCAAUGCUGUAAAAUUGCGGUUGCAACCACCACCGGAGAAGUUUGUAGCUAGUAACAGUUGCGACCACAAUGUAAUAAUGUAAGAGAAGGAAAAAUUAAAAGCAUUUUUAGAUUUUUGGGACUUCGAUAGUAUAAAAACAGUUGUUUUAGGCACCACAUUACCAGAUUAGGCCUUAGUGCGUAAAUAAUUAGCGAAUUACGUUAUUGAAAGAAGGUCCAUUCUACAUAAGCAGUUAAACAUAACUCUUCUUGGGCAACGGCAUGUGCCUCAGCAUGUGAAAUAAUUAAUGAAAUUUCUUUUGUCAACUAGUGAUGCGUCAUUGUUGAAACUUGACAUGCUUGAAAGUUGAAACAACCAGCAAGCCUCAUGUCUUGUAUGAUAAGUUAUAUUAAAAGAAAAAAAAAGUUGUGCGAGUCAGAAUUCAUUACCGCUGGAGAGGGACAAAUGCAGACAUUUCUAGUCGGGACAUGAGGACUUCUGAUAUGCAUCUUUGCAUGAAGAGCCAAUCAUGAGCUUUUUACAAGUAAAAUGUUCUUCUUUAAAGCGCUCUUUUUUUAAAUCAUUUAUUUUAGUCGUUUGCCUGGAGUGAAUUGUAGACCAACUGGGAAAAGCUAAGACUUCAGUAUUGGUAGUUCUGUGAUAAGUAACUGGUGUGGCGGCCAUAACUUUGUGACAUACACCUGUUAAACAGCACUUUUGGAGGCUGAUCUGGUAUAUUUUUGCUUCAAUAUAGCAAUAUUACUAAAUUUGGGUACUCUACAUGUUUAAGAGCUAAUAAUGCUAGAAAUUUUUACAGAUAUAUAUAUUUAUAUUGUUGUGCUAAAAUAGUGAAAUUACCCUUGUAAUCGUCUAGAUGUUUUAUUACUGCUCCUGCUCAACUUCUACCUUCUGUUUCCUCGUUAGUUCUCUGUACAGUAUUGAUGACAUUUUGAUGACAUCUUCAUGUUUGUUUCUUUGUCUGUCCACUAAUUGCCAUUUAUAGCUAAAAAAUUGAAUUUGACCUUUUCUCUUCUACUCUUUUAUGGUGCUAAUUAAGUUGCUGGUAGGCUCUAGAUCGCGUUCUUAAUCAAAUGAUUCGAGCAUUGAUCUCAGUUUCUAUCUCGCAGGACAACGUUCGCAAUCAGCUGAUCCAAUUCGAGCUGCUACUAACAACCGCGACAUUCGUGGUUGCUAUUUUCGGGGUCAUCGCAGGGGUCUUCGGUAUGAAUUUCCAGGUACCGUUGUUCGAAGAAUCAGGUGCGUUCCAGUGGGUGCUCAUAAUCUCCGGAGCGUGCGGCGUGAUUAUAUUCUGCUCUUUCUUGUGGUACUUCAAGCGCAGAAGGUUCAUCCCACUGUAAAUACGUCGGAAGGGAUUCUUCUCAGAUGCUUUGAAAUCUGCUUCGUGUGCAUCGUACAAAUGCUCAAGGUAAUUUUUUUUCUUCUAAUCUUUUUAUUUUUUUCCUGUUGUGUUCAUGUACAUAUCAUUCUUGUUGAUUCCCACAGCCAAUCAACUUGUGGGUCUAAAUAAUAAUAGAAGGAACAGGUUAAUUCAAAGUGUAUAUUGUUCUCCUUCGCUGUCGAAAAAUUGCUAGUGAACUAACAUGUUUCUUUUUUCGCAACCAACUAAAUUGGUGUAUAAGCAUUUUCUGCGUCUUUUAAUUCGAGUGGAACUUUUUUUUUUUGUAUGGUGACUGAUUCAGACUUCAGAGAGAGUGGUUCAUACAUGCAUUGAUUUGAGACUUCGAAUAUCAACUAUCAAAUCCUCAAUCAAUUAAUUGUGUUGGGUAUGGUCAAUACAGAAAUUCUAAACUAAUGAGGGCUUUUAUAUCAAAUAGUUGAAUAAGCCUCUCUCCUCGAGUAAAGUUAUUAAUUUUGUAGCCAUUUCAAUUGCUCGUUUUGUAUAUGAUUUUGAAUAAUUUUAAAGCUCAAAUCUUUUUUUUCCCUUUUGGUUUUGAUAAUUAAACAUUAGGAUCGAAGAAGGGUGUAUUUUCUUCAAUUUUUAUUAUUCUUUUUUCACAUGUUAGAAUAAAAGAAAUAAAUUAUUUCUUAAUUUUAAAGUUUUGCUAGAUUAUAUGCAAUUCUAACUACUAAAGCUACUGUGCAAUUGGGGUCUAUUGAUAAAGCUCAAGGGCUAUCAUUAACAAAUUUAAAACCUUGGGUGUCUGUUUUCGAAAGUGUCAAAGUUCAGGAGGUUUUGUGCAUUUUUUCUCUUUUUAAUUUGCUAGUGCUAUUAGCGAAACUGUUGCCAAUAAAUUAUUAAAAUUAAGGAUUUAAAGUGUCGUGGCACGGAUCGUGUCAGAAAUUUGUCGGCACGAUACGUGCCGGGCCGUACUGAUGCGUGCUGGUCACAAAAAAUAUAUGUGUGUCGACACGUAAUAGUAUGAAAUAUUUAUUUUCUUUAACAACAAAAUAUAUUAAUUUUAUAUUUAUUAUGUAUUUUUAUCAAAUUUUUUGAAUUUUAUCGAAAAAAUUACUUACUAAUUGUAAGAAUAGAUGGUUUGAAGUUAUGCCAUUGGUACGGUAGCUGCAUCGUGUUGAGAUCUUACUGGCACGAUAUGGCACGGUGAAUAUGAUCUGUUUGGAUGGGUAUUUUAAUUCUUGAUUAAAAUGAUCCAGCAAAACAAUGAAGAAUCCUAAUGAACAAACCGAAUACGCAAACCUUAUGGUCGUUCCAUUCACUUCAAAAAUAUGUUUGGUUUUGUAGCAGUGAGCCACGCAAAUCCAACCAUACGUGAGCCAUCACCAAACUCUUUUUCCUCCUCUUCUUUUUAUUUUUGAAAAAAAAGAAAAACAUAACACAAUCCGCAAACAAGGAAGAGAAGAAAAACAAUUUCCCAGAGGUUUCCACCUUCAAGUGGUGAGAAUAGGAGGCAGAACUUCAGAUUUCUUGCCCUUCACAGAUGCUUUGGUGUCCGGAAACAGCCCGUCCACCGGCAGCUCAGAUAAUUCCCCUGACUCCGACACCCGUAUCGGGAACGGGAGGAGAUGUCCAGGAAGAUUGACGACACCGUCACCCACGAACAUCUCCCACAAGCUCUGCGCGACCUCGCGCACGGCUCUCACGCACUCCACGCUCUCGGGAUCGAGGCAGAUGUGGGCGAGAUGCUUGCAGUGGCUCAUGAAGUGCUCGUACCACAGCGACAUCCGGUACCCGUGGAUUAGCCCGCGGGCGCGUCCGUCAGCUCCGUUUAGAUGGGCCGGUUGGUACGAGCCUUGGACAAUCUCAGUGUCGCGGUUGCCUGCGAGCGAUCUUUGGUUCAGGUUUGCAGAUCCAACUAUCACGUACUCGUCGUCGACUGCACACGCAAGGUAAACUCCAUCAAUUAAAAAAACAGCCAAAUAUUGACAGAGGUGAGAACGACCAUAAUAUUGUUCUUUAUUGCUAGAAUAGUUGGUAAGAAUAGUAAAAAAAUUUACCGAUCAUAAGCUUCGCAUGCACAUAGAUCAGGAAGCGCCGAUUGACCUGCGCCCGCCAGUAGUCCGUGCCGCGCUCCGGCGGCUCCGGCGGGACGUACUCUCCAGGGUACUGAACCUCUCUGUUCCCCACACAGAAGAAGUUCAAAUAGUCGCAGGGGUGCGCCCUCCCGCACAAUCCUGCGUCGUCUAUCGCCUUCGCCACGAUCCCGUACAUCAUCUCCAUCGUCAGCCGGUUCCAGUGCAGGAUCGCCUGCACCGUGUCCCCCUCCGGCUCCCCCUCCGGCCACAUCGGGGUUAUGAUGUACGCCGCGAACCUCUCCCCAAGCCUGAUCUUGCUCGCGAUCUUCAGCGCAAUCUCGAUCGGCACCAAAUUCAGGCAACCGCAGUCCUGAUCCUCCUUCCACGAUGCGCAGCUCCCGAAGAAGUACUGGUUUUGUAUGUAUAUAAACCGCUUCGCCCUCCGGAUCGCUUCGACGUACGCCGAGUGUAUGCUCUGAUCGAUCGUGACGUCUUUUCCGCUCAUCAGGCCCAUUCUGGCGGCCACCGCCGGGUCGGAGGGGAAACCGACCACCGAAGCAUCGUCGAUUGAUCGGAAAACCUGCACGUUCCACGAUUCGUUAGCGUCGGGCGGCGACGGGUCCGGGAAUAUCUCUGGCCGGAUGUUCAACAAGCAAUCCGACAUCUCCCGCGGCGAUUGCUUCCUCCACCGCUGCUCGAAGUUGGCGAGCACGUCCCACGCUGCGGGGCCCUCGAGCUUCGAGUGCACGUCAUGCCACGGCUCCCGCGGCCCGCCGUGCUUCAAGUCAGCGUGGGGGAAGUUGUUCUGCUGAAAAUCAUUCAGGUAGGUCGUGUCGAGGUCCCGGAACAGGGUGUGGCUCUCGUCGUCGUACCGUCCGCCGCAGAUGUCGAUCCCACCGACGAAGCUCACGACGUGGCGCGACGACGAGCCGUCGGAGGCAGGGGCGUCAAGCGUCACCGUCUUCUGGUGGUGCGUGAACUCCGUCCCGACCUCGACGUGCUGCACGGCCGUCAGCGUCGGGUCGGCGUUCCGCGGGCAGAGGAAGCACUUCACUGCCGACCCCUCGAAGUACUUGUGAGUCUCCUCGUCAUGCGUCUUCAUCAGCCCGGCGUUCCCCAGGAAUGACACCGACGUGCGGUCCUGCCACACCAUGACCAGCACCGCGACGCCCUCCGCCGCCUUCCUCUUGAGCAGCUCGCCGACCGUGACACCCUCCGCGCCGGGGAUCAUCCGCUCGGGGUCUCGAACGAGCGUGAUGUUCACGUUCACCGACCACCCGGCCACGUAGAUAAAAUUCUGCGCCUCCAUGCAAGCGACGUAGAGGUCCUCCCAAAGCCGCGGGGGCCGGUAAUGCUUUCCGUCGGAGAGCUUCACCGCGGGGUGGAAACGGUUCGAAAGAUGGCUGUUCUGGUACAGGGUGAUGUUACAGUUCUCGCGCUGCGGGAAGUAGGAAUUUGAGAGGCCGGAGAACUGCGGGAGGCGAAUUCCGGCGUUCCAGCAGGGGUCGGAGGUGACGUCGAAGAAUCGGAGGCGGACGUGGAUUUGGGCCUUGCGGAGCUUGCGUCCGUCUUCGGCGUACAGCGGGAAAAACCCGUCGAUGGGUUCAGAAGAGGAGGGGGAGAGGAGGGCGAGGGUGGGGAUGGAGGCGAGGCCGAGGAUGGAGGCGCCGACGGGGAGCUGGUUCUUGACGGAGAAGGUGAGGGACUGGGCGGAGUGCGCGCAGUAGACGCGGAAGGACUCGUUCCAGACGGGGUUCUUGGGGUGGAAUUCGACCUCGCGGGUGCGCGCGACACGGGCGCCACCGAUGUCGAGGGCGGCGUAGAGCUUGGUGUGGGCCAAAUGGUGCAGGUGCAGGGUCUCCUCUAUCCUCUCUGCAACCUUGUGUUUGUGGAGGAAAAGAAGAGGGAAAAGCAAGUUUUAAAAUUGAAUUUUGCAGAUAGAAACUACAGCAAUUCUAAAUUUAGUUAUGAGUCCAUACUAAGCACCGCUGGUACGAGUGUCAACGGGCCGAACACGAGUGUCAGCUCAACCGGCUCGUGUUCCACUCGUUUCAUAAAUGAGCCGAACAUAAGCUGACAUGUUAAAAUUUUGAGCAGAAAAAUUCAGCUCGUGUUUAGCUUGCCGAACACGAGCUUGCUCCCAAAUAACAAAUAAAAAAAUUAUAUAUAUAUAUAUAAUUUAUGCGAUCUUACCCAUUAAAUUUUAAUCUAAUAAAUAAAAUCUUAUAUAUAAAUAAGCUUUUUUAUAAUUGAGUUUUGCUUUAUAUAAAAGCUAGGUUUUUUUUUUGGAGAGAGAAAAACAUCAAGCUAUUCUGUGUUGUUUAAUUUUCUUUAAAAGCGUUCAAACUUGAAAUUUUAGAUAUUAACUAUUGAGUCCUUAUUUAUUUCUAAAUAAAAUAAACGAAGCGGAUAGCAUGCUACCUAUCUUUUUCAAAAAAAAAAAAAAAAAAGAUUCAAACUUGAAACCUCAAGUACCAACCACCGAGCUCUUUGCCACUUGCACUAGGAACGAUUAGUUAUAAUAAGAAAAGUUGAAAAUGAGAUUUUUGAGAUCUAAACACAUAAGUUCUAAUUUGUUAUUUCCGCUUAUGCUACGAAUAGAAUAUUUAGCGAGAAUUAAUUACAAAGUACUAGUUAAAUUGUUCUUCAUCCAACAAGACUAUCUAUACCUUAAAGCAGGGCAAGUUCUUGCAUAACAAUCAUAAACAAAUCAGAAUUUUUUAAUUUCCAACACAUGCGUACGUGUUGAAUAANACAAUAUUCUUUUUAAAUUUUGCUUUAAAAUUUGAGGUCUGAUAUCUAGUAGUGUAAAAAAAUAAGCCUCUCGACAAAAAAAGAAUGCAAGAUUUGCAUUCAUUUUUGGGUGUACCAGCAGUAUUGCUCUUUUAGGAACUCUUUGUUUGAGAUAUUCCAAAAAUAUCGUAUAUUUUAAAUUUGAAAUGACAAAUUUGCUACUAAUUUAUCAGGUUGGAAGGUGUUAAGAUCUGGUAUAUUUUUAUUAAUGAACUGCUAAUAAUUUUCAGUCAAGUAUGUAAAUGAAAAUAUUCUCUAACCUAUGAUAAUCUACUAUUCCUAUACUUCACUAACACAUUUUACUCCAACUUGAGUUCCAAGAUAAUGAUUUGAAUCUUUUUAAUAAAAAAAAAUAUGAAAAAUUAUUAAAAUUUUACAAAUCUUUUUUUUUUUUUUUUUGAGAUAUAGGUAGCACGUUAUUCGCUUCGUUUAUUUCAUUUAAAAAUAAACUUAGCUGGAAAAGUGACUCAACUAGGAUUCGAACUUGGGUCUCGUGUACUAACCACCAAAUCCUUUGCCACUUGCUUUAGAGACGGUCGGUAAAAUUUUACGAAUCUUGAACCAAACUAACCCUUAAUAAAAUUGACUUCCUAAACUAGCAAAAAAAAUAUAUGCACCUAUACCUGCUUAAAAAUUUUUAUAAUAGUUUACUCAUGCUAAUGUGUGAGAUUCUUUUUGAUCAUCCUUACUUAUUAUAAUUGUCAUAAUACCAGAUCUACUCAGCUAAAAUUCUUCAUCAUAGCAUGCAAUACAUGAAGUAAACAUGGCAUAACUAGAAACUAAUUUAAGUUGGGAUAAUUAAUUGAAAAAUUACAAUGAUGAAAUCAAAACUAAGUUGAAAACUCAGAUAAAUCCAAGAAAAAAACUAACUAGCUGUCUUAAUAAUAAUAAUAAUAAUAAUAAGAAGAAGAAGAAGAAGAUCUAGAAAAACCAAUUUGUGCAAAGCUUAUUUAGCCCAAAAAAUUCAAAAAAAAAAAGAAAAAAAAGAAAGAAAGAAAAGAGAAGUUAAAUGUUGCCAAAUUGACUAGCUUUGCAUUUGAACUCCAUUUCCCCAAAGCCUACAAAUUAAAGAGACAUGGAAUCAGAUGAUCAGAAACACUACCUGAAGAAUGUGGGUGUUAAUUGCAUGGUGGAGGUGAUCUGCUUCAAAAACAGUAACAUCCAAGAUCCCAUGGAGGAGAGGAGAAUCCUCUGUAGCCAUUACUAAUUCCUCUCUUUCCCUUUCCCUUUCCCUCUCCCUUUUCCUCUUCUUCUCCAAGUCCUUAUCUUUCUCUCAAUAUUUAAGCCUCUCUCUCUCUCUCUCACUUUUUAUAUUUGCUUAGAUUAGUUAUUGUGUGGCACCUAAACUUCUCCAUAUUUAUUUUGUUCUCCCCAUCUUUUUCCUUGCACAUGUGUAUAUAAUAUUCUUAAAAGGCUUUUGGUUAUUUGCCUCUAAUUACUAUUUCAAAAUUUUUAAUUUGUUUAAAAAGAUUUUUGAAAAUCAAUAAGAAUGUUUUGGUCAAUCAGGAAUAUAUUAGAUAUUUUUAGAUUUUUGAUAGGUGUAUUAGAUAUUAUCCCUAUUCUUAAAUUGCACUAGUAAUCGUGUUUGAUGAUACUGGUUUCUAAACUCUUAAUGAAAAAUUUUUACUUUAAUUAUUAUACAUAUUUAUUGGGAUGAACUACAAUUUUCCUCCUUGAGUUUUAGCACGCAUUUUACUUUGUCGUCGUAUGGUUCAAAAAAUUGUAUUUAAGUAUCUUAUAGUUUUAUCUUAGUUUUACUGUAAAAUUCUACUAUUAAAUAGAACGGCAAAGUAAUAUUUUUGUGCAAACCACAGAACAGUAAAGUGCAUAUUACAGGUGGUAAAAUGCUAUAUUGUACCGUGCUGGUUAGCAAAAAAAAUAAUUUUACAACUCUAACUUGGUUGAUCAUUCGAUAAAAUAAAAUAAGCUACUUAGCACUUAAGUACAUCUGACCUACAGGGUAGCAAAAUAAAAAUGCGCUAAACCUUAAUAAAGGGCGAGGAGAAUUGAAGCUUUUUUAUUAUUAGAUGGCAAUUUAUUUUUCUCACUGAGUGCAUUUGAAUCUAUGAACCAUGCUUAUAUCAACUCCUUUUUUUUUUUAAUCUCACAUUUCAAUCCUACCACUUGUUACGUUACAUGUAUAGAAAUUAGACCUUCGAAUCAAAAAAUAUAAAAUAAAUGAAAAACCAAUGAAUUCAGAUUACUUUAAAGUACCAAUUAGAAAUUAAACAACGGUGGGAACUUAAGUAAGAUCUUGUUACUUGAACGACAGAUUUAAAAGUUUGAGGACUAAAAUAAAAUUCGACUUAAGAGGUCAAGGAGUAGCAGUGCAAUUUACCCCAUAUAAUUUACCCCAUAUAAUGUACUCUUAGGAUACCUAAACCUAACAUAAGACUCUUAAUUUGCAUUUAUAUAUGUGUGUAGUACUAAAGAGGUAGGUCACAUGCACAUUUGCUUCAUCCAAUCAAAAAUUAAAUUAAACUUUGUUUAUCUACUGGGGUAGGUGAUGAUGAAUAGGCUACUUUAUUCUAGGGAGGUGGUAAGUAACUUUUCAAUAUUGGGGAACUCUCUCAAUGGAGGAAUUUUCUAUAUUGGAUACAUGAACCAUAAGAUGAUAAGAGAGAGAGAGAGGACUUUAAAAGUGGGUGCUUUAUUUGAUGUUCACAUUGCAAUUUCCUUGGUUGGCCUCUUGGGACAAAAUUUUUUGCAUAUACCAGGUGCAUCAGAACAUCGUGCACCGCCCAUCUAUCAGUCUAUCUUUAAUCACUGCUAAACAGCUGUGGUCGAUACAGUUUGACAGACCGAAAAAGUUAGACUCGAUUGAACUCAGAAUCUCUUGUUUUGAUAGUAUGCAAAAUAGCAUAUUACUUCGAAAGGUUAAGCUGAUAGAGAAUAAUAUUCUAAUAUUAGACAAUCACUUUGCGUCAAUUCAACUGCUCAUUUGUGUGAUGAAGAGGUUAUAAACUAAUCCAAUUACGCUGUGUAAAUAUGUAAAACCUAAAGAUAGUUAUAACUUGCAUACAUUUCAAAAUAAAUAUAUAAUAAUAGUUAAUUGGAUAAUAUAUAUUUUACGUAGAAUCUCAGUUACAGAAGAUAUAGAACAGACAUAGGAUGAAUAGCUGAUAGAUGCACCCGGUGCAGCAAUAAAUGUCAUUCUCGGGAGUCUAAAUUACCUUUUUUUUAAUAGCUGAUAGAUGCACCCCGUGCAGCAAUAAAUGUCAUUCUCGGGAGUCUAAAUUACCUUUUUUUUUUUCUUUGGUAUUGAAUAAAGGAGGCAUCAACUGUUGGCUUACUUUUGAGUCAGCAAUAGAUUUUUUUUUUUUUUUCUGAAAUGGCUAAAUUACAAUUUUAGCCCUCAAAUUAUGGAAGGCCCGAUAUUUUGGUUCUUAAAUUCUAAUUUUUAACUCAAACUUUCUCAAUUAUUGUAAUAAAAUCUCAAAACUCAAUUUAAUUAGCUAAAUAUUAAUAAAUUAUUAUCAAAUUAUCAAUUAUAAUACUUUCCUAUCACUCGUAUAUCAUUAAUUUAUCAAUAUUUAACUAAUAAAAUAUGAUCAAAUUAAUAUAAAGUUUAAGUCGAAUCAAAUUAGGAUUUGAUCGAUCUAACCAAUUAAGAAAAGGAUAAAUUUAAAUAUAGAUUUGUACUUAUCCUUAGUUGUCAUUAUAUUAUUAGAAAGAGGAUUAUAUUCCUCUAUAUAAUAUACGGGAGUUUUUAUAAAAUAACGUCCUUUGCAAGGGAGCUAACACUCCGGUGAGGAUAUCGAUUAAAUCAAGAUCGAUAAAAUUAAGAACGUUGUGUGGAUACCUAUAGAGGCUGGACGCGUGUGCGGCUUUAAGAGAACCCGAUACCACGAUCAUCAAAUUAAGGUGAAGAUUUAUCCGCGAAUAAGAUAAAGAAUCAAUCUUACUUUUCUCCUUUAAUCUUAAAAAAUAUGAGGGAUCCUAAUUGCGUGGUUUUUGAGAUUGGAUCUCAAGAGUUUUCAAAAUCAAAUUUGUUUUAUUUCUUUUUCCGCGAUUUUAAAAUUAGAUUUUAAAAUUUGAUUAUAAUUGUUCUGAAAAUCAUUACCGGCCGUCCCUAGCGCAAGUAGUAAAGGGCUUGGUGGUUGGUACCUGAGGUCCCAAAUUCGAACCCUAGUUGAUUCAUAUUUCCAACUAAAUUUAUUUUUAAAUGAAGUAACGAAGUGGGCAGCAUGUUAUCUAUUUCUCAAAAAAAAAAAAAAAAAACUGAAAACUUGAACAAAAAAUUAUAAUGAAUUAAAAUUUGAAGACCAAAAGUUUGCGCGUCUCAGAGACUAGUCUAGUAAAGAUAUUGAAAGCCACUAUGCAGCAUUCAUACAUGCAAAACAUGUGAUGUGUUCAUUCAAAUAGUUGUUCUCAUUCACAUGACAGAUAGAAUACAGCUGGUUUCUUGAACAACUUUUUUACCUUUUUUUUUUUUAAUUGUGAAUAAAAAAAACUUGUUAAUAUCUUUGUUAAAAGAAAUAGCUAGAUGUUUGGCAUUCGAAUGUGAGCUUCUGCUUUGGAAAAUAGUUAGAAUGAACUUAUAUUAAGCCUCAAAUAUAACUACUUUCGCACUAGGCUUGCUUAACCCUCUUAAUCUCUUAAGUCUAAUCACUGCCCAAAGUAUGAUAGUCGGGCUAAGAGAUUUAGCUAUAUUAUAUCUUAUAUAUUUAUGAUUAUUUUUAAAUUUCGGGAGUGUCACAUUUUUCUUCCUUUUUGCCCUGAUGUUCUUAUUAGGCUCUUGCACACUCAUAAGAAUCAGACGAUGUGAGACUUGUUUUGCUAGUUUUAUUAUUCAAAUCUUAACUCAGGCUCAGUCGAGACUCUUUUUACACUUCAGACUAGUGGUUAGCUCUGAUACAAAUUAUGAUGCCUCGCUUUUCGGAGGCGGGUCACCCAUCUUGCAAUUAUUUUGGCCAUAGAUUUGCUUAACCAUCGUAACCGGUUGAAUCUAGCUACUAUCCAAAUAUUAUAACUGGAUUAAAAAUUUUAGUCCCGUUAUACCUUAUAUGUAAAACUAUUUCAAAUUUUGAGGCGUUACACGCAGUCCGUCCAAGUGACCUUCUAGAAGGCAAUGUGGAAUUUAAUUGUAUUUCCAUGCUUUGCUUUGAAUGAGGUUACUCAAAUGUUAAUUUUCGUGGUCUAGAAUAAUAAGCCAAAGGAAUCUUCCAAGCCAAGAAAGUAUCAAACUAUCAAUGCUUAAAGACUAAGGAUGGAAGAGGGGGAUCAUGCAAAAUGAAUAAUGUAACUACUUUGACUACACAUAGAUAUGAUAUAUUAAAAAAAUAUUAUUUAGUUGUAUAUCAUUAUUAAAAAAAAAUUUAAAUACCUCUUCUGUGGUUUCGCACUUUUUUUAUUUUAGUACCAUGUAGUUUAAAGUGUAUUAAUUUAGUAUCCCGUAGUUUUAUUUUUCUCUUUUUAUUAUCCCCUCUAUUUUUUUUUCGUUAAAUUAAUGACACAGUUAAAACUAGAAGGUACUAAAGUGAAUAUUCGAUAAACAUAGGUGUGGUAUUUGAAGUUUUUUGUAUGUAAUUUGAUAAAAUAUUAACGGAGGCGCUGACGAAAAAAAAAGAAUUACAGAGUACUAAAUUAAUACACUUUAAACCAUAGAGUACUAAAGUUAAAAAGUGCGAAACCACGUGAAUGAUAUUUAAAAUUUACCCUUAAAAAAAAUAAUUUAUUAUUAAUUAGUGUGCGAAAAAAAAAAUAUUAUAUCGUUAUCACAUUGUGUGGUGUGACUUGCUUACACAGAUUAUUUAAAAUUAAACUUGUCCCAAUCAAGGAAUAGAAGAAUAAAUUUAAAGGCCUAAUAAAAGUUCGUUUACGAAAGCCAAUUCAAUCAGAUGAAAUCGAGGAAUUUUACAAAGAUUAAUAUGAUUUAAUUGAAGUGACAUCACCAUAUAUAAAAAUAGAUAAACAUUGUGAUAACGAUAAAGAAAACAUAGAGAAAAUUGUCUCAAGAAAAAAAAAAGUAAGGAUAAUUUGAGUAAUUAAUUCUAAAUUUAAAAUGUUUAGUCUUUAUAUAUAUAUAUAUAUAUACUCACGCAUAUUCUCUUUUCCAUUCAAUAUAGGAUCGUUGAACUAUUACAGGUUCAAAUUUUUUUUUUGGGAGCUUUAAUUUAAUAUUAUCAAAUAGUGGUGAGAAUUGUUACUAGAGAACGAUCCAUGGACCAUGAUGCUUUAAUUUAAUUUUAAUAAUGAACCAAAUAUUUUUGAGUGAUUUGAUCAUUCUAUUAUUCAUUUCAAUAUAAUUCAAUUUCAUUUUCAAUUCUCAUUCUAAUCAUGAAUCAAAUAUCCCCUAAACGGAGUUGGCGACGUAGCAAUUAUAUAUGCUUCUUUGGUUCUUGAUUCGACCCUACAAAUUAUAUUUUAAUCAAAUCAAUGCGAUCAUUUAUGAAAUAGAAAACAAAAUGGAAUAUUUUCUGAAUAAAGCCUGAUUACUAGUUUCGAGGGGACCAAAAAUAUAUAAUAUACUAGUUUCGAGGGGACCAAAAAUAUAUAAUAUAUUUAUUUUUUAAAAAAAUUAUAAAGAAAAUUAAGAAGACAUAAGUGUUUUACGAAAAGAAAUUUACUCUGAUUUAUAUAAUUUUUAAAGAGUUGAGGGGGGCCAGGACAAUUGUCGGCCAUCGGCACCUACACAAAUUGCGGUUGCGGCCCAAAUAAAUUAAACCCGGUCCAAGAUGUGGCCCGGCCUGGUUAGUUUUCGAUCCAACGGUCCACGGUCAUUGAGCGGGAAAACGAAGCUCCCUAUUCGUAUUACGAUUUGUGUGAGCAAAAUCGCGCUCCAAAAUCCCCCCCCCCCCCCCCCCCCCNUGAGAAACUGCCACGUGGCGGUAAGUAAAACCCCCGGAACUCCACCCCAGAACCACCCCCCCUCUCUCUCUCUCUCUCUCUCUCUCUCUCUCUCUCUCUCUCUCCUCGCCGGAGCCGAUGGAGAGGAUCCACGUCGCCGUCCGAGCGCGGCCGCUAUCGCCGGAGGACGCGAAGAGCAGCCCUUGGAGAAUCGCCGGCGACUCCAUCCACCUCUCCUCCAACCAAUCCACCAAAUUCGAAUUCGGUUCUUCUUUUUACCUUUUCUUCCCAAUUUCUAGGUUUCAAGUUUCAAUUUCGAUCUCGUUUCGAUCUCUGUUCUAUUCCAUCAUCAUUUUCAAGUUUGUUGUCGCGUUUCCGCGCAGAUCGGAUCUUCGGGGAGGAGUGCAGGACCGCCGACGUCUACGCGGCCCGGACGAAGGGCAUCGUCGCAUCCGCCGUGCGCGGCUUCAAUGGUACUCCCUGAAUCGACUCUUCACCCUCCGUGUAUCCAGUAUCCGCUAAUUUCUGAGCUCGAUGAUCGAUUUUGUGGCAUCACAAUUGAUUGGUCUAGUAGAUUUGUCCACAGGAUGAUUGAUUUUUUUUUUCUUUUUUUCUUGGGGGAAAUUAGGGUUUUGAUGCAAUCUUGAAUUCUCUGGAGACGACAUUGUUUGGUCGUUAGAAUCGAUGCUAAUGAUUCAUUUGACUGUAGAAUCAUCGAUAAGAAUGGAUAGAUAUUAGUGGAACACUGCCCAAAUGAGGGACAUCGUGGCGUCCGCCGUGGGCAGGUUCAACGGUACUUCCGAAAUCCACCAUUCCCUCUCUGUUCAUUGAGCAUCUGCUAAUUUCUGAGCUUGAGGGAUUUUGUAGCAUCAGAGAGGAUAGGUCUAGUGGAUUUGUGUAUAAGAUGAUACAUUGUGCCAAAAUUAGGGUUUCUGAUGCAUUUUGUAAACUCUCAUGGAAUCAUGGAUAAAAAUGUUUAGAUAUUAGCAGAACUAUAACGCAUUUUGAAAUCGAGCCUUAAAAGUUUGAUAGCAAAUUUGAAAUAGGUGCCUGAAUUUUAAAGGUUUUUAUUUUACUACCUAACUUUACAAUAUCUUCAUGAAAUGUUCUGUCGAGUAAUGGAAAUAUUCUAUUAGCAAUUUGGGUUUUGGGUUCUCCCCCCCCCACCCACUACCCCAUAUCUUGUUUAGAAACUUCUGCAUGAGUUGAAAAUUGCCUUGACUUUAUUGAUAUCUUUUUCCUAGAAGCUGUUGAAAUGCCAUACUUAUUCAAUUUAAUUUGACGGCCAUCGGACCCUUUUGUUUACUCAUAUGACAUAUCUUUUAAACAGGUACAGUUUUUGCAUACGGACAAACUAAUAGUGGUAAAACAUAUACAAUGAGAGGAUCUGCUGCUGAACCAGGGAUUAUUCCUCUCUCCGUGCAUGAUUUAUUUCAUAGUAUUCAAGAGGUGGUUUCCCUUCUUUUCCUCUCUCUUAUUUGUUUUCUUUCUACUCACUGUUCUGCGUGCCAUCCUAUCGGUCUCAUAGUUCUGGUCUUAGCUAUGAAUUUUUUGUUUUUGGUUCUCAAGAACUUUACUCUUGCAUUUGUUUGUUCUCUUGGCUUCUAAUUUGCGUAUAGUUUGUUUAUAUUUGUAGUAGGUAAUUGUUUGUUUUCUCGCUCGAGCUCACUGUCCACUUUAUCAACCCGAAACAUGUUUAUUUAUGAAGUAUACUUGCAGUGUUUGAAAAGGUGCGAGGCGCAAAAAGACGCAAGACCUUUCUGGAGCCUAGGCGCGAGGCGCACUGCGAGGCGCGCCUCAAGAAGGCGAGGCGCACAUUUACUAAAUCUAAUUUAAUUUGAUAUUCCACAUUAAAAAAACUCCAAAAUAACCAUACAAAAGUAAAAUAACUAUCAAAAAGAAAAGAAAUUUGUUUUGCCAGGCUGAAGCUAGCAGCAUCAGCGUUUUUGGAUUCCAAUUCCAACAAGAAACUCUUAAGGGCUUGUUUGGUUCAUCUAUUCUGGGAAUGGAAUGGGAAUCGAUUUGAUUAAAUCCGGUUAAUUUUGUUUGGUUCGCAUGAAUCGGUUUGGGAUUCCUAUUCCGGACUGGAAUGAGAAUGGCCCAUUAGCCUUCAACUUGAUUCCGGUCUUCUAGCCCGGAUUGAGAUUUCAUUCCGAAAGCCUACUAAGUUCUCGAAGCCCAUGUGACCGUCUCACCCUCCUUCUCUUCACCCCUUUCUCAUCAAAAAAAAAUAAAAAACCUAUCCCCUCUCAAAACCCUAUCCCUAACCCACAUCAAUAAAAGUUUUUAAAAAUAAAUUUAAUUUUUUUUGGAAAACUUAUUAGAGAAUAGUAUUAUAUUUUUCAUAAAUUUUAAAUAAUAUAAAUUUAUAUUUGAGAGUAAAAUUAGGAUUAUAGUAUCCUAUAAUUUUUUUAGUUUAUACGAACCAAACAAUGAAAUGUGAAUAACUCAUUCCAAUUCCCAAUUCACAAAUAAACCAAACGUCUUGAGGGAGUGGACCAUUCCAAUUACCAUUCCAAUUCAUUCCCAUUCCAUUAUCCAUUUCAAUUCCACCCUUGAACCAAACAAGCCCUAAAUGUUUUCAUUGCCAAACACUUGGCAUCUGCCCUAGAUGAAAAAAAAAAAACAUUUGGGAAAGAAUAAAAAAAUCUUAAAAGGAAUCAAAUCCUAUAAAUAAUAACUAAAAACAAGUUCAAAACAAAAUACUGGAUCAAGAAAUAUGCAAUCGAANCCUAUAAAUAAUAACUAAAAACAAGUUCAAAACAAAAUACUGGAUCAAGAAAUAUGCAAUCGAAACAAAAAAAGUAAAAACAUAUGGGAAAAAAAAGAAAAAUCUCAAAAAUACAUCAAAUCCUGAAAAAAAUAACUAAAAAAUAGAUUCAGAGGAAAAAUAUUGGAGUAUAGAGGUAAUACUUACUUGAUUGCUGCUUGUUCUUGCUUUUUUGCUGCCGCUGCUCCUGUUUCUGCUGCUGCAGUGCCGCUGCAAAUAAAAAAACUGAUGCUGCUCUUGACAAUGGAUGCUUACUUAGUGCUGACCACUGCUCCUCCUUGCUUCUUCCUACUGCGGAUGCUUGCUGGAUGCCAAGUUGCCCACGGACAAAGAAGGGAUAGGGAGAGGAGGGCGGUAGAAGGAGAGGGCAGUAGAUGAUUUCAUUAGGGUUUUUUUUUUAUGUUUCUUAUAGAAUCUUUUACUAAGCUUAUCGGGUUAAAACAUAAAAUUUAUAUCCGAAACCCAACAACCCGAAAACCUUAAUCCAAAAUCCAAGAAAUAUUAAAUAUGUUGAGGCGCGCGCCUUAUGUGCGCCUCGCGCCUCGCCUGAGGCGCGCGCCUCAGGGCCUAGGCGCGCGCCUCAGCAAUAGCUCCUCGCCUCGCUAUUGCUGAGGCGCUGAGGCCCGAGCCUCGCGCCUAGGCGCUGAGGCCCGCGCCUCGAGCCUAGGCGCUGAGGCGCACACCUCAGGCGCGCCUUUUCAAACACUGUAUACUUGUCAAUCCUUGCUGAAGAAUUACAUGUACUGUGAUGCAUUAUUGUAAUUCAUGAGAUGGGAAGUACGUAGAAGUAUAGAACAUUCAAGUACUAAGAAUUGCUGGUACAUGGCAAGGUUGUGGUUGCAUGCAGGAGGAUAAUACAGGUUUGGUGGUAACCAUAUGAUAGGGAGAUGAACAGUGUAACCCAAAAUGAUUUAAGAAAGAGACAUAUAAGAAGAUAAGGCAGGCGUAGAGGGAUCAGUUUGAGAGGUUGAGCUUGGUUGGUGACACAGGUGACUUUAGAUUGAGGUUAAAUGGCUGUUGUGGAAAACGAGCACCGUGGACCUUCAUUGAGUUAGGCCCCCUCUAUUGAGGUCCCUUUUCACGAUUAUGCAACCUUGGUUGUUCAUCCAGUUACCGCUACAUUAUGUCUUUCAUAUUGCCUUGUCAAUAUCAAAUUCCUGAUAGUUUUUUUAGUUUGAGUUUCAGAAAGUAAAUUUAAAAAUGAUAUGUGGACUAUAUAUUGUUUAUCCUUGUUUUUGUGCUCUGAUAACUUAGCACCAAGGACAACAUAUUGGCGUCGACCGAUAUUCAUGUCUCGUGUAGUGGUCUGUUGUAUAUCACUAAUUCAUGUGGCCUUACAUGUCAUCAUUACUUUCUUGUACCUUAGGAUGUAGAUAGGGAAUUUCUUGUUCGCAUGUCGUACAUGGAGAUAUACAAUGAGGAAAUCAAUGAUUUACUGGCCCCGGAACAUCGGAAGCUACAAAUUCAUGAGAACCUUGAGGUGAAUUUGAACUUUUCUGACCACACAAUUGUUUUCUCUUCAUUAUACAUGCAUUCCUGCAUUGUUUACAAAUCUUUGUCUUUGAAGAGGGGUAUAUAUGUUGCUGGUCUGAGAGAAGAAAUCGUUACCUGCCCUGAACAAGUCCUUGAUCUUAUGGAGUUUGGAGAAUGUAUGGUUUCUUUACUUUAUCUUUUUUUAUUUUUCUUGGCCUUUUCCGUUGUAACAAUUGAAAGAUUGGACAACUGAUGCAGCUCAUCGUCACAUUGGAGAGACAAACAUGAAUCUCUAUAGUAGUAGGUCUCAUACUAUAUUUCGCAUGGUACAGUUUUAUUUUUUUUGUUUCUUUUCUUUAUUUCUUUAGCUAUACGAGUUCUUUUCCUUUAUGGUAAAUACUAUUUGAAUCGUAUUGCAGAUAGUUGAAAGUCGAGAAAAGGUUGAAGACAAUGACUUGGGUGACUCUUGUGAUGCAGUUCGUGUAUCUGUUCUUGUAUGUAUAGACGGCCAGUGUAGUUUCACAUUAGGUUUAUUUUUUCUCUUUUUCCUUUUUUAUCUGUUAAUGUGAGAAUUCUCUUAUGCAUAUGUUUAACUAACAUCUACUUCAGAAUUUAGUGGAUUUAGCUGGAUCAGAACGUGCAGCGAAGACCGGUGCAGAAGGUGUACGCUUAAAGGAGGGUUCUCAUAUUAACAAAAGCCUAAUGACACUUGGGACAGUCAUUAAAAAAUUAAGUGAAGGUGCCGAGAGCCAAGGGUAAGUUGUAGCGGCUUCCCAAAGGCCACUGUCAGCUGAGAUAAUAUAUUGGGGCUUUCGCACACUCACUGACCUUCACAAAUAUUUACAUAUAUAACCUUGUCAAGUCUAAAACUUAAUGUAUACACUUCCAUAACAAGCGUUGCUGACAAAGUACCAUUAUCUCAAUUGGGGAGUCAUACCAAUUCAUGAGGGGCAUAUUUGAAAAUUCAUAUUUUGUGGGGAUAUGCAAUAGAUGAUUUCAAAUAUCUCUGUACUGUAGGAUAUUCCUUAUGGUGAAUCUUGAUUACAGGGGUCACGUGCCUUACCGGGACAGCAAACUUACGCGUAUUUUGCAGCCUGCUCUUGGUGGUAAUGCCAACACGGCCAUCAUUUGUAACAUAACUCUUGCACAGGUGCAUAAACUUUACUUGUGUUCAUCUCAGUAUGGUAUUCAUCACUUUGUGUUUUAUGCCAUACUACAAUGAUGUAUUCUCAAUUGCACUUGUCUAAACAUUGGCUCUAUCUUAUUUGAGUUGGCAGGUUCAUGCUGAUGAGACAAAAAGUAGCCUCCAGUUUGCAAGUAGAGCUUUGCGUGUUACAAAUUGUGUUUGUGUGAAUGAGGUCUCUUUCGCUAGUGGAAUUGCUAGUUCUCUCUAGAUUUGAGAUAUUUGAUUCUUGGUAUAUCUAACUGGUUUGCUGUUUGCUUGAUAGAUUCUCACAGAUGCUGCUUUGUUGAAGCGCCAGAGAAAAGAAAUUGAAGAGCUUCGAGCAAAAUUGCUGGUUUUUUUUUUUAUUUGUUAUUAUGUUCUUUGUGUUUGAUACUUCUAGAACAUCCAAUAAUAGAAUUUUCCUUUCCCUUCGAAUAGAGUUCUCACUCAGAGCACUGGGAAGAAGAAAUUUUGAACCUACGAAACACACUGUUGCAGGUUAAAUUUAUUCUUAUGGAUUGUUCAUCCUUCAUAGGAGAAAGCUCUUUUUUAUAUUAGCAAAAUGUCCUUAAAGUUGGAGACUGUUUGCUAGAGUGAGCUUGAGAAGGAGAGGAUUGCUUUAGAGUUGGAAGAGGAAAAGAAAGCUAAAGCUCAUCGGGAGAGGAGAUUGCAAGAGCAGGCAAAGAAAAUUGCAAAUCUCAGUUCAUUGGUUUUAUAUUCAGAAAGGGACGAGAAGGCUGCAACCCUAACAAAGGUUCCUUUUUUCUUUCCUUUUUUUUUUUGCCUGCUUCCUAGCUGCUUGUUGCCAUAGCACACUCAUGAAGAUUCUCUCUCUCUCUCUCUUUUUUCUUUUUUCUUUAUGUAACUUAUUCAUUAGUUGUUAGUUUUCACUUUUUAAGAGUGUCCUGUCUUGUAAACAUUUUAGCUAGCCUAGCUUGUUAUGGGUUGCUUUGGAAGCGUUAGCUUGGCAUAGUUUACCUUUCUAUCCUUGGAAUUUGAAAUUUUGAUGGCAGUUUUAUUUGUUUGGCAAAUUCAUGUGUAGUGUUAGUUUGUCAAUCAAUUGAAGUGCCAGUAUUGUUUGUCAAUCAAUUGAAACAUUUCGUCCACAUUUUAAGAAGACCAGACUUUUAUCAUAUGCCACAUUAGGUUAAAAUAUUCUCUCUCUUAUAUUUGAUCCCUUAUCUUUCAUUGAAAUACCCGAGACGACUUAUUUGGUUAUGUCAUCCAUUGGUGCCUUUUCCAUUCAAAAUCUCUGAUGUCUGCCAGCAACUGAGCAUAUUAACUACCAAUCAACAGAGAUUGUGGGCGAAAAAUAAAUCCAGGUAUGACUUAAAAGAAUUUUGGCAAGUUCAGAGACCAAUCUGUUUAAGGGUAUAGUCAGGACAAAAAUUGUAAAUUGUGGCUGAUGUGUUUUUAAGUUUGACAUUUUUUUUUUCAAAAAAUUUAUGAGCUUUUCAGUUUAUUUGUUUAUUUCCUUUCCUUUUCUUUCCAUAUAUCAUUUUACGUUUACUACUAUAUGUCAACUGAAACUCAAUUUUACCAAUUGAUUUUUCAUAUCCAUGCAGAAUAAAAGAAGGGUAACAUGGUGUCCAGGACCCUCCUCGAAUCAGUUAAUGGAUGAGGUAUAACAGUUGUGAUUACUCCUGUAUUAUGUAUAAUUUUUUAGGCUGUAAAUAUAUGUUCGUCAGAUAGAUGUAGUUUUGUUAUUGCUUCCAAGGCUCUUGUUAUGGCUUAUUCUUGUUAGAACUCGCUCUUCCUUCAAUUAAUGCAUUGAAGGUCCACAUUUUUGUUCGUUUUAGUUUUCGUCUUCUGAACAUACAUGCCAUUGGUUUUGAUAUUCUUUAUGUUAUUAGCCAAUGCAAUGAAAAAGUUGAAAUAUUAUGGGUUAUACUGAUUUCAUUUUAUCGGCUGGAAUCUACUCUAAUUUAUUAUCUGUUUCUACCCUGCAAAAGGUGAACCUAUUUCAAGUUGCUUUGUCUUCAUGUUUCUUUUUUCCCUAGACAAUUUGGAAGAGCCUGUACCUUUGUUCCUUCAUGUUUCCAUCGACUUGUUUAAUGCACAAGGUGAAUGAAUGGUAUGUUCCAAGUCAGCAGGGCCGGGAAUUUGCUGAUCUAAGAUAGAAUAAACAACAUAUUGUCUAUCAGAAAUUAGUUCGAGAGCGAAGUAUUUCAUUUUAGUCGGAAUCAGCUCAAACAUCUCAAGGACAAACUUCAUUGAAAAACGGGUAUACAGCAAUUAGCAACAUUUAAGGAUCAUUUAUUAGCAUGUGUUGUUUCCUCUAUGGUUUUAUGAUCUUUUGUAUACAUUGGCACAAAGCACUCCAAAAUAUCACCUAAAUAUAUACAAAUUUAUUAUGAUUAUUCUAAUUUAUAUAUUGAUGUUGAUCUUUCUGAAAAUGAGACUUCUCAGCUGAUACUUAGUCUAAAACUUGAUGCCGCCAAACUAGAAACACUGAAACAGGGAAGUGAAACCAACAUUGUGAACUUUUUAGGGGCAAUUUUUUAGCAAGAGGAAUACCUUUAGAUAAUUUACUUCUUCUACAAGCUAGACCAUACUAAUACUUAUUCUACUCGAAUUGCAUAGUUAGCAUCUUUAAAAAUUAGAAAUGUCGUAUUUAGUGUUUGUCAUUGAAUGCUUGAUGCAACUUUAUUUGAGUUGUCUUCAGGUGUUCACUUAUGAUAAAGUAGCUAUGGCAAGAGAAUCUACCGGACAUGAGCGACGCAGGGGCUUGCUACCACCUUUUGAAAAAUUGAUGCAAGAAAAUGAGAUUGCUGAGGAUGACCUUUCGGAUAAAGAUACUGAGGAUAUUUUUCUUCCUGAUGUGCGUUCUCUCUUGCAUGUUACAAACAGAAGAAAAAUAAAUGUCAAUGCGACUGAUUCCUUCUUGGUGUGUAUACUGUUUACAUUUUCUCUUUAACAAAUUGUUUAGAUGUUUCAAAUUGGUUGAUGUAACUUUUGUCAUUGUACUUGCUAGGAAAAUGAACAGCCGGUGAACCAAUCAGAAAUUGUAGAUCAAAACCUAGAAGAUUAUGAUACCCAGGUUCUUAUUCAUUUCUUAUUUCAUUUUGUGUUAGAUGCUUUGCUAUUCUAUUUAAGGAUAUAUAUUCUCAUGCAGAAAAAACCUGGGGAUUUUGAAUCUGAAGUGUCAACAAUUAAAUUGGAGUUUGAACACACUCCUGGAAGGACUAUCUCUUCCAUAAGCCGAAAAAAUGGAAGAAAAAGCUUAACUAUGAGAGAGUCAGAAGCAAUCCUCGUGAUCAAGCAACUCCAGGAUCAGGUUAUUCAUAUCUAAAUCAACAAUAUGUUCCUUGUUUAGACUGAAGUUGCAUUGUCAUGAUGCUGUGUUUCUUUUGGCAGAUUAAAUCAUUAGAAAUGGAGAAGGCUUCAAUUCAAAAUAGUUUGGAUGAUGUUCUUGAGUUAGCAACUAAACAAAACCUCUCUUUCAAUGAGAAGUAUGAUGAGGUAAAGAGUGCUAUGCUUUGUAGUAGUUUGACUCAUUAAAUCAACCUUUAUCAUACUAAUUUUCAUGACGUGAAAUCGCUUGUCCUAUGACUUUAUGUUAUUUAUUUUUUGAUGUCUCAAUUUAGUUUCUAUAUUGAGUGUUUUGAAACAGUUUGUGAAAAUACCAAGCAAGGAUUGUCUUGCUGCUCAGGAUGGUGAGCAUAUGCCUUGACAAGUAAACCAUGCUACAAUAGCUAGUUUAGUACUUCCAUCAAUCCUUCCAUUUGAAUAUUUUUCCUUUGUCAAAGAUCGACGGCGGACUCAAAUUUUCAUGAUCAACUAAACUUUGUAUAAAAAUACCCACUGAAUGAUACACAAGCUACACGAAAAAAAAUCCACUGAGCUUUCUGUUACCAAUUCUUUCUAUACAAAGUAUUGUAUAGUUUACAAUACCUUAUUCAGGUAGAACACAAUCUACCCCAAUUCAUUAGUUUCUUCUUAGCCAGAUGAUUUCAUUCUACCUUGAUAUACUGCAAUAACCUGAUUAAACUAAUUAAUUUUUUCUGAUUUUUGAUGUUUAGAUAAUAUAUUUUGACGAUUAUAAUUCACAUGGAAGUGGACUGUUUUUCCUAAUCGUGUUUUAAAGGUUGAUGCUCUUGAAACAAUUCUUGUUCAGAUGUGUCAUAAUAGCAUAUAAGAAGUAGUCUGGAUAUUUGUGAUGCAGACCGUGAAAGUGAGUAAAUAAUAAUUGUUUUUCUGUUUUUUUUUUUCUUUUGGUUUCUUUGGCUCACAUAAUACUACUAGACUACAUUUAGUAGACUACCUACUUUCUGUGAAUUCCAUUCUUCUUUGAUAUUGUAUUAUCCAUUCAACUUACGUUACGUUUCUCUGUAGGAGUUAUGCGUGUUUUUCUGGCACGUGUCAUUUUAUUCUUCUUCAAUCAAAUAUGUGCGUCUUUUUUGUGAUUAUUUCUUUUUCCUUGCAUGUAGCUCCACCAAGAGGCUCUAAAGGCACAUGAGGAGGCUAGACUUGCUUGUGAGCAACUAUGUUCAGUUGCACCUGAAGAAUCUUAUGAAGUAUGUGCAUCACUGUUUUUAUAUACAUUUCAAUUGACUCUUUAACCAAUUCUAGAAGGUGCUAGUGAUUUUUAUUAUGCAACACUCACAGCAUUCCCUUCUUUUCUUUUCUUUUCUUUUUUUUUUUUUCAAAUUUCUCAGGAACUUGCAGCUGGUCCCUCCACUUUAUUAACGGAAAUCGAUAGCGUAGUACUACACGUUGAUCAAUCAAGACAGACUGUUGACGAUGUUCUAUCUUUUGUUGAAGAGCUCUUCCAGUACUUCUCCAACCUUUCAGAGAUGUUACUGGUACCACUUAUAGCUAUUAUUGCAGUAAGAUAGAUCCGUAAUAUUAGCAUCGAGUGAUUUGCACAUUUUUAGUAAUGCUAGGUCUAGUUGCUUGUUCCCAUCAAUUCAAAACAAACUUGUACAAACAUACUUGGGUAUAUCUCAUAAACUUUUGUGGUUGUUAACUAUUUACAAGUCAUACAAUUUGCCAUCUGAUGUGAAGUGGUGGUGGUGAUUGUUAUCAUUAUAAUAGUUUGUUGUGUUUUUCCGAAGAAUGAACUAUUACUUUUAUUAAUUAUUAUGAUUGCUGCAUUUAAAACCUAUUUAUGUGAAAGACUGAUCUUCAAAAGGUUCAUGGUUCAUGGCCAGUUUCUUUUGCUGUGACAACAGAUGAGGAGGUGCUACAGUUUGUUGAUAAAUUCUUUUUUCCCAACUUUUACAUAUAAUAAGGGUGUAAGAUGUGAAAUCCUCCCAAAAAUCAUACAAGAUCCAUAUUUUGACUUAUGUUGUGUCCCGUUCUGUAGUUUUGUUGUUCAUGCUUUUCCCUCCCUCUGUUUUUUGAGAGCUGCUUACAGAUGUAGGCUUUAUUUUUGCAGAUAACUGGGUUGGUGAAUCUUCCGUCGUUUCAUAUCUUUCAUGUCUUUUUUGUUUUUGUUUUUGUUUUGUAGGAACAAAAAUCAUUUGCUUGCCAAGAUAUGAUACAACUAAGAUCCAUCAUCAGUGGACAUGAGAAGAUAAACGACUGCAUGAUGAAAAAAAUUAAUGAAGCUGUGUUAGAGAAGGUGUGACUGGCGAAUAUACCCAAUCUGGCUUAUGAUGCUUCCUGAAAAAUGAAACUUUCUAACUAUGAAUUUUGAUCUAUUGCAAGUGCAGAAGUUUUUACAUGAUCAGUGUGUGGAUUAUCAGAAUGAAACUCAGAAGCUGAAGUCCAAUCUAGACUACUCUGAAAAGGCUAUGGCUGUCAGUGACAAGUUCAAUUAUGUCUCCUGUAUUUUCUCUCUUUUCUGAGGCCUCAUUUUAUUCUAUAGGCUUUUCAUUUAUGCUAGGAGCUCAACCUUCAACAUGACUUGGAGAAGGAUAGCAUCUGUUGUCAACUACUCAAUCUUCAGAAGGAAGUUACAUCCAUGUCAUCGUCUUCUUUAAUGAAGGAAAAGGAAUCUCUAAGAAAGGAGCUGGAUAAAACAAAAUCAAAGCUGAAAGAAACUGAGUCCAAGCUUAAGAAUUCCAUACAAGACAAGAUAAAACUCGAGGUUACUAAAGUUCUACUGUUUAUGCUUUAUUAACUAGUUCAUGGGACGUGUCAUUGUCAUCAACCUUUUGCUUUUCCAGAGUGAGAAAGCGCAGGCGGAACGAGAAAUAAAGCUCUUGCAUAGCCAAAGGGCUAUUCUUGAACGCGACAUUAGGAAACGUGAGUCUCUAAUUGACAAAAAGCGUGAAUCAAAAUUACCUGACUUUCACAAGCCAAAGGAACAUACUGGGGUGGUUGACCAAGCUCUUCAGGUGCUUUUUACUGGCCUUGAAAUGUAGAUCUUACUAUCUUAAGAUUAAAGCUAUUUUGUUUUAUUUUUAUUUAUCAAUAUGUUAUUAUCUUCCCUACAAAUCCCCACAUAAAUUUGACAAAUAUUGUGCCUAUCAGAUAGUAUUGUUGAAGUUUCAAAUUUGAGAAAGGGUCUAAAAUAGAAAUAAUUUUAAUGUCAUAUUAUCACCUGACGACUGACGUGAUGCCAAAUUUCUGGUGGAGAGAACUCAAGUGAAAGAUUUACUUGCUCUUGCUGAUUAUCGUUUAGACGAAGGCAACAUAGGAGUGACCGUCUGAAAAUCCAUAGAUAUGGAAACUGUAGAAUAGAUAAAUAUAGCAGCUUCUUAUUUUGGAAUGUGUUCUUGAAGGAUUAAUGUAGUUUCUGAAAUAUCUUGGAGGUUAUCAUCUUUUACUGUUAUUGAUUUAGUACCAAAAUUAAGAAGAAUAAUUGUACAACCUUGACCAGCCACUUUUGCAUGAUCUAAAAUGAAAAGCAGGUCCGUACUACUGUAAGCCUCUAAAUUCCUCCCUCAGGACACUUACCUUGCCAUGGGGACUGGGUAGCCGUAACUUCUACUGGUCCUUGGUUAUACCUCCUAAUGAGAAUUGACAUCCUUGCGCUUUGCCAAUGUGAUCCCCAUUACAUAUAGACAAAUCUGUUAAGAAGCUCAGCUCAUUCUGUGGAACUAGACCAGCUAUAAAUGUUGGCUUAUCUGCCAGUCACAUGUGUUGGAUAUAAGAAUAUAAAAACAUUGUUCUUUAGCAGAAAAGCGGUUGUUUCAUAUAAUUUAACAACAUGAUGUCUUCUGCGCAGUUGAAAGCUAUGAAAAAAUAUGCAGGAAAUUAGUUGUAGUUUUCGCCAUGAGGGUGGUUUGAGAGUAACCCAGGUUUUAUAUGUUCUAAAACCUAGCAGAGGCUUAUGACAACAUAUACAAGUAUCCAUAGAUUAAUGUCAACGAAUGCGUCAAAUCAGUACCUUGUUUUUCUCUUUUGUUUGUUCUGAUAAAAAUAUGCUUAGAAUUGUGCCAUCUGAAUCUCAUCGUGCUUCAAUACUAGCAUAAUAUUUACUCUUUUCUGUAUUUUGUCAUCGCCUGUUAAACAUCAAGGAUGAUUACGAAAAGCUUGAAGUUCGUGCUUUCGAGAUGGAAGCUGAGAUAGGUUCUCUGCAAGAUGCUUUAAUCAGCACGAUUGCAGAGAAAGAAGAAACAAUUGCUAGGAAUGAGUUCUUGUGCUCAGAACUGGAAACUUUUGCAGACAAGAUGAGUUCAGCAGAUUUUGAAAUAAAUUCCUUGAAGGAAGAGAUCUCUAUGUUGGUAUGCACUACUUUUUCUGUAAAACUAUGUCUUUGCUUUCUCCAUCAAUUUCUACUUAUGAACUGUAAAUACCUACUAUGUAGAUGCAAAAGUUGGCUGCAUCUGAAUCCUCUGUUAGAAGUUUGGAAGGAUCUCUCAAUACCUCAUCAAAAGAAAAAGAAGAAAUGGCAUUGGUACUACACAAACUUUUACUUAUAAUAGGGAGCCACCAGUUAUUAUCAAUUUCAUUGAAUAAUAUUUGAUUUUUUGUUCAAUAUAUUGCAGCAACUUACAGAUGCCCUUCUAGAAAUGGAGGCUGAAAAGUCAACUUGGUUAACCAAGGAAAAAGCUUUCAUUGAGGCCAAUGAAAGGGUGAAGAUAUCCAACAAUGAGAUAUGCAGGUUAUCAGAAGAUCUACGGGAGGUAUUUUCUGAUUUACACAUUGUCCUUAGCAAGUACUCUAAAAGAGCUUAUGUUUGUUUCCUGCUCAGAUCAGGCUAUUUUCAAUGUAACCCAAAUACUAGGAGUUGUCAUUUUUGUUUAGCUAAAAGUUGAGGCGGUAAUUCUGAAAUAAUUCUUCUUUUGAUAAAAGUUUAUGCUUGUUAUUAGAAGGUUUUGCCAUUUUGCUAACUUGGAUUGAUGCAUAAAAUCUGAUUUAGCAACUAAUGAUUGCAAUCCUUGUUAUAUGAAUUGAAACUAUAUCUUUUAGCUCAAUCAUUUUUAUAGGAUUUAAAGCAAGACGAAAAAAACAAGGAACUAAGUAGCUGAAGAGAUUGUUGCAUAAUGUGAUUAACUGAGGAGAAUGAACCUGUCUAAUAUUCUAGGGUUAAUAUCUGUAUCUCAAAUUUUUCAUGCUAUGGAUUUUCCUGACAUCUCGAAUAGAUGACUAGAGGUAACAGGCUGGAGACUAACUAUUAACUCGGAUUUUGGGCCUCACUAGGGUAUCUAUAUUAUCACCAAAGUACUGAAUGUUACUUCAAGAGGUACUGAAACUUGAAAGAUUUCUCACUGAACUUUAGCUGCUGCUCCUAGGGACCAUAAGGAGAUCUCUUUAGAGAAUAUAGUACUAGUUAAUCCAAUAAUGAGUAAGACUUUGUAACUUCCAAAGGCUUUAUCAGAUUUUUACAAGUCGCCAAAACUUUUGAUUGAUUCCUAUGUGGAAAAUAUAUGUUGACAUGCAUGCAUACAUUGUUCCACACAUAUCUCUGCUAGGUAAACUGAAUUUCAAUGAUGGACUACGGCCUAUUAGCACAGACUUAUUUCUAAUGACAAUCUUAGGGUUUUCUGAGAUGGAAAAACAAUAACAAGUUUAUGAAAUUUUAAAACAAAUGCAAAACACAAAAGAUCCCUAAGAUGUAUGUUAAUGCACAUAUUUUGGUGUGCUAAUGGAGCCCAAAUUGUGCAGGGCAUAUCAAUCACUUUAUGCUAUGCUAUCAUGUACAUGGUGAGCAUGGGGUAUGCACUGUGCUUUGGCUUUCUUCACAACGCAUUUUGAACAUGUGGUUUUCUUAUCAGUUAAAAAGAAAUUACCUAGUGCACUAGAUCAUUAAUUUGUUAAGAAUCAGGCAAUAAAGACAUUUCUACUUACGUGAUUUAGUACAUAUUUAGUACAUAUCUUACUGCUGUCUGUUUUAGGUUUUCACUGGUCUUAAAACUUACUUUUUCUUUUUCCACAUCAAUGAUCACUUUACGAAUGUUUAUCAUCAGUGCUUUAUUUUUAAAGAAGUUGGUGUUGUUAUGUAGAAUUCACGCCAAUGUAAUUACCUCAAGGGUAGCCUAGUGUAGGUCUUACAAUUUUCUUAUGAAUAACUCACAGUCGAUUCUAUGUCCUUUUCUUCUCAUGGUUAAUAUCUGAGUAGGCAAGGCGUGAGCUGGAGUCAUGCAGAGAACAAUGUAGAGCUCUUGAAGAAAGAUUGAUGAUCUACAGCGAAAAUGCUGAAAGAGAGAAAAGUUGCAAGUAAGUCGCUUAUGCUUUUUGUUUCCUGUCAUGAAUGCAGCAUUUGUGACCGGCAGCCUUAAACUUGACAAUGUAAUGGUUUUUAAACAACAUAUUAAGUUUGUUUGGUAAUGCCUCCUUUUAAUUCGUCAUUUAUGUGUUGACGUAUAUAGGAAUUUUGCACUUGACAUCUCUUUCCAUUUAUGUCUUCUGUCCUUUUAAUUUGUCAUGCAGUGCGCUAAGUUCUUCUGAGGUUCCUCAGCAAAGAAACGAGCAUAACACUGAUGAAAGUGUCGAGCGUGAGAAUGUAAGUGCGUUCAUUUUCGUUUAUCUCUCUGUGGAUCUAUUUAUGUGAAAAAUGAGAAUGAUUUUUAUAAACACUAGGAAAAGUCUGGAUGCCAAUCUUGCAUGGAAGUUCAUGAUCUGCGGGAGCAACUUAGUGUUCUUGCUGGAGAAAGAGAUAGAUUAUCUUUUCAACUGAUGCAGAUGGAUACAAAAUUAGGUUUGCUGAACAAUUAUGAGGUACUGAUUGUCUUUCCCUCAUGGAAGUUAUAAACUUGCAGGUUAAUUGCUCCAAAGGUUCCCAAACUUUUUUGGUUUGGUCCUCAACCUUAUAAUUAUUACAGUUGCAUUCCUAACCUUUGCGUCUUACUUGUUGGCUUAAAUGGGCCAGCAUCCUGCCCUGUGGCGGGAGGCCAUGUGGGCCUAGUCAUGUUCGAAAUGGCGUGAGGCUGGGUUGGGCCGAGUUAUGUUCGAAGUGGCGUGAGGCUAGGUGGGCCGAGUCGCAAUCGAGACCCGUGGGUGCUGUUUCUGUACGCUUUAAGUGAAUUGGUUGCGUAUUUCUAACAGCUCGAGCUUUCGGGAUUAAUGGUUAGCGCCAACGAUCCGACAAGUGGUAUCAGAGCCAGAGGUCACGGGUUCGAUUCCCGCAUGCUGCAAAUGUGUGCAGGUGCUGGAGGGGGGAUUGUUGGCUUAAAUAGGCCAGCAUCCUGCCCUGUGGCGGGAGGCUAUGUGGGCCUAGUCAUGUUCGAAAUGGCGUGAGGCUGGGUUAGGCCGAGUCAUGUUCGAAGUGGCGUGAGGCCAGGUGGGCCGAGUCACAAUCGAGACCCGUAGGCGCUGUUUCUGUACGCUUUAAGUGAAUUGGUUGCGUAUUUCUAACAGCUCGAGCUUUUGGGAUUAAUGGUUAGCGCCAACGAUCCGACAUUACUCUGUCCAUUAAAUUCCUUGGUUAAGUUGGACAGAGAUGCCCAAGUUAGAUGACAAUUAUGUGGAUAUUUCUGCUCAAUUUAAAGGAGGAAUUUAACCAAAAGAUUAAGAUUGUAUCAGAAUUUAAAGUAUGAGAACGAAUUAUAACAAUUGAAAGGUUGGGACCAAAAAGGAAGAGGAAACCAGGUGCAUUUUACCUGAAUUUCCAUGUAUCAAGUUAUUAAGUUUGCGGUAAAACAACAUUGAAGGUCUUUACCACCGGAAAUGUGUAUGUUACUCGACUUUUUUUCCUUUUUCCUUUUUUUGGAUAGGAUAUUCAGAAUCAACUUCUGGUCAUGAUCAGAGAAAGAGAUGAUUUGCAGUCUAAAAAUGACCAGAUGAAUACUGCAAUAGAAGGAGCAGAAAUUCUAAAGAAAAGAUAUGAUGACAUGGUAAAUCAGCUUAUUUUCCUUUCAACCUAAUUUGGCUCAUGUUUGUAAAUGGUAACAAGCUAUAUUUCCUUUUUUUACAGCUUUUGAAAGCAAAAAGUGACUCGGAUGAAUUGUCCAUGAAGAUCUCCAGCCUGGAAGAAAAGAUGCAUAAUGUAAGCACCACUUGCUUUUUUUUUUUUUUUAACACUUAAAUAUUUUAUUAUGCAUGAUUAAGUAGCUCAGUAGCAUCCUAGUUUAAGUUGUCUGCAGUAUGGUUUGUUUACUUGCAUUACGAACACUUUCGUUAAUAAUGAUACAAAACUGAGCCAAACUUGCUAUCAUCAACACAACAUCAAAUAAGUCGACAGCUCCUUCGUGAUUACUGUAUGGUUUCAGUUCUUCCAGUUUCUUUUUUUUUUUCCAGCCCUUGCAGUGCAUCUAAGCCCCAAUCUUUUCAAGGUUUCUCUGUUUUGCUACUUCUGCUUGUCUAUUGAAAGCACUGUUUUCAUCCCUGACCCACAAUAAAGGACCUAUUUUCUCUUCUGUCUGUUCUUGCUUCUCUUCUAGCUUCUCUUUGGUUCAUAAUCACCCUAUAACUACUUUCAUUUGUCACAAAGUUUUGCAGCAAAAUCAACUUUGUUUCAUAUAUUUGACUAAUUCUGUUGGCUUUUCUUUUUCCAUGAUGCAUGGAUUGGCAGUCUAGUGAUAUUUUAUAUGAUACGGAUCAAAUCAAAACUUUUUACUCGAAAGCAGAACAAAUCAAGGAUUGGUUCAUUUUGAGUUGCUACUUGUCUAUCAGGGAUGUACUUGUUACUCGAAAGUGGAACUUUUGAAAGUUACAAGCAUCUCUGCAUGUUAGUCACGUUCCGACUAGUAUACAGUUUAAGCUGCAUUGGAUCGUUCGAUUGACGGGUUUCCAUGUACAGGAUGCUUCGAACUACAACAAGGAGAGAACAAAGCUCCGAAUACGGCUUUCGUCAACGCAGCAAAAGAUGGACACUUUUCGCGGAAGAUAUGAAGAGGCAAUAAAUGAAAUGAGCCUUAUGAACCAAAAGUACCAAGAAGCCUCUGCCAAGCUGAAAAAGCAACUUGCGGCGUACGGAGUUGAAAUACUUAGCUUGAAGAAGCAGCUCUCCGACCAAAGAAUCGUUCUUGGUGCAUGCGCCAGCGAAAAAAAGGAUCCUUAAUCUCACUCUAUUGUACUAUUUAAAAUUUCGUGCCCAAAUUGGCGUAAAUGUACAUGCUUUACACUAGCGCCUGCAAAUACCAAAUUUUUGUUGUUGUUGUUGUUGUUAAACAGCAGUAUCAUAAUGUAUGGUUUUAUAAACAAAACGCAUCGUAGAAAUGAUUCUUAGUUGAUGCUCAAAUCGCAUACAAUCAUUCUCUCUUUAGCUUUUAAAUUGCUUUGUUAUGUAUUAUUUGUUUGCAAUUUUGCUUUUUAGGAUCGUUGCCGCAACAUUUGGUUGAUCUCUUGCACUUCAUACAACAGUAAUGUAAAUGAUGGUUAUUGAAGCUGUUUAUUCCUAACGUUGCAUCUAUAGGAGCUUUAAGACGAGCAAGCAUUUUUCACACUAGCAAUAAUAAUAAAAAAAUUGCAGCAUAAUAUCUCUAAUAAGCUAAAUACUAUUUCUCAAUCUUAUUGGAAAAUAAAAAAAAAAUGAAGAGAGAACCUUUUCGAAGAAAGAAAUGUAGUCUUAUAAACCAAAUAUUGGAAAAAAAAAAAAGAAAAAAAAUCUUAACUGAAAAAAAAAAUUAAUGCGUGCACCAAGUGCAUCUGUUCAUCCUGCGCACCGCACCUCUAUCAACUCUCCAUUUUGUUGGGUAUUUUCAGUUGAACGGUCGAGAUUGAAAUAUAAUAUAGAAUUAGGCAGAGCUGAUGAAGAUACAGUGCACGAAUGUUCGGAUGCACCUGGUGCAAACAAUAUUUUUUUUUUCCCCUUUUUUCUGACACUAAUAUAUUUGCUAAAAAUGAGAACAUGCAUACGCCCAUGCACGUCGAAACGCAUGCAUGCAUGGACGCAUGCAUGCACGUCUAUUUCGCCGGGCCGGCGACGACUUUGGCCUCCGACUUCGACUUGGCGAAAAGGGUGAGGUAGCCGAUGGUGGCGACGACGACGAACCCUCCCAUCGCCAUCGCGACUGGCCCGGCCGGCAUCGCCCGCCGCUGGUGCAGCACCCCGUUCGGUUGCGGCCGCGGCGGCUGCCGCCGCAUUUGCUCGUGUUCAUCUCCUACCAUCUCUCUCUCUCUCUCUCUCUCUCUCUCUCUCUCGCUACGUACGUAGUGCAUGCAAAUAAUGCAUGCAACACUCGUAGGCUUUUUUGGAGGGUCAGAAGCUGAGGAUUCGGUCUCACUACUUGACCUGUUCAUUCGGGGGAAAUUUACAUAGUCUCCAAAAAUGAACCUGAAUAAAUUAAUGGUUUUAAAUUAUAUUGGGCUGGGCCCAACAAGUUAUUGGGCCCAGAGUAUCCAGUUUAUCGAGCAAUAAUUAAUCGAGCCACGGGCUCAGUGAUAAAUGUUCCCAUAGGAAUGCAUGAUAUGUUACUUCGAGACUCUUUAAUCACUUCAUAAAUUAUAUUAAGAUUAUAAAAUUUAAUUUCUAAAUAAUUGUAAUAAUCGUUGAUCAUAUCUAAUAAAAUUGAUCAUAAAUUCAAAUAUUCCAUCAUCAAAAAUUUAUAAACACAAAUGUCACCAUACUUUCAAAAGCACAGAACAUAUGGUGUGUGUAUAUAUAUAUACAGAGAGAGAGAGAGAGAGAGAGAGAGAGAGAGAGUUAAGAUUCUAAAUUUCUAUUUUUUUUUUAAACAAUUUUUUUCGAAUAGCAGAACUGUCAAUUAAAUUUAUUGUUCGCGAGCCAAUUCAUAUUUGACUUAUUUAUUAUCAAAUGAGUAAAACAUGGACCGUGUUCGAACAGCGCUACUCAUACUGAAUAAAUUAUUAUUUUAUUAUAAUAAUUAUAUAUUGGUGUCCAGUUAGUUAGUGGUUCGAGGCCAACGAAGGGUUACGCAGAGAGCGAAAAGCACUCGGCAGCUGCUUCGUGACAGAUCCACAUUCUUUAUUUUUUAUUGGUUCAACUCGUCGCCUUCCUUUUUAUUUAUUAUUUAUUAUUUAUUAUUUAUUAUUAUUAUUAUUAUUAUAGUAACAAGAACGUUGGUGCGGAUUAUUCCGACUACAUUUUUGCGCAUCCGCAUAAAGAUUAAUCUUAUGCGGAUAAUCCGCAUCUCCGGUCGCCGCCGAUCGAACGCCCGUUGCCAACCUCCGCAUAUCUUAUUCUAUGCGCACUUGCACGUACGCGUGGUUUCGAGGAACUUUUCCUCACAGAUGAUGCCACGAUAAAAAGCUGCCACUACCGCUCCAGUGCGGUGAAAUUACUAAAAUGCCCUUCUUGUUCUCUAUAUUCUCUUUAAUGCCCCUUUGAAAUUGAAACCCUCCUCUCUCCCUCCUCUUAAGUCCUAAACCCUCUCUCCUCUCUCUCUCUCUCUCUCUCUUUCUCUAGCUUUGGGUUUUCAUGUUCAUGGAUUUAAUUUGCCCUAGAAACCCUAUCGUGUGUGAUCUCUUCCUUAAUUUUUGUAUCAAUUUAUGCGUUGUUCAAUCCUCUGUUUCAGUUGCUCUGUUUCUUGAUCCAUUCCCUUUUUUUUAAUUAUUAUUUUUGGUUUGCAGGUGUGGGAUGGGAAUCGAUUUGCGCCAUGCUUUGCUGAUAUAUAUCCUUUUCUACUUUGGGGUUCCAAUUCAUGAGCCAAUGUAUUUUCUUUCUUUUUUUUUUUUUAAAAAAAAUUGAUUCCUUAAUUAAUGUGGCACGGUUUUAGGUUUUGGGGCUAAUGUGAUCACUAUAGUUGCAGUUCUUGUGGUUUUUUUCACUAGGAAUGACGCUUCAAGAACCGUGGUAAUCGCCUAAUUGGUUCUCAAGAAUCCUUUUUUAUGCAUUUGUAUAUGUUUUAAUUUGGGAAAUUUGAUAUAGAUGAGGUUGCUCUGCUUAAAAUUAACAUCUGGGAAUGUGGGGUUUGGAUUGGCUUAAAAUUGAUAUCUUGAAAUGAUGUUUUUCUUUGAAUAGAACAUGGACUACUGAAUGGAUUAGUUAAUGUGAGUACAUCGUAGUGCUGUAACUAAGCAGGCGAAGUUGUACAAUGAUUUUGCUAUUGAAUUGGGCUGUCAAAAAUUCUUUUUUGGAUCAAUUAAUGCUUCUAUAAAUUUGCACUGUGUUUGCUAUGCUUAAGUACUUCAAGAAUCUGUAUCUUUCCUUUUCUUCUGGGUUGAUUCUUAUGAUUUCUUAUACAUAUUCUUCUUUCCCUAUGGGGUGAACUACUCAGAACUGAUUGAUAUCGUUUAGGAGUUGUGUUUCAUGCAUAAUAAUAUAUUUCAAUGUCUAUACUUAGUUCAAAUGGUUUUGUAUUGUCCAGUUUGACACCACAUUUUGCACUGGUAGUACCAGCAAUCAGGUGACUUUGUAGGCUGAUUGUGCCCUUCUCAAUUAGGGUUGCCUUUAGAGACAUUUUAUCUCGUUCAAUUAGGUGUUGUUAUCAAACUGAUUCAAUAAGCUUUUUUCUCCUUCCUGCUGGUUAGCCUGUUAAAUAUAUUACUUUUGUUCCACAUGGGUAAAAUUUUUUUGAUUUUGGAAUUUAUUCUAUAUCGAUCCAUCAUUUUCACCAUCUCUGUCAAACAGCUGUCCAAUGCUGGUAUAUUUUAUGAGAAACUAAGACUACAGAUCAUAGCGUAGCUCGGCUGAUAUCUAUAAGAUAUGAGUUACUGCAUAAAGCAUAACUUGUUUGGCUAUCUUGUUAGGUGACAAGCCUACAUCAUGCAAAGUGCCAUUUUAGCUACACAUUGCCCUUCAUUAUAAUUCCUUGGCAAUUACAGCUUUAUCAGACUAUUUCUCCGACCAUGCAGGGAUUAUUUUUUGCAUACAUUUUCCAUUUUACAUGCUGAUUAGAUGUAUAUUUUCCAGUUAUAAUUCCUUUUUCCUUACUUUCGUAGAAUAUCCAGAAAAGCCUACUGGAGAAGUUAUUUUUGCAUGCUGUACCUGCUUUUGGAGCAUGUCUUUCUUUCUACGAUAUUCUUCUGCUUCUAAUGAAAAGCCUUGAAGGACAUGAUCCUGAAUAUUAUGAGUGGUUCUUCAGAUGCUCUCAGUGUGCCACAUGGGUAAGCUGUAUGAAGGCAAAGUAUACAUGAGCAUGCAUGUGUCUGCACCAAAUUAUAUUCAUAUGCAAAUGCAUAUGCAUGGAUACAUGAGUAUGCACAUAUGUACUCAUGUAUGAGAGACUGAGAGUGUGUGUGUGUGUGUGUUUGUUUUUGAGUGUAUAUAUGUUUAAAAUACUUACAAGUUGUUGUCCUGACAUUGUCUACUCUAUAUCCAUGUAUACUGAUAGAUGCUCAUCUUGGUUUUCUCAACCUCCAAGUAUUGGUUCAGUGUCUUUUGCAAUCCCUUCUUGUGCCUCUGGUGGAUUCUUAAGCCUCUUUUAGAGAUCCCUCAUUUGCAGUACAAGUUUUUAUCACCAGAGGUAUUACUUUUAUAAGAUUGACAUUUUUGAAUAUUGAUAUUAUGCACUAUGUAAUUUAUAAACAAAAAGGUAAGUAUUUAUUGUAUUGUUUCAUUGUGUGUAAUUCGUUUGACAGGUAAUAACAUGCUUCAAGGAAAGUUCUUCUGUAUCUGCUGAACUCAUGUUUGGGCUCUUUGUCAAUGUGAUCAGAGCAACGAGCCAAUCUUACAAAAGAAGGUACCACUUGCCAAAGUUGUUGCAUUUUAUCUUAUGGCAAUUAUUUCAUAAUCUUUUAAGAACAAAGAUGGCCUUAUUAUAAUUUUCAAAAAGAUAGAAUGAUGAUCUUAUUAUCCUCUCUGCUAAAAUUAUACUUACCGGCCAAUUUGCUUAUUAUAAAUAAUCAUUAUUUGGUUACAUUUCUUAAAAAUUUCUUGUUAAUACUAAAUCAAUCAUCCCUACAAAUUAUUAGAUAUAAACUAAAGAAAAACCAAAUUAAUGCUUCCUUUUCAAUCGUAAUACGGAGGACAAUUUCAGAAAUUAGAAUUAUAAACCUAAUUAAAAGCCGAGGGUUCUGACUUGCAGAUUGUUCCUUUCGUGAACUUGAGAAAAGCUCCAAUGUAACCCACAGAAGGUUAUUUUCACAGCUAAUAUGAGAUUUUUAUUUGAAUGAUGUACUUGAGAUGCUUAUUUUGUUAUUUCUCCAAUGCCAUGGCUAUAAUCUAAAUCCAAGAAACAUAUCCAGCUUUGCAUCUUUGGAAGCUAGAAUGCCAUUGUACCUUUCUUCUAUUUCACUAACUUUUUUUUUUUUUAAUGAACGGUAGACUUACAAUUUAUGUUGUCAGUUGCUGUUUUAAACAAUGUCAAGCCCUUCGUUGCUUUCAGAGAAUUAAACUCUAUUGAAGAUCCCUUUAUCCCCCAACAUAUAGAGACAAACGAAGGUCGUUCUAUAUAUUUGGUAUGUAUUUUCAUUUCCUAAUCAUUAUUUAAAAGAUUAUAUUGCUAGUAUAUGAUGAUGCAAUGUGUGCUGACUUAUCCUUGAAAUUCAAAGUUUACUAGAACUUUAUUGUCCUUUAAGAGCCUGUAUCUUGGAUAAACAGAAGUAAUGUAGAUUACGCCUGCAUGCCUUCUUUCUUCUGUUGAAUUUAAGGGUGUGUGAGCAUGCUACAAUAUAAUUCCCACAAUGAAAAAGAAACUAUAAUGGUAACUUCACCUGAAAAUAAUCCCCACUAUCCGCCUUUUCGAUUCUGGAAAGAAAGUGACCUUAAGAACAUUUACCUCAAAUUUGUCUCUCUUUGAAAUGCAGGUACUGAAUAGAAAGAAGUGGGUUUAUAGCACUAGGCUGGAAAGACGAAAUUUAGAAAAUUCAUUGCAAUUUCUUUCUCCGGCAGUCAAUUUGUCUAGAAAAACUUCAUAAAGAACUGAGCGCUUGUAAUUGGUAUUACAUGAUCCCUUCAGCCCCAUAGAAUUGCAUCAUGAUCAUCUAAAUUUUCCGUUCAAUAUAUUUUUUUCCGUAAAAUGAUUUAUGAAUCAAUUUAGGCACUAAGGUUGCAAAACUAGGGUUCUGUCGACAUUUCUUUGAACAAAAUGUCGCCACAGUUAAUUAGGGCUUCUCUAAAGUUUUGGAGUUAAAGGCUUAAAAUUGACCUACUAGUAUUUUGGGAAGAAAAAGAAUUCUCUGCAUGAGUUUGAGUAAGAACCAAGGAUUCUCUGUCCAGUGUGUACCACUCAGUUUCAACCAUGCGAUAUCGUGCUGGUGGUUUGCUGAUAAGGUAUUGAGGUUCCAGCGAAUCCCUUGGUACGCUGCGUGCUGCGGAUGCAGCAACUGAAGAAGGUCAGAAAUGCUGCUGUUGAAACAGCAAAUGAUUUUAACGCUCAAUCAUAUUAUUCUGAGUUUCAAUAUUAGUUUUUUGGAUUAACAAAUCUAACAUGACCUGACUGGUAUAACUUAAGCUAUAUGGGGCCUCACCGUUUGAAUGUCAGUCUGGACCUUCACCUGCCCUUACCAGUCCUUAUUCACCUUUUUUCUCUGUAAAGCCUUAAAUGGUCACUACUUAUGAUGUUCUCCCUUUCAUUGAAUAACCAAAAAAGCCGCACACACACCAUACACAUACACAUACACACACAAAAAGUAGAAAGUAAGGGUAUAUGAACAUUAUGACUUGAAUGUCCUUAUUUAUAAGUGUAACUAUAAAAAGCUCUCCUUUCAUUAUAAGUUCUCCAUCUGGUGGUUACUUAUGUCCACCCACAUAGGUCAGGAAGUUCGGCAAUUUCUGGCACCUUGUGACCUUCAAGUUUAUCAAUUCAAUGAUGGAUGUUGGCUUGACGAAACAACUUGAUUUUGAAGAUCUUGUUCAAUUGCCUCCUGAACUUACACCUGUUGUCUGUUACGAUGAAUUACUCAAUUGCUGGAUUGCUGAACAAAGUAAGCAUCACUCUGAUUCCUCUCUACUUAGGGCAAUGUAUUAUGCAUAUGGCUGGCCAUACUUUCGUCUGGGUCUGCUAAAGGUACUUUCUUUCUUUAUUAUUGCCCUUCUACUCUUGGAAAGUUUAUUUUGCACAUUUAGAGAAGUAAAGAAUUAUGAUUUUGUACAUUUAAUUACAUACUUUUGAAUUUUAAGUGACAAGACAAUUUUCCCUUUCUGUAGACUUUUGCUAUGUUACUAAAUCAAUGAACACUCUUUUGUUGCUGCUUUUUUUUUUUUUUUUUUCUAUGGUGGUUUGGCCCUAUUAGGCUAUUCCUACAACUUACUAUGAGCUAUAUAAAUAUUGAUGAGCUAUAUAAAUAUUGAAUCUCCUCAUGAUUUGAAGAUUAGGAUUCUAAUCACCGCUACCACUGUUCAAGCGGACCAUAUUUCUUUACCUACCAUACAUGGUGCAGAAUGCAUAACUUGCUAACUUUGAACAUGUGUGACUAUGUAUCCUUUAGAGACAACUAUCACACAAUUGUUAGAAGAGUAGGAAAAACAGCAUUGGACCCUUUUAACUAACACUGUAAGAAACUAGUUUGUUGAAAGAACCUUUGAAGAGGUCUGAUUCAUCUUGCACUUAAGAUUAGAAGAUUCCUUUUUAGAUUGUUUUAUUCUUGAUUGAUCAUACUGAGUGAUAAAUUUAACUUGUGCAGGUGAUAAAUGAUGCUAUUGGCUUUGUUGGUCCAUUGCUCCUUAACCGGUUGAUAUCGUUCCUUCAACAAGGUAUAAUGCUUAUGGAAGUUGCAUAAGGAUUCAUCACCUAGUUUUCAGCCUAAUAAUGAUUUCUCCAAUUAACUUUUACACAAAAAAGGGUGUCAUCGAAGCCUUAUCUCAAAGGCUUUGCAGAAAACCAUAAAUCCAGAAGAUUUAGUUGUUAGUAGUCAAAUGGGAUAUCAUUAAGCAAGAACAUAGUCCAACAAAUGCAUCUUUGCAGAAAUUCGUAAACCCUGCAAUUAUGCUUCUUCUGAGUUCUGGUUGAUGCUAUUUUGCAAUUGAAGCAAUCUUGAGACUGAUGAUUCCAGUUGCUCUAUCCUCUCAGGUUCGAGUAAUAUAGAAGGAUACAUUCUUGCUUUUGCACUGGGUUUUACUUCUCUUUUCAAGUAAGUGUACUCAAAUAGUUAGUGGGAUAACAUGCCAUAUUGCAUUCCUACUUUGCACCAUUUGGCCGUUCAAAGUCAGAUGAUGGGAGAGCAACUUUAUUUGUAAUUAUAAGUACAUAAUGCAUUCAGGACAUGUAGAUAUUCUCUUUCAAAUUUUCUCCCUUUAUACAUCCUUUUGGCUGUAGACCUGAAGAAAAAUAUCAGGAGUUCCAUAGCAUAGAAGAAUGUUUAAUGUUGAAAUGUGAUGAAUGUAGGAUAAGUGACUCUUAGAUAUCAUGAUGGCUACACAAACUCUAUAUUUAUACUUAAAAUUGAUAGAUAAUGAUCAUAGUAUAAAAUCUUCAGUGCAGAUUCUGAAAGUAGUGGUCGCCUAUGACAAUCAUUGUAAACUAAUCAUGACAAGACUAUCUCCUUGGUACAAUUUAGACUGAUAGAUGGAUGAUAUUUUUUUGUCAUUUCAAAGAAGGUUAGUAUUAUUAUGCAUAUCCUGUCAUAUCAAGGUGCAUUUCUUUUAAGUGGAACAUGAGAUAUUUGAAUUAUCUGGCUUGCGUCCUUGGUAUCUAAGAUGAAUAUCCUGCUACAAUUAUUAAGUAAUGGGCCUUUUAUGGGUACUUAUAACUUAAAUGGGUAUAACUCAUAUGUUGAAGCAUGAUCACAGGAGUUGAUUAACAGCUUAAUUAGGUUGUUGAAUCUAUUUUCAGAUCUUCAUAAUGAUGAAAAUGUGAUAUAAUAUUUAAAUUUUAGCUGUAAAUUUCACAUGUAAAAGGAUAUUCCGGUGAUAUUAUCAGGGUGGUUGUGCAUGCGCUUUGUUGUGUAUCCUCAAUCUUUAUAUCUCAUUAUAUUGCAGGUCCUUUCUUGAUACACAGUACACUUUUCGUCUUUCAAAGUUAAAGUUGAUGCUAAGAUCAAGCAUAAUGACAAUUGUUUAUCACAAGGUAAAAUAGCCUUUCUCCUGCUAAGAUUUGGUCAAAAUGGAAUUAUGUGAACUGUGAAGUUUAGACGACGUUCACUCAUAAUUCAGCUGAUAUUUUUCUUUUAACUCGAAGAAUUUGAAAAUUUUUGGGUAUUUGAAGUUUUGAACCACUCUGACGAAGAGCUUUUACUUGUUUUUGAUGUUUCUUCAGUUACUAUAUAGUAAGCAUUUCAGACCAAUUUUCAACAUGUGAGAGUAAAAGAAAGGAGAAUUUAUAACAUAGUGAUUCCUUGAUAGGAUCUCAUUCGGAGAAUCAAAAAGGGCUUCAGUCAGUACAUUUUAUUGAUUAGUUUUCAUUAUGAUCGAAGAUUUUAUACUUGCAUCAGAAUAACUGCAUGGUUCUUGGUUCAACCCUAAUAUACUCUUCUUCUAUCUCUAAUUUUUAUGGAUUUGAUUGAUUUCCUCGGUCCUUGUUCUGUUCAUUUUAAAACUCCCUUUCUCAUAUUCCUUCUGUCCCUUUACUCUUUUGAUUAGAGUAGUGCCCUGGUAGUUCAUUCGAACUCACAAUGAUCUUAAUUUUUUAUUUCAACUGUUUUCAUUGCCAAUGACAAAUGGAACUUUUAGGUACAAUAUUUUGAAUUGACAGGGCAAUUUCCUGAUGAAUAAACUGUAAUAUGCAGUAUGCCUUAAAUUUCCCUAUUGUUUUCUUUGGAGAUUGUCUUUUCUACUUCUAGAAAUUGGACAUAUUGUUUUUUUAUUACUGUUUGCAAAACGUGGUACUUAACUCUUUGGUAAAUUCCGAUUAAUACUUUGUCGGUACAGUUCAGCUGUUUCAGCUUUGAAACUUGAUACAAAUUUAUUCAUUCAUGUCUAUUGUUUUUGUUAUAAACUUUAAUUUGCAUGUGCCAGUGCUUGUACAUCAACCUAGCCGAACGUUCAAAAUUUUCUAAGGGAGAAAUUCAAACAUUUAUGUCAAUUGAUGCUGAUAGGACGAUAAACUUGUGCAACAGUCUUCAUGAUGUUUGGAGGUAUGACCAUAUAUAACAACAUUUCCAUGUUGUAUCAGCUAACAUACAGGUGCAUUCAUGAGUUUUUGCCUAUUUCUAAAUAUUAUUAAUGGAACUAUGAUAGUUUUUGAUCUGCCACAAGGUGACAAGGAUUGUAUACUUGUAGUCGAAUAAACUGUUAGAUGUAGCAUUCAUCAAAAUUCAGUUCUUUUCUUGUUUGGAGAAUGUUACUCAUGAUCCUUGAUAACCAUCAACUGUGCUUAGUUUAAAUUUAUAGCUUUUGUAGAAUAAUAGGGGCUCUAUCAUUUACAAAGCUUUUUCAUAGUCUAAAGAGGAGACAGUUUAUUGAUUUUCCUGCUGCUGUCUGAGUGUAGAGCAACUUUCCAAAGUUGGAUCAUCUUAUUGCAAGUCAAAGCUUCAAGAAAAUUUUGCAGCCCCAUUAUAAACGAACAGCAUAAUCUUUUCCUUUUCGUAUAAUAGUUAGUAGUAAUAACCUUUUCUAUUUUUUAGAUUUUCCUCUUUUUUUUUUUCUUCUUUUCCUUUUCGUAUAAUAGUUAGUAGUAAUAACCUUUUCUAUUUUUUAGAUUUUCCUCUUUUUUUUUUUUUCUUUCAUGGAGUUCAAUGAAUUUUUUUGCUUUCUUUAUUAUUAUUAUUUUUUCUUUUCCUCUUAUUCUGAUGCUUGGCACCAUUCUGAUUUCUGGUAUUAUGCUGCACCAGCUUGCCAUUGCAGAUAGGUUUGGCACUCUGUCUCUUAUAUACGCAAGUCAGUUUUGCAUUUGUAUCUGGACUUGCACUAACAAUACUGCUUAUACCAGGUACUUGUUGCCCCAAAAGCUUUAUAUAUACAUCAUGCAUCCUUUUCUUCCUUCUUUCCAUGUGCCAAAAGUUCCUUUGUACACUUAUAGUAAUUUUUUCGAUGUUCUUCUGUACUAUAUGGAUCCCAAAUUCCUGUAUAUUGCUUUUGUCAUAAAUAUAAUCUGGAUACCUUAGUAUGCAAUGUUAUUUGUUUGCCAGUACUACUUUUUUGCAGUUAAUAAAUGGAUUUCUGGAUUGAUUGCUAGUGCAACAGAAAAAAUGAUGAAACAAAAGGAUGAGAGGUUAGUCCCUUUAUUCUCAAGCAUUUGAAUAACAUAUCAAUAUAGUUCGAUUCUUCUAUUUUGCAGAACAGGAGGUUAUUGUGCUAAAUUUCAAACUUAUAUAUGAAUUUCAAACCUAUUUACUCAUAUAUGAAUUUCCUUUGUUAGAUGGACAGAAAUAAUGUCGUUGAUAUAUGGAUUGGCCAAAGCAAUACUUAAACCCUUUAAAAUCUUUUUUUGUGUGUAAAAUAAUGUAAUUAAUGUAGUUUAUUUAAUAUAUAUUGUGGGGCAUUCGUUCUUCCCAUUUUUACUCAAAAAAAAACCCUUGGAAAUCACAACUCAUAUCUUAAAGCAGUUGAAUUGAGGCCCUUAAAAGAUGAGUAUUGUAUAUUUGACCAAUUAUGCAAAGAAUAAAUUUGAAUAAAAAGAAAUCAUUUGCAAGACAAGAUUAGUUAUCUGAUUUUUUUUUUUAAAUUUGAGAUAUGAUUUCUCUGAAUUAUGGCCAUCAAUUAAUAACACCCUUUGUAUUCUUGAUAAAGUCUAUAUAGCCACCUUUCUUCCAGACUAGGGGUAUAGAUAUUUAGACUAUUUUCUUUUUGCUUUCUUGAGCAGGAUCAGAAGUGCUGGAGAACUUUUAGCAUUUAUUCGUACAUUGAAGAUGUACAGCUGGGAGGAUCUAUUCAUGAAGAGAUUGAUGGAAAGAAGAGAAAUGGAAGUGAAGCAUCUUUCGGUAUGCGACAAACUGUGUCACCUUUUCGAACUUAUUCAUGCGCGGGUUGGACUCCUUGAACUCAUACUUUCUCUUCUCUAGACUCGAAAAUAUUUGGAUGCAUGGUGUGUGUAUUUCUGGGCGACAACUCCCACGCUGUUCUCUCUUUUCACAUUUGGCAUGUUUGCAUUGAUGGGUCAUUCAUUAGAUGCUGCUACAGUAAGUCAAUGAAAUUGUUGUCUCAGUCUAUAUCAUGUUUUUAGUAAAAUUUAUAUGCUGAAACAUUUCUCUUCGGAUUUUGUUUGUAGGUUUUCACCUGUGUGGCGCUUUUCAAUACAUUGAUAUCUCCACUAAAUUCCUUUCCUUGGGUGAUUAAUGGGAUGAUUGAUGUACGUUGUCUUUUCUUGGUAUCAAUUUCUAGAAAUAUUUACAUCUAACCUCUCCGAAACUAUCUACAUACAUAUAUUGCCCUGGAAAAUCUGAAUUUUCAUGUAUGGCCCCCAAAACUUAAGUUUGUAAAGUAUACCGUUGCUCUUAGAAAAUUUCCCUCUUUAGAAAACUUCUUUAGGGCAAAACCAACUACCAUCCAUGAAUUGGAUGACUCUCCAAUUUUGGACAAGGUAUUAUUGUGAGAAAUUGCAGUUUCGAGGAGUAUAUAUAUGAAAACUUAACCAGGUUUAAACACAAACACACAAGCCCUUGUUUUUAAUUUCCGUUUUAGCAUUAUAUUGAUUAAGGUGCCCCCCCUUUUGUUUAACUGACAUAUGCAUCACAGGCCAUUAUUUCUGCUCGAAGAUUGAGCAAAUACUUGUCCUGCCUUGAGCAUAAAUACAAAUACGAGCAGCGAUCUCUUGAAGAGUUCGAUAAAGAUGGGACUGAUGCAAAUGGUAAUGCAACGGGUAUCAUCUUUCGAGAUGCUUCCUUUUCUUGGUCUAGCAGGAAUGAGGUGGGGCAGAGUGCAGAUAUUAGUGGCAUCUCUCUGGGAAUUUCAAAGGGCCUUCUAGUUGCUAUAAUUGGAGAGGUAAUGAUUGUACUCCCUGUAUAACAAUUAUUUAGCAUUGAAUUGACUUACAUAAAGGAAAUGAAUGGACCAUACGAGCUUGGAAGCGUACACUUUUUUAUUCUAUUCUUAACUCAUGGGUUCCUUUUCAGGUUGGUUCUGGCAAGUCUUCUUUGAUUAAUUCUGUUCUUGGAGAGAUGAAUCUUACUUAUGGGUUCGUACGUUCCCAUGGCUCAAUUGCAUAUGUGCCACAGGUUAGACUUGCAUUUCUAGCUUGACUAGAAAGAAAACCAUUUAUUGUUGGUGAAAUUGAAUUCUGAGUCAUUGUUAUCUUCCUAUCUGAUAUUGUCAUUCCUUCCACGAAUGUUUGUGUUAGGUGCCUUGGAUCCUCUCAGGUUCAUUGCGUGACAAUGUGUUGUUUGGGAAGGAAUUCGAUCGUGUGAGGUAGGGUUUCUUGCUUAAUUAUUGUCCUUUUGGCGAAUUAAAAUUCCUUGCCCACUUCCUGAGUUCUAUAUAUAUAUAUAUAUAUAUAUAUAUUUCAUUUUAUACAGGUAUGGAGAAGUUUUAGAGGCAUGUACACUUGAUGUUGAUAUUUCAAAGAUGAUUGGAGGUGAUGUAUCGUAUAUUGGGGAGAAAGGUGUUAACUUAUCUGGUGGGCAGAGAGCUCGUCUUGCCCUAGCAAGGUGAAAUUUCAUCUUUCUUCAUAACUGGCUCAAAACUUUGUUGAUUAACUUUAAUACGAUCUAAGCAUUUUUGCAGGGCGGUCUACCAUGACUCUGAUAUUUACCUACUUGAUGAUAUACUUAGUGCAGUUGAUUCGCAAGUUGCUCUUUGGAUUUUACAUAGAGCUAUUCUGAGCCCCCUUAUGAACCGGAAGACUAGGUUGCUAUGCACUCAUAAUCUUCAGGUUUGCAUUUGACAAAUUUCAUAGGUGUCUUUGUACAAUUAUGUUAUAUAUUAUAACUCAAUGUUGCUUAGGCAGCUGAAGCUUUUAGAACAAACGGUUGUUUUACAUGGUAUUAGAGCAUGAUGUUCUGAGUUGAAAUAUCAAAUGUGAGGGUAGUGUUGAAUAUAAUAAAAACAAAUCAAUAGUUUAAGUUCUAAUCAGUAGUUCAACUUCUGAUGCUCUGCGGAAAUUCUUCUACAAAUAGUAGAUAAUGUAAAUUGUUGUGUCAUUUAAGGAAUGGUAACAAAAAUCAAAGUUUCUUUCUUUGGACAGGCUAUUUCUUCCGCAGACAUGAUCAUUAUCAUGGAUAAAGGGCAUGUAAAGUGGGCUGGAACUUCAGCUAGUUAUUUCACAUCUCCAUACUCAAAUAUUUGUGCACCAGAUAGUUCAAAUGUCUUGUCAUCAACACCGUUGGAAAAGGGAAAUUGGAAAAGUUCUUCCAAUGGGAAACAGUCUAAACUUCCUCUCGAUAGUGAUUUUAUAGCUUCUGAGCAAUCCACCGAAAGUAUCGAAGUAGAACUGAGGAAAGAGGGCAAAGUUGGACUUGAUGUCUACAAGUUAAGUGUUGUGAAGAUUUAUAAAUUUAUGGGAAUCGCUAGUUAAGUUGAACUACAAUUUGAGUCAUUAAAUUCAUUCUUGCCAUUCAAAAUUACAUGGUAAAUUUUGAGUUAAUUUUCCUUUAUCUGGAUGUCAAAUUAUACAGAAGUUAUGCAGUGUUUGCCAGCUGGCCAGUUGUUAUUAUCAUAUGUGUCUCGGCUUUUCUUAUGCAAGCAUCUCGCAAUGGGAAUGAUCUCUGGUUAUCUCACUGGGUUGAUACGAGCACAGGAACCGAGUACACAAGAUUUUAUUUGGUAAUUUCUUUAUUUUUUUUUUUUUCAUUCCUCUGGAUUAAAGCGAUAAACCAACCAUAGUAUUUUAGUGAAGCUGCUAGAAUAAAUUUUAUGAGAUUACAAUUAUGUGCUUAGGUAAGUUUCACAUUGAUAUGAGAAAGAUGUCUCUAUGUAUACAAAUGGAUGUGGUAUUUCUCUGCUGAUCAGAUACUUGAUUUUGUAGGUUAUCCUUGCUGUUUUUGGCUUAAUGAACUCCCUUUUCACCUUAGCAAGGUCAUUCUCUUUUGCAUAUGGCGGUCUACGUGCAGCAAUUCUGGUCCAUACCAAGAUUCUGGAUAAGCUUCUCAAUGCACCUGUUUAUUUUUUUGACCACAACCCUAGUGGUCGCGUACUGAACAGGUUACUAUACUUCUAAAAUAUUUAAGAACCCUUGCACUAUACAUUUAUGUGCUCUCUUUGGGUAAUCUCCUUGCACCUGUUUAUGUUUACUAUAUAUCCUUUGCAGAUUAUCCUCAGAUUUGUAUACAAUUGAUGAUUCUCUUCCAUUUAUUCUCAAUAUCCUAUUGGCCAACUUCUUUGGGUUAUUAGGAAUUGCAUUUGUUUUGUCCUAUGCACAGGUAAAUGUUUGCAAAUUAUCUUUUAAUAUUGUUAUUGAUCCAGUAACUUUUUUUAUUAAUUCGUUGAAAUUUUCUCGUUUCCUUGAAUCACAUGGUGCAGAUUUUGUUUUUGCUUCUAUUGGUUCCAUUUGGGUAUAUAUACCGGAAACUGCAGGUACUUAUCCUCCCGCACUGUUGCACUUCAUAUCUUGUUCAAUUUUUGAUAAGAAGCAUGGCAUUCCCAUUCAUUUUUUUUAUUCUUGCGCAAUUUAUGCUAAUAGAUGUCCUUGUCAACCUCAUAUAUGGCUUCUUGUUUUUAAUGUUUGUUUUGCUAUGUGAUACUAUUUAUUUCCAUGUAUGAUGAAGGCUACAGAACAUGUUUGUGCUUAUGGCACUUCAAUAUGUGUGAAAUGAAUUUGAGAAUCUGAUGCUUUUUACAGUUUUACUAUAGGGCCACAUCACGCGAAUUGAGGAGGCUUGAUAGUGUUGCUCGUUCACCUAUCUAUUCAUCCUUCACGGAAACAUUGGAUGGAUCAUCAACUAUAAGGGCAUUUGCAAAGGAGGUAAAAUCUUUUCUUAGUUCCAUUCAAGCGACCUCAUCAAUCAUUCACUCAAUAUACAUAAAAGUUGUUUUGAGUUUCGGUUUUUUCCUUUUUCUUUCCUUAGAAAUAAUUUGAUGUCAAACUUAUGUCAAGUCGUAUUGUUUCUUUUUCUACCAUAUUUUUGUUGUUGUCAUUUUCCUUACAAAAUUUCCAUUCUGUUUAGAUUUCGAACAAUUAAAUGGUUAUGCCAAACAACAUUGUUCUAAAACAAAACUGCAACCUUGGAAAAACAGAUAAGAAAUGAUAUUAAUCAGAUCGUAGGUUAUUAACCAUAUAUAUUCACUGUUAGCAUUCAUGUUAUUUUAUAAAUAAAUAUAUCCAUUUGUGCCCUUUAUUUUCUCCUUGGAAAUAUUAUAUACACAUUCUGGAGUUCAUCUACCUCAUAGGUUCCCAGACUGCCUUAAAAAUCUUGAUGAAAAAUCAAGCAGCCCUACCAGCUGUAAAUUCAGACGGAUAGGGUGCAUUAGAAGUUAUGAAUUUGUUCAAUAUUCCUAUAGUCAAAGUGUUUAUUUUCUGUUAGAAUAGCACAACCAAAACACCAAGGUAUACUAAAAUUAUACGAAGUGUUUAAGAUGUCAAUACUUAUCUAAGGAGGCUAAUAUGCAGGAAUUGUUCAUGGCUAGAUUUAUGGAACAUGUAUCACUAUAUCAGCGAACAACCUAUUCAGAGCUGACGGCAGGCUUGUGGCUUUCUUUGCGCCUUCAAGUAUUCUUCUUGCUUUUUUCAUCAAAUUUGAUUUACAUAAUAGCAUGGUCUACACAUCACACUUAUUAUCUUCAACAUAAUCCAACAAAAUGUCUAGUCAGCUGUAAUGUGGAAAUUGACCUGUGAUUUAUUUUAGUUGUUGGCAGCAUUCAUCAUCUUAUUCAUUGCUGUGAUGGCUGUUGUUGGGUGCCAUAGAGAUUUUCCAAUUAAUUUUGGUACACCGGGACUGGUAUAGUUCUAAAGAACAAAUGCUUAAUGUUUCAAUUAUCCCGUUUUCUUUUUCUGAUGUUCAAUGUUUAUUUAUUCAUUGUAGUAAUUAAGAUUUAAGUUUGAUUGAUUGGUUGUAGUAGGUUGGUUUGGCCCUUUCUUACGCGGCGCCAGUCGUUUCAUUGUUGAGCAGUUUUCUAAGUAGUUUCACAGAAACAGAGAAGGAGAUGGUUUCUGUUGAGAGAGUUGGUGAGGUAAUUAGAAUGAUCUUUGUGUGGAUACCUUUCGCAUUGAUCAAUCACUAACGAAAGGAGCAAAAUUUGUAGUAUAUGGAUAUUCCUCAAGAAGAUCUUCAAGGAUCACAACCUCUCGAUCUGAAUUGGCCCAAUGAAGGACAAAUCGAGUUUCAACAUGUUACCCUCAAAUAUAAGCCAUCUCUGCCAGCUGCUUUGAAUGAUGUUUCGUUCAGAAUUGCAGCAGGCAUGCAGGUAGCGUUCUAUACGCACCUUUUUACGGUUGCAAAUGGUCUAUUUACUAGCAUUUUCUUUAUUGAAAAAACAGAAACUUCUAUCUUAUUAGGUUGGAAUAGUUGGAAGGACAGGAGCUGGAAAAUCCAGUGUCCUCAAUGCACUUUUUCGCCUAAACCCUAUUUGUAAUGGGCGCAUUCUGGUAGAUGGUGUUGAUGUGGCUGAUGUUGCUGUUAGAGUUCUUCGUGGGCACUUUGCAGUGGUCCCCCAAAGCCCAUUCUUGUUCGAAGGAUCUCUAAGGUGCAUCCAAGUUUUUUACUUUAGUUUAUAUCUUGUUUUUUUUUAAAUUAAUAUUAGUUCUAAGAGAUAUUUACAUGGACAAACCUGCAACAUAAUAUAUUAAUAUAUAUCACCCCUUAACACCUGUGUAUUCGUAUACAUCCUUGAAGAAAAAAAAAGACACCCAUUUUUUGCAUACAAGCUACCCUAAACUUCCUCUUUUUGUCUUUGAAUGUUAGGGAAAACCUAGAUCCGUAUGGGAGGGCGAGCGACUGGAAAAUCUGGGAAGCCCUAGAAAAAUGCCAUAUGAAGGCAGAGGUAGAAUCAGCUGGUGGACUAGACAUACAUGUAAAAGAAAGCGGCACAUCAUUUUCUGUUGGCCAGCGGCAGCUCAUAUGUCUUGCACGAGCAAUCAUCAAAUCUUCCAAGGUAGAAGAAUUUGAUACUUGUCUGUAGAAAUAUUUCUUAGGACUAGAUAUACUAUCUCAGAUCCUUGGGUUAGUAACUGAUAUGUAUAAACAGCUCGAGCAUGCAUAAAGUAAAGCAUGAUCACUAGAGUAUCAAAUGCUCUUGUUCAUCUUGAUGUACUCAAUUCAUUGCUCACUGGAUGCCUUUUAACCUUCUCCUUCCCUGGAAGUAAAUUGUUUGAUUUGUAUACUACUAAACAGUUGCAAUAUUUUCUUUUAGAUACUCUGUUUGGAUGAAUGCACGGCAAAUGUUGAUACUCAGACGGCGCUACUGCUACAAAGUACCAUAUCUGAUGAAUGUAAAGGCAUGACAAUUCUCACAAUAGCGCAUCGCAUUUCUACGGUGUUGGAGAUGGACAAUAUUUUAGUUCUUGAUCAUGGUAUCCUGGUAAGAUUGGACCCUUCCCACUUAUUUCCACUUUUCAGUUCGCAAGCUGUUUAGUUUCUAGCAAAAGCAUGCUUACUGCUUUCAUCUCGGUACAGUAGCCACGUAUCGAAAUGUAAAUCUCUAAAUAGUUGGUCUGGAUUGACAAAUGGUGGAGGUAGAUGAUGUUUGAUUGCAAAAUUCCAGUUCUUUCAGAAAUCCCAACACGAAAUGAACUGGCUUAAAAUCUAAUUAAUGGAAUGAUAAAGUGACAAAAUUAGAUCAGGAAAGACAGUACAAAGGAUACAGAUAGGUAAACAAGUAAAAAUUCUUAAAAGCUUGACUAAAAGCUGAAAAAAGGUGUAAAUUAAUAAUUUGUAUGGAAUAUAGUAGUAAAGGAGUUACUGCCCCAUAAAUAUGUGGAAAAAGAACAUGACACAUUCACAGUAAGCAAUGGCUCUGGAGUCAUGGGUGCACACACAAAUUCGACAGUUCCGCGUACAUGUGCCUUUUCUUUAUUGCAUAUCAUCUGCUCUGUAAAAGUCCUCUGGUAAGCUUUCAUUAUGCCACUAUUUUCUGAACCAGAGAAGUUGAGGCUUGUGAGGCUUUUUUUUUUUAAAUACAUUUUUUCCUCCUAUUUUGUGUUUUCAUAACUUGCAGCCAAGGUUUUUGACGUUGGAUUUGUUGCUCCAUUCUUAGUGUACCUCCAAAGACAGAAGUGGUUUACUCUCUCAAAUAAUCUGCUGAUGCUACUCAUGUUAGAACAAUUUGUCAAAAUGUAUUGUUUGGUCAUAAAGUGUGUUUGAUUCUUUUGCACCUUAGUUUGAAAGGCCAUUAUUUACCUCUUUAAUUCUUUCUUUUGCUAGUAAAUCGAAUUCCCGAUCUUUCUAUUUGCAGGUUGAACAAGGAAAUCCACAGGAUCUUCUUGAUGAUGAAUGCUCGAGAUUUUCAAGCUACGCUAAGGCAUCCACAAUGUAAGCAUCGGAUAACGGCCUACAUUUAACAGAUAUUUUUUUUUUCGUGGAUUAAGCAUUUAACCUGUGUUAUGUCCUGUUGGAUAGUCCCAAGUUAUUUUAACCGUAGAAAUGCUUCUAUAACUCUAUAUUAAAUUCCUAAACCGCUUAAGAGAUACCAUUAACCAAUAACUGCUACCUUUUGAAGUCAAAAUUGGUUAAAUUUUCACUGGUUGAUGAUGGAUAGCUGAACUGUAGAAUCUGUUUAUUUAUUUUUAUUUUCGUAAUUGCCACCUGUAAGUUUAAAUUUUAUCUAAUUCUGAUAGGAAUUCCAACAUUUCAGAAUCUAAGUUUUUCUUUUUAGGUAUGUGACUUAUAUUCCGAGAAAAUGACGUAGUAAGAGGUUAUGUUGUAGACAUCUUUUCAUUCACCAACAAAAGCAGUUAGCAUUUUUAACCCUCGAGUAAACGAAAGAUGCUGAAAUCGAAAUAGCAAACUGUGCGAAGCUGAUAAGCCCGACCGCUCGCGGCCCAGUUUGGUGCUUCUCUAAUAAAAGGUUUUCAUAACUAUUUUGUGGUGUGUUAGGCUUUUUUUGGGAUUGUGGAGAAAUUGAGUUACGUGCACAUACCAUGUUUGUUUUUAUAUAUAAUAACACAGUUUGCAUAUCGUAAUGAGUCAGUUAUGAUAUUAUUUUUUGCGUUCUCGUCGGAAAAGAGAGAAGUAUAUCUCUAUACGCUUCUGUCCACUAGUGGUAGAUGUGCAUCAUCAAUGUCAAGCGGGCCCUCGGGGGACUGUUGCAUUAAAGUCCUUUUGGACAUUGUUUGGAUCUCUAACUAACGUUUGUUGCUGAGAGCUCAUUUUCAAACUAGGUCUGAGAACCUGUUUCCCAGCCUUCUAGUUGAGAGCUUGUGUAUUUGAGAUGUGGAAAGUCCCUUGGUUGGAUGGAGAUGCCAAGAUGAGACUCUAGCCCUGAGCAUCGAAUUUCUUAUCGGAAAAUGCUACCUGUAUAUCCCAAUCAGAGUGUAAAUCUUACAACUUUGAAAACCUUAAGUUAAUUUUAGUUAAAAUGUAUCUAGAAAAAUAUUGAUAAGACAAGUGAGAGAAUCGUAGUUGGGAAUCAUAAUAAUUUGAUUUGACAGUUGAAGUGCUUGUUUGACUCAGUUGGAUAUGCAAAAGUGCUGCUUUUAGUUUAAUUACUCCAAAGAAACACUAACAGUUCUCUUUAUAAAAGUCCUCGCUGUAGCUUCUGGUAGCAUCAGAAGUGGAGAAUGGAGCUUCAUAUGGGAGCCAUUGCUUUUGGGAUCAUAUACUCACUUUAGCUUCCUUUCACAACAAAGGCACUCAGCUUUUUUCUUCAAAGAGAAAGGUAGCACUUUACCUGCUUCAUUCAUUAAGUAGGUAAAAUUAGCUACAUAGAGUGAGACAGUCUGGGCCUCGAGAGACACUUAAACAAANUUUGAAAGAGAAAGGUAGCACUUUACCUGCUUCAUUCAUUAAGUAGGUAAAAUUAGCUACAUAGAGUGAGACAGUCUGGGCCUCGAGAGACACUUAAACAAAUAAUAGAAAAUAACAAAAGGAAGAGCCCAAUAAAAACGAGAACAAGCAACAGAACGAAGGGUGUAACAAACACCAAAAUCACCCUGACAAAAAUCAGUCCACUCCAUCGCCAAUACUCCGAUACCGUGGGCAAUAGAGAUAGCGUUCAUUGGAAGGUUUCAAAAGAUAAUAUUGUUUCUUGCACGCCAGAUCGACCAUCAUGUGGCCGCCACAAAUGUCAAAACCUUAGUAAAGUCGCCCAGCGACCUUUUUCUUGCCCUCCUCCCAGACGGAAUUGACAUCCUCAGAGGAGGUGGAAACGUGAGGGUCGUCAAGGAGUGGAAUAAAAGAUACUUGGUAACGGCACAUUCCACCAACAAGUGGUCUACUGUUUUCAGCUUGUCGGCACAUAAGACACACAUGGUAUUUCCUGACCAUCCUCUUUUGAGCAAAUUAUCCACAGUAGGCAAUUUCUUUUCUUUGGCUAGGGCUAGCCAAAGAAAAAUUUUGACUUUUGUCGGAAUUUUUAUUUUCCAAAUGGCAGGCGUCUUGACAUCCAAGACACCCCCCGUCCUGAUAAGCGAGUACACUGAUUUGACCGUAAAUUUAUUUUCGGAGUUCUAUCUCCAGUGGAUGCCAUCAGGAUUGUCAUUGACGCGAAAGUUCGAGACGAUGUUCUGUAGCUCCCUAAUUCUCUGUUCGUAGUAGAGAAAUUGUUCAAAAUGUAUCGAUGAAGUGUUGCGUAAGUAGUACUUAAGAAAUAGAAGUGCUAUACCAAAAUUCCUCCAACAUUUUUUUUUCUGUUUUAGAAGCAAGACACCACAGUAAAACUUCUGCUUUUGGGACUCACAUUUCUAUUCAAUUUUUUACCGUAGUUGUAGCUUUACUAGUUUUUUUUUAUUUGUUGGUGGGGGCUAUAAAGUAAAGCAGAUGCACGAGCAAUCCAAACAAACAUCAAACAGCAUGCAUGUAGAGAAUCAUACAUGUGCAAAUCCAUAGCAAAGACAAAUAACCAACCUUAGACUCAGACUAAAUUCAUUCAAUCUCUUUAGACUAAAACCAUGUUGCUACUGCCAUCUCUUCAAACAUUACAAAGCAGUCAAAAGUUACAGCUGUCUCAUUAGAGGCAUGCACAUAAACUCCCACAAAAGAGAAUCUUGCUCAAUUUUAGCAAAUGGAGAGAGAAUAUUUUUUUUGAGAAAGAGAGGUAGCAUGCUACCUGAUUCGUUUAUUUUUUUUUAGAAAUAAGCUUAAUUAGAAAUGUGAAUCAAUUAGAAUUCGAAUUUAGGACCUCAGGUACCAACCAUUAAGCUCUUUGCCACUUGCACUAGGGAUGGUCGGUAAGUACCCUGUUGAGUUAAACAAGAGAACUAAAAGUAAUGCCAUAUAUAUGUAGAUUCUCAUAAUGAGAAAGGAGGAUAAUUAAGCUAGAAUAUUAUUAGUAGCACUAAGUCAUUGGGGCUAUUAGGUCUUCUGCCUUUGGAUGAAGAGAUGUGCGGUUAGGAUGAUAGUAGGCUCAUAGGUUUGAGUGGUGAUUGAUUUAGUAUGAUCUAACAGAUGAAAAUGAUCAAAAAAAUAGAUCUAAUUAAUAGCAGAAAACUUAUAAGUACUAAAUAUUUGCUGUUUUUAAAAGUACCAUAUCCAGGCUCUCUCUCUAUAUAUAUAUAUAUGGUCCCCAAAAAAGGCCAUCAUUAACUAACAAGCUUCAUAGAAAGGGAAAAAAGAAAAAAAAAAAAGAAAAAAGGAGCAAAGGUCUUUCUCUUGCUUUUUCUAUAUUGCACUUCAGUUUUCCUUGGUGGAUGGUGAUGCAUCAUUAGUUAUCUAUUACUUGUUUGAAACUUUUGAACCCCUUUGAGUCCGACUGGCAGGUUCAUAAAUACUUCUCUCUCUCAAUUGGCUGCCAGCCACUUGCCAGGCCAUCCACAUCUCUCUCUCUCUCUCUCUCUCUCUCUCUCUCUCUCUCUCUCUCUCUCUCUCUCUCUCUCUCUCAUGUAUGAGUGCAGGGGAGAACGUUAUAGACAGUUCCUUGCGCAGAAUUUUUUUUAUCGUAUCUAAUAGAUUUAUAAUAGAACAUAACCUGCCGUCCAUUAGAUAGCUCGCUUGCUUAACAGACACAAUAUAAUCAUGCGCAUGAGGUUGCAACCAAUACGCUCUGAGAGUAUUGGAAAUAACUUAGGUUCAAUGUGUUAUGGCGGUAAUCAAUAGAGCAACAAAAUAAAAAUAAAAGAAAAGAAAAGAAAAAAUGUCUUUAUUGAGGUGGAGAAUAAUUAACAAGUUCACGGCGCAAUUGUUCUAUGUAACUUUAGCCUCUUUAUAGUGCUUAACUCGCACAUAUGAAUAACUAUGAAUAAACUAAAAAUUCAAACUGAAUAACAACCUAAAAGUCAAUCCUUUAUAACUAUAUAGUUAAAAACAAAUCUAACUAGUGAUUUGAUCUUAUCUUUAACAAAAUCUAACUAGUGAUUUGAUCAUUAUCUUUAACACAAUAUCAUCCAGCAUCCACAGCCACAAAGUACUAUAAUAUAACUAUUUGAAUAGUAAAUAAUAAAAAUUGUAUAAAAUUUAGUUGCACUUUUUAUAAAUUCAAUUAAAAAUUUCCAAAUCGACAUGUAAGGCAAUUAAGUAGCCGCACUUAUUUCAAGUAGAAUGGACAAAUUAUGGGUUAUCACGAAAAUGUAUAAAGUUCUUUAGUGUAACAGUUAUGUUUUGCAUCAUGGGUCUACAUGCAUGUAUGAUCCACGUGUCACUAUCAUACGUGAGAUUUUUGAUACUUAUUUAGCUUCAAAACAAAGAGUUAUAGACAUAAUAUCCAUGGAUAGUGUAGUGUAAGGUCCUUAACACUUAAUAGUGUGUUGGGUCCAUUUCGUUGAAUGAUGGUUCACCUAAUGUAUAGCGAGUGGUGGUCACCUUCGCAAAUUCAAAACUUAAUAUAUUUAUAAAAGCAAAUGUACAUUAACCCCAUCAAACUUAGUCACUUUCUCUCUCAAAAAAAAAAAAACUUAGUCACUCUAACUUUAAAGAAUCAACAAGAUAAUUUACUAAAUUUUAACUUGUUUCAGUUAACCAUCUUUAAUAAAUGCCACUUAUUGGAAAAAUAGUGAAAUUUGGAGUUGCAUAGUUGAUUAAAACAUACUAAAAGUUUAUAUAAUUUCUUAAUUUAUUAUUAUUUUUUUAAGUUCAAAUGACUAAGUGUAAUCGGACAAAUUUCACAAUGUCCUUCAGGAUUCACAGCCACAAAGUACUAUAAUAUAACUAUAUGAUAUUAAUUGUACUUUUUAUAAAUUCAAUUAAAAAUUUCCAAAUUGACAUGCAAGGCAAUUAGGUAGCUGCACUUAUUUCAAGUAGAAUGGACAACUUAUGGGUUAUCAUGAAAAAGUAUAAAGUUCUUUAAUUAGUGUAACAGUUAUGUUUUGCAUCAUGGGUCUACAUGUAUAAUUAUAUGAUCCAUGUGUCACUAUCAUACGUGAGAUUUUCGAUACUUAUUUAGCUUUAAAACAAAGAGUUACAGACAUAAUAUCCAGGGAUAGUGUAUUGUAAGGUCCUUAACACUUAAUAGUGUGUUGGGGCCAUUUCAUUGAAUGAUGGUUCACCUAUGUAUAGUGAGUGGUGGUCACCUUUGCAAAUUCAAAACUAUAUAUAUAUAUAUAUAUAUAUAUAUAUAUAUAUAAAUGUACAUUAACCCCAUUAAACUUAGUCACUCUUAACUUUAAAGAAUCAACAAGAUAAUUUACCAAAAUUUAAUUUGUUUCAGUUAACCAUCUUUAAGAGAUGCCACAUAUUGACAAAAUAGUGAAAAUUUGAAGCUACGUAGUUGAUUAAAACAUACUAAAAGUUUAUAUGACUUCGUAAUUUAUUAUAACUUUUUUAAAAGUUCAGAUGACUAAGUGUAAUCGGGCUAAAAUUUCGGGCACUCUGAUAUUGUAGUUUUUUUCUCUUCCCAAUCAUACAUGUUCUAACUCUAUUAUGAACUCCUAAAAUUAGGGUAACCUCCUAUACCUAAUAGGACGACCCAAAAAAUUUAAUAAAUAAAUAAAUAAAAAGAAAGGAAAAGAGGACACUUUGAUUUCAUGCAUGCAUCAAAGAGGUGGCUUGGCAAAUUCAUUAGGUGAAUGGUUUUCAUAAUCCAAACCCUAAUUAACCAGGUUGUUCUUUAAUAGCAAGUGUCUUAGCCAAAAUUUUUAUUGGUGUCCCAUCCCAUCUAUCAUGGAAAGGAAUGUUUGGGAGGCUUAUUUAUUUUAUUUUCUAGGUUUAGUGACAAAUUAUUAGGUGUCUUUGGUACAACAGUAUCUAGUAGAGGUGUUUAGUGACCAAUUAUUAGUUGUUGUUUGGACAAGAGUAUCUAGUAGAGGUGUCAAUGGACCAUGCAUUUUUGCAAACCCAUAAUCCUAAAAAUAUAAGGUCCAAUAAAGUACUUAAUAUCCUCUACAAUGCUGUUUUUAUAGACAAUGUCGACAUUUUGGCAAAUACAUGUCGUAUUUUUGGACAUUAGAAUCUCUUUAUCAACGGUUGAUAAGGAUAGCAUUUUGAAAUGUGUAGUUAGUACUAAAAAAGAAAAAGUUUAAUGAGGCCUAUAGUAGGUUUGUUUUUCCCUAAAGUUAAAAUUCUACAUAAGAUACCUAGCUUUUCCAGUGAUUUGAUGGGGGAAAAUGUCCAUAUAUGCUAAUUGUUUCCAAUCAAUGUUGUCACUCAUAGCUAUUGAUUUUUAUAUAAGCAUUACUAACAGUGAUUUGCAGGUGUGUGCUCCAACUUCAGGUAGUAGCUCAAUGCAUUGCCUUCUUUUUCCUGCAUACUAAUAAUAAUAAUAAUCAUAAUCAUCGGCCGCAGUUAGUUAAUUAAGGGUUUGAUGGUCGGUACUUGACGUCGCAAGUUUGAAUUUUACUUGUUUCACAUUUCUAGUUGAGCCUAUUUCUAGAGAAUGAAGAAAGCGAGUAGCAUACUACUUUUCUCAAAAAAAUUAUAAAAGAAAUCAUAAUCUCCAAGUCAUAUAAUGUAGGUGGUUGCUAAACCUAGUGACCGUGCUUGCUAGUACUGGCAACUUGUUGGAUCCAAACCAUCGUCCAAAAAUAAGACACUUGUAAAACUAAGCACGUAAUCGAGUGCCUCAUUAACCAUUCUAAAUUGAAAGAAUUGACGGUACAAAGUAACUGAAUUGACAUUUAUAGUGAUUUGAUAAAUUAUAUGAUUAUCAUGUGCUACUAUAUUUUAAUGAUUGAUUUUACAAGAUCUAAGUGUUAUGGUUUGAAUAACUUUAAAACAAAGUGUUGUAUUAUAUGAACCAUGCAAAAUAAGAUCAUAUUAGAAAUUCCAAAAGUUUUUUAUUCCAAAAAAACUAUUUAUCAAACAAGACCAUAACAUUUGAGGUCCAAAAGGUACAUACGAGGAAUGGUCAAGGAAAAGAAGCUUUAAUUAGUGAUGUAAUUUUCAAUGUUUCCUUUAAUUUGAGAACUCUUCCCCAAAAAUGUAGCAUCUACUAAAGAGGGGUUCUCUUGUUAUAAAAAAUGGAUAAAAUUUUGAUGUGUGAAUUGUGGAAUAUGUAGCCACAUAUGUAUGUUUCUGUGUUCCCUUUUCUUUGUUAGGUUCUUUCACCUUUUUUUUCCCAACCUUUUAGUUUGAUUAAUUUUCUUUUAUUCUUUUGUGAAAAUUAGGAGAGUGACACAACAAGGGUGUAAUUAAUAAUUGACCUUGUGUCUUAUUAAAUCCUUACUUUUCUCUUUUAUUUGAGAAUCGAUUUUUUCCCUUAUUGUAAGUGUUUAUUAGUGUUUUGUAUCUAAAUCUAAAAUCACUAAUUUAUGCGCCAAGUAUUUGUGGUGGUGUGUGUAUAUAUAUCUAUAUAUAUAUAAAAGCGAUAUAGGAAUUCGACAAUGAUAGAUGCGUCGUAAAAAAAAUAAAUAAUAUGCUCUUACAAGCUGGUUAUGAUUAAUUUUGUUAAAAAAUGUAUCUCAAAUAAAAUGAACUUAGUUAUGAUCAUAUCUAUUAAAUCUCUACCGUGUAUAAAUCUUAUUACUAAAAAAUAUCCAAAUUAAGAACAAGUUAUAAUCAAUCUAUUAAAACAGCCAAUCAUUGCCUAUCCAAUUUAUAAUCAAUUGUAAGGACGAUUAUAAUCAAUUUGUUUUAAAAAAAUAUUCAAAUAAAAAAACAAACGCGUUUAUGAUCAAAUUAAAAAAUAUCUCAAAUAUCGUAUUCAUACUAGUUUUACAUUAAAUAUUAAAAUUUGAGUUUAUAUUUAUUUAUCAUGAAUUAAUUUAAUUUGUAUCAAAUGUUGUAUAACAAAUAUAAUUUUUUUAUUAACUGUAGAUGAAAUUUAAAUUUAAAUUUUAAAUCGUAAUGUGAAUUAAAUUUGAUGACCUUUUAGUUUAAAGAUAAAUUAUAAAUUUUAUUCAUCAAAAAUCAAAAGUAUAUAAAUGUUCGAUGACUUAUCUAUAUCUAUAUCGUAUACUAUAUAUAAAGCGUAUAGUGAAUUCUGACAAUGACAGACGGUUAGAUCUAAAAAAUAGAUAAUAAUAAUAUUCUUCAUACAAAUGGUUUAUGAUUAAUUUGUUAAAAAUAUCUCAAUAUCAACAAUGAACGGUUAUGAUCAAUUAUUAAAUCUUUAAUGUUGUAAAAAUCUAUUUCUUAAAAAGUAUCUCAAAUUAAUAACAGUAUAUAAUCAAUCUAUUAAAAAGCAUCAUUACUGAUCCAUUUUGAUAAAUCGAUUCGUUGGAGGGACUGAUUUAUAAUCAAGUUUGCUAAAAAAUUCUCAAAUAAAAACAAAAAGGUUAUGAUCAAAAUUUAAAAAUAAUCGUCAAUAUCUACUCAUCUAUUGUUAUUAAAAUUAAAAUUUGGAGUUUAAAUUAUGAAUGAAAUUAAUUUGUACCAAAUUUGAACAUUAAAACAAUUAAUUUUUCAUUAUAGUAGAUGAAAAUUAAUUUUAAAUUUAAAAGAAAUGUAAUUAAAUUUUGAUUUGCUUUUGUUUAAAUACUAGUUUAUAUAUUUUUUUAUAUUAUUUUAAUUUUCAUCAAAUAUUCAAAAAGUUUAUUAUUUUUAUUUAUUAAUUAGUCGUGGAUGUAUAGAAGAAAAAGAACAAUGCUAAGGAUAUUGAUAAAUAUUUUCUAAUAAAAUAUAAGAAAUAUAAUUUAUAAAUAUAAUUUUUAUUGCUUAAAAAUUGUGGCAUAUAUUUUAUAUGAUAAUGUACAAAUUUAUAUUUUAUUUGAAAUAUUUUUAUAAUAAUAUGUUACGUGCAUUUGCCUCGUACAUUAACUAAGAUAUAAUUAUAUAUAUAUAAUAUAUAAAUGAUAUAUUAUAGUAUGCCUACCAGUUUUUUAGCCUGAUGGAUCUAAUCUUCUUCAUUAUUUUUAACCAUUGCCGAUUAAUUACUUCUACUGAGUGGCGGAGCACUCAACCUAGGGGAGGGACACUCAACUGUAACGUACUAAUAUUCAUCCUGAUAGCUACAGUUUUUUCAUCCAAGCGAAGUUAAAAAAUUGAUAUAGACCUAAAAAGGCGUUUACUCUAUUAAUAGUAUUCCAGCGCAUCAAUUAAAUAUAUAGGUAUAUAGUAAUUAUUAUAGUAUAUAUAGUAUAUAGUAUAUAUAAUAUAUAUAAUAGUCAUUAUAUAUAUAUAUUAUAGAUAUAAUAUACUAGUAUAGUAUAUACUGAGCCUAUAUUAGUUAGCUGAAAAUUUCAUCCUAUUGCCUACCAUUUUUUUAGUCUUUGCAGAUCAACUAUUUUCAUUUAUUUAAAACAUUGGUAUUUUUAAAUACUAUAACCCGUAGUGGGCAGACCACGACAACCCUAGGGAACCCCACUCUAACCGAAUAAUAUCAUCCUGACCCUACAAUUUUUCAUCCUAAGGGUUAAAAAACUUAAUAGCAAAAGAGCGUAUUUACAAUAUAAUAUUAUAUCCACCUUUGAUAUAUAUAUAUAAUAUAUAUAUUAUAAUAUAUAUAUAAUAUAUAUAUAUAGCCGAUCGUCGACUCGAAAGUCCGAAUAUCGAAAACAACUUGAAAGCACGGAAGGCUUCGUGUUUCCAGAAGCAUACCGGCCCACUCUCUCUUUCUCUCUCUCUCUCUCUCUCUAUAUAUAUGCAUUCAUUAUAUUUGGUUGUUAGUUAAUUAUUUUACAUCUCUAUUACGUGCGAAUUAAAUAGAAUUUAUUUAUUUAAUUAAGAUGUAAAGACUCAAGCGAUUGCCUAAUGAGCAAAACUUGAUUUCUACUUCAAUUAAAUAAAAAGGAAAAAAUUAAUAAUAAUUUUUAUUUUUACUACGGACAAGAAUGUAAUUUCACUGAAUCCUUUUAAAAUCAAACAAUCAAUAUAUAGUGAUCAGAUUCAACAAAUAUAACUGGUCAAUGAUAAAAUGUAAUAAGUUAAUAACAUUAUUAGUAACUUUUAUUUAUUAAAUUUAAUUAAUAUUAGUUAUAUAUUAAAUAGUAGCUAGAUUCAACGAAUUCAUAUGUCAAUAGUAAUUAAUUCACGACAUGUAGAUGUCAUUCCGCAUUAAAAAAAAAAAGAAAAGAAUUAAUCACCAUAGUGAGGAGGUGGUCACAUAUAUAGCCAAGUAGGCUAUAAUGUGGGACAAAGCAAAGUACAAAGAUCAUGAGGAGUAUGUAGAAAGAUUAGAUGUCACGCAUAUAAAGUAAGGUAUAAUCAUUCUCAUUGAACAGGUCAUCAUGUGUAUGUAUUGCUCCCCAUUAUCAUGGCUUUUUAUUAUCAAUAAUUAGUAGAUUAGAUUCUGGUUGGAUGUGGAACAAAAAGUUGAAUACGAUUUUCACUUAUUCUCUCCAUGAUUAGAGGAUUUGGUACAAGUNACCACUAGUUUCACAGCAUUUUAGCUGUUAAAAACUGCCGGAUAUACUCGGCAAACGAACAAAUUGCCACAUCUCGUUAGGUUUAACGAAUUUAAAAACUAUCUUUUAAAAAAUAUGAUAAAUCUAUUACAAACUAUUGAGACUAAUACUUAACUCUUUCAGAUUGGUGAUAAAAUUCUUCUAAUAAGUAAAUACUAGCAAGUAAAAAAUUGAAAAUUCUACUUGAACUAUUACUAAAAAUUUAUAAUGUUUUAAACCAAAGAUUUGUAAAGAUUAACACAUCUAGUUAAAGUUGCCACGGCUAAUAGUUAAACUUCAAGGCUAGUAAGUUUUGCUGAACUAUCCUGUUCACGAGGAUAGGAUAAUUAUCCUAUCAUCGGUCUGAGAGAGAGAGAGAGAGAGAGAUAUAUAUAUAUUUUUGUUUUUGUGAUAUAUAUGAUUUAUUUAUUAAUAUUUUUAUUUAUCAUUUAAUAUAUAUAUUAUUUAAUAAUAUAUUAUUAUAUAGAUAUAAUAUUUUUAUUUUAUGAUAUAUAUUAUUUAGUUAUAUAUAAAUAUUUAUUUUAACAUAUACAUAUAUGAGAAUACUCAUAUCAAGGGGUACAUGAGUAUUCAAAAACCGGCAAUCUAGAUAAAAAAACUAGUAAAGGUGGGCAAUUAGAAUGAUAAGUUGGUUGGUUGGUGGGUGAGUUGGGAUCCCCUAAUGAUAAUUGAAUUGGCCCCUGGUGAUAGUAGAAUUGGCGUGUAGAGAAGUAGGUUACCUUUCAAUACUCAUGUUUCCCCCGAUAUGAGUAUUCUCAUAUCAUCGGGAUGGGCACGGCACGGCGCAGGGCUGGGGCGUGGGCCGCGGCCGCUGGCGUGGGGCGCGGUGCGGGCGCCGUCGCCGCAUCGGACGGUGGCACGGCCGCUGGCGCGGGCGCGGGGCGAGCUCGACUCCUCUCCCCCUCUCCCCCGCUCUUUCUCUCUCUCUGUCGACCCCCCCUUCCUCUGUAAACCAUUAUCAAAAUUUAUGAAAUUUAGUUUCUAGAUAUUUCAAAUACUCUAGAUCAACUUCAACGGCUCCGAUCAUCGAUUCGGAAUCUCGAUCAUCAAGAACAACUUGAUAGGACAAGUGCUCCUAUCCUACUAAUAGGAUAGUAGCAUUAGCCUAUAUAUAUAUAUAUAUAGAGAGAGAGAGAGAGAGUGUUUAUUUUUCGGAAGUUUCAAAUACUUUAAAUUAUAUUUGACGGAGUGAAUUAUCAAUUUGGAAUCUUUAUCAUCAAAAAUAAUUUAUGAGUACGAAAAGCUCUAUACUCAUAAGAGCAUAGUAGCUAGCCCUACUAGAUAUACGAGUACUAAAGGCUUUUCCGAUAUUGUUCUUUUGUCAAUCAAGUGGAUGUAAAAAUGAACGGCUGAAAAUAAAUAUUCUUUAAAAAGUGAUGAUAUAAAUUUUAUAAUCAAGAUCGAGAGUAUAAAUCUUAUUCUAAAUAGUUUAAAGAGUUUUCUAACCAAAAUUCAAUUGAUUUGGAUAGCUUUACACCAUUAAACAAGAAACACCUCAUAUCUAUCAUUAAAAUUAUAAAUUUUGAAACUCUUUGAUCAUCAGGUUAAUAAUGUCAAAAAGAUUUGAAAUUUGAUUUCUAGAUACUUCAAUUAGUAUAGAUCAUAAUCAAUGGUGCUGAUCAUCGAUUUGAAGGCUCCAUCAUAAAAAACAAAUAGGUGGCAAUGGAGCCCGCAAUAGCAUUUUAGCUCAACUCUCUCUCUCUCUCUCUCUCUCUCUCUCUCUAUAAAUAUAUAUAUAUAUAUAUAUAUAUAUAUAUAUAUAUAUAUAUAUAUAGUAAGUCUUGUGUGCUAUUAAGAGCACGGAAGUCUCCGUGCUCCUAAGCCGUUUUUAAUGAUGGAGUUUUCGAAUCGACGAUACGUCAGACUUGAUCUAAUAUAUUUGAACUAUCUAGAAAAUAAAUUUUGUGAUUUUUCGGUAUCAUUUACCUACCGAUCGAAAGUGUUCAAAAUCAAUAAUUUUUAAUUGUUGAUGUAUAGUGUUUGUUAGUUCAACAGUAUAGAAGUAUUCAAAUCAGAUGAAAUUUUGAUAAAAAAUUCUUUAUACUAUUUACAGCAAGAUCAAUAUCUUUGAUUGAAAAUUUUAAUGCUAUAUCACCACUUUUUAUAGGAUUUUAUUUUCAGCUGUUGAUUUUGAACACUUCUGAUUGCUAUGUAAAUGAUAUCGUAAAUAGCAAGAUUUAUUUUUUAGAUAUUUCAAAUAUGCUAAAUCAAGUCUAACAGAGCUAAUCGUUGAUUCGGAAACUUCAUCAUCGAUAACGGCUUAGAAGCACGGAGGCCUCCGUGCUCCUAAUAGCACACAAGACCUACUCUCUCUCUCUCUAUAUAUAUAUAUAUAGAGUUGAGCUGGAAUGCUAUCGGUAGCACCAAACCUGCGUUUAACAGCAAAUGAGAGGAUCUAUAUAUCUAACGUACACAUCAUAUUCAAUUGUGAUGAUUAAUAUAUUAAAAUUAAAAUUUAAAUCGAAAUAUUUUGUUGGCUUAAAAGAUUAGUAUUUUAUCUUGUGGCGGGAGGUCAGAUUAGGCCGAAUUAUAUUUAAAAUGACAAGAAGUCAGGUUGGACCAAAUCAUGUUCGAAAUUACGUGAGGCUUCAUGGGCCGAAUCACAAUCUAGAUCUGUGAACGCUAUAUUUAUACGACUUAAAAUGACAAGAAGUCGGGUUCGACCAAGUCAUGUUCGAAAUUACGUGAGGCUUCAUGGGCCGAACCACAAUCUAGAUUUGUGGGCGCUAUAUUUAUACGAUUUAAGUGAAGUGAUUGCGUAUUUCUAAUUGCUCUAAUUUUUGUGAUUAAUUGUAAGCAUCAACGAUCUAACGCACAUAACCUAAAUUUUAAAAUAAAUCUAUAAAUAAAAAAACCACUUAAUUUAAAUUUUAUUACUAAUAUAUUAAAUAAGCUAAAAAAUAAUAAUUUUUAAUAGACGUUGUUCAACAAUGUCCAAAACUUAUAAUUUUGUAUAUAUUACCUCUUUGAAUAUUAUAGGAUAUAUUUAAUAAAUUAAGUUUUUGAUUUUGAGACAUCUAUAUAUCACUGUAUUUUUAGGAAAUGGUGUAUAUAUAUAUGGUACUUAAUAAAUUAAUUUUUGUGAUUUAGCAGGCAAAAAUAUUUCAAAGUGAUAAAGGUGAUCUCCUUAAUUAUCUUAAUCUGAAAAAUAGAAGACUUAAAACUAAAAUUUAAUUUCUCGAAUGUAUACCAUGACAUUGAAAAGUCUACAUAAUAAAAAUAAAAAAUUAUAAUUUUUUAUACAGUUUACGGUGCAUCAGAUGGACCUACUAAAUUUAUAUAUAGACAUGUGUCAACUAAAGAGAAUAGCCCCACAUCAUUUAGCAUAUGGUAAUACGUAGUUUGGGAUCUUUAGUUUUUUACUAUCCAUGCAUGUGUUAUGUACAUAUUUGUGGUAGUGUAUGAGAAAAAGAUGUGUAUGACAAAAAUCAAAAUAUUAGGUCGAUGAUAUUUUAAUUUUCAAACUUUAAUUUAUUGUGAUUUCUGGAUCAAACCUUACAGAUUAUUAUAAUUAAGUUUUACAAUUUAAUUUAGUUGACUGAAUAAUAACACAUCACUAAAGUGGUGAUGAUGUGAUAUUUUAACCAUUAAUAAUUACGUAAUCAAUUAUAAUACUAUCACAUUACUAUCGCAUGCAUUAGGGAGCUAUCAUUAUUCAAUCAGCUAAAUUGUACUAUAGGAUUAAAUUGCAAUAAUUUAUAAAUUCAAAUCAUAAAUUAUAAUAAAUUAAAAUUUGCGAAUUAAAAUAUCACAUUCCUCAUAGUUUGAGGACAAAAAAUGUAAUUUAGCCUUGUUGUUAAGUGUACUUCCAUUGUAGCUAGGGAAGCUAAUUAUAUAAGCAAGUAUGUGGCUUUAAUUUUUUUACGCCAUCGACCUCUCACUUUAAAGCUUUUAAGGAUUCGUACAGUUGAUAGGUACGUUUUGCUCUAGACAAAAAAAAACAACUAGAAUUCGAGAUUUUCGCAUAUCUAUGUAACCCUACAUGAUCCUCCAAAUACUAAAAAGGCAAAUAAUGCACUUUGUAGUUCCUAAUGUGAGAUGUUUGGUUCUAAUGAUGAUGAAUAAUAAUGAACUUCUUCAACUUCAAGUAGGGGUGAUUACUAUUUGAGUCCAAACAAUGAAUUGAACCCAACCGAGUCAUUUCAUUUGGCUAUAUAGUUAGGUUUCACAGUACGUAAUUUGGUCGAUUCAAUUUUAAGAAUUAAGAACCGAUCGAGUAAUCCAAAUAUAUUGAAUUAGCCUAGCUAGUAUAAUAAUUUGAUGUGUAUUAGUUGUUAGUUGAUUGAUCAAAAGUACAUCGAUAUUCAUUUAAGGAGUAAGAUUUAUCGCACUGAUAUCCCUUGUAUUGUAGCUAGUACAUCCAUCGAUUGUUGCACUUAGUUGAUUCAGUUUGCUGUAGAAAUAAAUCCUAAAACGAACUCGAUCCGACCCGACCCAACCCGAGCAUCCCAUAAACCUAACUUCAAGAACAUCCACAUUUUUGGCUAUAAUUAAAACAAGAAGCUCUUUUUCGAGAAUGAGUGACCCCACAAAACACAGGUGUACAGUAUCUUCAAGUACAGAACAUGUUAUUUCAUGUGCUCCACAAGUUGGUAAUAUCCCAAGAUGCCCUUCUAAAAAGGAAUGUUUUGGAACUAUGGUUCUACAUGGACCACAAUAAUUCCCCCCUCUCCAAAACUCCCCGUUGGCAUGGAGUAGUGGUGCUAAACCCUAGAUCCUGCUCUAAGGCCCCAGUGUUCCCUAGCUUUUAAGAGGUGAGCAUCACUAGGAGCACUAUCAGGUCCCAUGCGGGUCGGAUAUACAUAUCAUGUAGGUCUGAGUCCGAAAAACCAAUACGAUCUGAUCACGUGAUGCGGGUGUUACAGAAAAACAAACUCGUCGGCCUUUAAAUGGCUUAGCCCAAUGUGGGAACAUUGUUUGGAUCAUUGUGAUCUCAUGCCACUAUAAAGGUAGGACCCAGGUUGUUUUUGUCUGGAGAAGUGGACCCAAGCCAUGGGAAUCAAUUUAAUGGCUUGUAGCUACAUGACAAAUCAAGGUACAAGUGGGGAAAGCAAAAUUCCAAUAGCUUGGGUUGGAGCCAAGUGUGACCAUGACUAGAUCAGUUGGAGUUUAGCUCCCAUAGCUUUGAUGAAAAGGGAGAUAAUAAACCAAUAUUCGAAGGGGGGGUCCUACAUGUCUCCUCAUGACUCAAACGUUGUUGUUAUGUAUUUGGAUUUAUCAUGGAGCUGUUUCAAAUAAUCUUCUUAUCUUAGUGCACAUUGAAAAUAGUCAUGUGUAGAAACAUGAACAUGCACCAAGAAUAUCAACAUCAACAUCAACAUAUAGUUUUCUGAAUUAAAUGUGGAUAGCUUCCUCAUUGUGAUUCUUUUGUAUACAGCUUGAUAUUGUUGGCCAAAUUUCUUCAGCCAUUAAUUGCAUUCUCUUUUUAUUGCUCAUCUUUAUCCCUACGUUUUCUUUCUCUAUUGUUCUAAACAUAUUCUUCUAAGGUAAUUAUAUUUGGUUCACAACUAUAAAAAGUUAUACCUUUGAUAACUAGUUAUUCUGGGAUAAACCGAAAUAAGUGUAAAAUUAUGUUUGGUUUACAAUUCUUUCCUUGGAAUAAUUCAAAUUGUGUUUAGUAUUUAUUUCUAGGAGAUUGAGUUGGAAUUAAUAAAUAAAUCAUGUAGUUAAACUCAAACCAAGCUUUUUCUUUGCCAAGGUUUAACUGCUUACGGAUAACUUUUUUAAUCUUAAACAUGAUUGACUAUAGAAGCAAUGCCAAAACAUUUUGUCACAAAUUAAAGUAAGUCACCAUUUUGUAAGCAUAUGAAGAGUCAUAAUUAAUUGCCAAAUUAUCAUGAUUAGCCAUGCCAUAGAAUAAUUAUGUAGCUUACUAGGGUUUAUUAGCACAAAACGAGAAAGUAAUCAUUGACCACACCACCAAUUUGGUUAUGUAAAAUAAGUUGUAGUUUUUGUGAGGAUGUGAAAGUUUAGCCCUAAUUAGUUGUAAAUAGUGCCAUUUGCUUCGUUCUAAUUGGUUGGUUAGUUUGGGUCCAUUGGGUAAUAAAUUGGGCAACUUAACUAUGCCUAGAAGCUUAUCUAGUACUACAGUAGGUUAUAGUGUUGUUUGAUAAAGUAAUAUCCGAGAAUUGAUAUGUUUCUUCCACUGGUUUUUUCUUGUAGUAAAAUUAGAAGGUUCAAAUAGAAGAUUCUAUUUUAGGCUUCAAAAUUGUAUUUUUCUUGCUUUCGCUAAUAAAAGUUUUAGACUCUUCUAAUGGUCAAACGCUCUGCUCAGCUGUAGAAUUAUACUACUAUUUGAUGAAGUACUAGUUUCUACCUGUAGCAAAAUCGAAAGUUUGAAAUAGAAGCCUAUGUAUUUACGCUCAAACUUUGUAUUUCUACUUCUGAUGCUUCACAGAAGAAAAAUUAAAAAACAACUGAACUAUCAGUAUGUUGUGUAUGCCAUCAAGAGUUAAAAGCUAAAAUAAAAAUUAAUAUGGCAAAAUAAGCUUAAAGAUACUGACUGUCCCUAACACAAAUACAAAAGGGUUUGAUAGUAGAUACACGAGGUCUCCAAAUUUAAAAUCUAGUUGCUUCAUAGUUUCAACUAAAUUCAUUUUUAAAAUAAUGAACAAACGGAUAUUAUACCACCUUUCUCUCUCUCUCUCUCUCUCUCUAAAAAAAAUAAAGAAGAAGAAAAGCCUAAGGAUUUGAUCUUAGCUAGGGAUGGGCUCUCCUAAAAGAGACCUAAUAGGCUGCAUGGAUAAACAGCUCAUGUCCUAAUGAAUCCAAUUAAGCCUAGUCAAAUAGGAUGGUCUCUUUCCUAGAUAAGAGUGCUCAUCCAGCUCAUGAACCAUUAACAUAUUUGGAUUGUAAACAUUAUUGUACCAAUUGAGGACACAAAUCUUAGGCUACUUUACAUUAAUGUAGCCCACUCCACAGGUGAACCAAUUCUUAAUAUAAUUAAAGACACUGAGUUUAAAUCCUGUGAAGACCAUUCUUAUUUGAUUUUGAAAAGAAAUGCACUCAUAUGUUUAAAUUGAAGUUGUAGACAACAUUAAACAGCUUAGAUUAACUUUUAAAGAAAUUUGAAGCUCACUUACGCUGAAAGGACCAAGUUUGAGCAAAAUAUUUUUAUUUAACAGCGUAGCAUUCACCAACUCUAAUCUGUCCAACCAGAUAUAUAUUAUGUGAUAUAAUAACCAGAACUUACCUUUCGAGUAUACAAAAUCUCAAACUGAAUCGACUAGUCUGUUUGUUGAGCAUAAAUACGACCAAUAAACCGGAAUCGCAAUCACUGAUAGAGACAUUAAUUAAGUAGCCAUCUAAGAUACAGUAACCUUAUUUUGGCAAGUAUCUUAGAAAGCUAGAGUUCUUUUUAAAAGAUAAGGAUACAAUGCGCAGUACUGAAUGGACUUGCACUUCCCACAUUCACCACUAACUAGAUUUUAUAAGAGAGAAUAUCAACAAACCACAUAUAAAUCAUUGUGGUAACAUAAUUAAUGUAGGUUACUUUCAACUGAUUAGACAAGCCAUAGCUAAAUAUUUUCUUGCUUGCAUACAACUUUUGCUUUCAAAACCUCUAUUGUUGCAUCAUCCUCCACUAAGAAGGUAUCUAAACUUUCUAUCUUAGAUAUUUUAUUUAUUUUGUCCUUCUUAAUUUGUUGUUUAAGUAGUAUACAGUAGUUCAGCUACUAUGCUUUUAAGAGGACGGAGGUUUUAAUCCUAGCCAUCAAGUCAUUUUCAAUGAUUGAAACUUCAAAUUCAUAAUUGUCACUGUUGAAAUUAAUCUAAAAUAUUUAAAUUACUUAGAAAAAAAUUAUUAUUUUUUAAAAAUUAUAAUUCUCAAUUAAAGAGUCAAAAAAUUGAUCUUAAAAGUUCAAGGAUCGAAAUAAAUAGUUUGCGAUAUCCUUCGUAAGAUUGGUCCUAACUACGUCAAACCAUCCUUGACAUAACUAGUGUAAUUAAGUGAAACCUGAUAUUCAGAUCCUCCUAAUAUAAGCUAAAGUUUUAGGCAUAUUAAUUUGCAAAGCGCUUUAUCAAAAACUGCUACGGUUAGAACUAGAAGCAAAAGCUAAAUUGGAGGGGUUCAUAGUAGGUUCUUGGAUUAUGAACCAACAUCUAGAAAUGCUGUUGUGUCUUGAUAAUAUAAUGUCCUCUACAGAUGUUGAUACAUUUGCAAACUGCUAUUAAAAUGACUGUAGUGAGUAAGAAAUUCUUCCCCUCAAAGAACACCUCAUUCCUUUCCUUCCACAAGCUCCAUAACAGAUGAAUACAUAAGGCCUUAUGAGGCUCCAUAACUUUGUUUGUUACGAUGAAAAAUAUCCAAAAGGAUAUAUAUCUCUCAGGUUGGUCGGUUGUGAGGCCCAAACUCGAUGCAAACCAGACUCGUCGUGCCUGCUCACAAUUAAAAAAUAAGUGCACCAAUGUCUCAGACUGUUCUUGGCAGAGAGGGCAAAGUCCGUCGGUGUAAGGUAAUCUUAAGGCUAGUUUAGCUCCAACAGGUAACGAGUCAGAUACUAUUCUCCAUAUAAAUACUUUCGCUCGAGGCAUCACAUUCUUUAUGCUCCACACAGUAGCCCAAGAUCGUUUGUCGAGUUUCAGGUGGCUGAUGUAUCUGGUUCUGAUUUAGGCCUUCGUUUAUGUGGUUAAUAGCAGAUUGGAGGGUGAAGCGACCGGAUUUCGUGAGUUAAUUUCCAUUGUAGUUGCUCAGCAUUCCUUACUAUGGCAGUCGACAUCAGGUUCCGAAUUUGCAACAUAGAACGCCAAAUAGGUGAAGCUGCAGAUUUGCUCUGAACUGACCAGAAAUUGAGAUUAUUGUCCCUGCCAUACUUGCUUGCUAAAACCUGUGCCCAAAAAGAUGUUGGCCUAGUGAGGAUUAAUGUCCAUACCAAUUACAUACAUUGAUAUCUUGGCAUAAUAUUUUGACCGAAAAAUGAUUAUGAAUAGAUUUAUUAAAUGUGGUAUUGUAUAGUAAUAUUGACCGAAAAUGAUAAGAUUUACUAAUACAGAACGGUUAAAAUCUAUAAGAUCAACAUUAUAAGAGAUCUGUAGCAAUAUUCAUAACGAGCAUCCCCGACCUACACACACAUAAUCUCAGCAGUCAGCACUAAUGCGUGUGCAAGGCUUUACACACUGUAAAGGCAUAUAUUCCAUCGUACCACAAUUUUUUCUUAAUUUUAAAAAAUAUAUUUUUGUGCUCAUUUUCUAUGAGGUCGAUUCUUUGGAUAAUAUUGAAUUGGAGCCAAUCUACGCUCCAGCCGUUCCGUGAGGUCGGGGGUGAUGGGUCCCCACCUUCAACAUGUAUAUAUAUGGCUAAAUUUCAUAAGAUGUAUAUAUAUUGCUAAAUUUCAUAAGACCUCUUUACACUUUAGCUCCUAUCACUUAUGAGUAUGAAGGGCCCAAUACUUAUAAAAAUAUAGUAGCCCUACUCAUAUAUAUAUAUAUAUAUAUAUAUAUAUAUAGUUAGUUCGGCUGGAAUACUACUGAUAGCAAAACAUUCUUUUUGCUAUCAAGUUUUUAGCCUUUGGAUCAACUUUUUUUAUUAUUUCUAACCAUUGGAUUAAAUACUAUAACCCGGUGGGAAUCACUCAACCCUAGAGCUACCAUUCAACUCUAACUAAAUAAUAUCAUCCUAACCCUACAAUUUCUCAUCUAAGGGUUAAAAACUUGAUAGCAAAAAAAGCGUUUUACUAUCAAUAUAGUAUUCCAGCCUAAUUAUAUAUAUAUAUAUAUAUAUAUAUAUAUAUAUAUAUAAAACGUGACUCUACGGAACAGAAAUAGAAAUUAACAUUAAAAGAGGUGCUAGAAGAGGACAAAACUCAACAAGUUCUCACUUUUUAAAAAGCUUCUUAAAGGAGAAAAAAAAAGAGAGUUUGUUUUGUACUAUUUUAAUAUAAAAUAUUAUCAUAUUAGAAUCCUACAAUAGAUCUCCAAAAGGAUGUUUUUAAUAUGUCGAUGAUAUGUCGACGCUGGGGCCGGCAAUUCAGUUUGCUUUUUGCAAAGCAGUUAGAAUUUGAAAUGAGCUCGAGAUCGAUUGCUCGUUCAAUAAAUAAGUUUAAUACGAGCGAAAUUUUUCAGAUCAAAAUUUUAAUGAGCUGAUCAUGAAUUGGGGUCAGCAAGCUCAUAUUCGACUCGAUAUAACUUGAAUAUAGAUAUUUCAAAUUUAUGCUAUUUGAAUUAUAGGCCAACCUUAGUACAAAGAGACCUAUAUUCUAUGAAUUUUAAUUAUUAUAUUAAGAUUUCAUUUUUUUUUUUCAAGUUUGCUUUCAACUUUUUGUCCAAUAGUAGAGUUGCUCAGCUUGUUAAUAAAUAAGCGGAAUGACUUGAUAAUACAUAAGCCGAACGCGAUUGGAAUUUUUCAACUCGAUAUUUUGAUGAGCCGGCUCCAGUUUGCUUGUGUUCGGCUCUCGUUUAUAUAGCCCAAGUUAACACUCAUAUUACCGAUUGUCCCUAGAGCAAGUGGCAAAGGCCUUGCUAGUUGGUACCGAGACCCAAGUUCGAAUCCUAGUUGAUUCACAUUUCUAGCUAAAUUUAUUUCUAAAUGAAAUAAACGAAGCAGGUAGCGUGCUACCUAUCUCUCAAAAAAAAAAAAAAAAAAGUUAACACUCAUAUUAACUUAAUGUGAAUUGUGAAGAUUUUUUUACUCAAUUUAUGCUUAUAGUAUAAAAAUAUCACAUAUAUUUGUCAAUAUAUCAACAGUUUAUAAAAAUAUUCACAACUAAAAACUUUAUUCUUUGUUAAUAAUAAAUAUUAUUGUUAUUGAUAAUUAGCUAGUUAAAAUAAUAAAUUUUUAUAAUAAAUUAGAUGGUUGUCAAUCCUUGUUAUAAAUUUUAUAGUAAUAAAUGGAAAUAAUAUAAUUUACAAUAUCUCAAUGGCAAUUACUUUUAUAAUUUUAUAGUACAAAGAGACCUAUAUUACUUUUAUUGGAGCUUUUACUUCUCUUGGACUUAUAGCUCUUGUGCAAACAAAUGUUUCAAAUUUUACUUUUGGUAAUUACUAUACAUAUGCUAAACUAACUUUAUAAAAUUUUUCUAUAGUCGCCUCUGAUCAAUCAAAGUUACUAAUCUAGCCGUUUUAAUCGCUGUGUAAUUAAUAACUUUGAUUGAGAAAAAAUUUCUAUCAAGCUGAAUGAUAAGUUUUUAGAAGAUCAAUUAUCAAAAGUAAAAGAUUAGAUAUCUGUUUAUAAGAUGGUUAAAGUUUAGAGUCUUUAUACUUUUUUUUUUUGAAAAAAAAAAUCGUACACUUAAAAAGAGGUUGCAUAUCUUACACCUUAUCCAACAGUCAAAAAUGGUCCCAUAUUUUGUUAGAUUUUUAUAAAAAAUUAAAAAUUGAUUGGAUUUCGUGAACCUUAAGAUGGAAAGUAUAUGAUCUACGAUUUCUUUUUUGGAGUGUACAAAUAGAUUUUUCUGAAAAAGAAUGUCUAAAUUAACACUUUUGAUCCUCAAACUAUGAGGUGCAUAACAUUUUGGUUUUAAUUUAUUAUAAUUUUGUAUUCGAACUUUUUGAAUUGUUAUAGUUCAGUCUCGUAAUCCUAUUUAGUUGGCUAAAUAUUAUUGCGUCACUGAUGUAGAAUUGAUAUUACUGUAUUAUGAUUGAUGACGCGAUAAUAAUUAAAAUGUCAUAUCACUUUCACAUCGGUAACAUUUCAAACAUUUAGUCAACUAAAUACGAAUUGUUGGAUUUGAUUAUAAAAAUUUAUGAAGCGGAGCUAAAAAUUGCAAUACAAAAAACUUUGGGGAUUAUCAUUGUCACGUAAUCACCUUAUAAUUUGAGGACCAAAAUUAUAAUCUAGCCUACCAAAAAGCAAAAAAAAAAAAAAAAAUUCUAGAUGUACACAAAAAAAAAAAGGUAUACAUCUAACCGUUUAGAUAUUUAGUAUUAAAAAAAAGAUAAAUUUUAAUUUGUCUUCAUAGAAUUUAGUUCAUUUUUACUUUUCCAUACACCAUAUAGUUUAAAAACUUAUGCUUAACUAUCUUAUAAUUUAGUUUAUUUUUUACUGUACCAUCAGAUAAUUCAAAAGGUUAUACUUAAUUAUUUUAUUACGAUCAAAAAAAUUUAUUUUACUACCACAUUUAACAGUAAAUAUUUUAAACAAAAGCAAAAAUAAAAAUAUAUAUUAGUUACGUAUAAUUUUAAAAAUCAUAAAUAGAUACAGUAUUUUUUUUAAAAAAAAUGCUAAACUAUAUUGAUGCUAAUUAAAUUCUGUCAAAUUUUUUUAAAUAACUUCAAAUAUCACCUCUAUGGUUCGUAUUUUCUCACUUUAGCUACCGUUGGUUCGGGGUUAAGAAAAAAACUAGUUAUUUCAGGAAUAGAGUUAAGUUCAGGGUUAUGAUGGGGUUAGAGUAUUUUUUGUGUUUGGUUGAGAAUUAAAGUUAUUUCAGAAUUAAAGAAAAUAAUGUUUAGUUGAAAUAGAUGGGAUAAGAAGGUGAUGGGGUUAGCUACCUCACCCUAAAUAGGCUAUUCUGGAAUAGCCCAUUUGGGGUGGGGUUUGCUAACCCAUCAAAUAAGGGUUUGCUAACCCACCCCUUAUUUGAUGUGUUUGAGAAUAAGUUGGGGGUUAAGGAGUUAUUCCAUUCAACCCCCAACCAAACACUAGCUUAGUAUUUUGUGAUUUAAAGUAUAUCAAUUUAGUAUCCUAUGCUUUUAUUUUUUCUUUUUAUCAGCUCUUUCGUCAAUAUUUUGUUAAAAUAUAUAUAAUUAUAAGAUACUAAAUUAAUAUACUUUAAAUUAGAAAAUAUUAAAAUAUUAAAAUAAAAAAUGAGAAGUAUUUGAAGUUUUUUUUUUUUUUUUUUUUUUUUUNCUCUCUCUCUCUCCUCUCUCACCUUUAACAUGAGAAGGUACGAAGUGACGUCACGGGGCUCAGUGAAAGUGACAAAUAAAAGCUUCCGAAAUCGCGGGCGCGCGAAUCGAGAACCGUCGCAGUAACACAUUCAUUCGUGUUAUUAAUUUAUUAAAAAAAAAUUCCAAUACCACCCCUUAAUAUCAUUUUUUUUAUUUUAAUACUCUAUAAUUUAAAGUAUAUUAUCUUAAUAGUUUAUAAUUUUAUUUUUUUUCUUUUCAUUAGUAUCUCCAUUAACUUAAGUUAAUGUUAAAUAAUAUAGAAAAAGCUUCAGAUCGAUAUAUUAUUGAAUAUUUAUUUUAGUAUCAUGUAGUUUACUAAAUUUUCACUUUAGUAUUCUAUGAUUUUAAUUUUCUUACUGAUUAAACGAAAAAAUUAAUAAAAAAAAUAACGAAAAGAGAAAAAUAAAAUUACAGGGUAUUAAAAUGAUACACUUUAAAUUACAUAUUACUAAAGUGAGAAAUCGUAAAAUCAUAGAGGGUGAUAUUUGAAGUUUUUUUCUAUUUAUUACUUCGUUACCUUGCUAUAUUUUUACACAAAAAGUAUUUUAUUUAUAUUUAUACAUUACUAUUAUUAUUAGUGGCUUUUGUUAUGAUCUGUGGAAAUUAAGGUACAAAUACAAUGGUGUUAUGCUUCAAUCUGAGUCGUGUGAGAUAAUAUAAAGCAAUAAUCUUUAUUCUCUAUAAAAAUUUAAACUUAUAAAGAACGAUAUUUAAAUAUUUUUAUAUUUAACGUCUGAGCUCGAGAUCGGACAAUAUUUGAGGUAAUAACUUUUCCACAAGGAGGCAUGAUGAAGGACUCAUGAGAUCAAACAAUGUUUGAUUUUAUUUUGUUCGUACGCUCUUUAUAUAACCAGAUUAUUGAUUGGUAUAUAUAAAACUAAUCAUGUUUAUUUAGAGCUAUAGUCAAAAGAAAAGCUACAUCUAAUUUGUUUCUUCUCAUGAGUAUUUACAUUUACAAACACAAGCAUUUUAAAUUCCCAAGUUUUUAAUCACUAAUUAAUAACUCCCUAUGAUGCGCAAGGGAGUUGAAUUGUGCCAUUAUGCUCAUUGCUAUUGUAGCAGGUAUAUAUAUGUAUAUAUAUAUUUAUAUCAUGUUGAUCAUCUUAAUUAGUAUAAAGAUCACAUGGCAAGCAUGCAAUUUAUUUUACUUUUUCACUAGUAGUGUACUCUCUCUUUGUGACAUCGUCUUGUACACAUCCAUCAACUACAAACUAAUGAAUCCUCAAUGAACUGUCAACAAGAGGUGGCAACCAACAUAUGUGACCUUGCACUUGGUACUACAUGUUUCAACUUUGAGUUGCAUGUGUCCCCCACAUUGUUCAUUUGCUUUUGUCUCCACCACAAUUUAUAUACAUUUGGACUUGGGAGAAGUACAUCUACAUAUUGUGUGAAAAUGUAUGUGCUUGAGAAGUUUGGUGAUUAGUUGAUUAUCUCACCAAUUUCAUGUAGAUUUGUUGGUUAACUAACCAAUUGAUGUAAGUAUACAUGCAUGUUUCAUCUUUAAGAAGCAAAUGGUACCCCACAUUGUUUUCAGUAGUAUUUGGCACUAUUUUAAAAGUGGGAUCAACUAAUGAUCUGAUAAUGUUUCUGGACCAUGAGUCACUAGAUGGUUGAACCACUAAUAUCUGCAAGACUUUUCUCAUAAAUAUUUAAUUAUUAUUUCUAAUUUUAUUAUAAAAAAUGGAUAAAUUGUAUUGUUACUUCCUGAACUUUUGGCGAAGUUUCACUUUACCCCUCGAACUCCUAAAAUGGACAUCUAAUCCCCUAAACUCUAAUAUUUUAUUCAUAUUACCCCUUCUGUCGGUUUUCCGUCAAGCUUCGUUAACUAUAAACUGACGGAAGGGGUAAAACGAAUGAAAUAUUAGAGUUUAGGGUGUUAAAUGUCUAUUUUAGGAGUUUGGGGGGUUAAGUGAAACUCGCCAAAAGUUCAGGAGGUAGCAGUGCAAUUUACUUCUAGGACUCUUGACUGUAAAUUAUUUAUAAUAAUAUGUUAUUUAUGAAUUGACUACUAACUCUCAAGUUAGUGAUCAUACUUGAUUUUGAAUUUAUAUAUAUUUUUUAUCCUAAAAUAAUGUCACGCCCCAGAUGUCUUGUUCUCCGGGCACGCCGACAAAUCCGCCGUAUACAAAGAAAUUUCCCCUGUAUACGAAGCGACAACUGUACCUGUAAAUCCAACACUACUACGAAUAGUAGUAGAGAGCUGCUAGAGAAAACAGAAACAAAACAAACUGAAUUUCAUAUACAUAGUCCAAAUCCAAAAUACAGAGCUACUCGCACUGGCGAGUUAAGUCUACUAUAUACAUAAACCUGAAACAAAACGUCUACUUGCAGUAGGGCACCUCUAGCUCAGCACGUCGGGUAGGGCUCUAACUCGCGACGCCCUUGCCUCGGUCCGCCUCGGAAGGUGCAGCAGCCGAAACCGGUGGCUCUGCAAAACAGGGAUAACAACAGGGCGUGAGAACUACUGUAAAACAAGUAGUCCUCAGUGGGUGCCGCCCAAAACAACAUCGGUCGACCCACUAAGUCUACAGAAGGGAGCAAGAAUAGCAGAAAAAGCAGGAAGUAAACUCUACCUCUAUCAGUCCCUACACUAUCAUGCUCUACACUAACCAACUGUAGGAAAUGUCAAAUCUGACACAAUCCAAUCGGGACUAUAAACAUACCCGUCCCUGGGACUGUGAAUACACCCGUCCCUGCCUCGUUGCGACUAUCCAGCUACCUCCACACUAACUGAUCCGUGGAGCGCAAGUCCAACUGGCAUGAGCGACACCAACGCAAAAGCACAAAGCCAUCUCCGGAGUGGCACUCGUGGGCGCUACCCAACCGAGUAUGCAGCGUAUCUCUGUCGAGCUCAAUCAGGCUCUGAAAAGCCAAAGUCAAGUAACCGACUCUAACUGGUCUAACAACCAACAAGUAACGUGCCCUCGGCACAAUCUGACGCCAAAACGGCGAACCGGGCCCACCGUCAACCCCAACGGCGCCCAUAAGUCCGAAACAGUCCAAACGAUCCUGUAAAAAUCUACUCGCCGUACCAGCACGAGCGUAAAAGUAUUCUAAACUACCUGGAGUACUCGUCUCGAGGACACUGCGACAGUACAAUUUAUAACGGUUCGUAGAGCUAAAUCAGGCAGUUUAAACAAGUGACAGGUCUAAAUCGCAGGUUUUCUCCUAAUUUAAAUUUCAAGUCCAACAUGUAUAAACUACUCAAUUUAUUACCACAUGAUCCAAAUUCAGAUUUGCUAUCUAUAACAUAAUCCAUGAAUUCGAGCUAGAAAAGACUAUACCAAAAAUCAAAUUUAUUAUACAUGUCGACGAUUAGAAUUUAUGAGUCAAAACCGAUGUAACCCACCUCGAAAUGCUAGCUCCUGGCAGCAAACGAAGCCUCGAACCAAAAUGAUCCCUGCUGGAUCAACCGGAAUCCUCCAAGUCCAGUGCUCGAGCUAACUCCAAGCUCUACACAACACAAGUCACCGUUUCAGUCCAGAAACUGCAGCAGUGAGGUACAACAGAGAUUCGACCAAGCUAACCUUAACCAAAUCCAGCAAGUAAGGGCUUCGUGGAUUUCUCUCGAAGUUCCGAAUCCAACGAACCAAGUCCCGUCGAAAUCCGAUGCUCCUACGCCGAGUACGAGCUGAAAUACCAACGGUUGACGGCGAAAAAAAAGGUAAAACAGCACUUAAGCUCAAAUUGAUGAUACUUGAAGCACUUGAAGCAAUUGCAAUGGAACGCUCACCUCGAUAGCGACUAGCACCGGCGCGAUGUCAAGAGCAGGGAAGACGCACCCUCGCCCGGCCUCCUCGCAAAGCUCCGGCAACAGCCGUAUCCCCGAACGGCUCCGCGGCGCGAUCUCGGCGACGAAAACUCCAACCGAGCUCUACCUUGCUCACGGUCCAAGCUAGAGAGAGAGAGGAGAAGUAGAAAGAAAACUCCCUCUAAAACUCCCUACACUGCCUAAAUAGAGAGAGAGAGGAAUGGUGAUACAAAUGAGGGAGAGAAAUUACCCAAAUACCCUCCCACCUACCCUGGUGUACCGGUACACGGGCCCGCGUACCGGUACACUAGCCAACCUGAGAGCAACCUACGUGCAGCCUGCUGAUGUGUACCGGUACACCUUGAUGGCUGUACCGGUACAGCAAGCAGAAAACUGCUAUUUUGUAGAUUUCUUCGCUGAAAGUUGCCCUCGCGUCGCACGGAGUCCGUUUUGCGUCUAUUUGGCGCCAACGCGACUCAGAAUUGUCCCGACACUCUACAGAGCUGUCGACAAGCCUCCACAGCUGAACACCAGGGAUCUCACAAAUAAAUCCUAUAAUAAUUUAUUCUAUAUUUUAUUGUAAUAAAAUAAAAGUGAAAGAAAUGAAUUAGAGUGGCUUAAAGAUAACAUUAUAAUUAAUAUAUUAUUUUAUAUUUUUAUAUUAAAAAUUUUUAAUUGGCUGAAAUGAAGUAUUAAAAUUUUAUUUUAGGCUACAAUAAAAUUACAUUGCAUAGUUUCAUAAGAAAUAAGUGUAUUUUCUAAUAAAAUAUUAUUUUAUAUUUUUAUAUUAAAAUUUUUUAAUUGGCUGAAAUGAUGUACAAAAAUUUUAUUUUAGGCUACAAUAAAAUUACAUUGCAUAGUUUCAUAGAAAAUAAGUGCAUUUUCUGUAACAAUGCUUCUAAAGAUAAAAGGGACAAACGAGUACUGCAAAAAAUUAACUGAGAAUUAAAAUCUCUAUAUUCUAGUGAGGACACCUAUUGUAAAUCAACCAUAUUAGCGAGUACAUCAGGACAGUAAAGUGUUCGAAUAUCGUAGGUAGUUAGUAUCGCUCUUUUCUUAUCUUUAAGUCAUUCUAAUUCAUUUCUUUCACUUUUAUUUUAUUACAAUAAAAUAUAGGAUAAAUUAUAGUAUGAUUUAUUUUAGAAUAAAAAUAUAUAUAAAUUUAAAAUUAAGCAUGAUCACUAAUUUGAGAGUUAGUAAUCAAUCCAUAAGUAACAUACUAUAAUAAAAUAAUUUAUAGUCAAGAGUCCUACUGAGUAAUUGUACUGCUAUCUCCUGAACUUUUGGCGAGUUUCACUUAACCUCCCAAACUCCUAAAAUAGACAUUUAACACCUUAAACUCUAAUAUUUAUUUGUUUUACCCCUUCCGUCAGUUUUUGGUUAACGAAGCUUGACGGAAAACUGACGGAAGGAGUAAUAUGAAUAAAAUAUUAAAGUUUAGGGGGUUAAAUGUCCAUUUUAGGAGUUCGAGGGGUAAAGUGAAACUUCGCCAAAAGUUCAGGGGAUAACAAUACAAUUUACCCUAUAAAAAAUUAUGUACAUAUUCUAUUAGUCUAGUAUCAUACUUAAUUAUAAAAUACUGAUUUAUAGAGCAAAUUAAGUAGAAAUAAGUUUUCUUCACUUUCUAUAAGACUAAUGAAUACUAAUCGAAAAUAAAAUAAGCUAAUUUGAUUUUAAUUAAGCUGUUGGAUUUUAAUAUAGCUUGAUAAAAAAAAACCUCAGCCGGUUUGAUGAAAAACGGACUAGUUCACUAGUUGAUGGUUGAGUCGCAUGUUCGAAUAGCUCAAAAUAAUUGUUUGACUUAUCCGGUUUAAAAGGUUAAACCAAACUACUUUAUAGACUAGGUCAAAAUUGGAAAAAUUGAAACCGUUCGGUUCAACCCAAUUUUUAAAUUAUUGGUACUUGGUGUGGGCACAUGUGUUAAAUCACUUUUAUUAUUGGUUUUUAGAUGCUUAUGUUCCCUCUCAUCAUAAUCCAAGAUUAGAAGAUUAUUUACUAGGUUGUAAUUAAGAGAAAGGAGUUAAUUGUAAUCUUUUUUUCUUUUUUGAUAUAUAUAUAUAUAUAUAUAUAUAUAUAUAGAGAGAGAGAGAGAGAGAGAGAGAGAGAGAGAGCUCUAUUAGCUAGUUAUACUUUUAGAAGUAUAAAGAAGUUGGUAUUUCUGACUUUUGGUCUGUGAAUUAGGAAUUGAAGGGUUGGCAUGAUAGUGGUCCUCUCUAGGGUUAAGUAGCCCUUCUAGGAUUUAGUAGUUCUUCUAUAGAAAAAUAAUAUUAAUUCAACGUAGAAAAUUAUAAGGUACCGGACUUCUAAAAUAAUGAAGUUACGGUUUAUAUUGAUUUGGAGAGUUAUUGGAAUGGUUCCGGUGAAGUUUGGAAGUAUUCGGGCGUUUUCGGAGCGCGUAGGCGCGAAAACGGAGCCCGAAAGGCUAUAUUCAACUAUGGACUAAAUCCGGCAUUAGCGUGGAUGAAAAGAUGAUGAAAACAUGCUCGAAAACAUGUUUGGAGAGUCUCGAUUCGAUUUGAAAAUAAUCGGAGGCCAAACGAGCGAAAACGGAGCGAAAACGAAAAAGGCUGAAAUUUGGCUAAGUCUGAAAAUUUAGACCUACGGGGACGGAUCCCUCGGCCAGGGAGAGGUCCCUCAGGGGCCGGUCCCUUAUCCAAGGACCGGUCCCCGUAGCCCGAAAAUGCCCAGUUUGGGCUGAAGCAAGAAGAGGAUUGUUGAGGGACUUGUUGGCAUUUUGUGUAUGAGUUGAGUGUAUAGAGAGGAUUAGAGCCUCUCUCUCUCUCACUCCCUCACUAUUUCAACCCCCUAACUCUCUCUCUCUCUCUAGAAGUCUUCUUUCUCUCUCUAGAAGUGGAUCAAGAGGAGGAGGAGAAGGUGGAGAGAAGCAAGGAAGAAGGAUCAUCAUCUUUAUCUUCUUCUCUCAAGUUUGGAGCAAGCGAUUGUUCAGGGCACUUACAAGAGUUGUAUGGUGCACAAAGCCGAACAGAAAGAUAUGAGAUAUCAAAGCGAUUGUUCAGGGCUCAGAUGACUCCAGGCUCAUCAGUCAGUGAACAUUGUCUUAAAAUGAUUGACAACAUAGAGCAACUGUCAAACCUCGGCUUGAAAUUGGACCCAGACUUGCAGAACGAUCUAGUUCUACAGUCUUUGCCAGAAUCGUUCUCUCAUUUCGUCAUGAACUUCAACAUGAAUAAGAUUCAUGCCACUUUGUCCGAGCUUAUGAAUAUGCUAGUCACANCCUCGGCUUGAAAUUGGACCCAGACUUGCAGAACGAUCUAGUUCUACAGUCUUUGCCAGAAUCGUUCUCUCAUUUCGUCAUGAACUUCAACAUGAAUAAGAUUCGUGCCACUUUGUCCGAGCUUAUGAAUAUGCUAGUCACAGCGGAAAGCACGUUGAAAACUAACGGGAUGGCGAUGGCUGUUGAGAAAACCUCAAAAGGUAAGUUCAAAGAAAAGAAAAAGUUUUCCAAGUUCAAGUCAUCGGGUGGAGUGAAGAAAAUCGACUUUAAGAAAUCCGACAAAGGCAAGGCAAAAGGAAAAUGUUUCCAUUGUGGAAAGGAAGGGCAUUGGAAGAGAAAUUGUAAAGUAUAUCUUUCUACCCUAAAAGAAAAAUCGAAGGAAGGACCUUCUGAAGGUACGAACCAAAUGCUCAUCGUUGAGGCCAAUAUGAUUGGCUCUACUUCUUCUUGGGUAUUAGAUUCUGCAUGUACCUUACAUCUUUGUAAUUCGUUGCAGGAUCUAAAGGGAAGUAGAAGAUUGAAGGACGGUGAGGUGACCCUACGAGUGGGAAAUGGAGCAAGCGUUGCUGUGUUAGCCGUAGGGAGCUGUUCUUUGAGACUUCCAUCUGGACAUAUUUUAGAAUUAGAGAACUGUUAUUAUUCUUCUUUAGUUGUUAGAAAUUUGAUUUCUGUUACGACUUUAGUUCGAACUGGUUAUCGUUUUAUUUUUGAAACUGAUGGUUGUUUUAUUUAUUUUCAAAAUAAAUUGAUUGCUACUGGUAGUUUAAUUAAUAAUCUCUACUUUCUAAAUCUGGAUGGAAAUAUUUCUAAUAUUGAACAUAAAGAGAAUAAGAGACUUAGAGAUAAUAAUCUGAACCAAAAGUAUCUAUGGCAUCUUCGAUUAGGUCAUAUUGCAGAAGAUAGGAUAAACCGACUGGUCAAGGAUGGGCACUUGGGAACUUGUGCUUUAGAACCUUAUCCAGUUUGUGAGUCUUGUCUUCAAGGCAAAAUGGCUAAGUCACCCUUUGUUGGACAAAGAGAACGAGCCACAGAGUUACUUGCCCUUGUGCACUCAGAUGUGUGUGGACCGUUUAGUGAAACGGCUCGGGGUGGUUAUCUCUACUUUGUAACGUUUACCGAUGAUUAUUCACGGUAUGGAUUUGUGUUUCUUAUGAAACACAAGUCUGAAACCUUUGAAAAGUUCAAAGAUUUCAGAAAUGAAGUAGAGAAGCAGACAGGAAAAAGUAUUAAGGCUCUUCGAUCAGAUCGAGGAGGCGAAUACCUUAGUGCUGAAUUUCGAAAUUAUCUCAAAGAAAACGGUAUUCUCUCGCAAUGGACACCUCCUGGAACUCCGGAAUUAAAUGGAGUUUCGGAAAGAAGGAAUCGUACUUUAUUAGAUAUGGUACGAUCGAUGAUGAGCUUCACAGACUUACCUUUAUUUCUUUGGGGUUAUGCCCUAUUAACCGCAGCCUACAUUCUAAAUAGAGUGCCUUCAAAAUCUGUUCCGUGUACUCCGCAUGAGAUGUGGUUUGGCAAAAAACCGGGUCUCAAUCAUUUAAGGAUUUGGGGAUGCCCAGUUUUUGUUAAAAAACUUAAAACAGAUAAAUUGGAGGCCAGGUCGGAUAAAGGAAGAUUUAUUGGUUAUCCCAAGGAGUCUAUGGGAUACUAUUUUAUCUUCAGAGUGAACAAAAUGUGAUUGUUAGCCGACAUGCAAUAUUUUUGGAAAAAGAGUUUGUCCAAGAAGGUGGUGCCGGAAAGGAGAUAGUGCUUAAUGAGAUGGUCUCAAAUGAGCAAACAAUUUCUCAAGAACAAUCUGAACAAGCUAUUCAAACUGAACCCACUAUUACUCAAUUACCUCGAAGAUCUAGUAGAAUAUCCCAACCUCCAGAGAAAUAUCGAGAUUUCGUUAUGGAAUACACAGAGGAAAUGUUCCUCGUUGGCGAUAGUGAUCGCAGGGAUGAUCCUACUAGUUAUGAAGAGGCGAUGUCAGACAUCGACUCAAUAAAAUGGCAAGAAGCAAUGAAGUCCGAGAUGGACUCUAUGUACACNCGUUGAUACUACGGAGUCCAGGUUCCUCAUGAAGUGUGUUGACAUCGUUACUUGAAUAGUGACCGCUCGUAUCUUGGUACACUGUCAAGUUGGUUUAUCAGUGCGAGUCACAUGAACAAGAAAUUGUUCGUGGACAUACGAAUGAAAUCACAGAGAUGUGAUCACUGAACUCUGAGCAGUGGAGUUGAAUCUUCAUAUCGUAUGUGGCCGGAUAGGCCUUUAUAGUAGCGGGAAUACUAUAAGGAUACCGAUCCUCGUAAAUUCUUAGAACAUGAUUCUUUAUAUAUAGAGUUUAAGGAUUGAGAAUCCUUAUAUAAAAGAAUUGCUUCUAAGUUGCCUGCUAAGUAUAUAUAUAUAACAUGACGCUUGUUAUUUAUACUUAUUUUGAACGGGAAAUAAUUAAUUCUUUUUAUGAAUUAUAUAGGUGUUCGGAUACAGUGGCUAACCGAAAUCCCAAAUAGUGAUUGUCUUGAGUUUGAUUGUGAUUACGGUUAGCGAGUACAUAGAGUAUGGGUAAGAAAGAUUUACGUGUCGGUUGAACCGAGUUCACGAGUACGCCGAUUCGUUCGCCUAGGCGAUAUCACAGAUGCCUACGAUGAAAGACGUGUUGUUAGACCGUGAUGUAGGAUAUUUUUCAGCUUACUACUCUAUCGCAGUUCAUAUAUUUGAUCUUGAUAUACCAUUCUGGAGCCAAGAAGUUGCACUCUAUAUUUAGGUAGAUAUCAGUGUUAUUUCACUGUAACCGAGGCGUUAUCUUCUGUGGUGAGGGUCUAGGCACUUCUUGAAUAGCUUCGGUUUGAACCGGUGGAUCCUCCGGAGUCUACGAGGUUUUAUUUGAGACGGAUUGAGUGCCUUAGACGACAACUUUAGACAAACCUUGAUAUGGUUUACUAUCGGGGUGGUAAGUUACACUUGUGUACUGGACUACAACUGAAAGUCAGUAGUUGUAACGACUGUAUUUCAGACUUAGAUAUUUCGUAAGAAUUGUAAUCGAGUAAAGGUGGUAUAUGAUCAGCCAUUGUAUUUAGGAAUCAAGAAAAGAGUUCCUGAAUUCCUGUACAGAUAAUGUCGUCAUGUCAUUUUACGUGGACCUAUUCUUAGUUUUAGACGAGCAUUGAUGGAUGUCGUACACGCUAUAGUCCUUAACGUGUCUCGUAUCGCAUGUACUCUGCCAAGGUGUAUAGCGCCUUCGUAUCCUUUAAGAUGAGUAUGUUAUAUAAAGGAGUCCACCAAAUCCUGUGUAGUAGAACCUUUCUAAUUACGGUACAGAUUCUCCUUCUUCUGGGGAAUACCUUAAAAGGUAUAACUUGGAAAAGUUGUGUUGAAGAUACACUGUAGACACACACACAAAUAUAUAUCGACACUACCUAGAUAAAAAGGUACAUUAUUGUUUUAUUUCAUAGUUUAAGAGGUUUUUUAAUGUAAAUUUCCUGAUCUAGUAAUAUUUCAAUUAAAUAAAUUUAAAGACUUUAAGUGGUUAUUUAUUUUUUUGUAUUUAUUGUACCCAACCUUUUCUGAUUAUUAGUUAUGCUAAUGUGUUUGUGCGUUCCUUUGGUUGUCAUAAUGUGCCCUUUCUUUAUAAUCAUGUUGUUGUAUACUAUUUGUUGUUGAUUAUGUUCCCUUUGUGCAAAACCUGAGCUUGAGAAUAAAUAGUGUAGUUAGAGUUCUCAGAACGUGGUUUUCGUGACCCGGAAACCACGUUUGAGUUAAAAUAACGUGUAUUCUAGCUACGACGCUAUUAAUGACAUUGGCUCAAAUUGAGUACGCUUCCCACGAGAUUAUUUGAUUUGAUACUUCCGAGCUCACAGUAAGUCUCGUACUGCAUACAUACUAAUUAUAACUCAUGGAGUAUCAAGUUAAUAAUCACGGGAUAAGUGAUCUCGUUUUGAGUAUUACAAAAUACGUUCGAGAUUACCGGUAUCCCGGUAAGAGGGACCUGCAACGGGCCGCCCAACAUCGACGUAUACUACUUGCAUCGCGGCAGUAACGUACACUGCCACCGCGUCGGCUGCGAGUGCCUCAGUCGGGUGUGGUGGACGCACAUCACGGGCGUUUGAAAGGGCCUGUACGUGCACAACGACGCCAUCAGCAUCAUAACGAAGAGGCGGUGGGUGUUGAGGUGACGCAGCCUCCGGCAGGUACAAAACGGUCUCGGGGUCUUCUCCAAGAGCGGCAUCCCGGGCGGUCUCACCUACUCAAACGUCAGAGGCGCGGAAACUAACCGUAUCAAAACGCGCAUGCGGAGGUCCAACAACAGGGUCGAGUUUCCCGGCUGCGGCUGCGACCACGCCCGCCGCAACACGCCAAAGUCCUUCAGGACCCCGCUCAAGACCCGCUCGGGCCAACGCUGUUAGCGGCGCCGCCUCUGCUCUUCAUCUCGAUUUCUCAUGCUUUGCUUUCUGUAACACUAUUUAUACAGAGAUAGAGAAAGAGAAGAGAAACGUCAACAACAAACCUCCUCACGUACGCUCAUCCCAAACCUAAAUAUGCACUUCAAAUCUCAAUUUUAUUCACGUUUACCUUAAUUACGAAUAAUUAAUAAAUAAACCCCUACUGAAAAAACGAAACUGUAUAAGGAUCAGAAUAGGAACUGUAUAAGGAACGCGUACGGAACCUAACUAACCAUUUUUUGUAACACAAUCGCACAUGUAUUACUCAAUUCCUAGCUCGAAGAUUUCAGUUUAGCUAAUAGAAUUAAACGACGAAGUCACUAUAAAUUUAGGGUGGUUCACGAAAUUAUUGACCAUACUCUUGAGCACCCAAAGUACCACUUGAUGUUAGGCUGGAUUAACUGACUAGACUAGACAGAGCUUUUUUAUUGGCUUAAGUUAGAUUUAAAAGAGCAGACUUUUCAACCAGGUUUGUAAAGAAAAGCAGACUUCUGAGACUUGAUUUUGAGGGCUAAGCUUAGAGCUAGUUGUAUACUGAGGUCGGUUGAUGCAUAAAAUUGCUAGACUAGAAUGUGAUUAUUAAAUUUAUCGUUCCAUUUUAAAAACCAUGAAGUUAAGUACUCGGGAUAAAUACACGGUAUAUAUACAUCACUUUUAUGCCAAAGUUUUAAGAUUUUCUUCAAACGUAUAUAUAUAUAUAUAUCUCUCUCUCUCUCUCUCAUCCCGAUGAUAUGAUAAUACUCAUAACCCGGGAAUCAUGAGUAUUCAACAAAAGCUACUACUUCGAAGGCUUAGCUGUUAGGUGAGGCAAUUUAUACUAGAUUUCAUAAACUUUGAAAAUCUUUUAUUUAAAGCAUUUAAAAGUUUUAGUAUUAUUUCAGGUAGUUCGCCCGUAUUUUACUUGCUAGUUUUAGCUUGCUACAGAAUUUUUACCUACUAACCUAAGAAGUUAAAUUCUAGCUUCAAUAACUAGAAAUAGAUUCAUCACUUAUCUUAAAAGAUAGUUUUUAAGUUGGAUAAGUCUAAGAAAACGUGACAAUUUGAUCGUUCAUAAGGUAUGGGCGGCAAUUUUUAACAGUUAAAACACUCGAAAACUAGCAUUCCAUUUACUACAGCUUUUUAAUACUUUAAACUAAAGAUCUACAAAGUUUACGAGAUCUAUUGCAAAUUGCCACACCUAGCAGCUAAGCUUUCGAGAUAGUAGCUUUUGUUGAAUACUCAUGUUCCCGCUAGCAUGAGUAUUAUCAUAUCAUCGGCCUGAGAUGUAUAUAUAUAUAUAUAUAUAUAUAUAUAACAUCUCGAUGAUACGAUAGCCUUCAUAUUUUAUCAACUACGAAGGCUAAAAAAUCGGGAACCUAGUUUUUAAAAUGACAACCCUACUAUCGUCAGGGGAAUCCGGGGCAAACUUAGCGCCCUAUUCGCCCCUAUUGAAAGCAAUAGGGGCGAUAAGGCGGUUUGCCCCAUUUUAAACCGGCCCUAUAAAAUAGGGCCAGUUUGGAACGAUAAGAGCCAAUAGGGCCUUAUCGUUCCCUAAACGAUAAGGUGGUAAAACCACCUUAUCACGAUAAGGUUACGAAUUAAAGUUAGAAUUAAUUUGAAUAUUUAACUUAAUUUGAUUUAAUAUAUUUAUAUUAUACAAUAUAUAAUAUUAUGUAAUAAAAAUAAUAUUUUAAUAAUUAACAUGAUAUAAUUAUGUAUAAUAAAUAUAAAUUUAUAAUAUUAUUCACGUAUAGGUUGCUACAGUUUAACAGUACAAAUACUUAGACUCUAGACACGGGUUUAUGUUCGGUACUGAUUGGCUAUAGUGAUUUAUAUGGGGAGGCAUGUGAGUGCGCAAUAAGGAAUUCAACACUCUCAAUAUUGAGAGAGAACGUUCUAUGUAGACUAUCAGACUCGAUUCGAAAAAUCCCUGGCCAGGGUAUGUGGUGUAUGGAAAGAGUUUCCAGAUGUGUUACCAUAUUGAAUCGGUUCUAGAUAUUCUAGUCAUAUGAUCGAAUAAUAAGAUUUGGCGAGUAACCAUAAUUUUGGUUCGAUCGGGACGUUGUGUGUUGAAAGGAAUUAAUCAUACGGUAACUGUAAGCGGAAAGGUUUAUUCUUCAUCACCAUUCUGGAUUGUCGUGAUAUACUGCUAGGUGUCACUCACGGACGGUGACAGAAUAUGAAUGAUUAGAAUUUAAUUAUUCUUAUUUAUCGAUUAGAAGGGUUCUAAUUAAAUAUCAAAGAGUUUGAUAUUUAGCUCCACUGCCGAAUGGUAAUGAACCUAUGCGGUCACACACAAUAGGAAUUGUGUGCAUCCAACAGGACAAGAUGAGAAUAAUACACUAAACGGUUUAGUGAAAAUAGUGAGGAUUAUAAUUUGAUUGUUACGAAAGAUUUUAUCUCUAAUUGGAUUAGAGAAUAACUGAAUAUUCAUAAAUUAUUAUGAGAUAAUAUUCUAAUUAAAUUAGAUUUAAAUAUGAAUAUUUAGUUAUAAUAGAUAUGAUCUAAUUAAAGGGAGAGAUAAUAAAAUAUCCUAUGUUCCAACUAAUUGGAUGUAAUCCUUAGUUGGAUGUAAUCCAAUUAGUUGCAACAGAUAGUAUAGAAUUAUAACUAAUUGAAAAUUAUCAAAUUGGGAUUGUAACUAUUUGAACAUAAUUAGUUACAACAAAGAUACGGCUCAAUUAAGAAGCCGUUUCGUACGGCUCUUUGUUUGUACUCCUUAAUUAAGCAGAGCUAUAUAUAUAGCUUAGCUGUGGCUUCAUUAAGGGUGCGAGAUAUCAUUAAUUGACGUGAAUAGGAUUCAAAUAUUCUUCUCUCUCAAACUUUCGUAAGUCCACAAUAAUUUUCACAAGAAGGAACGUAGACAUCGGAAGACUGCUAGCACCGUCUUCGUGAUCUGCGACUCAUCUGUUCCAUACGACGGAAGGCGUUGGAUCGGGAUCAAUUCCGUGUGGAUACGCGUAGAGGCCGGGCACGUGCGCGGCUAAUCGGAGGAUCAACUUCAACCGUACAGUAGAUCAAGAGACCUUAACUGGUCCAAGGUAAUGUAAUCUAAACUUCGGAUUUGUUUAGAUUAGAUUUUAUUUUACAUUGUAACAUGAGAAUGAUCCGCCGGCACUGGAUUGAUUUGUUUUGUUUUGUUUCAUAUGUGAUAUGGAUUUCGUUUUCGUUUUUCCGCUGCGAUUUUUAAGUGCCGGAUAUUUUUUCUAACAGAUGUCAAUUGACUCUCUGUAAACCUAAUUGCUAGGUACACGAACGCGUUGGCGAAGUCGGUUCGACGAUUUGCCAAGCCGUUGUAAAGAUAUUGAAGAAACGGACGAUUUAGCUUCGUUUCUACCUGGAGGGCCGAGGCGACGUUCAAAAAUUAUGAAAAUGGAUCCCGAGCACCGUAGCACAUAACCGAAGACCUAUAAUUUCUGGGGCUGUGGUUUGGCAUACGGUUAGUGCGCAACUGCAAGAUUGGGCCGUGCCGGAUACGAGUGCCACGGGCGGCCGAUUGCAAGUGACUACGAGCAAUCGGAGAGCGAAUCGAGGUGGAUUGUGCUCACCGAAGCGACUAGGUCAUCUCUAUGUCUAAGAGUAAUGUUUACUAUAGAUGCAUGCAUGUGUAGUGGUAUGUUGCAUAAGAUAAUAUAGAUGCAUGAAUCUUAUUAUGCUUGAUGUUUAAUGCCUACAAAUGAGAUAUGCAUGUUGAUACAUUGAGGAAACUGCUAGAUAAACACAUGAUGAGCAUGUUAUAGCAAUGCUAGAUGGAUGCAUGAGGUUAAUGAUAGGAAAAUGCAUAAUGACAUAAUGCUGAUGCUAGAUGGAUGCAAGUUAACAUAUAGAGGAUUAUGUUAAUUGAAAUGUGCAUGUAAACAUCUAUAUAUUAGAUUGAGUGGCAUCGAACCUAGUGUUAAUAAACAUAGGUCGAAUACGAGUGGCAUCUAACCUAGUGUUAUAAAACAUAGGUUGAAUAUGAAUGACAUUGAACCUAGCGUUAGUAAACAUAGGUUAAAUAAGUGAACCUAGAGUCAAGAUCUAGGUGAGUGGCAUCGAACCUAGUGCUAAAGAACAUAUGUUGUGGAUUAAACCUAGAGUUAAAGUAAACCUAGGUUAUGUGAUAGAGACAUUGAACAUAGAGUCAAGAGGACCUAGGUAGUAAAGAACAACGGAUCUAGAUAGGUCAAUACUAUAGGGUUUGAGACCAACCCUUGAGCUAUGUAAAAUGGAUUCCAGAAUCCUUAGGAAAUGAAGGCUGCUAGUGCAGCGAAUGAGAUUUGCGACUGAGCGCAAGUGAAUCAAGAUUGUGGGUAUGUUGGUUCUCCUCGCCCGAUAGUGAUUCAACGGAUAUGUUGGUUCUCCUCGCCCGGUAAGUGAAUUGGCAUAAAUAGAAUCCUAACUGCGGGUAUGUUGGUUCUCCUCGCCCGGCAGUGAUUCAACGGGUAUGUUGGUUCUCCUCGCCCGGUAUGCCAUGAGCUUGAGGUUGAAAUGAGUAUGAUGGUUCUCCUCGCUCAUUUAGCUUAUUGGAUGAUGCCACUUGGAUUGACUUGAACCAUUGCUGGGUAAGGGCGAUGUGAUCGCUGCCAUAUGACUAAGUCAUGACUUGAGCGAUUGUUGGGUGUGAUGCGAUGAGUUCGCCGCCGCAUGGCUAAGUCAUGACUUGAGUCGUUGUUGGGUUUGAGGCGAUGAGUUCGCCGCCAGAUGGUUAGGUCAAGAGGUGCGGUGGGCUAUGAUGGCAGCCAGGCUGAGGUGCAGCCAGUGCGCGGACUAUCCGCGGAUGAUUGACUUGAGGCCGAGUCGGCUGGAUAGCUUGAGUAAGGUAGUGGAAACCUUAAAGGCUAGUGAUAGAGGCAAGAACUAAGGUAACAGAACCUUAGAAGCUAGUUAGACAUGAGCUAGUUAGCGAGAUAGAAGUAGAAUCGAUAGAUUUACUUCUUUGGUUGCAUUGUUGCAUAAGUUGCAUAUGGAAUAGCAUUAUUGCAUUUGUGAGGCAAAGCAUGAUAUAUGUUAGUUGCAUUUAAAUUAUGAUUUCAUAUCUAUUUAUUAAACUAACAUGUUGUUGCCUCCCUUGGACCUACUGGUCGAGCUUUUUCUUUGGGUGGCCGUACCCACUGGGAACCAUGGAGUUGGUUCUCACCCCACUUUGUUUUGGGGUGUUACAGGUUCGCACGUGAGCGGCGCGACGGCGCAAGGAAAGGGCGUAGCUCCAUAGAUAGCGCCCUACCCCAGAGACCAGAGAUAGCGGUACCCCGAGUCGGCAUAGCCUAGGGGUAGAGGAGAAAUGAAAACAACAAGAUGUAUCAAACUUGUAAAUAAGAAAAUGAUGUAAUAACUUUGAUUGUAUUUGGAAGCCAAUGUAAAAGAAAUCGUGAUUUAAAAUGCAUUUGAUGUGAAUGCUUAUAAUAACUAGUUAUUUAUGUUGUUUGAUACUUUCUUAUGCAAUCUGUAUGUUGAAUACUGUUCCUAGUUGGAACCUCUUGUAUUGUAUUGAUUGUAACGCCUAGGACGUACAGGAAAACUCUGUCCGUUCGGCGAUCUGUCGGCGUACCCGAACCCGACCAAAUAGGCGGGGCACGGGGCGUGACAAAAAUGGUCAAAGGUUUGAUUCAAAGGUUAAAAAAUUGGAAGUAACACAUGAAUGGUACUUUCAGAAGCAUUAUAGUUAGACUAUAUAUAUAUAUAUAUAUAUAUAUAUAUAAAAAUAAAAAAAAAAAUAUAUAUAUAAUAUAUAUAUAUAUAGAAGUUGAGCUAGAAUUACUAAUCAGUAAGUAAACGAGCCGGUUUUACUACCGAUUUGUUUUUGAUUAUAGACCUUCCAAAAUUGACGAUCGGCUCCGUUAAUAUGAUCUAAAACCAUUUAAACUACCUAAAAAUCAAAUUUCACGCACUUUCGAUAUUGUUCUUUAUCCAUCAAGUGAACAGAAAAAUGAAUGCUGAAAAUGAAUACUCUUUAAAAAAUGAUGAUAGGAGUCUUGAAAUCAAGAUCAAGAGUAUAGAUCUUGUUUUAAAUAGUUUAAAGAUUUUCUAACAAAAAUUCAAUUGAUUAUGAUAUCUUUAGCCGGUUAAACGAGAAACGCCUCUAUUCAACCAUUAAAAUUACAAAUUUUGAAACCUUUGAUCAUUAGGCAAUUGAUGUCGAAAAGGAUUGUGAAUUUAAAUUCUAACACUUCAAGUGUAUAGAUCGUGUUCAACGGGCCGAUCGUCCAAUUUGGAAAGUUUUAUCCAUACGGAAAAAAAUCGGUAGUAAAACGGCUCGUAUACUACGCGAUAGUAUUCGAGCUCAACUCUAUAUAAUAUAAUAUAUAUAUAUAUAUAUAUAUAAUAUAUAUAUUAUAUAUUAUAUAGUAUAUAUAUAUAUAUAUAUAAGUUACUGGCUAUCUAUAGUAAGCAAAAUCCAAGCAUUAUUGGCUACCAGUUUUUUAGGCCUUACGCAUCAACUUCUUUCCAUUAUUUAACCAUUACAUUAAAUACUAUAACCCAGUGGGUGAACAACUCAACCUUAGGGACCUUCAACUCUAAACCGACUAAUAUCAUCCUCGACCUACAAUUUUUCAUCAAAGGGUUAAAAACCUUGAUAAGCAAAAAAGAACGUUUUACGUAUUAAUAGUAUUCAGGCCUAAUUCUAUAUAUAUAUAUUAAUAAUAUAGUAUAGAUCGCGCUACUAUGAAAAAAAAAACAAUUGCAUAGUAUCAAGCUCUUGGUAGCUAUUGAAUAUUCUAACGUUAGCACUUACCCUUGAUCAUUUCCACCGUUAGAUUUAUACUAUUAAACAACUACCCACUCAACCCUAGCGGGACCACUCCAUCUUAUCGUUACAUCACUUUCAAUCCAACGCGCGAAAACUCAAUAGUACCAAAGGCUUGAUACUAUUGAAUCAUAUAGUAGCAUUAAUCUAAAUAUAUAUAUAUAUUUAUAUAUAUAUAAUAUAUAUUAGCUGGGCUACUAAUACUCUUAUGUAGAUAGACCCCAUUGUACUCAUACAUUUAACCCGUUUGAUUGAUAUGGGAAUGUCGUAGUUAGGAUGAUGGUGGUCCCCACUUAGAAUGGAUUAGCGGUGCCUAGGGUUGAGUGGAUAGUUGUUAAAUAGUAUGAUUCUAAGCAGAUGGAGAAAUGAUUGAUGGAAUAAAUGUAAGGGUCGAAACCUUAUGAGUAUAAGGAGCCAAAUACUCAUUAAAAGUAAGAGUAGCGAAACCUUAUAUAUAUAUAUAUAUAAGUUAUAUUAUAUAUAUAUAUAUAUAUAUUACAUAAUAUAGGAGUUGAGUCUACUAUCCAUCCGGAAGCACGCAGCCUUCCGUCUUCCACUCGGGUUUCGAAUGUGGCGACUUUCGAAUCGUCGAUCGGCUCCCGUUUAAACUGAUCUAGAAUAAUUUGGAGUACUGAAAUAAAUUUAUUCAUUUUCAUUAUAUUUGCCUUACGUGAUCGAAUCGAGUUCAAAAUCAACAAAUUUCAAUGGCCGUAGUGAGCCGUUUGCAAGUUUAACGGUGUAGAAAUAUCCAAAUCACGUGAAAUUUUGAUAGAAAAUUCUUUAUACUAUAUAAAACAAGAUCAAUAUCUUUGAUUUAAAAUUUUAAUGUCAUAUUAUUACAUUUUGUAAGAUUUUUAUUUUCAGCCGUUGAUUUUGAGCCCCUUCGUUCACUAGGCAAAUAAUAUCGUAAAAUUAUAAAAUUUAUUUUCUAGGUACUUCAAAUACUCUAGAUCAAGUUUAAUGGAGCCGAUCGACGAUUCGAAAGUCGCAACAUCGAAAAAGAGCUGGAAGCACGGAAGGCUCCGUGCUUCCGAUAGCAUAGUAGCUUACUAUGUAUAUAUAUAUACAUAGAGAGAGAGAAAAAGAGAGAGUUGAGCUAGAAUGCUGUCGAUAGCAAACGAGCUCUGUUGUCACCCAUUUGUUUUCGAUGAUAGAGCCUCCAAAUCGACGAUCGGCAUCGUUGAACAUGAUCUAUACCACUUGAAGUGUUUAGAAAUCAAAUUUCUAAUCUUUUCGACAUCAUUUGCCCAAUGAUCAAAGGGUUUCAAAAUUUGUAAUUUUAAUGGUCGAUAUGAGGCGUUUUCUCGUUUAACGGCGUAAAAAUAUCCAAAUCAAAUGAAUUUUUAUAUCUUUAUAUAAACAUUAAGUGAUACAAACACUCCUGAACAUACGUUAAUUGGGUUUACGUUUACAGCGAAAACUUUCAACUUUGAAGAAAAAGGGACAUAGAUUUUCCGGUGUACGAACCACCCCAACGUGUUCGGGUGAGUCGUUUUUCUGUUGCAACACACGAAUCACCCGACCCGGUGUCGAAGUACCCGGGGUGGUUCUUUCGUUGCAAUCACUUCCCUGAAAGGAUCAGUGAAACCAAAGAGGUGUUACCAGAACAAAAUAAUAUCAAACCACUCGAUGAAAGUGCAAGCUCUUGUUAGUGGAACAAUAAAGUAUUGUUGUGGCUAAAAUGACAAUACGUACUUUGAACGGGUGAGGGAAAUUCAUGCACUAGACUCUAAUCUAGAACCAAAAUCGUACUAGACUCGUCCUAUAUAUAUAUAUAUAUCUCAGGCCGAUGAUAUGAAAAUACUCAUAAUCGAGGGAAUAUGAGUAUUCAAAAGCCAGAAGUCUAAAUAAGGUAAUUAAUAAAAAUAGGCAAUCUAGUAUGAUAAGUUGGUUGAUAGGUGAGUUGGGAUCUCUUGGUGAUAGUAAAAUUCACCCCUGGUGGUAGUAGGAUUGGUGUAUUGCAGAAUAAAUUAAUCGUACUCCGCACCCCAAAUAAAUAAAAAGAAAAAAAAGUUGAUGAUGAAAAUCAUAAAAGAAUAGAAGAGUUGCAGGCGGCGAAGUGAAGGAGGGUAGGGAAAAAAAAAGAGGAGGGGUCGGGUGAGAUGGAAGAUAAAAAAACACAGCUCAAGAAAUCAACAAAGUCCAGUAUCACCACCGCCUCCGCCACUUACACUACCGUUAUCUCUGGUUUCGCCGCCGCCGACGACGCCGAUACUUUUGUUAUCGUUCGGAGUAGGAAAAUCUCUGGUUAUGGUUAAUUAGGGGUUUUCUUUACGGUGCACCGACACAAAGGAAGUGAACCGAAAGUAGAAUACUUUGGUUGGUAAACAGAAAGGAUGCGUAUAUUGCAGAGUAAAUUAAUCGUACUCCGCACCCUAAAUAAAAAAAAGAAAAAAAAGUUGAUGAUGAAAAUCAUAAAAGAAUAGAAGAGUUGCAGGCGGCGAAGUGAAGGAGGGUCGGGGGUAGUUAGUUGCCAAUUUUUAAAUACUCAUGUUCCCACAGAUAUGAGUAUUUUCAUAUCAUCGGGGUCGGAUAUAUAUAUAUAUAUUAACUCGAGGAUACGAAAAUUUUCAUGGUUCAAUAAUCACGAACAUCUAAAAAUCGUUAACCUAAUUCUUUAUAUGCCAAUCCUACUACACCCGGGGGAUCCCAACUCACCCACCAACCAACUUAUCAUAUUAGAUUACCAACUUUUACUAGGCUCCUUAUCUAGAUUGCCAUUUUUUUGAAUGUAUCGUGGUUCGUGAACUACGAUAAUGUUCAAGUGGUGUCAAUCUUAGAUAGGUAUACUGGUAUAAGUGGGCAAUCUAUAUAUGAUAAGUUGUUUUGUGGGUGAGUAUAGUAUCUCUCUGGUAAUAGUAGGAUUGUCGUGUAAAGAAGUAGGUUCUCUGUUUUUUUCUCGUGUUUCUCAGUUCUGAUCUUAUGAUAGCUAUCGUGUUUCCGGAGGCAACGGUGGUUUAACAAAGGUUACUACGUCGGAGUUUUAGCUGCUAGUUGUGUCAAUUUGUACUAGAUGUGGAUAACUUUCAUAACUCUUUGAUUUUAAGUAUUUAAAAGCCGUUGUAACAUGAGAAUGGUUUGCUCAUCUGUGUUUUUAUUUGCCGGCUUUUACUUUUUAGAGUAUUUUUUACUACUAUUUUCUGAACUUUAGUUCUAGUUCUCCAUAUCUUGAAUGAGAUUUAUCACUUUUUUAAAAGAUUAUNCUCUCUCUCUCUCUCUCUCUCUCUCUCUCUCUCUCUAUAUAUAUAUAUAUAUAUAUAUAUAUAUAUAUAUAUAUAACUAGGCUGUAAUAUUAUUAAUAGCACCAAUGACUUGGUGCUAUAAAAUUUCUGCCAUUGGAUUAAAAUGUGUGCGGUUAGGAUGAUGUUGGCCCCCUAGGGUUGGGUGGGUAGUUGGUUAAAUAGUAUAACCGAACGGAUGAAAAUGAUAAAAGAGGUAAAUCUAACGGCAGAAAACUUGAUAGCACCAAAUGUUUCGUACUAUAUAUCGAUAGUAUCCCAGCCAAAUUAUAUAUAUAGAGCUAGGCUGGUAUACUAUCGGUAGCACGAAGGUCUCCGUGCUACCAAAUUAUUUUUAAUGAUGCGGCUUUCCAAUCGAUGAUCGGUUCCAUUAGAUUUAAUCUACACUAUAAAAAAUAUUUGAAAAUUAAAUUUCAUAAUUUUUCGAUGUCAUUUGGCUAGUGAUCAAAAGGUCUCAAAAUUGACAAUUUUAAUAGUAGAUGUGAUGCGUUUGUAAAUUUAACGGUGUAAAACAAUUCAAAUAUGAUAAAAUUUUUAUAGAAAAUUAUUUCACUAUUUAGAGUAAGUUCAAUACCUCUAAUCUUAAAUUCAAGUCUUUUAUCAUCAUUUUUUAUGAGAUUUUUAUUUUCGGCCGUUUAUUUUUAAACUACUCGUUUGGUAGGUAAAUGUUGCCGAAAAAUUAUAAAAUGUAGUUUCCCAAUACUUUCAAUAGUGUAGAUCAAGUCUAACUGAGCCGAUCGUCGAUUUGGAAGCCGCAUAAUUGAAAACAAUUUGGUAGCACGGAGGCCUCCGUGCUACCGAUAGUAUACCAGUCUUGCUCUUGGUGCUAGUUUUUUGACCCUUGGAUGAAGAAAUGUGCGGUUAGGAUGAUAAUGGUCUUCUAAGAUUGAGUGGGUGUUUUGUUGAAUAGUAUAAUCUAACGGGUGAAAAUGGUCAAAGGGAUAGAUUCUAACGGCGGAAAACUCGAUAGCAUCAAGUGCUUAGUGCUAUCGAUAAUAUAUAGUAGCAGGACUCUAUAUAUAUAUAGAACUAGGCUAAUAUACUAACGGGUGGUUGGUUGAAUAGUAUGAUCUAACGGGUGAAAAUGAUCAAAAGGGUAGAUCUAACGGCGGAAAACUUGGUAGCACCAAGUGCUUCGUGCUAUUAAUAGCAUAGUAGCCGAACUCCUCUCGCUACUCGAUCCUCGUCUCUGUAGAGAAAAUAUAAGUAUAGUAUGAUUAAGUAGUAGUAUAUGAGAUAAAUAGUAGGAGUUAGCUAGACUACCUCAAAACGAUAGGGAAACGGGUGCAUUUUACUAUCGAGUUGUCGAUGAUAGAAGCUUGCCCUAAAUUUGAGAUCGCCUCGUGAACCAUUAAUCAUACCAAUUAACAGUUUUAGAAAUCAAAUUUUAAAUCUUUUUCGAGCAUUAUUUGCCUAACAUAAUCAACGGCGUUUCAAAACUUCUAUAAUUUUAAUGUGGAUAAUAGACGUUCUCAUUAAGCGGUGUAAAAUAACUCCAACAAUUGACAUUUUGUUAGAAAUUCUUUAAACUUUUAAAACAAGAUCUAUACUCUGAUCUUGAUUAAAUGACCCUAUCAUGCAUUUUAAAGAAUAUUCAUUCAACACAUUCAUUCUGUUCACUAUCAUGCAUACAAAAAAAGAUCGAAAGUGCUGAAAUUUGAUUUCUGGUAGUUAAAUGGUUUAGAAUCAUAUUUAACGGGAGCGAUCGUCAAUUUGAGCUCUACAUCGAAAACGUAACUCGAUAUAAAAUGCUCGCUUUACUAUCAGAGUAUUCUAGCUCAACUCUAUAACUACUACUAGCUUAUUACCACUAUAUAUAUAUAAGUAUAUACUAUAAUAUAAGUAUAUAGUAGUAGUACUACGGAGGAGGACGGUCGAAAGCAAAGUAGUUGAGCUUCCGUUUUAGGACCCUUGAUGAUGAGAGCGUUCAUCUGUACAUCGUAAAUCAUGAUAAUAUACACCAAUGUGACACUCAAGCGCCUAGGUACGCCUCAAACCGAGGCCGCUACGGUCCCGGAACGGGAGAAGUUUUAGGCCAAGGCUAAAAAAUUGAAGAUCAAUACUUUAUGUUUUCGAUAGUAUAGUAGCACUUCUACACCUGAUAUAUAUAUAUAUAUAUAUUCAUAUAAUAUAUAUAGAUGAGAGAGAGAGAUGAGAGAAGAGAGAGAGAGAGAGAGAGAGAGAGCAGAGGAGCGCAUAUCCUUCUAUACUAUCUAUAGCGGAGCCUGCGUUACAUAGUCACGUUUUGCGAUCUUAGGGUUCAAAUCAACAUCCACAUCGUUAAAACUGAUUAUAAUAUAAAGUUCUUAAAAUAAAAUUUUAUAUUUUUUCGACAUAGUUUACUUUAUGAUCAAACUAUUUCAAAAUUGUCAAUUUUCAAAGGUUACUAUGGCGAGUUUGGAGUUUAACGGCGUAGAAGGAUCUAAAUUUUUUCAAAUUUUGAUAGAAAAUACUUUAAACUAUCUAGAUUAUGGUUAACAUUCUUGAUCUUGAAUUUAAAAGUUCCAUACUCAAAUUUUAAAGAUUAUUCAAUUUUUACCGUCCAUUUUGACAUAAUUUAUUUACUAAGUAAACGAUGUCGAAAAAAACUAAAAUUUUAUUCCUAAGAACUUCAUAUACCCUAGAUCAUAUUUAACGGUGUGGAUCGUUAAUUUGAACACCGUAAGAUCGAAAACAAGAUUAUAGUACCGAAGCUCCGGUACUAUAGAUAGUAUAGUAGCCUAAUUCUAUAUAUAGAACUAGGCUGGAAUACUAUUAAUAGCACCAAUGACUUGGUGUUAUUAAGUUUUCUACCCUUAGAUUAAAAGAUGUGCGGUUACGAUGAUGUGGGCUCCCCUAAGGUUUAAUGGGUGGUUAAUUGAAUAGUAUAAUCGAAUGGAUGAAACUACAACAGAAUUAGAUUAUAGAGACACAUGUUUGGGACACUUUUAUGUAAGUGUCCAAUUUAUGUCAAAACUUAAAAAAAAAUCUACUAAUGCCUAAAUAUAAAACCCAAUCCAACCAAAAAUAAAAGGUUACUCUACUCAACUCACCCCACCCAGCCCAUUCGGCCCGAUUACAAACAGAAAAGAAAAAAAAAAAGAAAAAUCGAUUAUCAUCUCCCAUUCUCUUCUCACUCAAUCCACUGAAAUUCUAAACGAAAAUCCCUUCCUCUCGUUCUCCUCCGCUACCGCAGCCAACGAGGUAGAGUUCCGGUGGUUAGUAAAUGCUUAAAUAAGUGUUGGUAAAUUAGCAGCACUCUUUUAGGUUAUAGCGACACUCUUUAAUUGUCACUAUAUACCUAGCGAUCCCACAUAUAGCAACACUUUUUAAAAGUGUCGGUAAUUUAGCCAGCAGCACUUUUUUUGACCUAUACCGACAUUUAAAAGUAUCGCUAUAAACCGUUUUUGUUGUAGUGUGAAAAUGAUAAAAGAGAUAAAUCUAACGGCAGAAAACUUGAUAGCAUCAAAUGCUUCGUGCUAUCGAUAGUAUCUCAGCUGGACUCUCUCUCACUCUCUCUCUCUCUCUCUCUCUCUCUCUAUAUAUAUAUAUAUAUAUAUAGAGUAGGGCUACUAUACUCUUAUGAGUAGUGGACCCUUAGUACUCAUAAGUUGUUUUCGAUGAUGGAGCUUCCGAAUCGACGAUCCACUCCGUUAAAUAUGAUCUAAGAGUUUUGAAACUUCUAGAAAUAAAUUUCGUAAUUUUUCGAAAAUCAUAAUAAAGUCCAUCAAGCGGCAUAAAAGAACGGUCAAAAUCGAACGACGUCCAAAAAUGGAUGAUCGGAUCCUUCAUUUAAGAUCAGAGUUUGAUUCUUUAUCUAGAUAGUGAAUAAAAUUUUCUAUCAAAACUUCAACUAUUCCGAUUCUUUUCCACCGUUAAACUAGCAAGUAUCCCCAUACGACCGUUAAAAUUAUUCAUUUUGUGAGCUUUUGAUCGUAAGUAAAUGAUGUCGAAAAAUUAUGAAUUGAUUUCUAGAAUGUUUAAAUGCUCUAAAUAACGUUUAACGUGUGGAUCGUCGAUUCGGAGCUCUAUCAUCGAAAACAACUUAUGAUACGAAGCGAUCGUAUUCAUAAGAGUAUAGUAGCCGGACUCUAUAUUAUAUAUAUAUAAUAUAUAAUAUAUAUAGAGAAGAGAGAGAGAGAGAGAAGAGAGAGAGUUCGGCUAUGUGCUUGUAAAAACACCAAGCACUUGUACUGUAAAUUUUUUACCGUAAAUCUACUCUUUUGAUCAUUUCUACUCGUUAGAUCAUACUAUUCACCAACGCGCUACUCAAAUCUCGGGUNNNNNNNNNNNNNNNNNNNNNNNNNNNNNNNNNNNNNNNNNNNNNNNNNNNNNNNNNNNNNNNNNNNNNNNNNNNNNNNNNNNNNNNNNNNNNNNNNNNNNNNNNNNNNNNNNNNNNNNNNNNNNNNNNNNNNNNNNACAAUUUGUUCUUUUGCAGAGUAUAGCCUGGUAAUUUUAAUGUUUAAAACUUUGGGAAACUAAUAAUCCGUUUACUACAGCUUUUUUAAACUUUAAACUAAAGAUUUAUGAAGUUCAUCAUAUCUAGUACAAGUUGCCAAGGCUAGCAGCUAAACCUCCGAGGUAGUACCUUUUGUUUACCCACCGUUGCCUCGGGCAAACGAUAGCUAUCAUAAGAUCGAGUUGAGAGAGAGAGAGAGAGAUAUAUAUAUAUAUAUAUAUAUAUAUAUAUCUCUCUCUCUCUCUCUCUCUCUCUCUCUCUCUCUCUCUCUCUCUCUCUCUCUCUCUCUCUCCAACUAAAAAACAUCUUUUAAGAUAAGUGAUAGAUCUAUUUCUAGUUAUUGAGGCUAAAAUUUAACUUCCUAGGCUAAUAGGUAAAACUUCUGCAGCAAGUUAAAACUGACAAAUAAAAUACAGGGAAACUACCUGAAAUAAUACUAAAGCUUUUUAUUGCUUUAAAUAAAAAAUCUUCAAAGUUUAUGAGAUUUAGUAUAAAUUGUCUCACCCAGCAGCUAAGCCUUGGGAGUAGUAACUUUUGUUAAAUACUCACGCUUCUUGGGUUAUGAGUAUAUAUAUAUAUGCGUAAAGAUAUCCAAAUCAAUUGAAUUUUUGUUAGAAAAUUCUUUAAACUAUUUAAAACAAGAUCUAUACUCUUGAUAUUGAUUACAAGACUCCUAUCAUCAUUUUUUAAAGAAUAUUCAUUUUCAGCCGUUUAUUUUUGUGUCCACUCGAUGGAUAAGAGAACAAUAUCGAAAAUAUAUGAAAUUUGAUUUCUAAAUACUUCAAGUGGUAUAGAUUAUGCUCAACAAUGCCGAUCGUCGAUUUGGAGGCUCCAUCAUCGAAAAUAAAUGGGUGGUAAUAGAGUCCGUUUGCUAUCGAUAGUAUUCUAGCACAACUAUAUAUAUAUAUAUUCAACGGCUGGUCAACGAGCUAUUUUGAGUUUGAAAGUAAUUUGCACUUCAAUUAAGAACUUAUCAGUUGAGCAAAGCCAUUUACGAGCUAAACCUAAUCUGACCAGCGUAGACAAUUGUAUUUAGUCAAAGUCGAUCAGUACGUAUUAAAUAUAUAUUUUCCUAGCCACUUUAAUUCAUGUUCCUUGGACUCUUUAAUUAGUUCAUGCAUAUUCUCCUUAGGGAGAUUAAACUAAAAGUAUCAAAAUUAAAUAACUCCACAUUAAAUUAAUUGAAUCCUUGAUAUAGAAGAGCCUCAUUUGUUAUAUUAAAAUCCCUAAAUUUAUUGUCAAAAGCAAUUUACCAAUACAAAUCCAUGUUUGACUAGAUUCUCACACCUUUAAGUGGACUUGCCUAUUAAUUGUGUACUUGAUACAAAAUAAUACAUUAGGGGGGAAAAAGAUGAUUCCCAUAAUAAUCAAUAACUAUAUAUGAUUGGUGACUAUAGAUUGCAAGCUCACCACACAUGGUGGUCCAAAUGCAAAUCACCUAUUUACUUUAUGAUCUUAGGUAGGGACACCCCAAAGUAUACUCUUAGAAGUGUUAAUCUAUUCAAAAUUUAGAUUAAUCUUACCAAUUUCAUGCAAUCAUAGAAAUAUAAACUAGAAGACGAAACUUUGGAGUUAGGGUUCAACUUUAGCAAAAAUAAAAUAGAAAAAAAUUCAAUCCCAACUUCGAUCUUUUAAUAACAAAACACUAAUCUCGUUACAAAAGAAGCUAUUUCAAAAAUCAGACUUUAGUUGCUCAGUGAGUUAUCAUAGUUACACGAUCUAUCUCCGAAUCCUAUAAAUCAAAUCGCGGUAUGCAUCACCUCGGGGUAUGCUUUGGAGCACAUCGAGCAUUGCAUGAACUUAAUUAAUUAGGUGCUUGAUCCUCCACAUUAGCAUUUUAAUAAAGGGGAAAACACAUGCGAGGGGCAAAGAUGCCACCAAAAGAGCGACGAGGGCAAAAUGGUAAUUUCACAACGCGUGGCGUGCUGUGACUGCAUGAUCAUAAAGGCUGGGGUCGGAAGAAGCGGAAGUGUAGCAGCAGCAAACCUCCCUCUCACUUAUCAGGGCGACUUUUCAAAAGUGUAUAUAUGUAUUAUUAUUAUUAUUAUUAUUAUUAUUAUUAUUAUAUAUCUACACAUACAUGGGAAAAAAGUUACAUUACAAAAAAAAAAAAGAAGAGAUUUUUUAAUUAAUUAAUAUUAUCCCUUUUGAGGUGGGUUUUUUGCAUGCGACCCCCUUUGAAAUAUCAAUAUUGCUCCCAUGAACUUCAAUUAAUUAACUCCAUGUGGGGUAGUUUGGAAAGUUUUAUAAGAAUCUGUUGUUAUAUUUUACUUUACUAUCCAAUAUAACAAUAUGUAUUCAUUUAACAAUAUGUCUUUAUAGUGAUAAUAAAAAGAGAGUCACUGAAAGAAUGACAAAGUGAAAUUGUGUUAAAGUAACAAAAAGACAAAUUGAUCGCUUUUUUCCAAACAUAUAUAAAUUGAAUUGCUAGCUAGUAUAGGUUAUUAGAAGCAAGGUCUUUUAGAAUUGUUCUCAAGCUUAACCUCAGCUUACUAAAUAAUUUUGAUAGAUUUAAUUGAUCUAAUAUAUUCCUAUCAAAAAAAAAUUUGGUAAUAUAUAUAGAUAUAGAACUAGACUAGAAUACUACCAAUAGCACCAAGCUAUCAGUGCUAUUAGAUUUUUGGUCAUUGGAUGAAUGAAUGUACGGUUAAAAUGAUGUGGGUCUUCUAGGGUUGAGUAAGUUGUUAGCUGAAUGUAUAAUUUAACUGAUGAAAAUAGUCAAAUGGUUAAAUCUAGCGGUGGAAAACUCGAUAGCACCAAGUGCUUGGUGCUAUCGAUAGUAUCCCAGCUGGACUCUCUCUCUCUCUCUCUCUCUCUCUCUCUCUCUCUCUCUCUCUCUCUCUCUCUCUCUCUAUAUAUAUAUAUAUAUAUAUAGAGAUCAUAUACAUAUAAAAGUACCAAGUCAUUGGUGCUUGUAAGUUUUUGGCCCUUCGAUUAAGGGAUGCGCGGUUAGGAUGAUAUGGGCCCCCUAGGGUUGAGUAGGUGGUUGGUUGAAUAGUAUAAUCUAACGGAUAAAAAUGAUCAAAGGUAUAGACCUAACGGUAAAAAAUUUAUAAGCACCAAGUGUUUGGUGCUUGUACAAGCACCAUAGCCGGACUCUAUAUAUAUAUAUAUAUAUAUAUAUAUAUAAUAAAUAAGAGAGGAAACUCACCAAGAGGCUUAAUUGAUUAAUGUGCUAUAAAUGAACAGAAGAUCAUUAGUACAAGAUUAGGCACGUGCGGGAGCAUGCACGUACAACAAGCGUGCCAAAGCAUGCAAGUACUCCAUUAAGGAAGGCAUAUGUUAUUUUCCACUUUUUGUGGUACCAAACUCACCUGACCAUAUCUCCUUUUUAAUGCGCAAAGGCGCCAUUGUCAAUAAAGCAAGAUUCUAAGCUAAUUAAACCCCCAUAACCUUCAACAACCUAAGAUCCUUAAAAAACAAAAAAGAAAGAAAAGAAAAGAAAAUUCUCGAACGCCACCUUAAAAUCCCCUUCAAAUAUUGUUACUUCUUAUUUAAAGCAUUUCUAUUUAUAUUUUGUUCCUAUACUUUGUCUAGUCAAAAGGUUUACAAUUGAAAAAUACUGUAUAAAUCUGAUAUCNAUAUAUAUAUAUCAAAUGCUUUGUGCUAUCGACAGUAUUCCAGUUGGACUCUCUCCCUCUCUCUUUCUCUCGAUCUCUCUGGACUCUUUCCGGCUGGAAUACUAUCAAUAGCACCAAACACUUAGUACUAUCGAGUUUUCCACAGUUAAAUUUAAUCAUUUGACUAUUUUCACCCGUUAGAAUUCUCAGAGAAUGAGACCUAUAUGUUUUCUGAUGGAACUACAUAAAAUAUAUUGUGACUAAUUCAUUGUGAUAUGCGGAAUCCAAUAAUAUGAUAUAUUCUUUUUUAUCGUAUUUUUUUCAUUGUAAGUAAUGCAAUUUCUUUAUAAUCGUAAACAAAAAUCUAACUCAUAAGAAAAAGAAAUUGUUUUAUUACCAGAGUUGGGCCCUUUUAAUUUACAGUAUAAGUCCUUGAGUCAACUAUAUCCAAAUAUAAACCUAAGGAUCAAAUAUAAGGCAUCACAAGAAAGGAAUGUUCCAUCAAUUCAAAGUCAUUAGAAGAUAAAAAAAAAAUAAAAAGUUGACUAAAUACUCCUCACUUGGAUCUAAACCCACUUGUUUUCUUUGCUUUCUCACCUGUUGAGAGAAGAGUUUCCCCUUCCAACUCCCCCUCUAACUAUAGCCACACAUUUUAAGAUCUAGUCCUUUCUAAAGUCAAGGAUUCAUUAAUGAAUCAUAAUGAUAAUGAUGUUACAUUAAAAAAAACUUAAACCUUAUUAUUAUAAGUUAUAAACUCAUAAAAUACUUCUCUAGAGUGUUAUAGGCAACUUUUGUAUAUUUGUAGGCCAUGAAAUUAUGUAUGGCCUCUAUAUUAUUAUCCUGACUUUUCACACUGUAAUCUCUGGUCCUUAUACUUUUUCAAUAAAAUAUUUUAGUCGCUGAGCUUUUACUUAUAUUAUAUUUUAGAAUAUAAACAUUAAAUUUUCUCACUUUUAUUGUGAAAUGAUCUUUUUAGCCUAUAUGGGAUUAUGAAUUAAAAUAAGUGAGGCAUUUUACUAAAUAAAUAAAAUAAUCAUUUUUACGAAAAAGUUGCAUUAUUUUUCUAUAUCAAAGCCUAAAAUAUACAACUAGAGUGUUUAAUUCUCUGUUUGAAAUUUGUGGAUCAAAUUUGUUGAACACAGCGAAAAAAUAUGGUAAAAAAAUGCUAUUUAUUUACAUAAGUAACAACAUGUCACAUCGAUUGUAGUAGCUUAGUUCAGCUAUAAUUUUUUCAAUUUUAUUAAGAAAAAGAAAAAAAAAUAUGCAUGUUUCUAUUUCUAGUCUAAAAAUGUUAGAUAAUUUUCAAUACUAAAUAAAUGUAUGCUGAGUUUCUAUUUCAGUCUCGAACUUCUUAUUUGAUUUUUAUUCUUUAUAUUUACUUAGCAAGAACGUUAGAGCGAAAAAUCAUAUUUUUUUAAGAAACAAAAUAAAUUAUAUCGUAACUAAAAUAUAUUAUUUUAUCAAAUACAAAUAUUCAAAUCUUUAAAAAUAUAAAAAAAAAUUAGACUCGUUACUUUCCAUCUUAAUAUAUAAGAUAUAAAAUACAAAUUGCAAUGUUGUUAAUAUAGUAAAGGUAGUAGAAUCCAAACACAAGUACACAAUCCGUAUCCUUUAGUAUGAGCCUACACAGGUUUUUCCUUUUCUUUUCUUUUUUUUUCUAUUUGAUGAUGUUAUACUUAAAAAAAAAAAUUAAUUUCAUAUAUAUUCCUACAAACAUAAUAAAUAAUAGAUAUAUAUAUUUAUAAUGUUCAAUUAAUUUUUAUAUAUUGUCUCUAUAAAAAUUCUGAUAUUUUCAAAUAUGUUCAUGUUGUUAGAAUCCGUUAGAUAAAUUUAAUUAAUCAUAACUUAAAUAUUUAAUACUAAUUAAUUUUUAAUAUUUUUAUUUUUUUAUAUUAUACUGUUGUGAUUUUUGAAAAAGAUAUAUUUGUGAUAGCAAAAUUGAAAAUAUAAAUAGUUCUCUAGCGGUUCUUUAAUAGUAACAAAUUAAAAGGAUAUAUUUAAAAAUAUCAGAACUUUUGUAAGAACAACGUAUAAAAGUUAAACUUUAUAGUGAAAUAUUUAUAAUUUACUAUAUUUAUAAAAACCUUUAUAAAAUUAAUUUAAAAUAAAAAAUAAAAAUAAAACUAAAAUCAGAAAAGGUAAGAUGUCAUCCCUGGUCCCCUCCUCCUACUUCCCACCCGCUUUCCAGAGAGAGAGAGAGAGAGAAAGUAGAGAGAGAAGGGAACAGACAGCAACAGCGAGAGAGAGAGAGAGGGAAGAAAGCAGAAGGCGGGCAGCGCUGAACAGCAGGCAGCGCCGCACCAGCGAAAGCGACGGCUGGCUGCUGCGCCUAAAAAUCUUAAAAUCUCCUCCUUUUUAUUCCCCUCGGAAGCACCCAAACACAAAGCCAAAAAUACAAAAACAAAGGAUAUAAAAAAGGAAAAAAAAAAAAGAAAAGAAGAAAACAACAGGAAAAAAAAAAAACACUCCCACUCAACACCACCACCACCCAACUCCACCUCCGCCCAACAACACUCACCCACUCACACCUACAACUCUCUUUUAGAGAGAGAGAGAGAUGAGAGAGAAAAAGAUAUCUACUACUAUUUGAGAGUGCAGGAUUGUGUCGAAAACUUAUCCUGCCGUGUUUUUCGCUGUUAGAUCUACUCUUUUGAUCAUUUUUUUCUGUUAAAUCAUACUAUUCAAUCAAUCACCCACUCAAUCCAAAAGGGCCCACAUCAUUCUAACCGUAUAUCUCUUAAUCUAAUAGCCAAAAACUUGGUAGCAUCAAUUACUUAGUGCUAUUAAUAGUAUAUUAGCCUAGUUUUAUAUAUAUAUAUAUAGCGAGAAAUAAUAAUAUAAAAAAUUAUUUUUUAAAAAAGUAAAAUAUUUUAACUAUUUUUUAUUAUGCUUAUUAAUUUUUUAAAAUUUUAUCGAAAAAAUUCCUUACUAAUUUACAGUAUAGAGAAUUUUGAGCUGUGACGUUGGUGUGGAAACUGUAUCGUACCGAUAUUUUAUUGGCAUGAUAUGGUGCGGUAAAUAUGGUUGAUAUCUAUGGACUAAAAUUGGACUGUUAUUAGUGUUGCCACUAUUAAAUUACUAUUAUUAUUAGUGUUAGACUAAAAUUAGACAUAAAUUUUUAUAAAUAAAAUUCUGUUUUUUUUAAAAUAUUUACACUCGAUAAUUAGAUCCUCUAAAAUUUAUUAAAUAAUUUGAAUUUUCUUUUCAAAUGAAUUGGACAAUUGUUUUAUUUUUAGUUUAUGUUUUCUUGUAAAUAAUUUUUAAAAUUUUAAUACUUUUAUAUUUUUUUAAAAUUCUCAAACCAGUAACUUGGAGAAUCGUCAUGCUAAACUCUUCAAAAUACUUUACUUUAUUUCUUAUUUUUUAUGUUAUUACUUAAGGUAUUUAUUUAUUUUUUUUACCUACACUAUGCACCUUUAUUUCAUGUGCACCAUACAUUUAUCUUACUAAAUAAUAGUAAAAUAAUUUGAAAAAUGUAAAAAGAGCUCAAUAUCAAACUCCAAAAAGUUUGAAGAUCAAAAACAUAAUAAUAAUAAUAAUCUAAAUAAAAGUUGAGUAAAUAGUAAUGCAAAAAAAAGAAAAAAAGAAAAAAAAAUUUUUUUAAUAUUAUAAUAAUAUGGGUAAAUUUCAAAAAGCAUUCCUAUUAAUUUCGCACUUUCUCACUUUAAUACUUUAUGAUUUAAAGUAUACCAAUUUAAUAUCAUGUAAUUUUUUUUUUUUUUCGUCGGCCUAUUUAUUAAUUUUUCGUUAAAUCAUAUGCAAAAAAUUUCAGAUAUUUUAUAUAUAGUUUAUAUCGAAUAUUAAUUUUAGUACUCUUUAGUUUUAAUUUUGUCACUGAUUUAAUAAAAAAAUUAAUAAAAAAAUAAUGAAAAAAAAAUACUGUAUACGAAAGUGAUAUUUUUUAAACCACAGGAAUAAAGUGGAAACCGCCCGAUGGUGUUUGAAGAUUUUUUAAUAAUAAUCAUAAUUAAGAGAGAGAAAGAGAAAAAUAAAAGGAGAGGAGAGAGAAUAGAGAGGAGUAAGGAAUCGAAGGGUAGAGAGAGAGAGAGAGAGAGAGAGAGGCGGCGAAGAGUUAAUAAUCACCAUCAUCACACGACACCAUUUUAAUUCCUCUCUCUCUCUCUCUCUACACCUCUUUAUGAGCCUCAACAACACCUCCUCCUCCUCCUACUCGUACGCAGCAGCAGCAUCAUCAUCAUACAAGGAGGGGGGAGGGGAAAAGGGCGCUGCUUUUUAAUCAAACUCCUCACCUCGCCCUGUGUUGUUUGUGUGCAAAGGUGAGAGCUUUGGCCAAUUGGGUUCCUCGUUUCAACGGUGUAAUCCUCGGAAAGUGGAUGCUUUAAUUUGAGGUGGUUUUGAGGUGGGGAAAGAGAUAAACGAGAUGAAGUUUAUGAAGCUGGGCUCGAAGCCUGAUGCGUUCCAAUCCGAUGGGAGCGACGUUAGGUGAGAAAAAGAUCCAAUUUUUAUCUCUUCUCUUCUCUUUUUUUUUUUUAUCCGUGUUUGUACAAUGCUUGUUAUUGCAUUACAUAUGUUCAUUUUUUUUUAGUUGGGUUUUGCCUAAAAAAAAAAGAUCUUUAUUUGAGUGCAUUUUUUGUGUUCGUUUUUUCCUGAAUUAUUUUUGUGGUUUUUCUUUUCUUUUUUUUUUUUUUUUUUUUGGCACAUUGUGAUCUUUUUUAAUGUCAUUAAUUGUUUGACUCUGUUCUCCCUGUUUUAUUAUUAUUAUUAUUAUUAUUAUUUAUUAUUAUUAUUAUUUAUUGUCUCUUUUCUCCUCUGUUUUUUUUUUUCUUUUCUAAAAAAACUUAGUGAAACAUCAGAACGAACAAAGGGGUGAGGUGAGUUUUGGUCAUUUUUUUAGUGGAUGGGCUUGGAAUUAAUAUGAGGGGUAGUAUUGAGAGAGAGUUAAAUGUUGAUUGUUUAGGAGAUGGUUUCAUAUUAUGGCAAAUUUUAUAUUUCUUUAUAUUUAUAUUUUUUACAUUUUUGUUGAUGUAAUUUGAAAAAAAAAAAGGGAAAAAAAGUAGCUCCUUUCAUUGUGGGUUUUGUUGAGAUACUUUUGGAGACUUUGAUCUUCUUGAGUUGCAGAUCUUAUUGAGUAUUUUUCUUCUUAUGUCAUUCUCUCUUGUGUGUGUGUCUCUCUCUCCCCUAAUGCUCUCUAAAAAAAAAAUAAAAGAAAAUGUCAUUUUGGCUACUUGCUCCUGCUUUUGGGAUUUCAUAAAAAUGGUUCCUUUUCAUGUGAUCAUGUGUGAUUAAAAAAAAAGAAGAAUAAAAAAUAAAAAAGAAGUAUCAAAUACCAACUUAUGACAGUUGUGAGUUAUUAACUCUAGUCACUUAAACCUUUGUCCUUUUUCUACCAUCUUUCUCACCAUUUUUUUUUUUAUUUUGUUUGAUUGCUUUUCUUGGUUGAGUUGUAAUAUCUCUUUGUUUCUGUGGUAUCAUGUAUUUAUCUAUAAUAUAUUUUCUUUUUGUCAAAAAAAAAAAACUUAAUUUGUUGUUACACUGCAUACUUUUCAAUCCUUGCAAACAUAUUUCCUUUUUAGUUUGUUAAAUUUCCAGGCUUUUUAUUCUUCUUAACUAGAUUCUCCUACUAGCUAAGUUGUAUAAAAGAAGUGCUUAGUCCUGGGUAACUAGUUCAUGAUAUAUUAAAUCCAAAAGUUUAUUAUUUCCGCGUAAUGCUUUACUAUAUAAAGAUAAGGACUGUAAAGCAAUUUUAACUUCACAUUAGAGUUGCUUACAAUUCAUCAUUGUUGAGUUGUUACAAAGAGAAGUUAAAAAUAAAAAAUUAUGUACUGUUUUUUUUAAAAAAAAAAAAACUUUUUUGUGUCCCAUGAUUCCUGUUUCAUUCUGGUUGUGUGUGAACAUUUUUACUUUGUUGCUGAUUUCAUGUCUGAAUCUUUAAAAUUACAUUGCCAUUCUUUUGUUAGUUGAUACAAUGCUUAUCUAUUCAUGCAGGUAUGUUGUUUCCGACCUAGCGACAGACGUUGUCGUGCACGUCGGCGAAGUCAAAUUUUAUUUACACAAGGUAAAUUUUCCUUUCCGUUGCGCUCGCUAAACUUAAUCUUGUCACAUCAGCAAUAUUUAUUGUAGUAUCAUCACUGAUUCUUUAAAACUUGCAAUGUUUUUUUUAUGCAGUUUCCGCUUUUGUCGAAGAGUAGCCGCCUCCAAAGGCUGAUUCUCAAGUCCAGUGAGGACGGCACUGAUGAGGUCUUCAUGCACGAGUUCCCGGGCGGCCCGAAAACUUUUGAAAUCUGUGCAAAGUUCUGCUACGGGAUGAUCGUGACCCUCAACGCGUACAAUGUGGUCGCCGCCAGAUGCGCUGCGGAGUUCCUCGAAAUGACCGAAGAUGUCGAAAAGGGGAAUUUGAUUUUCAAGAUCGAAGUUUUCUUAAAUUCUAGCCUCUUUCGCAGCUGGAAAGAUUCUAUAAUUGUUCUGCAGACUACGAAAGCUUUACUGCCCUGGUCGGAGGAAUUAAAGGUGGUCGGUAGAUGCAUCGAUUCGAUCGCUUCGAAAACGUCGGUGGAUCCUUCUAACGUCAGCUGGUCUUACACCUACACCAAGAAAUUGAAUGAAAUAGUCGAAGCCCAGCAAAGAACCGUCCCCAAGGAUUGGUGGAUCGAAGAUUUGUGCGAGUUGGACGUCGAUCUUUAUAAGCGAGUGAUGGUCGCCGUUAAGUCGAAAGGGAGAAUGUCUUCUGAUUUGAUAGUGGAGGCCCUUAAGGCUUACGCGGUUCGAUGGUUACCCGACUCUUACGACGCGCUACUCGCCGACGACUACACAAAGCGGUACAAGACAUUGGUCGAGACCAUAAUUUGGUUAUUGCCGUCCGACAAGGGUUCCGGCUGUUCGUGUAGAUUUCUCUUGAAGCUAUUGAAAGUCGUUAUCUUGGUCGGAGCGGGUGAUCUGCUGAAGGAAGAGCUCAUGAAUCGGAUUAGCGCGCAGUUGCACAAAGCUUCGGUGAAGGAUUUGUUAAUUCCCAUGAAAUCGCCCGGCGAUGAUACCAUCUACGACGUGCAACUCGUUCAAAGCCUUGUUAGUAGAUUUGUAAUGAGAAGUGGGCUAAAUCAGGACACGGAUUUUGUCGAGAAGAGCGAGAGCGAGAUGAUUGAAUUCAACUUAGAGCACGAGUCUUUGCUGGCGUUGGGGAAAUUGGUUGACGGUUAUUUAUCUGAGAUAGCCUCCGAUCCAAAUCUUUCGAUUUCUAGCUUCGUUGAAUUGGCGAAGACGGUGCCUGAAACUGCUAGACCAAUUCAUGAUGGCCUAUACACAGCUAUUGAUAUCUAUUUGAAGGUAUGCUCGCGAAACUUAAACAUAUUGAUUGCAUUUAUUUAUUUAUUUUGUAUAAGAAAAAUGGUCGGUAAUUUCUAUCAACACCUUCUACUCUUGAAACUGCCGAUGCUCUUUUCCAAUUGUAUUUGUGUUUUAGCUUUGCAUCAUUAAGUGAAUUUUUAUCGGUGAUGUCCAAUUGAGUUGUUAUGCAAUAGAUGUACAGUGCAAAUUAUAGUUGGAUGUAAACAAAAUGACUUCUCAAUGUCUCUUGUAAGUGAUUUAGGAGAAAAUGAAAAGGGAAUCAUCAUCUUUUUAUCGGCCUAUUUUCUUUCACAAAGGGUCAAUUUCUUGCUAUUUGAGAUAAUGCUUUAUUUUGAUAUCUCGCAUAGUUUGUUUAAUUAUGUGUAGAUCUUACUUGUUUCUUUUUCUCGCUUGUCAUCAGGAGCAUCCGAGCCUGACGAAAGCUGACAAGAAGCGGAUUUGCAGUCUAAUGGAUGUCAAGAAGCUCUCGGCAGAAGCGUCGCUCCACGCGGCACAGAACGAGUGCUUACCGCUCCGAGUUGUGGUGCAGGUGCUCUUCUUCGAGCAGUUGAGAGCCGCGACCAAUGCCCUAGCUGCUCCGACCACCGAACCAUCACACAACAGCUCAAGAUCCACAGCCGAAGUUGGAGCAGAAUGGGACCAACGGCAAGUCCCCGAUAACUCGAAUUCUUUAAAGAUCCAACCCGGGAGCUCGAAAAUCGAGGAUGAGGGGCGAAAAAUUACCGACCAACAAAAGAAGAACCGAAAUAGUAUCAAGGAGCGGGGCGGCGGGCUUUUGCUGCCGUCCAGGUCGAGGAGAAUAUUCGACAAGAUAUGGCUCGGGAAAGGGCAGGGGGAGAACAGUAAGAGUUCGGAGACGUCCGGGAGUUCGCAAAGCCCGCCGCCUUCUGCAAAGCCGCGAGAUGGAAAAUCUUCGGGCGCUUCGUCGAGGAAUCGGAGGCACUCGGUUUCGUAGAUCUUUCUCUUGUUCUUUUGUACAGCAAAAGUUAGAAGUGCAUUGCUCACUCCCUCUCUCUUUCUCUCUCUCUCUCUCUCUCUCUCUCUCUCUCUGUGAUGAGAAGGGAAUGGAGGGGUGUUUAAGCAGUUGAAAUCUGCUGCUUUUGUAUGAUCAUGAUCUUUGUAACUUUAGUCUGAUGUAAGCUUAAAGAAUUUGCUGUGUUAGGUUGUUCUGGAGCUCUAUCUAGCAUAGGCAUUUCACUGAGGUUUCCACCUUUUGUUGUUGAAAGAUAAAAUUGAGAUCAAAUGCAUAGAGCAUUUGGUUGGUUUGUCUACAUUUGAAUUAACAGCUUAAUCUUAUUCUCAUCUUUGGGCCUGUUUGUAAUGGAGUUUGUUGCAGUUAUAUUCCCUAUGGCUUCGAAAUCUGAUUCGGGUUUGUUUGGCCAUGCUUCUGCUUUGCAUAAAAUCCCGCGGUUGUGUUUAUUAUAUGGAAGCAAUUUUCACUUUCACUGCAUCAGCUAAGCUGAUGCUUCCCCAGAAUUUUACUCCUACACAGAAAGUGAGAUUCCUCUGUUUUUGGUUUUGGAACUUGAAUAGCAGUAGUACAUCAGAUGCUGGAGAAUAUUUUCUCGUGUUUAGGAUCAGUUUGGUUUCUUCUUGGAUAAUAGUAGAAAAUUAUUUUUUGAAGAAAAAAGGUUUUUGUGAAAUUCUUCUUUUCUACUUUCUGUUGUUUGGUUCGACGGAAAAAAGAAAAUAAUUUUUCUCCUAAUGAAAAACAGUUUUCAUUUCUAUUUCGCUUAUUUGAUUAGUUUUGGUAUAAAAACAUUUCUACGAAAGGAGGGUGUGGUCACUAGCCUUUUAAAAUUUAAUAUAAUUAACACAAACUUUUUACAAUAUAAAUAAUAAAAAAAAUAAAUUUUAAUUAUAUUUUGGUAUAGAUAAAGUGGUUUGAUAAAAAAGAUGGAGAUCAUAGAGAUAUGGAAAUAAUUCUACCUUGUAUAUAUAUAGAAUUAGGCUACUAUAUUAUUAAUAAUACUAAGCGCUUGGUGCUAUUUGAUUUUCGACCUUUGGAUAAAAGGAUGUGCGGUUAGAAUGAUAGUGACUAUCGAUUAGGAUGAUAACAGUCCUCUAGAAUUAAGCUGGUGAGUGUUUGAAUAGUAUUGUUUGAAUAGUAUGAGCAAACAAGUGAAAAUAAUCAAAUGGGUAAAUUUAAUAGUGAAAAACUCGAUAGCACCAAGCGUCCCUAAAAUACAGCAAUUUAAUAUUUCUCUAACCAUAUUUCUUUUAACUAAUUAUUAACUAACCAUAAUUGAGGGUGAUAACACAUCAGUAUCUUUAGUCUAUGGUAUAUUUUGGUAGUUUACUCCAACAUUACUAGUAAGCUUCCAAGCCAUGCACUGCCCCUCUCAAUUAAUUAGUUUGGGUAAUAAUUGGCUACAACAUAUACGUUUUUUGAAGGGAUACACACACAAUACUCCCUCAAAGGAGAAUAAACAUUGAAAGAUAAAAAAGCCUAGUACCUGCAGUUGCAAUCAAUGUAAAAGAAUAAAACAAAUCACUUCUCACAAAUUUCAUUGCAAAUCAGCUAUUUUAUCACAUUUUCACACAAGCAUAAGGUCAGAUCAAUAAGAAACAACCCAAGCACACGAAAAACCCAAUUUACCGGCAUAUAGAAAAGCAUAAGACAUUACUCAAUUUAGAAGCAGCAUUCGGACAUCUUAGAUAAUAAUAACAAUCUGGAAAAACCAGGAAGUGCGAGCCCUUCAAUACAAAGGUAGUAAAAAGUGCGCUCAAUCGUCAUAUAUUCUUAUAUUCAUUUAGGUAGAAUCACACUAAAAUUGGUUCUUUUGCGACAAUCCCCCAAAAAAGAGUGACUUAUAGUUCGAUCAAUAACCGCCCCUCAGAGCGAGGACAAGAUGGAGGACGGAGCCGCCCUCGAUGUUGUAGUCCUUGGCGGUCUUGUCAUCUGCGAGCUGCUUACCAGCAUAGAUAAGCCUGUGCAGAGAGGAAUACGGCCCAGAUAAUCAGUCCAACAGAGCAGAAACCUUGCUAAGAGAUAUGGGGAUAAAAAGAACAUAAGCAUAAGCAAGUCAUAGAAGCAUCAGAAGAAAAGGAAGAUCCCGGUUACUUAGGCAUGUGAAGAUGAUAUGGCGUAAUCAUCGUGCAAUGCUUAACAAUACGAGAAAGUGAAUUGAAAUUUGUUUGGGCUCGGUUGCUCCAUAACAGAAGUCACAACCCUCAAUGGGACGAGAUGUUUUCAGUUUUAUCGUUUCAAGAGGAAGGGCCUCCUUCAAGCUAGUUAACCUAAAUUUUCUAAACUAAGUUCGUCAAAAUUGAGAUCCAACCUAAGAUUUGUGUAAGGUCUCCACAAAUGUAUUGCGAAAUUGAAUAAUAAAAUUGUAAGAUUCCACAUAUUACAAAUAUUACAGAAAAAUAAACAAAUAUUAAAUCAUUCUUGAAUAUUAAAGAAAUGGCAAGUUUAUAUUAUAUCUAAUGAUCAUAAUUUUUUUAUCAAAAUAACUAUUAUAUAAAAGUAGGUAUGAUAUCCUUUUGACUAUAUACUCCAUCAAUUCAGUCAAUUUCACAUACAAUAGUCGAGAGGGUUCCAUAUAACCUGCGUCUUCAGAAAACACCAGCUUUUGUAAUUAUCCAGAACAUCAUAAAUAAUGCUUAAUACAAAAGAUAUACUCUAAAUAGUUAACCUAUUAACCUAAAGACCGAUCAACUGCCCUCAGGUCCCAAACACAAGCAAGUUUCAUAGGCCACUCAACUGAGCAGAGGACUGGGCGGGCUGGAUGAAGGAAUGAAGGGCAACUUGUUGUAGCUGGUCUUGUUGUGCCAAAACCAGAUCCACAAUGGUCAGCCAAUAUACGCAAGAAGCAAAUAAUUGUUUAUUAAAAUAACAUUAUAUCAAUGCAUUAGACAAAAUAAGCAUCUGAUAACAAGGCAGAGUAAUCUACUCCCCGAACUACUGCCAGGCCCCUCCAAAAGAGGGGGGGAAGUAUAAAAGCAUUUAAAGUAAGCUUCAAAUAGUCAAAAAACUAUGCUGCAUACCUUUGCUGCACAGGAGGAAUUCCUUCUUUCUCUUCAACUCGCUCCUUGAUCCUCUCAAUUGUAUCAGUGGGUUCAAUGUCGAUUUCGAUUUCUUUCCCAGUGAGCGUCUUCACCUUGAUCAUGGUCCCACCCCUGAGCCUCAAAACCAAGUGAAGGGUCGAUUCCUUCUGAAUGUUGUAGUCUGCUAAGGUGCGGCCAUCUUCCAACUGUUUCCCAGCAAAUAUAAGUCUUUGCUGGUCUGGGGGUAUGCCCUCCUUAUCCUGCAGUUUAUCUUAUAAUAUAUGAAUAGUUGUACUGUAAUUUCUUCUGUAUUUUAUGCUACAAUCAAAUCUACUAAUUAUUUGUAUGAAAAAAUUUGCACAGGGUACAUUAGGCAUUGUUUAUAUUUUCCAUUCAUCUUUCCUAAGUUCUAUGCAGUUGAAGGCACCUACGACGGACCUUGUGUUGGUGCUAUUUGUUACUGUUGUUUAAUUGGCAGUACACAGUUUCUUAAAAGCAAAAAGAUUAUGCCUUCCUUGGUAUUCAUGCUGUCUUGGGUUUCCAUAAAACAAAAAUUCUACAUGGUUGGGUGUGUCGGCAGAUCGCCUUGCCUACUCUAUGUCAUUGUUGGCUAGCAUUGCUACACAAACCGGCCGGAUGCUAAAAUGCAUCUCCAAAACAAGUAACAACAAAGGGAGAAAAAAGUUAUAGCUAAGUAUUUGUUCUUUGUUACCAAACAAAUCCCAUUGAUAUAUGGACUGCAAGCGCUCCACCAUCUGCCCGCACGCUCUAUUGCAUACAAUUUUUGUUUAGUAAAAAAAAAAAAAAAAAAAAAAAAAAAAAAAAAAAAAAAAAAAAAACGCAAUAACAACAAGCUGAUCGAGGCUUUAUUUUACAAACUAAUACUUUGACUUUUCAUUUGUCAAGGAAAAAAAAAAAAACUUGUCAAAAAGGAGUUUGCAAAAAACCCACACUAAUGCAAAUAAAAAGGAUACCUAAAUGUGCUUAACCACAAAGAAGAUGGGGAGAGGGGGGAAAAAAAAAAUGAAGGUGUGCUAGCUGUUGAAGUUGCUACAUUUUAAAUAUCAUCAUGAUCUAAGAAAUUUUUCUCUUUUCUCUUCAAAUGUUGUGCAUCGUACUAUGCCCUCCCUUCUUCUCUCCUCAUUUUUUCGGGUGCAGGUGCUUUGUUUUACUCUUGUUUAAGUGUCAAUUUCAUGCAGUGUUAAGGAUCUAGAUUUUAAACAUCUUGCACAACUUUCCUUCAUGUAUAAUUGCCAGAAAGAACGCUGUGAAGAAACUAACCCCUCACUUGGACUAGUCUAAUGGCCAGAUCGCCAGAGCCUCAUUAAGGUCCGAUUGCAAGGACCCCUAUUGCCUAGACACUUCUCUAUUUGGACCCUGCACUGCCCACCUAGUCAGUUAUUGCAGUAACAUAUAUUUUAUCUUAUAUACACCCUACAGAUUAGCUUUUAGUAAAUCAAAAGACAAAAAUUUCAAAAGAAAGGGUUUUUUGCAUAGAUAUCCCUCCGUUGCGUAAAUACCCCUACAAAGUUAGUAUCUACUUGCGAGCCGUCCCCGUACUUUAUUGGCAUCAUGUCCUGUUAGGGGUUUAUAUGCGAAAAGACGUUUUUGCAUAUAUAUGCUUACAAGGGUUCACAGACGCAUAACCAAGGUUCUUAGGGGCAUUUACUCUAAACUAACUUUCCAGGGGUAGUUGAGGAUUUUGCAUACAUACAAGGGAUUUACAUGCAAAAGACCCACAAGAAAUUAUAUAGCACUUACUUAGCAUAAAGCUCCCUUGUCCUUAAUUUUCUUAACUAGAUUGAGAAUAUACUUACCUAAGGUUGUGAAGAGGACAUAUUAUUCUUGAGGGGCCAACAUUUGGAUCAAAUGACCCUUUGGGAAGCCUCAAGACUCUUUUUUUCUUCUUAUUUCUUAUGAAAGUCUUCAAUCGACAACAAGCCCUUCACUUCCAUUUCCACAGAUUAUGAUCCUAUUGAGGGAAUACCAUAGUUCCAUAGAUGCAUGAGUGCAUAUGCUUUAUUAGUUAUAACACACUUAAAGCAAGUUGUUGAUACUUGCUCCUCCUUCGGAAGGUUUUUAAACAAGUGAGCGCAUUCUCUACAACCCAGUGCGCAGAAUUUUCCUGUACACCGGGUGAUCUCACCGUCCAUCCGAAAAGCAUGAUGAUCCCUCUACUAUCGGCAAUGAUCCAUUGUUGGCCAAUCCAGCAGUUUAGAUGCUACUCUCCUUCAGAUGGACGAUAAAAUCAACUGGUGCCCAAGAAAAUACUGCGCAGCGGGCUGUAGAGAGUGUGCCCCCUUUUAGACACUAUAUAAAAGUCAACUAGCUAAGAUAUUAGGUGAUUAUCAAAACCAUCGAGGCGGUGUCUAGGCAUUUAGGGGCCUCUCAAUCGGCACCUAAAUCUAUCCAUCAGCCUUGAUAAUCAUGUUACCCAAGCAACUAACCAAAUGAUGCCUUACCAAUUCGAUGAAAUGUUUCUCCCAUCCAUCAAUUGAAUAGCUUAUCCUAGAACUCAAAGAAUCCCACUUUCAGUAAUUGAAGAACUCAACAAGUAAAUUCAUUCCGAAGCCAGUCAACUGCCAAGUCAACCAAGUUCUCAGAAGCCUAAUAUUGAUACCAAAGGCUAAUUUCACUCAUCAACUCCAGUAUCUUCUUAUUUCUAGCUUGUAAUUUACUGGAAAUCUUUAAUAUCCUCUCCAAAGCACAAAUAUAUGCAUAGCUUGUCCAGUCACUCUCUACUACCUAAAUAAACCAUCAUAACUUCAACAAAUAAUCACAUGAUAGCUCCAAAAAUUUGUAAAAAAACCUAUAUUUAUGAAGGGAUCAAACACUAUACAGUUGGCAAAGAUAGUUCUAAUUCUAGCCCUAGAAUCUUAAGUUUUACAAUUCCACAAUCCACAAGCACAAACAAAACAAUUAUACCUACGUACUUUUACCAAUCCUAAUUAACAAUCAAAACAUUCCACAACCAAGUUCAUCACUCCAUACAAGAAUUAUGUCGAACACCUCGCGUGCGUACACAAGAAUCAAAAACGGCGAUCGCUUUACGGAUCAAAAUCUCAACCAAACACGAAACCCCAGAAACCCCAGAAACCCUAGAAAACGAGUUAGGUCCAAAAAAACCUCCAAAAACUCGGAAAAAAUCGGAAAAAAUUCGAAAAAAAGGGGGAAAAAGAGGACCUGGAUCUUUGAUUUGACAUUAUCGAUGGUGUCGCUGCUCUCUACCUCGAGAGUGAUCGUCUUCCCCGUCAAUGUUUUCACGAAUAUCUGCAUCUUUCUCUUCUCUUCUCUUCUUCUUAUGCUUGGAUUUUUUUUUUCUGUUUUUUUUCUGUCGAUCUUCUCUACACGGACGUGUCAGGAGAAAGCCGUUUUAUGGAGAGUUUAUUUGUUACGAUAGUUACAUAGAAAAUUGAGGCUCAUUGAGGAGUCCCCGAUUCGCUUUUAUGCGUUAAUUUUAUCUCUACACAAUUAUUAUUAUUAUAAUCCUCGCAUCUGAAGUUUAAAAAAAUUAUUUUCAGAAUUUAGUAUAUUAAAAAUAAGAUUAAUUGGAGAUGAUUUUCUGUAAACAUAUCGAAUAGCAGAUAUCUAUCCCUUCAUUUGGUUCGGGUAUAAGCAAGAACUAGUUAUACCGGAAAUAGGUACAAGUAUAGGUUUUCGUAGGCAUAAGAAUAUUUUUUAUUUGGAUGAAAAUGUAAGUAUAAGCUGGAACUAGAAAAAUUAUGUUUGGAUGAAAAUGUGAGUAUAAGGGGGAAUAGUUGGUAGUUAUAAAUAGAAAAUAAUGAUAUUAUCCUGAUAAUUGAGUUUAAAUUUUUAAACUUAUAAUUUUAAAUUAAAAAUUUUAACUUUUAAAUUUUAAAAUUUAAAAUUAAAAUUUAAAGUUUUAAUUUUCAAAAUUUUAAUUUUAAAUAUCAAAUUAUAAAUUUAAAACCAAACUUAAAUUUGAAAGAUAUAAAAUAUCAAAUUUAAAAUUUAAAAACUAAAAAUAUCAUAUUAAAAUUUAAAAUUUAAAAAUUUAAAAUUUUAAACUUGUAAAUUUAUAAUUUAAAAUUAUAAAUUUAAAUUUAAAAUUCAUAAUUAUUAAAUUUUUUAAACUUUAAAUUUAAAAUAAAAUCAUAUCUCUCUCUCUCUUCUUGUAGGGGGGGGGGGGGGGGGGUUUGGAACAAAUUGUUCCACCCCUAGGUGGGAACACUUAUUCCCCAUCUAUAUCCGGUAUAAACUGGGUAGGUGGGAACAAGUGUUUCCACCCACCCAAAAAUAUGUUUGGGUACAAGAGGGUGGAUAACCCCCUUAUCGCCCUCUUGUACCCAAUCCAAACACUAGCAUAGAGUUUAUCCUUUUAUAUUUAUUCCUGCAAAAGUUAUAACGUUUUCAAAUAUACUUCUAUUAUUACGAUCCGUUAUAAAAAUAUAGUUCUCCAUAACUUUUCAAAACCUAUAUUGUACACCCUCAAUAUCUCACGCUGUUGCAUUUAGUCCCCCUACGUCCAUUUUUUAUAAUUUUUAUCAAAAAUAUUCUUCAAAAUGAUAAAAAUAUAUUUUAAAAAUUAUUUUUUUAUAGAAAAAUAUGAAUAAUUUAGUCAUUUACCCUCUCCAUUAACGUCGUAUCCCCUUUAAAAUAUUUUUGAAAUUUUAAGGGGCAAAAUGUAGAUUUUUUAAAACUUAGGAAAAAAAUAAAAAAGAAAUAUUUACAGGAAUUUUUUUUAUAAUUUAGUCUUAAUAAAAUAAUAAAAUAUGUUAGGUGCACCGCCUUAUGAUUAAUUUAUAAGAGAAUUUUUUGGAAUUUAACUUUUUAUUAUUUGUACUUUAUUAUUCCGUAGUUCGCAAAAAAAAAGUAUUAAUUUACUGUCCAGUUGAACAAAAGUUAUUUAUUAGAACAUAAAAAUAAAAGUGUAAAUUACUUAAAUAUAAUUUUUAAAAUCACAGGUGGCAAGUAAAAAUGCACAAGUCCGAAGAGGGCAAAUUAAAGUUUACUCAAAAAUUAAAGUCGAGGGGUUAGUUGCCAAUAUAGUAAAGCUGAGGGGGUUUCGAUAUAUUUUUACCAAAAAGAAGGGAAAACUUUAAAAAGCCUCAUACCUUUUCAUUUUAGUAUCCAUGGUUCAAAGUGUAUUAAGUUAGUACCAUACGGUUUCGCACUUUCUCACUUUAGUAUCCUGUGUUUUAAAGUGUAUCAAGUAAGUACUUUGUCAUUUUAUUUUUUUAUCAAAUUGUUAUCCUGUGGCUUUAUUUUUGUAUCAAGUUAGUACCAUGUGGUUUUCAAAUUAUAGAGUACUAAAGUGAGAAAGUAUGAAACCAUAGGGUACUAAAGUGAGAAAGUACGAAACUACAGGGUACUAACUUGGUACACUUUAAACCACAGAGUACUAAAGUAAAAAAGUGCAAAAUCACAGAGUACUAAUUUGAUACACUUUAAACCACAUGAUACUAAAGUGAGAAAAAGUGAAACCACAAGGGGGUAUUUAAAGUUUUCCCCCGAAAAGAAUAGAGAUAUGACCCUCGAAACCGUGAUAUAUCACCGUUACACCGAAGACCCACUUGGCUUGUGGGGCCGCGUUAUUCCAAUCCGCCACCCUCUCGUCCGCGGAUUUUGAGCUCUACCGUGUGGGGCCCACUUAUUACACUUCAAUUAUUAAAUAAAAAAAGAAUAAUUAUUUAUAUACACCCCAAAACUUUAAAAACAUCUGGUUUAUAUAUAUAUAUUUUUUUUAAAUAUACUCCUAGUGUGUUUUUUUGUUAUUCAAAAAUGCACCCGUAGUUACCAUUCGUUAAAUUAUUUCGAGUUAGAUAUAAGUGAAAUGUCUACUAAAGUUAAAAAAAGAAUUAAAGUACCUUUUUUGUCCUUAAUUUAAGAGCAAAUAAAAAAAUUAGUGGUAAUAGAAAGAUAUAUUUGAAAAGAUUAAAAAAAAUUUCCUUAAUUUAAGGGUAAAUAAGAAAAAUUGAUGAUGGUAGAAUGGUAAAUUUAAAAAGACAAAAUAGUAAUUUUAAGGAGAUAACGAUUGUUGAUAACUUUCGGAGGGUCGGUAACUUUUUAGGGAUAUAAAAAUAAUUGCUCCUUAAAAAAAACGAGCCUUAUGGAUAAGACUUUUGAAUUCAAGAUCAAAGAUGCUGAGCUUGAUUUAGAUAGUUUAAAAUAUUUUCUAUCAAAAUUUGAAUAAAUUUAGAUUCUUUUACACUGUUAAACUAUAAACUCGUUAUAUUAGCCGUUAAAAAUUGAUAAUUUUUAAAAUAAUUUGAUCAUAAAAUAAGUUGAAAAAAUAUAAAAAUUGGUUCCUAAAAACUUCAAAUAUUAUACAUUAAUUUUAACGAUGUGAAUCGUUGAUUUGAACACUCUAAAAUAAAAAACGAGAUUAUAGUACCAAAGCCCCGAUAUAAAUAUAAUAGAUAUUACAUAAGCUAACUCUUAUUAUUAUUAUUAUUAUUAUUAUUAUUAUUUAAGAAUUGACUACUCUUUGGAUUUAUUCCUCAAAUCUCUCCUGGGUCAAAUUACAGCAUCCAAAAAUCCACCUUCUCUAAAGUAUGAGCAGGGGACACUAUUUAUGGGAAGAAAAAUAGUCUCAAAACUCACUAUUUUAUUAGUAGAAUAGAUUCUUUACUUUAAUAAACUUAUAACUGUGAAUAUUAUAUGAAAGUAUAUUAACUAAAUAUAUAAAGAUAAACGACGUAUUUAAAUUUUGAAGUCAAAGUGUCGCCGGCCGACUCAAAUCAAAAAAUUUGAAGAGGUAGUAAAAUAAAAAAUAGUAUAUAGUUCAGAUAAAUUUUGUAAAGUUUUACUUAACAAUUCAUGUGCAAAAGCAAAAAUCAAAAAGGCUUAUAGAGAAAAAACUAAAAUAAUGUUUUAUUUAUUUACUUUUUCCUUCCAUUAGAUAAGUUGAUGAUGAGAAACAUGUAGAAUAUUUUAUCUAGUUAUAUCCACAUUUCUCUUUGAAAAUAUUAACAAAAAAUAGAAAAGCAGUUACAUCCAUUUAGAUUUAUAGAUUAGGAUUUGCGCGAAUCAAAAUAGGCCGAUGAAUAUCGAAUAUAUACUUAAAACAGUUAUUUUAUUGGAGAAGCAAAAGUCAAGCGCAUGAAAAAACUAUUCACAAGUCAAAUCACCAAAAGGGAAUAUUUAAGAGGACAAGAGGUGAACAUUUAGAACCACAAAAAAAAAAAAAAGAAAAAAAAGAAAAAGAAAAAAAAAAGUAAGUGCGAAUAUUCACAAUGCAUUGUGAGGUGGAGGAAAGCAUGAGGGAAAAGGUGUAGUGAGAGAUGUGAUGCGGAGGAUUCUUAUGCAGACAUGAGGGGGUAAAAAAAGAGGAAAAAAAAAAAAAAAAAACCAACCCACAGUCAAAGGAUAAUACCAUUCGUAUUUAUUUAGCAAUUAAGUUCAAAAAUAUUCACCAAUUGCGUUUAGCGUAAUCUACUAAGAAUUUAAUAGUUAGUAUCUAAGGUCUCAAAUUCGAAGCCUGAUUGCUUCAUAUUUUUAGUGAGUUUGUUGAUUUAGACUUGAAUAAAUUGCAAUUGUCAGUUGCAUCCGCACAGAAUUGAAUAGACUGUUGCAAUUCAAAUUGCAUGCAUUUUAAAGUCAAUACAUUUACAAUCACAUCGGGUUUGGAUCUGUAUAACUGUUCUUUUAAUGCGAGGGGGCAAUCGUACCUAGCGCAUAGUUGGCUAAAGAUUUGAUGAUUGAUAUCCGAGGUUUCAAAUUUGAAGUCGAGUACGGAUCUAUAGCAAGGUUUAAAUUGCCGUGGCACGGGGGCGUGCCGCUACGUCCUUGGCACGGUACGGCACGGGCACGCUUGCGUGCCAACACGUGGCACGCUUGCGUGCCGACAGAUACGCACGACCUCCUACUGGCACGCUUUGACACGAAUUUAUUUAAAUUUUUUUGGUUCCAGUAAGCUUUUAUAAUGUUAUUUUGAAAGAUUUAGGCAAGUUAUUAUUAAUUUUUGCUAUGUAUAGCUUAUUAUACUCAUCAAUUAACAUGCAUGUAAGCAUUUUGUAUAUAAAGUACAACUAUACCUGAUGUAGAAUAUAAAUUAAAAUUCUUUUGUUUUUAUUUUUUUUUAUUUGAAAAGUACAACUAUACUUGCUGUAACAAUUGAAAAUUCUUUUGUUUUUAAUUUUUUUGUAAUUUAAAAAAUUAUAACAGAUAAAAUGAUAGAAAAUUUUAUUUUUUCUAAAAACGUUUCAAAAUCUAUAUAUUGAUUCGAUUAGGAAGUAUAUAAUAACUAGAACAACGAGAAUAGGUAUUGCAAUUACAUCCAUAUUUUUUUAUUCUUUUAAAAAUAUCUAAUCAAAAUUUGUUUAGGAGAUCAAUUUUUGUUCCCCUGAUUCAUCGAAAACUUCGCCGGUGCGACAAAUUUUGACAAAUAAUUUGCGAAGAAAAAUGAUGUCUGUGGUGGAAGCGGAGGGGCUCGGGCUGACAGGCCGAGCCGUAGCCCCACACUGACAUCCGAGGGGGGUGCGGGGGGCCCCCCGCGGUAUGGAUCGGAUUUAUCAACUAAAAAAUUUGCUUUUAUAUUUGUUAAAAGAAGUUAAAAUAUAAUGUUUAAUUAACAAAAGAAAAAGAAAAAGUCAAAAGAAAAAGCCAAAAUGCAAAAAAAAAAAGGCAUCAUCCAAAAAGAAAAAAAAAAAAAGUUGACAAAAAAACAACACAAUGUCAAAAAAAUAUAAAAAAGUGAACAAAAGGCAAUAUAGAUGGCGGCGCGAAGGCUCUGAUCCACGAGAAAAAAAAAAAGAGACAAAACCAAAAAAAAAAAGCCAAAAAACUAAAAAAAAAAAAAAAAGCCGGCACGGGCACAGUGCCGCGCACAUGGCCGCGUGCCGCUUUGUCGUCGAGCGGCACGCGGCUUGGUGCCGCGGCACCCGGGGGGUCGAGACCCCUCUUGUACCGUGCCCCUUCUGGGGCACGUACGGCACGCCCCGUGCCGUACGGCACGGGCCGCACCUUCAACCAUGAUCUAUAGGUUACUUGUACAUCUGUUUGAACCUGUAUAAUUGUUUUUUUUAUGUAUUUAGGAGUAGAAUUAUACCUAGUGUCAUUAAUUAUAUUCGAUGUUCAAGUUCGAAGCCCAAUUGCUUCACUUUUAUAGCUGAGUUCAGUAAUCUCGAGUUGUAUAUAUAAGAUUUUUAAAACCAACUUUCACAUAAUUUAUACCUAAUAUAUCAUUGAUCCCAAUUCGUGCACUUAAAGCCACUAGAUUCUAGCAAGCUACUCAACCAUGGCAGGUUCGAAACAUGCAAAGAUGUAUUUGAAACUCAUCAAGAACUAAUUAAGUGCAACCAAGCAGAUGUUUUUAGGCAAUAUUUGUCAAAUUAAGGAAUUAAUGAUAUACAUACACAUACGAUUCAUAUGAGUUGGUGAUUUUUCAUGCAUCUCUAGUUGUGUUUUAUGAAUUCUUUGAGCAGCUCCAUUGCCUUUUGAUCAUUAUAUCUUUCUACUCGGUUAUAGAAGGUCAAUGAUGAACUGUUUUUUCUUGGAAUUAGGCUGGUUGAAUUUAUAUUUUGAAAAAAUAGACUUGCCAAAAUUUACUGGCACACACAUAUAUAUAAUAUAAUAUAUAUAUAUAUAUAUAUUAUAUAAAAUAUAAUAUAUAAUAUAUAUAUUAUAUAAUAUAUAGAGUCCGGCUACUAUACAUCGGUAGCACGGGGCCUCCCGUGCUACCAAGUUGUUUUCGAUGAUGCGGCUUCCAAAUCAACGAUCGCUCCGUUAGACUUGAUCUAUACUAUCAAAGUAUUUGAAAACUAAAUUUCAUAAUUUUUCGAUAUCAUUUACCUAUCAAACAAAUAGUCUAAAAUUGAACGGCUAAAAUAAAAAUCUCAUAAAAAUGAUGAUAAAAGAUUUAAAUUUAAGAUCAGAUAUACUGAUCUUACUCUAAAUAGUGAAAAAAUUUUCUAUAAAAUUUCAUCGAUUUGAAUUGUUUUACACGUAUAAUCUAAAUAUAAAUGACGCCACAUCGGCCAUUAAAAUGGUCAAUUUGAGAUCUUUUAAUUUCAUAGUUCAAAUGAUGUCGAAAAAUUAUAAAAUUUAGUUUCCUAAUACUUUUAAUAGUGUAGAUCAGUCUAACGAGCCGAUCGUCGGAUUUGGAAGCCGCAUCAUCGAAAACAACUUGGUAGCACGGGACGUCCCGUUGCUACCGAUAGAUAUAGCCAGCUGGACUCUAUAUAUAUAUAUAUAUAAUAUAUAUAUAUAUAUAUAGAGUUUUGCUAGAAUACUAUCGGUAGUAAACGGCUCGAUUUACUACCGAUUGUUUUCGAUUAUAGAGCUUCCAAUUGAUGAUCGGCACCGUUUAAAUAUGAUCUAAACUAUUUUANNNNNNNNNNNNNNNNNNNNNNNNNNNNNNNNNNNUAAACUAUCUGGAAAUCAAAUUUCACACAUUUUCGAUAUUGUUCUCUUGUCCAUCAAGUGAACAGAAAAAUGAAUGACUGAAAAUGAAUAUCCUUCAAAAAAUGAUGAUACAAUUUUUAUAUUUGAGAUCUAGAGUCUAGAUCUUAUUUUAAAUAGUUUAAAGAAUGUUUUAAUAAAAAUUUAGUUGAUUUGAACUCUUCUAUACCGUUAAACGAGCAAACGCACCAUAUCGGUCAUUAAAAUUAUAGAUUUUGUGACCCUUUGAUCGUUCAAUUAGUGAUGCCAAAAAAUCAUGAAAUUUGAUUUUUAGAUAAUUUAAAUGGUCUAGAUCAUAUUCAACGAUGCCGAUCGUCGAUUUGGAAGCUCUAUCAUAAAAAACAAAUCGGUAGUAAAUCGAGCAGUUUACUACCGAUAGUAGACCAGUCAAACUCUAUAUAUAUAUAUAUAUGUAUAGGGUAGGGCUACUGUGCUAUUAGGAGCACAGCAACUCUUGUGCUUCUAACUUUCUAACCACCCAUCAACAAGUUUGAUGGGUGGUUAGAAUGAGCGAGGGAUGAGAUAUUGGAGAGAAAUUUAAGAAGAAGAGAAAUUGAGACACUCAAUUUUUUCUCAAUAUCUCAUCCCUCUCUCAUUCUAACCACCCAUCAAACUUGAUAGGUGGUUAAAAAGUUAGGAGCACAAGGACUGCUGUGCUACUAAUUGCACAGUAGCCUUGCUCUCUCUCUCCCUCUCUCUCUCUCUCUCUAUAUAUAUAUAUAGUAUGUUUCUUGUGCUUUCGAAAGUACGGAGGCCUCCGUGCUUGUAAGUUGUUUUCGAUUAUAGGAUAUUCAAUUCGAUGAUCGGCUACGUUAAGUAUAUUCUUCCAUAUUGGAACUAUCUAGAUGGUCCGAUGAUAGUUGGAGUGGUUGUGAGCAAUAGGCACAGUGUGAUUCUUCACGCUUUUUGAGGUAGAAGAUUGCACAUGCCGCCGGAGGCGUGCAGCGUGGUGGUGUGUUUGCUGAUGGGAAGUGAGAUGGUUCGACGGUGGUCGGAGUGGUUGUCGGCAACAAAGGCAUAGUAGUUCUUCACCGGUAGGGGUGUAAUCUGGGUCAUGCCGGGCUAGCGCGGUCCAAAUUUUUCGGGCCAAUUCGGGCCACACAAAGUGGCCCAGCCCGACCUGGACUCAAAUCCCGCCUUGGCCAUCUUUAUUUGGAGUGUGGCCGAGGGCGACCCACUUUCCGAAGCAGGUCGGGCCGUGCUGGGCUAAAGGCUGGUCCAUUUUACUAUAAAUUUUAUUUUUAAAUAUUUUAAUUUUUGUAAAAAUUUUUCCAAUUGGUUUUAUAAAAUAUAUAGUUUUUUUAAAUAAAUAAGUUUUGAUGACUUUUAAAAAAAUAUUUAAAAUUAGAAUAGAUUAAAAUAAUUUUUGAAGAAUAAAUUUAAAAAAAUAAAAAAUCUAUUAAGGAAAAAAAAAAAAANGGCAUGGCAUGGACCGGCUUCGAUGACGGCCAAGCCGGACCCUGCCGGGGCAUGAGCCCAUAAGCUACGGCAGUUGCGGGCCAGCUGGGUACGAUCCAGACAGCCGACAGUCGACCCAGUCCAUACUGGCCCACGGGCCGUCUGUCCCAUUUGACAUCUCUAAUCACAAGCGAUGGAGUUUGUAAGUUUUAGUUGCCCUUGACUAAAUUAUGCUUACUCUCAAUGUAAGAAGAAUAAAAUAGUAGAACAUUAGAAUGGACUUUUUGGGUAUUUAGCCCUCUCAUAAAAAUUUUUUCACAAAUAAUCUCACAAAAUUUAUAAUUGCAAAACUGGCUCCAUCCCCGCGACGCAAGUGCCACAUCAGCGGCUGGCUAGCAUAAGUUGAAUAUGAUUAACCAUUCACCGUGUUUAGACACGGUGAAUUAAGCUAAAAUGCACAAGGACUGUUUGAGUUCUUUUGCACUGCGGGUUUGCUACUGUUCAGCCCGUCCAAAUACGGUGAAUGGUUCAUCUUGUUUAAACACGGUGAAUCAUUUAUCGUGUUCAACUUAAUCCUUCAUAGUCGCUGAUGUGGCGCUUACAUGGCACUUGUGUGGCAUGAAUAUGACUAGUUUUAUAAUUAUAAAUUUCGUUGGACUAUUUAUGAAAAAUAAAUUUAAGAGGAGACUAAAUGCAAAAACCGAAUACGCAGUUAGAAUAAUAACGGCUUAUUGAAGUUGAGUGGAUAGUUUGUUGAAUAGUAUAAUUUAAUGAGUGAAAAUAAUUACAGGAAUAGAUUUAAAUAUAGAAAAUUUGAUAGUAGUAAAUACUUCAUGAUAGCAUAGCAGUCGGACUAAUAUUUUAAGAUCUCAAAGCACUAUCAACGGUGUGCUCAAAGGGCUUUCUUAUAAAAUGAUCCUCCAGAAAUUCAAAAUUGGCAAAAUGACCUGCCAAAAUUUUAUUUGUAAAACUAACCCUCCUUUCGCCACGUGAGCGUCACGUUAGAAUUUCUUAUAAAGACGGUGAAUCGUUUACCGUCUUUGUAAUAUUUGUUAUAAAAGGGGUAAAUGGUUCACUGCCUUCAGAAGGCGGUGAACCAUUCAUCGCCUUUAGUGCAAAAUCCUUCUUUCCGCCCUUUUCCCCUUUCCGCCCUUUCAAGUCUGCCGUUUCUGUGCCCUCGAGAAGACGGGAAACGAUUCACUGUCUUAUCAAUGACACCAUAUUCUGGACUUGAAAAGAUUUGCGUAUCAGAAUAGGGAUUUAUACUAAAAACGGUGAAUGAUUUACCGCUUUAUGAAGGCGGUGAACCAUUCACCGCCUUCACAACAAAUAUAACAAAGACGAUGAACGAUUCACCUGCUUCAUUCAUUGAAGCUAUGAAUUAGGCUACAGGGGUGAGGUAGUCAGGGCCUCACCCACCUGCUUCAUUCAUUGAAGAUAUGAAUUAGGCUACAGGGGUGAGGCAGUUAGGGCCUCGAAAGAAGAAAAAUUAUGAAAAAAAAAAAACAAAGACGAUGAACGAUUCACCGUUUUUUUUAGGAAUCUCUGACGUGGCGCCCAUGUGACGAAAGAAGGAUUAGUUUUAUAAAUAAAAUUUUAAUAGAAUUAUUUUGCCAAAAUUAAAUUUUUGAAGAGUCAUUUUAUAAAAAAAAAAGCCGGUGUGCCGUGUUAAGUGGCUGUAUAUGACGGCAUACUUGGUUGGGUAGGGAGAGCAGAGUAGACCUCUCUCUCUCGCUCUCUCUCUCUCUCGAAGAAAGAGAAAUUCUUCAAAAAAAGAAAAAAAGGAGGAAAAAAAAGAGAAAGAAAUGGUGGGGGCGAAUGUGAAGGCGGAGACGCUGAGUCUGAUGGAGAGGAGGGCGGCGAUGGAGGCCGACAUGAACGCCAUCAUCGACGCCCUCUCCCGCCCCGGCGGCCCCGGCAUCUCCGGGAACCUUCUAGACUCCCAGGCAUAUAUAUAUAUUAUCUCCAUUAACCCAAAACCCCAAAAAAAUUUUUUAAAAAAAAACUCCUUUUUUCUUCUCAUUUACUUACGAUUUUGUUUUUGUUUUUGUUUUUGUUUUUGUUUUUUUUUCUUUUAUUAGGGAUUUCCGAGGCCCGAUAUCGACAUCCCUACCGUCCGGGCGCAGCGCCACCGCCUCGCUGGUUCGCCGUUCAAAACCCUAAUCCAAAACCCUAAUUUGAGUUUUUUUUCCCCCUUAUUUUUUUGGGUUAUUAAUUGUUUGCUUACUUUCUCAUGGAAAAAGAGUGUAGUUAAAUUGGCCGAUCUAAGAAAAACACAUUUGAAUGCUUACACUAGGUUGUCUUUAUCCAGCCGCUUUGACGCAAUUUAUGUAGCACUAGUGUAGUGACCCGCGCGUUACGACGGGCAGAUACUGUUCAAGAAUAAAAUAUCAGAUUAGUACAAAAAUAGUAAAUAUAGUCUACAUUAUAGACAAAUACUUUUAAAAAAUAAAACUAUAAUAAAAAAGAAUUUAAUUGUUUCAACUAAACUAUUCAACAUUGUUCAAGAGAAGUCGCAUAUCAUGCAAAUAGAUGAUUAAAAUUAUUUCCAUAACAUAAUAAUCAAAUGAGGAAAAAAAAAAGAAGAGAAAAACUGGGUAUAUGUAAGAUUUAGCCAUGGAGAUUAAUAUAUAGGUAUAGAUAUAGAUUGGAGCAGUUUCGAGUCUUUUCAGAAUAAGUUAUCCAGUGAUAACUUGUUCGGUACAAGAAUUUUAUAUUGUAAUUGGAAGUGUAAGUGAUUUCAAUUUGUGGGGCUCCUCGAAAAUGGAAAAAAAGACUUUUAGGGCUGAACAUGGUGUGGUACACCGUGUUGACAUUUGAUCGCGCUCGCUCAUUUACCAAAUUCUACAAGUUUCUUGAGCAAAUCAAAGAGAUAUGCCGAAUAGUAUGUUCGCGCACCCAAACAAGGGCUCUGGGGUAUCUAAAACGUCGAACUGCUUGCGUUUGUAUAAUGCGGCUCACACUGGGAGUUUUUUGGUCUAACUCGGGGAAUUAAACUAUAAAUUGAAGCACUCUCGGUGAGUGGUGAUCCUUGCUAUGGGCCUAUCAAGAUCAAUAGUUUACUCGUUUUUCGCUUUUAAAGCAACGAUAAUUUUAGUUCCGUGUGUGUUUCAUGUAUGCUGCAAUGGUUUUUGGGAGUUUAUGAGCUAACAUUUUUUUUCUUUCUUUUUUUUUUUGGUUGGGUGGGGGUGGGGGGGGUAUCUUUUUGUUGCAGAGUUGCGCAACGAUCACAAGGAUAUCACUGACAAAAUUGAUAAAAAUUUGCAAGUUUUGCACUCGUUAAGAUUAGGUAAAAACGAACCAGCGAUUCCUGGAGAUGCAGGUACGCUAAUCAAAAAUUGCAGAACACUUCAUUUUUUAUAUAUGCUUUACUUCAUUUAGUAUGCUUAGUUGAUACCGUUGGUAGUAAUUGCUCGUAAUGAUCUGAUCAAAUGCUGUUUUUAUUGUAAAUAUGCUCAAUUUCGUCAAAUUUCCUUAACCUGAAUAUAUCCAUUCGUCUUUCGGCAUCUACGUAGGGCUACGAAAAUAUCUUAUGAUGACCCACCCAAUUUAUGCAUCUACGAUUCUACGUCUUUGUUCUUUAAUCAUGAUGGCAAUCAAGCCUUGCAUUGUUUUUACCUGCGAGUAGUAUUUGACGUGUAACGAGAUUCUUCAAAUAAUAACUGUUAUACAUUUUACGAGCUAAUAAGUAGUAGAUAAGGCAAUUCGUGUCCACAGGGUCAGGCCAGCCCUAUCACCAAGGCCCUGCAAUUGAAAAAGCCCUCUUUGGUCUGGUGUCAGCAAUUCAGUGGUUUCUGCUGUGUAGUCGGUUCGGUUCGGUUCGGUUUGGUUCGGUUCGUGGUUUGCCCAUAUUUUGUACAACCAAAUCGAUCAAGCUUCUUAACCGAACGAAAACCGAACUGAGCUAUUCGGUUUGGUUCGGUUCCAAUAUUCGGUUUUAUCUUUCAUAAAGAGAGAAAAGAAUAUUGUCAAGUUUUCAACACUAUAUGGAUCAAUUUACAGACGUUACGAAAUAAAAAAAAGUAUAAAAAAGAUAAAAAAUAGAUACACCAACACUGACCAAGGUUUUAAGUGCCUGUCGGCACGGGCCGUAUUCGCCGUGUCAUACCGUGCCAACAAGAUACCGGCACGAUACAGACCCUGUACCGAUGGCACAGCUCAAAACCCUUUAUUCUUUAAAUUAGUAAGUAAUUUUAUCAAUAAAGUUCAAAAGAUGUGAUAAAAAGACAUAAUAAAUAAUUAGAAUAUUUUGUUGCUAAAGAAAAUAAAUAUUUCAUGCUAUUAUGUGUCGGCACACAAAAAUUUUUUUGAUUGGCAGGCAUCGGCACGGCUCGGUACGCACCGUGUCAUACCGUGCCGGCAAAUUUCCGGCACGACCUUGUGCCACAGCACUUAAAUCAUUGGUGCAAAUGAAGUAGGAUUUUUAAAUCUUCUAUUGCAAUACUCGUAUCAUACUGGCAAGUUUCCGGCACGACCUUGUGCCACGGCACUUAAAUUAUUGGCACUGACAUCAAAUUAUUAUUUGAUACUUACCUAAAUAUAUAUAUACAUAUUUAUAUAUAACUAUUCGGUUUUCGGUUUGGUUUUGUUUGUUUAGAAGUCUAAGCUGAACUAAUACUGAAAACCGAAUUCACAAAAAUCACAACCGGACCGAACCGAAAACCAAUUUACCUGAGCGAAAUAGGCUUUUUGGGUUUGGUUCGGUUUGGUUUUCAGUUUGGACCCAAACUGUGGACACCUCUAGAUGACCCCAAUCAAUAAUGUCCUGUAAUUUAGAUUCAAUCAUCUCCUUAUUGUGUCAAAGUAGGUGUAAAAAUUUUAGCAAAAUUUUUAUUUUCCAACUACUGAUCUGAAAAAUUGGGGAAAAAGAAGAGGAUAAGUAUGAGGUGAGGCUAACAAAUUAAAACCAAAUUUGCGUUUUUCUGCAGGUGCAUCAGCUUCUCAUGGCGUUUCGUCUCAAUAUUCUCCCGUGGAGGAGGAUCCAAUUGUCAGGAUACCUUUCGCUAUAAUUGAUGAAAUUGUCGAUGAUUCACCGGCAGCAGAAGACGGUUUACAGCUCGGAGAUGAGAUUGUAAAGUUUGGGAGCGUGGAAAUUGGCGAUGGACUGCAAGCGAAGCUUGUUUCAGAAGCACAGUCCAACCAGGGCCGUACCGUGCCUCUAAUCAUCAUACGGCAUGGUUCUGUUAUGAAUCUGAAUGUGAUUCCCAGACAAUGGCGCGGCCGUGGACUUUUGGGGUAUGCUUUGAUUUCUUCUUUUUGUUCAUCUCCCCCAACUUACAUUUUUAUUUUUUUUUAAAAAACUAGAGAACUUUAGACAGUUUUAGUAAUGAUUAAGAUAAUUGAUCGAUAUAAAGAUUUCAUAAUGUGACACCUGUUUGUUGCUGCAGUAUCUCUGUUCAGAAACUACGCAUAUUUAUAAUUAAUAAAAACUAAACCUCUUUGCACAUGAAUCGAAGUCGGACUUAGCGCUUCUAUGUUCCAAUUUUGGAAUUUAUGAGAGGAUCAUACAUUUGCAGGCAUACUAUAUCUUCAUAAUCUUGCAUUGUUUAUGUGCAUGAAAUUUCUGUUGUGGUUGAACCUGAUCACAUGAAGCUUGAAUUUGGCAUACUAACACUUUCUCUUUUUAACUUCGUGCAGAUGCCAUUUUCGGAUCUUAUGACAAGACAAUUAGUGAUAACACAAUGAUGAGGAAGUUCUUAAAGUUAAUAGCACUUCCGAAAGUCGAAUUUAUGGGCAAUGCAUGUGGAUGCGCAUGCUUGCUUGUUGCCUUCUCAUAGCGUCGUUUUGUUUUGCAAAUUUUCUCAGCUUGUAAUAGUGAUCAACUGAACUUUUUUCUGCCGCACAUCUGCUUUGUUUUACUCGGCAUCGAAACAUUCCUCUCAGUAAGUUGUUAUAAAUGGAGUACUUCGUUUUCACCAAGGUGUUCUUGUGCUGUGAAAGAUGGGUAUCCAAAGUGUCUUAUGGUCAAAUAUGUGUUUAAUGAGGUUUUGUUUUUGAGUUGCCAUUUUAUUUGAAUCAACUACAGUGAAUCGCAUAACGGAAAAUGCGCGAAUAAACAUUUCCUUGGCAAUAAUAGAUAAGCAAUUUGGGGUGUUUUAUUUCUGUGGAGGGAAAGCAAAAUUGAUUAGAUUUACAUACUUCUGCUGAUUUUACGCAGAACAAUUGUGCGAUUAAUAUUUUUCUGUUUUUCAUGCAAAUUUUGUAAUCUUUUCGAUCGUGCGUCGACCCGAUGAAUCAAUCAAUGAGAAGCAACAAUGAAGCAUCAAUCGAGACGGCGGAGAAGGUAUUCGAUUUCGACGAUCUUGGUUAGAGGAAUAACCCAAUCUCCGUAGAGUCGAUAAACGACCGACGGAUCGACCUUAUAAGCGGCUCGGCUGCUAUUGCUGUCGCCGGUAUCAGCUGGUCGGUCCAGCGUUACAUCUUGUCCGAACACCGCCGCUUUUUCCUCCACUCUUUUCUUCACAAUUUCUUCUUGGCUUUCAGAUGUUACCAGUUUCAUCAAAGCAUCCCUGUCCUGUAAAAGAAAAGGAAUAAAGAAAUUCAUUAUAUCCAGCUAAAUGGAUUAUUAAGAAGAGAAGUAACAAAGUUUUCGACGACCUUCGCGCGAAUAGCAGGAAUGUAAUCCUGAGGGGAAUCCCUGAACUUCACUUCUGCUACAAACCUCCCAUAGUGGAUCCUCCUCGAAAGAGCCUAAAAUAUAUAUAUAUAUAUAUUUAAAAAUGAUAAACUACGCCGAAAAAAGAAGUUUAGAAUUGUUUUUCAAUUAGCUACGAUGCGAAUGUGAUUACCUGCAAACACGCGAGAUCAGAUGCGGCUGUCGACGCAAAGUUUCCGUCGACGCCUUCGACAGUGAACUGCGGAAGCAGCUCUUUGAAGUACACACUCCAAAUGGUAUCACUUACAUUGACAGAUGCAGCUGCUGGGUAUAAAACCUGGCAAUUGGAAGAGCUUUCAUUCAUUCAAGCAGUUUUGCCACCAAAGUGUGUAAAGAAAUUGUAGAACACAAAAUGUAGUCUCCAAACUCUCGACGAAUCAUAAUUCGGUCCCUAAUCUUUCGCUUAAACAUUGUCCAUAAUCUAACACCCAUUACAGCUUAAAAACCAUGCAUUAAAGAAGCCUAGGAAUUGCAAGAUAUUACAUAAGUUUAUGAACCAUUCUGUUUAGUGUUUGAAGCGCUUUGUUUGCAGUACUUAUCUUAGAAGGGAUUCUCUCCAAAGCAUUAAUCCGUUGUUUCAAGGUACAUUUGCUUUUGCGUGAAUCAAAAGAUCAUCAUAUUUUGCUUUCAAACUUUUUCGUGUCAAUCAGAAGCAGGGCCAAACAAGUUUUUCUUUGUAUGAAAUGUAUUUUGAAACCGUAAGACGGGAGUGGGAAAAAGAAGAUUACCUUCGAAAAGUUGUAUGGAGGGACUACUGGCCAUGUCAAAUCUUCAGGGAAGAAGGGAACCUCUUCUGGAUUUUGAUAACUUCCAAACUGCACAAUGUCUAUAACAACUCUUAAAAGGGGAUAUAUUUAUUUAUUUAUAUGAAAGAUAAAAAAAUCAUAAUGCAUGAAAUUUUUGCUUGAACAUCUCAAAUUGUGGCCUUAAACACAAAAAUUAUUUUGUUUCUUUUCUAUUGAUCCUCCAUUUAUUAAAGAAGUAGAGUUCUUUGAACGAGAUUAAGUGCUUGUUUGGUCUUUCUGUAGUAUAGUGUUGUUCAAUAAAGUAUUAUUUGAGUAGUGUUAUUAUAAGAAGCACUAUAUUAAAAGAUUUUUUUUUAUCAGCAAAAUAAAGAAAAAAAGAAAACCAACUUUUAGUUUUAAGACCCAAAAUCUCGUAUCUACUAUACUACAGUAAAAGCUUUGAAAGUUUUCACUAGAUCGGAAGCCCCCCCACAUCACGCGGGAGCUCUCUAAUCCAACGACGUAUGCCGAUUCACCGAGUCUAUUCAGCUCAACAACUCGGCAGAAGUGCUAUGGUUCUCUGCCAAAUACCAUUAUAUAUAUUGUUGGGAUCGACAACAGAAACAAAAGCGGAGCCAGACAGGUCCUAAACGCAAUCUGCGUCAUAUAUCAUAUAUAUAUAUAUAUAUAUAUAUAUAUAUAUAUAUAUAUAAUUUGUUUUAUUUUUAAAAAAAGAGAGAAAAGGUUUUCUUGGCUUGGACCCUCUCACUGUCCCUCACAAAGAGCUCAACCAAAGAGCAACUAUUGCCAAACCAUUUGUCCACCUUCAAACAAGAGGAGGGGUUGUACAAUGGAGAAUUGUAUGGGUAUUUAGCCCUCUCAAUGAGGCUAAACACAAUGGUAUCCUCCUCUCUAGUGAGAAAAUCGCGCACGGAUUCCAAAGUUAUCCCCCUUGAGAGAGAACAUUGAAGCAAAAGAGCAUUGAAGCAGAAGAGUAGAUGAAUAAGAAUAGCAAUAGUAGAAGAAGAAGAAGCAGCAGCAGCAGCCAUUGCAGAGAAGAAGAAGAAGAAGAAGAAGAAGAAGAAGAAGUCGGUGGGGAGGGAGAAGUCGUUGCCGGCUUUAUAUUUCAAGUGUUUGGUUAAAAGGUUUGAAAAAGUCAGCUUUCUGUUAAUAAAGGGAAUGGAUUGCCGGCUGAUUGUCUUUUCUCAACGAGAGCUGAUCAUAUUGUCAGAAUAUUAUCUACUGUCACCGUUGCAAAAAUAUUCAAAAUAUAAUUAGAUGCAAGAUAUCAACUUUGACAAUAAUAAAUAUUACUUUAAUUCUAUCAAUUUUCUUCUCUCUCUCUCUAUAUAUAUUUUGAUGUUGUCCCGCCGAGAAAUUAAGAGCAAUUUUAGAAUGGCGCAAAAAUUAAGAUCAUUUUUUAAUUCUAAAGGUUGAAACAUAUUUAGAGGUCAAUAAUAAAUUACUUUAAUAAAAAGCACCAGAUACGAUCAAAGUAUUAAGAUAGUAUUGAGACUGUAUAUACAUUUCAUUCUGAAAAGUGAUAUUAACGCAUUUAUCAGAUUCAUUAAAUUUUUGUCAAAUUAUUUGACAUUGGAGUAUCAUCAACACCGUUGUUAAAGGCUACAAAGGAGGGAAUGAGCACAUGCGUAAAAAGGGCUCAAUUUAGCUUGAGUUUUUUGGUGGUCAAAGUCAACCUGAUGGGAAAAGUCAACUUCAUGUGAACAGGUUGAAUUUAGGUAGUUGAAAAAGGAAAAAAAAAGUAAAAAAAAAAAAACCAAUAAGAGGCCACAUUUCAUUGACCAAAUAUGUCAAAUCCUUGUAAAUCUUUGGUUAGAAUUAAAUAUUCUGAAAAAAAAAUAAUUUUCAAUAUAUGGCUCCAUAUGAUACUCAUAAAUCUUUGGUUACAAUUAAAUAUUCUGGAUUUUUUUUUUUUUCAAUAUAUGGCUCUAUACGAUACUAAAAAAUAAUUGCACAUGUUGGUAAAAGAGCACGAACUAAUCUAAAAAGCUUAAGUUACUAGCAGCUGGUACCAUUUACAUGAUAUACUAGUGUAAUGUUCUGCGUUUCGCGGCAGGAGCUAAUGACUCCAGAAGCUAAUUUGAGUUUAUCAUUGAGUCCGAGUGCAAUGACAGCAUAGAAACAUAAUGAUACUUUUUUUUAUCAGGUCAAGUUAGUAGUUCUCGACGUGUAUAAUGUUGAUUCUUGAAGUUUAAGUUUAUCUUCGAAUUCAAAUACAUCAUGGCUAUAGAAAAAAUGGCAUCCAAUUUUCAUACGGAUUGUGUCGGUCCAAAAUUUUUUAAGAUGAGAUUACUUUACAAUUCACUGCACAAAUUAAAUUGACUACACUUCUAAUUAAUUUUCUUAAGUAUAUAAACUGCCUCUUCACCUCCUACAGGGAGAAAAAAGUGAAAAAAAAACUUUGAGACCUCAAUUGUGCCAAAAGAUUAAAAGAAUUUAAAACCCAAGAGUGAUAACAACUAACAAUUUGUAAAAAAAUCAAAGGAAAUAAAGGAAGGCAAUAAAGUUCAAACAAAAUAAGCCAACUUAAUUUACUCUAGGAUACAUAAUAAUACUAUUUCCUUUCCGCUUUACUUUGUCAAGAGGUCUUCCAACUAAAAGCAAAAAAGGCCAAUAAACCCAAAUCAAAUUUCAAUAUCUAAGAAGAAAGCCUACAUCAAAAUUGAUUUACAAAGAUAUAUAAAGAAACCAUUUAAGACAAACUCUGCCACCAAGAAAAGAAAAAAAAAAGAAAAAAAGGUAGCAGUAUAACCUGAAGAAAAGGUAAAAAAAAAAAAAUCACGCCACCACUAAGUCGUUCCCUUUGUGCCCAAUGCUGCCGCUGCCGAUGAGUUCGCCGUUGUUCAGGAUUCCGAUAAACUCUUUUUCUUUACCAAAUCAAAACAAAUUUAGAAGAAAAUUUUGUCAAAAAGAAAUAACAUUUAAGCAUGCCCUAAAUACAAAACAACUUAAAAUAAUUUUUAAAAAAGGAGCAAACCAAUUCUCUCCCUCUCCAGACCGAGGAAUUCUACACUGUCACACUUGCACCACGUCAUCAAUAACAAGCCAAUCACAUUCCUUCUUUUUUAAACAAAAGUACAAUAAAAAUGCUUUUUUACAAUCAUGAUGGGACAUAUAUUCUUAAAAGGAUUAAUUUGAUUGGUUUGUUACGCCACGUCACUAAUACACCCGUUGCAUUCUAGAAUUUUUCCUCCAGACCACUCUUUUACUAAUGCUCUCUCUUUGUGUUUUUAUUUCAGCUCCUGUGUGUGUGUAUGUUGGGCCUCAACCACCACCACUAAACUCCAUAGAUGAGUUUACAAAAAAUUGUAGAGAGAGAGAGAGAGGGAAGAGAAAGAGAGAGAUGAAAGUCUUAAUAGAGAGGGAUGUAAAAAAGAUAAAUACAUCCCCUCUGAGAGGCAGAGAUGUAAGUACAGAGAGCCCAUGUGAAAGAGAGAGAAAGUGAGAAAAAAAUAAAAUAUCUACAAGAACUAAAACUUUAGAUUUAAAAAAAGGCACCGUAGCUUAACGACGGAACGCCGAUUUCGAAUAAGUUUUUUUUCUUCACCAAAUCAAAGCAAAUGUAGAAAAAAAUUUCAUUCAAAAAAAUUAAAAUUUAAGCGGGCCUUAAAUACUAAAACAUCUUAAAAUAAUUUUAAUAAAAGGGGAAAAAAAAAAGGGAGCAAACCAAUUCUCCCUCUCUCUUGACAAUUCUUUUACUGUGUCUCUCUCUUUGUGAUUUUUUUUCCCAAGCUCCUUUGUGUGUGUGUUUGGUUAGAAAAAAUUAUAAAGAGAGGAAAGAGAGAGGGAAAGAUGUAAAAGAGGUAAAUACACCUCCUUCUGUGAGGGAGAGAGAUUCAAGUACAUAGAGUCCAUGUGAAAGGAAGAGAGAGCUCGUGAGAGAGAGAGAGAGAGAGGGGGGAGAGAGAGAGAGAGAGAGAGUGAGAAAAAAUUAAUAUAUUUACAUGAACUCAUAUUAAAAAAAGUGACGUGGCUUACCGACGGAACGCCGUUUGGCUUCUCCUUAGUAUAGAGUGACGGAACGCCGUUUUCCGAUAAACUCUUUUUCUGCACCAAAUCCAAACAAGUGUAGAAAAAAAUUUCAUUAAAAAAACUAAAAUUUAAGCAAGCAUUAAAUGCUAAAACAUCUUAGAAUAAUUUUAAUAAAAAGGAAAAAAAAUAGGGAGCCAACUAAUUCCCUCUCUCUCUUUACCAUCCUUUUCCUGCUUUUCUCUCUUUGUGAUUUUUUUUUUCUGAGCUCCUUUGUGUGUGUGUGUUGGGUUAGAAAAAAACGGAUAAUUGCUUAUAUACUCCUAAAAACUUUCUGACUUUCUAAUUUACCCCUCUUAGAAGACUAAUAUUGAAAAUAUUCUUUUUACGUUCCAACCUAUUUUCAAUAUAUCCCUAGAGUUAAAUUCUGUUAAUGAACUGUUAGCAAUAGCUGUUAUCUCUAUAAAAUUACUAUUUUGUCCUUUCCAAUAUACUCUUCUACCAUUACCAACUUUUCUUAUUUGUCCUUAAGUUAGGGGCACAAAAAGUAUUUUAAUUUUUGGUCUUUUCGAAUAUACUCUUCUACCAUUACCAAAAUUUCUUGUUUGGCCUUAAGUUAAGGGCAAAAGAAACAUUUUGAUUUUUUUUUAACUCUGGUAGAUAUUUAACUCACGUUUAAUUUAAGUUAACUUAACGGGGGAUAACUGUAGGGAUAUUUUAGAAUAACGGAGGAAUAUAUGACGGGUAUAUUGGAAAGAAAAAAAAAAGUAGGUAUAAAUGAGAUAUAUAGGUAAUUAUCUCUAGAUAAAAUUAUAGAGAUGGAGAGAUGAAAGUUUUAAUAGGAGAGAGAGAUGAAAAAGAGGUAAAUACAUCCCCCUCUGUGAGAGAAAGAUGCAAGUAUAUAGAGCCCAUGUAAAAGAAAGAAAACCCAUGUGAAAGAGAGAGAAAGAGUGAGUGAGAAAAAAUUAAUACAUCCAUAUGAACUCAUAUUACAAUUUAUAAAAAAGCAAUGUGGCUUAACGACAGAACUACUGUUUCACUUUUUUUUUUUUUUUUUUUUUUUUUUUUUUCUGAGCUCCUUUGUGUGUGUAUGUUAGGUUAGAAAAAAUUAUAGAGAAAGAGGGAACAGAGAGGGAGAGAUGAAAGUUUUAAUGGACGAGAUAGAGACGUAAAAGAGAUAAAUGCAUUCUCCUCUGUGAGAAAGAGAUAUGCAAGUACAUAGAGCACAUGUGAAAGAGAGAGAGCCCGUGUGGAAGAGAGAAAGAGAGAGAAUGAGAAAAAAUUAAUACACCCACAUAAACGUAUAUUACAAAAAAACGACGUGGCUUAACGACGGAACACUAUUUGAUUUCUCCUUUCGUAUAGAGUUUAAUAGAUCACGGUUUAAUUUUGUAUUCUAUAUGGGACUCUUAUUUUUUUAACAUAAACAAUGCAUUAAUGUAAUGAUUAAAGUAGCACAGUAACAAUGGAGAAAGGCAUGUCAAAUUAUUAUUCUAGAUAAUAAUUGAGAAUUGAGAAGUAAUUAAAAGAGACAGUUGUUUCAAUAAAAAAAAUUUUGGAGUAUUACUAGCUUGAAAUAACAAUCUUAUUUUGGGGAGAGUUAAAUAAGUCCUACAUUUGACAAAAUAUACCUUCCUUAUCUCUCUAAGCUUUGACCAUAUUAAUGAAAUAAAUUAGCCUCAAAUAAUCAGGUAUUAUUAUUACAUGAAAAUGCUAAAAACAGAUACAACCUCAAAGCUAAAAUUUCUUAAAUUAUAAUUGGUCUAGUAAAUUACUACAUAAAAUAAACAGAUAGGAGAUUAGAGAGACCUAAACUCAUUUAUCGUCGGAAAUAAUGUUAAGGGAUGUUUAUACAAAGACCAUCCAAACUUUUGCAAAUAGAUUUCUGAACUUCUAAUUUUGGUAAUUGGGUUCUCUAAACUUUAUCAAAUAGCUUAAUAUGCCUAUGCCGUGAAGUGAACUUAGAGAAGCUAUAAUUAUACAAUCGUUUUGCUUGCAUAUCUUUCACGCGGGCUUGUAAAAUCGUUUAAAAAUACUGUGUAUAGCUUACAUGUGUAUAUAUGAAUAUAUAUAUAUAUUGUAUGUGUGUGUGUAUAUAUGUAUAUAUAUGUGAUGUAUAUAUGUAUAUAUGUGUGGUAUAUAGUCGUGAUAUAUAUAUAUAUAUAUAUAAUUGGGCUGGAAUACUAUUAAUAGUAUUUGGCAGUUUUUACUAUCGAAUUUUUAACUCUUGAAUGAAAAAUUGUAAGAUUAGGAUUAUAAUGGUCUCCUAGCUAGGGUUUAGUAGCAUUCAUUCUAGAAUUGAAUGGGUGGUUAGUUGAAUAAUAUAAUCUAUAAUAUGAAAUUAAUGAAAGUGUAGAUUGAACGGCUAAAAAUCAAUAGUAAAAGAUUCCAAAUACUAUUAAUAGUAUUCCAGCUCAACUCUCUCCCUCUCUCUCUCUAUAUAUAUAUAUAUAUAGUAGGGUUAUUAUACUAUUAGGAGCACAACAAUGACUGUGCUCUUAACAGCAUAGUAGACAUACUCUAUAUAUAUAUUCUUCUAACUAUAAUAAUAAUUACGCAUGAAAAUUGAAGAAUAAGGUGAAUUUUUCUUAAUUUUUUUAUUACUUUUGUAGGCAUUUGAAUCGAAAAAAUAAUUUUUUUUUUAAAAAAAAGCUUUAUAAAAUUAUAUUAAAAUAUGCGACCAAAACGGCGGUGUUAGUACCUUUAAUUAAGGAAAUGAGCCUGUUGAUUAUUUGAUAAAGUUUUAAAAAAAUUAAUUGCUAAGAUUAGAAGCUAAGUUGUCUAUUAACAAAAGUGUUAAGGUUCAAAGGGUCUUUGUACAUUUUUUUUUCCCUAUCGAAUUUAGUAUUACGCGGACUCGGAAUUCAUUCACGACAAAAUAACUAUUCCUUGCUUAUCCCCAAAAAGAAGCAAAAUUUUUGACUUCUCGAAUUCAAAAUAGAGAUUCGAAUCUUCGAAAGCCACACUUACUUUUAAUACAGAAGCCGCAAUUUCUACGCCUCUUUUUCGCAAAAGCCCCAAAUUCUGAGCUUCUUCCAGCAGCAAAUCUUGGCUUGUGGAAUGGUCAGAGAACAGCACUCUUAAUGGGAACAGAAAUGGUCAAGAGGUCGGCUGACGGGCGAAAACUCGACUUCAAAAGCUUCUGCUUCUAGCUACAGCAAAAAAAACUGGAUAUUAAUCAAAACAUAAAACAAUUCUAGAUCAGCUACAGGCGAAAACUCGACUUAAAAAGGUUCUGCUUCUAGUUACAGCAAAAAGAACUGGAUAUUAAUCGAAACAUAAAACAAUUCUAGAUCAGCUACAGGCGAAAACUCGACUUAAAAAGCUUCUGCUUCUAGUUACAGCAAAAAGAACUGGAUAUUAAUCGAAACAUAAAACGAUUCAAGAUCAGCUACAGACGAAAACUCGACUUAAAAAGCUUCUGCUUCUAGUUACAGCAAAAAGAACAGGAUAUUAAUCGAUAUAUAAAACAAUUCUAGAUCAGUUACAGGUGAAAAGUCGACUUAAAAAGCUUCUUCUUCUAGUUACAGCAAAAAGAACUGAAUAUUAAUUGAAACAUAAAACAAUUCUACUCCGGCAAAGACAAACUAGUCCUUACAUGAGACUCCACCAAAAGGAAAAUCAUAACCUCAAUUUUAGCUUAAGGACCCUUUUAUCCACUAACCAGGCAAUAAUAAUUAAAAAAAAAGGGUUUUCAACCUGCUAAAGCAGUUAUAUUAUCAUAAGCAUAAAGCAAGGGGGAAAAAAAAAAAAAAAAAAAAAAAACAGACACACAGGGUGCACUUGUUUCACUAAAAAUAGAGAGUGCAAUAAUUUUGAAAUGUAAAUGCCCACUUCCAUUAUUUGGUUUACCACGACUUCACCUUCGGUCGAAAAUUGAGGGAAUAAAUAUAUAUAAUAUUAAUUCAUUUCUCACAUCUCUAACUUUUACACCAUUCACUCUCUGUUAAACAAACAAUAGAAUUGAGAGAACUUCAGUUUGAAAGAGAAGCAACUUUUACCUAAACUUUAAUUCGUCUGAAAAUCUAUUUCGAUAUGAACUUCACCGGAAAGUGAUACAAACAGAUGCACGGGAGGAGUCAGUCAAUACAGCUACAGGAAGAUGACACAAUGAUAAUAACACAUCACAAAAAGCUCAGCAUAAAUGGCUUUGCCAAUGUUUUCAUCUUUAGACAUAGCAAUCAUAUAUCAAGAAAUAUUAGACAUUAUCGAAAAGGUAGAAGGUCCGAUAUAUUGUCCUGGUAGGUUUCGCUCCAGAAGGAAUUUAAAGUAUAAAACAAUAAAUUAUCUGUUCGUUAAGUACAGCACCAAUAAAAGCCUACUCAUUCAAACAGCAAACCUAGUCAACCCCAACCUCUUUAAAGCACAUAGAAAACAGUAAUCACAUUUUAUCAUAGUAAUGGAGAUUGUUCAAAAAGAAAAUUUACAAACAAGAAACAUACGUAUCAAGUUGACUCAUAAAGAAUCCUCAUGAGCCUCACUCCAUGAUUUUUUGGUGGUCACUGAUUAUUCACAUAUAAUGCCUUUUUAGUGAAUGAUACUCGUUGAUGAAUUCACAACAACGCUUUGAGGAGUUCUAAACUACAGGGUUAGUUACUAGAAGAUACUCGGAAAAUUCUUCGAAAGUUUUUACCAGAAAUGGCAUUUAAUGCGCAGGACUACACACACUUCAUGAUUCACAUUCAUAUGCUCUCUAAAAACAACAUAAUGAAGAGAUUUGAAGCUUACAAUGACCUUACUCUUAUGCCUCCAUUGGCAACAAAACGUACAGUACAAAACGACAUGUAAAUUUUGCAGAAUAAAUCAGUCUCAAAAAUGUAUCCUACUUAAUCCUCAUGAAUUUCUUUAACAAAAGAGAAUACCAUGUCAGUAUAAUUGUCUAUACAAUUAUACUUGCAAAUACUUUGACGCAAAAGAUGUAAGCCUCAUUACUUGUUGUAUGUAAAAUAUUUUCUCUUAAAUAGAAAAAUGAUCCUGGGAAAUAUUCACUAAUGGACAAUGUUGAUGGUGCAAAAAAAAUAUCAUCAAUGUAAACUGACGAGACAAAAGGCUAUAAAAAUCUUGCAGAUUAAAUAUAAUAACAGCAAAAACUAAUCAGAAAACAUCUUGUAGAUCAAAAUCUAAAUACCCCAAAGUAAUCAAAUCAAGAGCUGACUAUUUUAUUCUAAAUUGCUUCAUUUUAAUAGUAAAAACACCAUUAUCUGACGACCUGACAGGAAGUGUUGGCUUAAGUCACAUCAAUCAAUAUAAUAUGGAAGGUUAAGUAACCUGCGAAAGCAGAGUCUCAUCAGUGGGGAGCCUCAGGUCAUCCUUUGUGUUCCCAUUCUCAGACAGAAGACUCACCUACAGGACAACAUCUCAGGUAAGUUAAUUUACAAGCAGGGUUUAGUUCACUCAAGUCUUAUUAUUGGAAAAAUAAUGAUGGGGCAAAAAAAAGGAAAAAAAACCUAACAGUCAAAAAGAACCAAAAUGUAAAACUACUUGGAAAUCAGCGUUGCAUACUUAACUACAGCAAGAGAGAUUACAAAAAGACAUACAAAGCCAUCUUCAGAUAUAUCAAUAAGUUGAUAGUCCGUGCGAGUGACACGACGGACCUGAAAAAUUAAACACAAUUGUCAAACACCACAUUAGGUUGUCGGAUACUGUGUCUCUAAGAAAGUUAAAAUUAAAAAGAGGAUACAUCAGAGUUAUGGGAUGAAGGCACAAUAUCAUCAAGCUUCUCGGAGUUGAAGAUAUCAAUCCCAACAAAGUGGCACUUGGCAUGACCGUGCUUGCCAGUUUUAGAUGUUGAGAUAUCAAAAACCUAUGAGUCCAAAAAGGCAAAUUAAAUUGAAGGCAAGUUCAAUCUUAAAAAAAUAUAAAUAACAACAAUAUUCACCAGAGUCAUUAAUAUUUUUAGGACAACAUAUUCAUCUUCAGAAAUUGCAUUUCAACAGUAAGCAUAGCAUUUUCCAUAAGUUAUAUAUGGACACAAAGCUUACAGAACAAAACUACCAUAACAAUGAAAUCAGAAAAAGCAAAGAAAACUCUGCUGAAUUACACGUCAUCUCAUAGUGGCGCUCCACAAAGUAAACAAAUAACAUAUGUUACAUCUUCCCUAGGUAAUGUGUAACAAGAGUAUCCCCCUGGAUUCUGACUUGCUUUAACUGAAUUCAAUUUGUUGCUUACUAAAAAACCAAAUGGAAGUUGGCAGUCUUCUGCAAGUAUAUUAACAUGUAAGUUCAAAGUUAUUGUUAUGGAAAAUAAGAAUUAAGAUCAACUAAUUUUACUUGAGCCCUCAACUAUGAUGCCAAACACAUCAUCCUAUUUGGUACAUUGAGGAGCUAGGAUCAGGUGAAACUGCAGCUAGGAAUCCAUGGUAUGAUGAAUGGAUUAGUGACUAUAAGCGGAAAGAAAGGGACCAUGUGCACUAAUCUGCUUUCAUACACAUCUACACUAAAGAAUAAUGAGAAGAUAGAAAAGAAAAAGAGUGCAAGUAGGCAUAAGGCUUGGAACCGAGGAUCUAAGAUAAGGAAGCAAAAAACACCUUCCCACUAAGCUAGAUGAUAAUUGCAGCCGAAAUUUCAAAAAUCCCAUGUGUUGCCUACAAUAUAUAAAUAUUGCUUUCGCUUUCUGGCACUUUGCAAACACAUGAUCAUAUUCUCCAUGAUACCGCUGACCUAUUAAUGACUUAUUCAUGGAAAAUUAGAUUCAAGUGCAUUUCUAACGUCAAUGUUAAAACUAUUUUUGUUGUGUAAGAUUAUACCGUUAGGUCAUUUUGUAAUAUAAAUUUGGCCACUGUGAAAUCCAUCAAGCCGACCUGCGCAAAAAUUUCGACGCCGUAAUCAUUAAUGGUGAUGGAAGGGUAAUAACAGUAAGGGGAAAAUAGAAAUGUUGGAAUUAAUUUCUAUCUUCAUAUACAUCAUGUUCAGUUGGUGUGUGGCUAAGGUAAAAUAAUAAAAAUCCCUUAAUGUGGACAUCAAAUUCUAGGAUCAAUCUUCAUAUAAAUGUGAUCAGGUCAAUAAAUCUAGUCUAUCUUACUAAUCUAUGAGCUAGCAAGUUCAUGUAAGUCACCCUGAUUUUACUGGACUAAAGAAGCCCUGUCAGCAUUAAUCUAGCACGACUAGCAGUUAUUCUUAUGUCCAAUUCAUUGCCAUCCCUAUGGAAAAACAUAUUUUGAUCUUUCUGUUACAUAGCCUCUAGUACUAGUACUAUAUAAAUACUAAUUUGUCUACUACGGGUACUACAACUCAUGAACUCUGAAAGCACUUCACUUUACUAACUUUCCGAUUUCCAUUAGUCAAUCUCCAUAAUGAUUCUUCAACAAUAAUUUCUCAUAGUCGCAGCCAAUUCCAUAUAGCACAGCCAAUGCUAACAAAAGACUUCAACUAAGAAAUUAAUGUCUAUCCUUCAUCUAGCUAGUCUCCUCAAGAUUUGCUAUUAAAAAGUCAGUGCAUGACCAUGUUCUACUGCUAGUGAUUAUUACGUAGCUGGUAAAAAAAUGUACAAAACUUAUUUGACCUAUGAGCCAUUUUGAGUUGACUACCAAUCUUUCAAAAUUUUGAUUUUACCAACAUUUCAAUUUGUUUGAUUUUACUAAACUUGGAAAGACAAUCAACGCAUUUGAAUUUUGAAAUCAAAGUACCAUUGACUAACUCAAAUUAAACAAAUUAAAAUAUUGGCCGGUAAAAUCAAAAUUUUGAAAGGUUGGAUAAACUCAAAAUAGUUCAUAGUUUAGGUAAGUUCUGUACGUUUUUACCUAGCAUAGUUUGAUGUCCUUCUUGCACGAAACCAAGAUAAAUCUUUAACUUGAUUCUCCAUAUUCCCAAUAACUUUGCCUCAAAAUAUUAGUUAAAAAUCAGAAAAGAAAAAUGAGGCCUAAAUUAAAUUGCAACACCGUAAAAGUUCAUAAUAUGCUUGCUUAAACCAAAAACCGCCUCCGCCAUAUUUUGAACUAUCAAUCUCAAGAGUAAUCUUUAUGAUCUACUUCUCGUGAUUAUUACACCACUCUAACAACAACAUCAACAACAAAACAUCCAAUUUCUCAAGCUAAGAUUUAAAUCUCAUCCAUUACACACAAAAUUGUGAUUACGCAACCAAUCAAAAACAUCAAAUUUUCGGCAUCUAACAACACCGAAUCAUGAGCUCAAAUCAACUGAAUCAAAAACUGGGGGCUAGGGUUUGAGGACGGGAACCUUGCAGGGUCGGCCCUUUGACGAUGUACCCGUUCUUGCGGAUCGCCCCCGCUUGUUGAGGGUACGUCUUCGAGGCGCCCGCGUCGGCCUUCGACUCGAAUUGGUGUUCCUCGUCCAUUGUUGAGCGAUGAAGGGAAUCGAGGAGGAGGAGGAGCAAUGGAGAAGCGAGAGGAGAGGAGGGCUGGCAAAUGAGCGAGCCGGCUCGCGUUCGACUCGUGUUCGACUCGAUACUUGGCUCGCUCGAGCUCGAAUCGAAAUUAAAUAAGCCGAGCUUGAACAAAGAAAAAGGCUUGAAAUUUAUUUCAAGCCAAGUUUGAGUAUUACUCGGCUCGUUCGAAUUAGGCUCGAAAAGCUCGAAUAUAUAUAUAUAUAUAUAUAUAUAUAUAUAUAUAUAGUAGAGCUACUAUNNNNNNNNNNNNNNNNNNNNNNNNNNNNNNNNNNNNNNNNNNNNNNNNNNNNNNNNNNNNNNNNNNNNNNNNNNNNNNNNNNNNNNNNNNNNNNNNNNNNNNNNNNNNNNNNNNNNNNNNNNNNNNNNNNNNNNNNNNNNNNNNNNNNNNNNNNNNNNNNNNNNNNNNNNNNNNNNNNNNNNNNNNNNNNNNNNNNNNNNNNNNNNNNNNNNNNNNNNNNNNNNNNNNNNNNNNNNNNNNNNNNNNNNNNNNNNNNNNNNNNNNNNNNNNNNNNNNNNNNNNNNNNNNNNNNNNNNNNNNNNNNNNNNNNNNNNNNNNNNNNNNNNNNNNNNNNNNNNNNNNNNNNNNNNNNNNNNNNNNNNNNNNNNNNNNNNNNNNNNNNNNNNNNNNNNNNNNNNNNNNNNNNNNNNNNNNNNNNNNNNNNNNNNNNNNNNNNNNNNNNNNNNNNNNNNNNNNNNNNNNNNNNNNNNNNNNNNNNNNNNNNNNNNNNNNNNNNNNNNNNNNNNNNNNNNNNNNNNNNNNNNNNNNNNNNNNNNNNNNNNNNNNNNNNNNNNNNNNNNNNNNNNNNNNNNNNNNNNNNNNNNNNNNNNNNNNNNNNNNNNNNNNNNNNNNNNNNNNNNNNNNNNNNNNNNNNNNNNNNNNNNNNNNNNNNNNNNNNNNNNNNNNNNNNNNNNNNNNNNNNNNNNNNNNNNNNNNNNNNNNNNNNNNNNNNNNNNNNNNNNNNNNNNNNNNNNNNNNNNCUCGAAUUAAUUUCAAUCCAAGCUUGAGCUUAAAUUUAGGCUCGAAAUUAAUUUCAAGCCGAAUUUGAGCCGAGGUAAGCUCGCUCGAGCUCGGCUCGUUUCCACCCCUAGAGGAGAGUGGGAGAGGGGAGGAUUAUAGAGUGAGCUAGGGUUUCUUUCCCGUUUGGAGGACGAUCGAGCUCCACCGUUGGAUGGUGGGACACAUGAUCAUGAUCUACGGUUAGAGAUGAUAUACGAUUAAUUUGAAAUUAUUCGAACGCUUGAACCCGCUCACUUAAAUCCCUUUUAUAUAAAAUUUUAGAUAUUUUGAUAAAUUAAAAUUAACAUUUAAAAAUUUUAAAAAUUUUACAAUUAUAAAUUGAAAUUUAAAUAUUUAAUUUGAAUUGAUAAUUUUUAAAACAUAAAACUAUAGCACAUAGAAUUCAUUUUGAAAAUUAAAAAUAAAAUUUCAAUUCAACAUUAGAAUUACGCCUUUGAGUUAAAAAUUCGAAAACAGAGCACAGUUGAAAUUUAUAUUCGAUUCAAAACUCAAAGCAAAAAUUUAGUCCAAAAUUUGAACUUUAAUUAAAAGAAUCGUAAUUCAAAGUUUGAAUUUUUAAUUUGUCUUAAAAUUUAAAUUUUAAUUAUGCAUAUUAGUCCAUUUUGUUUAAGAGAUAAUUAUAAAAUUUUGUACAUAUUGUAUUACUAUUAGUCAUUAAAAUAUUUAAGUUAAAAGUCGUACAAACCGCACCCAAGUUUUAACAAAUUUUGAAGUGAUUGUAUGAGCUUUACUAAUUUUGUUUACCAUCUAAUUUUUACAUUUCUUAUAAUUGAAAGAAACUUACAAAUAUUUUACUAAAUAAUAUCAUAUUAUAUUAUUAUUAGAAUUAUUCUUAUUCGCAUCAGGAAAAAAAAAAACUUUUUUUCUUUUUUUUUCUGUCCUUUUCUUUUUUUUGACUUUUUUUUAUUAAAAAAUUACUAAUUUUGAGAUUUUGUAAAAGUGGGUCAUUAUUUUAAAUAUUGGUCAAAAUAUUCUUAUUCCUUUUUUCUCUUUUUUUUUUUUAUCUCGUUCUUUCUUUUUUCUCUCCAACAUUAUCGCUUCUUCCACCGUUUUCAUAGCUCUCGAUGACGAUAACGAAAACAGUGCCGCCUUUUCUUCCUCCACUCCGGCUCCAUCGUCGCUGGCAUUGAGGCAGUGCUCGUUGUUAUUCGUGAGGGUGAAGAUAANAACAAAUUUUGAAGUGAUUGUAUGAGCUUUACUAAUUUUGUUUACCAUCUAAUUUUUACAUUAAAGGAAAUUGUUUUAGCAUCUUGUCCCCAAAUAAAGAUAAUAUCAUAUUAUAUUAUUAUUAGAAUUAUUCUUAUUCGCACAGGAAAAAAAAAAACUUUUUUUCUUUUCUUUUCUGUCCUUUUCUUUUUUUUUGAUUUUUUCUUAUUAAAAAAUCACUAAUUUUGAGAUUUUGUAAAAGUGGGUCACUAUUUUAAAUAGGCCUUUUUGCAUAAAAAAAUCCACUUAUUUUGGGCUUUUGCAAAACCGGGUCACAUUUUUCGUUUUUGCAGAUUCGGUCCGCUUUUCCAGCAAACUGACCAAAAUACCCUUAUUACUUUUUCUCUUUCCUCUUUCUCUCUCCUCUUCGUUUCUGUCGUUCUUUUUUUUUUUUUUCNNNNNNNNNNNNNNNNNNNNNNNNNGGAGAAGGAAAGACGGGAAGGGCAGGGAAGAGCGAGAGAGGCGCCGUCGUCGGAAACUGUGGAGGAGAGUCAGAGAAGAAAAGAAAAGAAAAAUGCAAAAAAAAAAAGUCACAGCCCGGCCUUAGGGCGAUCGGAGGCGAGGAAGGUUGGGGCGCCGGCGGCGACGCCGCUCUGUCUUCGCCGCUCUCUGGGAAGAGAAAGAAAAAAACAGAACGAGAGAAAAAAAAGAAAAGAAAAAGGUAUAAGGGCACCUCCGCUCCGUCUUCGCCGCUCUCUAGGAAGAAAAAGAAAAAAGAACGAGAGAAAAAAAGAGGAGAGAGAAAGAGGAAAGAGAAAAAGGUAUAAAGGUAUUUUGGUCAGUUUGCUGAAAAAGCGGACCGAAUCUGCAAAAACUAAAAAGAUAGCCCGAUUUUGCAAAAGCCCAAAAUAAGUGGAUUUUUUAUGCAAAUUGGCCUUUUAAAUAUUGGUCAAAAUAUUUUUAUUUCUUUUUUCUUUUUUCUUUUUUUUUAUCUCAUUCUUUCUUUUUUCUCUCCAACAUUAUCGCUUCUUCCACCGUUUACAUGGCUAUCGAUGACGGUAACGAGAACAAUGCCGCCUUUUCUUCCUCCACUCCGGCUCCAUCGUCGCUGGCAUUGAGGCGGUGCUCGUUGUUAUUCAUGAGGGUGAGGAUAGAAACGCACUCGUGCUUCUCCAAAGAGCGAAAGAAAAAGUAAGAGGGUAAAAGAAAAAUAAAAAAAAUAAAAAGAGAAAAAAAAAAAGAAGUGCGGUUGAGCGGGUGGGGGCUCUGGGAGCACGGAGGAGAGCGAGGAGGGAGGAAAGGAGAAGCCGCUUUGAGACAAUAUAGUAGGUCUCUGCGGCGAGAAAGCUUCGAAAAAGAGUAUAAUUUUUGUUUCAAAUAGUAUAAUUUUCGUCUCAAAUAGUGUAAUAUUCGUCUCAAACAGUAUAAUUUUUUUAAAAUAGUGCAGCUUUAUUUGAACAUAGCGACUUCAUCUUCUUUUUCCUCCUUUUCUGAUUUUUGAUUUUUUCUGUAGCAACAACGAUAUAUUUUCUUUCAAGAAGAAAAUUAAUAUUUUUUAUUUUUUAUUUUUUAUUUAUCCUCUAUCUUUUUUCGCUUCUUGGGGAAACGAGGGUGUGUCUUCGUCCUCAUUCUCAUCCUCACGGGCGACAAAGACACUGCUUCGGCCACGAUCCGACAUCGGUGGAGGUGGAGGAAAAGAAGGCGCCCGAAUUUAUAAAAAUUCAAAAUAAUCGUCCACUUUUACAAAAUAUCAAAACUAAUAGUUUUUUAAAAUACAAAUUGGCCUUUUUUUUCUCUCUCCUAUUAACUCAGUUCGAAGAAAAUAUUAAGACAUAACAAAUAUAAAACGACAAUAUAUUUGAGCUAUAGGAUGAUAAAAUAGAAACGCGCUAAUAUCCAUGGAGACAUAGCGAAGUUUACUCUCUUUUUAAACCCAACCAAGUACAGCAAAUUGAAAAUAAUUAAGCUGGGCCAUGGUGGAUCAAUACUUGAUUUUCUAGGCCUAAUUUUUCAAUACAUGACUGUACUUACUGGAUUGGGUCGCAUUUGAACUACAUAAAAUUUUGGGUUAUAUCAGCAAAAUCAGGUUCGUCCUUUUUUUUAUUUAUAUANCUACAUAAAAUUUUGGGUUAUAUCAGCAAAAUCAGGUUCGUCCUUUUUUUUAUUUAUAUAUAAUUUUUUGAAUACUCUUUUGAAAUAACAAUUCUUUCCUGGCGUGACGAAAAAAUUAUUAGGUAUUUUUCAAAUCCAAACGUUUGGUAUCCUACGAAUUAGUGAAUAGUGUAAUUUCAUAAUUGUCCCUCCAUAGCUCAAAAUAUCAUCAACGCCCUCAUAAAUAUUAAAAUAUUCUGAAAUGCUACUAGAAAAAAUUCAUUCAAAUUUAAUAUGUUAGUUCUAAAAUUUAUUGUUACCCUAAAUACAACUAAAAAUUUAGUAAGCUUAUCACCAGGAAAGCAAUUUUUAUAAUUUUAACAAUUUUUAGGAAAAAAAGCUAACCAAAUAAAAGUGAUAAUUCAUGCUAUAAGUUGCAAGUAAAUUUAAAAUUUUUAUUCUAAACACACAAAAAAAAAAAAAAUCCAAAAAUAGCAUGUAGGGAAGCAAAUCUCUUACAAAUUUUUAUCACAAUUAAUCCGCGCUGUUUUAUAUAGGCGGUGCGAAAUCCAGCUAAAAUCCAGCAACGAGAUCAAUCCCGCGCCAAGGAUUCCAUACGCAUGGGUUUGCACCCAAUUCAAAUCUGGAUCUGAAUAUAAGAUCAUUAUCAUUAUUUAGAGUAGUUGAAUUGGAUCUUCAAUUACUAUGACAUGUUGAGAAAAUAAAAUUUGCGACUAUUCUAAGCCAAAAAUAAUAAAAAAAAUAACUUAAGGCUCACAACAAUAUGAAAUUUAUAUAUUAGACUUUCUAGUACGACGACCACUACAACAGAAUUAGGUUAUAGGGACACAUGUUUAGGACACUUUUGAGUAAGUGUCUCAUUUAUGCUAAAAUUUAAAAAAAACAUCUACUAAUGCCUAAAUAUAAAGCCCAAUCCAACCAAAAAUAAAAGAUUACUCUACUCAACCCACCACACCCAGUCUAUUUCGCCCGAUUACAAACAGAGAAGAAAAAAAAAAAGAAAAAUCAAUUACCAUCUUUUCUUCUCUCUUCACUCAAUUCACUGAAAUUCCAGACGAAAAGCCUUUCUUGUCGUCCUCCUCCGCCACCGCAGCCAACGAGAUAGAAUUUCGACGGUUGCUAAAUAUUUAAAUAACUUUUGGUAAAUUAGCAGCACUCUUUUAGUUUAUAGCGACACUCUUUAACUGUCACUAUAUACCUAGCGACCCCACAUAUAGCAACACUUUUUAAAAGUGUCGGUAAUUUUAGCUAGCAGCACUUUUUUGACAUGUACCUAUAUUUAAAAGUGUCGCUAUAGACCGUUUUUGUUGUAGUGGACCUCCUUAAUUUUAUUGAUAUCGACAUGGAAACUUCUUUUUGUUUUAUUUAGACUUUCUUAAUUUUCUUUUUAUGUUUUAUACUUAGUUAAGUUAAAAAUUUUAUCAAACGAUCAUAAGAUUUAUGAUAAAUUAUUAUCUUUCGAGAGAUAUUAGUGGCAUUUUANNNNNNNNNNNNNNNNNNNNNNNNNNNNNNNNNNNNNNNNNNNNNNNNNNNNNNNNNNNNNNNNNNNNNNNNNNNNNNNNNNNNNNNNNNNNNNNNNNNNNNNNNNNNNNNNNNNNNNNNNNNNNNNNNNNNNNNNNNNNNNNNNNNNNNNNNNNNNNNNNNNNNNNNNNNNNNNNNNNNNNNNNNNNNNNNNNNNNNNNNNNNNNNNNNNNNNNNNNNNNNNNNNNNNNNNNNNNNNNNNNNNNNNNNNNNNNNNNNNNNNNNNNNNNNNNNNNNNNNNNNNNNNNNNNNNNNNNNNNNNNNNNNNNNNNNNNNNNNNNNNNNNNNNNNNNNNNNNNNNNNNNNNNNNNNNNNNNNNNNNNNNNNNNNNNNNNNNNNNNNNNNNNNNNNNNNNNNNNNNNNNNNNNNNNNNNNNNNNNNNNNNNNNNNNNNNNNNNNNNNNNNNNNNNNNNNNNNNNNNNNNNNNNNNNNNNNNNNNNNNNNNNNNNNNNNNNNNNNNNNNNNNNNNNNNNNNNNNNNNNNNNNNNNNNNNNNNNNNNNNNNNNNNNNNNNNNNNNNNNNNNNNNNNNNNNNNNNNNNNNNNNNNNNNNNNNNNNNNNNNNNNNNNNNNNNNNNNNNNNNNNNNNNNNNNNNNNNNNNNNNNNNNNNNNNNNNNNNNNNNNNNNNNNNNNNNNNNNNNNNNNNNNNNNNNNNNNNNNNNNNNNNNNNNNNNNNNNNNNNNNNNNNNNNNNNNNNNNNNNNNNNNNNNNNNNNNNNNNNNNNNNNNNNNNNNNNNNNNNNNNNNNNNNNNNNNNNNNNNNNNNNNNNNNNNNNNNNNNNNNNNNNNNNNNNNNNNNNNNNNNNNNNNNNNNNNNNNNNNNNNNNNNNNNNNNNNNNNNNNNNNNNNNNNNNNNNNNNNNNNNNNNNNNNNNNNNNNNNNNNNNNNNNNNNNNNNNNNNNNNNNNNNNNNNNNNNNNNNNNNNNNNNNNNNNNNNNNNNNNNNNNNNNNNNNNNNNNNNNNNNNNNNNNNNNNNNNNNNNNNNNNNNNNNNNNNNNNNNNNNNNNNNNNNNNNNNNNNNNNNNNNNNNNNNNNNNNNNNNNNNNNNNNNNNNNNNNNNNNNNNNNNNNNNNNNNNNNNNNNNNNNNNNNNNNNNNNNNNNNNNNNNNNNNNNNNNNNNNNNNNNNNNNNNNNNNNNNNNNNNNNNNNNNNNNNNNNNNNNNNNNNNNNNNNNNNNNNNNNNNNNNNNNNNNNNNNNNNNNNNNNNNNNNNNNNNNNNNNNNNNNNNNNNNNNNNNNNNNNNNNNNNNNNNNNNNNNNNNNNNNNNNNNNNNNNNNNNNNNNNNNNNNNNNNNNNNNNNNNUUUAUACUAUAUAAAACAAGAUCAAUAUCUUUGAUUUAAAAUUUUAAUGUCAUAUUAUUACAUUUUGUAAGAUUUUUAUUUUCAGCCGUUGAUUUUGAGCCCCUUCGUUCACUAGGCAAAUGAUAUCGUAAAAUUAUAAAAUUUAUUUUCUAGGUACUUCAAAUACUCUAGAUCAAGUUUAACGGAGCCGAUCGACGAUUCGAAAAUCGCAACAUCGAAAACGAGCUGGAAGCACGGAAGGCUCCAUGCUUCCGAUAGCAUAGUAGCCUCACUCUAUAUAUAUAUAUAUAUAUAUAUAUAUAUAUAUAUAUAUAUAUAUAAUUUUGGAAGCAUGGUUUUUAGAGUAAACCACAAGCCGUCAUGUUGAUAAUAGUAUAGCUUAUUGUGUUCCAAUAUUAUAUAUAUAUAUAUAUAUAUAUAUAUAUAUAUAUAUAUAUAUAUAAUUUUGGAAGCAUGGUUUUCAAAAUAAACCACAAGCCAUCAUGUUGAUAAUAGUAUAGCUUAUUGUGUUCUAAUAUUAUAUAUAUAAAGCAGUUAUGAAAAGUUCUAAUAUAACUUGAUAAUAGAAUAGCUUAUUGUGUUCCAAUAUUUUAUAUAUAUAUAUAUAUAUAUAUAAAGCAGUUUUAUGAAAAAUUUGAAUAUGACUUAACAAUAAAUUACUUAAAAAUUAUAACUAAGAGUUGGUAACAAUACUCCCAUGCAUCGCAUGGGUCAAUUGCUAGUGGAUUCUAAGUUAAAAGGAUCUAUUAAAUGCAAGUUGAAUCUAGUUACUAUAAGAAGUGAUAAAUGAAUGAGAUUAAGGGAUACUUGAGAGGAUUUUGAUUUAAAAUAAACUUUACCUUCUCAAAAUAAGUGUUUGAACAAUUGAAUCAACGAUCAGCGCUAUGAUGUGUAUUAUGGUAUUUUAAAAUAUCAAAAUUAAAUAUCGCGAUUUUACGAUAUUUUUUACUUGUGCCUCCGCCCAUCUCUAAUUUGUUGAUAACAGAUAUUAUUAAUUGAAUGGCUAAUUGUGAUCGAAACUAGCUGGGAGUUAAUGAAGAAAAUACUUUUGAAUCCGUUAAUCAAAAUAAUGACUUUAAUAAUUUUUAAUAGAGAAAAAAAUACUAUUUUAACGAUCUACCCCACUAGCAACAAUAACUCGUUGGGCCCAAACCACCUACCCGAAAUGUUUAAGUACAGUUAUUAUUACUAGUGUCUAAGUCUUUUAUAUAUCCAAUCAUCCAAUGUGGGAUUAUUCGGGUGUGACAGACUUCCCUCCGUUAAGACCCUUCUAAUCAUAUCCUCAUUCCUAUCCGAUGUGAAAUUAUUGAGGUGUGACAGACUUCUCCCGUUAAGGCCCUGAUGUGCUCGUCAGUCCAAUCACACAUACAGCCGAGCAAUCUCGACCCACACCCAUUGGUGCCCGCAGGUUAUUCGCAAAUUUGCGGGUAUGGGUACCAACUUUUUCAACCCAAAAAAUUACGGAUAAAACGGAUGGAUGCCCAUUAAGCUUUGGUAUUUUGGGUAACCUGCGGGUACUCACGGGUACCCGCACAUAUAUUUUUUAAUUAUAAAAUAUAUUUGUUUAAUUAAAAUAUAUAUUUUUAUUUAUUCAUUCUAAAAAUUCUAACAAUAAUUUUUUAUCACGUGUCUUUUAUAUUAUAAAAUAUUUUUAUUUUAAGACUUUAAAUAUUUUUAUUGUAUUGAAUAAUGAGUUAUGUUACUUUCUUAAACCUUAUAUGUGUUUUACAUUAAAAAAAUAUAAGAGAAAAAAGAAAAAAAAAAAUUACGGAUAAUCCGCAUACCCACCCACCCACCCGCGGGCGGGUAUGGGUAAAGAUGUUGGCUAUCCAAAAAUUUACGGAUAAAUUUUACCCAUGCCCAAGUAACCCGCGAGUAUAAUAACCCGUCCGCGGGUUAUCCAACCUACCCGUUUGCCAGAUCUACUGAAAAUCAUCAAGCGAUGUGGGACUCGUCUCGCUAGUCUUGUCAUCCAGAACCAAUCCAAUCACACACACAGUCGAAAAUCAUCCGGCGAUGUCAAAGUCGUCUCGCUAACCUUGUCAUCCAGAUUCUGACAUAGUUGGUCACCUUAUCUUUCAGACCCUUCACUAGUCUUGUCAUUCAGACCUUGACACAGCUGGUCACCUUAUUUUUCAGACCCUGGCUCAACCGAGAAUCACUACACAUUUCCAGCUGGUGAACCAGCUCUAAUACCAAAUGUAACGAUCUAGCCCAAUAGCAAUAAUAAUUCGUUGAACCCAAACCACCUACCCAAAAUACUUAAGCUUAAUUAUUAUUACUAAUGUCUAAGUCUCUUAUAUAUCCAAUCACAUUUUCAUUUCUAUCCGAUAUGAAAUUGCUAGGGUGUAACACCUACCUUUUAAAAGCAUAUGUUUAAGUGAUGUCACAGUUUUUUGCUCUUAUGAGCAAGUGAAAAGGCAUCAAAAUUCUACAAUUUUUAAUUUUUAGUAAUCACCUAUUGAUUGAAUGUGAAAAGAAAUUAGCAUAUAACAUUUUAUACUUUUUUAUAUUAUAUAUAAUAUUUUUAUUUUGACAAUACUUUUUGAAAAGAAAAUUCUUAAGGGUAGAUUUUAAAGGGAACCAAAUCUCCAACAACACUGUGCCUAGGAUAAUUUCCUAUAAACAGAGUUCAUCUAGCCGCUGAUUUUUAGUAUAAUUAAUCUGUAUCAUGCUAUAUAAAUGGCUCGAAUUAAUUUUGCUAAAAUAUAACAAUGGGAUCAAUCCCGUGCAUAGCAAAUCAUACUCAUGGGAUCAUAUCCAAGUCGAGUUCUAAUCCGAGUUUAAAAUUAUCAUCAUUAUUUAGAACAGUUGAUUGAUAUUUUGAAUUAAUAAUAAAAAAUGUCGAAUUAAAAGUACUAACUUAAAGACUAACAACUCUAUGAUAUCUAUACAUCAGUCUUACUAGUACCACGGGAGAUAUCCAUAAUUUUAUUGAAAUCGACCUGUCAACUUCUUCUUUUUUUUUAACUAAGACUUUUUUUUUUUUUUUUUUAAGUUUUAUAUUUUAGUUAAGUUAAAAAUUUUAUCCAAUAUAAUGAGUAUAUAGUUAUGUGCUAUUAAGUAAUGUAGCAUUAUUUGACAAAAAAGACUUAUUAAAGUUUUUAAAUUUGAUAAAAUUCUCAAUUUUUUUGAACAAAUUUAUUUAAUUUUUAAAAUUAAAAGUUUAGGAAUCUCAAUAAAAAUAUAUGAAUGAAUAAAUAAAAACAAAGAUACAAAUUAAUAAAGGGGGUCAUUUAAAAGUGGCGUAUAGUGAGGGGUUUGAUCACCAAAAUCUUGCUUGUGUUUUGAGAAAAACUAUGUUGCAAUUAAAUAUCAAGAUUUAAAGUACUUCUUUGUCUUUUUAAAUAAAAUUGCUUGUGAAUUCCAAAAGGAGGGGAAUAGAUCUUAUACUCUCUCAUUUUAAAGUUUACAAAAAUUCAAAUGAAAUUCAAAAUAACAAAAAAAAAAAAACUAGAAGAAGUAUAAAAUAUACACUCCACUUUAGGGUGUAUGUAUAUUGUGUUGCUAAAAAAAAAAGUAAUUUCAAAUUUCUCUCUAUAGUUUAGCUUAUUUUUACUUUUCCAUCCCGUGUUUUAAAAAAUUUAUGACAUUUUUUGUUGUUUAAUUUUUAUUUUACUAAAAAUUUUUAUAUAAAAUAGGAUUGUAAAAGUUUAAAAAAAAUGACAAAGUGAUAAAGUGAAAAAUACGCAAAACCACAGAGAGACAAAGUAUAACUUUUUGAACCACAAGAUAACAAGUGAAAAUGAGUUAAAUCAUAAGAGGGACAAAAUAAAAACUUUUGAACCACAGAAUAACAAAUUAAAAAUGAUCAGCUAACAAAAAAAAAAAAGUUUUUUUCUUUUUUUGAGAGAUAGGUAACACGCUACCCGCUUCGUUUAUUUCAUUUAGAAAUAAAUUUAACUGGAGGUGUGAAUCAAUUAGGAUUCGAACUUGGGUCUCGGAUACCGACCUUUAAGUCCUUUGCCACUUGCUCUAGGGACGGUCGGUCAAAAAAAAAAAAAAAAGUUGGUGAAAGGAAUCCUAGAUUCCCUAGUCCUUUCCGUUCACACAUGUAAUUAGGUGGGAGUUAAUGAGUUUUCCAUGAUUGAUUUAAAUGUUUAAACAUUUUCCUUUUUCACUCAUUGUUGCUUUUGUUAGGAAGGAAUAUAUUUAAUAAUAAACUCAAAUAACUUGAGAUAGUUGAACUAAUUAAUUGGAUGAAAAUGAUGAUCAUAAUAUUCUCAGCCCUCAUCAUUAAUUAUCAAAUGUCUUUCAUCUCCGUCAAGUCAUAGUAUGCGCGUCAAUUGGUUUAAUUGAUUCUAUCAUCGUCUGUUUUCGUACGUAAGUAUCUUAAUUCGGUUGAUUUAUUCAAAAGACGCAUCUACAGACAACAAAUGAAAUAUGUUAAUAAGAUACAAUCUAAGAACUUUUAAUAAUUAUAUUCAUAUUAGUACGUUCUUAAUAUACUUUGUGGACUAGUCUUCCAUAUUUAGUGAUAUGGAAAAUAAAUUAUUAUAAAUUUAAUUGCGGAUCCAUCCCCCACCAAACACCACAAAGGAAUAUUUAAUUACAUGUUUAAUCACAUGUACCCUAUGGUAUUUGAAUGUUUUUUCAAAUAUGUUUUUUCAUUCUUUGGUAGGUGUUUUUUCAUUCUUUUUUAAUAUUUGAUGAAUAAUCAUGCAUGUACGUAGUUGAUUAAUUAGGAUUAUGGUGGUAUCAUAUUAUUCUUGAAUAUAUGAAUACUUGUUCAAAUUAAGUAGUUAAAUAAUAAGCUAAUGAGAUUAAGUAAAAUGUAAGAAAAGAAAAAAGAAAAAAUAAAUUAGCCAAUCAGUUUCCUUGCAAAAGGAGUGGUUUCUAUUAUGCAUGGAAUGAGUGCUUCAAAGAUAUUAUUUUUUUAUUUUUUUUUCUUUUGACCUUUAAUGAGUCAUUAAUUAAGUCUUUUAACAUUGUCAAAGAGUUUCUUUAUAUACUGUACUGUUUUAAAAAAUGUAUAAAUAUUUUCAAAUAGUACUUCUACAAAUGGUGGUACAAGGUGAGGAUAGUUGUAUGAUAAUGAUUUUGACCAAAUUUUUUUUUCUCUAAUAAUUAAUCUUAGAUCUCUUAAACAUUGCAAUAUCUAACAUGUCAUGUCAUGACUUUAAUAACAUAUCAAACAUUUUUAUUUAACUACCGCUUAGGGAUGUUUGGUUCGGCAUAUUUGUAAAUACAAUGUAGUUAAAAUUAAAUACGUUGUAGGGAGUACUACAGCUAUAAAUACUUUAUUUAAUUACAUGCGUAGGGGGAAAAAACUUUAUUUAUAAAUACUUUAUUUAAAAUUAAAUGCGUUUUCAAUGAAUGAAGCAGGUAGCAUGCAAUCUAUUCCUCAAAAAAAAAAAAAAAUUACAUGCGAUUAAUUAAGAAGUGCAUCUACGAAAUUCAAUUAUUUUCUAUAUAAGAUAGUGAGGUUAUCCCCUAUGUAGGGGGAAAAAAAAUUUAAAACGUUAUUAAGAUGGUAAACUUACCUUUAUAUUAAGAGGGUUUUUGCUUAUAUACUCUUCACUAUUAUUGAAAAUUUUCAAAUUUAUCCCGCAAAAUGCAAAAUACUCUUUUAAAAUCCUAUCUCAUUAGUACAUUCUAGAGGGAAAAGAGAUAUUUGAGGAAAGUUUUUGAAAUAAAAAAAAAUAGUUUGAUUAUUCAAGGAUAAAUAAAAUAUUUCUGGAGUUUUGAAGAAUAUAUUAGAUAUUAUAAGUGCUAUAGUUGGAACUACUGUCAAAUUGGACAUAGUUCCAGCUGCUGUAGUUGAUGAGCCUUCUUAUGUAGUUAUAACUGUAAUAGUUCAGUUCAAAUGUAUCAAAAUAAAUAUUAAAUUUGAAUUAACAUGCACUUAAACUAUAGUGCAAUUGUAAAUACAUGCAACCAAAUAGCUCUUUAUUAGAGUAGUUGAUAACCAAUUUAUUCUUUGGGCAACGAACACCGAUAUUUUAGAAAAGAGAUGUUUUUAAUCACAUAGCAAAUUCCUCCCAAAUCACUUAAUUGGACUGGGGAUAAGAAACAAGGAUGAGACAAAUUGAAACAACAAUUCUAUAUUUUAAUACAUAUCAUUCUUUGAUAGGUGUAUUUUUUUCAUUCUUUGUUAAUAUAUAAUGAAUAACCAUAUAGUUGAUUAAUUAGGAUCUUGAUUUUAUCAUAUUAUAUUAUAUUAAUUUUUGAAUGGUUGUUUAAAUUGAGUAGUUAGAUAAUAAGCAAAUGAGGAUAAAUUAAAUGUAAGAAAAGAAAAAGAUUAUUUCCCUAUAAAAAGUGUGAUAGAUCAUCUAUUACGCAUGCAAUAUUGUGUACUCCUAAACUUUUUCUUUUUGUUCUUUAAUGAGUCAUCCAUUCUAUUAACAUUAAUUGUCAAAAAGUUGCUUAUGUACCAAUUUAAAAUAUAUAAACAUGUUUUAAAAUGUAGUACUUUGAUUUACAUAUAGUGCUAUGAGAUGAGGGUACUUGUAUUAUAAUUAAUUUUUAACUAAAAAUAUGACUUUAAUAAGCUUAGAUUUGUUGAACAUUGCAAUCUCUAACAUGUAAUGACUUUAAUUGAUAACAUACCAAAUAUUUUCGUAUCACCGGCGCAUAUAGCAUGUUUAUUUAUUUCUAAACUAAGAUUGUUAAUUAUUUGAUGAUGCAAAUUAACAACAAACAUUCCUCACCAAAUACUGCAUAAAAUCAAAAAACACAUCCUAAAGGGAAUAAACGAACUUCAAAUUAAGUGUAUCUCCUUUUGCAUAAUUAGAGUAACAUAAUUGAGUAUUAUUGUAAUCCCCAGUGGUUAUUAGUUACAAUUUUGUGUUAUUUGAAUAUUUAGGACAUGGGUGCAAUAAACUUUUCGGUGUACAAUUCAUAGCAUUCUAUUCAUUUCGAGUCUUAAUAUAUCAUUAAUUGUAUGAAACGAUUGGAUUAACAUUCCGUACGUUUUUAUAAUGAGAUAAUGAUUUGCUAAUAAUGAGAUAAUGAUGAUAGGGAGUGAUGGCUAAGACCAACAAAUAAAAUUAUAGAAGAAAAGUUUGUUUUGAACUUCAACAUCCCAAAAGUUAUUGAAUUGAUUCAUACGUGCACUUCAUAAACAUUGCUAAAGUAGCAGAUGCAUUCAAAUUAAAGCGUUAUUUAUGAAGUACAGCUACAGGUCUCCAAAAGAGUUGUUAUAGCUAGCGGAUUAUCGAUUUAUUUGCAUUUCUAGUACUGGUAAUAUCAUUGAUUAAUUCAUAUGUAUAGUUUGAUACGUUAUCAUUGGCAUUAAAAUUCGCAACAUGAGCCAAGCUCCAACACGAAAGAUUAUAACUUAGUGUUGCUGGAAGAAUCUAUGCCGAUAUAUAUAUUUUUUAAUUCACUUGGUGUAAAAGUGCUUCCCAUAUCUAGUGAUGAAAUAUUUUGAUUCAAUUAUCUAAUUUUUUUUAAAUUUUAAUAUUAUUAUUUAAUUUUUAAUUUAUUUAAUUCUAGCUACUUGCUAGCUUACUUUGAUAAUGUGAUUUGCAUAAAAUACAUUUAUUAAACUCAUACAAAUUAAUAAUUAAAAUAAAAAAAAAUCUAAAUAUUAAACAGUCCGAACAAAAUAGAUGAUAGUAAAAAUAGAAACUAUAUAUAUUUACAUGAUAUAUAUAUAUAUAUAUAUAUAUAUAUAUAGAGUCCGGCCGGGGUACUAUCGAUAGCACCAAAAAUUUGGUGUUAUCGAGUUUUCCACCGUUAGAUUUAACUUUUUGAUUAUUUUUACCCGUUAGAUUAUACUAUUUAACCAACUACCCACUCAACCCUAGGGGGCCCACAUUAUCCUAACCGUACAUUUCUCAAUCCAAGAGCUAAAAAACUAAUAGCAUUACUAGCUUGGUGCUAUUAAUAGUAUUCCGGCCUAGUUCUAUAUAUAGAGUCCUGCUGGGAUACUAUCGAUAGCAGUAAGAAUUUCGUGCUAUCGAGUUUUCCACCGUAAGAUUUAACUCUUUGAUUAUUUUUACCCGUUAGAUUAUACUAUUUAACCAACUACCCACUCAACCAUAGGGGGCCCACAUUAUCCUAACCGCACAUUUCUCAAUCCAAGGGCUAAAAAACUAAUAGUACUAAUAGGUUGGUGCUAUUAAUAGUAUUUCGACCUAGUUCUAUAUAUACAGUCCAGCUGGAAUACUAUCAAUAGCACCAAAAAUUUCGUGCUAUCGAGUUUUCUAUACUUUUAUAAUUAUUGGUCUCUUUGUACUCAUAAAUUUUUAACUGUGGGAUGAAAGGAUGUGUUGUUAGGAUGAUAGUGUUUCCCAGUUAGAAUGAUAGUGGUCUCCGAGGGUUAAGUGAGUGGUUGGUCGAAUAGUAUAAUCUAACGAGUGGAAAUGAUUAAUAGGGUAGAUCUAACGGGCGAAAAUUUAUGAGUAUAAAGCGAAUUAUAUUUAUAAAAAUAUAGGAGUGAGGCUACUAUGCUUCUAAAAGCACGGAGCCUUUCGUGCUUCCAGGUCGUUUUUGAUGUUGCGACUUUCGAAUCGUCGAUCGGCUCCGUUAAACUUGAUCUAGAGUAUUUGAAGUACCUAGAAAAUAAAUUUUGCAAUUUUUCGAUAUCAUUUGCUUAAUGUACUAGGGGCUCAAAAUCAACGACUGAAAAUAAAAAUAAUGCAAAUCAAAGAUACUAAUUAAAUAGUCAUUAUCAAUACAUGAGAUAUAUGUGACCUCGUGAAGCUUUAACACCUGGGAAAAACAUAAUGCAAAUCAAAGAUAAAUUUACAAUCUAUAUCUAAAUCCUGGUCUCUUAUUUUCAUUCUUAAGAAGAGAAAAAUCAAAUUAUUUUAUAUUUUAAAGCUUAGUAAGGUAAUCUAUAAAAAAUGUCCUUAGUACAACUAUUUAAUUAGCAAUUUCGCUUAAGGAGAGGGACCAAUUGAACAAUUUGAUAAAGUUGGAGUCUUUAAUUAGCAAAAUUAAUAGUUCGCAGACCCAUUUAACAAAGAUGUAAAGCUUAGCUGCAUUUGCAUAUUUAUUCCAAUUUUUCUAAGAUUGAAUGCAUUAAAACUAUCCAAAUAUUCGCUCAUUCACAAACAGCCGCUUGAACUUUCAAAAUAUUAUAUUUACUACUCAAAUAUUAAUUUUUUUUGCAGUUAGCCACCUAUAUCUAUAUUUUAUCAAUUUAAAGUGAUUAAAUGAUAAUUGGUCAAGGUAUAAUAAAGUGAAUCCGGCUGCGAUACUAUUAAUAGCACCAAACGUUUGGCACUACUGAGUUUUUCGCUGUUAGAUUUAACCUUUUGAUUAUUUUUAUCAAUUAAAUUAUACUAUUCAAUCAAUAACUUACUCAACCCUAUGGUGCCCACAUUAUUGUAACAGUACAUUUCUUUCAUCUAAGGGCCGAAAAUCUAAUAACAUCAAUAGUUUGGUGCUAUUGAUAGCAUUUCAGUCUAGUUCUAAUAAAAAUUGUUGUUAGUAUUACUGACGAGUGCUCUAAAUAAAGAUUACUUUUCAUAGUAUUUGAGCUCAACCCCCCCUUCUCUCUCUCUCUCUCUCUCUCUCUCUCUCUCUCUCUCUCUCUCUCUCUAUAUAUAUAUAUAUAUAUAUAUAUAUAGUAUAGAGUUACUAUGCUAUCGGAAGUAUAAAGCAGUUGAUGCUUUCGAUUUUUUAGCUCUUGGAUCAAAAAUUCAACAGUUGAGAUAAGAGCGGUCCCCUUAGGGUUGAAUGGUCUCUUGAGGAUUGAAUGACCCUCAUUGAUUAAUAAUAUUAAUUCAAUGGUUAGAAAUUUAUAUUUAUAUUAUAUAUAAGAUAUAUAUAGAAAGGUAGGAUUGCUCUUUUCAAUCCCAAACCACAAAGUCCGGAAUUUCUCUGGAUUGGCUUGUCUGACACCCAACCNUCACUUUGCAUUGUGGCGGGGCCCGCCGGCAGCCCCGUGCAACCUUUUCUUGCCGCAAAGUUGGGGAGGCCAACCGGCUGUGGUUGGUAAGGCUAAAUUGCGUGUUUCGUCCUCAAAUUAUGCGGGUGAUAUCAGUUGGUCCUCAAGUUUUAAUUUGUUAUAGUUAUCGACUCGAAUUUGAGGGUUUAAAACUUUUUAAUAAACUUAUGGCUUGAAAUUGAAUUAAAUAAAAGGAAAACCAAUUAUGCUAGAAAACUAGCAUGACUCGAAUUUCAAACAUCCUACUUUGAUACUGUGUUAAAUUAUGUAUAACAACUGUUUUGUUCUAAAAAUUUAAAUGAUAUUUUUAUAUUUUUAUAUUUUAAUUGUUUAAAUAUUAAUGAAUCAAUGAUAGGAAAGUAAAUUAGCAUCGUAAUUAUUGACGCAUUGUGAGACCCCAAAUAGUCUUAUAUAUAAGAUAUAAUAGGGCUAAACUCUUAAUCCGGCUUAAACAUUUUGGGUAGUGGUAAGGCUCAGGAGGUUAAGAGAGUUAAGCGUGCUAGGACGGGAGUAGUCCUAGGAUGGGUAACCCCUGGGAAGUUGAGGCGUCACAGAUGGUAUCAGAGCCAAUUACCAGUCGGAAGUGUGAGAUGAGUCUCGGCUAAGCCAGGGUCUGGAUGACGGGCUACCGAGAUGAGUCUCACAUUGCCUGGUAUUUGUGAGUCUGAGCCUGACGAGAACGUCAGGGCUUAAAGGAGGGGAGAUUGUGAGACCCCAAAUAGUCCUAUAUAUAAGAUAUAAUAGGACUAAACUCUUAACCCGGCUUAAGCAUUUUGGGUGGUGGCAAGGCCCAAGAGAUUAAGAGAAUUAAGCGUGCUAGGACGGGAUUAGUCCUAGAAUGGGUGAUCCCUGGAAAGUUGGGGCGUCACCCGCGUCAUUUAUCAUUUAUCAUUUAUCAUCAAUACUUAAUCGGCUAAAUUAGAUUUUUAAAACUCGAAGGACCAAAAUGUCAUUUCCCUAUAGUUUGGGGACCAAAUAUGUAAUUUAUACAAAUAUAGGAUCGCUUUUCUUUUUGUUUCUCACGCGCUUCCUCUGCCCCCUCCCAAUUCUCACAAACUAUUAUUCGUUUUACCCACCUCACCUAACACUGCCACUUCUCUCACCAUUUUUUGUUGGGGGCAUAGAUGGUCCCUAGAUUAUUCUUAUCAAUUUUUUUAGUUCAACUGAAAUAUUAUUAAUAGUAGAUGAAUGAGUAAAGUUACUGUGCUUUUAAAAGUACAAAAAAAUUGGUGUUUCUGAUCAUUUAUUAUCUUCGAAUGAAUCUUAUUAUUUUAGAAGGAUCACUCAACCCUAAAGAACAUCAUUAUCAUCCCGAUCCUACAAUUCUUAAUCUAAAGGCCAAAAAGUUGAAAGUACCAACUCCCUUGUGCUUUCGAUAGUAUAGUAACUCUGCACGUAGAUAAAUAGUAUUUAUAAUUAACUUUUUUGGCCCUCGGACUCAUAUAUUAGUAUUAUGGAUAAUUGCCUAUAUAACUCUGAAAAUUUUAGAAAUAUAUAAUUUAUCCCUACUUUUUUAUUUUAAAUAUAUCCCUCACAUGUUUCUCCAUUAUUUAAAAAUACCCUCGCAAUUACCACCCGUUAAAUUAUCUCAGGUUAACUGUGAGUUAAAUAUCUAUUAAAGUUAAAAAAAUAUAAUAUAAUAUCUCUUUUGCCCUUAAUUUAAGGGCAAAUAAGAAAAGCUGUUAAUGGUAAAAGAGUAUAUUUAAAAAGACAAAAAAUCAAAAUAUUUCUUUUAUCCCUAAUUUAAAAGCAAAUAAGAAAAGUUGGUGAUAGUAUAAACGUAUAUUUUAAAGGAUAAAAUAAUAAUUUCACAGAGAUAACGGCUGUUACUAAUAGUUUACCAACAGAAUUUAACUCUAGAAGUAUAUUUGAAAUAACUUGAGAUAUUAAAAAGGUAUUUUUAAUAUUAAUCUUCUAAGAGAGUUAAAUCAGUAAGUUAAAAAUUUUUCAAAAAUAUAUAAGUAAUUGCACUUAAUAUUAUCAUCAAAUAGUAAAUCCUUAAAAUUUAGAAAGUAAAAAAAUAAAUAUCAAACACUAUUUCUCUAUUAUUAAUAGUAUUUUAACCCUCACUAUUUUUUUUUUCUUUUUUUGGUUAUAUAUCAGUACUAUUUAGGAUAGAUAGUUGGCUUACUUUUUUUCUUGGGAAAACUUCAAAAAAUUUCCUGUGGUUUCGCACUUUCUCACUUUAGUAUCCUGUGGUUUAAAGUGUAUCAAUUUGCUCUCCUGUGGUUUUAUUUUUAUCUUUUCGGCAGUUUUUUUCUUAAUAUUUUAUUAAAUUAUAUACAAAAAACUUCGGAUACACACCUAGAUUUAUCGAAUAUUUACUUUAAUACCUUUUAAUUUUAACUUUGUCACUGAUUUAAGAAAAAAGAAUAAUAAAAUUGAUAAUAAAAAGAGAAAAACAAAACAAUAGGGGGGGAAAUUGAUGCACUUUAAAAUACAGGGUACUAAAGUGAGAAAGUGCGAAACCACUGGUGGGUUUUUUUGAAGUUAUCCCUUUUUUCUUUUAUCUACAAUAAUAUUUAGUAGAACAUUUAUUUGAUGGAUAGAAAAUCUAGAGCUUCAGCGUGCAUCUGAAAGACCCUGAAGGGAGCCCAACUUCCUAGUUAGUUAGUUAGUUAAUUAGAUUAUAUAAAUAUGGAAAAACUUCAAAAAAACUCUCAUGUGGUUUCGCACUUUUUUAUUUUAGUACCCUGUGGUUUAAAGUGUAUCAAGUUAGUACCCUGUGGUUCCUCACUUUAUCACUUUAGUACCCUGUGAUUUAAAGUGUAUCAAGUUAGUACUCUGUGGUUUUAUUUUUAUAUCAAGUUAGUACCUUGUGGUUUUAUUUUUAUAUCAAGUUAGUACCCUGUGGUUUUUAAACCACAGGGUACUAAAGUGAUAAAGUGUGAAACCACAGGGUACUAAAGUGAUAAAGUGUGAAACCACAGGGUACUAACUUGAUACACUUUAAACCACAGGGUACUAAAGUGAAAAAGUGCAAAACCACAGAGUACUAACUUGAUACACUUUAAACCACAUGGUACUAAAGUGAGAAAAAGUGAAACCACAAGGGGGUAUUUGAAGUUUUUCCUAUAAAUAUUAAUCAGAUUAUAUGAGUCUAGCUACAAUACUAUUAAUAGUACCAAGCACUUAGUACUACUUAAUUUUUUGCCGUUAAAUCUACCUAUUUGACUAAUUUUCACCCGUUGGAUCAUACUAUUCAACCAACCACCAAUUCAACUCUACGGGACUAUUAUCAUCUUAACAACACAUCCCUUCAUUAGAGAGCUAAAAACUUAAUAACACCAAUGAGUUGGUGCUAUUAAUAGUAUUCAAGCAUAUAUAUCUAGAGUAGGGUUACUAUACUCUUAUGAGUAUAGAGCCCUUCGUACUCAUAAGUUGUUUUCGAUGAUGGAGUUUCUGAAUCGACGAUCCACUCCGUUAAAUAUGAUCUAGAAUAUUUGAAACUUUUAGAAAAUAAAUUUCAUAUUUUUUUGAAAUCAUAAUAAAGUUUAUCAAGCGGGUAUAAAAUAAAUGGUCAAAAUCGAACGACGUCCUAAAAAUGGAUGAUCGGAUUCUUCAAUUUAAGAUCAGAGUUAUUGAACUUUAUCUAGGUAGUGAAUAUAAUUUUCUAUCAAAAAUUCAAUCUAUUCCGAUUCUUUUACAUCGUUAAACUAGCAAGUAUCCCAUACCAGCUGUUAAAAAUUGUCAAUUUUGUUACCUUUUGAGGUAAAUGAUGUCGAAAAAUUAUAAAAUUUGAUUUCAAAAAGUUUUAAAUGCUUCUGAUAAUGUUUAACGAUAUGGAUCGUCGAUUCGGAAGCUAUAUUAUCGAAAACAACUUAUGAGUACGAGGGCGAUCGUACUCAUAAGAGUAUAGUAGCCGGACUCUAUAUAUAUAUAUAUAGAGAGAGAGAGAGAGAGAGAGAGAGAGAGUUAAGCUAGUAUGAGGUCUCCGUGCUCUCAAGCUAUUUUCAAAGAUACGGUUUCCAAAUUAACAAUCGGUCCAUUAGAUUUGAUAUACAUUAUUUAAUGUAUUUGAAAACUAAAUUUUAUAGUUUUUCGACAUUAUUUGGCUAAUGAUUAAAAAGUUUCAAAAUUGACAAUAUUAAUAGUGAAUGUGAUGCUUUUGUGAAUUUAACGGUGCAAAACAAUUCAAAUCAGACGAAGUUUUUAUAGAAUUUCUUUUUACUAUUUAGAAUAAGAUCAGUACCUCUGAUCUUAAAUUUAAGACUUUAAUUGUCAUUUUUCUAUGAGAUUUUUAUUUUAAGCCAUUCAUUUUUAGAUACUCGUUUGAUAGGAAAUUAAUGUCGAAAAAUUAUGAAAUUUAGUUCUCAAAUACUUUCAAUAGUAUAAAUCAAGUCUAACGGAGCUGAUCGUCGAUUUGGAAGCCGCAUCAUUGAAAAUAACUUGGUAACACAGAUGUCUCUCUUUCUCUCUUUCUCCCUAUAUAUAUAGAGUGAGGCUACUAUACUUCGGGAAGCACGGAGCCUUCCGUGCUUCCAGGUCGUUUUUGAUGUUGUGGCUUUCGAAUUGUUGAUCGGCUCCGUUAAACUUUAUCUAGAGUAUUUGAAGUACCUAGAAAAUAAAUUUUGCAAUUUUUCGAUAUCAUUUGCAAAGUGAACUAAGGGGCUCAAAAUCAACGGCUGAAAAUAAAAAUCUUACAAAACGUGAUAAUAUGACAAUAAAAUUUUAGAUCAAAAAUAUUGAUCUUGUUUUAUAUAGUAUAAAGAAUUUUCUAUCAAAAUUUUAUGUGAUUUGGAUAUUUCUACACCGUUAAACUUUCAAACGGCUCACCACUGCCAUUAAAAUUAUUGAUUUUGAGUCCCUUCGAUCACUAGGCAAAUGAUAUCGAAAAAUCAUAAAAUUUAUUUUCUAAGCACUUCAAAUACUCUAGAUCAAGUUUAACGGAGCCGAUCGACAAUUGAAAGUUGCAAAAAAUAAGACAUCGAAAAAGAACUGAAAUUACGAGGGCUCCGUGCUUUCAGAACAUUAGUAAGCAUACCAGAUCUCAGUGCUAAUUAUAUAUAUAUAAUGUCGUCUGGCUAUAAGCUAUCGGUAGCAUGACAGAGCUUUACGUUGCUACCAAUUUUUUCGAUGAUAGCGUGCUCCAAAAUUCGAGAUCGACUCUCGUUAAUUACUUUGAUUCUACAUUCUAUUGAAAGUGCUUUGGAAAGUAAAUUAUUCAGAAUUUUUUUUUUCGACAUCAUUUGGGCUAGUGAUCAAAAGCUUCAAACAUUGAUAAUUUAAUGGUAAAUGGAUGCUUGUAAUUAACGGUGUAAAACAAAUUCAAAUUAGAUGAAAUUUUAUAGAAAAUUCUUUUACUAAUUUAAGUAAGAUAGUGACUCUGAUCUUAAAUUUAGAUCUUCUAUUUACAUUUUUAAUGAGAUUUUUAUUUCAGCCAUCAUUUUUUAGACAAACUAGUUUUAAUAGGUAAAUGAUACCGAAAUAUUAAUAAUUUAGUUUCCAAAUAUUUCAAUAUGCAGUAAAUAUAACGGAGCCGAUCGUCGUUGGAACGGCGCAUCAAUGAAAACAAUUUGAUAGCACGAUGCGUCCGUGCUACCUUCGAUAGUAUAGCAGCUAGCGCGCGCGCUUCUUCUCUAUCCUUCUCUCUCUUCCUCCUCUUCUCAUCUCUCUCUCUUCUCUCUCUCUCUCUCGUCUCUCGUCUCUCUCAUUUCUCUCUCUCUCUCUCUAUAUAUAUUAUAAUAUAUAUAUAUAUAUAUAUAUAUAUAUAUAUAUAAAGAGAGAAAGCGAUGAGUUGAGCUGGAAUGCUAUUAGUAGCAAACGGGUUUUAUUGCCAUAUAUUUAUUUUCGAUGAUGCAGCAAUCGACACCGUUGAAUAUAAUCUAUACUAUUUGAAGUAUUUAAAAUCAAAUUUCAAAUCUUUUUGACAUCAUUGACCCAAUGAUCAAAGAUUUUUAAAAUGUAUAAUUUUAAUAAUCAAUAUGAGACAUUUUCUAGUUUAACAGAGUAAAGGUAUUCAAAUCAAUUGAAUUUUAGUUAGAAAAUUUUUUAAAUUAUUUAAAAUAAGAUAUAUACUUUUGAUCUUGAUUACAAGACUCCUAUCAUCAAUUUUUAAAAGAUAUAUUUAUUUCGAAUCAUUUAUUUUUGUGUCGACAUAAUGGAUAAGAGAAUAAUAUAAAAAAAUAUAAAAAUUAGCUUCUAAAUGUUACUGAUAACAAAGGGUGUAAGAUUUGAGGUGGUCUACGAUUUGGCACUCACAUCACAUUAUUAUAUUUCAAGCCAAUUACAAUUCUUCUUUUAAUAUCAAAAUAUCAUAGUUAUGAUAGGAUGGAUUAAUUUUAGAAAUAAAAUUUGAUUGGUUUAGGAAUAUGAAUGACAUGAUGCCGCUAUUACGUUCUAUUAUUUUUCCUGCAUUUAUACGUAUCUAGAUACAAAGUGUAUAAGUAAUAUUGUUUAUUAAAUACUUCCAAAGCAAGAACAGGCGAAGUGAGAAAGGCAUGAAGUAGUAGUAUUGUAGUAAGGCGAUCUUUUAUAAAUUUUUAUAAUAAUUUAUAUUCUUUGCUCUGCUUUCUCUUUCCUUCUCUUCAUCAGUUGAAUUAACACUCCAACCACACAAUCACCAUCCGAAUCUCUCAUAGUUUCCCUACCUGCCUUAUAAUAAUAAGUAGCUAGAUGAAAGUAAAAUCAUCCCAAUUACUACCUCACCUAACACUCUCAGUCAUGGUCUUCAAAGAGUCCACACAAACAUAUGACCCCCAACUGGGCCCCCUUUUUUUUUCUUUUUUUUUUGUUUAAAAAACCCUUUUUUGGGUGCCUAUAAAUAGAGAGCCUCAGUUUCCUACCAAACUCACCAGAAUAAUAAUAAUCAUCAUCAUCAUCAUCAGCUGCAACUCUUCUCUUUCCACUGAUCAUUCCAAACUAGCUAAUUUUCUUGUUUAACUCCUCUUCUUCCAAAAUUAAUAUUAAUAAAAUUAAGUUCUGAACAAAGAUGACCAUCGAAGACAUUACUGCGAAAACAGCGGCGGCGGCGCCGGCGGCACCCGGACACGGCCAGACGGUGUGCGUCACGGGCGCCGGCGGAUUCAUCGCUUCGUGGCUGGUGAAGCUCCUGCUGGACAGGGGCUACACUGUCAAGGGAACCGUACGGAAUCCCGGUACGUGUGUUCGUAUUUAUUGUGUUUAUAAUUUAAGGUCGAAUGUGUUUUUCAGAAGUUUUUAAAUGCAAGUUUUAUUUAUGCGGAAUUGAUAGAUGACGCGAAGAACGAUCAUCUGAGGGCGCUCAGAGGAGCCGCGGAGAGGCUCCUUCUCUGCAAGGCGGACCUGCUCGACUACGACGCGCUCCGCCGCGCCGUCGACGGGUGCCAGGGCGUGUUCCACACCGCCUCGCCGGUCACCGACGACCCAGUAAUUUUUUUUUUUUUUUUUUCUUUUGCUUUAAAAAAAAAUUGAUUUUGCGUAUCCAGACUGAAUGAACUUGCGCGCAGGAGCAAAUGGUGGAGCCGGCGGUGCAGGGGACGGAGAACGUGAUCAACGCCGCGGCGGACGCCGGCACGGUGCGCCGCGUCGUGUUCACCUCCUCGAUCGGAGCAGUCACCCUGAACCCGAACCGCCCGCCGGACGCCGUCGUCGACGAGUCCUGCUGGAGCGACCUUGACUACUGCAAGAAAACUAAGGUGCAUCAACUCUAACAAAUAAAAAUAUAAUAUAACAGGAAUUAUCAUCAACAAAAACAAAUAAUAAAAAAUUUAAUUGUUCCUAAAACAAGUGAUAAAGACUUCAUAAUUGAUAUCCGAGGUCUUAAAUUUGAAUUCUAAUUGAUUCAUAUUUUCAACUAAAUUUAUUUUAAAAAAGAUAAAAUAAAUGACGAAAGAAAUUUGCUAAAUAUAUGAAUAAUAAUAUGUCAAACGAUAGCAGUGCCAAAUAUAUAAUAGGUCAAAAAAUAAAAAUAUAUUUUGUAUAUUUAAUAAAUACGGUCGUGAGAAUUAAUAAAAUUUUAUUCGAAUUCAAUAUAUCUAUUCUGUCAGUAAUAAUUUCUGGCGACGAUUACAUGACGUGUAGAACUGGUACUGCUACGGAAAGGCGGUGGCGGAGCAGGCGGCAUGGGAGGUGGCGCGGGGGAGGGGGGUGGAGCUGGUGGUGGUGAACCCGGUGGUGGUGCUGGGGCCGCUGCUGCAGGCGACGGUGAACGCCAGCAUCACGCACGUGCUCAAGUACCUGGACGGAUCUGCGAAGAAGUACACGAACGCCGUGCAGGCGUACGUGCACGUCGGCGACGUCGCGGAGGCGCACGUGCGCGUCUACGAGUGGCCCGCCGCCUCCGGCCGCUACCUCUGCGCCGAACGCGUCCUCCACCGCGAGGACGUCGUCCGCAUCCUCGCCAAGCUCUUCCCCGAAUACCCCGUCCCCACCAAGUACGUACCAAACAAAACUUAUCAUUCCUUUUUAUUUUAUUUUUUUCAUUUUUUUUUUACCUUAUUUAACAUUAAAAUUUUUGUCGGAUUCAUCUUUUCUUUUCAAUAAUACAGUAUCAGUGAUGGUUCGCGAGUACUAUAAUUUUGUCAGUAUAUUAAAUAAUUAAUAUAAUAAAAAAUUGGUUUUUUAAAAAAAAUUUAAACUAUGAGAUAACAGUAUUUAUUUUUUUUACUGAACAAUUUAAAUUGACCAAACUUAAAAUAUUUUAUUCUAAUAUACUAUGCUGAAUAAAUUUACAUAAUUUUAAACGCAACACAUAUGGCUCUCAUUUGUUAAUUCCAUGUUUUUUUCUAUAACUAUAUUAGAAACUAUAGGAUGCGAGGAAUGGCCCUGACUAGUCUCAAGCUAAUGUCUUAAUUAAGCAAUUACAAAAGGACAAUACAAGAGGGUGAUAGCUUGGUUGUUACUUUAUUUUUAGCUCGAUAUUUAGUGGCUUAAAAAGAUGAGAUAUACGUACACGGUGCUCUCUUUUUAUUAUUAUUAUUAUUUUUUCUUUACCUCCCUAAUAAUAUAUAAUACUAUAUACAUAAAUAUAUAUAUAUAUAUAUAUAUAUUUAUAAUAUAUAUAAUAUAUAUAUACUAUAUAUGAGAUAAAAUUUAGGUAGAGUAAAGGUGACGGAGAAAGCGAAGUCAUGUCAUGUGGGGGGGGGUUGAAUUGGAAACAUCAUCAAUUCAUCAUACACAUAUCAUCUGUAGAUGUCCCGUAUUAAGCGCUACAGGAUUGGCACAAACCAAAGGUCACUCUACCCUCAAUACCAGGGUUGUGGCUAAUUAAUUAAUAUGUUAUAAAUUUAAGUUAAUUAAACUGAUUAUUUUUUUUUUGAAAAAUAGGUAAGUAGAGUGAAAAGCUUCAUAGUCUUGUUAUUAUUAAUAUAAUAAUAUCUAGUCACAUCUUAACUAUUCCAGAGAGUGUUUAAUUUAUUAACUUUGCAACUUAUCUUAGUAGUACCAAACCAUUCCACUAAAUAAAUUUCAAAGACCCUUCAAUGAAAAGUGUUAGAACUAUGGUAUUUACAACGUACUGCAUGUAGCUUCAAUCUUAGAAUCUGUUAAAACUAGUUAAAAUAAUAAGAUUCAUAUCAUAGAUACACUAUAUAUAUAUAGCAAUUAAUUAUUUGUUACUACGUGUCUAGCUUAUUUCUAGCUAGGUGCGUAGUAGUUACAUAAUAUAAAGAAAUUUUAACGUGCUUUUUAUCUUUUUCUAAAAAAUAUUUUUGAGUGAGAACGCCCGUAGACCAACUAACAUUCUUUUUGUGAUGAAAAAAAAUGUAAUAAAUAUUUGGUUGACUAAUACAAGUUCUCAUGUUAACUGUUAUUGCACAUGACACUCUACUUAACUUGGUUUUCAAUUACAACAUAUAUCCACCACUGUGUCGAGAGCAUUAAUACGUGGCCACAACUUAAAGAAACGAGUGUGAUCAUCUCGUUCAACUUAAAUAAAUACACAAGGUACGUGGAAAAUUCAUUAAUUAGCUUAAUUGGUAAUUAAUUAUUAUGUAGCUUUUGGUGGUAGGAGAGAUGUGACACCGGAGUACUAUAGAGAAAAGAUAUUUAUUCUUUGUUAGGUGCUGUUUUCAUACAAAGACAAGGUUCCCUUUCAAAGUUCACAGUUACAUAUUAUUGUUGAGAGUGUAGUGUUAUAAUUAAAAGGAUAAAUUAUAUAUGCUUGUUGUGGAAAACGAGACAUGCAAUGUCAUAGUCUACUUGUAUUUUCAGGUGAAGUAUUAAACAUAAAAUAUUAAAACAACAUUAUUAUUAUUAUUAUUAUUUUUGAGAGACAAGAGUAGCAUGCUAUCCACUUCAUUUAUUUUAUUUUAAAAAUAAACUUAGCUGAAAAUAUGAAUCAAUUAGGAUUCGAACUUGCGACCUCGGAUGCCAAUCAUUAAGCCCUUUACUAAUUGCAUGCGUUAGGAACGGUCAAUAUUAAAACAACAAAAUUAUUCAUGUUUUUCUACGACAAUUAGGUUUUAAAAAACUUAAACAAUUUGUAUUCAAGACUACUUUUAUUAAUGGGUAGAUAUUAAUUAGUACAAAGUUAGGAAAGAAAAGAGAGAGAGAGAGAGAGAGAGAAACCAUUUAACAUUUAACAUUUAAAGAAAAACCAUUUAACAUUUAACAUUUACUUCUCAAUUAGCUAAACCAUUUAAUAUUCAAUAAUUCUUCUGAUAGGUUAAUGUUUUAACUUAGGAAACUAUAGGGUAUACACUAGAGAAAAAACACUAUGUUACAAUAUUUCCCAAUAUAUAUACUUGGUUAACAAGAGGACAAUGAUGAAAAUAAAAGCAAACAAAAACUAAACAAACCAUUAACCAAUAAUUUUUCUAUUUAUAUAUAGAUAAUUUCUAGCUAGCACAUAUUCUUUUUUCCCUUUUAACAUCAACAUUUAGAUCAUAUAUAAUCAUUUAGUCAAAAAUAUGAGAAGCAUCUCUUCACAUAUAAGAAAGCUACAUAACCAUAUCUAUCUUUAAGAUGUUGACAAGUGAAGUAAAACACAAGGCAAAACCACAAAAGAGAAAAGUAACUUAGCUAAUUAAAAUCAUUUAAAUUAAGCCACAUACAUAUGAUCUCCAUGGUGAUUGUUAUUUUCUUAGUAGUCCAAUUUGAUUUCUCUCUUUCACACUCUCACGCGAACCUUUGCUUUUUUUGAUGGUGAAGUUUUAAUUUUUCACUUAUUUCACUGCUUACGUACGUAUUUUGUAUUGUUCUUUUUUUUUUCUUCUCUAGGAGAGAAUAUACUGUGCAUGCUUUCGCAUCAGCUUAGAUGUAUACUUGAAAGAUGUACGUAUGCUUGAAACAUGCAACACGUGUAUUGUUACACGCAUACAUAAUUUUGUCUCUAUUUAUAUGAAUUUGCUGAUAUAUACAGUACAUAUGAUUUUAUUAGUUUAUGCACAUAAUUUAAAAGUAUAUAUAUAUAUAUAUAUCAAGUGUCCACAAACAACACAUUAAUAAUUUAUAGAUAAUAAUGUAUAAAAUUAUAUCAGCUAUCAACUAUUUUGAUUUGACUAUCGACUUUUUAAAAAUUUUAAUUUUACUUUCUGAUAUUUUAAUUUUUUUUAUUUGAGCUGGUUAGUGAAUUUUUAAUUUCAAAAUUUGGAUAUGUAGUUUAUUUUUAAGGAUUUAAUUAGCAUAUUUUGUAUAAUUCAUAUAACUAUAAAGUUAUUAAAAUAAAUUAUUAUUUUAUUUUAGUUUUUACAUCUAAAAACUAUCAAAUCAAUUUAAUCAAAAAAAUUAGAAGGUUGAGUAUUAAAAUUAAUCAAACGAAUUGAAAUAUUGGGUCUUAAAAUUAAAAUUUUAAAAAGUUGGAUAUUUGAAUUAAAAUGGACAAAAGUUCAGAUAAGCUUAUAUAUUUUUACCUAAUUUAUAAAGGUUUGAAUUUUUUUUUAAACUACUAAUAUUGUUUAAAUAAUGAAUUUAUAUGAUAUUUCUGUAAUUACGUUUUUUUUUUAAAUUUUUGGUUAAUUGACAUGUAAAGUUCCAGUGAACGCGCCUGAUUUAUUUUGAACGGCUAUUAUCUUGCCACGUGUGUGGCUGAGCUCACACGUGUGGGUUCUGAUCUGGAACUAUGUAGUUGCACAAUUGUCAACAUCUAUACGGGCACCUGCUUAGACCCGAGAUUCCUAGAUGUUUUUUUUUUUAAUUUUUAAUUUUUAUUUAUUUAUUUAAAAUCAUAUAUUUAUUUAAAUUGUUGAUAUAAAAUACUAUUUAAGAAAUACAUUAGAUAAUUGCCGUGUUAUUGACGAGAGAACUUAUAUAUAUAUAAAAGACAAAUUAGGCUGGAAUACUAUUAAUAGCACCAAUAACUUGGUACUAUUAAGUUUUCUGUUCUUAAAUUAAAAGAUGUGCGGUUAAGAUGAUAUAGGUCCCCUAGGGUUGAGUGGGUGGUUAGUUGAAUAGUAUAAUCGAAUGAAUGAAAAUAAUAAAAGAGGUAAAUCUAACGGUAGAAAAUUUGAUAGUACCAAAUAUUUCGUGCUAUCGAUAGUAUCUCAGCCGGACUAUAAGUACUCAUUCGCUCAAUUUUCGUAGUAAUUGUGUGUGCAUUUUUAUAUGUGUUUGCAGAUGCUCAGACGAGGUGAAUCCUCGAAAGCAACCGUAUAAAUUCACGAACCAGCGUUUGAAGGAUCUGGGCGUCGAGUUCACGCCGGUGCCGCAGGCCCUUUAUGAGACAGUGAAGAGCCUCCAGGAGAAAGGUCACCUUCCGGUCAUUCCUUCGCAGAACUAAGUUCAAACUCUCGCUCGACUACGUGCCGUAUAAAAGCCGUCACCGCCGAGUAUAUAUAUCUCUACAUACACUGUAUUUAUUGUAUUUAUACUAUAUUAAGGAUAAUAAUGUUCGUGCUCGUAAAAUUUGUGUAUGUUUUACGUGGCAUAUGUUGUGCGUACUGUGCAUAUUAUUAUUACAUAGGACAAGUUAACCCUUUUCUGAUAAUACGUGAUGCCUUAUAUAUAUAUGUUCAGCAAAAUUUUAGAUGGUAAAUCACUUUUUUCUAUUUUUUCCUCUUGAAUCUUUGUUCUUGACCUCUUACUUGAUUUGAUUCCUUCGACUUAUUCUUUCACGACUUUAAAUUAUUAAAAAAAAACUUAUUUACUUUAUUUGAUGGGUGUAUAUAUAUAUAUAAAUUAGGACUAUUAUAUUCUUAUAAGUAUAUAUAGAUUCUUUUAUACUCAUAAGUUUUUGGUCGUUGGAUAAAAAAAUGUGCAAUUAGAAUGAUAGUGGUUAAUUUUCUAGAAUUGGUGCUGAAUAUUAUGAACUAACGGAUGGAAAUAGUUUAUCUAUUGCUAUCAAUAGUUACUAUAUUUUAGGAGCACAGUAACCUUUGUGCUCUUAAAUUUCUAACCAUCCAUCAAAUUUGAUGGACGGUUACGGAGAAAGAGAAGAGAAAUCGGAAAGAAAUUAGAUUUCUCAAUUUCUCUUUUCUUUGAAUAUCUUUCUAAUUUCUCUUAUCUCUCUCUAUAACCAUCCAUCAAAAUUGAUAGAUAAUUAAAAACUUAGGAGCACAAUGGUUGAUGUGCUCUUAAUAGCACAGCAGCCCUACGCUAUAUAUAUAUAUAUACGAGAGCUGCUGGGGCAUAGAGCACAGCAACCCUUGUGGCUCCUAAGUUUCUUACACGCCCACAAAUUUUGAUGGGUUUGUUAGGGUGAAAAGAAAAGAGAAUUGAAGAAAAUUGGAUUUCUCAAUUUCCGAUUUCUCUUCAAUUUCUCUUACUCCUUCUGCACCAAUCAGCCAUUCAAAUUGAUGCGGUUAAAACUUAGGAGCCACAAGGGUGCUAGCUCCUAAAUAUACAGUAGCUGCUUAUUUUAGGAGCAUCAGCAACCCUUUGCUCCUAAUCUUAAUGCUCCAUAAAAUUUGAUGACUGGUUAGAUGAAAGAAAGAAGAGAAAUUGAAAGAAUUCGAAAAUUCUUCUGAAUUUUCUUCAAUUCUCAAUUCUCUCUUUCCGCCCUAACCACUCCAUCAAAAUUACUGGGCGGCUAAGAACUAGGAGCACAAGGUUUCUGUCUCCUAAUAACACGUAGCCAUAAACUAUAUAUAUAUUAUAUAUAUAUAAUAUAUAGUAUGACGAGAGAGAGAGAAGAGAGUAGGCUACUCUAAUAUAGUAAUAUAUAUAAUAAAUUGUUAUCAAAGAGAUUCGUGAUAAUUUUAACUUUUAAGAGUAUUGAUGAUAUUUUAAAUAAAUAGAUAUUUAUUAAAUUACGACGAUCCAAAAAAUUUUUGAUGGAAUUUAUUAUGUAAUUCUUAUAAUUAGUAAAUAUGAAAUAUUGUGUGAGUUGUCCCACAUAUCCAUAAGAAAAAGGCAAAUUCGAUAUACCAGAUAUCCUCUAGAAAUCUAUAUAACUCUGAAUAUGAGAGUUCCUACGCACGCUCCCCGCGUUUUGGCGGGACCUCACGCGAAGAGAGAGAGAGAUAACAGAGGAAGAAGAGAAAGCAGCAGAGAAGAGAGGAGCAGAGGAGAAGUAAAGCAGACAGAAAGGAGAAAAAGAAGAGUAACAAGUAGAGAAGAGAGAGAGAGAGAGAGAGAGUAGACCAAGAGAGUAGAGAGGGACCGCUGCCCUCAUCUGCGGCGCGCGGGGGUGCUGGCCCGAACAACCCCACCCCCUUCACUCUCUCUCCCUCUCUCCCUAGCCCCCGCCCCACCCCCCCCCUCUCUCACCUCUCUUCCCUCUCUCCCUAGGCCCCCCCCCCCCCCCACGCUCGCGCGAACCCGCUCCGGCGGGGUGCGAUGCUCGCCAGGGGGUCUCGCCCGGGCUCGCGGUUCGGGUCCCCCUCCUCCUCUCUUUACCUUACUCCUCCCCCCGCCCGCUCUCUCACCACCCUACCUCCUUUCCUCCUCAGGCUCCUCCCCUCUCUCUCGCACCCCCCCCCCAGCGGCGAUCAGUCGACCGAGCCGCGGGCGCGGCGCUGGGCGCGGCGGGCGCGUGAGGGGGGCACGGGUGCGCGGGAGCAGCGGGCGCGCGCGCCAUGGCGCAGACGCGGCGCGGCGGCAGCGGGAGGGGUCCCGCGGCAGCUGUGGGCGCGGCAGCGGGCGGCGCGCUGCGGGACCCACGAGGAGGGGGGUGGGGAGAGGGAGAGAGAGAAGAGAGAAGAGAGAGAGAGAGAGAGAGAGAGAGAGAGAGAGAGAAAGAGAGAUAUAAAUUGUAAAAUUUAAAAUUUAAAUUUUAAAUCUAAUUUAUAUAUAUCUAAUUUUAUUUAUAAAUCUAUAUUAUUUACUAUAUAUAAUUUUUAUAUUUAAUUUUUUAAUGUUAAAUUUUAAUUAGAUUUAAAAAUUAAAAAUAUUAAAAAUAUUAUUUAAAAUAUGUAAAAAACGUAAAUUUCCCGCCGCGAAGCGCGGCCUACACUAGUUAUUAUUAAUAAGUCAACUAACACGCGCACUGAAAUUAGGCCACCUGUAAUGAGUGUUGAUAAACUCAUGGAACAAUAGAUCAUCAAUAUAUAUAAUAUAUAUAUAUAAUAUAUAUUAUAUAUAAUAUAUAGCAGGGCUGCUGUGCUCUCAGGACACGAAGGCCUCCGGCUCCUGAGCGUUUUUCUGAUGAGGAUUUCGAAUCGACGAUCGGCUCGUUAAACUUGAUCUACCGUAUUUAUAAGUUUCUAGAAAAAAUUUUAUGAUUUUUCGAUAUCAUCUUACCUAGCAAUCGAAAGGAUUCAAAAUCAAUAAUUUUAACGGCUGAAAUAAAAAUUCUAUAAAAGUAGUGAUAUAGCACUAAAAUUUUAUCAAAAUAUAGAUCUUGUUGUAGAGAUAUAUAAGAAUUUCUAUCAAAAUUCAUACUGAUUUAAAUCUUCUACACCGUUUAAACUUGAAAACGCAAAUAUCAACCAUUAAAAAUUAUGGAUUUGAUAUCUUUCGAUCACUAAGUAAAUGAUAUCGAAAAAUCACAAAAAUUAUUUCUAGAACUUCAAAUCGCUACGAUCAUUCUAACGGAGACCGAUCGUCGAUUCGAAAAUUCCAUCAUCGAAACGGCUCAGGAGCACGGAGGCCUCCGUGCCCUGAGAGCACAGCAGCCCUGCUCUAUAUAUAUAUAUAUAUAUAUAUAUAUAUUAUUUUUAUUAAACCAAAGUCGAUUGGUGGGAUUCAUCAAAAAAGACAAAAGCAUUCCAAGUCUUUUUGGCGUGUGUUUCACAAAAAGAAUGAGCACUAUCAUUUUGAGAGAGACCCCAACCAAGAGUCGUAGAGGGUUAGAAAUUAAACCUUCUGGGUCUAGCUCUUUUGGUUGUUUGUGGUUGGUGGCUACUGCCAUUGGGAUUGGAGUGCCUUGGGCUUAGUUUGGUAUUGAGGUCUAUCUAACGCUAUUAGGUAAAAUAGAGUUGAGAAAAAAAUAUAUAGGGAUACGCUUCUGCGUUCUCCGGUGGGACCGCAGAAAAUAUAUCGUAACCGAUUCAUCGCGAUAUGCGGAACGCAAUAUUACGUACGGAAACAAAUAGGAUAUUUUUCCAACGUACUUUCUCACCGCAUGUAACGCAAUCCUCCCGCAAUCCCAAACUAAGCCUUAGUCCAACACUCUAAAAGUGAUUUUAGAACAGUAAUAAUUUAUAUUAAAAUAUUAGUUUACUACAGAAAGAAAAAAUUAGUAGUUUUAAUUUUGUUUUUCUACUUUAAGGUUUCUCUCGAACUUGAUUCAUAAUGAUUUAAAAAACCAACUAAAGAAUUUCUUUUAUACUUUUACUUUUACUUUUAGAAGCAGCAAUAAUUUAUAUUAAAACAUUAAUGUACUAGAGAAAAAAAAAAUUAUAGUUUUAGUUUUAUUUUUGUACUAUAAAAUUACAGUUAGAACUCGAUUUAUGGUGAUUUAGAAAACCAACCAUACAGCGCCUAACCAACUAAAGAAUUUUUUUCACACUUUUUCUUUUGCUUUUAGCAGUACACUACAACAAAAACGGUCUAUAGCGACACUUUUAAAUAUAGAUACAUGUCAAAAAAGUGCUGCUAGCUAAAAUUACCGACACUUUUAAAAAGUGUUGCUAUAUGUGGGGUCGCUAGGUAUAUAGUGACAGUUAAAGAGUAUCGCUACUACCUAAAAGAGUGCUGCUAAUUUACCAAAACUUAUUUAAGCAUUUAGCAACCGUCGAAAUUCUAUCUCGUUGGCUGCGGUGGCGAAGGAGGACGACAGGAAAGGCUUUUCGUCUAGAAUUUCAGUGGAUUGAGUGAAGAAAGAAGAAAAGAUGGUAAUUGAUUUUUUUUUUUUNGGGUGUGGUGGGUUGAGUAGAGUAAUCUUUUAUUUUUGGUUGGAUUGGGCUUUAUAUUUAAGCAUUAGUAGAGUUUUUUUAAAAUUUUAGUAUAAAUUGGGCACUUACUCAAAAGUAUCCCAAACAUAUGUCCCUAUAACCUAAUUCUGUUGUAGUGGCAGCAAUAAUUUAUAUUAAAACAUUAAUGUACUAGAGAAAAAAAAUUAUAGUUUUAGUUUUAUUUUUUACUAUAAAGUUAUGGUUAGAACUCGAUUCGUGAUAAUUUAGAAAACCAACUAUACAGCGCCUAACCAACUAAAGAAUUUCUUUCAUACUUUUGGUUUUACUUUUAGCAGCAGCAAUAAUUUAUAUUAAAACAUUAAUGUACUAGAGAAAAAAAAAUUGUAGUUUUAGUUUUUUUUUGUACUAUAAAGUUAAGGUUAGAAGUCAAUUCAUGAUGAUUUAGAAAACCAACCAUACGCCUAACCAACUAAAGAAUUUCUUUCAUAUUUUUUGCUUUUAGCGGCAGCAAUAAUUUAUAUUGAAACAUUAAUUUAUCACAAAAUGAAAAAAAAUAGUAGUUUUAGUUUUAUUUUUCUACUUUUAAGGUUCAAGUGAGGACUCAGUUCAUGAUGAUUUAGAAAAUCAACGAGACGCCUAACCACAUAAGCUAAAUUUCAUUUAUGUAGUUUUUGUUUUGUUGUGAAGUAGAAUUGAGAAAAGUUCACUAAUUCAGUACAUUUUGUUUUGUUGCAUUGAAAAGCUGUUUAAAAUAUUUUAUUAUGAGAUUUCUUUUUCCUUUUCUUUUUUUUGACACUUCUCUACUAUAUAUAAGAGCUGUUAAAGUAUUUAAGUAUGAUAUAUAUAUAAUAUUUUAACUCUGUUUGAAGAGUACUCUAUUAUCAAAUAAUUUUAUACUUUGCACUUAGUUUUUUUAAAAAAGAAAUAUUAUACCUUGCAUUAGAGUUACACAGAUCCAAGACUAUUUGGAGGUAGUAGACAAAGGCAAGUAUGUUCUGCUGAGAAAAAAGAAGCUUCUUUUGGGGGGAAAAAAAAUAUAAAAGGACAAGAAAUAAAUCAAUGUAAUAAGUCAAAAAUCUAGUUAGGUAAAAGCAAAAGAAAAAGUAAAGGCAUAGCAAUAUACUUUUCUUGAGGCUAUUUUACAUUUUCACAUUUGACUUCAUGAUUCUUAAAUUUUAAUUUGUUAUAAAUUUUUUGCUUAAAUUUUUUGUACUACUGCAGUUAGAUCCUUUGGUACCGUUUUGUGGGUCGAAUGAUAAUGUAUCGUUGAUGUACUAGUAGUGUGACAUUUUAAUUACUUUUAUAUCAUCAAUCACAAUACUGUUAUAUUAUUAUCAUAUUAGUGACACAUUAUCAUUUAUCAACUAAUUUGUAUUGUAGGACUUAGUUGUAAUAAAAAAGUAUAAUAAAUUAAAGUUUAAAACCCAAAAUGCCACAUUCCUCUCAUAGUUUGAGGACCAACAUUGCAAUUUUGCCUUUCCUUGAAGAUUUAGCACCUGGCAACAUCCACACCUACUCAUACAUCAUAAACAAAUUAAAGAACUUACUUAGAAGUGUUAAAAGUCUCCUCCUACAACUUAGCUUUUCUCUGAGAUUAGAAAAGAGUGAGAUGCAUUAGUUGUUAAGAUCUACACCUGGCAAUUUACACAUCAUAAACAAAAGAACUUAAUUACGUAGUGAGUGUUCAAAGUCUCCUCCUACAACUUGCUUGUCUACGAGAUUGGAAAAGAGUGAGACACCUUACUUUAAAAGCCCGUUUAGUUCAUGAUUUGUAAUAUUCCAGUAAUUCUUUAUAUUUCUUAUUAAAAAUAUUCAAAUCAUUACCAUUCAACUCAAGUUAGAUAACUAUGAAAGGUGUCGGUGAAGUAGCGAAAUCAUUAUAAAUUCUCAAUUAGUAGUAAUAUCAGAUAACCAUAGGUUAGAAGAUAUUCGAUCUUAUUCUUAUAUUUAAUGAGAAUCAUGAUCAUUAAUAGUCCAUUAACAAUAGUCGAGCUAAGUGGCAAAAGGCUUUGUGGUUGGUAUCCGAGAUCUCAAGUUCAAAUAUUAGUUGAUUCACAUUUCCAGCUAAGUUUAUUUCUAAAAAAAAUAAAUGAAGCGGAUAGCAUACUACCUUCUCUCUCAAAAAUAAAUUAAAAAUAAUCCAAUAAUAAUGAAUAUACAAGUUCCAAACAAUCUAUCAACCUAAAUGGCAUAAUAAGUUACUAAUAUAUUUGUCAUCAUUCCAAUUAUAAAAUAUACAAUAAAUCAGAAUUAGUCUUAGAUUAGUAUAAGAUUUAUAAAUGCAAGGGGAUUUACCUGAACAAGCCUAAUUUCUUUAUAUUUGAGAUUAAAUUAUACGUAAAUGAUGACCCAUGAACAUGAUCUGAUCUCAACAAUAUACAGGAUUAAAAAAGAUUUGCCAAAAGAUUUGCUAAAUCUUUUGUAGAUAGGCAAAUAAAAUAUAAUAAUGUUUCAAAUAUUUACUUUUAUGGAAUUGGAUGCUAUAACUCUCAAUUAUUUCGGAUAUAAUAAAUUAGCAUUUGACUCAUUUCUUUGACGUUAAGACCAAAUUAACUCAUAAUAAAUUUCGUUUAAAGCAGAAAAAGUCCCUCACUAUGGAGUAAAUGAUAGAAUUAAACCUACAAUCUUACAUAAUAGCGAAAGAUAAAUCCAGUAGAAAAUGGUUCAAACAUAAUCUUAACAAGUAGACUAAAAGAGCAACUAAAUUACUAAAGCGUAAUCUGUUAAAUUAUAUGAAAUAGCCAUUUUUUUCCAUAAGUUUAAGCUUUCAGAGAGAAUGGUGUUUUAAAUAUUUAUAUUUAACACUCUCUCUCCCUCUCUGGGUUCGAGAGUUCACAAGUCCAAGACAUAAAUUUGAAUUGAUUGGAAGGAAAUUAAAUACUACUAGAACCUGACGGGACUCAAACACAGAGCUUUCUGCCCAGAUAUCAAAUUAAAUUAUGCGAAAUAACCAUUAUCCGACAAAAUCUUAAACUUUUUAGAGAACAGUAUUUUAAAUACUUAUAUUCAACAUAUAUAUAUAUAUUCUUGGAUAAGAUUGAGCUGAUUCAACCUACAGGCAUGUGCUUCCUUCUUAGAAUACUCAACUAUAAUUGAUAUUGAAUUGAUUUAUCAUUUUGGGUAUUAAUUCAUCUUUAAUUCUUCUAUAUGCCUUUUUCCGUAAAACCUUCAUAAAAACGUUAGCUAUGUUGAGCACACAAAUUAACAAAUGUUACAUUGCUAAGUUCUCAAUCAAGAUAAAAACAAAAACAAAAACAAAAAGGUAGGAUCGUAUUCACAAGUAACACACAUAGUGUGGCUCGUCAAGUUUUUGUCAAUUAUGUGGUGGUAAUUCUCUAUCAUCUGAAGCUGCUUCUGCGACUGAAAUUUAGCCUCAUCAACUUUUCUUUCAAUCGAAACUUGGCCACACAAAUUUGCAUUUUGUAUGAGUAGUUAUACACAAGGUUAGUAUUCACUUACCAUCUCUAUCACUAAAAUAUAUCAGUUUCAGCUGCAUUUUCAACAUAAGAUGCUAUAAACACCGAGAAAGCGAAAGAAGCAAUUCGUCGUAAAGCAUUUGGUGAGAAACGCUUAAGCUAGUGGAGACAAGUCUCGCCCUGAAGCGAGUGAGGCCGAAAGACAAUAUUCUAGAACUUCUAGCGAUGAUGAAAAGCUGGAAUGAGCUUUAGGACCACAAAUACUUCUGCUGUUAGCAGCAGUGACGAUAAACUGCAGGAAUUUUAGUAAAUCAGUCGUUAGAACUACUUCAAACAGCUCUGCUCCCGUAUUGCUUCUGCAGAAGCUACAUCCAAGCAAAUCAAGUCCUUAAAAUGUGAACAUAAGCUGCGCGUCUGAUGAGUUAUAAAUGUUAGGACUAACACUUUAGAUAACCUCAAAUGUUUGACUACAAAACCACCGCAAUUCACGGCUGAUUAGGACAAAAAUACGACGAUAGAAGACCCUUUUACUUUUGACUAUCCCAAUAUUUGAUAAAAUAGUGACAACAAGUUCUUUGAGACUGGAGAGUUCAAAUGUGAAAACUAAUGAACAAGUAAAAAUAUGGUGAAAAUACAAAGCAGAUGAGCACAGGGAACACAGAAAGAAAGAGGUAGAAAUAGUCUCUUCCCAUAUAUACUGCAACAAAGACUUCGAUGUCUCAAAAAACAAAACAAGAAAUUAAACUAAAUAUCCUAUGAAUUCCCAUCAAAACGUCGAACAAAAAAAUGUUUCUGAAAUCAUUUAAUCCAAAAACAAAGUUUUGUUUUCAUGAAUGAUCCUAUAUAGAUAUUAUAAGCAACAAAAAUCAUGAAAAAAAUAACCUUCUGUUGCAACUAUGCCCUGAAUGUAUUUAUUUGAUAUAGCAAAUAAUAUCGAAACUGGUCUUGUAGUAAGGAACAACAAAAGGGAUUUAAAGAAAACCUCCACUAACAAAGUGUCAGCCUCAGAUAACAGUGACAAUAAGUAUAAAUUACAGCAAACUACAUUGCUUUCAUGGCACAGGCAACAUGAUUCGUCAUAACACAAAAUGCAGUGCGGUGGAACAUUUAUACUCAAAAAACAAACCAAAAUUUCGAUGCAAUCUUAAAUUUUUGCAGGAGUUUGGCUAAUACAAGUUGAAAGUAUAAAUAUUCAAUGAUGGAGAACAUUUCACGAAUUAAUACCAAUAAUGCACUGCUAUCCAUGAAGUGCUUUGUCUUUUAGGAAUCCAUUUCUAUUGUAAAUUCAUUGAGAUGUUAACAAAUAGCUUAUCAUUAAAGUUGUCCAUAGGUAAAACUCCUAAUUUACCUAAGUUUACUACACCCAAAGAAUACCUUUGCAUCACUCUGAGCCUGAUUCAAGCCUAACUACAUUUCGACCCCAGGCAGAUUUUUUUUUUUUUUUUCAGGAUGUUGUUGUUGUUCAGCCUUGCCCGAGCCAGUACAGCUUAAACACAAUUUGGUUUCAAAUUAAAAUACAGCUAUGUUGUCAGAAGUCGUUGGGCUGAGUGUUGGAAAAUUUCUGCAGGGCAUUGAAUGACUCAACGACCCUUUUACCUCCAACCAUCUCUUCAUUAAAACUACUUUGGGUAUAUAACGAAAUAAGACUGCAAUAGAAGUUCAAACGAUGUAAUUUUCCUUACCAAUAAAGUGGCAUCUGAUUUCGUAAUUUAGAAAACUAAGGAGAUAAAAGUUAGCCACAACCACAACCACCGCCCCCACCCCAACCCACCAGCCCACACACACAAGCACAAAAAACAAGAAAAGCUUUCUUUCAUUACCAUAACUUAUCGUAAAGAAACCGACCGUCCCUUGUGCAAGUGACAAAGGGUUUGGUAGUUGGUACCCGAGGUCUCAAAUUAGAAGCCUAGUUGCUUCAUAUUUCCACCUAAGUUUAUUUCUCAAAAAUAUGGACGAAGCGGGUAGCAUGCUAUCUUUCUCUCAAAAAAAGAGUUAUAGUAAAGAAGUGCAUUUUAUAGGUGUUAAAUUCUCCUCCCUCUGGUCCUACCAACUACAAGCCAUUUUUUAUUACAAUUGAUGUUAAACAUAUCUGCUCUAAGACUUUAAGAUAACUGCAGAGUUGCAUUUUGACAGAAGGGCUUUUGGUGUGGUGGAGUUGGACCACUACAAAAGGGCUUCAUUAGUUAGUAGAGGGUUAUUGGGGUUGGUGGAGGCAAAUCAUGGCCAUCCAUCCAAAAGGAAGGGCGCUUGAAAGAGCACUAGAGUUCUAGAAAGGAAAAGAGAACUUCAUAAUUGAUCUGGAAGAAAACAACCACUCCAUCCCUUGGGAGUGGUAGUUCCUAUCAACAUCCUUUAUAGAAAUUCUUCAGGUGGAAGAAAUACACAACUGUCAACAAGAAUCCUACAAUUCUACGCAUUAAUAUUAACGAUGUAAUGAAGCUACAACAAUAAUCACUCUCCCAAAGUAAGUAUUAUACAGAAAGCAUGUUUCCAAAUGAUGCCAACAACUCUGCCUUUUUUAGUUUGUAAGAGUGCAGAAAAGCGAUAAAUACUAUGAAGACAAGUGUCUUUUCACGGUUUCACCUACAGUCUACCAACGCCUUAAGAAAACCUGGUUUGGAUAGUGAUGUGAAGAGAUGAGAUGAGACCUUCUUUUCACCCAAACAAACAAGCCCUUGGUCCAAGCAACACAAGCUGAUCAAAUGCUGAUACCAACCUGACCAGUCUGUUGUCAAGUUGAUCAAUAGUUGGAUAUACCUAGCAACAGGGAAUCUCCACUUGAGACCUCCCAUAUGGUUGGGUAGUGGUUGAGGAGGAAAGACAAACAAGAGCAAAAGAAUAUUUGAUCCAAGCAAAAUAUUCGAUCCGCCUCAAAUUACUAAAGAAAUAUUAAAAAUUAAAGUGUCUAGACUCUAGAUAUUACAUUAGCGCAUGCGAAGGAGAACCAAUUCUUAGCAUGCUGAUUCAUCUAGACGCUCCUUAGCACUAAGACAUGAAAAUCAACUCAUUCUUGCUGUCGGGGAGUCCACAUCUAUUCUUUCCCAACAUCUCAUGCUUAAAGUACCAGAAUCUAAUAUUCAUCACCCAAAUUGAAGGAACACUUUGGUUUUCUACAUCUCUUUUUCCAUGGUAGGUGAUUAAUAUCUCAAACUUUGACACCUUGGAGGAGUAGGUCGGAUACCACAAAAGUAAAAGAAUAGAAAAUUUGCACCACAAUGAGUUGUGCCUUCAAGAUACCCUUGAUUUCCAAAGUUCUCUCACAUGUGACUUUGUUUUGUUUGAAAGGGAGUUCUCAAAAACGAUAUUCAAAGUAGAUUAGAAAAUUUUGCACCACAAUGAGUUGUGCCUUCAAGAUACCCUUGAUUUCCAAAGUUCUCCCAUAUGUGACUUUGUUUUAUUUGAAAGGGAGUUCUCAAAAAAGAUAUCCAAAGGAGAUUAGAAAACUGUCAUGAUAUAUACAAACUAUGCAACUGCUAUAAGGAAACUUGAAGCUUAUUCCUAAUGAGACAACAGCAGUAGUUAUGGUGGCAAAUACUCUUAACACAAAUGACCAUGGUCAAUGUCCAUUGAUUGCAACAAGAACAAGCUGGCAUGACUACAACUUUAUGUUGCAAGCAUGUUUUAAAUAGACUGAAGUCAUACCUACUUUUUCUUCUAAUCUGCUCAAUCUUUCUUAACAAUAAUUAAUCAAAAUAGAUCAUUUUGAUUAUGAGUAGUUUUAUGUAGUAUUGUACUACAUGUAGUAAAAGAUUUGUUGAAUCAUACAUCAUGGAAUUAAAAGUCUAAAAUCCAAGCAUAUAAAUCAAACAUGGAUAAAAUAUUUAAUGAAUAUGCAGGAGCUAAUGAAUUAUUUUAAGCAAUACAAGGAAAUAUUUUACAAGCUGAUUCUGUAUUUUAAAUGAAUAGAUAAAUUUUCUUUAAAGAUAGAAAUAUAGCGAAUGAUCUACCACUAAAAUAUAAUAAGAUGAUGGUUCUUGCCUAGCUUCAUUUUUGGCUAGCAAUUUGAUGAAAUUGUGCUACAUGUCCUGAAAGCAAAUUGGAGAAACGGUUGAGUGUACUGCAAAAGAGGAGAUUGUUAGACAUCAAAUGACAGGGUGCACCGCAAAUGCAUCCCAUCAUUACACAUCAAGUGAAAUGGGGCAUUGCAAAUGCAUCACACCGGAAUUCAAGUGAAAGAUGACUUGCAAAUACAUCAGUCCCGCAGUAUUCAAGUGAAAGAGUGCAUCACAAAUGCAUCUCAUUGUUGGAUAUCAAAUAAAAAGGGUGCAUUAUGAAUGCAUCCUCCUAGAAAUCAAGUGAGAGGGUAUUUCAUAAAGGGUGAUUAAACUUUUAAAUUAAAUAUGCUUUUACAAUAACUACAGGGUUAUUAAGUUUGAAGUGGCUUCUUUGUUUUGCUCAGACUCCCUUGUUUUAAUAGAUCACAUUGUAUUAGACUGUUCCACUUGACCAAAUAUUUUGCAGCAUUUGCAACAUUUAGAAAAUUAGAUAUUAUGCGAUUAGAUAAUUUUAACAUAUUUUGUAUCUUGCAAAAUGUAUCCGGGUGUGGAUACAUAUUUGGUUUAAGUCCAAUAAAGAAUUCUCGACCCAUAUCCAUCAAAACUGAGAUUUGGAAACUGGAUCAGAAGGAUAAUAUCAAAUCCAUUUUGACCCACUAUCACAUGCACAGAAUGAUGGCAUUCUGUAAAUCAAUAUACCAAGAAGAGGACCUAGCUAGACCUACAAUCCUUGCAUUUACAGACAAAAUUCCAGAUUAAGACAUAAGCAUGUGAAUUUAUAGGCAGUAUACUUUUGUGAUAUAUGGACACCACAUAGUUCAGAAAAAGCUUACAAACAUUAUAGGACUCUAUUCCGCAAAAACAGCUUUGUUACCACAGACCUCUUGUGGUGGUUUUUUAAUGAAGUCCACAAACUUAAGGUUAAAAAAGAAUUCUUUUAACAAAUAACAGCAAGAGAACAAGAAACCUAAUAGUAGCCUGGCGAUGCCUCAAGGAGGCUAUGAGCUCCACUUAUACUGCAGAUUAAGCAGUUGAGUUCUAUUUGAUACUUCUUCAUGUAAUAGAACUUUAUUAAGUAGUGAAUGUGGAACUUACUUGGAAACCCUACUAUCAUAACACCUUGCUAAAUCACUUUCUGAGUAGGAUGCGGCUUCAAAAUGAUGAAAACUCCUAUGUAUGAGCACACAAGUUUAUGCCUUUUGCAGUUAAACUAUAGCUUAGCAAGCUCGUAGGCCAUGUUUGAAUGCAUGAACAUCUUGUUUAAUAUAUUUCUUUGAUUUACUCAAGAAGUUUGGUAGCAUUUGGUUGAUUCUUUGAUUUACUCAAGAAGUUUAGUAGUAUUUGGUUGAUGAGUGUGAUCAAAUAUCUAGAAAGAUCACAAAAAUCUAGAAAGGCAUACUGUAUUCUCUUUGAUUACCCAACAAGCUUGUAGCAUUUGGUUGAUGAGGAGUGUGAUCAAAUGUCUCAAAAGGCAUACUAUAUUUCACCUUUAGGUCAUUUUCUCGGAAUAAGAUAGAUCACCUCAUAGGUGAAAUAUACUAUCUUACGAAAUCAUGGAUGAUAGGACCUUCCAAGGAGCUGAAAUCAAGCUCCUAAUUUGCAAGCAUACGAUAAAAUCUUCAUAGAUUAUAAAGCUUUCACUGGACAGCUUGCUGCAACAUCCAAACAGGGCUUUAAUGUUCCAUGCUAGGAAUAUAGUAGUUGCAACCAGAUAUCCAGACUACAAAUUUAAUAUAGACAAUCCACUUCAUUUAUUUUGUUGUACAUGGCAAAUAAGCUAACGAAAAUUUAGAGCGUCUCAACCAUGCAUCAGAGCCAUAGCAAAUAAGCUAACAAAAAUUUAGGGCCUCUUAGCCAUAGAUCAGAGCCAUUAUAAGAAGGAAGGCAUAUAAAGCUCCAGUCUUGCAACUUCCAACUUAAAAAUCCACAUAGGUCCUCAAGACUUAGACUACCCAAAACUCUUGCAAGCAAGAACCUGAAAAUUUGAAGCACAGAUCUUAGAAAGAGGUUAUAAUCAUACUGUUACAUCCAUCCAUGACUUCAUAAAUUCAAUGCAUAAGCUGAAAGAAACCCCUCAAAUCAAAUGAUUUCUUUUAAAUAGGUGUAAAUAUGAUGGACCUUUUACAUAGUAGUUGACUGGUGUAUAUUUUUGAUUUGAUGGUUUAGAGCAUUGGCUCAUCCGCCAGCCUGUGGCUGGCAAAGACCAUCACGCACAUUACCAACAACAGAACUUCACAUUACAAAGAGUUCCUGUGGCACAUGCCGAGUUCCUUUCUUUACCUUCAGUUUAUGACAUUGGUAUGCUUCCAACUGCUAUAAAAUUAUCAUUUACAUAUCUCAGCAACAAAUAGUUUUAAUGUGUAGAAGGAAAAAAAAGUUAAGUACCUAAUAUUAUGCCGGUGGCACAUAGGACACGUAUGAUGUUCUAGGAAGGAAUAUGCAGUUUUGGCCAACAAAAAUUUGGUCGUUCUACUUUCGAGUUUCAACCAAAGAGAUUUUCUGUUGUCACUCAUGGAUUAUAUUUGGCAUUCUGUGCUGUUUCUGAUCAAUAAUUAGCCGACCUGAGCAUAUUCCACUUACUGUUUAACUGAAUAAAAGGUUUUUUCUUGGAGAACUAAAGAAGAAAGUUCUGACGCACACACACGCAAUUACUUAUCACAUGUAUAAAGAUAGAGUUCCAGAUGUAUUUUGUUUUUUUUUUAAGGACAACAGAAAUAUAUCUAACCAGUUCUGGCCAAAAUAAGAGCUUGAAUUGGUUGAGAGCACUGAUCUUGUGAAUAGAUAGAAAAUAAGGGUUACUGUUAGUUAUCUAAUCUAUAAUCUGCAAUCUAUUUAUCAGCCUCUUAGAUAUGGCUUGACACUGCAGGCUGUCAGAUGUCAUCAAAACUCAGGAAGAAUAUGGAAAAGUUAUUUAAUUAUACCCUUACACUUAAAAUAUGAGGACUAUUAUGUUCCCUGGAAGAAAUUAUACGUCCAUCAGGUAACUGCAUUAUAAACUGUUAUAAUGAUGACUAUUUAGAUCCAAAUGCACAUUUGUAUACAUGGAUCAUCUCUUAAGUAAACCAUAACCUUUCCAUUUUUAAGUCGGUGUCAACAUUUGCAAAUGUAUAAUGCCCUUAUCUGAGCAAACCUCACGAAUAUAUUGAUAUUAGAUUAAAUUACAUCAAAUUAUAUUGAGAUUGCAGAUAGGUCUUACCUCAUGUAGUAGAGAACCAAGAACAUAGUAGUUGCAGAUUUGAAUAAAUCGUUCUCUCAUUUGCAUUUAUUUAUGUUCAUGAUUAAUCUCUAGUGUAACAAUACAUGAAAUAACAUAGAAAGGAAUCUGUCCCCAACAAUCCAUUGAGGAUUAAGCAAGCGAGUUUCAUAACUAACAACAAACGUAUACAUUUGAUUGUUGAACAGAGCACUAGGGCAAAGGAGCAAAAUGAGCAUUUGUAGCACUAGCACUAGAACCAAAUAGAUCACAUCAAAAUUCCACAAACUUAGAUGGAAACAAAAAAAGAAGAAAAACAUACAAAGUGGAGAUUAGGGCUUGAAAGUGUAUGGCUGGGGGAGUGAGAUGGGCCCUCUCCGGGACUCAUCGUUGUCGAGAAGCCGCUGGACCCUCUUCUUGGCGCAGUAUUGCCGAUCAAAAUGCUUAACCUAUCCCAAACAACAGAUCAAACCUCCCAUAUAGAUUAGAAAAAGGGAAUUGAUAUUGCGAAAGCGAUUUUACUAUUGCCAAAGCAAAAAAACCUCAAAUCAUAACUAGAUACAAUGUAUCAUCUGCCCUGGCAAUAUUACAACUUAUUCUGGCAAUAUCAAUUCCGUAAAAGAAGGGCUAAACUCCAACAAUCCUUCUUGCACUUUAGUUCGUGUGUCAUCUGCCCCUUCCAUAAUAUAUUGCUUAAAUUUUCCACCCUAUACGUUAUUUUUGUCUCAAAUAAUUUCAAAUUUGGAAUGAUUGUUGAACUCAUACGCAAAACUUAAUGGAAAUGAAUUGGCAACUGGUAGAGUAAUGUUCGAUAUAUAGCAGGAAAUAACAUAAAUUGAAUAAAUUACCUCAUAAACCGCCAAUUUUGGUGGUAGUAGAAGUACUAGAGGAGAAGAGCUCUUUUUUAUUUAGCUUAGAUCAGUUAUAUGAGUAACAACUUAGACAGAUGUUUAGAUAUAGCAACAACACAGGAGUAGGGAUCAACUUACACAAAUGUGAGUCACACACCUUCCACAUAAGUUCAACUAAAACCUUAGAGGCCCGAAACCAUUAAGAUGUGAUCUACAGAAUCUAAAGAAACACAAUAUGAAAUUUCGUGCAGAUCGGAAACCUAUUUCUUAGAACAUCAAACAAUACCUAAUUAACGAUCUAUAAUUUUCAAAUCCUAAGAAAUCGAUUAUCAAAUCUUCUGAGAUUUCAUAUGCAGACUUUUUAACCUGAUGCAGAUUACUUCCGGCGGUUUGGAUUUCAAUUUAAGGGCUUCUAAGGUUCAAUAAAAAUCCAUUCCGGCGAAGAUUUACGGGCGAAUUCAACAAUUGCCCUAAAACCUUUCAGCAAUUGGAAAUUGAUGCAAUAUUUUACAGAGUAAAUGGGGACUGAAAUUAUAUAACAGAAAAAAUAGGUCAUAAUAAAUUCUAUUUUAAAUAACAGAUAAAAAACUAACAGCAAGAAAUGAGAUCGAGAGGAUACCCACCCAGGUAGGGCGGCAGUUGGCGACGAAGUCAGCGCGGGACUUCUUGCACUCGGCGGGGUAGAGGAGGCCGACGGUGGCGAUCUCGGUGGGCUUCUUGUCCGACUCCCUCUCCAAGCACGCGUAGAAGGCGUCCCGCGCCUGGCAAGAGAGAACGCACACCAACCGUUCGCUCAAUUGCGCGACUGAGGAAGAGUAUACAGUUGAAGAGGUGGGCGGGUUUGGGUUUGUUAUAUACCUUGUAGCAGGCGGCGCGGCCUUGCGCGAGGACGUCCGUCAUGACGGCGCCGUCUGCCAUCCGCGCGCGCGAAGCGAAAGCCGAGCUGUCAGCACGCGACUGCAGCAGCAGGCUGCAGGCGUCCGGAGUCGUCUAGAACCCCCCGGGGCCUGGGGCAGACAGUCUGAGAAAAAAGUAUACGGUGCACACGUUUUUUUUAAAAUAUUUUCAGGCCCAAUUCGAUUUAUAUUGGUCGGACCGGAUUGGACCCGGCUUGAUUAAUUAACUUAUAAAGCCUUAGGCUUCAGCAAGGCUGUUGCCUUGCCCGACUUUUUUUAGCUUCUAAUUUUGAGGUUCAGUCCAUCCUAACAUGUUUAGCCGCACUCUGACUUGACUUGACAAACAUUUGCGCCGGACUGGCUCGAUUUGGACGAUUUGGUUUGUUCUGGUUCGGCAUACUCUUAAGUGGGAAAGAAAAAUCUAGCUAGUUGAGAGUUAGGCCGCUGUAGUUUUAAAUUUUUUAAAAUAAAAAUUAAUUGGAUUUCAGGUUGGAUAUUUUAAGAAGCAUGAAGUUCUCUGUGCUCAUAAGUUAUUUUUAGUGAUGGAACUUUCGAAUCGAUGAUCAGAUUCGUUAUACUUAAUCUAAAGUAUAUGCAAUAUCUAGAAAAUAAAUUGUAUCAUUUUUCGAUAUCACACAAAAAAUAAUGCUACACAUUAAAAAUUUAGAGCAGAGAUAUUGAUCUUAUUUUAUAUAAUGUAAAAAAAAAUUUUAUUAAAAUUUUACAUGAUUGAGAUAUUUUUAUACAGCGAAACAUAUAAACGACUGACAUCAAUCAUUCACAUUGUUGAUUCAGAGUAUUUUCGAUCACUAAAUAAAUUUUCUAUCAAGAUAAUUGAUAGGUUGCGUCAAAUUGGUUCUUAUAUGAUAUUUUGUUUUUACCUCCUAAGUACUAAUCACUCUAGCAAAAUAACUAUCUUUACAUUCUCAUUUCAAGUGAAAGUUUUAUGUUCGAAGAUUUAAAAUUUUAUUUUUGAAUUUCCACAAGCAAUAGAAGUUAUAAAUAUUUUUAAUUUGCUAAACUUUCUAUAGGAAGUAAUUGCAGUUGAAAUUGAGACAGAAAGCAGGGUAAAUAAUUAAGAGUGAUCUCUAACAUUUCAAAUACCUGCGUAUUCACGAAGAAAUGGAAAAAUCCAUUAUGGCUGAAGUACAGUUCUGGAGAUCCACCUGGGGGGAAUGAUUGAGUUUGGAUUGUGGGUUCAACUUAUGUAAUUCAAUUUUCUGUAUGUGCUGAUUUUACUCUUUGUUCCACCGUACUCCAAAAAUAAAGUAAAUCCCUGUUUAAUCAAAAAAAAAAAAUACCUGCUUAUUAAAAUGUGAAGAGCAAUGCUAUUCAGUGGCCGAUCUAGAAAAUUUUCUAGAGGAUCAAAUAUGAAAUAAAAAGUAAAUAUAAUAAAUAAUAAUAAAUAGUAAUUGCAAUUGUUAAGAAUUAUUGCAUGAAAAAGAAUCCUGUACCAUUUUAAAUUAUAAGUAUUUUAGACAUAUUUUAGACAUAUUUUAAUGUUUGGAAAUGAUGCAUGAUGACAUUAUACGAUUAGAAAUUUUUUUUUUUCACUCAAACCACUGUUAUGUUAAAAGAAGUGUAAACUAUUUUUUAAUAUUUUAAUAGGUGCUUCUUUUUCUUACUUUGGAAUUAAGUUUGUAACAAUAAAAAAAUGUGCCACAUGAAAGCAAAAUACGAAUUUACUCAUUUAUUAAAAUAGAAUGAAAUCAAUUGGCCAAUAAAAUACAGUUAAUUACAAAAUGGGCCAAUAAAAUACAGUUAAUUACAAAAUAGACCCCACCUUUAGAGAUGUGGGGAUUGGGAUUGUUUUUGGGAGGAGUUAAUAAGAUCAAGGGCUCUUUUUGCAAAUAGCCCCCUGAAAAAUUUUUAUUUUAAAACUAGUCCUAUCAAAAUUGAAAUUGCAAAAAUGACCAUGUCCCUGCCACGCAGGCAUCACGUCAGUGCCACGCGGGUAGGGCUGGGGCCAGAUAAUUAAGUUGAACACGGUGAAUCAUUCACCGUGUUCAAACACGAUGAAUGGUUUACUGUGUCUAAAUAUGGUGAAUUGUUCACUACGUGGCAGAGGCAGGGCCAUUUUUGCAAUUUCAAUUUUGAUAAGGCUAGUUUUAAAAUAAUAAUUUCUCAGGGGGCUAUUUGCGAAAAAAGCCCUAAGAUCAAUUGACCCCACUCCAACUAAUAUAGAUAUACCACUAAAGCUGUUUAUAGGCAUAUUUUAUCAGCAUAAAUCUUUUACCUUUCUUUUUUUUAGAGAUAGAUAGCACGCUACUCGGUUCGUUUAUUUCAUUUAGAAAUAAAUUUAGCUGGAAAUGUGAAUAAUCAACUAGGAUUCGAACUUGGAUCUCGGGUACCAACCACCAAGCCCUUUGCCACUUGCUCUAGGUACGGUCGGUAUAAAUCUUAGGCCUUAUUCUUCAAAAGCUUAGGAUUUAUUUGUCAUAUCAAUUUUUAUAUUUUUAGUACUAAAUACUUAAACCCUUGGAUUUAAGGGCAGUAAGAUGUACACUCCUGUUGGGGGCGUAUAUGUAGCAUUUUUUAGAUGUUAAUUUUGGAAAACAAUUAUAUAUACGCAAUCAACUAGUCUAAAAAUUACAAGAAUUUCAAAAUUAAUGGUUUUAGGUGUUGGUACAUGAGGUCUCAAGUUCAAACCUAAUUAUUUUACAUUUUUAGCUGAGUUUGUUCUGAAAAAUUGAAUGAAGCAGGUAGCUAGCUUGCUAUCAUUCUCUACAAAAAAAAAAAUCCAACAUCAUUAACAAUUUAACAUAGUCCAAGCAAAAAAUUCUUUUGGAGAGGUGGGGAGGCACAAUCCAAGUUCAUCCAAAGGUAUAUUAAAAAUUGGGUCAAUUGCACUAUUGGUCCCUAUCGUUUGCACUGAUUGUAUUUGACAGCAAAUGAAUUUAAAUGUAAAAGUAAUGUGAUUAAUAUUUGUAAUAGCUUAGUAAUUAUAUUUGAUGCCUUUCUUAUGCAAUCGGUAUAAGAAUACUGUUCCUGUUUGGAACCACUUGAAUUGUACUGUUUGUAACGCCUUGAACGUACAGCUAGAAAAGACUAUUUCCAUUCGGCGAUCUGCUGGCGUGCCCGGAUCCGACCAAAGAGGCAGAUCUCGGAGCGUGACAGAUAAGGUGGUAUCAGUUUCCAACUUCUUUUUUUUUUUUUUUUUUUUUUUUACGUUAAGUCGACUCCAACCUCUUAAUUUUAUUACAAUUAAGCCCCAGCCAUUAAAAGGACGUCAAAAUUAACAGAAUCACAACUUCUGCACCAGGCAGAGAGUUUAGGUCCAGGUCAAACCGACAUGGACCCAAGAAAUUGACUUAUAUUCUACAGCUCAUACAGGUUGACACAGUCUCAAAAGCUACGUGACUAAUUAAGCAGAAGAAGCACAAAGAAAAAUUAAUAAACUCCAAAAAUCUCCAUCUGUAAUAAGUUUUGGGUCUUAUUUCUAAUAAAUUAAGAAAUUCAAAUCCUAUUCUAAAUCAAAUCCUAAAAGUUUAGCCAUUUUCUAAUACAAAUAUAUCUAACCCUAAUUAAAACUUCCAAAAUUAUAUCCCUAAUUUUUAAGAAUUAUUCCUCAUAGAACAAGCCUAAAUCUAAAAAAAAAUACAACUAAAACAAAAUUAGCAAAAUAAAAAUUUCUAAAAUUAAAAAAUAAAAUUUUAAUCCUAAUUAUUUUUUGAUUGUGUCAUUCACUUUCGCUGCAACUCAAUAUAUUCGCGGUGUUAAUUGAAUUCAGAAAAUAAUAUGAUCUAAUGAUACAAUCCUAGUCCCGCAAUAUAUAUGAACUGAUUUAAUAAAAUAAUUGACCAACUCCCUUGACUUAAAUUUUAGAAUUGUUGGUACAAGACCCAGGUGUAAUUGAAGAAAAGAAACUGAUUUCGUAUCUUCUUCUUCUACUUCUUCUUCUUCUUCUUAUGCUCCAAAUCGGUAAUUUUUUAUUUUGUCUUUUGGGCACUUUAACCGGGCUUUGAGUUUUAAUGCAAUAAGUUUCAUCUUCUUAUUCUCGAGCACAUCUUUAUAUUCAAAAAUAUGCUUGAUAUGCCGAUCGUCCCUAGAGCAAGUGGCAAAGGACUUGAUGGUUGGUACCCAAGACCCAAAUUCGAAAUAUGCUUGAUAUACCGACCGUCCCUAGAGUAAGUGGCAAAGGGUUUGGUGGUUGAUACCCGAGACCCAAAUUCGAAUCCUAGUUGAUUCACAUUUCUUGCUAAGUUCAUUUUUAAAUGAAAUAAACGAAACAUAUAGCGUGCUAUCUAUCUCUCAAAAAAAUAUAUAUAUAUGCUUGAUAUAUCGUGUUCAACAAGUCAUUAAUCGAAGCCCUCUGCCUGUAGACCUUUCGAAUAUUUCGAAAGCUCCAUCUUGAUACUCAAAUUGACCCACCGAUCUAUGCAAUCGCUGCAGCCCGUAGCAUGACCCUGCACAGUCAUCUCUUAGCUAGCUCCAUGCAUAGAGAGGGCCAUGCAAGGGGUUCUCAAAGCCGGAAGACUUCGAAUGAAGGUCGUCAUCUCCUUGGCCUUGACUUUCGACUAUCAACAGAUGUGUGGUCGAAGCCUCGAUCAAUCUGCUUUCUCAAUUCUUUGAUCUCGAUAUUACGAAGAUCUCUUUGACCUUGGGGUCUUGCGCUUGCAGGCUCCUCGUCGUUCACAUUGCCAAGAUUAUUGUCCACAGCAAACGUCACGACCUUGAAUCGCAGGCAGCAUCCUGAUUCGUGUUCUAAUUUAUUCUCCGACCGCCAGCCAUGUCAUGCGAAAGCACCACUCCAAGGGUCGAGCUAGCUAGAAUACUAACUGACGCAACUCUAAAAGCUACGUGACUAAGAUGAAAAAGCACAAGGAUGAGAGAGGAAUAAGUACUACCAUCCGAGAGAGAAAAAUCAUCUUCUACAAUAAGUUUCGGGUGUUAGGAUUUGAUUGGAUUUGUGGUUUCUCUAAAUUAAGAUUUAAAUAUUAAUUUGAGUAUAAAUCCAAUUACAUUAGGAUAAAUAUUUAAAUCUAUUGGUGAUAAAUCAAUUAAGAUUUAAAUAUUUAAUAGAGUAGGAAUUCUAAAUAUAUUAGGAUUGGGGUACGUUUUGGUGGAGCUUUAUAAAUAACUCUUGAUGGGAUGCUUUUGGGGUUGGUAGUACUGCCAAGUUGAGAUUCUUGAGGAACUUACGGUGAGGUGUUUUGAAGCCAUUGGUGGACCGUCUAAAGAGAAGUUUGGCCAUGAGUUGCAUGCACCUAGUGCACGGGUGCAUGUGAGAGAGAAGAAGUGAAGGGUUGUCUUCUUUAUGGGUUUAUAGAAGACGAGAAAAGGGUAUGAGAGAUUUAAUAAAGAGGGCUCGGGUUGUAGCUUCUCUAUCCAGAAGAAAAGUCAGGUGUAAUCUUCUCUUAUUUAAUGAAUCUUAUUUUAUCGGCAUAUUUUCUAUUUUGUUGUUUUCUCUCUUUUAUAAUUGUAUCAGCUUCUGCUGAGGAGACGGAUUUAUUAUAAAAAUCCGAUUCGACGCUUCUGUUGCGGAAUCCCAACAAUCGGUACCGGAUCCACAACAGUCAGUAUUGAAGCAGGUUGCGGAUUUACAAAAUUCGGUACCUGGGCGAGCACUGGAUUCCCAACAUCGGAUCCUACUUAUAAUAAAAUUAGAAAAAUCCAAAUCCUACACUAAAUCAACUCUCAAAAUUUUAACAAUUUUCUGAAUAUAAAAAAAUAUAUUUAUCUAAUCCGAAGUUAAAACUUUCAAAAUUACCAAACAAUAAAAUUUGAAAAAAUUGAAAAACGACCCAAUUGUCAAUAUGAACCCCUGUAACUCUUGAUUUACAUGUCAUUUACAUUCUGUGAGAGACAAUAUAUUCUCACUAGCAAUUUAGUUCCCAACAUCACCUGGUCUAUGGUGUAGCCUUGUAAGAGUUUAUUCCUAUAUAUCCUCUCAAAUCAUCUGGUAUCAAACUCAUCCUCAUGGCAUCUCAUCCAUGGUGAUCACUAGUUGGUCUUCUCAGCCUCUCGUUGUGAGCCCCACCUGCGCAAAUUACUGGCUGAUCGAACCCUCCACCUUCAUCAUUGGGCACUUGUCUUCGUGAUCAAAAUGCUCUUUCACACCGAAUAGGGCUUUAGGUCCCGCCCUACGCAAAAGUUGCAGCAGAAGCUAGGCCACACAAGCAUCUCAAGAGAGAAGAGUACUAGGUUUGAUUCUCAAGGCAUCUUUUAUUAGCUUUUUCCCCUAACACUCGCAGUUAUUCGUAAUCGAGAGUUAAGUAUUCAAAAUCCAAGAUAUGGUUUUGAUUUUGUAGUUUCACUUUGCAUACAAGUUAGUCCAAAGUCAUGGUCCCUUUGGUCCAUUAAUCCACAUAUUCUAAAGUGAUGCUACAGGUAUAAAUAUAUACUUUAUAUAUAUAUAUAUAUAAACAAAAUGCUCAAAGCUAAAUGCAUGGUCCCUCUUAUGAGAUCACUCCAAAUAUUCCCAGGAUAUCGACCUCGGCACAUUUCUUUUGGAAUCUUGGACCUACCUAUCAUGCUUAUAUUUUUCAGAAAAAGCUCUAAAAUACUUAUUCUUCAUUGCACUAUAUAUAUUAUAAUAAUAAGUUGCGAUACCCUUUUAACGUAUGGGAAUCUAAUAAACUUGUCAUGCGUGCAUGCUCCUUUGGAAUUCAUAUUCAAAAUGGCAACAAGAGGGGACCAGCGCUUAAGAAAAUUCAAAAUGGCAACGCGCCCUUUUCAUGUGUGAUCUUAUGUUUCCAUGUGUAAUCUUAUUCUUUCAUGAUUAAAUCAAGUUGUCAUGUGGAGAGGGUUGUAACAAAGAGGCAUCGAUCGUCGCCUUUUUAACGCAAAGAGCAGUUUAUAAUAGCACUACAAAAUUUUUGGUGAUAUAGUGCAGUAAAACUUUUCUACACAAAUAAUUCGGUUUAUAAUUUCGAUUCACUAGCUCAACCAUAGCUUCGCAGAAGUGUCCUCUGAGUACAGCUAUAUCAAGAUUUAUUAGCAACUUUUUGAGUUAAACAUUGUUUUUGAGCUUUCGCCUUUCGAGCUUUGUUAAUUUUACCUUCAGGUGACAAAAAGAAGCCACAAGUUUUUAUCCAUCGCGCACUUGUUACUCGAUCGAAGCAAAGUUGUUUUCCGAACUAGACUAGAAUUAUCAUGUAAUAGGAACAGGACUUUUUUUUUUUGAUUAAACAGGGAAACAACCCUAUUUUACAAGUUGUGUGUAAGAUUACAAGGUGCUACUUAGCACUCCAACCCGCAGUGGACAAGGACAGCCAACAAAAGGUCCCUUGAACGACCCCCAAGCGAAAAGAAGAACAAAACAGAAUCGAACAAUACAGUAAACGAAACACAAACAUCUAGCACAAACAAAAAGCAAUCAAACUCGAGCAGUUUAUGCACCUAGGUACUGGUAGAGCUAAACCCCGACUUCCAACAUAGAGCUGUUUCGAAAAUACAUGUACCCAGGACGUCGCCGCGGACCUGCCGAUUAUCGAAUAGUCUUCUGUUCCGUUCUUUCCAGAUCUCCCAGAAAGUCGCUGCGAUGGCAAGAUCUAAAUUGAAUAGAUUUUGUUCAGUAACCAACCGCCUAAGACGACACCAUCGAGAUGCGAUUCCAUUAGGCAUCGGCUGUCUGCAAGGUUGAGUGAAUGUAAUUCGUCGUAGAAGUCCAGUCCACACCGAAGAUGCAUAUCUGCACAGAAGGAAAAUGAAAUGGCCUGAAAUGGCCUUUCAAUUCUAAAGGUUCAUGCAUGGUUUUGAGUGUACUCAUAUACAACUUAAUUAGUGCACCGUUCUAGUUAGUAUUUGACCAUUGAUGAUAAAUGUUUCAAAAUUAAAAUCUAACCCAUUACAAAUAGAUGUAUACGACGUUUAAAGAUGCUAUGUAUUUAAAACAAGUUUUUUUCAAAUAAACUAAAUAGUUAAUAAAGGAAUAAAUGGGAAGGAACACGAAAGAUCCUUUUUUUGGCUCUUUCUUUGGCCCUAUUCGAUCUCUUAUCCCUUUUGUCCAAUUUCUAGGAAAAAAGUAUUCUAACUUUAUAAUUGUAUAUACCAAGAAUUUAAGUGUUGUGGCACAAACCCAUGUCGGAAACUUACCGAAACAGUACAAUACGGUGCGUGUCGGACCGUGCCGAUACGUGUCGGUCACAAAAAAUAUAUGUGUCGUAAUGAAAUGAAAUAUUUAUUUUCUUUAGUAACAAAUAAUGCCAAUUAUUUAUUAUGUAUUUUUAUCAAAUUUUUUAAACUUUAUCGAAAAAAUUACUUACUAAUUUUAAGAAUAGAGGGUUUUGAGUUGUGCCAUCGGCACGGGGUCUGUAUCGUGCCGAUAUCUUAUUGACACGAUAUGGCACGGUGAAUACGGUACAUGCCGAUGAGCAUUUUAAUCCUUGAUAUAUACACAUAUAUAUAUAGUCUUUUUUAAAAUAUUAUAAAUAUAUAUUUUAAUAAGUCAAAUUUAGGCUUUGAGGCCUUUGAAGUAUGAUUUUAACAAUGUUCCAAAUAAUUUGCUUGGAAUUAAAAUAUUACCACUUCUAAAAAAAAAUUAUUAAUUGGGUGGACCCACUGUUGACCAGCCAUCUAACUAGAAACUAUUGAGUUAAAUAUCGGCAUUUCACUUAACGAAUCUAUAAAGAAAGAUAAAUUCUAAUUAAUUAAUUAAUCCUUCCUAAGACAACUAAUUAAUUACUAAUUAAUUAUGCUCCUCCCCCUCCCCCCAAUAAAAGGGGGGUCCACACCACUCACUGCCUCUACCUGCACCAAGACAGUUUUUUUUUUUUUUUUUUUUUUGAGGGAAAACACCAUGCACCUAGACAGGCUCAUGGCCCGAAAUUCAACCAAUGGGAAAAGAUACCAAAAAAAAAAAAAAACCUAACACACCGUUAUCUGUUCGUUUUACCGUUCAAUUCUAUGCAACAACUAAAUUAACCACCAACAAUUCAACUAAAAAUACAAGGGUCACCGACCGUCCUAGAGUAAGUAGCAAAGGGCUUGGUGGUUGGUACUCGAGACCCAGUUUGAAUCCUAGUUGAUUCACAUGACCAGUAAGUUUAUUUUAAAUGGAAAUAAACGACGGGUAGCGUGCUAUCUAUCUCUCAAAAAAAAAAAUAAUACAAACGGGUCGGAUCUGGAAGCUCAGGGUGUUUACCUCCCCGCUCCCUACGUUAUUUUUUUUUUUUUUUUUUUUCGAUUGAAACAACUUGUUUGGCCUUCACUAUAGCUCCAGGUUGAGAGCAGAUUUUUAGUGAAUUGAGACGGAUCAAAGGAAUGCAGGGGUUUUUUUUUGCCUCUAGCUCCGUUUUUGAAGCGAGAUGAAUUAUUCCUUUUCUUAUAUUUGGCCUCUACUUAUCGCCUCAUUCGGCAUGGAGUAGAGUGAGAGCUCCAUCAACCCCCAUAUAUCCAUUUGUAUCCCUAAGUUUAAUCUGCCUACAUGAUUUAUUAUUUUAUUUUACUAUUGUGAAAACAUAUAUAUGGACACCCUCUCCACUAUAAGUCAUUUUAAUUGAAUUAGGCAACUAAAUUUUUUUCUUUUUAAGUGACAUCUCAUUAAUUUGUAUACGUUGUGAUUUAAGUCAUAAGUCAUUUAGUACCAAUUAAACUAAUAAUAAUACAAUAAUUUGAAGAGAUUAUGCUAUAUUUAUGAACAAGGCCAUUUUGCAUAAAAAAAUUUACUAGUUUUGCAUUUUUACAAUGUGUGCCAAUUUUUUCGCUUUUCCAUAUUCGAAUCAUUUUUUUUUUAAGACCAAAUAUUCAUAUUCUCUCUCCUUGCUUUCUUUCUCCUCCUGCUUCCUUCACUACUCCUCCUCGUCCCUCUGUUGCCCCUGUGCUCCUUCCCUAUCUAGCCCACAAGUGUGAGGACGAUGACAAAACUUGACUCGCUCGUCACCAUGGCCAAUCUUGGCGUUCUCUGGCAAGGGAGCUGCGAGAGACGAGGGUGACACAGCUCAGAGCUUGUCGGAGACGAAAGGUGGCAGAGGAGAAGGGCGAUGAUUGCUGGCGAAAAUACUCUCGAAGCAAGUAUGCGAGUGUGGCCGCAAUGGGGAGGUGGUGGUGGUAACAAAAGAGGAAAAUCUAGCGGAUAAUGCAAUGUUACACUAUUUAAAAAAGUUGCACUAUUUAACGAUAAGUUGCACAAUUUGAUAAUUGUAAAAUAGCACAACUUUUUUUGUCAAAUUGUACAACGUAUGGAGUAGAGCUACUAUACUAUCGGAAUAUAGAGGAUCUGGUGUUAGGAUUUCCAUAUAUUGUGGCCCAAUUAAUCAUAUUCAAAUCUGCAUUUAUUAUAAAUAAAGAUCAAUCCUAAUAGAUAUAGAACUACUUGAUAUGGUAUAUUUUAUCCCUAUCCCAUCUAUUUUAAAUUUAAAUAGAAUCAUAAUCAGACUUUGAUGGGAAGUUAAUCUGGACUCUAUAUAAAGGGGUAUUGGUCCUGCCACCUUUUUAUACGUAUUCUGGUGAAGAAUUAUCAUCGAUUCCACACCAUAGGGUAGAGUGCAUGAGAUAGCAGGAGAAACCAAAUUACCUAAUUCGGUUCGUGAUUUACAGAUCAUAGCCGAAUUUCUCGCUUCCGCAGAUUGAUCAAGAAUUUAUUCUUUAUGACGCUCUGUGAGUUAUUUUAUCUUAUUUGAUCCUAGAUUUUGGUAUGUAUUUAAUUUGCUUCUUGUUUUACAUACCUAGAAAAUCUAUCAUUUGGUUCUUCCGAUUUUUUGACCCUUAGAUCAACCUCUUUGAUCAUUUCUAACAUUUGGCUUAAUACUAUUAUCCUGUGAGGACCACUCAACUCUAGUGGGUACUCAACCUCAGGGGGGACCAUAUUCAGCCCAACCGUACAAUUUUUGAUCCAAGGGUUAAAAAGUCGAAAGUAUUAAAUCCUCUAUGCUUCCAAUAGCAUAGUAGGUCUACACCAACAUAUGUAUAAAUAGCGCAACUUUUUUAAAUAGUGCAAUAUCACGUCGUCUGCCAGAUUUUUCUUUCUCACUAUCGUCACCGCCUAACAGUUGUUGGCCACGCCUGUGGACCCACUCGCGAACAUGCUUCAGAAGUAUCCAUGACCAUUCACAACACUCUCCUCCUAGGCCACCUUCCUCUCUGCUCUGGCAAAGCUCUGAGUAGCCACAACGAAAAAAAUACCCCAUUUUGUAAAAAUACAAAAUCGAUGAAUUUUUUAUGAAAAGGCCUACGCACAAACAUACAAACUUGCAUUUAGAAAUUAAUUACUUAAUUGGUUUGAGCUCCUGGAUCUCUUCCUUGGUUUUUUGUGAUUCACAAAUUAUGAGCAUAAUAAUAAAAAAAAAAGCUUUGUACUCCUAAUAUUCUCAACAUCAAUGAGCACAAAUGCAUAAUUAUUUUCAGUCAUGCGAAACACUAUAGACAAGUGAAACUGCACUUACAACUUAUUUGAAAGAAAUCUCACCAAACAUAAAAGGGUUGGAACGGCAACCGCAAACCAGCAUGCAGUAGUUGUACGUCCUCUCAUUAAGAAUGUCAUUCAAUUUUUCAUCAGAAAAACACAACUGUGUAUUGCCAAUAAAUCUUCAUAUUAAAUAUGUCCCCCUACCCUGUCUCCAAUCUCUAGAUUUGAAUUUCCAUAUCUACCAUAGACAUUAAUUUGUCUGUAAUUUUGUAGCCACUUUUGUUUGCUUUCUAUUGAUCAUUUAGUUUCCACCAAGCAAACACAGGAGUUUUGAAAUUAAUUGCAUCUUUUAUAAUGCAUCAUUUAGUUUUGAAAUUAAAUGCAUCAUUUAGUUUGUUGAGGAAAAGGUCUCAAAACCAUCACAACUUUGUCCAAUUUAAAGCAUGCACUCCAUUUGAACUCUUAAAGUAUUACAAUUUUCCAAUUAAAUAAUGCUUUUAUUUCAAUUCACUAUAAAGUUUCUGUGUUACCACCACCCUGAAUCCUAGAAUAUAUGAUCGGGAUAUGGUCUUUUUCUUAUUAGAUUAGAACAUAUAGUUUAUCUAACAUAUCUACUAGAUUAGAAGUAUCUUUCGAUUUAAUCUAUUUUUAUCAUAUUAGAAUUAUUUAUUUAUUUAUUUUGAGAGAGAUAGGUAGCACGCUACCUGCUUCGUUCAUUUCAUUUAGAAAUAAACUUAGCUAGAAAUGUGAAUCAACUAGGAUUCGAACUUGGGUCUCAGGUACCAACCACCAAGUCCUUUGCCACUUGCUCUAGGGACGGUUGGUUAUCAUAUUAGAAUUAUUAUAGUGAUUCUAGACCUAUAAAUAAGAAACUCUUCUCUUUCAAAAUCAAUGGAUCAAAUUUAUUAAUAAAAAAGUUAGUUUCUUUUAAUGGCUUCUAACAUAGGCUAAAUUAGAAGAGGAGGUUUCUCUUUAAUUUCCUUUGGAGCAAAUUAAGAUGUUAAAUCUAUCUAUCGAUUUUAAAGUUAUAGUUAGGAGUGGAAAAUUAAUUCUAACAAUUUGGCAUUAGAACCUUUGUGGAGUCUAAAGUCGAAGACCUUAUCUUCUCUUUCACAUUCACAUUUGAUUCGAGAUUAGAGUUUUCGACGCACUCAACAUCUUGCGUACUCUCUUCUCCAAGUGAUCAAAUCUAGGGUUUCAACCUACAUCAACUUUUGCUUAGCAUGAGUGCCUAAGUGAGAGAAUUUGAGCCUGUUCGAGUCGUUAAGAGCAAUUAAAACCGAGUCAUUUCUUGAUGAACGAGUUCGUUCUUACUUAAUUUGAGCCGUCUUUAAUCCAGCUAAGUGCUCUCUACUUAAUAAAUUUAUUAAAGUUACAUUUUUAUUAAAAAAAUUCCCUUGCAGGUCAUCUAAAAGAGAUUUUGGAAACUCCAUUAUUUCGUUUUUAUAAUGAUGAAUUAAUCAGAGAAGAGUAAUAUCGAAUGAUCUAUGGCAAAAGUAAAUAAUCAACCAAUUACAGGCCAUGGAGCGACGCUAAAAUCCAAGCCUUAAAAGCUUUUAUAUCACAGAUGAAGUAGGAACUUGAAAAUUUUUAAGCAAGCUCUCAGUUAAAAGACGGGGAUUCAAUAUCAGCGUCAGAAAUACGAUUGUGAGUCAAUCCAAAUAAAUCUCAGUUGGUUGAUAUUUGGUCUAAAAUUUGUAAUGGUGACGAUCUAACUACUCCGCAGACUAUCGUUCGACAAACAAAAUUCCUAACUCCACACAGCCAGGCAUUGCCUGAUAGAAUUUGGUUAGAUUUGUAGUUGAUUUUUUAAUUGAAUAAGAAUUAAUAUUUAAAUCUUUUAGAGAUAUAUUAAGAUUUAUAUAUUAAUUAGAGUAUAAAUCUAACUAGAUUAGAAUAAAUAUUUAAAUCUAUUGGAGAUAAAUAAAAUAUAGAUUUAAAUAUUAAUUGAAGUAGAAAUCCUAAUUAUUCUAGGAUUUGGGUACAUCUUGGGUGGAGCCUUUUAUAUAGGGCCAUGGUAUGCAAAUUGUAAUGUGCCUAGGUACUAACCAGCGAGAGUGAGCCUUUUAUUGGGUGGUGUGCCGAGAGAGGGAGCUUAGGCAUUGCAUACAUCUAGUGCACGGGUGCAUGUGAGAGAGAAAAAAAGAGGUCUUCUUUUAUGGGUUUAUAGAAGACGACAGAAGAAUAUGAAAAAUUCAAAAAGAUGACUCGGGUUGUAACUACUCUAUUACAAAGAGUAAUCAAGUAUAAUCUUCUCUUAUUUAAUGAAUCUUAUUUUAUUCGCAUAAUUUUCGUUUAGUUGUUUUCUCUCUUUUAUGAUUAUAUCAGAGCUUGUGCUGAGGAGACGGAUUUACGAUAAAAAUUCGAUUAGACGCUUCCAUUGCAAAAUCCCAACAUCCGGUACCGGAUCAACAGCAGUCAGUAUCGGAGCGGGUUGCAGAUUCUCAAUAUCUAGUAUCAGGGCGAGUACCGGAUUCCCAACAUUUCCUCCAUCAGUUCCUCUACCGUCGCCUCCGCUGGUUGUUCCACCAUCGUCGCAACCAUCAAUCAUUCAUUCACUAUUGCCUUGUCCGGUUGUUUCUCAGUCGCUUCCUCUAGCAGUUGUACUUCCAUCAACACUUUUACGUAUCAUUCCUUCGGCGUCGUUGCUAUCUAUAUCUGUUUCAUUACUUUAUUCAUUAUCGGAUAUGCCAAAGAUGUUACCGCGGUCAGUUCCUCCGAUUUCUCUUACUUAAGAAGACAUUGAUGUGGUUUUGUCAAUGAUUAAGUUGAUUGCACAAACAAAAUUAUUUGGACUUAAUCAUAAACUAUUGUACUAUAUUGCCUCACUCUUUGAGGAUAAAGUGUGUUUCAAGGGAUAAGGAUUGUUACGAUCACCCUAAAUUCUAGAACGACCUGAAUAUGAAAUCUUUUUCUUAUUAGAUUAAGAUUAUUGUGCUAAUUAGAUUAAAAAAUAUUUUAUUUAAAGAUUAACUAGAUUUGGAAUUGCUUUUGAUUUAUUCCACUUUUAUUUAAUUUAUCAUAUUAGGAUUAUUAUAUAUAGUGAUUUUAGACCUAAAAAUAAGAGGUUCUUCUCUUUUGUCAUCAAUAGAUUAAUUUUAUCAAUAAAGUUCUUCUUAAUGGCUUCUAAGUUAGGCUAAGUUAGAAGAGAAGGCCCCUCUUCUUCUUGGAGCGGUUAGACAUCUAAUAGAAACGUUAGGUAUUAAAAUUACAGAUAGAAAGGAGAGAUCAUGACAUUCGAUUUUGUUCAUAGUGGCCGGAUGUUUAUUAGUAACUUAACCACCUAGCUGGCUAAGGGGUUUUUUGUGGAGUGCGAGAGAAUUCUUGUUUUAAGUGGCUAAUUUCAACAUUUUAAAGUUGAGGGUAAACACCCUAGUGGUUUAACGUCACCUUGCCAUUCUAUAAUUUAUAAAAUUGCACUUUAACAUCAUAUAAUUUAUUUUAAUUCGAUAGAAGAAUCAACCAACAAAUAAGAUAGUAAAAUAGCACAUUUUAAAAGUCACAAGAAGGUAAAUUAUAGUAUUUAUUAUAAGAGUAAUGCUUCUAUAUUUGUUAUUUUUCACUACCGUUCAUUUAUUUCUAUUCAAUGGUUUACACUUAAUUUUUCUUCUUUAAAUUGUGACCUGCAAUAAUAGGUCACUUUGAGAGAGGUACCGGUUAUCAGGUACCAAAAAAAUGGAUUCUUUAGUCUUUAAUACGUGGAUAAUUUAAUAAUUUUACUUUCACUAUAUUAUCAAAUAUCUCUUCUCUCUUCGUUUCUUUUUUCUCUCUCUAUCUUUCCUCUUCAUUCAUAGUAGAGAUGUAAAGGGGUUGGAUUCGGGAUGGAUUUUCAAAAAUCUGAACCCAAAUUUAACUAUCAAACCUGAAACUUAAACCCAAAUCCAAAUCCGACGAAUAUUAGAAAAUCAUAUUCACACUCGUACUCGACUUAAAAUCCGAAACCCAAACCCUAACCAGGACCCAAAAACUCGAACCUGAAAUAUUAUUCCUCUUUACAAUAUUUCAAAAUAUAUUCCUAAUCAAUUACCCACAUUCAAAUUUUUUUUUAAAUAGUAAUACAAAAUUAAUGUCUAAGCUAGAAAAAUUUUAAAAUCUUUUUAAACACAUUAAAUAUGUUGAAUUUAAAUAUUUAUCUAUAUUAAAAAAUUUUAAAUUAGUGAUACAAAAUUAAUCUCUAAAUGAGAGGAAUUCAAAAUUUUCGUAAACAUACGUUGAAUUUAAAUUUUUAUCAAUAUUACAAUUUUUUAAAUAAUGAUACAAAAUUAAUUUCUAAAGUAGAAAAGUUUUAAUUUUUAAAAUAUAUUAAAUAUGUUUAAUUUAAAUUUUUAGCAUGCACAAUUUUAUUUAAAAUAUAUUAAAUAUUAGGUUAAAUUACAGAAAAUUUUCUGUCAAUAUCUGAGUUUUCAUUUUCUUUUCCUGUCAUUAAAAAACCUAUACUUUGCCCCCUUAAAAAAUAAAAAAUGUUCACAAGAAGUACACUGUGACAAAAUGACCAAAUUACUCCUCAUCAUCUUCGUCUCCUCUCCAAUCCGAAGCCUCUUCUCCUCCGCCAUGGCCUCUUCUCCUUCCUUCUUUGCGCCUCUCUCGACCCCAAUUCCGACUCUGUUUUCUCCAUUUGCUCCCCCGCUCCUCCAGUACCUAGCUGCCUUUCCAUUUCGGCGACUGUAAGGAGAAAGAUUGGGAUGGACGCGGGCGGAGAGGUGGGCGAGGGCGAAUUUCGGCGACUGUAGGGAGAAAGUUCAGGGUGGGCGUGGACGGAGAGAUAGGCAAUGGCAAGGGCGAGGGUGAGAACAUGUGUGUGGGCAUGGUCAGAGGUGUGGGUGAGGGUGAGGCGGCGGAGGGCGAGGCGGCACAGCCGAGGACGUCGGUGAGAAAGGAUAAGGAUUUCACAGAUAUUUUGAAUAUAAAAAAUAAGACAUAAGUAAAACUCUAAUGAAACACUGAUGGCGGGGACCAAAAUGAAUAUUUUUUAUUUUUUAAGAGAGCAAAAUAUAGGUUUUCAAAAGACAUGGAAAAAAAUGAAAAAGCAAAUAGUGACAGAGAAGUUUUUCGUAAUUUAGCCCUUUUUUUUGAUUUUUAGUAUUAAAAUAAAAAAUUAAUACACAUACAGAUUAUGGUUGUACAGAUAACUAUACAUUUAAAAUUGGAUGUAAAUCUUGCAAAGCUAAUUUAUCACAAUUUUAUAUUCUAAUAUUAAAAUUUUUUAAAAUUUGUCUAAUCUAACUCUUUUUCUCUUUCUCCUUAAUUUAGUAGUGAUCACCACUCCCGAAGCUACAGUAGCAGGUUUUAUCGAGCCAUGGAUAAAAGUAUUAUUUAGUUCCUGCCUAGUUGUUUGUUAGCUAAUUAGAAUCUGGGAUAAAGUUAAUUUCCUCUCAAGCUCUAGAAUUAUCAGUACGAAAUAUCCGGUGUUCCCUUGCGCCUAAUACUAGGGUUUCUGAAACGUUUAACCUCCCCACCCCUCUCUCUCUCUAUAUAUAUAUACCUAAGCAAAGAGAGAAGGGGAGAGAGAACAAAGGGGAGUAGAAGUAUGCUGAAGAAGCAAGCGAAAGAAGAAGCUCAUGAAUGAACGCCACAAUUAAACAUUUCUCUUCGAUCUCCUUGCGUUUUCUUUUAUGUUGAUCGAUUGGGUAAACAGUUGCAGGUUUGGAGGCGGAGGCGGCGCAGAUUAAGGGCGCGAAUCUGAGUGUUGACAGAAGAGAGUGAGCACACAGCGGCGGUCGGCGCCGAGGCGCGGGGGAGAGUGCCGUCCGCUCGCCUGCGUGCUCACUUCUCUGUCUGUCAGCACUCCUCUCCCCCUCUCCUCGCUCACCUCCCCGUUCCUUCCUGCUGCUUGCAGCACUCCUAAUUUUAACCCCUCCCUCUCUCUCUCUCUCUCUCUCUCUCUCUGAUUUUUAUUUCAUUCUUAUCUUGUGUGUGAGAUUUAUGACAGAGAGAGAGGAAAAAACUGAAAGGCGGACAGACUGUACUGCCGAUACGCGUGGGAGCGAGGGAGGUGUGCCGGCUGUCCGGCCCUGAAACGUCCUCUCCGGGCUCGGAUUCCAACGGAUAAGUUCUUAUUAUUGUUGUUGUGUGUAUCAGUGUAUACGCUUGCUCUUUUUCUUUUUAUAGGUUAUAAUUCAUAUCUAUUUCUUUCUCUUGAUUUAGUAGUAGUGCCUCGAAGAAAAAGAUUGAGGCGUGCAGUACAGGGAGCCGGAGAGCGGGACUUUUUAGGGCUCUCUCUCUCUCCCCCUGCAGCUUGUCCGGAUUUAACGGAAAUCACUGUUUGACCAAGUCCUCCUCCUCCGCUCUCUCUCUUUCUCUCCACUUCUCUCCUCCUCUUUACAACUUCCAUAACCUUAUCUUCAUCCUUUUUUUUUUUUUGUUUUUUUGGGUAUUAAUGAUGAUUUUGUGGAACCUUUACCACCUGAUCUCUCAUCACCCACUAUUUCCAUUUCAGAAUAAUAUUUUACUUUUUUCUUUUUGUUUUUUUUGUGCAUUAUCUCAUGCUCUAGCUAGCAAAGCAAGAUCUCUUAUGGAUAUAAAGCAACCACCAUAUAUCCCCCAAGGUAUGUUUCUUGAACCAGCUCUUUUUUGUUUGUCUAAAAUAACAUAUACUGCUUUUGAUGAACUUCUUCAUGCCCAUUGAAUCAUUCCAAUGUCCUCAUUCAGUGUGGUCUGGCUUAAUCCUCUAACUUUAAUCCUCAUUUGACAUUUCAUUCUUCCGUUUUGUUCUUGUUAGAUUAAGCAAAGCAGGCAGUUGUAGUCUCCCUAUCAUCUGAUAUAAGAUGUUAUGGAGAAAGUCUUUUACUUUUCAAUUUACUGGUGGGGAUUGUUCGUUUCUCGUUGAAUAAACGGAUGCGAAUACUUUGACAAAUAUAUCUAAUCGUUGUUCUCUUCUUUUGUUGGAAAAUUCUAUGCCGUGUGCAAACUAGUUUUUAAUUGGAGCAGUUUGUUGAACCUGACCAUUUCUUUUGCGAGUUAUGUGAAGUUGAGUUCUUGACAAUAUCUCUAGCAAUAAAUUUCCCGACGAAAAAGUCGUGGCGGUGAAGAGGGCUAUAGGUGGAAUUGAUCUUUCAUGGGUAAGCGCCGUGCUUUUGUUUUUGUUGAGUUAUGGAUUUUAAGAAGUCUUCAAUUGAUGUCAUGUAUUUAGGGUAUAUUUAGGGUUCUAUAACAAUCUGCAAAAUUAAGGCCAACUACUUCGUCGAAAAUUCUGAUAAAAUGAUUUUAUUGUUUCUGGGGUUCAUUUGGUUGUUGUUUCGGUUCAAAAGUUGAGUUACCUAAUCCUUGAGCAAGUCCAAGGGAACUGUCAAAUCAAACAACGCAAUAGUUAAUGGGGUGUCAAGUGUUAACAAAUAAUUAAGUAUCCACGUACAAUUGAACAAAAGAUUAUGGGAUCCUUACAUCUGUUUCCCUCAAUUAAUCAAAAAUGUUGAACUAUAUAGAAGGGGAUGAUAAAAAGACCAAGAAAGUGAAAGCGAUAUCCUUUUUGUGGGAAUAAAUAUGUCCAGUUGGUGAACUAAAAAUUUAAGCUACCCUGACCAGGCGCAUCGCUGACUUUACUGCCUAGGUGUUUAUUGUCUAUGUAAAUAUAGUUUAUGUUUGAGGUGUAUAUGGGAAGUAUGGGUUAUACAUGGUCUAGCAUCGGGAUUGACUUUUUAUUAACAUCUUUUUUAUAUGCUUUAUAAGUUAAAGGAACCUUUAUUAUUAUGAUAGGGGCUAUCUUUCAAAUUCUUUCUUUAUUCUAUACUGCAAUAAAAAUUUUAAUAAAUUGGUAAAGAUAUAUUACAUAAGUGCACAUCAUCUUUAUCUAACAUAUGAUCUCUUAUGUGUACAUUUUGUAUACAGUAGCAGGCAGUCUUCUAUUUUGAGGGCCAAAUGAUGUUUUUAGCCUUCCUAGAACUAUUCUCUUGCGCCUUCUUUCAAGUUUUUUCCUUUUAACUUCUACGAAUGUAGACUCGGACAUUCUAUUUAGGAGUCCGGCUAGAAUACUAUCGAUAGCACCAAGCGCUUAGUGCUACCGAGUUUUUCGCCGUUAGAUUUAACCCUUUGACUAUUUUUAUUUGUUAGAGUAUACUAUUCCACCAAUAACUCACUCAACCCUUGGGGGCCCACAUCAUCGUAACCGUACAUUUUUUCAUCCAAGGGCCGAAAACCUAAUAGCAUCAAUAGCUUGGUGCUAUUGAUAAUAUUCCAGCCUAGUUCUUCUAUUUAGCCUUUAUAAAGCUUUCUGCUCCGUCUUGUUCCAAUGCCUUUUCUUUUACUUUGUAAAGAGUGUAACUUCGUGGUAUAUAUGUUUGCUCUGAUUACUCUAGAGCUCCUAAUUAAAAGAAAGAAAUCCUUUUCACAAGCUUCUGAAACCAUGUAUUCUCAUGCAGUAGAAAGGAGUUUCCAUUUCUAUGCUAUACUGUCUAGAAAUUUGCCUUUAUGCCAGAUUUCUAUGCGCUUCUUUUUUAUUUUCUUUAACACUUUCGUAGAGUGUCAAAUUAAUAGGCCGAUCGAGUCAUUAAAGAUAGAGGAAUAUAUAGAAGCUACAAAUCCUUUUGGAAAUCUUAUCGAGUACAAUUGGAACAUUAUUUCCAGCUGCAUUAAUUCUUUCGCAUUCUACCUGAGAAACUAAUAAACUAUUGAUCGAUCACCAUUUUCCUACAUUGUCACUACUUCAAUUGGAGUAAAUUAGAGGUUUGACCAUAAUCAGAUGAAUUGUCAGACACUUGUGAGACUCCUUCGGUAUUUCUUGGCAAGUUUAAUUCUCAUAUGCUAUAGCUGUUGAUGUUAUGUUUUUUGCAAUAUACAUCAAUUGCUGUUUUUGGAAUGACACCAACAAUAGUAUUCGUUUUUAGAGUUCAAGUACAAUGAUAGUUCUGCAUUACUGCAAUCUUGAAGAGUAAUCUCUACUUCGGUGAGUCUCUUCUCUCGGACACAUUUAAUCAAGCAGGAUAUACAACUAUUCAUUUAAUCAUUCUCAUACCACACUUAGGUUCUUCAUACCAUUUUUCCUGCUAUUACUUUUCUUCUUCUUUUUUUUCAACUCUUUGGAUAUUUUUCUCUCUUUUUUGUCUUCUUCUUUCAUUAUUCAAUUCAAUUGCAGAAUUUUGUUUUUCUUUUGACAAAGAAAGUUUAGAAUUUUAUAGUGUAAUUGAGCACUUGCUUUUAUUCCAUCUUAAGGUGACUAAAGAUUGUAGGAUAUUUUGCUAGAUGUUCAUUUAUCAAAGGGUAAAAUGAUGAUUUUAUCUUUCAGUUUAAGAUCAAUUGAACUUGCUAACUGUUGUGUAAAUAGUUUAUGGAGGUUUAGUCAGGUGUUCUUAUUAUACAGCCGAAUAACAUUUUGUUUUGACAAAUUACAGAAAAAUAAUUUUAAUCCUGUGAAAUGCUUGAUUAUAGAUAAGAGAGUACAAGUGUAUUUUCUAAGCUAGAAAUAUAUAAACUAAUGAUGUAACAAAAAUUAUGCAAAGAGUUUUAUAAUUCAAAACAUUAAAUACUUAUUCUUAAUUAGUUGAGCAUAUAGUUCUAUCUAAUUAAAUUGGAAUUAAUAUAUAGAUGACAUUAUAUUUCAGUUGGCUAAAAAAACAGCAGAGAUUAAAUUGUCGAUAAGCAUAAAUGUACCACCGGUGACCUUCUAGUGAUAUUCUGAACAAAGGCUUCACAAGCAUGGAUCCGAAUUAAUGGCAUUAAGUAAAACACCUAUUACAAGUAAAGCCACUUCCUCAGCUUUAUAGUAAGAAUAUAAUUAGUAUAUAUGAUUUGAAGUUAAAGUGCUCUAGCUUUUUCAGAGAGGACGAAUUUUAUUAUGUGCUCUCUAGUCUCUCGUAACCAGUUGUCUUGAUAACCGAAAAAGAUUUAGAAACAAUAUCACAUGUAUGUGGCAUAUUUUGCUCGUAUAAUGAAUGCCUACUCCUAUAUGUGUAGUGAACCAUUUAUAUCUAUUAUGGCACCUUUCCCAGGAACCAAAGCGCGCGCGUCUUCCCAUCCUUGGUAGAAACUCAUCUAUCAUGUCUUUGGGGCUUUAAUUAAAUAUCCUAUUUUGUGCAGGUGAAAUGUGAAUGAACUAAAACUUGUUUAUGUAUUUCUUGAUAUAGAAGACUACAAGCAAUUUUUGAGAGCAUGCUUGUUGUGGUAAUCUGAAUAGAGGUUUCUUAUCGGCAUUUAUAUAAAUUCACUACUUCCAAUUAUUUUUUUUCAAAAAAAAAGUCUGCUUUCACACGAUUUGUUCUAUGGUAGGCUGCAAAACGAGAAGUGGGAGCUAAUGAAAGUGAGAUUUAUCCUUAUUGUGGGCUUUGGACGAUGAUUUAAAUUAGUAUAAUUAGGUAAACUUUCUAAGGGGAUUAUUUGAAUAAUUCAUUCAUAUCUAGAUAGUUAGCAUGAAUGAUGGUUAAGAAUGUCAUGUUUUAUAUUUUUAUUUUAGAUUAUGGUGCCCUUGAACAAGUCUGACGCAAUUUGUGUAAAAGUAGCAAGUUGUGCAGUCUUGUGCAGAAAUCAUGCAGUUUUUGUGUUCGAGAAAUAACUCUUGUGCAAUGCAGUUCAAAAUUUGUAUACCGCUAUGCAAAACUCGUGCAACUAUAUAGCACCGCAUCCAUAUAUCUGGGAUAUUGUGUUUUUGUAGACAACUUGGAAAUUUUUUGUUGAGUGUCUUGUACAUGCCUAGGAACUUAUGUACAUAGUUUUUUAGGUGGUCUUGAGCCUUGUGUUAUUUUGGAGAUUUGCAGUAGCAUGUCAAAAAAUAUGCACCACCUCACAUAAAUGGUCAAGGAAGCUUAUGAUUUUGAUUUCUACUUUCUUUUAGGAAGAAUGAAUUUUCUUGUAUCUUGCUCCCAAUGAUGGGUUCCUAGUGAGAGAAGAGUUGCUUCAUCGUCACUUUGGUGGAUUCCUUAUGGUGGCGAGUUUGCUCGUGUCCAAUGUGGUGGAUUCUACGGGGGACCAAGUAUUUAUCUGGCCGUGCUUGACCUUUGCUAGCUCUCCAAUCUUUUGGCAUUAGAGUAGCAUUAGGGCCCUGGGUUCAUGAUGGCCAACACACGUAGGCAUGGCCUGCAUGUGUGGAGGAUGCUCUAGCUUGUGAACACAACUUGUGGGACAUCAAGGUGGAUGACUUGUAGAGGCAAGUGCGACUAUUUGAAGAACAACUUGCUCGCUAUGAAUGUUUUGAACAUAAUGAUUCCUACCAUGGUUCAGAAUAUGAUUUAUCAAGCCAAGUUGAGAGGAUGAUUAACCCCUUUCAUGCUGCUUGAAGGUAGGCAAAUGUUGUGUCAGAUCGUUGGCACUAACUAUUAAUCUCAAAAGCUUGAGCUGUAAGAAAUACAUAACGAAUUCACUUAAAGCGUACAGACACAAUACCCACGGGUCUCGAUUGUGACUCGGCCCAACCAGCCUUAUGUCACUUCAAACAUGACUCGGCCUAGCCCGGCCUCCAACCAUUUGGUAUGUGACUCGGCCCAGCCAAGCCUUCCGCCGCAAGGCAGGAUGCUGACACCUUUAAGUCAACAAUCCCCACACCUCAGCACUAGCACAAAUCCACAGCAUUCGUGAAUUGAAUCUGUGACCUUGCUCUGAUACUACUUGUCGAAUUGUUGGCGCUAGCCAUUAAUCCUAAAGGCUCGAGUUGUUAUAAAUACAAAACCAAAGCGUACAGACAAAGCGCCCACGGAUCUCAAUUGUGACUUGGCCCUACUAGCCUUAUGCCACUUCGAACAUGACUCGGCCCAACUCGACCUCCCUCCAUUUCAGAUAUGACUCGGCCAAUUCAGCCUACUUCCACAGGGCAGGAUGCUGGCCUCUUUAUGCCAACAUAGUGAAGAGGCUUCCCAAUAUUAGCAACCUUGGAGGGACAAUUAAUGGGUUUCACCAUGAUAUUGACAUCAGUGUCAAGAUCCCUGAAUAUAAAGGAAAGAUUCAAAUAGACAAGUUAAUUGAUUGGCUUUGUGCCGCAGAUCGGUCGUUUGAACACAAGGAUUUGAAGAUUGUUUGUUAUCAAGUUUAAAAUGUAUGCUUCUAUUUAGUGGGAGCAACUCAAACUUUGUUGAGCACAUUGUCAUGGCCUUAGCUUUUUUGCUUGCAAAGUCCCUGCUGCACCCACCUUUCUCUACAAAGAUGGAUGAACCUUACUCCUUGUUGCUAGCUUGGACCUUCGCGUCCUACGACUAAGUAUGCAAAGGGAAGAAAAAAGAGAGAUAGAGGUUUCAUAUAAAAAACUAAGUACUCUCAAUUACUUAGAAAAAGAAGAUUACAACACACACACACACACACACACACACACACACACACACUCUUGUUGUAUUUGGCCUUAGCCAUCCCCACAAUUUAUAGAUCUAAGAUACAUUGAAUCUAGCCCACACUAACUCACCCAUUAAGCCUAUAUUAACUCACCCGUUAAUACAUAGUAAAGACCCCUCAUAAAUGCUAAGUUAAUUCAAGAGUUAUCCAUGACCCUUGGACUUUGCUUGGUAGUUUUUUGAAGGCUUAACAACAGCAUUUUGUAACCCCCCUCUCCUAUAUAAGGGCUGGAGUCGGACCUCCUUGACAACCUGCUCGAUUUAGUGAAGUUGGGCCAGGGACUCGAGCUGCGCAGGAAUUCUUCUAAGUCCCUGACAACGUGGAGGCAAAAGCUAAACUUCAAACUAGGAAGAAAAUAAAGAAAGGGUUUAAAAAGUUCUUAUCGGAAAACUAUUUGCAAGAUUUUUUUUUCUCGAGUUUCACUAUUUCUGGCAAGAGAAUCUCUUAGUGGAGGCACAUUCGGAGGGUAUCAACUUUUGAUGUGUUGCGAUAGUUUUGAUCCUGGGGAGCAAACCAUAGCUUGCUAUCUUGGUGGGCUCCAUCGAGAGAUUUUUGUCAUCAUUGAGGGACUUAUGACAUCUGUCACACCCCAAACCCGAGACGUAAUAGAUGCACCAUACCUGUUAGAUUAGCAAAUACACAAGGCUACAGAACUGGAUAGAAAACAAGUAGAACAUGAUUACUAAAAAUUUUGCUUAAUCCAAAGAAUUGAAAACAUGAGACGAACAACGAGCCUCAGCCAUAUUGAACAGAAAUGAUGUUCAAAAGGUUCCUAUCAAAGUGAAGAGGCAACUCAAGGCAAAGGAACUUUGGCAAACGAUGGGUGCAAGUGGUGCUUGACCAUUUGAUGCAUACGAUUUGGCCUUAGGAUACGUAGAGAAACAGGACUGAGCGAAAUCUGGUCAAAAUAAAGAUAACAAAGGCCCGGUCGAUGCGGUAUCGACCUUGGUACAGUAAAAUGGUCAUAGCUUCAGCACAGGUGUCUGUUUUCGACAUGCAACUCCAAUCGGAAAACAAUUUUUCGAAAGACGCAUUUUGAAUGGCUUUGUCAUUCUAAUUUAGCUUUGUGCCUAAAUUCAGUAAUAUAGACGUCCGAAUUUGCAGUUUUAGGUUUCUUUUAAUUAAUUUUGAGAAUGUUGUUUUGUUUCUUUUAUUAUUUCGAGUUAGAUCAUAAUUCUGUAAUAUUUACUCUGAUUAGGCUUAGACUUUGGUUAAUUUCGUAUUUUUGUGCUUAGGUAAGCGCCUUUAUAUAAAGGCCGAUUAGGGUUUUGUAAGGGGAGUAUUAUUUAGAGAGCAAUAUCAACUGUCUUUCAUUGUACAAGAGAUUCUUCUACCUUUCUCGUCCGUCCUUAUGCUUCUUUCGCCUCCAUUGCGGUAGUGGCUGCGUCACUGUUAGGUUGUGAAAACACUUCCACCUUAGGGAGUGGUUCUUAUCCGCGUAAAUUGCCAAUCCAAGAGCACUAAAUGAAGCAAAAUGUAACAGCACUAUCGGCUCACCUGAUUUCCCCUAACUCUAAUCUAAAAUGGUGCUACAAAUGUCAAAAUUCAAACCAUAAAUUCAUAAAUUCAAAUUAGAAUUUUAAAGUUUAGAUUUGAAUUCAAUAUGUUGAGUGUGUAAUUUAAGUUUGCACUUUGAAUUGUUAGUGCUAUUUUAAACAUUUUUAUGCGGAAUUUAACUUUUCUUUGAUUUUGACUUCUAUUAUUAACCAAACAAAUUAAGAGAUUUUAUCAUUCCAUUUUUCAUUAUGGUCUAUUCUGAUUCAUAUUCUGAUUUUAAUUCUCGUUUUGAACCAACCAUGUUUAAUUGAAUUAUGUCUCAUUCGUGUUAAUUCUAAUUCAUAUUCAUAUAUGCAUAUUAAUAUAUAUUAUUAUCAGAAUAAUAUCAUAAUACACAUCCGAUCCAUAUGCAAAUACGAAAAAAAUUAUCCGAUCAUAUCCUAAUCCAUUUUAGCGGAUAUGAUAACAAAAAUUUAGCAUCCAACACACAUCUACAUCCAAAUUUGUAUCCGGGAAAAAAAUAGUAUGGAUGCGGAUGUGGUUUCUUCAAAUAUUUGAUUGUAUCUGAUCCGUUUUCGCCCCUUUGACCGUCCGUGUGGUGGCUACUUUGCUCGUGUCUGAUGUGGUGGAUUCUUUGUGUCUGACAUGGUAGACUGAGUGCUUAUCUGGCCGUGCUUUGCAUCUCUGCUAGCUUUCUUAUAUUUCAGUGUUAGAUUAUGCAACAUAUCCUAAAAUUCCAACUGCUAGGUUAAAAAAAAAUCUAGAAAAUGAUGAAUGCAGUCCUUUCAGUAGGCUAGAGAGUAUUUGGCAUUAUUUUUUACUUGUUCUUUUUAAGAUUUCGAUGUUGCUUUAUGUUUUCUAUUAACUUGUUAAGCACCAUUUCACUUCAGUUUGAAAAACCAAAAAAUGGUAUAGUGAAAACAUUCUUUUGGUUCUCAAAACAAUGACCAAAUAUGCUAGCAACACGGCUGAUUUUACUAGAAAUCAAUGCAAAUGCCGGACAAUGCAAGUAAACAUAUUUUCAAAUUUGACGCCUAUGAAAGGAAACGGCGUGCAAACCACAUAACACAUUAGACAUUUUUACUGAAGUUUACAGCAAAAGAUACAUCAGGAGCUUAGAUUUACAAGAAGACAUCACAUUUGGUCGAGAGCUUUUAAUGUUUUCCAAAAGAAGAGAGAUUCCUUGAUAAGGAUCAUUGAUGUACAUAUUUUCACCUUCGGCAUGGGAAAAGAAUUUGUCUUAGUAGCAGCCUAGUAGCUUGGGAGUGGUUAAUUAUGCAGUAUUGUGUGGUGUAUUCCUCUGGAAUUUAUGGUGGCAAAAGCAUUAUGGUAGAUGCUUUGGCCAAAGCAGCUGCAAUUGCAAAGUACUAUCAUCACCACCAAUCUGUACUUACAGGAAGGAAAAACUUGUUUAAACCAAAACAGCCACAUCUUGGUAGCGCCAUGCGUGCAACUCAGCUUCCAUGCCACACCACACGUAUAAACUGGCUCUUCGUGUUCUCAUCCAUAGAAACUAGUUUCAAUCACUAUCAUUUUACUCAAAAGUAGUUGUCUCUAUGUCCUAUGACCAUUUUAUUGCCUUAUAAGUUCCACUGUACUACCAUUUAUCAUUGUGAUAAAUUUUGUCAAAGAAUACAAGGCUAACUCUAUGAAGAAGUCUUACCAUACUCCAGACCUUUAACUAUCCAUUUCAACAAAGAAAACAAGCUGUGAUUGGUAAUUGGUAUUUGUUUUAUGCAUCAAAUAGUUUGCUCCCUUUCUUGGAUAUGAAUUCAUCUUUUGCUUGGAUCAUGUGCCCUCUCGUGCUUUAGCUUUUAUUAAGCUAUGAUUUGGAGCCUCUUAAGUACAUAUUUAUUGAAGAGACUUCCAGAAGUGCACUUCAUUACAGCAGAUAUUUCUUGUCCUGAACUAGUAAGUAUAUAUUAACCUAGAAUUUACUAAAUUAUAUAUAAUAACCUUCCUAUGUCAAUUCUUUAGAAUAGUUUUAUUUUUUCCGUUUGAACUUUAUUUUUGCGUCAAAUUUGUUCUUUUCGGUUGACAUAUUGGAUAGUGGUUCCUACUGACAAGAAUGAUGAAAUUGAGGAAAUUAUGAAGAAUAAUUAUCAAUUAGAGGUAAGUAUAUAAGGAGAACAUCAAUUAGGGGAAAUCAAUCAAAGGAAAUUCUCCUAAAGUGCAAGAUGAUGUAUGCGGAAGAUGCUCACACCAUUCGGCUUUAUUAAUAUUCCUUUCAUAUGUAUUCUUUGUAUGGUGUAUUUUCCAAUUUUUUUGGCGAAUUUUUUCCCUUAACUUAAAGCGACCACUUUGUAGAGUACUCUGUCCUAUAAAAUCUGAUUACAUUUACUGUCCUAUAAAAAAUAAAGAAAGCCAAACGGUAAAAAAAAUAAAUGCAAAAAAAAGAAACUAAGAUUUACAUAGUUCGGCAAUUGCCUACGUCUACGGGAAGAGCGAGAAAGAUGUAUUCCACUAUACGAAGAAACAAAGUACAAUCUUACACCUUAUACCUUCUCUAGAUAAAAACCAAAAGCCUUGUAGUAAAUCCCACCAUUCUCUUGUUCCAACGAAAACUCCAAAAAAAUAUUCAAAAAGCUUUUCGUACUACCAAGAAGACUAAAUUAGAUAUGUAUAGAAAUCUCUGACCAAAAUCCUUUAUGCCGUUGCUUCGAUGAAUCUGAAUUGCUCAAGCAAUUGGUCGAAAAAUACCGCUCAGCUGUCGACUCCAAUCUAGACGUCGCAUGCGAGGCCGCCUCUCUCCUACCAUCGUAUGGCCAUUCGACUCACACACGAACGCUAAUCCGUACGGUCCACAUCCAUGCAUAUAUAUAUAGAGCUAGGCUGGUAUACUAUCGGUAGCACAGAGGCCUCCGUGCUACCAAGUUGUUUUCAAUGAUGCGGCUUCCGAAUCGACGAUUGGCUCCGUUAAUCUUAAUCUACACCAAUGAAAGUAUUUGGAAACUAACUUUCAUAAUUUUUCGGUAUCAUUUAUCUAUCAAACGAGUAGUCUAAAAAUAAACGGCUGAAAAUAAAAAUCUCAUAAAAAAUGAUGAUAAAAGACUUGAAUUUAAGAUCAGCGGUACUGAUCUUACUCUAAAUAGUGAAAAAAAAUUUCUAUAAAAAUUUCAUCAGAUUUGGAUUGUUUUACACCGUUAAAUUCACAAACGCAUCAUAUCUACCAUUAAAAUUGUCAAUUUUGAGACCUUUUGAUCACUAGCCAGAUGAUGUCGAAAAAUUAUGAAAUUUAGUUUCCAAAUACUUUUAAUAGUGUAGAUCAAGUUUAACGGAGCUGAUUGUCGAUUUGAAAACUGCAUCAUUGAAAAUAACUUGGUAGCACGGAGGCCUCCGUGCUAUCGAUAUAUAGUAUACCAGCUAGCUUUAUAUAUAUAUAUAUAUAUAUAUAUAUAUAAAACUAGGCUGUAUAGAACUAGGCUGAUAGCAUAUAUAUAAAACUAGGCUAUAUAGAACUAGGCUGGAAUGCUAUCAAUAUAUAGUACCAAGCUGUUAGUGCUAUUAGGUUUUCGGCAGCUUGGAUGAAAAAAUGUACGGUUGGGAUGAUGUGGGCUCCCUAGAGUUGAGUGAGUUGUUGGUUGAAUAGUAUAAUCUAACGGGUGAAAAUAAUCAAAGGGUUAAAUCUAACGGUUGAAAACUCGGUUGCACAAGUGCUUGGUGCUAUCGAUAGUAUCCCAGCCGGACUAUAUAUAUAUAUAUAUAUCGUACUUAUACUAUAUAUAUGUAUACUAUACUGAGCAUACAGUCAAAUCGCACAGUAACAAUUAUAUUUAGAUUUAUUUUAAAUAAUCAAAAAUUUUAUAAUCAUAUUUUUUUUUAAAAAAAUUAGAAUAAAAUAUUAUAAUUUAUAGUAUUAUAUUUUAUUAGAAAAUAUCUACGAUACUCAAUUUAAAUUUUAGUAUACAAAUAAAUGUGAUAGAUUUGAAUAAAAUAAAAUUCAAAUUUAAUCUCACGGAUUUCAACCUCAAAUUUAAAUUUAUAUUUGUAUCAAGUAGAUUAGAUAAAGUACUAUUUUUAAGCAGAUUGAUAUUCUGACACAAAUUUUAGAAUAAGCAUUAAUUUGUUUCUAUUUAGAGUAAAAAGAAAUUAAAUAAAUUUUGAAUUAAAACAUUUAAUCAUCAGUAAUAUCUUUCGUUGGUAAAAACUUUGGAUAGUAUUAUUUUUUUUUCUAGUUUAGAGAUACAGCGAAUAAAGUUUGUUUUAUACUUUAUUAUUUUACGUAAGGAAAGAGGAAUCUAAAUUUUUUUCCCGCCAAAGAAUGGUCUGUCGACAUGACCCAAAUUUGAAUAAAGUGCUUUUAUAUCUUAUAUAGUAUUAUUAUACUACGAACGGAGAGAAGAGAGAGAGAUGAGAGAGAGAGCAGAAAAGUAGCGCUACUGUGCUAUAGGACCAGCAGCCCUUUGUCUCUAGUUCUUACUAACCGCCUAUCAAAUUUGAUGGGUGGUUUAGUGGUGAAAGGGAGAAGAGUAAAUUAGAGAUGAAAUUGAGUUCUCAAUUUUCUCUUCUCUUUGAUUUCUCUCCAAUUUCUCUUUUAUCAUCUCACUCUAACCAGCGCUAUCAAAUAUUUGAUGGACAGUUCAGAACUUAAUAGAAUAUAAGGUGCUCGUGUUUCUAAUAGCCCACACCCCACCACCAACAGAGAGCCUAUCUUAUAUAUAUAUAUAAUAUAUAUUUAUAUAUAUAUAUAUAUUAUAUCGGGUAAUCCUUAUCCUACUCUACCUCCAAGUCAACUUGACUUAGAAGCAAUACAUAGGAAACCGGACCAAGUCCAAUUUUAUAUCCAACACGAAUUGGAAUCCACCAAUGAGAAUCCACAUUAAGCCUCUAAUUAUUUUCUAUGAACUUGGUGCAUGGAUCAAGCUAAUAAUAACAAAAGAAAGCAUAUUUUUAGCAUUCUCCAUCUGGACUUCUUUUGUACUUCAUCACUCUCUUUUAUCUUAUCGCCUCCUCUUCUUGAGACAUUCCAACACUAACAGGCAUGUAGGUUAGCAAAGUCUAGAGAAUGCCUAGACUUCUACGAUGUUAUCGGCUCACUGAUCAACUUAUACAAAUUUCCUUUAUUCUCUUCUAUUAUGACGACCAUAACACUCUUUUUCACCUUGACGACUCCACCUGAAAUACUAACAGAAUAGCCAAGAGUAAAGAGUAUGAAACGAUAUCAAAUUCAACCUGAGACACGAAAUGUGUCUCACAUCCAUCAACGUCCUCACCACACCGUCAAACACCUUUAUUUUUCCUGCUCUGAUACCGACCAUCUUGCAUGUAGUGUGAUUAUUCAUCACAACACUACCACCUUUUCACAAGAUUUAUAAGUAUCAAAUAAAAACCUGUCUGGAGACAUUUGAUAAGAACAACUAGAAUCCAAUAUCCAGUCUCCGAGAGCAAGGUUUUAAGUGCCCGUCGGCACGUGCCGUAUCCACCGUACUGUACCGUACCAACAAGAUACUGGCACGAUACAGACCCCAUGCCGAUGGCACAGCUCAAAGCCCUCUAUUUUUUAAAUUAGUAAGUAAUUUUCUAAAUAAAGUUCAAAAGAUGUGAUAAAAAGACAUAAUAAAUAGUUAGAAUAUUUUGUUGCUAAAGAAAAUAAAUAUUUCAUACUAUUAUGUGUCGACACAAAAGAAUUUUUUUUGACCGGCACGCAUCAGCACGGUUCGGCACGCAUCGCGCCGGCAAUUUUCCGGUACGACCCCAUACCACGGCACUUAAAUCCUUGACCGAGAGAUUCUGAAUCAGUUGUAACCGUCAAGGCACCUUGACCGGAAACGCUAGCUAUGCUCGCCGCAUCUGUAGAAGAAUUUCGAUUUUUUCAGCCAAGCCUUCCUCCUUGCGCAGUUUUUUUUUUUUCACGUGACUCUCUUUCUUCCAGAAGUAACACUUUAGCUUUUUCGAUUUUGACUUAAAACGGGAUAUUCCUUUACAUACAUCACGUUCACUUGAUCAUCCCUUUCCUCCAACCUGCAUUGCUUUCAUCAGUACUUGCCGGUAACCUGAUCUCCUCAGAUAGAAGGGUUGACAUAACAUCUUUCAUUUUUAGAGUUUGUUUCCAAUACAAUAUGAUGGUCACCAGGUGAUUGUAGGAAGGCGGAAGUGAUGUAAGAAAAAUCAACGCUUUAUCAUCCUUGUCAACCUUGAUAUUAAUGUUGAGCAAAUCUGCAAUAAUUUUAUUAAAGGUGUUUAAGUGUUUCGUGAUUGUCGUACGUUCCUUCAUGCAUAGCCCAUAUAACUUUUGCUUUAGGUACAGCACGUUCGAGAGGCUUUUUGUCAUAUACAGCUUCUCUAGCUUGUUCCACAUGUCGACUGUAGUUUCUUCAUCUAUUACGUUAUACAUCACCUAUGUUGCUAGGCACAAUAUAAUUGUAUUCACCGCCUGCAAAUCAAUCUUCUCCCAAUCAUCAUCGCUAAUCAAUGUCGGUUUUUUUGAUUUUGCGAACAACGCCUUAUGAAGGCCCUGUUGUACUAGAAGAGCUUUCACUCUUCUCUACCAGAGACUGAAGUUUUUUUUGUCGUCAAAUUUCUCCACCUUAAACUUAGAAUACGAGACUUUUGAUAUCUUUGCUGUAGCACGAACCUUAUGCUCUGAUACCACUUGUUGGGAACCUGAUUAAUCGUCCGUUGUGCAUACCAACAAAGAUGCACGAAAAAUAGAGAAAAUCGAACGGUAAAAAAAAUAAAUGCAGAAAGAAGAAAUCAAGAUUUAUGUGGUUCAGUAAUUGCCUAUGUCCAUGGAGAAAGCGAGAGAUAUAUUCCACUAUACGAAGAAACAGAAAUACAAGCUUACACUUAUGUCUUCUCAAGUUAAAAAACCAAGAGAGCCUUAUGGUGAAUCUCACCUUUCUCUUGCUCCAACGAAAACUCUAAAAAAUUAUCGGAAAAAGCCUUUCAUAAAGUCAUAACCGAGAAGACUAAAUUAGAUAAGUAUAGAAAUCUCUGACCAAAAUCCUUUAUGUCGUUGCUUCGAUGAAUCCGUGUUGGCUUAAAUGGGCCAGCAUCCUGCCCUGUGACGGGAGGCCAUGCUGGGCCGAGUCAUAUUCUAAAUGGCGUGAGGCUGGGUGGGCCGAGUCAUGUUCGAAGUAGCGUGAGGCUAGUUGGGCCGAGUCACAAUCGAGACCCAUGGGUGCUGUAUCUGUACGCUAUAAGUGAAUUGGUUGUAUAUUUCUAACAGCUCAAGCUUUUGGAAUUAAUGGUUAUCGCUAACGAUCCAACAAGUGGUAUCAGAGCCAGUGGUCACGAGUUCGAUUUCCACAUGUUGCAAAUGUGUGCAGGUGCUUGAGGAGGGAUUGUUGGCUUAAAUUGGCCAGCAUCUUGCCCUGUGGCGGGAGGCAAUGUUGGGUCGAGUCAUAUUCAAAAUGGCGUGAGGCUGGGUGGGCCGAGUCAUGUUCGAAGUGACGUGAAGUUGGUUAAGUCGACUCAUAGUUAAGACNAUGUUGGGUCGAGUCAUAUUCAAAAUGGCGUGAGGCUGGAUGGGCCGAGUCAUGUUCGAAGUGGCUUGAGGCUAGUUAGGCUGGUCACAAUCAAGACCCGUGGGUGCUGUAUCUGUACGCUUUAAGUAAAUUGGUUGUAUAUUUCUAACAGCUGGAGCUUUUGGGAUUAAUGGUUAGUGCCAACAAUCCGACAAUCCGAACCUCUUAGGCAAUUGGUAGAGAAAUACUGCUUUGUUGCCGACUCUGAUCCAGACGUCGCAUACGAGGACGCCUCUCUCCUGCCGUCGUACAACCACCCGGGUGUCGUGAAUUAAUUAGCUCGACGACGCUAAUUAAUUUCUCAGACACGAACACCAAUCAGUACAAUCCAUAUGCAUGCAUAUAAAUAGUAUUCACAUAUAUGUAUAAGUGACUCUUGAUUUCUAAAGACCUCUAAGAAAACCCUAAAAAAGAGUUCUAACAAAAUAAGAACCUCAACUAUCUUGUUUGGGAAAAACCCCCAAAUUAAAUAAAUUUUAAAAAAUACUAACUCAUCUCUUCACCUUCUAGCAAGAGAAACAUAGGUGAAGUGGACCUCUUCUCCAUCCAAGAGCUUCCUCUUGAUGCCUUUGACCUUCCCCAAGCUCCCAAGGAGAUGGAUCAACAAGCUCCAACACUGGGGGAUUUUAGGACUCCAUUUCUUCAAAAGAGAGAGAAGAUAUAGAGAGUGAGAUAGAAGGAAAUAAGAGAAGGAUUAAGGUUGGCUGUGUUGGAUGUGGCCCACAUGAUAUAUUUAAGGCGAUCCAUAAAGAUACAGUCAAUCUAUUUAAGUCGAUCUAUAAAGAUACUUUAGAUCUUACGGUUAGGAUGUAUCUGGACACGUUCUUGAUGGACGGACGUGAUUUAACAUCCUAGUAUCAAGUUAUAUAUAAAUAUGUAACAUACAAGAGUCCCGAUCUAACCCUAAUCCAAUUGUCUGUGACGGCUCCAUCUCCGGCGAUAAGGGAAUUAGACUCGAAACGUCCCGCUACUUUGCAGAUCGCGAACGAGGACGAACCACGAGCAAGGAUCACCGUCAACAAUUCGGGUACAGAAAUCGAAAUCAUGGCAGAAGGUACGAUCUUAGUUUUUUAUAAAGUUCCAACAUGUGGUAUCAGAGUCGAACCUUUUGCGGGAUUUUUGUUUCUUUCCGGAUUUCGUUUGGUUUUCUUUUCAUUAAAAUAAAUAAAUAAAUAAAUUCGUCGAUGGUUUGCGUUAAUGGUAACGUCGGCCGAUCUCAAUCGAGAUCGGCGUUUGGAAGAACGACGUCAUCGGCCCGAUCGCAUUGAGCGAUCAAGAAGCCAAAAAAAAAGAAAAAGAGAAAGGAUGAUGGGGCGGCAUGGCGGACUCGUGCCACCACGCCACCCUGGCGCCCUAGGCGCGGCCCCAUUAGGGCCGCACUAGGCAGCCCGUAAUGGGACUGCCUAGGUGGCGGUGAAAAAAAAAAAAAAAGGGCAAAAAGGGGGUUGCAGCUUGCAACCCACGGGGGCUGCCAUGUGUAGCCCUAUGCGGGCCCACCGAAGAAAAGAGAAUUUAUUUAUUUAUUUAUUUAUUUAUUUUUCAUUUAAAAUAAUGAAAUAUAGUUUUGCUUAAUAAUUUUCUUUGCAAUGUGACUUAUUUUAGAAGAAGUCUAUAUAUUAAAAUUAUAUAUAACUUUUGGUAUUUGUUAUAUAUAAUUUCUGUUCUACUCGUUUAUUUAUUCAUGAUAUAAAGUAACAUGUUUAGUUUAAUAUUUUACGGUAUAUUUUUGUAUUAUUACUCUAAACAUAUAAAAGGUAAUCAUGAAAAUUUAAAAGUAGAGUAUAUAGACUUCAUACAUUUUAUAAUCUUGAGUCACAUAAGGUUGUUAAGAAAAUUACUCAAGACUCUUAUUAUUUUUUCACUGUGUUUUGGAAUAAUAUGAAAUUUUCAGACAUUCAUAUCAUAUAUGGACUUGUAAGAUUAACUAUGUUUAGGAGUAGCCACAACAUCUUAGUCAUGGUAUAUGAUCACUUAUGGUAUUUUUAUAAGAUGAUAUUGAAUUAAAGUUAAUCGAAAAUUCAUAUGGAUUCACAAUUUAUUUUUAAAGAGUCAUUCAAUAUCAAAUAAGGUUAUUUGUAUUUUCCAUUAUGCUCAGGAGUAGCCACAGCAUCCUAUAGAUAAUGAAAAAUAUAUAAGGUAUUACUGAUAUUGAAUUAAAUUUGACUAUUUAUUGCAGUCAAAUAAAUUAAUUUUCUGAAUUUUGACUGGAAUAAGAUAGUGGAUUGAAUUUCUAGAUAGCGAGUUUUCUUAUACCCACAAGUACAGAAAUCUUGUUGUUUAGAAAUUAGUUUUCUGCUAGUCUUAUUAUUAAAAUAGAUGAAUUCUAUACGUGUAGCACCUCUGCCCACAGAAAGGUAGAAUUUAUCUAAUCUAAAGAUUAUUAUCUUAUAGUAGGCGAUAAAGUUCAAUAUUUUCUUUAUUUUUGCAGCUUCUUUCUCUACUACAUUUCUUAAUGAUGUUUCUCGUAUCCCUAUGCUUACUAGGGACAAUUAUUCUGAUUGGAAAAAAAUUAUUUCUUUUACUUUGGGUUAUAUGGAUUUAGACUUGGCUCUGCGCGUUGAGCAACCGCCUAAAGUAGUGGGGCCAAUAACUCCACAGCAGGAAUUCGCGCGGAAAAAGUGGGAGCGAUCCAACCGCUUAAGCUUGAUGCUCAUAAAGUCUAGAGUAUCAAAAAGCAUAAGGGGAUCAAUUUCAGAAUGUAAUAAAGCCAAGGAUUACCUAAAGGCCAUUGAGGAGCAGUUUGUCAGCUCCGAUAAAGUUUUGGCGAGCACGCUGAUGAAGCGACUUUCGGACAUCAAGUACAAUCGAGCCAAGGGUGUGCGCGAGCACAUUAUGGAGAUGCGGAACUUAGCAGCUUAACUAAAGGCUUUAAAAGUUGAGAUCUCCGACACCUUCUAGUCCAUCUAAUUCUAAACUCAUUACAGUCUAAGUUUGACCCUUUUAAGAUCUCCUAUAACACACAUAAGGAUGAAUGGUCAAUAAAUGAAUUAUUGACCAUGUGUGUUCAAGAAGAUGAGAGACUUAAGCAGGAGAAGCUGGAAAUUAUAACAGAAUCUGUUAAUCUGGCGACUCAGCGCAAAAAGGGGCGGAGAAAGGGUGUCUCCAAUUACAAGAAGUCAGCUCAAUUGCCAAUAAAGAAUUCUGGCAAGAAAGAUCAAUGCUACUUCUGUAAAAAGAAAGGGCACAUGAAAGGGACUGCUUGAAGUAAAAAGCUUGGCUCGAGAAGAAAGGUAUUGAAACUAUCUAUAUUUAUUAUGAAUCUCAUUUAGUUAAUGUUCCUAAAAACACAUGGUGGAUUGACUCUGGAACUACUGUACAUAUCUCUAAUACCAUGCAGUGUUUUCACAACCUAACGAUGUUGAAGUCAAAUGAAAGGAUUUUAAUUAGCGGAGAAGGAAAUAAAUCUCAAGUUAAAGCCGUAGGAAAGUUUAUUUUAGAACUUAGUACUGGUUUUGUACUUGAACUUAUGAUACUUUUAUGUUCCUAAAUUUUCUAGAAAUUUAGUUUCUGUUUCUAAAUUGAGAAAUAAAGGUUUUAAAUUUUUAUUUGAAAAUGAAUCUUUUACUAUGUUCUCCGAUAAUGUUAUUGUAGGCAAUAGUUGUUUGGUAGAUGAUUUGUACAAAUUUAAUUUGAGUCAAUCUUUUGAAAAUAAUUUUAAUGUUGAUCAUGACGUUGGUGUUAAAAGGAACAUUAUUAAAGAAAACUCCUCCUAUUUAUGGCACAAGCGUUUAGUUCAUAUCUCUUUAGAGAGAAUAAAGAGAUUGGUAAAAGAAAAGAUCUUACAAGAUCUUGACUUUAUCGAUUUUGGUAUUUGUGUGGAAUGCAUAAAGGGAAAGGAUAUUUACACAAAUACCACUAAAAGUGCCAGAAGGAGUUCUGAAAUUCUUGAGAUCAUACAUACAGAUAUCUGUGGACCUUUUCCUACUCCUUGUUUCAACGGUCAGAGAUAUUUUAUCUCAUUUAUUGAUGACCAUUCAAGAUAUAUAUAUCUCUAUCUCUUAUUUGAAAAAGCUGAGGCUCUUGAUGCUUUUAAAGUUUAUAAGGUUGAGGUAGAGAAACAAUUGGAUAGGAAAAUCAAGAUUGUAAGGUCCGACAGAGGAGGUGAGUAUUAUGGAAGACAUACGGAUAAAGGUUAAAUGAUUGGUCCAUUUAGUCAAUUUCUGAAAGGUGAAGGCAUCAUUGCACAGUAUACGAUGCCUGGCACGCCCCAACAAAAUGGCAUUGCCGAAAGGAGGAAUAGAAUACUCAUGGACACGGUAAAGAGCAUGAUUAGCAACUCUUGUCUUCCAUCUUCUCUUUGGAGUGAAGCACUAAAGACAAUGGUGUAUGUUUUAAAUAGGAUUUCAUUGAAGGCUAUUUCCAAAACUCCUUUUGAGUUAUGGAAAAGGUGGAAACCUAGUUUAAAUCACCUGCAUGUAUGGGGAUGUCCAGCUGAGGUGAGGGUUUAUAAUCCACACAUAAAGAAAUUAGACCCUCGAACAGUCAGUGAAUAUUUCAUUGGCUAUGCGGUAAACUUCAAAGGAUUCAGGCGUUCUAUUGUCCAAAUCACCCAUCCAAGAUAGUUGAGGCCAGGAAUGCUAAAUUUCUUGAGGAUUUCGAAGCUAGUGGGAAUGCUGUUCCUCAAAAGAUGGAUUUUGAGAAAAUAAGAGAUUCAACUAGUUAUCCAUCAACAGAUAAUAAUCUAGUUGCGCUUCCAGGAGGUCAAUUUGACCGAAAUGGAGAUCAACUAAUCUUAGAGUAUGAAAAUGCUGAACCAAUUGAACCUCCCCAUGAAGAUCUGUCCCAAGAGGAACAGAUAAUUAUAGAGCCAGCUGCACAGAAUAAUAAAAUCUGCAGGAAGAGGUUGGCUUAAGAAGAUCCUCAAGACAAAGAAGAUUGGCGAUUCCUGAUGAUUAUGUAGUCUAUCUUCAAGAGUCUGACUUUGAUGUCGGACACCAUAAAGACUCAUGAACGUUUUCAGAAGCCAUGCACGAAGAUAAAUCCUCCCUAUGGUAUGAUGCCAUGAAGAAAGAGAUGAAAUCUAUGACGGAUAACAAAGUUUGGGAUCUCGUUGAGUUACCACAAGGAGUCAAAGCCAUUGGCUGUAAAUGGGUCUACAAGACCAAAAGGGACUCUUUAGGUAACAUAGAACGAUAUAAGGCCAGACUUGUCGCCAAAGGUUUCACUUAAAAGGAAGGCAUUGAUUAUCAUGAAACCUUCUCUCCAGUAUCAAAGAAGGAUUCAUUAAGAAUUAUCAUGGCUUUGGUAGCUCAUUUCGAUUUAGAGCUACAUCAGAUGGAUGUGAAAACGACAUUUCUAAAUGGGGAUAUAGAGGAGAUAGUCUAUAUGCACAAGCCCGAAGGUUUCAACACAGAUGAAAGUAAUCACCUUAUUUGCAGACUAAAGAAAUCUAUAUACGGACUUAAACAGGCUUCCCAUCAGUGGUAUAUCAAGUUCCAUAAUAUAAUUACUAUAUUCGGUUUCGUAGAAAAUAUUGUGGACCAAUGCAUAUACCUUAAGGUUAGUAAGAGUAAAUAUAUUUUUUUAGUUCUGUAUGUAGAUGACAUUCUGCUUGCAAGUAGUGAUUUGAAUUUGCUUAAAGAGACUAAAGAUUUUCUUUCUAAAAACUUUGAUAUGAAGGAUAUGGGUGAAGCUUCUUAUGUCAUUGGCAUAAAAAUUCACAGAAAUAGAUCUCAAAGAAUUUUGGGUCUAUCUCAGAAAGCCUGCAUCGAAAGAGUUCUAGAAAGGUUUAAUAUGACAAAUUGUGCACCUACAGCUGCGCCUAUUAUAAAAGGUGACAAAUUCAAUCAGAAAUAGUGUCCUCAGAAUGAUUUAAAACGAGAAUAUAUGAAGAGCCUGUCCUAUGCCUCUGCAGUAGGGAGUUUGAUGUAUGCGCAGGUCUGUACCAGACCUGAUAUAGCUCAUGCAGUGGGGAUGUUGGGUAGAUACCAAAGCAACCCUGGCCUUGAUCAUUGGAAAGCUGCAAAGAAGGUUAUGAGAUAUUUACAAGGAACAAAAGAUUAUAUGCUCAUCUACAAACAUUCUGAUCAUCUUGAGGUGGUUGGGUAUUCGGACUCUGAUUUUGCUGGAUGCAUGGAUUCUAGAAAGUCCACACCAAGAUAUAUUUUCUUACUUGCUCAAGGUGCUAUAUCUUGGAGAAGCACUAAGCAAGAUACAUUUGCUACAUCCACUAUGGAGGCAGAAUUCAUCGCUUGCUAUGAGACUUCGUCACAGGCUUUAUGGCUGAGAAAUUUUAUCUUAGCUUUAAGAGUUGUCGAUUUUAUCUUAAGGCCAAUUAAGAUUUAUUGCGACAACUCUGCUGCAGUGUUCUUUGCUAAGAAUAGUCGAAUUACAGAUCGCAACAAGCAUAUCGAUAUAAAGUAUCUUGCUGUGAAAGAAUAUAACAAGAAGAAUGUGGAUAUCCAACACAUUGGGACCGAGAUGAUGAUUGCUGAUCAUAUGACUAAAGCAUUGCCGGCAAACAAAUUCAAGAGUCAUAUUCAUCAUAUGGGUAUCUUGAGUCCAUUUACAGUUUAAGUGUUUUCUUCUUGUAUAAAGACUUUAAAGACUAUUCUUAUUUGAGUAAGAACAAAUUUUUGGUUUUUUGCACGUAUGCGCAUAAAGUUAUCUUUUGUACAUUAAAGUAUUGUUGUGCACUAAAGUGGGAUUCUGAGUUGAACUUAUAGUAAGUUCAUAUGGUUGUAACUCAUAAAAUUAUUUGAUUAAGGAAUACGUGCUUUUGAUACAUGGAAGAAAGUGUUUAUUUUUUGGGGCAUAAUCGCUAUGAUCAAAGUAUUGUAAUUUCUUGGUCGAGUAGGAGAUUUUGACUGUAUAAUUUAGUUGGUACCUAAUAAAGUUUUGUAUCGCCUAUAUGGUAAUAAAUAUAUCACUAGGCCAAGUGGGAGAAUGUUGGAUGUGGCCCACGUUAUAUAUUUAAGGCGAUCCAUAAAGAUACAGUCAAUUUAUUUAAGUCGAUCUAUAAAGAUACUUUAGAUCUUACGGUUAGGAUGUAUCUGGACACAUCCUUGAUGGACGGACGUGAUUUAACAUCCUAGUAUCAAGUUAUAUAUAAAUAUGUAACUUACGGUAGUCCCGGUCUAACCCUAAUCCAAUUGUCUGUGACGGCUCCAUCUCUGGGGAUAAGGGAAUUAGACUCGAAACGUCCCGCUACUUUGCAGAUCGCGAACGAGGACGAACCACAAUCAAGGAUCACCGUCAACAAUUCGGGUACAGAAAUCGAAAUCAUGGCAGAAGGUACGAUCUUAGUUUCUUAUAAAGUUCCAACAGGCUGAUAAAAAAGUCCUUUUAUAGAAGUGCUACAAUAGCACAUAAACCCCUCAGGUUUCGGGUGCCCGCCCUAACUUUCGAGUCCUGAAAGUGAUGUAGCUGCACUAGGUUGAUGGUUCGAACGCCUGCACACCGAUGUUCGGGCACCCUAAGAGGGAUCGAGCAUCUGAUUGUUUAUUGUGUCGUGCGACCUAUGCUCUCGUGUUGAGCAUCUGAAAGUCAUUAAGAGGUCCCCGAGGGAUCACCAAGAAAGAUGUUCUGGGGGCCAGCAGCGUCAUUCGGACGCUCGAAUGUUUAAUCAUUCGUGAUCUAAGCUCUUGGGUUGGGAGUUGGGAAGGGUUCCGGAAGCCCUCAAGUAGGAUCCGAAAAGAUCCAAGCACCCACAAGGCUAUUUGAAUGCCCAAAUGCUAGCCUCCUUGCCACCCCUACUCUGUGGAACAGCGUUCACUUGUUCAGGGCGCUCCGUUGGGCCAUUUGAAGCUAUUUUGGGGGCCCGAAUUCCUAUUCCAUACGCCCGAAAAGUCUGAAAGUCAGAUUUCUUUCUUUCAGAAAUCUGUUUCAAUUCGAAUUAAUUUUGAUUCAAUCCAAACUCAAUCUAGGCUCAUUCCAACCUAUUAUAAUCAUGUCUAGCAUGGAUUAAUUCACAUUUUGUCAAUUUAGCUAAAGUUCGACAUGUUACAGGUUUACCUAUUUUGCAGAAACACCUUGCGCUUGUUGGAAUUACAAUUUAGCACAAUUUUAAUCUGGUGGACUUAUUUGGAGCUCUACAAAAUGUCGAUUUAGGCUCAAAUUUAGACUUGCAGACUCAACUAAAAUAAUAAGAGAUAAUUUAAUUUCUUUAUUCAGUUUUGAAUCACUUUUGCUCACCUAAAGCCUGCCAAGAGAAAUUUUUAAUGGGCUGCUGUUGGACUCCGUUUAUACCACUCAAUAGUCGAGUGGCACGAAACUUGAAAUCUAAGUUCAGUAUACUAAAAUUGAUGGCUUUCCAAAAUUUUAUAACUUUUUACCACUAUUUAACUUUUGUCAAAAACAUGAACCACAUUCCUUACAUGUUUCUCACAUAUUUUGAAACAUGCCACUGAGAUUCCGAAACGUGAAACCACAUUUCACUAAGGGCGUGUUUGGUUCGCCCCUUUUUCACCCUGGAAUUGGAAUCAGAAUGGACGAAUCCGUUUGUCUGUAUUUGGUAUGCGGGAUUCCCAUUCCGAUUUCGAUUCUCGGGUGAAUGAGAAUCCCCCCAAUACCCCUUUGUCCAAUCCAGCCUAGGAAGCCGGAUUGAAAAUUGAAUCCGGACGGAAUGGAUUUGUUCGGAUUAAAUUUAAAUUUUUUAAGUUUAUUUUUUAAUUAACAUAUAAGUUUAAGUUUAAAAAUUAUAAAUUUUAAUUUUAAUUUGAACUUAAAUUAAAAAUAAAAUUCAAUCAAGCAUUUCGAAUCUAAUUUAUAAAUUUGAAUUUAAAUUUACUUUAAAAUCUAAAGUUUUAUUCAAAUUUUAUUUAAAAUUUAAAUUAAAUUUAUGGAUUCAAAUUGAAAUUUAAAUUUGUUGGCUUAAAUGUGCCAGCAUCUUACCCUGUGGCGGGAGGCCAUGUUGGGCCAAGUCAUAUUCCAAAUGGCGUGAGGCUGGGUGGGCCGAGUCAUAUUCGAAAUGACAUGAGGCUGGGUGGGUCGAGUCAUGUUCGAAGUGACGUGAGGCUGAUCGGGCCAAGUUACAAUCGAGAUUCGUGGGCGCUGUAUCUGUACGCUUUAAGUGAAUUGGUUGCGUAUUUCUAACAGCUCGAGCUUUUGGGAUUAAUAGUUAGCGCCAACGAUCCGACAAGUGGUAUCAGAGCCAGAGGCCACGGGUUCGAUUCCUGUAUGCUGCAAAUGUGUGCAGGUGCUAGAGGCCAAAGUACGAGGCAAUAGUGUUCCUCCAACUCUUUUUCACUUUUUUCAUUUUCCUCAACUUUGUCUUCUAGCUCUAAGAAUUAAACUCUUCUUUCAUUUCAUAAUUGGUGAACAACACAACACAAUUAAAAGCGUAUCACUGAAAUAUGCCAAAUCCUUUACAAGAGCGGCACAGAAUGCUGUUGUUGUUGCUUGAUCUAACUGGCACUGAAGGUUAUCUUUUUUUUUUUUCAAAAAAAUCUUCCAUUUUAAUUGAUAAAUUUUAAUCGUGCUCAUUUUGAGGGAAAGUUUAUCUAUUUUGAUCAGUUUUUCAAAUUACUUGUCAUCAUGUAGAAGGGAUAGAUUGUUGGAUUUUAUCCAAUGAUAAUUCUGAUGAUUACAAACAAAAUUCAGAUUUAAUCUUUUACUUAGUAGUUUUAGGUUUUAGUUACAUUCAUAUUGACCUGGAUUGAAUCAAAGUUGAAUUAAGUUGACCCUUGAAUCCAAUGACCCAAAAAUGGUCCGGACAGGAUCAAACAACACCAAAUUGGACGCAAGUGCCAUAGAAGUACUUCAGAGGGCUGCUCUGCAAUUUAUCAGAUCUUUUGGGGAUUAUGGAGCAACUUUGAGCAUACUUGAGUGCUUCUAAAUCUUGGUGUAUAGGAUUAGUCGACCGCACCAAUAUGACCAGUCAACUACCCAUUCUUACUAGUGCGAUCCGAGAGCAAGUUUCUCACAGGAUUGAAAAUACAGAAGCCCGGCCGGCCACAUAGGUUAGGCCAACAGUUUUUUUUCAAGCAAUUUGGGCAUCCAGAGGAGAUCAAUUAGCUGUUGCUGCGAAUAUAAAAUUUGAAAUAUGGUAUGAAUUCAAAAGAAAUUUGAAAUAUGGUAGAAAUUCAAAAGAAAUUCAAUUAGCGGUUAUGUCAUGCUUCUUUUCCAAAUUUGAAUAUGCUAUGAAUUCAAAAGAAAUUGGAAAUAUGAUAUGAAUUCAAAUGAAAUUCAAUUAACCCUUACGUUAUGCUUCUGUAUACUUUUCUAAAUUUUAAAUUAUGGCUAUUGUUUAAAAAAUUUGUAUUUAAGGGACCUUAGACGAAGUUUGAAGUAUCUCUCUACACUGAAAAAUUUCUAAGUUCAAAUCAUUCUCUCAGCUUUUAUUGUAUUUGGAAUUGUGAGUUUCUUUGGGACUGGUUGUAAUAGAAAUCUUGUGAAAGUGAGAUUGCAUCCGGUUCUGUUCUUUCCACAUUUAAAAAGGCCAAGUGGUAGUGUUUAAAUUAGUAUCUUUAAGAUAAGAAGGACCGAACCGGAGUAGACAAAAAGGCCAAACCAGAAUAAAUCGACUGUGUCAUUUGUGCUUAUUUUUUCCUUCUCUUUCUUUUAUUUGUGUUAUUUGAGAACUAAUUCAGCCCCUUCUUUACCUCCUAGUUGCCACUUGAUCCUUUAACUAUACACCAAGAUAUUAAAACUAUCAUCCGCGAGACACGUGAGAGGAACAUUAGGUAUAUAUAUUUGGUGAAAUUUCAUCCGGUUAACCUAUACUUUCAACUGAUCUAAAGAGAAAUAUUUAAUUUCUUUUUACUAGAGUAGUUUCCAUUAUUCAAUUGUUCAUCUUUGUGAUCCUCUCUAUUUGGCAGGCUCAAGGGUUUCACUCUCAGAGUCAACAAGCUCUCGCAUAUAUCAUAGAAGAAUAGGAAGUCCGACAAGAUCGGUCAUUGAAAGGUCAUCGUAAAUUGAUCCACUAGAUCGAUCAUGGCAUUCAUAUUGAAGAAGCUUUUCUGACAACAUAUAUACUCCUGUCGAAGUUAGAUCAGAUGCGAUAAAAUCCGGUGACUAAUUGUAUCUGAUCAAUGUUUCACACCCGUGGCAGUUGAACCUGCCAUACAAGGUUUAGUAGAGGCUUAUUAUAAUUGUUGCCCAGUACUGAGUUUGCGGAGCUGAGAUUAUACACACAGAAUUGGAAAGCAUUCAAUGGACGAAUUUUGAUGUGUAUAACAUAUGUAAUCUUCUUCUAUAUUUUCUGGUAAUAUCCUUUAAUAGAACUAAGAAUUCUAAUGAUCAUCCACAUGGGUUCGAUAUAGCUAGUGAUAUACCUUGGUUUAAUAUUUUAUAAUUCAAAUGAUCAUUUGUCCUUCUAUGUGAUGUUUUCUGUUUACUAGUUAAUGAUGUACUCAUUAUCUUCCUAGCUAUAUGUCUUUUUGUUUCUUUUUUUUAAAAAUUUUAUUUUCUUCCUUUUCCUCUAAAUGUGGGUGAAUAACAGUUUAGAUUUUGAAGUGUGUUCACAAGUGCAGUAUUAAGUUUGCUUGGUUCUUUGCAUUCAUUCUGUUUGACUCGACCGCUUCUAUUCUUUUCUUCUUCUUUUUUCUUCUUUUUUUCUUUUUUUUUUUGAGAGAUAGUUAGUACGCUACCCGCUUUGUUUAUUUCAUUUAGAAAUAAACUUAGCUAUAAAUGUGAAUCAACUAGGAUUCGAACUUAGAACCUCGGGUAUUAACCACCAAGCCCUUUGCCACUUGCUUUAGGGACCGUCGAUUGAUGCUGCUAUUCUUUUCAGUAUUGAGUAGAGUACUCUACACAUCAUUUGAAACUACACUCGUGUCACCAUAAACGUAUGUUGCUAUCAGAUUGAAAUUCGUCACUAAUGAUAUUUCGCAACUAAAAAGCCUUCGUUCAUCGCUGCAGCCCGUCGCUAAACCAUUUUAGCGACGAAGUUUGUGCUUCAGCAUGUAUCGUAAUCCUGAUUGUUGGAGAGCAGAGAAGUAUAUUUUAUAGAGAAGUAUUAUGGUAAAGUAAAUAAAAUACUUAGGCUUAGUUUGGUAUUGAGCUCUAUCUGACGCUGUUAAAUAAAAUAAAGUUAGGAAAAAAGCAUAUAGGAAUAUGCUUAUGCGUUCUCCGGGAAGACCGUAGAAAAUAUAUUAUAACGAACUCAUCGCAGUAUGCGGAACGCAAUAUUACGUACAGAAACAAACAUAGUAUUUUUACAUCGAACUUUCUCACCGCACGUAACGCAAUCGCCCCGCAAUCCCUAACGAAGCCUUAAUUAAUUAUCUUCGGCCUGGACUCAGGCAUUGGGCUGGACUCGACAUUGGGCUUAAUUCCACACGUUUAACAUAAAGUAAAAAUCCUAGCUAAUAGCAAUCACUUUAAUUAACCAACUGAUAUUAAUGGACAAAUCUGAUAAAAAUAUAUUUAAAUAACUAAUACAGCAAUAUCUAAAUUUAUCAAAUAUAUUGGAUUACGUAUCAAUAUUCAUCUGUUAGUGAUGGGCCAGAAAAAAUACAGGAAAGAAUGUCUUCAAUGUAGACAUCUCAUUAUUUAUCAAAAUAAAGGCAUAUAUACAUGAUACAUGUGCACGCACGCAUUCAUCUUAAAAUGGAAUUUUUUUUUUUUUUUUUUUGGGGGGUGGGACUGCCGCGAUCAUAUUUUAAACAAACUUUAGUAGGGAUGUGGUCGGAUUCGAAGCAGAUUUUCGAAAACCCGAACCCAUACCCAACUCCAAACCCAAAAUUCGAAUCUGAAUCCGAACCCGACGGAUUUUAAAAACCCAUAUCCAAAUCCGUAUCCGAUCAAAAAUUUGAAAUCCGAACCUGAAAUAAUUAUUUCUCUUUUCAAUAUUUCAAAAUAUAUUAUAUUAAAACUAAAUUUUAAAAUACAACUUCAAAUAUAACAUCAAAUUUUUAUAUACAUAUAUAAUGUAAAACAAAUUAAUAUUUUUAUAUACAUAUAUAUAGAUAAGCAGAAAUAAAAAUAAUUUUGUAUUUCGAUAAAAAUUAUAUUGUUUUCAGGAAUUAUAAAAAAUAGCAUUUGAAUAGUUAGAUUGUAAUAAUGAGAAUAAGAGUAAUUAUAGUUUAAAAUAAUAAUAUUUUAUCUAAUUAGUUAAUAUAAAAGUAUUAAUUAAAUAAUAUUUUAUCUAAUUAGUUAAAAUAAAAAUAUUUACCUAAUUAAUUAAUAUCGAAUAUUAAUUAAUAAUUUUAAUAUUUUAGUUCGAUAAGCCCGAAAUUAAUUUUUAAUUAGUUAGUAAAUUAUUGUCGUUAGAUAAUUAGUUAAGACAUUAAUUAGAUUAGUCAAAACAUUAAUGAUUGAUCAAUAUAAAUAUUGUUUAUGGGAUAAACACGUUAAAUUAUUAAUUUUUAAUUAUCUAAUUAAUUAUAAAUACUAAAUUAACUAAUUAUUUUACUUAUUAUUAUUUGAGCAAUAGAUAAUGACUGAAAUAUAUAAUUGGUUCGAGUUAUGUAAUAUUACAAAGUAUCUCGAUAUAUCCAGAUAUCUUGGAUUUCGGCGUGAGAUUACUAUUGAUGCUGUAUUAAAGCGUUUGGUUUAAUACAGUAAUGUAAUACUAGAUUACAGUGUUUAUAGCAUUNAGCGUUUGGUUUAAUACAGUAAUGUAAUACUAGAUUACAGUGUUUAUAGCAUUAAUAUGUUUGGUUCAGUUUAUAAAAUUUAGUAAUCCUGACAUAAAAGUAUAGUUUUUUUUAAAAUUGCCCUUAUUGGUCAUUUGAAUAUUAUUUUUUGCGGAAAUGACGAAUGGAGGGAAGGAGAUCGUGAUGAUUACUUGGGAGGAUGACGCAAUAGAAAAUGAUAGGUGUUCGAACGAUCGAGAGAGAGAGAGAGAGAGAUGUCGAGAGAGAGAGCGAGAGAAAGCGGCGUGCGAGAGAGAGGGCCGGGGGAAGGAGAGAGAGAGCGAGAGAAAGCGGCAUGCGAGAGAGAGGGCUGGGGGAAGGCGAGAGAGAGAUGAAUAUAAUGCUAUUAAUUAGAUUUGGGGUUGUUGGAGGGUAAAAUUGUCAUUUUACAUAAUAUGUAGUAUUAACGGGUUUUAGUAAUGUAAGAUACACGACCCCCUUCCCGUUAAUAUUUUCAAUGUAAUCCUGCUCGAUUUGUAAUGCUACAUUAACGACUAGAUUACAUAGCGGAUUAAUCAAACACAGUUAUCUUGGCAGGAUUGUCUGUAAUCCUGCCAGGAUAACUCGAACCAAACGCACCCAAAAUGGUGAAGCACAUGUCAUUGUUUGGAAAAUAAAUUAAUGUUCUAUUAAUACAAUAAUAAUAAAGGUUAGCUCAUUUGGUUCCAUAGAAAAAUAUGAAAAAUAAUUUUUUAUAAAAAAGAGGUUUCGACGAAAAAGAAUUUACACUUCGUACUUGAUUUGCAGGAAAAAAAAUUAGUUUUCCAGCAACACUUAUUUGAUUGAAAAACUAAUUUAUGCUUUUUUCUUUUAUAGAUAUUAUAUACUAUUUAUAUGUAAUAAUUAUCAUACUAUAUAUAUUAUUAUUAUAAUUUAUAUUUGUAAAUUAAAUACAUACGAAAAUAUACUAUAGAAUAAGUGUAUAUAUAUAUAUAUAUAUAUAUAUAAAAUAAUAUUUAAUACUACAUAAAAAGAAAAUAUUAUAUGAAUAUUUAUAUAAAUAAAAAAUAUAUAUCAGCGAGUGAGGUGCACUGUGGACCUCUCACGCGGUCCAUGCUGUUGGCGCAAUUCCAUGAACAAAAGAGGUUUUUCUUUUUUCUUUUGACUUACACUACAACAGAAUUAGAUUAUAGGGACACAUGUUUAGGACACUAUUGUGUAAGUGUUACAUUUAUGUCAAAACUUAAAAAAAAACUACUAAUGCCUAAAUAUAAAGUCCAAUCCAAUCAAAAAUAAAAAGGUACUUUACUCAACCCAUCCCACCCAGUCCAUUCGGUCCGAUUACAAAUAGAAAAGAAAAAAAAAAGAAAAAGAAAAAUCGAUUACUAUUUUUUCUUCUCCCCUCACUCAGUCGACUAAAAUCCUAAACGAAGAUCCCUUCCUCUCGUCCUUCUCUGCCACCGCAGCCAACGAGAUAGAGUUUCGGCGGUUGCUAGAUGCUUAAAUAAAUGUUUGCAAAUUAGCAGCACUCUUUUUACAUUAUAGCGACACUCUUUAACUGUCACUAUAUACCUAGCGACUCCACAUAUAGCAACACCUUUUAAAAGUGUUGGUAAUUUAGCCAGUAGCACUUUUUUUGACCUAUACCGAUAUUUAAAAGUGUCGCUAUAGACCAUUUUUAUUGUAGUGUUAUUAUAGCUAAUAUAUAUAUAGUGGGCUAAUAAUUUGAUGGUUGAUAUCUGUGGCCUAAAAUUUAAAACCUGAUUAAUUACAAAAUUUCAAAAAAUUUAUAGUCAACUAAUUAAUUAUUAUCUAUAUAUUAAAUAUAAUGUUAUAUAAUUAACUUAUAAAUAACUAUAACAUUGAAAAUUAUUUUUAAUGAGAGAAAUUCUUAUUUUUAAUUUCAAUUCUCUAUAUCAUUUUUUAAAAAAUAUUUAAAAUUUUACAAAAUACUAAACUUCAAUUAGUGUCUUAACUAUAUAACCUUCAAUUACACUUUUGUGCCAACAAAAUUUUAAAUUAAAUGACGAAUUAUGAUGAUGAAGGUGAAAAAAAUACAGCGUUGCAGAGUUAAUUUUUGGAAACUAUUAAAACAAAAUUUAAAUAUACAAAAUCAUAAAAUAGAUACAUAUUAUUUGUUGAAUUGUUUGGAGUUUUCUCUUUACAAACAAAAUGCAUUUUAUUUAGAAAAUAAAAAAUUAAAGUCAACUAAUUAUUACCUAGAUAUUAAUUAUAAUGUUGUAUAAUUAAAUUAUAAAUAACAAUAAUGUAGAAGAUUAUAUUAAAUUAGAUAUUUAAAAGAUAUUUAAAAUUUUACAAAACAUUAAACUUCAAUCAGUGUCUUAAGCUUACAAAAUAUAACCUUUAAUUUUACUUUUAUACCAAAAAAAUUUAAAUUAAAAGACAAAUUUGAUCAUGAAGGAGAAAAAAAAAAUAUAGCAUAGCAGAAUUCAUUUCUCAAAAUUAGUAAAGCAAAGUUUAAAUAUGCGAAAUCAUAAAAUAAAUAAAUAUAAUUUCUUUGUAUUGUUUGGACUUCAAUUUAAAUACAUUUUUCCUUCUCUUAUGUACAAAAUAUAAUUGUGAUUUUGUUCCAAUAAACUUAUAAAUAACAUUACGAAUUUUAAUGAGGAAGCUACAAACAAAAAUGUAGUGUAGCAGAGUUAGUCUUUAAAAAUCAGUGGUGUAAAAUUUAAAAAUGCAAAAUCACAAAAUAAAUAAACAUAAUUUGUUUGAUUGCUUAGAUUUAAAUUUAAAUUUUGAUAGAUAAAGUUUAUUAUGUUAAAUUUGGUUUAGAUUUGUAGUUAUAUAAAUUGAAGAUAAAACGUAAACUAAUUAGGAUAAUAAAUAAUUCAGAUUUAAUCACUAUAACAAAAUUAGGUUAUAAGGACACAUUUUUAGAACACUUUUAUAUAAGUGUCCCAUUUAUACCCAUUUUUUUUUAAAAAAUCUAUUAAGGCCUAAGUAUAAAGCCCAAUUCAAUAAAAAAUAAAAAAUUCCUCUAUUCAACCAACCACACCUAACCUGCUCGACCCAAUUACAAAUAAAAAAGAAAGAAAAAAAAAGAAAAAUUGAUCACUAUCUCCCCUUCUCCUCCUCCGCCGUCGCAGCUGAUAAGAUAGGAUUUCGACGACUAGAGUUCGGCCGCAAGGAUCUCACACGAACCGUAGAGGAUUACAAUUGCCACGUAUUCCUCGCCACAGCUUGCUGAAGAAGUCGGUGUCAUAACGACGCCACAUAUAGCAACACUUUUAAAAAGUGUCGGUAAUUUAGACAGCAGUAUUUUUUUUGAUCUGUACCGACAUUUAAAAAUAUCGCUAUACAUCAUUUUUAUUAUAGUGAAUUUGGCAUAUAUGGAUUAUAAAUAGGAAUGUAAUUCUAAUUGAAUUAGAAUUAGACUCUAAUUUGAAAGCAUAUAUUAUAUAUACAUGUUAUGGUCAAAUUAAUGAAGUCGCGGUGACCCUAAUUAAGCCAUGCAAAUUAAGUAAGAGCAUAUCGGUAGUCCGUACGGACGGAGGAAGCCGUCCGUGCUUCUUUGGGGCUGGUGGUCACGUUGCGGCGGCGCGAUGCGCAUUGCAUAGAGAGCGGGCGAAGCCAUCUCUUUUGGAGAUCAAAUUAAAGGAGAGACCAUGCAAAUUAAUUAAGCUUUUGGGGGUCCAUCCGUACGGUUGAGGAGCAGAGCCGCCGCUUAUUUGGAGUCGCGUGUACGGAUACAGAUUUCGACGUUUCUGAUGUAAAUAGUGUUCGGAUUCUUUGAGAGAUCUUCUUUGUACUCCGCCAUUCGUACGGACUAUCAAGCAUCGGAGAAAUAGAAGUUUGAAUAUUUUCUUCAACAAACAAAAAUAUUAGAAUUUCCUUAGUUAACAAAGAAAUAAAAAACUUAAUAUUUGAUUUCUUCAUCGUCUUGGCUUGCGAGAAAAGUGGUGCGAAGAAGAUGUAUUUUUUCCAAGAAACGAAGAGGUAAAAGUUUCAGCGAAAAGAUAUCUUCUUUAAAAAACGAAGAGAUUUCUCUAAAAAAACGAAGAGGUUGAGAAGAUACAUCUUGUCCUCGAAAAAAUAAAGAGGUUGAAUAAAAAAGUGUACACUUUUAAUAAAUACAAUUAAUAAUUAUUAAAUAUAUAUGAAUUAUUUAUUUUUAUUAUAUUUCUAUUUCUUUGUAUAAGAAGAUAUUGUUACCCUAGGUAAUGACAUCAUUUAGAGCUUGAAUUUGAAGAGAAAAAAAUUUUUGGAAGAAAAUAUUCCGGAUAUUAUGUGAAUUUCAACAAAUCUAGUGAUAUUUAUUUAAUUGGUCUUCAUAUAUUUAUUAGACGGUUAGUUUUGUAAAAUUUUUUUAAAUUUUUUUUUUCUUAAUAUGUAUUUUCUGUGAAUUUUUUUAAAAAAUAAUUAUUUACUCAUAUUUGAGUGAGUUGUAUACGAUAAAAUUGUACUUGUAGUAAUCUUUUUAAUUUACUUUCAUAUUUUUCGAUGAUUCGAUAAAUUAGUUGUAUAGUAAUUUGCUUUGACUUUAUAAAUUAAUUGUCUUCUCUAAAAUAUGAUGUAAAAUACUUAAUUAAUUAUCACUUUUAUCUUGUUAUUAUUUUAAUAAAACUUUUACUUUAGUACUUGACAUUUAUUUUGUAAUAACAAAAAAUGGCUACAUCUUGACCGUUGAUAUUUUUAGGAAUACAAUCGAAAGUUUUAUUUGUUCAGCUAAUAACUGUUUUUACUUUUCUAACAAAAUUUCAUAACUCAAUUAAGAGGUACCCAUAUAAAAUAUUACAAACUAUAAACAAAAUGCACGUAAGUAUUAUAUAUAGAAAAUAUAGCAAAAUAAGAAACAUAAAUUUGAAUCAAUAAGAAGUAUGAAUUUUUCUCUAAAUUAUACUCAUCAAAAAUUUCUUGAAGACGAUGACGAAGUUUUAAUGAUGAAUAUCAUCGAGUCAAAGUUUUCUCGUCUUCAAAAAAGAAAGAUGAUCAUCGACGACAAAGACAAUGGAAUUAAAAUAAAUUUAACUCUUCUUUUAUCACUUCAUUUUAGUCCUGCUUAUUAUUUUCGUGUAUAGAUGUUCAAAUUUACGUUUUUAUUUUACUAUAUUUUCUAUCCCGUAUUUUGUUUAUAAUUUAUAAUAUUUUAUUAUUUUUUUCAAUUUGACACUACUAUUUAAAUAUAUAUUAUUUAUUUAAAUAUAUAUUACUUAUUCACUAAUUUAUUAAUUUUAUUUAAUUAUAUUAGAAAGAGUUAUAGGUGCCACCCACGUGCACUGGCUAGUAUUCUACGAAACAAUAAGCCUGGCGCACGAAUAUUGAAGCAACAGGAGGUAUAUAUGCCAACUAAUUAAUGCCGUGCUAUUAUUUAGUCUUUGGACCACACAAUUAAAAAGAUUGCAACGUUGCCCCACUAUUGGGACCAUAUUUGAGUGCUCAAUCCUCCGAACGGUACACGCAAUUUGGUCCUUCGAGAUAAGCCGCUUCACAAUUUGGUCCUUUCGUCGGGACCGCACCGAGUCGACAAGCUCUUUGCAUUCGGAAAGUAUAAGAAAGCGACGAGAACCGCCGGGUCGGAAUGUCGAGUUUAUCGUAGUAAAGAUGAUACACGCAGAAUUUUGCUGUACUGAUUGUCUAGAUUUUUACCUUCGUAAAUUUUAUGAUAAUACAUUAAUACUAAGGCCCCGUUUGGAUAUCCUUAAAAACGUAGCAUAGUUAAACUAUGCUACACCGGUAGGAAAAUAAUCCUAUGAAUCGUUUGGAAAAAAAAAAUGAUGUAAUUUUUGGAGUAUAGUUAUAUUAUACUCUAAAAAAUGAAGUAAAAUUACAAUCCACUUUAACAAAGGAUAAAAAAUUCCACCAUUUUGAGCUCCCUUACCCCAAAGAUGUAUCAAGUUUUGAAUAUUAAGUUUCAACAUAAAAUUUUAAAUUUCAAAUUUCAAAUUUCAAAUUCGAAUGUUAAAUUUCGAAUUUCGAACAUAAAAUUUAAUUUAAUUUUUUAAGUUUUUAAAUUUAAAAUUUAAUUUUUAAAAUUUUAUUUUUAAAUUUUGAAUUUAUAAUUUUAAAAAUUUAAUUGUUAUAAAUUCUAUAAAAUUGUACGAUAUGUAUCCAAACAGUUUAAAAAUGAAGUAUGAAAUUUUUUUGUAGUCACAGAAUUCCGCAUUUCAUUUAGACCAAAACCACAUAAUGAAAGUUCUAUGAAAUUUUUUAACUAUAUAUCCAAACAGGGCCUAAGUGUUAAUUAUUCUGAAUCAAUCCCUUUGUGGUACUUUGGAUUGUUAACUUUUGCGGCCCCAAUUAUGUGACAUAUUCUAUGAAAGGAUUGAAAUGAUAAAAGAUGCGAAUUGAUCUAAUUCCAUGUACAUAUUUAAUUAGUAGGUGGAGUGUGUCAUGCAAAGUUUCAAAAGCACAUGGACCCAUUUGCAAUUAUUGGAGGUGAGUCCAUGGAAAGAGAUUAUAAAAAGACAAAUUAUUGAGAGAAGAGUGUAUUAUUUUGCUUGGAAUUAUUUACACCUUAAAUGUCGAUUCAUGCAUUUUUGGUGGGCUUUUCUUUUCAAUUUGUCUUUCUCAUGGUAUGACAUAUUUUCAUUUUUGUCAAUUCGUGAUUUAAAAAAUUUUACUUAACUAUCCUGUAAUUUUAUUCUUAUUCCACUAUAAGAUCGAGCUUAUUGUGAAAUGGAAUACCAUCUUGUAGUUUUAAAAAAUUUUACUUUAUAUCUUAUUUAAUAACAGAUUUGUUGGAUGAUACAAAAAAUGAAACUACAGAAUAGUAGUUAAGUAAAAAUUACACCCAGUGAACAAUUUGGGUUUGAUAUAUACAACCUAGACUAGUAUGAACCAAUUCAAUGUGUUCCUAACUAGGUUUAAGAUUGGGAAAAUCCUAGUUAAUUUAGACCCAAUUAGGAUUGUGUUUAACUGACCUCAAAGUGUAAUUAACAUGAAACCUACUCCAAAUCAAAGCAACUCAAAGUAUCUUAACAUACAUGUGCUUAGAAAUUUCAACUGCACAGAGAAUAUUUGCAGGAAACAUAUUAUUCUAUUUGAACUUUUUUGUUUUGAAGGGUACAAUUAUAACAUUAUUAUUUUGAAAGGUACAAUUAUAACAUUGUUAAUUUCUUAUCUUCUAUCUAAGACCAUACACAUAAAUUUUAUAGUCCCUGGUCUCUGUCAGAUAUCAAGCCAAUUCGCCCUUGCCAACCUGAUGAUCAUUGGCACAAUUAAACAAAGGCAUAGUUGGCCAAAAACUUAAGAAAUUAAGGAGUAUAAGACUUUACAGUUUUAAACAUUCGAUUAGAUUAUCAUUAAUUGGCUAUUAAGAUGAUCCACCUACCCUAUGGUGUAUAUAUAUAGUUUGUAUGGUAUCCGGUCGAAAAAUAUAAAAAUACUAUCCGCUUCACCUAUAAAACAAUUAAAUUAUAAACUUCAAAUCUCAGAUACCAGUCAUCAAAUUUGUUGUCACUUGCGCUAAAGACAGUCGUUUUAUUUAUUUAUUUUUUUUGAGAAAAAAAUAGCACGCUACCUACUUCAUUCAUCAAGAAAGAUGAACUAAACGUACAAGCUGGAAGCAGCUAAAGCUUUCUGGGCAAAACAAGACAGAAAAUAAAGCAAGAGUAAAAUAAAGAAGGAAAGAAGGUCAGAAGAAAAAAAGAAAAAAGCGCAAGUUAACGAGUUACAGGAGCGAGAUCCAGGAGUUCGACAGGGUUACGACUCUAUCCAAUGCUCAGAUGGUCGUUUUAUUUUAAGAGAAUUAAUUAGAGUUAGAGUCAAGUUUUGAAUUCUAUUUUUUAAUAUUAAGGGUAGAAAUAAGAUCUUACUAUGUUAUUAUCUAAUAAUAAUAUGUUUAGGAUAAGCAUUGUUAGAUAAUGGUUUAUUAGUUGUACGAGUUUGACAGUGUUGUAGAGAUGACGUCGGAUGAUGGAUUAAUUUUCGAGUCUAAUAAAUGUAUGACUAAUGCAAAUAAUAAUGCUCAUGCUCAUAACACAUUAGUUUUGUGUUUUUCCUUUUUUUUUUUUUUUUUCUUCCUCUCUAUCUCUAAAACUAUGGUGAGAGAGAGAACACCAGUUUCAAAACAAAACAAAACAAAAAAAGAAAAAGAAGAAGAAGAAGAAAACAGUGCUAAUAUUACUUCCCAGUUUGCACAUAGACACUAAGCUACCGUUUGGUUCGGGAUUAAGGAAAAACUAGUUAUUCCAGGAAUAGGGUUAAGUUUAGGGUUAAGAUGGGGUUAGAAUAUUUUUGUAUUUGGUUGGGAAUUGGAGUUAGUCCAGAAUAGUGAAAAAUAGUAUUUAGUUGGUGGGAUAAGAAAGAUAGUAGAUUAUUAUGAAUAGAAAAUAAUAUUUGGUUGAAAUUUGAUGAGAUUAUGUGGGAUUAGCUAACCCGGAAUAACCCAUUUGAGGUGAAGUUAGCUAACCCCACCCAUUUUUAGAAGUAUUUGAAGAUAAAAUGGGAGUUAAGAGGUUAUUCCACCCCUUAACUCCCAACGGAGGCUAAAAUAUUAUUCCACUUUUUAUUUAUGAUAAAGUUUGACGUCAGUUUCCACUAUCCGAAAAGUUUUUCAACGUUCAUAAAUCAAAUAAAAUUCGGGAUUCAUUGCAUUUAGCCUAUGUAUGUGAUAAUAAAAAUGUAGGAUCAAAUGCAUACAACUAUCUACAAAUAUAAUAAGUUACCAAUAUAUUUUUAUAAAAUUUAAUUUUCAUAUUUAUUUUUAUAAAAAUUUUAAUAUAUUAAAUAUAUUCUUUUAAUUUAUUAUUAUUAAAAAAAUAUUUAUAUUUUAAGAGCAAAUAAGUAAAACGUCAAUUUUGCAAUUACAAAUAUGUUCUUUCGAAAAUCACAAUAAUAUAAUAUAAAAAAAUAAAAAUAUUAAAUUAUCUCGUAAAUUAAUCAGAAUUAAAUAUUUAAUUUAUAAUUAGUUAAAUUUUUUUAGCGAAUCUAACCGUCAAUAUAUUUUAAAAAUAUUAAGACUUUUAUAAAUUGAAUAUUAAAAUGGUGGUGGAUGAGAAAGGACAAAAAAAGCACUGCCAUGAAAAAGGGCAUCGUACACGAAAGCGGCAGGACGAUAGUAACAAAUGUAAAUGGUGUUACGCAGAUGGGUCCAGCCGCAGAAUCAGAGCCGACCGGCUAUAAACUGACCCGCCCCCAACACACCACACAUUACAGCAGGGGUCAGCCGAACACGACAAAACUAGCUAAUAGCCGCAAAACAACAAUUUUAUAAUUAUUAUGAUUUUAAGGUUCUCCGAAAUAUAUUAUUAUUAUGCUAGAGGAGGAGGAGGAGUUAAACGCACAAUUCGAUCCCUCCUUUUUCCCAAUUUUUCUCAUUAUUUGUUUUUUCUAAUUUUAUUAGAUUCUAAUCUUUUAAUUCCAUAAUUAAACUACCCUAAUAUUUAUUAGGUAUCUGUCAUCACCGGCAAAGAAAAUUCGUUAUACCAAAUGAGAAUCGGGCGCUGUCGGCGUGUGGGCUGGAACAGUUCUGCUUUAUGCAUUCCUUUUUUUUUUUUUGGGUGUGAUGAUGCUAAACCCAAAAAAAAAAACAAAAACAAAAAAAACUCCUGCACAGGAGAGUGAUCUGGGUCAUAUAUAUAUAUAUAUAUACAUGAUACAUCCAAGAUAUAUAUUUCAUACUGAUCCGGCGAACAAUUCUUGUUAUUACGAUAAGCCAAAUUUUUGCUCGGAAAAUAGAAAGUACGUACUCAAUUACAAGAAUUAAGGAGAAUGGAUAAAACAACGGACAAAGAUUGAGAGCAAUAAUGGUGCAACAAACGCAAUUAAAAGAGAAACCUGAAUAAUGCACAACCAACGGGCAGCCCGCUGCUUGAAACAGUGGUCUAGACGGUCGCGGCGGUUGGAGGGGCGGCGGAGUCGGAGGAGCCCCAGACAAUGUCUCUGAGGGCGGGCUGGAGCUCCUCGGCGCAGAAGUGGCGGUAGUCGAGGGCGUCGCCGGCGUCCUUCUUGACCUCGACGACGAGCACGGACGGGGCCACCGCGAAGAUCUCGGCGGCCACGGUGAGCCUUCCCUUGCGGCCCUUGUCCUGCCCGCCCUCCAGGCGCACCCCCGCGGCGCCGCUCCGCGUCACGCGCGCCGUCCCGCCCAUCCGCGCCGCCACCCCCUCCAGCCGCGAUAUGACCCCGCUCGCCGUCUCCCUCGUGGCGAACCGCAUCGUGCCCCGGCCCUCCUCCCGCCCCUCCUCGAACAGCCGCGACAGGUCGAACCCCUCCGACAGCGAUAUCAGAUGGAACGCGUUCAGCGUCUCCGGCUCCUCCUUCUCCUUCUCCUUCUCCUUCUCCCGGUCCUUGUCCUUGUCCUUGUCCUUGUUCUUGUCGAAUAAUUCUGCAGCGUCCUUGGCGGCCGGUCGGAUCGGGACGGAGGGCGAGGACGACUUCUUGAGCCAGGGCGAAUCGACGAGCUUGGCGACGGUGAUGCGGGUGGCGGGGUUGGGGUCGAGGAGGCGGGUGAUGAGGCGGCGGGCGUCGGAGGAGAACCAGGGCGGGCAGCGGAAGUCGCCGCGGUGGAUCUUCUUGUACAUGGCGACGAGGUUGUCGUCGUGGAAGGGGAGGAAGCCGGCGAGGAGGACGAAGAGGAUGACGCCGCAGGACCAGAGGUCGGCCUUGGCGCCGUCGUAGCCCUUCUUGCCGAUGACCUCCGGGGCGACGUAGGCCGGGGUGCCGCAGGUGGUGUGCAGGAGGCCGUCGCCGCGGACGUGGGCGGCGAGCGCGCUGAGGCCGAAGUCGGCGACCUUGAGGUUGCCGGCGUCGUCGAGGAGCAGGUUCUCGGGCUUGAGGUCGCGGUGGUAGACGCCGCGCCCGUGGCAGAAGUCGACGGCGGAGAUCAGCUGCCGGAAGUAGCCGCGCGCGGCGUCCUCGCGGAGGCGGCCGGCGCGGGCGAUCCGGGCGAAGAGCUCGCCGCCGCGGACCAGCUCCAUGGCCAGGUAGAUGCGGGAGCGCGUCGCCAUCACCUCGUGCAGCUCCACGAUGUUCGGGUGGCUCACCAUCUUCAUCACCGCGAUCUCGCGCUUGAUCUGCUCCAUCAUCCCCGCGCGGAUCACCUUCUCCUUCGCCACCACCUUCAUCGCCACGCUCCGCCCCGUGCGCACGUCCCGCGCCAGGUGCACCUUCGCGAAGUUCCCCUGCCCCAGCACGCGCCCCACCUCGUACCGCCCUUCCAGCACCCCGCCCCCCACCUUCGCUACAUCCCCCGCCUCCUCCAUGCCUCGCUAGCUGCGUUCGACGACGUCUCUCUUUCUCUCUUCCCCUCCCCUCUCGCGAGCUAGACCUAGACCUAGACCUAGACCUAGACCUAGCUUCCGAUCGAUCGAUCGAUCGAUCGGAGACCAGGGAACUGGACGACGAAAAUUAAGAAGAGCACGUACGUACGCACAAGAAGAAGACGACGACGAUGCUGACAGACGACGAAUCAGCUACCCGUCUUCGACGUGCUUGCGGUGGCAGCUGCGGCCGCCGUGCUUCUUCCGUUUCCCGGCGAGAUCAGGGCUCGAUCUCCUCAUCCUGAUGCAUUCCCUGGAGAAAACCCUAACCGCAGAAGCAAGGAGAAUAAGAAGAAUAAGAAGAAGACGACGACGACCACAGUGGCUCAGGAAAGGAAAAAAAGACAGAGAGAGAAAGAGGAGUUAGGGUUGUGCAAAACAGAGUCGCGAGUGAUUCGAAAGGCGACCGUGUAUGAGACCUCCUCAUGGGGUUUAUAUGGCAGAGCUCGGGCAGAGCAAAAUGACGAAACCGCCCACGGAGAAAUGCUGAGAGCGAGAGAGAGGCGGUUUCGGUGAGCCCCGGAGACGGGAUCGAACGGUCCGUGCGCAAUGUAAGGGGCGCGUGUCGCUCUGCGGUUGGCGGGUGGCGGCGACGGUUGAGAUUUAACGUGUCCGAAGGCGUAUAGCUGUUGCUGGCUCUGCUAUCGACUGUGGAUACACUGGAUACAGCAGGACAUGAACGGCGGUAGAUCGAUUUCGACGGCUGUGAUCGCUUCCAUCUUCGUUUGGCGGUGCUUCCGAGGAGCCGCGGCAAAAGCGCGAGCGAGCGCUUUAAACUUUCCAUUUUUCACUUGUUACACUGACAUGUGGGGCCCACUUAUGGUCCACGUGGCAGCACUACAGUCGUUGUAUACAGUCGUUGCACGGGUCAUGGUUCGAAGUUGAAUUCACUCUCGUGCGGAUUAAAAACACAAACACAAAAGCUUCCUCAGAUAUUUUGGUUGACCAAAUUUGACCAAAGUUAUAACUAUAUAUAUAUUACUUUGUUGGAAUAGUCUCCCGAGAAAUAUUUUUUCGAUUGAACCUUGUUAAUUUCAAGUUAUUUCAAUUCACCAAAUUUUAGUUUGUGGAAUCAAAAAGUUAUUAAAUUUAAUAAGUAGUUAUCAAUAAUUAGUGAACUAAUUAAUUUUAUAAAGUUUAAUUUGGAUUCUAAUUUCAAAAAUUAAAUCAAACUAAAUAAAAAUUAAAAAUUAAUAAAAAAAAUUUAAAUUUAAAGCCCUUCUCAAAAUAGCUUAUAAUGCAACUGUGGGACAAAUACUUAACAAAGUAAACCAAAAAGAUCGAUAAUGCAUAAUACCAUCGAGUCCAGCAAGCAGUUUGCAAUACUUUUGGAAAGCCUAGAUCGAAGCCCCAAAUGCGCAGAAUAAUCAAUAAAAAUGUCUUUCAUUAUGGUAUUCUAGCUGUACACAUACAUUCACAUCGCCUAUCCAGCUCUCUCGCAUAUACAAUGAAAACUUUGUAUACGAUCCCUCAAAAUAUUUUCAAACAAACUCAAAGGUCCUUUCUCUAGCCCGAUAAACUAUCCAAUAAGAGAUUGUGGGACGCGUUUGAACAUUGAGGACUUGUUUGGUUUAAGGGUGAAAUUGGAUUGGAUAAUAGAACGAAAAUGAAUUGGAAUGGUAAUUGAAAUAACCCACUUUUCCAAAACGUUUGGUUUAUUUGUGGAUUGGGAAUUGGAAUAAGUUAUUCACAUUUCAUUGUUUGGUUUGUAUAAACUAAAAAAAUUAUAGAAUACUAUAAUGCUAAUUUUACUCUCAAAUAUAAAUUUAUAUUAUUUAAAAUUUAUGAAAAAUAUAAUACUAUUCUCUAAUAAGUUUUUCAAAAAAAUAUCAAAUUUAUUUUUAAAAAUUUUUAUUGAUGUGGGUUAGGGAUAGAAUUUUGAAAGACGAUAUGUUUUUUUUUUUUUUGAUGAGAAAGGGGUGAAAAGAAGGAGGGUGAGAUGGUCACAUGGGUUUCGAGAAUUUAGUGAGUCUCUGGAAUGAAAUCUCAAUCCGGGCUAGAAGACCGGAAUCAAGUUAAAGGCUAAUAGGCCAUUCCCAUUUCAGUCCGGAAUAGAAAUCCCAAAUCGAUUCAUACAAACCAAACAAAAUUAAUCGGAUUUGAUCAAACCGAUUUUCAUUCUAUACAAAAAAUGGAUGAACCAAACAAGUCCUGAAUAUCAAUUAUUAUUAUUUUUCAACAUGUACGUCUCGUUUGCCCAUCAUCUAUUCUCAAUUGACAGUGGGGAUAGAUUCUUCAUCGUCAUUCCUAUGUGCCAUACUUCCUAUUGUCCGGCUACAGGUGUGUUUGGAAAUAAAUUUUUUUUAUCUACCAAUGCUUGAGUCUUGACAAGUUACACACCUUGAUUUGCUAUAACCAAUUGUCGAAAAUGAAUCUCACUAUUAUUUUUUAUCAUUACACUUUAUGGGGUCGUAUUCAAAACUUCUUUUCAUAACAUAGCAUUUUAGGGCACUCUUUUAAGUCAGCUUGCUAAUUAUAAAUUUGGCCCUUAUGCAAAUAAUCUACAUUUACAAUAGAUUUUGUAGACGGCUUUCAGAGUUAUUGGGAAUCCGGUACUCGCCCCGGUAUCGGAUUUUGUGAAUCCGCAAUCCGCUCUGAUACCGACUGUUGUUGAUCCGGUACCUAUUGUUGGGAUUUCGCAACGGAAGCGUCAAAUCGAAUUUUUACCAUAAACCCAUCUCCUCAGCAAAAGCUAAUACAAUUAUAAAAGAGAGAAAAAUCAAAAUAGAAAAUAUACGAGUAAAAUAAGAUUCAUUAAAUAAGAGAAGAAUAUACCUGACUCUUAUUCUACAAGAGAGUAGCUACAAUCCGAGCCCUCUUUUUGAAUCUCUCUUACCCUUCUCUAGUCUUCUAUAAAUUCAUAAAGAAGACAACUCUCUCUUUUUCUCUCUCACAUGCACCCAUGCACUAGGUGCAUGCAACUCAUGGCCAAGCUUCUCUUUGGUACGGUCCACCAAUGGCUUCAAGACAUCUCACCGUACCCUCCUCAAGAAUCUCAACUUGGUUGUACUCUCUACUCCAAAAGCAUCCCAAAGUGUGCUUUUGUAAUGCAUCCUCUAAAACAUACAUGAAUCCUAGUCCAAUUAGAAUUUCUACUCCAAUAAAUAUUUAAAUCUUAAUUGAUUUAUCUCCAACAAAUUUUAAUAUUUAUCUGAAUCUAGUUAGAUUUAAAUCAUAAUUUAUCUCCAACGAAUUUAAAUAUUGUUUCUUAUCCAAUUAGAAUUAAUCUACAAAUCUAACCAAAACCUAACAUGGAGUAGCGUAAUUGACUAUGCGGUCCUCUUCCAUCACUUCAUCACCGAAUUUGACGACUGAGGUGUCUACUCGUUGAGGUUGGCUAAACCCAAUUAAGAACAUCCAUCGCCUUAUACGUUUGAGCACAGUGGAUAGAGAAGGAGACAACAAUACGGAGACUAUCGUUGCAAUCCAUCUCUUAUUUUAGAUCAAUGUUACAGAUAGCACUGUCAUCAUUGACCGCGUCGUUGAUGAAGAUAGGAUGACAGAAUUUGCAGUUUCGAUGCAAAGAAAUUGCUGCAACAAAUGAUUUGAUAAAACAAAAUAUAACGAUGUUGUGUAAUUUAUCGAUGAAACAGUGUAUUAUAUGCUAUAAUGGUGCAAAAGUUUUGUAAAAAAAAAUGCAACUCAUGUUCCAAUUAUGUCAACAUUCGAUCGGUUAAGUGAACAUGCAUUUGCAAACUUGUUGUUUAUUAUCAUUUCUAGUUGUUCGUCGGUCAGUGCCUCAUUUAUCUCGUCUGCCUCACAUGCAGGAAUCUCACUCUCAUUGCUAAUUUUUAUAGCAAAAAUGGAACUACAAUAAGAAGUUUAAUGGUUGUGAAGAGAACUUUAUAUAAGUUUGUUGAAAAUGUAUAUAUAGAGACCCCUCGACUUUAAACUUUUGAUGGAGACCCUACUUAACUUUUACUCUUUAAGAAUUAAGUUAUUUUAGUGAAAAAUAUUAAAGAUUUCAUCAAAUUCAUAAAAAAUUUCAUCAAAUUUAAAUUUUUUAAUAAUUAUUAGACAACAAAAUAAAAAUAAUUAACAAUCAAUUACUGAUAAAACUACAAAUAUCAACAAAGUUUUGAACGAAAUUAACUAGAAUAACUCAAUUAAAAAAAAAGAGAAUCUUAAUAAAAAAAAAAUUAAGUUGACCAAACUAUUUUAAGACAGCCUAUAGUUGAGAAGAAGUUCAUACAUUUAUACUAUAAUUUUUGAACAUGAGAAAUUCUACUUAUAUACCCAAAAAGAGUAGUGUAGAUCUUACACACCUGACUCUAGAAUUCACAAAAUUCAAUUAGUUUUUAAUAUUUAUUUUUAAAAAAAAUGAACAAGAUAUGAAGGCAUUAUUAACUGUUAGAUUAAUGGACUGUAAAAUUUUACUCACUUCAAUUUUGAGGUGCAUGUACAAAUAAUAUUACUCUUUUUUUUUUUGAGAAUAAGAUAGCACGUUACUCGCUUCGUUUAUUAAUAAUAAUAAACCUAGCUACGUAUGUAAGGCAACUAGCUAGGCCUCAAUAAUAUUACUCUUUGAGCCAGAGAAAUUCUAUCUAUACAUUCCAAAUAAAGGUGUACAUUGUACGACCCCUCGUCCAAGAGUUGAAACUUAUCUUUUAUCUUGUCAAUUUAUAUUUUUUACUUUUAAAAAUAUAAAAAUAUUCUAAACUCUCAUCAUAAUAGAAUUAAGUUAUAAGAAAAUAUAUUUGGAAUACAUUUAUAUAAGGUCUAAAUAUAAAGUCCAAUUCAACCGAAAAUAAAAAGUUCCUCUAAUUAACCAAUCCCACCUACCCCACAUGGCCCGAUUACACAUAAAAAAGAAAAAAAAAUUUCAUCACCGUCUCCCCUUAUGCUCCUUCGCCGCCGUAGCCGACGAGGUAGAGUUUCUGCAGUUCAGCCGCGAGAAUCUCGCAGAGACAAUAGAGAAUUACGAUCGCCAUGUGUUCCUCCGUCACAGGUCGCUGGAGGAGUGGGUGUCAAACAUCAAGGCGAUCUCACAUAUAACGACCCCAUAUAUAGCAAUACUUUUAAAAAGUAUCGAUAAUUUAGCCAAUAACAUUUUUUUUUAACUGUACCGAUAUUUAAAAGUGUCAUUAUACAUUUUUUGUUGUAGUGUCUGUAAUGAGAGAGUGCAAGAUGUACACCCUUUUUAAAAUAUACAAAUAAUAUUUCUCAAUAAAUUUUUUUUUCAAUUUCGAUACAGUUAAUGAAAACAAAUAAAAAAGAAAAGAAAAAAAGAUUAUGUUCUCUAUCAUUCACGCGGUAUCAAGAUUCAUACAAUUCACGUGAUAAAGGGUGAGUAAAAAAAGUCUUACAUUCAUACUGUUCCCAUCAAAUUUUGAUUCAAUGAGAAGAAGAAGAAAGAGAAGAAGAAUAAGAAGAUGAUGAUGAUGAUGGCUGCAGAGAAAGACGCCUUCCCGUUUGUUUGAGGAUGAUGGCUGCCGGGUGACGACACGGAGGUCUCCAGUCACCUCAACCUCCCUUUCUCCAAGCCCCGAUCACGUGCACCGCACGUGGGCCAAAAGCCAUUUAGAAGUUCCAGGUUUGGACGGCUUUUGGUUUAAUUUCUCCUCGUGAGCGUACCCGGACUGACGCUUUUUUUGAUACUAGUACAGCGCCCACGCUAUACCACUAAUAAAAAUAGUUUAACUGAUUAUUUUAACAGAUUAUUUCUAAUGCAAGUGAUAAAAAAUUUAAUAAUUAGUAUCCCAAAUUUCAAAUUUGAAUGCUAGUUAAUUCACAUUUUCAGCUAAAUUUAUUUCUAAAUAAAAUAAACGAAGCGGAUAACAUGCUACAUAUCUCUCAAAAAAAAUAAAAUAUAGAUAGUUUAAUCAAUUAAUAUAAAUAUAGAGUUAACCUGAUUAUAAUAUUUUUAAUAAAAUCAAGGAUUUAGUGUUAUUAAGUUUUUCAUUAUUAAGUCUACUCUUUGAUCAAUUCUAUAUCUUAGAUCGUGGUAUUUUACUAAUCAUCCAUUAAAUCUUAAGAAGACCACCACUAAAUUCUAGAGAACUACUAUUAGUCCAACUCUAUAAUUUUUUUAUUCAAGAAUUAUAAAUUUAAUAGUAAAAGUUCUCAAAUACUAUUAAAAGUAUAGACUAUAUAUAGAGAGAAAGAGAGUAGAGUUUCUAUGCUUUCGGAAGUAUAAGAGAGCUCGUGCUUUCAAUUUUUUGGCCAUUUCAUCAAUCCCUUUGAUCAUUUAUGAUCUUUGGAUUAAUAUUAUUAUUCUAGCAAGACCGCUCAAUUUUAGGGGGAUCAUUCAACUCUAAAUUUUAUAUAUAUAUAUAUAUAGAGUUGAGCUAGAAUACUAUCGGUAGCAAACGAGCUCCGUUGCCACCCAUUUGUUUUCGAUGAUGGAGCCUCCAAAUCGACGAUCGGCAUCGUUGAACAUGAUCUAUACCAUUUGAAGUGUUUAGAAAUCAAAUUUCAAACCUUUUCGACAUCAUUUGCCUAAUGAUCAAAGAGUUUCAAAAUUUAUAAUUUUAAUGGUCGAUAUGAGGCGUUUUCUCGUUUAACGGUGUAAAGAUAUCCAAAUCAAUUGAAUUUUUGUUAGAAAAUUCUUUAAACUAUUUAAAAUAAGAUCUAAACUCUUGAUCUUGACUACAAGACUCCUAUCAUCAUUUUUUAAAGAAUAUUCAUUUUCAGCCAUUCGUUUUUGUGUCCACCGAUGGAUAAGAGAACAAUAUCGAAAAUGUAUGAAAUUUGAUUUCUAAACACUUCAAGUGGUAUAUAUCAUGCUCAACGGUGCCGAUCGUCGAUUUGGAGGCUCCAUCUUCGAAAACAAAUGAGCGGCCACGGAGGCCGUUUGCUACCGAUAGUAUUUUAGCUCAACUCUAUAUAUAUAUAUAGUAGGGCUACUAUACUGUAAUGAAUAUUGGACCCUUUGUACUCAUAAGUUGUAUUCGGUGAUGGAGCUUUCGAAUCGACGAUCCACUCGGUUAAAUAUGAUCUAGAGUAUUUGAAACUUGUAGAAAAUAAAUUUCGUAAUUUUUCGAAAUCAUAAUAAAGUCCAUCAAGCAGGUAUAAAAUGAACGGUCAAAAUCGAAAGAUGUCUUAAAAAUGGAUGAUCGGAUUCUUCAAUUUAAGAUCGGAGUUAUUGAUCUUUAUCUAGGUAGUGAAUAGAAUUUUCUAUCAAAAAUUCAAUCUAUUCAGAUUCUUUUGCACCGUUAAACUAGCAAGUACUCCAUACCAGCCAUUAAAAAUUGUCAAUUUUGUAAGCUUUUGAUAGUAAGGUAAAUGAUGUCAAAAAAUUAUAAAAUUUGAUUUCUAGAUGUUUCAAAUGCUCUAGAUAACGGUUAACAGUGUGGAUCGUUGAUUCGAAAGCUCUAUCAUCGAAAACAACUUAUGAGUACGAGGACGAUCGUACUUAUAAUAGUAUAAUAGCCGAACUAUAUAUAUAUAUAAACUAGAACACUAGUAACAGCACUAAGUCAUUGGUACUAUUAGAAUUUUGGCUCUAUGAAGAGGUAUACGAUUAAGAUGAUAAUAAUUUUUAAAGGUUAAUAGGUAACUGAUGGAAUAGUUUAAAACGGUCAAAGAGGCAAGAUCUAACGGCAAAAAAAAAAAAACCAGUGAAAUAGGGCUUUAAUUGCAUUACAUAAUGAGCAAGAAAAUAUAUUGGUGAUAAGGAGGUGCCCACAUAACAAGACAAAGAAAGGGUAAGCAAUGUUAUUACUGUCCUUCUAUAUUUGAUGUCUGUUAUUUAGCUUUUCAACUACAGUGCUUCUUUAUAAUUUCUUGAUAGUUUUGUCAUAUUAUGUGAUGGAUAAGACUUGUCUUCAAGUUGCUAGAAAAUAAAACAGAAAUCGACUCCAUUCAGAUGCUUCUAAUCUACUAAAGUUAAUUAAAAAAUUCACACAAAGUAUUAAUCAAUUUGCAUGGUUAUGGUUAAGUUAAUUUAAAACGGUACAAAAUGUUUGGUAUUAUAGAUAGCAUUUUAGCUGGACUAUCUCUCUCUUUCUCUCUCUCUCUAUCUCUCUCUCUAUAUAUAUAUGAUUAUACAUUAAAAGUUUAAAUUUUUUUAAAAAAAAUUGUUACUAAAAAUAUAAAAAUAUAUCCUAUAAAUAGCCUUAUGUGUAUUAUAAAAAACCUAACUGGUAUUAUUUCAGUCAAUUAAUUAUAUCUAUAAAUAUCAAAAAAAUAAGAAGGAAGAAGCUGUAACCAAAAAAAUAUAAAACAAACAUCCUAUAGAAUAGUCUUAUUUAUAUUAUAAGAAAUUUAAGUACAACAUAUUUAAUUAGUAUGCAUAUAGAAAGUUCACUUGACAAAAUAUAUAUAUAAAACUAGACUAGAAUACUAUUAAUAACUCCAAAUCACAGGUGCUAUUAAAUUUUUGCCAUUGGAUGAAAAGGUGUGCGGUUAGGAUGAUAGUGACCUCCUAUAAUUAAGUGGGUGAGUGGUUGAAUAGUAUGAUUUAAUCGGUGGGUGAGUGGUUGAAUAGUAUGGUCAAAGAAAUAGAUCCAACAGUAAAAAAUUUGGUAGCACCAAGUGCUUGAAGUUCUCGAUAGCAUAGUAGCCGAGCUCUCUCUCUCUCUCUCUCUCUCUCUCUAUAUAUAUAUAUAUAUAUAUAUAUCAAAAUUAUUUUUUCGAAUAUGCUCGGUAUUAUAACAGAGCAUUCUGAGCAGCAAAAAUCAAUACUCACUUUGUAGUCCAGCACAAAUUGCGCACAAUUAAUCAACCAUCAUAGUUACAAUUAUUUAUUUUUUAUCGUUUAAAAAAUUAAAACAUACCGUGAAGCUAAUUUAGGAAAUUAGAUGAAACACAUUUGCGCCUUUAUUUAUUAAAAUGAAAUACAAUCAUUUUCUUUUCAAGGAGUGCCUAAAAAAGAAAAAAAGGAGAAAGAAAAACUGGCAAGAGCAAUAAAAUAAAUGUUGGUAAUUUAUCUUUGUAUCUCAAAGUUUAAGCCAUUUUCACUUUCUCUCUCCUCAAUAUUUAUUUUGGUAGAGAGAAGAUUAUGGACCCGUUUGGCCUAAAUUCAGGAAAAAUAAUUUCUAUAUAAUUGAUUUUGGUUUGAAAAAUUGAUCUUGAUUAAAAGCUGUAGAGCCUUUGACUAAGUUUAGAUGGAAAGUGAUUUUUCUGAUAUGAUUUUAUAAAAACUGUUUAGCUAAAAAUUUUUGAUGUUUGCAAUAAAUAAUAAUUUUUUACUAAAUUAUAUUUUGAAAUAAUUUAAAAAUUGAAUGUAAAUUUAAAUUUAAAAAUUGAUAUUCUAAUUAAAAUAUAAAUUAAAAUUUUAAAAAUUAAAAUUUAAAAUUUGAAUUUUCCAAUCUAAAUUUAUAUUUUUAAUUUCAAAUUUAAAAUCUAAGUUUGAAAUUUGAUAUUUUAAAUUUAAAAUUUGAAUAUUUUAAAACUAAAAAUUCAAAAUUAAAAUUUAAAAAUUUAAAAAUUUUAAUUUUGAAUUUUUAAGAUUUAAAAUUUUUAAUUUGAAAAUUAAAAAAUUUAAUUUUAAAUUUUAAAUUCUAAAAUUUCAAAUUUUAAAUUUUAUGUUAAAUCUUUAGUUCGAUAUUUAAAAUUUUGAAUUUUGAAAUUUAUAAUUUAAUAUCUAUUUAUAAUUUUAAAUUACAAAAUUUAAAAUUUGAAAGUCAAAAUUUAAAAUUUAAAGCUUUAAAUGUAAAAUAUCAACCUUAAAAUUAAAAUUUGAAUCUAAUAUCAAAAUAAAAAUUAAUAUUUGAGUUUAAAAUCAGAAUCAGAUUUUGAAAACGAAGUUUCCAAACCCUCUAUUGAGCCAAAAAUUAAUUUAAAUCGAAAAUCGCUUUUCAAAAACUAUGCCAAACAUCCACUAUAAUAAUGUAAACGUUUUAGCCAUUGUGGAGAUUCUAUAACAUCUGAGAAAGAGGAAAAAGGUUUAUGAUUUUAUAAUAUUUUAGAUUAUGAAGAUUUUAUAAGAUAUGAGAGAGAGUAGGUAUUAUAACUUCAUAUGGACAUAAGAGAGAGAUAAGGAUUUCCUAGAAUAUAAGAGAGAGAGAGAGAUGGUAUUAGCUGCAUAUGGACAUAGGAGAGAGAUAAGGAUUUCCUAGAAUAUGAGAGAGAGAGAGUGAUGGUAUUAGCUGCAUAUGGAUAUAAAAGAGAGGUAAGGAUUUUGUAAGAUAUGAGAGAAAUACAAAUUUUAUAAGAUACAAGAGAGAAAGAGAGAGACGUAGCAUGGGAAGAGGAAAAGAGGAUACAGGGAAAGGGGAGAGGAGAGGGAGAUUGGUCUUUUAUUAGGGCUUAAUAAUUGCAUGGGAAAAAUGCUUGCCAACUCAAAUCCUGAAGUUAAUGGAGAUGGUGGCCAUUUGGAACAGGCAAAGGAGAACUUGCAAACUCAAAUUCUUUCAAAGCAUGUUUGGUUCGCGUUAUUUAAUAUUAUAGGUUAUUUCGAUAUAACCAGCUGCUUGAGAUUUUUGAAUUAGAUUAUUACUGAUAUUGCAUUAUUGUGUUUGAUUUUUAAUACAGUAAUAUAAUGUUAGAGUAUGGUGUAUGUAAAAUUAUCAUGUUUGGUUUAUUUUAUAAAAUUUAGUAAUAUUAACAAUAAAGUAUAACUUAUUCCAAAUUUUUUUACUAAAUUGGAUCUCAGAUCGUUUGAUUUGCUACUAAAAUUUAAUCCAAAUCACCAGAAUUUAUUAACAUGAGAAAAGCAAAUCUUGGAAAAUAGGAAAUAUAAUAUCUAAUCAAAUUGACCAACAUGGCACCUACGAUUAAAAAACAAGAGAAUCUUGUGACCAUUGAGCUUCAACAAAAGCCUCAUUUUUUUUUUUUCUGCAAAUGGUAAUGACUCUUAUCUAUAUAAAAAACAAAACAUCAGUUUACAAAAAUAGAUGUCCCCAUCCCCGUGUUAGUCCAAUUAAUAUACACUGUAUCAAUUAAUAAUGCUAUGUGUACACUUUAUUUUACGGCGUGUGUGUCUUACACUCUCUGAUACACUCUAUGAGAUAAGAGUUUUUAAAUUUUAAAGAACUUUUAAGAUUAAAUAAAGUAAUAAGACAAGUGAGCUAGAUAGUAAAAUUUAUACCUGCAGAGUAAGUGUACAGGUACGUAGUUUCGAUAUUUUUACUAAAUAAACUUCUAUGUAAUUUCCACGCGCGUGCUCCUUUUUCUUUUCUUUUCUUUUUUUUUUUUUUUUUUUUUUUUUUUUUUUUUUUUGUCUACAGGAUUGGGGUCAGAGUGACACAAUCAUACAAACAAUUAUAUGGUUGUCGAAGUAUUAUGCGUACCUUUGUCUUUUCUCCUUUGUAGAUGUGUGGUUUAAGACAAAUAAUUGAUAAAAUAUUAGUAGAUAUCAUAAAAUAAUGAUAAAUUAUAUUAUUUUUUAUUCAUGUUUUGUUACUAACUUUGGGUAAUAUUCUUGGACUACGUACCACAUGGUGGCCUUAAUUUAUUGAAGCCCCAAAGACACUAAAAUCCUCAUGAGCUUUUAGUAUUUUCAUAAAAAAGUGAUAUUAAAAAAUAUAAUUUUUUUGAUCAUAUUUAAUAAACUUAACUUAUUUUAAUGAAUAUGUAUUUAUUUUUUACGCAAAAACUGCUUAAUUAUCUUCCAAACAAUCUGCUGUUUAGUUUGCUCCAGUGGUCAUGAACUCCAAACAUAUGAUCAAAAAUUGCUUUAAAGAGAAUUGCAGGAGAUAUAUAAAUAGUUCUAAUUAUUUUAUUCACAUGGCCAAAUUGUUUUAACAAGGAAAAACAAAAUUUAAUGUAAAAAAAUGUUAUUAAUAAAAGAAAAAAAUUCUCAAUUUGGCUUUUUCUAUUAAGAAAUACAUAAAGUUUAGUUAGUAUAAAAACCAAACGCGUAAAUCAAAUAUGCAAAAGCUACAAAUUUAGUAGCUUUUUUUAUAUAAAAUUGGCCAAAAAACUGGAUGGCAAAUUAAUAUAUCAAAAAAUGAACAUGCUAAUUAAUUACUCUUAGAAUCUUCAUAAAUGUUGAAAAAAUUCCACCAUCUCCAUAAAUGUGACCAAAGAAUAAUGAACGGCCGAGAAGAGUUCCAAAUUGCUAAUUAAUAACCCUUCAUAUUAAAGAAUGGUAAAAAUGUAUGGAGAUCCCCUUAACUCUAGACAAUUUUAAAAUGAUCCCUGAAGUUUUUUUUUGUUCCAUUGAUGUCCUUUCAACUUCUAAUUUUUAUAAAUUGAGUUAUAUCCUUAGUUAAAUUUAAAAUUUUAUUUGAGGAUUAAGGAUUUAAGUACCGUGGUAAGAGGUCGUGCCGGAAACUUGCCGGCACGGUACGGCACGAGCAGUGCAAGCCGUGCUGGUCAAAAAAAAUUUUGUGUGUCGACACAUAAUAGCAUGAAAUAUUUAUUUUCUUUAGCAACAAAAUAUUCUUACUAUUUAUUAUAUCUUUUUAUCACAUCUUUUGAACUUUAUUGAGAAAAUUACUUACUAAUUUAAAGAAUAGAGGGUUUUGAGCUGUACCAUUGGCAUGGGAUCUGUAUCGUGCCGAUAUUUUAUUGGCACGGUACGGCACGAUGGAUACCGUCUGUGCCAACACUACAACAAAAACGGUCUAUAGCGACACUUUUAAAUGUAGGUACAUGUCAAAAAAGUGCUGUUAGCUAAAAUUACCGACACUUUUAAAAAGUGUUGCUAUAUGUGGAGUCGCUAGGUAUAUAGUGACAGUUAAAGAGUGUCGCUAUAACGUAAAAGGGUGCUGCUAAUUUACCAACACUUAUUUAAGCAUUUAGCAACCGCCGAAACUCUAUCUCGUUGGCUGCGGUGGCGGAGUAGGACGACAGGAAAGGCUUUUCGUCUAGAAUUUCAGUAGAUUGAGUGAAGAGAGAAGAAAAGAUGGCAAUUGAUUGUUCUUUUUUUUUUCUUUUCUGUUUGUAAUCGGGCCAAAUGGACUUGGUGUGGUGGAUUGAGUAGAGUAAUCUUUUAUUUUUGGUUGGAUUGUGCUUUAUAUUUAGGCAUUAGUAGAUGUUUUUUUAAGUUUUAGUAUAAAUGGGACACUUACUCAAAAGUGUCUCAAACAUGUGUCCCUAACCUAAUUCUGUUGCAGUGCGACGGGCACUUAUCUAACUCUAUUGCGCCAAAAAGAACGUGGAAAAAAUGAUAUAUAGAUAUAUUCUUUUGCAUUUUCUAUGGUGGGACCAUGGGAUUAAUUAUACAAUAACCGAAUCGCUGCAAUCUCCAUAACACAUUAUUAUUAUUAUUAUUAUUUUUCCAAUUACACUUUCCUCGCCGUAUGUAACGUAUUUUUCCCACAAUUGCAAGCAAAACUUUAGCUGUUAGGUGGCUAAUUGAUGGCCUAGCAUAGAAGGACUCAUCUUCUUUUUUCGAUCAUUUAGUACUAACAUGAGAGACAAAAGAUAGAUCAAAUUCCGUAAUUAUACACGUUUAGGGUUCGAACCCCUCUCUAUAUAUCUCUCUCUCGCAGCAGUCGAAGAAAGCUAUUUGUCUUUCUCAUGCACUCUCUCUUCCUGGUCACAUGCAAUAAAAGAAGCAAACAACGAAAAAAAAUUGGAGGAGAGAACUAAGAUGAGAAUAUGAAGAGUUCUUAUGACUAUGGCCAACCUAUAUAUUCACAUCUCUCCUCUUCUUUUUCUUUUUUUUUUUUCCUUUCUUUCUCUUUCUUCCUCUACUGCCAAAAUAGAGAGAGAUUCUUUUCAUUAAAUUUAAUGAAAGAUCAAACAAGAAGGUGGCAAAAUAUUGGAUGUAAAAUGAAGCAAAAAUGAUGUAGGGUAUAAAUUAAACACCGUAUAAAUUAAGUGCAUGAGGUUUUUUUUUUAAAUUUAGCCGAAAAUAAUUUCAUUCAACUAAAAAGAAACAAAUCAAAGGUUUAAAAAGCCUCAAUAGAAAAAAAAAAAAAAAAAAGUUGAGAAGUCCGUAUUAAAAUAGUUUAUAAUUCAAGAAAUCUCUAUACAUUUACACCACAAAAAAUUAGGUCAAUUGUAUAUUUAUGUAUCCCUACAAAUUAAUAAUAACAUUGCAUAUUUAUCUCUGUAAAGUUUUAGUUAUUGAAUAUAUUAGUCGAAAGUUGCAAAAGUUUGUAAAUAUAUUCCUCCUUAUUAGUUGGCCGAUUAAAAUUCAUUUCUUCAGAAAAAAAAAAUGUAACCAUUCUACUACUUUAGUAAGUUUAAUGAUCUUUUUUAUUAUUUAUCAUUACUAAUAUUGUAUAUUAAUUUUUGUGUAAUCCUUAAGAAGUGAUUAGAAAAGUUAUUUCUUACAGAGGCAUAUAUAGAAUUCUUUCAUUGGUGUUAUUAGGUUUUCGGCCUUAGGAUGAAAGAAUUUGCAGUGAUCUGAUCUCUUAGGCUGCGUUUGGUUGGAGAACUAAAUUUUGAAAAAUAAUUUUUGUUGUUUCCGAGAACCAGGGAUAUUCCGAUACAAGAUAGAACAAUUGUAAAUUUGUGUUUGGAUGCAAUCGGAGAUAUUCUAGAGGAUAUUCUUAAUAGCGUUUAGAUAAAAAGUUUUAAAAAAUAUCUAAAUAUAUUUUUAAAAAUAAAAUAAUUAAUUUAUAUUAGUAUAUUUCAUAUAAAACUAUUUAUAAAAUUAUUUCAUAUAUAUAGUGAUUUAUAAUAUAAUAUUUUAUCUAACUAUCUAAUUUAAAAUAGUAUAUUUUAUUUUAUUAUAUAUAAUAAUUUAUUUUAUAUAAUUUAUUCAUAAUACAUGUAAUGAAUAAAGUAUAAUACUAACAAUAUCCUUAUAAUUUUAAUUAAUAAUUAGUAUAAAUUUCAAUACAAAUUAAAAAUAUAUAUAUAAUAUAUGAAAAAAUAAUUAUAUAUAUAUAAUUACUUAAUAUAAAUACAAUAAUUAAAUAUAAAUAUAAAUAUAUAAAUGAUAAAACUUAAUAAAAUAAAUAAUAUAUCAAAUUUUAUUAAUUUAUAUUAUAAAAAAAAAAUUUAUGUAUAAAUAUAUUAUCAUAAAGAUAAUAUUUAUAUUAAUAUAUUUUUUUAUAGAAUUGAGCUCCUAUGCUUUUAAAUGUAUCAAGUUAUUGGUGCUUGUAGAUUUUUAGCCAUUGGAUUAAAAGAUAUGCGGUUAGGAUGAUGUGGGGCCCCUGGGGUUGAGUGGGUGGUUGGUUGAAUAGUAUAAUCUAAUGGUUGAAAUUGAUCCGAGGAGUAGAUCUAACGGUAAAAAACUUACGAGCACCAAGUACUUGGUGCUUUUACAACCACCAUAGCCGGACUCUUUAUUUAUAUAUCUAUUUAUCUAAUAAAAUAGGGAGAAGAACAAAGUUGUUUUCAGUUUUUCUAAAAAUAAUUUUUAACUGGUUGUUCCAGAACAAUCCAGAACAACCCGCUUUAAUCAGAACAACUCGUUCUCCUAGCUCUUCCAGCAUUUGGCUACAAAUUGGGAGAUAUCCCGUCUCGUUCCGAAAUAUCCCCGGAACUAAAUGUAGGUUGAGUAGGUGGUGGAUUAAAAAGUAUAAUCUAAGAAAUAAAAAGGUCAAUUAAGUAAAUUUAACGAUGAAAAAUUUAAUAGUACUAAAUGUUUAGUGGUGUUAAAGUAUUUCAGUCAGAGUCAACAUGUGUGUAUAUAUAUAUAUAUAUAUAUAUAUAUAUAUAUAUAUAUAUAUAGAGAGAGAGAGAGAGAGAGAGAGAGGGAGUUGAGCUAGAAUACUAUCGUAGCAAACAGCGUUCCGUUGCCACCCAUUUAUUUUUUAUGAUGGAGCUCCAAAUCGAUGAUCGUACCGUUUGAAAAUGAUCUAUCCCACUUGAAGUAUCUAGAAAUCAAAUUUCAUACUUUUUCUAAUUUAUUCUCUUGUCCAUCAAGUGGGCGUAAAAAUGAACGGUGAAAAUGAAAUAUCUUAAAAAGUGAUGAUAGGAAUUUUGUAAUCAAGAAUCGAAAGUGUGUAUUGUUCUAAAUAGUUUAAAAAUUUUAUAACCAAAAUUCAAAUUGAAUUUGGAUAGCUUUACAUCGUUAAACAAGUAAACGCCUCGUAUCGACCAUUAAAAUUACAAAUUUUGAAACCCUUUGAUCAUUAGUCAAUGAUGUCGAAAAGAUUUGAAAUUUGGUUUCUAUAUACUUUAAGUAGUAUAGAUCAUGUUCAACCGGUGCUAAUCGUCGAUUUGGAGGCCUCCAUCUUGAAACAAAUGGGUGGCAACGGAGUCUGUUGCUACCGAUAGUAUUCCAGCUCAAUUUUUAUAUAUAAUAUAUAAUUAUAUAUAUAUAUUAUAUAAUAUAUAUAAUAUAUAUAUAUAUAUAUAUAUAUAUAGAGUUUUGCUAGAAUACUAUCGGUAGUAAACGACCGUUUUACUAUCGAUUUGUUUCAAAGUAGAACUUCCAAAUUGACGAUCGGCUCCGUUGAACAUGAUCUAUGCCACUUGAAGUGUUUAGAAAUCAAAUUUCAAAUCUUUUCGACAUCAUUUGCCUAAUGAUCAAAGGGUUGCAAAAUUUAUAAUUUUAAUGGUCGAUAAGAGGUGUUUUCUCGUUUAACAGCGCAAAGAUAUCCAAAUCAAUUGAAUUUUUGUUAGAAAAUUCUUUAAACUAUUUAAAACAAGAUCUAUACUCUUGAUCUUGAUUACAAGACUCCUAUCAUCAUUUUUUUAAAAGUAUUCAUUUUCAGUCAUUCAUUUUUCUGUUCGAUGGAUAAAAGAACAAUAUCGAAAGUGCGUGAAAUUUGAUUUCUAGAUAGUUUAAAUGGUUUAGAUCAUAUUUAACUAAGCCGAUCGUCAAUUUGGAAGCUCUAUCAUCAAAAACAAAUCGAUAGUAAAACGGCUCGUUUACUACCGAUAGUAUUCUAGCUCAACUCUCUCUCUCUCUCUCUCUCUCUUUCUCUCUCUCUCUCUCUCUCUCUUUCUUUCUCUCUCUCUCUCUCUAUAUAUAUAUAUAAACUUCAAAUAUCUCCUUGUGGUUUCGCACGUUUUCACUUUAGCACCCUGUGGUUUAAAGUGUAUCAAUUUAGUAUCCUGUGGUUUUGUAAUUUCUCACUUUAGUAACUGUGGGUGAAAAUGCAUCAAUUUAAUACCCUGUGGUUUUAUUUUUCUCUUUUCGUCAACUUCUCUGUCAAUAUUUCGUUAAAUUAUAUACAAAAAACUUCAGAUACCCUACCUAGUUUUAUCGAAUAUUUACUUUAGUACCCUUUAAUUUUAACUUUGUCACUGGUUUCUUUUUCCUCCGUUAAUAUUUCAGUAAAUUAUAUACAAAAAAACUUAAAAUACCCUAUAUAGGUUUAUCGAAUAUUCACUUUAAUGCCCUUUAAUUUUUUACUUUGUUACUGAUUUAAUAAAAAAAUUAGUAAAAUGGAUAAAAAAAAGAGAAAAAAAUAAAAUCACAGAAUAUUAACUUGAUACACUUUAAACUAUAGGGUAUUAAAGUAAGAAAGUGUCAAACCAUAUUGACUAAUUUGAUACACUUUAAAUUACAGAGUACUUAAGUGAGAACGUACGAAACUACGAGGGGGUAUUUGAAGUUUACCCAAUAAAAAAAAAACUUAUCUCAUGCUUCCCAGGGAGACAUGACCAUGUGCCCGUCAUUUCCAAUCUACAUGAAUGGUUACGUCCCUCUUGCGUUAUUAUUUCGUAGAGAGCGCGAGUGAGACGAAACAAAGCGCGGGACCCACCAGUCCUAAUCUCAACCUCGAGCGCACUUUUGCUUUUUGCUCGCACCAGUAGAUUUUCGACAAGUGUCGCGCCGUAUCCAUCACACGUUUCGCCAACGCGGGGCCCCACCACUUGGCGCCAAAUGACAUAACCCAUGCUGUGUCUCCAUCACAUAAAUUCAGGUCACCUCCCCCCUUGUCAUUUAUUUUCUUCUUUUUAUUUAUUGAUUUAAUUUUAAUUUAAUUUAAUUUUUUCUUGGUAUUGGAUGCGGUUUUUCUACAGUUUCGUAAAUAAAAAAAUAUUAAAUUAUUCUAAAACUAAUACAUCCUAUGGAAUAGCGUUGACUCGUGGGUUGUUUGGUGAAUUAAUUUUUAAGUAUGGUGCAGUUGAAAAUAUAUGUAACUAUAAAUUUUUUUUAUUGGGUUUAAUUGAUGAAGUUAGACCCAUUUGCCUUAGUCGCAUCCGUAUGAGAAAGUCAAAUUGCUAUAGUUGGAUUGGACUCAGCUCACUCGUUCAAAAAAAAUAACGUGGAAUUUUUUUUUUUUUUUUUUUCAUACACUUCAUAUUUUCCUUCUCUGCUUUUAAAAUAUCUCGUCACAGUAAUGGAUAAGAUUUUAUUUGCGACAUCAUAGUUCAACAUUGUCUUACUUUUGUUGUAACCAAAUCUAUUAUAUGUUCGAAUUUAAAAUUCACUGAAUUGAUAUUUAUUUUUUAUAUUUUAUAUACACAAUCAUCUUUAAAUAUAUAAUUUUAUAAUAUGUAAAAUAAUAAAUAAAUAUAAAGUUUUAAUUAAUAAUUAAAAAUUGCAGGAUUAUUUUAUGUUCAGAGAAGGUAAUCUCACAUCUUUAUCUAAAAAGUGACAUGCAUGAUUUACAAAUACAAAUCUCAACUUUCGCCUGUCGGCAAAUAGAAAAAAUGUAACUGCAAUAGUUACAAUUGUAUAGAGCCAAACAGAUAGCACUACAACAGAUUUAGGUUAUAGGUGUUAGAUUUUAUUGGAUUUUUGUGAUUUAAAACUUAUCAGGCCUCUUGAACAACCCAAUACUUAAUGGGCCUUACCUGGAAGCCUAACUAAGGUUUUCAUAUGUGAGAUUUAAUCCAUAUUAAAAACUAAAGGUAUGUUGUUGUUAUUUAUAUAUUGUCUCAUUCUCAAAUUAGUUACUUGAGAGAAAAUGAGAAUUAUGCUCUCGACUAAACACACGCACGGCAAGAGCCGAGCCGGGCCGGGCGGGCAACGGCGCGCGCGGUCUAUGCACCUGGUUUAUUACGGCAUAAUCUUAGGCUUAUCUUGUUCUACACGGAAUUGACGCAUUGAAAUAAGAUUCUUGCCUUAUUUAUACAUAUUGGAGGAGAUUGCAUGAGUUCAAUUGGAACCUGGGUCUCACCUUUUUUCUAUUUUUUCGCCAUUGAUCUUCUGCGUCAAUUUUCGCCGAGCUUUCUCAUAUUUUGUUGGAUCUGAAGCUUGUUGGGUUCAACUUGCGCCACCUUGAAAUCGUACCAAUGGGGUGGAACAUGAUAAUUGUAUCACUGGAAGUAAUUAUCGAGAAGUCUCGGACGUGGAGGGAUAAUUUCGCUUUUAGGACAGUACUCUGUAUGCCUCGAACCACAAGCAUUUUCUAAUUUUUUUUUACAAUAUUUAUUAUUUAAUUUUUUUCUCAGAAUUUUUUUAAAACUGAAAUUAAAUUUUCGAAUUAUUUUUAAAGAAUAUUUUAAUAAAAGAUCAGAAAGACUUUUCAACAAUAGGGGUACAUUUUUUAGACACUUUUGUGUAAAUGUCUCAUUUAUGCCAAAAUUUUUUUAAGAAAAUCUACUAACGGCUAAAUAUAAAGCUCAAUCCAAUUAAAAAUAAAAAAUUUUUCUACUCAACUAACCCCACGCAACCUACUCGGCCUAAUUACAAAUAGAAAAAUAAAUAAAUAAAAAAAUUGAUCACCAUCUCCUUUUCUCCUCCGCCGUCGCCGCAGUCGACAAGGUAGGGUUCCAACGGCCAGAGUUCGGCUGCGAGGAUCUCGCAGGGACCGUAGAGGCAUAUGAUCGCCACGUAUCCCUUCGCCACAGAUCGCUGGAGGAGUGGGUGCCAAAUAUCAAGGCGGUUCCACAUAUAGCGACCCCAAAUAUAGCAACACUUUUAAAAGUGUCGGUAAUUUAGCCAGCAGCACUUUUUUUGAUCUGUACCGAUAAUUAAUAGUAUCGCUAUACACCGUUUUUAUUGUAGUCAUAUUAGUAAAAAAAAGUGAAAUUGGAUAGCCAUUUCAAAAUGGCAUAUUAUUUUUUUUAGCUUAAUAUUUAACAUUUUUGUUUUUUGCCAAAUUGAAAUAUCUGAAAAUGGAAUUAAUUAAUUUUUCCCUGAAAUGGAAUACUAGACUUAGGGGUUGUUUGGUUUGAUGUAAAUCCGGAAAAAAAAGUUCUUGGUGGAAAAAAAAUUUUCGUAGAAAAAAAAUUUUAUGUAGUGUUUUGUUUGGUUUGUAGGAAAUGAAAAAUAAUUUUCCAUCACGGUUGUUUGGUUGAAAGGAAAAAAAAUAUAUAUUAAUAAAUAUUAUUAUAUAUUUCUUUUUAUUAUAUAUAUAUUUUAUAUUAUUAAUAUAUAAUUAUUAUCAUAUUGCAUAUAUUAGUAUUAUAGUUUAUAUUUAUAAAUAAAAUAUAUUUAAAAUAUAUUAUGUAAUAAUUAAAUAUGUAAAAUAAUAUAUAAUACUAUAAAAUAAGUUAUUAGAUAUUUAUAAAUAAUAUGUAUAAAUAAAUAAAAUAUUAUAUAAUAAAUAUAUUUAUAUUAAAAAUGAAAUACCAUAUUUAAAAUAUAUAUAUAUAUACUAUUAUAUUAUAUUAUAAUAUAGAGAGAGAGAGAGAGAGAGAGAGAGAGGAGUUAGCUAUGAUAACUUUACAAGUAUCACCAUCAUGGUGAUUAGCGUUUUAAAGCCAUUGGAUCUAGCUUUUUUGAUAUUAAUAGCCUUGGAAUUUAAACACUAUUCCACCUCACCACCACUACACCACCUCCACCAAUCAUCUCAACCUCACAUUCUCAUCCAAGAGCCUAAAAAACACAAAGGUAUCACCUCAUGAUACUUUUACAAGUAUUCUAAGCCUAUUAUAUAUAUAAUUAAUAUAUAUUAUAUUAUAUUAUAAUAUAGAGUCCGCUAUAUACUAUCGAUAGUACCAAGCUCUUGGUACUAUUGAGUUUUCUACCGUUUAGAUUUACCCUUUGAUCAUUUCCACCGUUCGAUUAUACUAUUAAACCAAACCCUCACUCAACCUAGAGGGCACACUAUCAAUUUAACCGAACCACCAUUAUUAACCGCACAUGUUCUUAUCUAACUGGCUGAAAACCAAUAGUACCAAUGGUUUGAUACUAUUGGAUAGUAUAAGUUGCAUAUAUCUAUAAUUAUAUAUAUAUAUAUAUAUAUAUAUAUAUAUAUAUAUAUAUAUAUAUAUAUUUUAUAUAUAUAUACUAGUAGUAUAUAUAUAUGAUAUGAGAGAGAGUGGACCCCUCUCUCUCUCGCGGUCCACGAGGUGGUCUUGCGGUCUACGAGGUGGGGUAUUCUCAUGGACCGCGCCUGCUAAACCCCGCCCACGCUCCAACGCCGCGCUUUUUCGAAAAACGUCAUUUUUCCUUGAAUUCGUAAAAGAAAUAUUUGAAAAAAAAAAAUUUUACGGCAAACAAACACUCGGAAACAAGCACUCGGAAAUUUAUUUUUUUACCGAAAAUAAUUUUCGGAAUAAUUUUACAACGAAGCAAACAGGCCCUUAAUUUAUCUUGCUUAUCACACUCAUAAGAGAUAGCUACGCGUGAAAACGAAAGGAGGGCCAAAAUAAGAACCAAUUAUUUAUAGAUAGCUAUAAUAUAAUACAAGGAGCUCAUAUCAAAUCACUAUACAAAUGUGGGGAUUGGACGCGCACUUAAUUUAUUCCAAUUAAGAAUUUAAUUCUGCAGUCGAAAUAAAAUUGAAAAAAAAAUAAAAAAAUAGAAAAGUUUGUUGAAUAACAAAGACUUGGAAUAACAAUAAGGAUGAAUUAGAGGGAAUUGGCACAAUUAAUUGACCUGAAUUGAUUCGAUAUGGAACGGAUUAAACGUGGAAUGUGGCGUUUUAUCAACCCCAAAUCCAAACUUACCAGCUCGGAUUCAUCCAAAACCCGCCCCCAAUCCAUCUCGAUCUUGCUCUAUCUAGAUUUCGAUGAUAAAGCUGUUUAGUAAUUUCCGAUCAUUAGUUAGAUAUUAUAUCAAAUGGUUGUUGUGGCAGUGUGGUAGCUUUUAUAUAUCACGAACACUUCUAUAUAUAAGUCUCGCGCAUCCGAUGUAGACACGCCAUGUACGUACGCGUGUUCGACACAAGUCCAUUAGGACCAUUACCUAUACCAUGAAAAAAUAUUCUUAUUUCUAUCUUUUAUACAUAUAUAAUGUAAGAUGAAAUAUAUUUUGGCUCUUCAUAAAUGCAUAUAAUUAUUUUUUAGACAACAUAAAUAAAUUAUAUAGAAUAGAACAUUUCUUUUCUUAAAAUAUAUAAAAUAUCAAUAAAAAUUUUAUUAACUCUCAUUCGUCUGAAAAAUAUAAUAAUAUUUUACUAAUAUUAAUAUUUUAUAUAUAAUAAAUACAUAUUAGUAUAUUAAUAAUAUUAUAUUUUAGUAGUCAUGUUUGUAUUCUAAUUUUUUUGAAGUCAUAGAAUCGUCGUAUCCAAAUCGUAUCUAUACUUCGUAUCUCGUGUUCGUGUCAGUGACAUCAAGGGUUGGAAUGUGCAUGACCAAUUUCAACCCGACUAGAUAUGGGUUGGAUUUUUGAAACCUACAUUUCUGUAAGGAACCGGACUUCUAAAAUUAUAAAGUUACGGUGUACAUUUGAUUUGAAAGCCAUUUAAAUGGUUCCGGUGAGGUUGCGGUGAAAUAUAAUAUACCGGAUUUUUAAAUAUAAAAAUAAAAAUAAAUAAAAAUAGUAUGAGAUAAUAUUUUUAUUGGAUUUGGAGAAGUGAAAUAUGAGUUAGAAACGACCUGUAAUGAAAUCGGAGUGAAAACAGAAGAUUUAGAAUUUUCUGUGAGAAACGGAGCAGAUAAAUUAGCAGAAAAUGCACAGUGUCAAAAAAUUAUGAAAACUGGAGGGUAGAUUAGAAUUAUUUUUAUGAUGCUAGAUUUAAAGUUUCAUGUCAUUCUGACACCCGGAAGGUGAAAAAUAAAAUCCGAUAGUGAUCUGAUAAAGAUUAUAAUUCGGUGCAGCUUUCGGUGACCAAAUAGGGUCGAAACUGAAAGAUUAAAAUUUCUUUGGACUUAUUAAGUAAAACCGAGCCUGCCUGUCAAAUUUGAGCGCAAACGGACGUUCAGAAGGGCUCUGGCGAAAAAUGUCAGUUUUAAACUGCUGAAGUGAAUAGUAUUUUGGGGGAGUUUACUUGGAGGUGAAGUUUCCUCCUAUAUAUAUAUAUAUAAGGGUGUUAUGACAUUUCUCUCAUUCCUCUCUACUUGAGCCAACAUAAGAAAAAUCUCUCUCUCUCUCUCUCUAGGAUUGGCUCCAAAGUGUAGAGUUUGCUAGAGAAAAGCUUGCUUAAAAGUGAAGCUUUCUUUUUCUUCACCAUUGGCUGGAAGAGAGCUUGGGUUUGAGAGGUAAGAUUUGAUAGCAACAAUGAUAGAUUGCUAAAUAGUGAUUUGUAUGCCUUAGAAAUAGAUUUAGUGAAACUCCUAGAUGCUAAACAGAUGGUUGAUGCUCGAAUUUAGAGAUCAAAUGAUGAAUUCUUGCAUAGUUGCAUCUUAGGGCAUCAAAAGAGGAGUUUUUGCUUGUGAGGGGUUUUGAUUUAAAUUGAUCAUGUAUAAACCUAAUUGCUAGGUAAACGAACGCGUUGGCGAAGUCGGUUCGGCGAUUCGUUGAGCCUACGCGAAGUUAUUAAAGAAACGGACAUUUAGGCUUCGUUUCCGCCUGGAGGGCCGAGGCGACGUCGUAAAAUCAUGGAAUCGGAUUUGAGGCACCGUAACAACAAAACAAAGACCCUUUUUGCCCGAGGCUGCGAAGCGAUGCACGGUCGGUGCGCAAUUGCAAGUUCCGGCGGAACCGAGCACCGGAUGCGGCGGGAGGCCGAUUGCAAGUAUCGACAAGCAAUCGAAAUGCACUAACAGGUGGGUUGUGCUCACCGAAGUUAUUAGCUCACUUCCAUGUCGAAGCGAAAGUGUAAUUCUCGUUGAUGCAUAUAAUGUAAAUGCUAAACGAUACAUAUGAUGUAAAUACUUGAUUAUGCAUAUAAUGUAAAUGCAUGAUGACAUGAGGCAUAUACUAAAUGAUGUUGACAUAUCAUGAGAUGCUAGUUGAUAUAUAUACAUGAUAGGGUAUUGGAUAGUCGCAUUUCUAUUCUUGCAUGAUCCAUAGUAGUGUAGCAACAUGAGUUGGCACUUGAGUUAGGAUGUAUGAGAAUAGUGGAAUGGUGACAUAGAACUCUAUAGAGAUAAGUUAAACAAUAGCUUGAUCUUGUAUUGAUGAAUAUGAUGAUAUAUGACUAGUAUAGUUGAGCCAUUGCAUCGUGACGAGUGGCAUGUGAAUCAAGUAAACAACUUGACGAGUGGCAUUAGAAUUUAGUGUUAAAAGAAUGCUUGUGACAUGAUGACUUAGGGGAUAGACAAGUCUCCCUAUUUGACACCUUGCAUGAGAUCGGUGUGACAUUGAUGACCCUAGAGACAGGGUAUCCUCAGUGCACGAGGAUUGGAUCAUACUCACAUUGUCUGUUCAGCGCUUGUGGCGGUCGCCCCGCACAAGUAGUGCGAGCUCCGGAGUCUUGGCACGUGAAACGAUUGGGAUAGCCUAUGUAGGGUCCCAAGGGAUAGCCUAUGUGGGGUCCCGCAGACAGUCCCUCGGGGGUUCGAGUCCCCUUCCAUAGACGGAUUUAAGAUGUGAGUUGAGGGCACGCCUAUGGGCCAGCCAGAGGAUUGGAUAAUAAACUCAUGAGAAUUAUGUGCAUUGAGCAUAGUGAGUCGUAGCUGAACCCCAGUUGAGUGGAUAUUAGGCUGAGGCGCAAGUGAGACGUCCUUCGCCUUGAGCCUGAUUUUGCGCAAUAAUCCGCGGAUGAUUGACUCAAGACCGAGUCGGAUGGAUAGCUUCGUAAAGGUAGAUAAAAAAACCUUGUGAGCAAACAGUAAAGGUCAAUGAAACCUUAUGAUCGGAAUGAUACUUGACCUGAAUCUAAGAUAGAAGAAAACUUAGAAGUCAAUUAGACGAGCUAUGGAUAGCAGGAUUGAAAGUAGUAUCAAUUGAACUACUAGUUGGCUAUAUAGCUGCAUUAUUGCAUGAUUUUCAUAUUGCAUAUUGCGAGGCAUGUUAUUUGUUAGUUGCAUAAAUACAUGAUGAUAUAUAUAUCUGUGGAUGUUUUUGGACUAACAUAUUACAGUGCCUCCUUCGGACCUGGUGGGUCGAGCUCUUCCCUUGGGUAGCCGUACCCACUGGGAACUAUAUUUAUAUAGUUCUCACCCCCGUGUGGUUUUGGGGGUUACAGGUUUGCACGUGAGCGGCGCGGCGGCGUAAGGAGAGGGCGUAUCUCCGUAGAUAGCGCCUUACCACCGAGACCAGAGAUAGCAGUACCCCAAAGUGGCCUAGCUUAGGGGUUAGAGAUGUAAGAAAUAAACUUGUAAUAAUUAUGAUUGUAUUUGGAAGUUGAGGAUGUAUAGCAAAUAAUGUAAUAUAAAUGUGAAUGCUUGUAAUAGCAUAGGAUUUAUAUUGUUUGAUACCUUCCUUAUGCAAUCGUUGUCUGAAUAUUGUUCCUGUUUGGAACCUCUUGUAAUUGUAAUGAUUGCGACGCCUUGGACGUACAGGGGAGACUCUGUCCGUUUGGCGGUCUGUCGGCGUACCCGAACCGACCAAAUAGGCGGACUCGGGACGUGACAAUUUCCAUCUAUAACAAGGAUUGAGGGAUGAGGACACAUGCAAUCUUAUGGUGUCCCUGUUAUAAGAUCAUCUAAAUAGAUCUUGCAAUGUCAUUUUUUGUCCUUUAAAAUUGUAGCUGCGGCUAUUAGAAUUGAUUCUGAUUGAAAAUCUGAAAUUUUUAUAACGAUGACAGCAAGAUGAAGUGACUUUCCUGAGCAGCAAAAAAAGAAAAAAAAAAAGAAGAAAAAGACAACGAGCCGGCUCGCAAGCUAGUGUAGAGAUUAGGGCUGGCAUAUGAGCGAGCCGGCUCGUGUUCAACUCGCAUUCGGCUUGAUAUUCGGUUUGCUCGAUCUUGACUCAAAAUUAAAUAAACCGAACUUAAACAGAAAAAAAAACAUCAAAUUUAUUUCAAGCCGUUUUACUGGGCUCACUCAAAUAUAUAACAUAUAUAUAUAGAGAAAAUUUCUUCAAUACCCUUCUAAAAAUAUUUAAUUUCAUAAAUACCCCUUUAAAAUUUGAAAUAUUAUGUGUACCCCCUUAAAUAUUUAGUUUCAAAUACUUUAAAUCAUAUUUAACGGAGUAGAUCGUCGAUUCAGAAGCUUCAUCAUUGAAAAUAAUUUAUGAGUAUGAAAACUCUAUACUCAUAAGAAUAUAGUAGUCCUAGCCUGUAUAUAUAUAUAUAUAUAUAUAUAUAUAUAUAGAGAGAGAGAGAGAGAGAGAGAGAGAGAGAGAGAGAGAGAGAGAGAGAGCGCGCGCUAGUCUUCUAUACUAUCUAUAGUACUGGGACUCCGAUACUAUAAUCUCGUUUUCGAUCUUAAGGUGUUCAAAUCAACGAUCCACACCGUUAAAACUGAUCUAGGGUAUUUAAAGUUUUUAGAAAUAAAAUUUUAUAUUUUUUUGAUAUAGUUUACUUUAUGAUCAAAAUAUUUCAAAAUUGUCAAUUUUCAAUUGCUACUAUGGCGAAUUUGGAAUUUAAAAGAGUAGAAGAAUCUAAAUUUCUUCAAAUUUUGAUAGAAAAUACUUUAAACUAUCUAGAUUAAGGUUAACAUUUUUUAUCUUAAAUUUAAAAGUCCUAUGCUCAAAUUUUAAAGAUUAUUCAAUUUCCACCGUCCAUUUUGACAUAAUUUAUUUACUAAGUAAACGAUGUCGAAAAAAAUUAAAAUAUUAUUUCUAAGAACUUCAUAUACCCUAAAUCAUAUUUAACAGUGUGGAUCAUUAAUUUGAACACCGUAAGAUCGAAAACAAGACUAUAGUAUCGAAGCUCCGGUACUAUAGAUAGUAUAGUAACCUAUAUAUAUAUAUAGAGAGAGAGCAAGGCCGCUGUGCUCUCAGGAGCACGGAGGCCUCCGUGCUCCUGAGCUGUUUUCGAUGAUGAAAUUUUCGAUUCGACGAUCGGCUCCGUUAGAUCUAGCGCAUUUGAAGUUUGUAGAAAAUAAUUUUUGCGAUUUUUCGAUAUCAUUUACCUAGUGAUCGAAAGGAUUCAAAAUCUAUAAUUUUUAAUGGUUGAUAUCUGUCGUUUUCAAGUUUAACGGUGUAGAAGUAUUCAAAUUAGAUGAAAUUUUAAUACAAAAUUCUUUAUACUAUCUACAACAAGAUCAAUAUUUCUGAUCGAAAAUUUUAAUGCUAUAUCACUAUUUUUUAUAGAAUUUUUAUUUUCAGCCGUUAAAAAUUAUUGAUUUUGAAUCCUUUCGAUUGCUAGGUUAAUGAUAUCGAAAAAUCGCAAAAAUUAUUUUCUAGAAACUUCAAAUAAUCUAGAUCAAGGUCUAACGGAAGUCGAUGCUCGUCGUUCGGAAACUCCAUCAUCGAACGGUUAGGUUGAGGAGGCAUCCGUGCUCUUGAGAAACACAGCCAGCUUGACUCUUCUCUCUCGUCUCUCAUUUCCUUUUAUAUCUAUAUUUAUAAUCUAUAUAUAGAGAGAGAGAGACCUGAGAGACGUGUCUUCAAUCUAUUCGGAUCCUGCUCGGAGAAGAGGAGAGUGGUAGUGGUAUUAAUAUCUUUAUGCACGGAGGCCUGCCGUGUUUCAAGUUUGUUUUCGAAUGUGCGACAUCAAGGUCAACGAGCGGCUCGUUAGGAUUGAUUACACUUUAAAAGUAUUGAAAACUAAAUUUUAUAAUUUUUCGGCAUCAUUUGCCUAGUGAUCAGAAACGGUCUCAAAUGAUAACAAUUUUAAUAGGUAGAUGUGAUGCCGUAUUGUGAAUUUAACGGUGUAAAACAAUCAAAUUUUGAUGAAUUUUAUGUCGCAAAGAUUCUUUUCAUAUUUAGAGCAUAAGAUCAGUAUCCCCUGAUCUUAAUUCAAGUUUUUAUCCACUUUUUUUGGAUUUUUAUUUUCACCUCGUUGAUUUUUAGACCUUGCUCAGUUUGUAGGUUCAAGAUGACGUUAAAAAUUGAUUAAAUUUAGUUUCUACAAUUGCUGUUAAUAGUGUGUAGAUCAAUGUACUAAUGGUGAUCGCGCAUCGUCGAUUGGAAGCCGCUCAUUGAAACAAUUGGAGCACGGAGGCCUCGAUGCUCGAUUAGUAUACCAGCCUAACUAUAUAGUAUAUUAUAUAUAUAUAUAUAUAUAUAUAUAUAUAUAUAGAGUCCGGCAACUAUACUCUUAUGAGUAUAGAGCCUAUUGUACUCAUAAGUUUUUGGCCGUUAGAUCUAGCCUUUAAUCAUUUUCACCCGUUAGAUUAUACUAUUCAACCAACCACCCACUCAACCCUAGGGGGCCCACUAUCAACUUAACCGUAACCACUUUCAUUCUUACCGCACAUUUUUUUAUCUAAAUGGUCGAAAACUUAUGAGUACAAAGGGCUCUAUAUAUAUAGAGUUUGACUGGGCUACUAUCGGUAGUAAACUGCUCGGUUUACUACCGAUUUAUUUUUGAUGAUAGAGCUUCCAAAUCGACGAUCGGCACAGUUGAACAUGAUCUAGACCAUUUAAAUUAUCUAAAAAUCAAAUUUUAUGAUUUUUUGGCAUCACCAACUGAACGAUCAAAUGGUCACAAAAUCUAUAAUUUUAAUGGCCGAUAUGGUGCGUUUGCUUGUUUAACGGUAUAAAAGAGUUCAAAUCAACUUAAUUUUUGUUAAAAAAUUCUUUAAACUAUUUAAAAUAAGGUCUAGACUCUAGAUCUCAAAUAUAAAAAUUGCAUCAUCACUUUUUGAAGGAUAUUCAUUUCCAGCCAUUCAUUUUUCUGUUCACUUGAUGGACAAGAGAACAAUAUCGAAAAUGUGUGUAAUUUGAUUUUCAGAUAGUUUAAAUAGUUUAGAUCAUGUUUAACGGUGUCGAUCAUCAAUUUUGAAGCUCUAUCAUCGAAAACAAAUCGGUAGUAAACCGAACCGUUUACUACCGAUAGUAUUCUAGCAAAACUCUCUCUAUGAGUUUGAUUGGGCUACUAUCGGUAGUAAACUACUCAGUUUAUCGGUAGUAAACUACUCAGUUUACUACCGAUUUGUUUUUGAUGAUAAAGCUUCCAAAUCGACGAUUGGCACUGUUGAACAUGAUCUAGACCAUUUAAAUUAUCUAGAAAUCAAAUUUCGUUUAUUGGGUAAAUUUGCUAGCCAACAAAAUCAAACCAACAAAAACCUACUGUAAUUACUCUCUCUCGCUCUCUUUCACUUGCUCGCAUAAUCACUUUUCCUAAAUUAUUUUUCUUAGCGUUAUGAAAUUGUAUCAUGCAUUUUUUUGUAUGUUAAACUAUUAGGCAUAUUUCUUAUAUCAAAUUUUAAGUAAUGUUUCAUAAAAUUUAAACUAUAGAUUGUAAGAUGUUAAAAUUUUCAAGCGACUCGUUUAGAACUCGAGCUCGCUCGACUCAAAAUUAGGCUUGCUCGAGCUUAAGUCGAAUUAAUUUUAAGUUGAGCCUGAACCUAAAUGUAGGUUCAAAAUUAUGUCCAAUCCAAGCUUGAGCUGAGAUAAGUUCACUCAAGUUCGGCUCAUUUCCACCUCCCAGUAGAGAUAAGCUUGCAGGGUUUUAAAUAAUUGAAAAAGUUAAUAGUGCUUCUAGAAAUUUUUGUCCAGCAAUAGUUUUGUAGAGGCUUCAAUUAAAUGAAUCAAACAAAGAUCUUUUUUUGGCUAUGUUACAAACUGUAUAGUACCUUUAAUUAAGUGUUGUCUUACUAGUGUUAUAUACAUUAGAAGAAAUAUGCUAUGCUAUGCUACUUUUUCUAAUACACUUCUCUUUUCAACAGAAGCAAAAGCUCAUUUACUAUUUAAUUAUUAAUUUGUUUGCGUAUCGCAAUAUGCAAUUGCUCUUGUACGGGCCAUUUGCCCUCGCGGCACUUAACCGUAUACAAUUUCUGUGUUACCGACCGUCCCUAGAGCAAGUGGCAAAGGGCUUGGUGGUUGGUACCUGAGAUCCAAAUUCGAAUCCUAGUUGAUUCACAUUUUCAGCUAAGUUUAUUUCUAAAUGAAAUAAAUGAAGCGGAUAGCGUGCUACCUAUCUCUCAAAAAAAAAAAAAGAAGAAGAAAUCUGUGUUAACAUACGACGAAAUUUGAAAUUGGAGCUUCUGCAUCAAAGUAUGCAUAUAGCAAACAAGCACAAGUUUCUAUUCCUAGGUUAAGAAUCACAUUUUAGUUUUUGUACCGAGUUCUAAAUUUUUUUCGUUUGCUAAUGCUUAAUAAGAGGUACGAGUCUAUAACUGAAACCAGGAGCAAAAAUAGGUAUGCAAUUUCUCCUGUUGUGGGGUAUCACAACGCUUAAUUAUCAUAAUCUGAUUAGAAUUAUUAGUCCCAUACUUGGAUAAAGUCCUAAUAUAUUGGUUUAUAUCGUUCUUAAUUAAUUUAAUCUUUAUACAACUAAAUCUCCUCUCUGAGAUACGCAUUAAAAUAAUAUAUUCCCUUCCUCUCUCAGCUGUUGAUGUUACAUGCCUUUGCAAUUUUGCGCAAGGGUUUGUAGCAUGGCCUUGCACCUAUUCUCGAUCCCUCCAAGGCACGGGACUUGACGCCGGAGCAACACUUAGGCUUAGUUUAGUUCGAUAAUGAAUAAGAACUGCUUAUUUCAGAGAGAGAUAAAGUUCAGAUAUAAGCAUGAAAUAUAAGUGAUAAAGUUCAGAUAUAAGCAUAAAUAUAAGUUUUUGUUUGGAUGAAAAUUAUGCUAUUUCUGAGAAUAAAAUAAAUAGUGUUUGUAUGUUAGAUUGGAAUGGCAAAAAUAAAAAAAAAAUUAUAAUUUUCAAUUAAUAAUAUUUUUUUAUCUAAUUAAUUAAUAUUAAAAUAUUAGUUAAAACUAAUUUAGUAAAUUAAAAAUUUUAUUAGCCAUGAAUAUUGUAUAAAAUUAUGAAAAAAAGAUAUUCAUAGAAACAUCCUGUCUCUUCAGAUUCCUCUCCCUCUAAAAGUGACAUAACAUAGGAAAGGUACGUGAACUAACUCAUUGUCGGAAUACUAAAUCUGAGAUUGAGAAAUAUAAAUGAGAGAAAUAAUAUUUUUAAGUGGGAAAUUGAAGCUUCCGAAUUUGUCACUGAUCAUCUAAUUGUUAGACAAUAUUACUAUCUUUAGAAGAGAUAUAUCGCGCGGUUUGGAUUGAUUUAUUUGGUUUUGGUAAAAAUACUUCUAUUUAGUUUAAAUCGUCUUGAAUUAAUUACUAAAAAUAAGAUAUAAUCAUGAUUAAUUUAAUGUUAAAAAGCAUUAACCUAAGAUAAUAAUAUAAUAUAAUUAAUAUCUCUCAUUAUUUCAUUAUUAUUUAAAAUUAACUAAUACAUAAUAUUUUCCUUCUACUUCUAAGUUCUAACCUUGGUUGCUAAUUAAGAUAGGAACAAGGGACUGUCAUACACACAAUAAGAAUUAGGUAUUAAAAUCAUUAAAUGAAGAUAUAAAUAAUGGCCUAGUGUCUUAUACUGCAAAUUAAUACAUUAAACUUUUCAUUUGUGUGCUAUUCAAAAAAUUAAAUAUCUUAUUUAAUAUAUAUAUAAAAAAAUAUAAAAGCGAAUGAAUUUGGGAAUCUAGUUUACUUAACUUUACUUUAAUAAAAAAAUUGAGCCAAUGAAUAUUCUCUCCAAAAAAAAAAAAAGGUCGAGCCAAAAUAUACGUACCAAAUUUGGUAUAAAUAUAAUACAAAUGCAUAUAUAGAGAAGAAGCCAUGAGCAUGGUGUCUUGAGAGGUAAUACAAACAAGAACAAUUAGAUAACGACGUUGGAGACAACAAUAGAGACAUGCCAACCUGUGGAAAACCCUAAUUUCAUUUACCCAAAAAUGACCGUGGUCGAUCACUAUGUCAAAGUCAUAUAUGAACAAUAAUGGAGGAACCGUCGUAAUAAUAUAUGCUGUGGAAUUAAUAUUAUACAUUAUUUAGGCGCAUUAUGCAAAUUCUGCAGCGACAUCAAAAUAUUUGGGACGUUAAUUGAUGGAAUGUGCUAAAGUUGAAAAUUUUACCCACUAAUUGCUAUCGCCUUAAUUUUAUUGGUGACAAAUUAUGAUGAUGGGACCAUGAUAACUACAAAGCUACAUACCUGAUGUUGCCCAAGUUCUCCAAUGAAAACCAAGUAAGUUAAUGCAUUUAUAUACACUAAUUUGCCCCUAAAUAGACAGUUUUGAAGAGGCCCCUUAACCAUCUUUUAUUUUUUAUUGACACAUUUUAACUUAAUUACUAAUACUUUUUUGUAGUUGAGUUAUUUUAAUUAGUUAAAUUAUUUUUUAAAACCUAUUGGCUCUAUUAGCUGUUAGUUGCAGCUGUUAAUCAUCCUAUAUUUCUCUAUAUAUGGGAUUAAAUUUAAUGGAAUCAUCAAUAAACUCUAGUUUAAUUGAUUAUAGGAAAGAAAUUAAGUUUUGGGGCCCUUCAAUACAUCAUGACAUACAGACGAGGGGUUCCUUAUAUAUCAUAGAGUCAGUUUUUAAAAUUUUUAAAAUUCCAUUGUUCCUCGCCGAAUUAUUUUUGUUGAUGUAUAAUUAAGCACUACUUUAUUUAAUAGAGCAUUAAGCUAAAGAAUUUAGCAUUUUAUAACCUAACUGUAAUGAGGAUAAAUUUCACGACUAUUCCGAAGUUGCUAGAAACGAAAGUUUACAGUUUGAUGCUGAGAAAAUCACAAGCAAUCUUAGUUUUAUACAGUUCGUACACCUGAAUAAUUGCAACUAGACCCAACAUAUCCAUCCAAGGGUCAUUCUCUUUCACAUUAGUUUUAUCAUUUUUUUUAAAAAAAAAUACUGAAAUCCAAGAAGGGUUGUUCACAAACCCUAGCGGUGAGUGUUUCAAUCGGAGGAUGGAGAAUUAUAAUCUUAUUACAAAUUUUUAUGGGGUAUAGAUUUAGCAUUUCCCGUUGUAACGGAGUUGAAUGUAGUGGAGGAGAUCAAUAUGUCACAAAUAUAUAUGAGGUUAAUUUCUUGUGAAAUUUAAAAAGAAAAAAAAUGUAGCUAGGUUUCUAUAUUCUACCUUAUCUAAUUAGUAUGAAAUUUCCCCCCUAUUUGUGUAGUUUAGUUUGUUCCAAUUAAUUAGUUUCAAUCUAAUAUACGUUUAACUGUAUUUAUAAUGUUUUCAAACAAAAAGAUUUUCAAGUUACUCAAAAAGACACAUAUAAUAUAUGUUGGUCAAAAAGACAUAUAUAAUUAAUUUAGAAAACUAAGUGUACUGGAUCAUGAUGCUGCAUAAGAAACAAAUCUAGCCAUUGAAAGAAUCUAUUAAUUUGUGGGCAUUGCAUUUGAUACUCUUCCUCUACGCCAAAUGUUUAGGUGGUGUAUUGUGAAACAUUUUCCUGUGGAAAAAAUAUAUAUAUUCAUGAAAAUGCUUUUUCGAUUAAAAAGUCAAAUUCCUUUUCGUAGCGUGAGUCAAUGAAAUACCACAACUAAUUAAUUCACCUUGUAAAUCACUAUGGACCCUCUAUUUUAUGCAUCUUAUCCAAUUUUUGAAUAUUUUUUAACAGGUGUGUUACAAGCACUUAUUAGGAGAACAUACCCUUCUAUAGUAAAGACCUUGGAGAUAGAUGAUUAAUUAUAAACACAUCAAUUCAAUGGAAAACAAGAAAACUUUUAUACUUGCAAAAUGCUCCUGCUGAAGAUAACCAUGGUUAAAUAUUAAAGAUGCCCAAUAAUGGAGGAAGUGUCAUGAUCAUAAAAAUUGAAUGAGCUAACACUCGAACCUUCUUAGGUGAAUUAUGUAAUGGCGAUCGAGGGACAUGAAGAAUAGUUAGGUACAAUAAUUGUUAUGCAAGGUAUAGCUUGCAUGUUGAUUAAUUGCAUCAAAUUUUCAAAUGUAAUCAAUUAAAGGGAGAUAUAAUUAAUUAAGAUUUCUGUGCGGCGCCUACAGGACUAAUUAAAAAAAUAAAGAAAAAAAAUCACAGAACAUAAUUGUUUCAUAGAUUCAUAAGUUGAGGGGAGUAAUGGCGAUGGGGAAACUUUAGACACUAGAGGCAACCACACUGUCGUAUGCAAAUUUAACCCUACAAAUUGAAUUUUUUUUGUUUGCUAGUAUGCAAGGCAUUUAUUAAUAUUUUGUCUAGUAGUUUGAAGGCUUAUUCUGUGGAGAAACACCUAGUAAUUACGAAAUCCGAGGACCAUUUCAAAAUAGUUAUUUGAGGUCAUUCGAGAGUUAUACUUCGUUGGAAACUGCAUGUCAAUUUUGGUCUUAUCUCACUUAAUUAACAUCGCUCUAGAGUCGUCCAAACUACAUGUCAUCUUACGUAACAUCUCUCUCUCUCUCUCUCUCUCUCUCUCUGUGUGGGGGUUCAGUUGCCUUUCUAUAUGUUCAGCAAAGAGAACCAAAUUAAGAAAAGAGAACUAGCAAUCUACGUAAACAAAUACUAGAUUUUUGUUUGGUUAGUUGUGAGAAGAAAGGUGCUCACUGUGAACAAUCUGCUGAAACGUGGGUGGUGUGGCGAGGAGACUUGUGUUUUCUGUUUGAACGUGGGUGAGACCAUUGAUCACCUCUUCAUGGGUUGUGAUGACACCAAAGCGCUGCUGGAGGUUUUUCUUCCAAAUAAAUCAGGCCUGCGUAAUUGUAUUUCUGCUAGUCUGCUCUGGAAGCUAAGUAGAAGAAAAGAGGGAGCGAUUGGAGGAAAAGAGUCAACAAUCGCCACAACAUGGUGGGUCGUUUGGUUGGAGCGCAAUAGACGAAUCUUCCAGGAAACCAAACGAACGACGAGUUUAUUAGCGUCUGAGAUCCGCUCGCUUAGAAACAUCUAGGAUCUUUUUUGUUAUAUAUAUAUAUAUAUAUAUAUAUAUAUAUAUAUAUAUAUAUAUAUAUAUAUAUAUAUAUAUAUAUAUAUAUAUAUAUAUAUGAUUCUUGCCAAUACCUUCACAGGCCAUAAAGAAGGAAAGGAAUAUUCCCUAUCGGAUCAUCAGAUGCUUAAAAUAUGCUUGUGUGACGAGUUGAGGUGACAUUUUGGAUAUAUUUUUAAUCAAAUUGGGCAACAUUUUGUAUCAUGCUAUGGGCAAAAGAAGAGCACAUCGAAUUUGAAAUCUCAAUAUGUUUGACGCCGUCGUGAAUGCCAGGUAUAUAUGUCUUUUUUUUUUUUUUUCCCCAUUUUUUUUUGCUACGCUUUUAAGGAAAUACCCAUGCGGCUAAUUAAUUAGUGGAAAUUAUUAUAAGGUCUCUCCGUUAAUUAAUAAAUGGAGGACCUUUUUCUCGUAUUAAAAAAUGGAAAGAUUGGUCUCUUACGACUCACAUCAAAUGUCACCCAUUGGAACAAGAAAUCGACCCGAGUGUUUGAUUCUUUUCUUUUCCAUGCUUUAUCAUUGAAAACCCACUAAUUCGGGGGCUAAUUACAACAUUGUUUGUAGGUCCCUAAACAGUUAUUAGUUGUUUCUGCAGUGUUUUCAUAUGAUUUACUAUUCUUAAAACUCUGAAAAUUCAUUUUAACUUUUGCUACUACCAAAACUUUACUUUUGAUUCACAAGUGUUUUAUUUUUAAUGGGUGCAUUAGGGAUGUCAAUGGGUAUGGAACUAUAGAUAUCCGAAAUUUUAUCUGAACCCGAACCCGAACCCAAAUGAAACGGAUAUAUCCGAUGCUAAAUGGAUAUGGAUUCGGAUAUGGAUAUCAAAAAUAGAAACCCGACGGAUAUGAAUUCGAAUAUAGAUUUUGACUGCACCCGACCCGAACUCGAACCCGAUCCGAACCCGAAUUUAUUUUGUAUUAUAUAAUAUAUAUACCCGACCCGAACCCGAACCCGACCCGAACCCGAAUUUAUUUUGUAUUAUAUAUAUAUAUGAUGUUAUAUUUGAAUUUGUAUUUUAAAAAUUUAGAUUUAAUAUAAUGUAUUUUGAAAUACUAAAAAGAAAAAUAAUUGUUUCGGGUUCUAAUUUUCGGGUUCGGGUUCGGGUUCGGGUUUCGGAUUUUUGGUCGGAUUCGGGUUUGGAUAUGAAUUUUUAAAAUCNAUGUUUUAAUAUCUUCUUCAAAGUUUUGUCAUUAUUUUAAUGUGGUUGAAAUAAGAUCGAAUUUUUUGCAACUUUGGAUUCGUUUGAAGCAAAAUCUCUCAAAAUUAAGGAAUUAAUUAUAUAUGGUUGCAAUACAUUUGAGUUUUAUUAGUACAAUGGAGGUCGAGGGCUUACCAUGUAAUCUCAUAGGGCUAUGAUGAAAUAUAUCAAUAAACUCUUUUUUCUACAAUUCUUUUGAGAAUUAUCACAACCUCUUAAUUAGCCAUUUUCAUUGAUUUUUGCUUAGUCAUUUACCUUCCAUAAAUUUUCAAAAGAGUUUAAAAAAUGACCAAAAUGAAAAUCACAACAUGGCACAAGCAAUAGCCAGCCACUAACUACACUACAUCGAUCGUACCUUAAGGGACCUUAAGAUAUUUUAAUAUACUUUAUUCUUUAAAUCCAUGAAAUGUGAAAAGUUCUGAAAAAUCUGCAAAAGUUUAAACAAAAAUAAAACAUCCAAAAAAAUCUGUAGAAAGUUUGUACAAAUUCUAAACCUAGUUUUAAACCUUUUGGUGUGUCCAUAAUAAAGUUCCUUAGAAAGUUCAUAAAAAUGCCUCCUCUAUUUAAUUGAACGCACAUUGCCCACGAGGCGUAAGUAGACAGUUCGUAAUCUAGCUGCUUUGCAUCAUCAGAAGUGCUAACAUAGAACUAGAUAGUGGAGUAGUGGGUUUAUAUUAAUUGUGGAGUUCAUGAUAACUAGUUUUUAGGAGCACAUGUGUAGUCGAUGCAGUAGAGAACAUAUAUUGAUCGAGUUGGAUUUUCUAGAUACUCAAAUUUUAUUCUUCUAUGGGAAUUCUUGUUUAUAAGCUUGUAAUUUACCAAGGUUGUGGGUUAUCUUGACCCUUAAGUUUUAUUCUUCUAUUUAGAUGAUUAGAGGAGGGAGAGGAAAGAAGAAAUAUUGGCUCAAUUUCAUUAACGAAUUGAAUUAAACAGAUUAUAAUUAGAGGUCCAAAUUAUAAUUAAGGCUCGGACUCCUACUCCGAUUAUGAUAGAACAUAAUAAGUGCUACCCAUAUCAGUAGUGAUACUCCUCUAAAUAUGUACUUUCUUUUUAUGGAAAGUAAAUCCAACUACAUCGUAUCUGAAAAGAGCAAAUGGAGUAUAUCGAAAAUCAACAAUUAAACAAGCUCCUAGUUUCUUUGAAAUGAAAUGAUAUUUAUGAUUGAAGUUUUUUAUAAAUAGAAUUUCUAAGUUUGACCGCAAAUUCAUAGGUCUAAACAACCUUCUUCGAUUGCCUCGAAAUUGUUUAUCAUGAUCUAAGGUUUUAUAAAUAGGAAUUCUAAGUUUGGCAGCAAAUUCAGAGGUCUAAACAAUCUUUGAUUGCCUCGAAAUUGGUAACGAACUUAGUCAGUCUUUAAUUUCGCACUAUGUUCGACCGUUGCGCGCCGUAGCUUAUACUCCUUGACCUGCGCACAUCGAUACAAAAGUCCCCUUGAUCAAAAACCAUGGGAACAAGAUAUAGUCUUUGAACGUUGAUGGCCUUUCCUGCGUAAGUUCUCGUCAAGUUGAUUGAGCCUGAUCACUUAGCCUCGAUGUCUCUGUCGAAACCAGACCUAACCAAUUACACCCUCAAUUUGGGAAGCUAUUCCCUCAUCAAUCCUUCUUGUGUUCAUGAAAUGGAGAAAAACCGAUGAAGCGUUUUGAGGGUAGUAAUGAGAGUAGAUCGACAUCGGCUUGAUGAGGACAUUGGCAAUGGCGGUGUGGACAAUGAGGAGGAUUGAUCGCAAUCGGCGAGUACGACGAGCAGCGAUGUGAUUGGGAAUCAAACUCUGAUAAUAAUUGUUAGGGUUGGUUGAUUCCUAAUGCUCUUGCAGCUAAUUGGGCCUUUACGAGGUGGUAUUCCUACUUCUAGUUUAUGAGUAAUCAAAUUAACUAUGCUACUCUUAAUUGCUGGCUUAGAUGGGUCGGCAUCAAACAGUUCUACAAGUGGUAUCAGUGCAGGUCAUGGGUUCAAUUGCCGUACGCUACAAAUUUAUGCUCGUGUUUCGGAGGAGGGGAGAUUACUGGCUUAAAUGGGCCAACAUCAAGUAAUUGUGGGAGAUUGGGCCAAAUUACAUUUAAAACGGCAGAAGGCCGAGUAGAGCUGACUCACGUUUCAAGUGUCUAAAGACCGUGUUAGUCAGAGUUACAAUCAAAGCCAGGUGCUAUAUGCAUUUACACUUUAAGUGAAUUAGUUGCGUUGAUCUUUAGUUGCAUUAUUUUUUCUAAUAGCGCGAACUUGUAGAAUUAAUGAUUAGGUCCAACAAUCCUAUAUUAAUUAAUUUAGAAGCACGAUUACAUGCAAUCAUCCUAUUUUAAUGGCCCAAAUAUCAUAGAGUUCUGGUAUUAUAAGGAAUCUUAAUAAAGAACUUUGUGUAAUAAGAGUUAUGGUAGUAAUUAAGAUACUGUUAAGACUAAUACUACAAUUUGUACCAGACACGUUGGCCAAUCCGUAUCGUGAUAUAUUUCUAAUAAAAAUAUUGACCAAGUAUCACUAUAAGAAAAUUAAUAUUUAAGGAUUUUUUUUAUAUUUAACGAUACUUAAAAGCGUCCUAAUAUAGUGUAGUGUCAUAUUUGAAAGAGUCGAUUAAAACAUCGGUAAAUGAAGAGUCGCCACGUAUAUCGUCAAGCAUCAGUAAAAUAUAUUCUAAUGCUUUAAAGUAUCAGAAGUUUUUAAAAUCCUAAUGCUUUGAAGCAUCAAAAAAUUAAAAAUAAUAAUAAAAUUUAUUAUUUAAUAAAUUAAUUUAAUAUAAUAAAAAAUUCAUAUAGUGAUACUUUUUGAAAUGUCGGUAUUUACUAUAUUAUAGAGACGCUUGGAAAUAAAUAUAUGUCAUCCAAAAUAUCUAUCUAGUUCUAGGUGCGGUACAAGAUAGGAAUUAACCAUUAGAUAAAUAUAGGUACCCAUCAAAUAUAGAUUGAAAAUUUAAUCCGCUAAAAAUAUAGUAAUCGAACUCAUGAGGCUUAGAAUUAGUUCUUAUCAUGUUACACGAAAGAUAGAAUUUAUUUAUGAGAAUAUUCAUAUGACAAAAACUUAAUACUUUUUUAUUUUACAAUUAUAGUACAUAGUGUGAAAAAUUACUACAACAAAAACGGUCUAUAGCAACAUUUUUAAAUGUCGGUACAGGUCAAAAAAAAGACUGCCGCCUAAAUUACCGACAUUUUUAAAAACUGUUGCUAUAUGUGGGAUCGCUAGGUAUAUAAUAACAGUUAAAGAGUGUCGCUAUAACCUAACAAAGUGCUGCUAAUUUACAAAUAUUUAUUUAAGCAUUUAGCAGCCGCCGGAACUCUACCUCGUUGGCCGCGGUGGCGAAGGAGGACGAGAGGAAGAGAUCUUCGUUUAGGAUUUCAGUCGAUUGAGUGAGGGGAGAAGGAGAAAUGAUAAUCGAUUUUUCUUCUCUUUUUCUUUUCUGUUUGUAAUCGGGCUGAAUGGGCUGGGUGGGGUGGGUUGAAUAGAAUAACCUUUUAUUUUUUGUUGAAUUGAACUUUAUAUUUAGACAUUAGUAGAUUUUUUUUUAAGUUUUGACAUAAAUUAAAAACUUACACAAAAAUGUUCCAAACAUGUGUCCCUAUAAUCUAAUUCUGUUGUACUGAAUUGAAAUACAAUCUCCCACAAAAUAGCAGAUGGUAGCAACUGCCAUGCUCCUCGAUCGGAGAAAGAACUUAACUAAGAUUUUCUUUGCCUGUACGUUAUUAAUUUCUACUUUACAAAUAUACAUAGCAACUAUAUAUAUAAAGAGAGAGAGGGUUGAGCUGGAAUAUUACUAUCGGUAGUAAACGUGCUCCAUUACCACCUAUUUGUUUUCAAUAAUGGAGCUUCCAAAUCGACGAUUGGUACCGUUGAAAAAUGAUCUAUACUACUUAAAGUAUCUAGAAAUCAAAUUUCAUACUUUUUCAAUAUUAUAUUCUUGUCCAUCAAGUAGGCGUAAAAAUGAACGACUGAAAAUGGCUAUCCUCUAAAAAGUGAUGAUAGGAAUUUUCUAAUCAAGAUCGAGAGUAUAGAUCUUGGUCUAAAUAGUUUAAAUAAUUUUCUUAUCAAAACUCAAUUGAUUUGGAUAGCUUUACACCGUUAAACGAAAAAACGUCUCAUAUCGACCAUUAAAAUUACAAAUUUUGUAAUCCUUUGAUCAUUUGGUCAAUGAUAUCAAAAAGAUUUGAAAUUUGGUUUCCAGAUACUUCAAGCGAUAUAGAUCAUGUUCAAUGGUGUCGAUCAACGAUUUGAAGGUUCUAUCAUCGAAAACAAAUGGGUGGCAACGGAGCCCGUUUACUACCGUUAGCAUUCCAGCUCAACUAUAUAUAUAUAGUGUAGAGCUACUAUGCUAUCAGAAGUAUAGAGGGUUUUAUGCUUCCGACUUUUUGACCCUUGGAUUAAGAAUUGUACGAUUGGGAAGAUUGCGGUCCCCCGUAGGGUUGAGUAGUACCCCUAGGAUUGAGUGAUCCCCACAGUAAUAGAAGUAAUCCAAAGGCUAGAAAUAAUCAAAGAGAUUAAUCUAAGGGCCAAAAAGUCAGAAGCACCGGAUCCUCUGUACUUCCGAUAGCAUAUUAGCUCUACUCUCUCUCUCUCUCUCUCUCCAUAUAUAUAUAUAGAGCUAGGCUGGUAUACUAUCGGUAGCAUGGAGCCCUCCGUGCUACCAAGUUGUACUCAUAAGUUUUUGGCCGUUUGAUCUACCCUUUAAUCAUUUCACCCGUUAUAUUAUACUAUUCAACCAACCACCUACUCAACCCUAGGGGGCCCACUAUCAACCUAACCGUAACCACUUUCAUCCUAUCCGCACAUUUUUUCAUCUGAACGGCCGAAAAGUUAUAAGUACAAAGGGCUCUAUACUCAUAUGAGUAUAAUAGCCCCAGCCUAUAUAUAUAUAUAUAUAGAGAGAGAGAGAGAGAGAGAGAGAGUAGGUCUUGUGUGCUUUUGGGAAUACGGAGGCAUCCGUGCUUCUAUGCCAUUUUCGACGAUGGAGCUUUUGAAGCCAUGAUCUGCUCUAUUAGACUUGAUUUAGUGGAUUUGAAGUACCUAGUGAUCGAAAUGGUUUAAAGUCAACGGCUGAAAAUAAAAAUCUCAUAAAAAAUGACGAUAUAAUACUAAAAUUUUCGAUCAAAGAUAUUGAUCUUGCAGUAAUAGUAUAAAAAAUUUUCUAUAAAAAUUUCGACUGAUUUGAAGUUAAACGUGCAAACGAUAUACGUCAACCAUUAAAAAUUGUUGAUUUUUAAUCCUUUCGAUCACUAGGUAAAUGAUAUCAAAAAUCGUAAAAUUUAUUUUCUAAAUACUUCAAAUAUAUUAGAUCAAGUCUAAUGGAGCAGAUCGUCGAUUCGGAAGCUCUAUUAUCAAAAACAGCUUAGGAGCACAGAGGCCUCCGUACUUCUAACAGCACACAAGACCUACUCUAUAUAUAUAAUUGAGCUCCUAUACUCUUAUGGUAUUAAGUUAUUGGUGUUUGUAAGUUUUCGGUCCAUGGAUUAAGAGAUGUACAGUUAGAAUAAUAGUGGUCAUCAAGGGUUGAGUGUUGGUUGGUUGAGUAAUAUGAUCAAAUAGAUAGAAAUGAUCAAAAGAAUAGCUCUAACGGUAAAAAUUACAAGUANUAUGAUCAAAUAGAUAGAAAUGAUCAAAAGAAUAGCUCUAACGGUAAAAAUUACAAGUACUAAGUGCUUGGUGCUUUUAAAAGCAUCAUAGCCAAUAUAUAUAUAUUUAUAUAUAUAUAUAUAUAUAUAGAGAGAGAGAGAGAGAGAGAGAGAGAGAGAGAGAGAGAGAGUUAAGCUGAAAUGCUAUCAUUAGCAAACAGACUCCGUGGCCACCCUUUUUUUCAAUGAUGAAGCCUGUAAAUCGAUGAUCGACAGUAACUCGCAAAUACCAGGCAAUAUGAGACUCAUCUCACUGACCUUAAUCGAUCUUGUAAGAGAGCCGCGCUUUACCCACAACAGUCAUCAACAUAAGAGUCUCACUCUUUCUGCUGUAUUACGGGACUCAGCCGAGACUCAUCAUACACUUACGACCGGUAAUUAGCUCUGAUAUCAAUUAUGACGCUCCACUUCCUAUGGAUCAUCUAUCUUAAAACUAUUCUAGUCCUAACACACUUAACAAUUUUAAUCUUUUGGGCCUAACUGUCGCCCAAAAUUAUAUAGCCGAGUUAAUAAUUUUUAACCUUAUUAUAUCUUAUAUAUAGGAUUACUUGUUCUCACAUUAAAAAUAUUGAAUUUAAACAUUUACCAACAUUAACUUUUUUAAACAGUAAGAUAAAAUAACACCUUUAUCUUUUAUUAACCAAUGAUUAAUUCUUUUUAUUUUUUAAAAAAUAAAGUACCGAAUUUUUUCUCAAUAUCAAAUCCAUAAAAAUACUCGUCCAUGGGCCUACCUCAUGAAUUAUUUGUGUACUUGACACGCGCGAUAAUGACCCACAAUUAAUGAGUCACCAUCACCUCUCAAAUUGAAGUUGGCCCCAUUACAGAUCUAGGAAAGAAGAACCUUACUUCUCUCCACCCAACUCCCAAAAAUACUUAAAACUUUAUAAAAAUUAGGAUUCGGAUGUUAUAAUUGCUUUUUGUUGCCUUCUUCGAAAUAGCUUGCCCUUGUCGACGUGCCGUAUCCACGAAAAAUCUGUAUGAUUUAUCACCGCAUGUUUUUCAGGUGCGUCGGGCGGGAUGGAGCUUGAUGCAAAGUGAGGAAUCCACAAAAGAAAUAAAUAAGAGAUAAAAUCUCAAAAUAUAAGCUGGUUUAUUAAUUCAUGCAACUUCAAUUUUAGUACCCUUUUUUUUUUGGCAUGCAUGUGCUCUGCUCUAAAACUCUCCAAAAUAGCACAAGGCUCAAGUCACGCAAAAGUCCUAAGAUAUGCGCACAACCCACUGCGAACAGAAAUAACAGCUUAACGAGUUGAACAUAUAAAAUUCUAAAAAGAUUCUAAAGAAAAGUGAAGGAUAAUACAACAUAUGCAUCUUGCAGUUGCAUUGAGUUUUGCACAGCAUUAUACAAACUCUGAACUUUGCAACGCCUUGUACAAACUCCGAACUGUGUUGCACAAGUAAAAUUUUUAGGCGUACACAGAUACUGCACAGAGUUGCACAAUUGUUCCACAAAGUUGCAUUAGUUUAUCGCUGUAUUUGUACAAGUACUCUAAACUAGGGGUAUCAACGAGUCAAACACAUGCUGACUCGUAAAAAUAUUGAGUCAAAAAAUUUAGCUCGUAUUAGGCUCAUUUAUUAAUGAGCCAAAGCCGAGAUUGCUUACAAAAGUUAAAAAAAUUAAAAAGAAUAUAUAUAUAGAAAAUAAAAUUUUUAGAUCUUACCUAUUAAAUUUUGACGUAAUUCUUAAAAUUUUAUAUAUAAAUGAGCUUUUUCAUAAUUGAGUUGUGAUUUAGGUUAGACUAAAAAUCAAAUAAUAAAAAUUUAUAUUAUCUAUAUAUAAUUAUGUAUUAUUUAUAUAUAUAAAUAUAAAAUAUAUGUAUUUGAGCUAUUAACGGGCCGAACGCAAGCGAGCUGAUCCAGCUCAUAUUCGGCCCAUUUAUUAAACGAGCUGAAAAAUUCAACUUAUAUUCGGCUCGUUUACUAAACAAGCUAUUCGAUAUCAAGCUCAUUUCGAGCGAACACAAACUGGCUCGCAAACAACGAGCUGAAUUUCCACCCCUAACCCAAUCUGCUAUGGCGUCACCCCCUCCGAAGCAGCACAAACUUCUCAAGGAAGGAAGGUAUAAUAAACCGUUCCUCACUUCUUUAAUAUUAGUACAUUAUAUUACACUAUCUAUUACCAUAAAACUUCAAGCUACCCCACAACAUCAUAAUGGAUUUGAAAGUAAAUUUCAAACUAGGAAGAUUAUUCUUAUUUUUAAAUUGUGCGUAAUUAAAUCUCACAUCCAACCAAUCCAAAAGUUUAGCGAACUCUUUUAAAUUUUUAAUAUUAAUAAAACUAAAAAGUGAUGAGACUCAAGUGCAUGAAAAAAGAGCUUUUGGAUGAAGAAUAUAUAAAAUUUAUACCCACUUUUAGGUGUAACCAUUGCUCUUUCAUUUUUGUCCGCAUACCGAAUAAAAUACAAUUCAAGCAAAAUAACUAAUCAUACUAUCUAAAAAAUAUAUACAUGUCAAAAUAAUAACUACUAUUAUUAAAAAUUAAUGAUAAUAAUAAUUAUAUUAUAUAUAUAUAGAGAGAGAGAGAAUAGGGCUACUGUGCUCUUAGUAGUACGGAGGCCUCCAUAGUCCUAAACCAUUUUUCAUCAUAAAAUUUUCGGAUUGACUAUCGACUCCGUUAGACUUGAUCCAAUGUGUUUGAAGUACAUCGAAAAUAAAUUUUAUCAUUUUUUUGAUAUCAUAAACCUAGUGAUCAAAAAAUGUUCAAAAUUAAUGACUGAAAAUAAAAUCUCAAAGAAAUUAAUGAUAUAACAUUAAAAUUUUCGAUCAGAGAUAUUCAUCUUGUUGAAAAUCGUAUAAAAAUUUUAUAUCAAAAUCUCAUCUGAUUUGAAUACUUCUACAUCGUUAAACUUGAAAACGACAUACAUCAACCAUUAAAUAUUAUUAAUUUUGAACCCUUUCGAUCUCUAGGUAUGUAAAUAAUAUCGAAAAAUCAUAAAUUUUAUUUUAUAGAUUUUUCAAAUACAUUAGAUUAAGUCUAAAUAAGUUGAUCGUCGACUCGAAAGUUUUAUCAUCGAAAAUGAUUUAGGAGUACAGCACUCUUACUCUCUCUCUCUCUAUAUAUAUAGAAUUAUGCUACUAUAUAUACUAUCGAUCAUAUCAAGGCUUGAUAGUAUUGAGUUUUUGGCCGUUGGAUGAAAGAAUGUGCGGUUAGGAUAAUAGUGGUCUAUAUAUAGAAUUAUGCUACUAUACUAUCGUACCAUACGUUUAGUACUAUCGAGUUUUCAACCGUUGGAUAAAAAGAUAUACGAUUAUAAUGAUAAUAGUCCCCUAGAGUUGAGUGGGUGGUUGGUUGAAUAGUAUAGUCUAACGUAUAAAAAUGAUUAAAGAAUAAAUUGAACAGCAGAGAAUUUGAUAGUAUCAAAAGUUUAAUAUUAUCGAUAGUAUAGUAACACAAUUUUCCCUCCCCUCUCUCUCUCUCUCUCUCUCUCUCAUCUUCUCUUCAUCUCCGUCCUCACUCUCUCUCUCUCCUCUCGCCCCUUCUCUCACCUCCCUAUAAUAUAUAAUAGUAUAUUAUAUAGUAUAUAUUAUAUUUAUAUAUAAAAUUGAGGUUCUAUGCUUUUAAAAGUACCAAAGUUAUUGCGUGCUUUAUAGAUUUUUGGCCAUUGGAUUAAGGAUGAGCCUCGUGGUUAGGAUGACGUGGGCCUCGCUAGGGUUGAUGUGGGUGGUUGGCUUGAAAUAGUAUAAAUGUAAGCGAUUUGAUAAAUGAUCAAAGGAUAAAUCUAACGGUUAAAAAUUUUACAAGCGCAAAGUGUUGAGUGCUUUUAGCAAGCCACCGUAGCGCGAGUUCUAUAUAUUAUAUAUAUAUAGAGGAGAGAUGAGACGAGAGAGAGAGAGGAGAGAGAGAGAGUUGAAGGUAGAUACUAUCUGAUAGCAAACGAGGCUUUCAUUGCCAUCAUGUUGUUUUCGAUGAUAUGAGCUCCAAAUCGACGAUCGUACCGUUGAACAUGAUUCUAUUUACCACUGAGUGUUAGAAUCAAAUUCAAAUCUUUUUCGACAUCAUUUAUGCCCUAAUGAUUCAAAGGGUUUCAAAAUUUAUAAUUUUAAGGCAUAAUAUGAGACGUUUCUCGUUUACAGAUAAAAGAUAUCCCAAAUCAAAUUAAUUUUGUUAGAAAAUUCUUUAAAUUGUUUAAAAAAGUAUCUAUACUCUUAUCUUAACUACAGCUCCUUAUCAUCAUUUUUAAAAAUAUUUAUUUUCAGCCGGUCAUUUUUGUGUCACUCGAUGAUAAGAGAAGCAAUAUCGUAAAUAUAUAAAAUUUGAUUUCUAAAUAAUUUCAAGUGGUAUAGAUCAUAUUCAACGGCUGCCGCGAUUAUUGAUUGAAGACUCCAUCAUUGAAAACAAUAUGAAGUGGCAACAGACGCGUUUGCUACGCGGAUAGUAUUUAGCUCAACUAUAUAUAUUACUAUAUAUAUAUUAUAUAUAUUAUAUAUAAUAUUAUAUAUACUAUAAUAUAUAUAUAUAUAUAUUAUAGAAAAUUAGCUGGACAAUAACUAUUAUAGUGAAAAGCUUGCUUUUUGGCUAUCACAGUUUUUAACCUCUUGAUGAAAAUUCUAAAGUCAGGAUUGAUAUUAGUCGUUAGGUUGAGGUGGUCCCCACUGGGUUAUAGUAUUUAAAUCCAAUGGUUAGAAAUAAUGAAAAGAUUGCAUCCAAAGGCUUAAAACUGUAGAACAUGGAAUUUUGCCUACUAAUAGUGCCCAUUCCAGACACUCUUAAUAUAUUAUAUAUAUAUAUAUAUAUAUAUACUAUAUAUUAUUAUAUAUAUAUAUAUAUAUAUAGAGAGGACGAAGACGACGAGAUCAUGAGAGAUGAGCACAGCUCGACCGUCCAGGCCCGAUUCUUCCACGGCCCCAUCUGUUCUGUCUUCUGCUCAGCUUCGUUCCUCAUCCUCGGCUCCUAGCGCGAAGACCACUUCGGAUCUGCCGCUCGAUUGACAUAGAGCCGCGUCGUCCUCGGGGCCUCCUCGUCUGCGUAUCGGGGGCCCUACUUUUCGCCCUUCGAGACCGGAGAGAGAGAGAGAGAGAGAGAGAGUUUGACUGGGCUACUAUUGGUAGUAAACUGCUCGGUUUACUACCGAUUUGUUUUUGAUGAUAGAGCUUCCAAAUCGACGAUCGGCACCGUUGAACAUGAUCUAGACCAUUUAAAUUAUCUAGAAAUCAAAUUUCAUAAUUUUUUGGCAUCACUAACUGAACGAUCAAAGGGUCACAAAAUCUAUAAUUUUAAUAGCUGAUAUGGUGCGUUUGCUCGUUUCACGGUAUAGAAAAAUUCAAAUAAACUAAAUUUUUGUGAAAAAAUUCUUUAAACUAUUUAAAAUAAGAUCUAGACUCUAGAUCUCAAAUAUAAAAAUUGUAUCAUCACUUUUUGAAGGAUAUUCAUUUCCAGCCAUUAAUUUAUCUGUUCACUUGAUGGACAAGAGAACAAUAUCGAAAAUUAUUGAAAUUUGAUUUCUAGAUAAUUUAAAUGGUCUAGAUCAUGUUCAACAGUGCCGAUCGUCGAUUUAGAAGCUCUAUCAUCAAAAACAAAUCGGUAGUAAACCGAGCAGUUUACUACCGAUAGUAGCCCAGUCAAACUCUCUCUCUCUCUCUCUCUCUCUCUCUCUCUCUCUCUCUCUCUCUCUAUAUUUAUAUAUAUAUAUAUAUAUAGUCCGGCUAUGGUGCUUGUAAAAGCACAAAACACUUAGUGCUUGUAAAUUUUUUAUCAUUAGAUCUCUCCCUUUAAUCAUUUUUAUCCAUUGGAUUAUACUAUUCAACCAACCGCCCACUCAACCCUAGAGAUCUCACAUCAUCCUAACCGCACAUCCCUUAAUCCAAGGGCCGAAAAAUUAACAACCACCAAUGACUUAAUACUUUUGAAAGCAUAGGAGCUCAAUUCUAUAUAUAUAUAUAUAAAGAAUUAAGCUCCUAUACUUUUAAAAGUAACAAGUUAUUGGUGCUUGUAAAUUUUUAGCCAUUGGAUCAAGAGAUAUGCGGUUAGGAUGAUGUGAACCCCCUAGGGUUGAGUGGGUGGUUGAUCGAAUAGUAUAAUCUAAUGGUUGAAAAUGAUCUGAAAAAUAGAUCUAACGGUAAAAAACUUACAAGUACCAAAUGCUUGGUACUUUUACAAGCACCAUAGCUGGACUAUAUAUAUAUAUAUAUAUAUAUAUAGGCAGGAGAGAGCGGAGAGAGAGAGAGAGAGAGAUGAGAUGAGACAGACGAGAGAGAGAGAGAGCGAGCGGCCUAGGAAUGUUAUGGAAGCACGGAGGGCUCGCGUGCUUCCACUGUUUUCGAUAGUUUGGACUUUCGAAUCGACGAUCGGCUUCGAUUAGACCUGAUCUAGAGUAUUUGAAGUACCUAGAAAUAAUUUUUGCGAUUUUUCCGAUAUCAUUUGCCUAGUGAUCGAAGUGGCUCAAAAAAUAAAAAUCUUACAAAAUAGUGAUGAUAUGACAUUAAAUUUUUAGAUCAACAGUUAUUGAUCUUAGUUUUAUAUGGUAUAAAGAAUUUUUCUAUCAAAAUUUCAUGCGAUUUGGAUAUUUCUACACCGUUAAACUUGCAACCGGCUUACCACGGCCAUAAAAUUAUUGAUUUGAACCCUCGAUCACUAGGCACAAUGAUAUUGAAAAAUCACAAAAUUUAUUUUCUAGAUACUUCAAAUAUCUAGAUCAACUCUAACGGAGCCGAUCAUCAAUUCGAAAGUCGAACAUCGGGAAACAACUUAAAAGCACGGAGGGCUCGUGCUUCUAUAAACAUACCAGCCCAUAUUAUAAUAUAUAUAUAUAUAUAUAUAUAUAUAUAUAUAUAUAUAUAUUAUAUAUAUUAUAUAUAGAGGGUGGAAUACUAUAAUAGUAAAAACACUUUUUUUACUAUCAAGUUUUUAACCUUGGAUAAAAAUUGUACGGUCAGGAUGAUAUUAUGUCGCGUUAGAGUUAAUGGUCCCCCUAGGGUUGAGUGGUCUCUACGGGGUAUAGAUUUAUAUCCAAUGGUCAGAAAUAAUGAAAGAGUUGAUCCAAUGGCUAAAAACUGCUAGCAACAUAGAAUUUGUACUAAUGUAUCCCAGUUCACUCCUCUCUCUCUCUCCUCCGUCUCUCGUCUCUCUCUCUCUGAUAUAUAAUAAUAUAUAUAUAUAUAUAUAUAUAUUUUCUUAUGCUUUCCCAGCAUCAAUUUCGAGGAAAGGAACAUCACGAAGCAACUACCGGGCCGUUCACAGAACGACUGGCAGGUUGUACUAGAACGAGUGGGUGCCACUACCGCAUGCCAUGUGACUGCACCAAUGACGCGAUUAUUCCCGAUUGCGACGCCUCAUUUUGGUGGAUUCAGAUCUACAGCCCCCACCUCACUUGCAUUAUUGGCAUCUUAAUUAAUUUAUCUCCCCAGCUUAAAUCUAAGGAAAAAAAAAAAAGAAUCUCCCAAAAAAAAGAAUCUAAGAUAUAGUAUUCGUGAUGUCAAGUUUGAAGAAGCCUCGUUAUUUCACAUUUUCAACUAUAUUUAUUUAUUAAAAUUAUGAACUUAGCAUACCAUCUUUUUCUCUUAAAUAAAAAAUUAUUUUUUUGAUUCACAGUCUCUAAUUAGUUUCGAAUGCCUUUUAUUUGACUAAUUAUUGAAACAGUGAUUUUCGAUGCAUUGAUUUUGUUCGGAGAGUUGCUGUUAAGCGAAAACUUGUAAAAUAUUUGGCUGAUGAAUCUGAUAGAAAAAUAAAUUUUGCUUAAAAUAAUUUUGUCUAGACGUUUGAGAAACUCUUCUUUUGUUGUUUUCACAUAAUAAUUUUUUGUGUCGAAUUUUAUUUUAUUUUAUUUUUAAAAUUAUAACUUAAAGUCUAAAUUUAGAUCUAAAUUAAAAUUAGCAGGGAUAAUAAACAAGCCCUGAUGUUUAACAUAAGUAGCACCAAAUUAAUUAGCACACACCUCAUGGCGAUUCCUUCUUUGGUUUUUUUUUUUUUUUUUUUUUGAUUAGUCUAUUAUUGAGCUCUACGUUUUCUUAGGCCUGUUUGGUUUGUGUGUAAAUCUUUUUGCUAUAAUUUUUUUUAUUUUUAGAAUAACUUGUUAUUUUAGGAUAGUCACAAAUAAAAAUAAAACUAUGUUUGGUUUAUAAAACUGUUGUUCUCAGUAAUAACUAAAAAUUUUUUUUUUUUUUGAGAGAUAGGUAGCACGCUACCCGCUUCGUUUAUUUCAUUUAGAAAUAAACUUAGCUGGAAAUGUGAAUCAAUUAGGAUUCGAACUUGGGUCCUGGGUACCAACUAAAAUUAUGUUUGGUUAAUUUUGUAGAGGAGUAGAGAAAAGUAAAAAAUAUAUAUAAUUAUUAAAUUUUUAGAGCGCCAAGUUUGCCCUUCCCUUUUAUCUAAAAAAUAUGCUUAUACUUCGCAAAAAAAAGAUAUAAUUAAUAUAAUACUAUAUAAAGAAACAUUUGAACUAUAUAUACGUACCCAUCGUUUCCAUUAACCUAUUAUUAAUCAAGUAUCAUGCAUUUUUGAAGUUCUUUCCACACAAUUCAAAUCAUUCGUAUUUAAUUAGUAUUGGCUAAUACCAUCUCACUAAAUCUGGUUUCGUUAGAGGUUGCUUUUAUGUUGAAUGCGAGAUACCCAUUCUAAUUAAUAAAGCAUGUAUUUAGCAAUUAAUCUGUUAAAAUUCACUACUUUAUGUAUUUGAACUCUGAUGGAAUUACAAAUUUUCAUCAACUAUUAACGAUUUUUAGCCAAUAAAAUAAUUAACUAAAACAAAUUUGUAACUCAACUAAGAAAAAUAACUUACGUAAGCUUGAAGAGAAGGCCUUUAUUUUUAAUAUCCAAUUAAAAAUUUUUCACGUCACACACAAGCACAAGAACAAUUUUUUUGCAACUAUUAUUUUCAGAUAAAAUUAUCAUAUUAUUCUUUAUUAAACUCUUUACUAUCUUAUGUGGCGAAUAUAAUUAAUUUUAGAUAUAUCUAUAUGAUAUUGCUGCGCUAUAGAAAAGAUUUUUUAUAUUUUGUAGGUACUCUUUUGAGUUUCUCUAGUUGCAUUGCUUAGGUCUAAAGGUAACAAUUCCAAGAGUUCUUAAAUAUAUAGCAAGUUAUCCAACCAGCUACCCGCUUCGUUUAUUUUAUUAAUGUUAAAUAUAAAAAUGUUUAAACACCGUUAUCUAACAGCUUAAGCUUUUAGAGUACAACGGUUGUUUCACAUGGUAUCAGAGCAGGAGGUCCUGAGUUCGAGUCACGCCAGACUCCUAGCAUAUUAAUUUCCUCCCAUUUAAUUCAAGCCCACGUCAUGGGCUGAUUAAAAAGUUUCGAGCCCAGACGUGAGGGGGAGUGUUAAAUAUAAAAAUGUUUAAAUACCGUUAUCUAACAGCUUAAGCUUAAUAAACUUUAACUGAAAAUGUAAAUCAACUAGAAUUCGAACUUGGAAUCUCAGGUACCAAACAACAAACCCUUUACCACUUACGUACUCAAGAUCUUAUUCAAUGCCAUAAAUAUGCACAAUUAAACUUGACAAAUUUUCUACAACAAUAUAUAUACUCUAUAUUUAUAUAUUCUCACAAUAUGAUAAAUCACUUUAAUCUAUAGUUCAUGAAACGUCAAAAUUAAUUGUUAAGAUUUCAUAAUAGUCAAAAAUGUAUAUCUUCGGCUACACAUAAUAUCACCAUGCCAGUUCGAUAAGUUGCUCCCACAUCCAAAUUAAUCCUUAUGCUCUAUAUGGGAAGUAACAAUUAAGUUACUUAGCAUUUCGAGUGUGUUAUUUUCCAAUGCACAAUAAAUGGUAUAUAUUUCAAGCUUAAAAGGCCACAAGUGUAGCUAUCCAAUGUUACACAUAAUCUCCUCUCUUCUAAAGAAGAUGCCAAUUGAAGCCGCAGCAAAUUAAAGGAUAAGAAUGAGUAGAAACUAUAGAAAGAAGAAGACCACACGCCACAAAGUGUUUGAAUGCAACAAACUUAUACAAUAUAAAAACAUGUGAUGUUACGCAUAAAAACUUUAUGUUGAAUGCGACAGCCGAUAACUAGCUAGCUAUUUUCAUGUAAGUCUAAACUCAAAUGAAAGAUGCACUAAAGGCUUAAUUUGAGUAUAUAAUUUGUCACUGGUAGCAAAAGGAUAGAUUUGUAAGCCUUAUUAUUAGUAAUAUUCAUUGCUUGUAACAAAAGGGUGAAAUGUAUGAAUGCCUUUGACGAUUCCUAUGCUAUCCCCAUAAUGGACUUUUGUUUCUGAUCAUUAAAAGAAAUUAGACUUUUAAGCAAAAUGACAAGCUAAAUAAGCAAAUUAUUAUGAUAGAUCCAUAAAACAAAAAAUAAUUAGAUAUUUUUCUAUGUUAGGAGAUAUAAAUAUUUUUAUGAAAAGUAUAUAUAGCAAGUAGGAACUAUUGGGAGGAUAGCUAGGACAAGUACUAUAUAUCCAUAAAUUUUACCUUUAGCUAAGAUAGCAAGUUAAUUGUGACAUGAAAAAUGAAACGGAUCGCGUCCUAACAAUAUUUCGUCACAUAAUUUAUCAAAACUUACUAGCUUUCAAUUAGAUGUAUCAAUUAAAUCUUUUCUUUCUUCUUUUUUAGUGUGAAGUAAGAGGCCUAGUGCCCUUUGCAUCUCUCUCUCUCUCUCUCUCUCUCUCUCUCUCUCUCUUUAGAGUCAAGCAAACCUAUUUUCACAAGUUAAUGUCACAUAGUGCUUCCUCAAAAUUGGCCAAUCCUACCAAACAACAUUAAUGCAAGGGAUAAGAUUCCCAAUCCUUUUCCCAAAGUCCUGGGUCAGGUAUAGUGUGAUAGAUCAACAAGAUUUGGCAUGUAGUGAAUUCACAAAUUAAUUGAGAGGUGCCACAAAGGUGCAUGCAAUUUGCCCCCAUAACUUUCCUUUUGUCCUGAGACUUGUGGCACUGAACUACGUACUGAGACAUGUGGGACUCAACUAUUGAUCACUGGUGAUCAGUAACGAUCGAUUUGGUUUGAUGCUCUUCCAGUGCAAAGGUGUAAAAAUAAUAAUAAUAACAAAAGGAAAAAAAAUGAUUACUUACUAGUUUAAUUAUGUAACUAUUGGAGCUAGAAAUGGAAAAGAAAGGUUAAAGUUACAUGUAAAUUAAAUCAAGUAAUUACAGGAGCUAAUUCUUUGGUGUAACAUGACAGCAAAAAUGAACGAAAAUAAUAAAUGUUUGGAAAACAUAUUCAGAGCUAGGCAACAUUUUAUAUAUAUAUAUAUAUAUAUAGAGUUGAACACAGAUGUAGAAAUAGCUUGUUAGCAUAGCAUUACUCAUUGUGAGACAUUAAUUGUAUGUUUGAUUGAUCGGUAAGCUAUCGCACGAUUUGUCGUUUUUAGGGCCCAGAGUUAAUGAACGGAUUUAUAGAUAAUUUUGACUCGGAUCCAAAAAGCUAACGAGUUUGCAUCAAUGCAUAGAACAUAUAAUAAUAUCGGAUCCAUACUAAGCUAGUAAAAUUUCUAUUCAAAUAAAGUAAUAAUUACGUACAUGCAUUUAGGACACGUGCAAUAGUUUCAUAGGAUGUUUUGGUAUACACAAGUCUAAGAUUUGCCUUAACAUAAUUCUUUUCCUUCACUUUUCUUCCUUUUUGUCAAAGUAUGGGAUAAAAGUAUAUUAUUAUUAACGUGGGCCCUAAUAAGAGUUUAUUUAUUAAUAAUAAAAAAAAAUGUUCAAAUAAAUAAAGUGAAAGAGACAAUUAGGUGACCAAGGUUUCAACCAUUUGUUUUAACUUCUUGUUAAUUAAUAAGAUAAUGACAUCACAAGUAGCUAAGUUGUUAUGUCUCUCUCAAGCACACCUCGAUCAUUCGUGUGUUUUCAAAUAGUGGAAAAGGAAAUUAAUCAACUCCGAUAAUCAGAUAAAUAAUUUGAGUCUGAUUCAUUUUAUUAGGUUAGGAUCAAACCUAAUAAAAAUAUAAAAAUAUAAAAAUAUUUAAACAUCGUUUUUCAUUAACUUAAAACUUUUAGAAAAUGACGAUUGUUUUAUAUUAGUUAACAAAUACUUUACUAUUUACAUGAAGGAUUGAAAUAUACACUGCCAAUUAUGCUUUGGGGUUUCGUUGUGGCAUACUAUAUAUCCCAUGUAUUGACACUGAAUUUUUGUGAGAUAAUUCACUUUUAUAAUAUUUUCUUUCAUUCUUUGAGAAGUAAUACUGCAGCAAUUUUACUCUAUUACAUCAAUUUAAUUGCCUAGAAAUUAAUGAUUGCAAAAUAAAUUUUAUUACAAAAAUAUGUGCCAUUGUGAUAAUGCAAACCAUAUUGUUUANAUAUAUCACAAUAUUUAUACCAACCAUGCAAUGAUUCUUUUUUAUUGUAAAAAAUUAUUAUUGUUGCUACAGUAUUUAUUAUUGAGAAAGAAUUAAUUUCUAGCAGUGUUGGUGGAAAAGAAUUACCGGAACAUGACAUGUAUUUAGCAUUGAUUUUGUAUAACUUAACUAUUUUCUAGGUAUCGAUAAUAUCAGAAAUAUAAAAAAAAAAAUUUAUGUAAAUAUCUGUUUUAUUUUCUUUUCCGUCAUGAUUUUCAAAAAAUCUAGCCAUGAAAAUUUGAACUUACCAAUCAAAUAAUAUAAAACUAAAAAGAAUAACAAGAAACAUUUUGGUUUGAACUUGUGUUAAAUAUAAAACUAUAUGAACAUGUUCUCUAAUAGUUUAAAUUUUUAGAGUAUAUAUAACUAUUGUUUUACAUGUAAAAAUUAUUUCUACUUCAACUUGUUUAUUAAGAUGCAACUAUUUCCACAGUAAAUAGUUUUUUUUUUUUUCCUGUGAAACACAAUAAAUAGGCUACUGACACUACACAAUUAAGAGUACCUGAUCAGCUUCGAAUUAAUUAAUGCCAUAAUAAUUCAACUUGAUCCCAAAUAUUAAUGGGGUGCAAAUCCCAACCCUUAUUAUGUUGAGGAACUCAUAUUUUGGAUAUAUAUUGCUAUUCUGCACCCAAUAAAAAUAGCAGAGUUAGAAAAAUUAAUUUGGAGGAGAAUUGAGAGAAAUUGGGACUGACAUGUUAACCCCAACCCUUUUUUUUUUAUUUGAGAAAUAGGUAGCACGUUACCGCUUCGUUUAUUUUAUUUAAAAAUAAACUUAACUGGAGAUGUGAAUCAAUUAGGAUUCGAACUUAGGAUCACAAAUACCAACCACAAAAUCUUUUGCCAUUUGCUCUAGGGACGGUCAGUCGUGAAUCCCAACCCUCCCAUUCAACAAUGAGAAAAUACUGCAUGUUGUCAUGUUGCUGGUCUACUAAUAUUUUGCUUAUGCUUAACCUAUUUUUUAAUAAUAAUAUUAUAAAAUUAAAAUCUAAUCUAAUAAAUAUGAUCUAAACUACAUAAAAAAGUUAUGUAUAAAAGAUUAUAAAAUUUAAAAUUUUAUAACAUGGUUAUUGGCAAUUCCACAAGCUUUCCAUCAACAUUUAACCUUCGAGCGCACGACCACCCCUAACGCAAGUGGUAAAAGAUUUGAUGGUUGCUAUCCGAGGUCCCAAGUUCGAAUCCUAAUUGAUUCACUUUUCCAGCUAAUUAUUUAUUUCUAAAUAAACGAAGUGACUUGCAUACUACUUUUCUCUCAAAAAAAAAAUCCUUUUGUUACAUGGCACUUGGGACUUUCAAUACAAGAAAAAGCCCAACCGGCCGUCCCUAGAGUAAGUGGUAAAGGACUUGGUGGUUGGUAUCCGAGACCCAGGUUCAAAUUCUAGUUGAUUCACAUUUCCAGCUAAAUUUAUUUCUAAAUGAAAUAAACGAAGCAGCGGGUAGCGUGCUACUUAUCUCUCAAAAAAAAAAAAAGAAAAGAAAAAGCCCUUGUAAAGGGACUUAAUGGCAUCUCGUACACAACAUGCAAUCCGAUGCAAAUGGGUCUUAUAAAUAAAACAAAUAACCGAUGGUUGGUUCAGUUGAAAAGUACAAGGCUCGUCUCGUUGCAAAAGAUUUUGACCAAAAAGGAGUUAGAUUUUGUCAACAAAUAGCUUAUUAUUGGGCUUAAAAGAAUAAUUUAAAGUGUAAAAGGUUGAUGUUCAACCUAUUCUUGGGAUUUAACAGUGGGUUAUCAUGCACUUUGUUAACAAGAGGAUAAUUUUGAAUAUAUAUAAAACAAUUAAAAUAUGGCUUUUUAACGGGCUUAAGCUUUUGGCGCAAAUGGUUAUUUUUAAGCUUUUGGCAUUAAUGGUUAUUUUAUAUAGGACUAGAUUAAGAGGCCAAAUCCAACCAAACUAAGCAUUUUUAAAACUGAAGCUUUUAAAGUAAGUUUAUCUUCGCAGAUAAAGGCCAUCUAUUUUCUUGUAUAUACCACUUAAUUUAUUAUCUGUCCAAAUAUUAUUCAGAUUAAUUUCCUUUUCCAUAAUAAUCUGAAAAAGGUUUAGUUUGUGUUCGAGUUGUAUACUGCAUGCCAUCUUUGAGGAAACUUGCUUGCCUGAUGAGAGUUUUAAUGCUACACUCAAUAUAUAGAGCAGGUCUUGUGUGUUAUUAGGAGUACGAAAGCCUAUGUGUUCCUAAGCUAUUUUCGAUGAUGGAGCUUUCGAAUCGACGAUCAACUCCGUUAGACUUGAUCUAACGUAUUUGAAUUAUCUACAAAAUAAAUUUUGCAAUUAUUCGAUAUUAUUUACAUAGCGAUUAAAAGUAUUCAAAAUCAACGGCUGAAAAUAAAACUUUGAAAAAAGACAGUGAUAUAACACUAAAAUUUUCUAUCAGAAAUAUUGAUCUUACAAUAAAUAUCCAAAAAAUAUUAUCAAAAUUUUAUCUGAUUUGAAUACUUCUACACCAUUAAAUUUGUAAACGAUAUACAUCAAUCAUUAAAAUUUAUUAAUUUUUAAAACAUUUCGAUAUAUCGUUAGGUAAAUGAUAUCGAAAAAUCGCAAAAUUUAUUUUCUAGAUACUUUAAAUAUAUUAGAUCAAGUAUAAUUAGGGGUGUAAACGAGCCGAACACGAGCGAGCUGGGGUCGGCUCGUUAAAGUAUCGAGUCGAAAAAUUCAGCUCGUCUUUGGCUCGUUUAUUAACGAGCUGAACACGAGCUGGCUCACGAGCUAGCCAACGAAUAAUAAAUUAAAAAUGAUUAGAUUAAAUAUAUAUAAAAAAUAAAUUUAUCAAAUCUUAUUCAUUAGACUUUGAUCUAAUAGUUGAAAUCUUUACAUAUAAAUGAGUCUUUUUUUAUAAUUAAACUCGCAUUUAUAUUUUUAUUUUACUAAAAAUUAAUAUAAAAAUAUAUAUUAUAUAUAAUUUAUUUAUAUAUAAAAAUAUAAAUUAAAUAAUAUAUAAAUAUAAAUAUAUGUAUUCGAGCUGUUAUCGAGCCGAAACACGAGCGAGCUGACCCCAGCUCCGUUUUCGGCUGUUUAUUAAACGAGCUGAAAAUCCAGCUCGUAUUCGGCUCGUUUACUAAACGAGCGAGCCGAUCUCGAGCUCAUUUCAAGUGAACACGAGCUGGCUCGCGAACAGCGAGCUGGAUUGCCACCCCUAAGUAUAAUGGAGCCGAUCAUCGAUUCGUAAGUCCCAUCAUUGAAAACGACUUAAGAGCACAAAGGCCUCUAUGCUCCUAAAAGCACAGAAGACCUACUCUCCAAUAUAUAUAUAUAUAUAUAUAUAGAGAGAGAGAGAGAGAGAGAGAGAGAGAGGAGAGCUAGGCUGGAAUACUGUUGAUAACAAAAGGCUUUUUUUGCUAUCAAGUUUUUAACACUUAGAUGAGAAAUUAUAAAGUUAGGAUGAUAUUAGUCCUUUGGGGUUGAACGGUCCCCCUAAGGUUGAGUGAUCUCCAUUGGAUUAUAAUAUUUAAUCUAAUGGUUAGAAAUGAUGAAAGCAAUUAAUUCAAAGGCUAAAAUUUGAUAGCAAAAAAAGUCUUUUACUAUCAAUAGUGUUCUAGCCUAUAUAUAUAUAUAUAUAUAUAUAUAGAGAGAGAGAGAGAGAGAGAGAGAGAGAGAGAGAGAGAGAGAGAGAGUGAGCUAGAAUACUCUUAAAAGCAUCAAGGGAGUGGUGCUUUUCAGUUUUUAACUAUUGGAUGGAAAGAUGUAGGGUUGAGAUCAUGGUGGUAAGUGGAAUUGUGUUUGAUCCGAAAGUAGUUAUUAAUAAUUAAGGAGUAAAUCGAGCUAGAAACUUAAAAGCACUAAAGAAUUGGUGAUUCUAAAAAUAUUCUAGCUCAAUUCUAUAUAUGUAUAGAGUGAGAGAGAGAGUCCGGCUAUGAUGCUUAUAAAAGCAUCAAGUAUUUGGUGUUAUAAAUUUUUUACCAGAUCAAAAUAUAUAUAUAUAUAGAGAGAGAGAGAGAGAGAGAGAGAGAGAGAGAGAUAGUUAGUUUUUUUGUUAGUUUCAAUGCUUCACUCAAUAGAGUGAUAUGUACCUAACACUUGUGGCUCUUCACGUCUAAAUUUGCGUGUUGGAGAGGCUGUACAUAUACACUAUCCUUUUUUGGAGAAAGGUACAUAUACACUAUCCUGAUCUGCAAAGAUGGGAACUUUUUGAAGUUGUCCAAAGUGCUUCAGUUCAACCCAUCAAAUCGGAUUGACUUAAGACCCUUUAGACCUUUUCAGAUCAGUGAUUCGUUCAGUAAAUCUAUGAACCCACUGAAUUUUAUAAGAAUAGGCCGGAUUUUUUUCUAUUUUAUACUUUAAUAAUUAAAAAUAAUAAUAAUUUAGUGUUUAUGACAUCAUUUAUUGUGAAAAUAAUUUUACUUUUUGAGUGAAUGGUAGCACAACAGAUACUUUAUUUUUUUUUAAACUGAAAAUAUAAAACAACUAAGCUUCGAAUUUAGAAUCUCACAUAUCAAUCAUCAAGCUCAUUGCUUACGUUGGGGACGACAAAUUAUUAUAAAAAUAACUUUUUUAAUAAAAUAUUAUAAAAAUAAUUAAAAAUAAAGUUUUGAGAUGGUACGACGAAACAAAACACAUCAAUAAGAAAUCCACAACAAACGUGGUGGGCAAGGUGAAGGCACUCCAUAUUGCUUGAUCAUAGGGGAGGGGGGAUUAAUUGCUACUUAUAUAUAUAUAUAUAUAUAUAUAUAUAUAUAUAUAUAUAUAUAUAUAUAUAUAUAUAUAUAUAUAUAUAAAAGCUUUUUUCACUAUUAUAUCCAUUAAUUUUGCAUGUUUUACUUCAAUUUUAAUCGGGACCAUGUAUACUUUGUAGUGGAAGUAAUGGUAAUUUUUUUGUUAACAGAAAUUGCUUACUAUUCACCGUGAGAUGCGCUUUUGUAUUUUUCCGUAGCUGUCGAUGUUAGAUUUUAAAUGAAGGCCUGUGAAAAUAAAAUAUGUCGGCAUAUAGGACAAAACAUAAUUACACUACUGUAGAACCCAUAUCCCAAUCAAGAAGGAACUAUGUGGAACAAAGGUUUAUAAUUAAAACAUUAUUGAAUCGUGGGCGCUAAUUAUUAAUUCUAAAAUUUAAAUUAUUAAAAAAAUAUAAUUAAUAGUACUCAUGAAUUUUGAUUAUGAUUCGGCCCAUUCAGCCUAACGUAACUUCUAAUACGACUCAGCUAAUUCCGAUCUCCUGUCAUUUCGAACAUAACUCAUCUCAAACUGAUUUUUCAUCACAGGACAGAAUAAUAGCCCCCUUAAGCCAACAAUCCCAUUCCCCCACCCUCUUCCCGAGUAGGGCUAGAAUAUUUGUAAAAGUAUCAUGGGGGUGAUACUUGUGUGUUUUUAGUCCUUGGAUGGAGAGAUGUGAGGUUGAGAUGAUGGUGGUAGGUGGUGGUAGGUGGAAUAGUGUUUAAUCCAAGGGCUAUUAAUAAUCAAAAAGUAGAUCCAAUGGCUUAAAACCUAAUAGCACCAUGAUAGUGAUACUUGUAAAAGUAUCAUAGCUCAACUCCUCUCCUCUCCAGCACUUGUAUAAAUUUGCAGUAUGCGGGAAUUCAAUCCGUAAACUCUGGCUCUGAUAUCACAUGUCGAAUCGUUGACGCUAACUAUUAAUCCUAAAAACCAGAGCUGUUAGAAAGAUGCAAAUAAUUUCUUUAAAGCGUAUAAAUACAGCGCUUACGGAUUUUGAUUGUGAUUCAACUCAACCAGUCUCAUACUACUUCGAAUAUGACUUAGUCCAAUCCAACCUCUCGUCAUUUCGAACAUAACUCGUCUUAAUUUGACAUUCCGUCGUAAGGUAAAAUACUGAUUUUUUUAAACCAAUAAAUAUUAAUACUAUGAACCAAUUAGUACUCAUUAUUCUCUGCAUCUGUCAAAAAUGUAUUUUUGUUGUGGAAUAAUGUCAACAAUGUGAAACAAUUGAUUUCAUGUUUUAGAUUUGUUUAGUACUCUUUGAUGUACUCUAAUGUACUCUUCUUUUCCUGUGCAAUGGAAAUGGGAUCCAAUUCUCUCCUUUCCUGUGUAAUAGAAAUGGGAUCCAAUACUGUUUCCUUCAAGCCAAAAAAUAAUAGGUGUACUCUUCUCUUUCUUUUUAGUGAAAAUGAUGAGAUCCAACACUGUUUCCCUUCAAAAAAAUGGAAAGGGUAAUUAAUAUACUUAGAUUAUUUAAGAAUCAUGCAUUCUUUGUAAGAUCCAUAUGAUAGAUAUGUUGACAAAGGGCCAGCAUUCUACUCUAUGGCCGGAGGUCGAAUUGGAUCAAAUUAUAUUCGAAAUAAUAUGAGAUUGACUGAGCUGAAUCACCAAUCAAGAGGUAUUGUGUCUGCAUGUUUUAAAUAAAUUGAUUGUAUUUUUCUAACAGCUCAAAUUUUUUGAAAUUAAUAUUUAGCAUCAAUGAUGCAACAAGAUAAUACGGCGAUUUUUCUAUUCUUUUCCUUUCUUUUUUUCAUUUUUGAUCAAUCAUUAGUAUUCGAAAAGGCUAAAGAAUUAAAUUAUUUAAAUAAAUACUAGCAAAUUUCGAAUUUUCACUAUCUAAAACCCUCUUUAAUCAGAACCAACCCAACAAUAGUCAUAGCACUAGAGUAGAAUGGCUUAUUUGGAUUACAAAAUCUUCGUCAACAUAGACUCAACUAUUUCACUCUAAAUAUUUUCAUAGCUAAUUUCCAAAUUCAAUUUCCUAAUUAUCAAGCAUCUUAAUCUAGGAAUUAGAAUUCUUUGUAAUUAGAAAAUGCAAGCAAAGUACUUACAACAAAAUACAAGCCACUUGCAUUUUAAUUUCCUAUUUUUGUGUGUAUUCCAAACAAACAAUUUUCCCUUUCACUUAAGAAAACUGUGGGCCUGGUUCUCUCCUCAGCCCUUCUUUCUAAGCCCCUUCCACACUCAAACAACAUGUCAACAACCUCACUAUGUGAAAGAUGCCAUUGUGCUCACCUGGUCCACCAAAAACUGAUCUUCCAAACUAUCUUUUAAAUUUAUUAAAGCAAAAUUUCAUAAUAUUUGAGGUGGUAUAUGUGAAUUCAAGAGCCAAAAAGACUAUAUAUUAGGAUUAAAAAAACUUUUGGAUAUAUAUUUCUCACAUGUAAUAGAUUAAGAUCCUGUUUGGACGUUGAAAUUAUACAAUAUUUAAUAAUAACUUAUUCAAAAUAAUUUUUUUUUGUAUGAUUACAAGUAAGAGUGUGAUUUUUGUUUAUAUAAAUUAAUGGGAUAACGUAUUUCAUCCAUUCUAGAAUACGGCGAAAAAUAAAAAUAAAAAUGACAAAAUAUUUAAGUUAUAUGUAAAAACAAUAAAGUAUUAAAAUUAAAAAAAGUGAUAAACAACAAUAGGAUAACUGAUUUUUUAAAAAAAUUUGCGCCCUGACGCUCACCGGACAAAUUUACGUCUAACCUCUCUCCUAUUUUUGGAAAAAAAAAGAAAAAUCUAGAAUACAUUAGUUAUAUUGCUGAUGUUACAUCACCAACUAAUCAGAUUGUUUUUUUUUUAUUCAUCCCCCUAUCAUAACUAUUAAAAAAAAAUUUAUUAUAUUUUUUAUUUAAAAAAUAAUUCAUAUUUGAUAGAUGAUUUUGCGUGACUGGUAUCCAAUAGAAUCUCUCCAUUCCUUAAAAUGGCCCCCAUCCAACCCCAACUAAUGGACAGUUAUACACCUCCACCACACCACACCACUCUCCCCACUAAUUGGCUUCCCCACUCCGUACCCACAGAUAUUUCCCCCAAUAUAAACUACUCUAUCCCCCAUAAUAAUUCCACUCUUUCCCAUAUCACUAUUCCUGUGUGCUCUCUCUCUACUCUCUUUCUCUCUCUCUCUCUCCCCACUCCUCUUUUCCCUCCAAAAAAAGAAAAAAAGAAAAAAGAAAACCAUCAAUCUUUUAUUAGAAAACCAGGUGCUAUCCAUAAAGCCAUAUAACAUAAUCAUAUAUAUACAUAUAACAGGAAAAAGGAAAGGAAGGUAACAGAGAUUGUAUUUUAUUGAUGGCGACGCCAGCGGAGGAGGAAGACGAGAGGAAUCUGAUACUGGGGAAGUACGAGAUGGGGCGGGUGCUGGGGAAGGGCACGUUCGCGACGGUGUACCACGGCCGCGACCUCCGGUCGGGGGAGAGCGUCGCGAUCAAGGUGAUCGGCAAGGACCGGGUGCGGCGCGAGGAGGGCAUGAUGGACCAGAUCCGGCGCGAGAUCUCCGUCAUGCGCCUCGUCCGCCACCCCAACGUCGUCGAGCUCCGCGAGGUCAUGGCCACCAAGUCCCGCAUCUUCUUCGUCAUGGAGCUCGUCCGCGGAGGCGACCUCUUCGACCUCGUAUCCAAACACCGACGCGGCCUCCCCGAGGACCAGGCCCGCAGGUACGUUGAAUAAAUAAUCGUUUCUCUCUAAAAGCUUAAAUCGUUGAUAUUUUUAUUAUUAAUACUUUUCUGGGCACAAACUUUUAUUUGGAUAUCCUCAAAAUCCGUAAUAUAAUAUUAAAAUCUUUUUUGAGCUGAGCCGGUAAAGAACGGUAUUCUAAUAUUUUAUUUCAUAAACAGGUACUUCCAGCAGCUGAUUGCCGCCGUCGACUUCUGCCACAGCCGUGGGGUAUGCCACCGCGACCUGAAGCUCGAGAACUUGCUGUUGGAUGCCAGCAGUAACACCUUGAAGGUGUCCGACUUCGGGCUGUCGGCGCUCCCGGAGCAGCUGCGGCACGACGGGAUGCUGCACACGCAGUGCGGGACGCCGGCGUACGUCGCGCCGGAGCUGCUGAAGAAGAAGGGGUACGACGGCAUGCGCGCCGACAUGUGGUCCUGCGGCGUCAUCCUCUUCGUGCUGCUCUCCGGCUACCUUCCUUUCCAGCACGAGAACAUCAUGAAGAUGUAUAAUAAGAUCUGCCGGGCCAAGUACCAGCUCCCGCCGUGGGUCUCCGCCGACGCCGGCCGGCUCAUCGGACGGCUGCUCGUAAGCGACCCGGAGAAGCGGAUAUCGAUCGCGGAAAUGAUGCAGCUCCCUUGGUUCAAGAAGGGGCUCCCGCAGCCGAUAUCGUUGGGGCCAAGGAUGGCGGUGGCGGUGGCGGCGGAGGAGGAGGAGACCGGGGAUCGGGAAUUGGAUCCGGAUCCGGAUCCGGUGGCGGCGGUGAAUUCGCCGAGGUCGUACAACGCCUUUGAGCUGAUAUCGGCGAUGUCAUCGGGGUUCGACCUGUCGAGGAUGUUCGGGAGCGAAUUGCGGGCGGGGGGCACGGUGUUCACGGCGCGGUUGGCGGCGGGGAGGGUGAUGGAGAGGCUGGAGAAGGUGGGGAGGGCGCUGGGGUUCCGGGCGGAGAAGUCGGUGAAGGCGGGGUGGAGGGUGAGGAUGGAGCGGCCCGCGGUGGUCGAGUUCGGGAAGGACGCCGGCGACACCCUCGAGUUCGCCCGCUUCUGCGAGCACGACGUCCGGCCGGGGCUCAAGGAUAUCGUGUGGGCGUGGCAGGGCGACCCCCCGUCCCUGCCGACGGAGAGGCCAGCAAUCACUUGUACGACCGCUGACGAUGCCGCAGCAGUUGCCUAGAGCAGGCGUAGAUUUUCUGCAGCUCUGGUGUGCAAAAAAAACCUCUACAUGGAUCCUGAUCGCAUCAUCAUUUAUUAAUUCUGCGUACUGCACUGUAGAAAAUCUGAGCAAUUGAUAUGCAGGCAAAGUCAUUGACCGAGUAUUUCUAUGGGUUACACUUCCAUAUGUGGGUUUGUGUGACUCAGAGAUUGUACAUAGGUUUGUGUGAUUUUUGUUUGAUAUAUUACCUGUUUGUGUGGUAAUAUAUGAACAUAAUUUUGGGCCAGGGUGUACAUAGAGGCAAAGAGGAAGUCAAUUUUGUAUUUAUAUAUAUAUAUAUAUAUAUAUAUAGUUUAUCAAUUUGGGUAAAGUUUCCUAUAAUUUUAUUUGCUUUGAGAGAAUUGAUCUGAUAUUAGUUAGUACACUAGCCUAUUUCGAAAAAUAUGUAUGCUAAUAAAGUAAUGAACCCUAGUUGUGAUAAUUAUAUUUGGAACAAGAAGUACCUACAUGGCUACACAACAUGUUAGGAAAAUAUAGGACCAGUCCCACUGCAUUAAUUCUGUUUGUUUAUAGAUUGGUUGGGUGAUAGAAGGUGUGUUUAUUUUGAUCAAAGUCGGAGUUGAAGUGGCUGAAUUUCCCUAAUUGGAGAUCACUAGUGUUUCGACGGUAUUGCGGAGUUCAACUUUCAUGAGGCUUACACGGGCGACAAGUGCGAAUUCGUCUCAUGAUACAGUGAGUUUGCGUACAGUAUGAAAUCACAACACUAUGCUAGAGGAGCGCAAAGUCGAGCUCCAUCCUACUGCCGAAACCUGCUGAGUUCGACAGGGUGUGGUUCUGAGUUACCAAACAUAUCCUUAAUUUAAUGGGAGAUAUUAUUAUGAAGUUAUUAUCCUAGUUAGUUAAUUCGGAUUCGGCCAAAAUUCGGUACGGAUAUAAUUCGGAUAAAAUUCGUCUUUUAAUUUUUAAAUUCGUUAAAAAAUACGGUUAAAAAACGGAUUCGAUAAUUAUUCGGAUACGUGAUUUAUACGGAUAUUAUACGUUCACCAAUUAAAAAUUCGAAAUCAAAAAUUCGACUAUAUUUUAAAUAUAUAAUAAUUAAUAUAUUAUAUAUAUUAUUAUUAUAUUUUUUAUAUAUAAAUUAAAUAUAUUCAUAUAUUAAUAAUAAAUAUAUAUUAAUAAUAUAUAAGAUUUAUAUAUUUAAAAAUAUUAAUAAAUAAUUACAAAUUUAUAAAUAAAAUAUCAUAUAAAUAUUUCUAUAUAAAAAUAAAAAUAAAAAAUAUAUAUAUAAUAUAUAUAUAUAUAUAUAUAUAUAUAUAUAUAUAUAUAUAUAUAUAUAUAUAUAUAUAUAUAUAUAUAUAUAUAUAUAUAUAUAUAUAUAUAUAAAAGGGUGGUCCAAAGGUCCACUGUGGACCUCCCCUCAUGCGGUCCACGAGAUGAAAAUGGCCUCGUGGACCGCGCACACCAUCUAUGCCUCAUGAGCUCCGAUUUUUUUUCUGUUCAUCUUCUAUUUUUCCGCAGAGGCGAGACGGGAUCCGCAGCAUGCGUUGCUCCCGGCACCGGCGAGGGCGGCGGAGGAUGACGACGACGUGAGCGGCGACGAGACAGGAUCCGCAGCCGUGGCCCUUGCUGCCGGCGUCGGCGAGGGUGGCGGAGGACGACAAUGGCGCGAGCGGCGACGACGCGACCCUCGGCCAAUCGCCGAUUUUUUGGGUGAAUUAUUUGCGAAUUGCGAAUAAUUCACAAAUAAUUAUUUUUGAGAAAAAAAUCACGUUUUUUUCCUAAUUUUUCAGAAAAAUACGGGACGUCCCGUUUAAUUCGUGUUUUUAAAAGUACGCAAAUAAUUCGCGUAUUAAUCGCGAAUUAACUAACUAGGGUUAUUAUUGCAUACACACCUUAAAUUGGGCAAAAAUUGUAUGAACAUAGUGUCUAAAUUAACAUUUUUUGGGGACGCUCUGGAUGGGCGCCACGUGGCUUGCAGGCGUCCAUCUUACCGUCCUUUUUUUUUCUUAAAAAAAUGUGAUUUUUUUUUAGAGAGAGAAAGAAGUAGAGGAAGGAGAAUGGAUGGUGGGACGGACGCUUGCAAGCCACAUGACACCCUCCAGAGCAUCCCAAAAAUGCUAAUUUGAAUAUUAUGUCCAUAUAAUUUUUGCCCCCUUAAAUUGAAUAGCCAAACUAUCCUAGAUGGGUGUAGAGUUAAUGUGCAGACACAACAUCACUGUCAAAUAUUACAGCUAGAAAAUUAAGUACGCUAACUAUUUAUAUAUAUUUUUUUAUUUAUUUAAAUUGUUUUACUGUUUGUUUGAUUCCCUUAAAAAGAAUAAACACUAUAUGACAAAAUACUAUUUAAGCAGUAUAAUUAAUUAGGUAAUCACUAUUCAUAUUAACAUUUUCUGAAGAUUUUUAGGCUAUUUGCUAUAGUAGGAUCCCGAAGUCUCUUUUAAUAAACUUGCUCCUCAAAUAAGAUCUUAUUGAGACAGGUUGAUACAUGAAUCAUGUCAUUUUCGCUCUUUGAGCCUCCUUUAAAUUCGUCAUUUAAUACGUUGAAGAUAUUUGGACAAGAAAUUUUUAAACCAAAAUAUAUUUUUAAGAUUUGCGGGCAAAAUUAAUCGCUACCGCUGAGUAGCCUCCUCAAGGAAGUCACGCUUCUAUCUAAACUUGUUGUAGCUGAAAGCAAAAGCAGUAGAAUGGUCAAUUUUCAGCCCCGUUGAUAGGCUUUGAUCGGCAAUAGUGGUAAGGAUAUGUUGUCUUGAUUGUGAAGGUUCAAAAAUUGAUUGGUAUACACUUUAUAUUUUGAAAGCUUAAACACCGAGAGUAGGGACGAAAUCAGAAUUUAGGUUCAGAAAGGGAUAAAAAUACACUAUACGUUUGUCAUAAAGAAAAUUAUCAUAAAAUAUUACAAAAAAAAUUCAAAAGAAUUUGUUUGCCAACUUCAAAAGCAAAUAAGUCACAAAAUUUGUCGAUGGUUGAAUCAAUAGAUAACUUUUGAUAAUUUUUUUUUUCUUCUUUUCCACUACAUACGAUUAUAGAGAAGUUCUCGGUCUAUAAAUUUUAUAAGAAACAAUGUUAUAGAAUGCUCCUAAAAAAACUAAAAUUUAUAAUAUUCUAAUUUUUAUCAUGCCUAAUUAAUUAGAAAUUUAUAUGGCAAUUGUAGGCAAUAACAUGGCUCCGUUCCUCAGUCAUAAGUAGUAUCACUGAAGGGUUGCCUGAUUUUUCAAACAAAUGUGAAUAAAACAAAAAUUCCCCUUUUUUGCUUAUUUGAUUUUAUUAAAAUUAAUUUUUUAAUAAUUAUUUUGUAAAUUUUUAAAAAAAAUUAGUGUUUUUAUUUUUUUUAAUAAAAAACGAUAUUUCCAUAAAAUGUGAAAAAAGUAAAAAAAAAAAAAAAACACUUUUUCUUAAAACAAAUUAUAAUAAUAAUAUAUAGACAAAAAAAAUCAGUUUUUGGUAGGAAUGGCAUAUCAGCUCAUUGUUCACAAGUCAACUCGUGUUCGGCUUGAAAUGAGCUUGACAUUGAAUCGCUCGUUUAGUAUACGAGCCGAAUACAAGUUAGGGUCAGUUCCCUCGUGUCGAAUACAUAUAUUUUAUAUUUAUAUAAUAAUUUAUAUUAUAUAUAUAUAUAUAUAUAUAUAUUUUANUAUAUAUAUAAAAUACAUAUUUUUAUUAUUUGAUUUUUAAUCCAACAUAAAUAUAAAAUCCAACUCAAUUAUAAAAAGGUUCAUUUAUUUGUAAAAUUUCAUUCAUUCGAGUAAGAUUUCAUAAAAUUGUUUUUUUAUAUAUAUUCUUUCUAAUUUUUUUAAUAUAUUGUUCGUGAGUCAAAUCGUUUUCGACUCAUUAAUAAACAAGUCAAACAAAAGCUAAAUUUUUCAACUCGAUAUUUUAACGAUUCAGAUCGUGUUAACGAAACCUUGUUUUGAGAUGCAGUGUCACCAUAGUGUGUUACUAUUUAUGCCAAGUACGUAUCCUACAAAGCAAAACCAAUUCGUUGUGCGUAGACCUAACAAUCUCUUCCCGUAGUCGUGGAUUACCUAUAAAUUUGCAGGUAUGAGUAUCAGUUUUUUAAUCUAAAAUAUUAUAGAUAAAACGAGUGGAUACCAGUUGAGUGGUGGGUAUUUUGGGCAGCCCGCGGAUACCCACGGAUACCCGCAUAUAUAUUUUUAAAUUAAAAAAAUAUAAUUUUAUAAUAUUGAUUCAAUAAUGAUAAAAAUUUUAUUAAUUUUGAAUCAUAAAAAUUUGGGAUGAUGAAAUAUUUUUAUAUUAUGUAAUCUAUGUAUUUUUAAGAUGUUAUAUUGUUUAUUAUGUGUUAUAAUAUUUCAAAUAUGAAGUUACAUUAUAUUUUUAAAAAAUUUAUAUAUGUAUUUUGUAUUUAAAAAAUAUAAAAAUAAAAAUAAAAAAAAACCUUACGAGUAAUCAGUAUAUCCAUCCGUCCGCAUGUGAUUCGUAGGUAUAACGACCUGUUGGUCACCGAUUACUCAACCCGCCUAUUUGCCAGAUCUAACUUUGGAUGUGUCAUCACAUCAUGGUCAUGAAUGUGACAAUUUUAUUCAAGAUGCUUCAACCACGCCACCUUUAGUAGGAAUAUAAAAAUAAAUAUUUGGUAAAGGUGUGAGUUUGCAUAAACUGAAAUAUUUAAAGCGCAGGUGACAGGGAAUGGUGAUGUGAAAAGCGACCCACAGUUAAUUACCCAUUUCUAGUACAUCCUACUAUAUAUUUCUUCCUAUAUUAUUUUUUGAAGGAAAAACUUCAAAAAUUGUCUAUGUAGUUUCACACUUUUUUAUUUUAGUACUUUAUAAUUUAAAGUGUAUCAAGUUAGUACUUUAUAAUUUUUUACUUUAUUACUUUAGUACCAUGUGGUUUAAAAUAUAUCAAGUUAGUACCCUGUGGUUUUGCACUUUAUCACUUUAGUAUCCCGUGGUUUCAUACUUUAUCACUUUAGUACUCUAUGGUUUAAAAAAUCACAGAAUACUAACUUGAUACAAAAUUAAAACCACAGGAUACUAAAGUGAUAAAGUGCAAAACCACAGAGUACUAUCUUGAUACAUUUUAAACUAUAGGGUACUAAAGUGAUAAAGUGAGAAACCACAAGGUACUAACCUGAUACAUUUUAAACCACCGGGUACUAAAGUGAAAAAAAUUGAAACCACAAAAGGGUUUUUGAAUUUUUCCCUUUUUUGAAUUGUUUUUUAUUUUCUUAAUGUUUUCUUAAUACAAACAAUUAAAAAAUUAGUUUCGUAUUCGGUUUAUUUAUUAAUGAAUAGGGCAAGAGUCAGCUCAGAAAUAAAAAGUUAGAUUGUCAGCUCUACUAUUAAAUAAAAAAUUUUAAAAAAAGUAGAAUGUUAAUUUAAUAAUUAAAAUUCACAAAUUAUAGGUUUCUUUAUAUUUGGGUUAAUCUAGAAUCCACAUAGUAAAAAAUUAUCUCAUACGAGUUAUCUCAAAGCGAAUACAAACGAGCCGAUCCCAACUUGUUAAUGACCCAACUUAUAUGGUUAGGAUGAUAGUGACUUUUGGUUAAGAUGAUAGUGGUCCUCUUGAAUUGAGUGGGUGAUUAGUUGAAUAGUAUGAUCUAACAUGUGAAAAUGAUCAAAAGGUAGAUCUAACGGCGGAAAACUCGAUAGCACCAAGCGCUGCUAGUAUAAUAGCCAGACUUAUAUAUAGUAGGACUAUUGUAUUAUUAGAAGCAUAGUAAAUUUUGUGCCCCUAAAUUUUUAACCAUUUUUAGCCAUCCAUCUUGAGGUUACGGUAACCUCUUAUCUCAUAUUGGUAGCAAAUGAAAUUAGGGCCCAUUUGAUCACGCUUGCCAGGCUACAGGCUGCACAAGCCCGGGGCCAAACCUUUUUUUUUUUUUUUUUUUUUUUUUUUUUUUUUUUUUUUUUUUUUUGUUUUUUUUUUUUUUAUUUUUUUUUUGGCGCGCUUGUCGGGGUGUCUGCUCAUUUGGCCUGUGCUGCCGAGGCCUAGAACCAGAAAUACAUACACCUGCUGGAGCACGGAUGGCAAUUCCAGCUCGUUGUUGCGAAGGUGUGAAUGAUGCGUGAGAGCCGGCUCGUGUUCGGGCUCGAAAUGACUCUAAAAUGAAAGUUGAAUCGCUUCAUUCGUAACGAGCCGAACACACGAAGAGACAUAAGUUCUUCACUCGUUUAAAUAAAUGAGCCGACACCGAGCCGUGGGUCAAUCGUCGUAUUCGUCUGAUAAACAGCUCGCAAUUACAUUAUUUAUAUUUAUAUAAUUUAUAUAAUUUAUAUUUUAGUAUAUAAAUAAAUAAUUAUAUAUAUAUAUAUACUAUAAAUUUUUAUUAUUUGGUUUUUAGCUUAACAUAAAUAUAAAGUCCAACUCAAUUAUAAAAAGGUUGUUUAUAUAUAAAGUUUCAACUAUUAGAUCAAAGUCAAAUAGGUUAGAUCUCAUAAUUUUUUUUUUUUUUUUCUAUACGUAUCCUUCAUAAUUCUUUUAACUUAUUGUUCAUUAGGCAGCUCGUGUUCAACUCAUUAAUAAAUGAGCCGAACACGAGCUAAUUUUUUCGGCUCGAUAUUUUAACGAGCCAGCUCUACCAUCUUAUCUGUCACGCCCCGCGACCCGCUACCAAUUUGGUCAGAUCCGGGCACGCCGAUCAGACGCCGAACGGACAAAACCUCCCCUGUCCACUCAAGGCUAAACAACGACAAUCAUGUACAAGAGUUGCCCAGAAUAAACUCAAUUAACAUACAUGAUCCAAUGAAGCACUACAAGUGCUAUACCAACAAGAGUAAGAUACAAGUAAAUAUACAAGUGCAUAAAAGAGAGACAAUCUAGCUAUUACAUCCCACCGUAACUUCAUAAUUUCAGAAGUUCGGUACCUUACAUCCUCCCCUCCUUAAUAAGAGUUUCGUCCUCGAAACUCAAAUCUUAUAAACGAGCCGAACACGAGCCGGCUCCAGCUCACUCGUGUUCGGCUCGUUUACACCCCUAGCUGAGAGGAGUGCUCUAAUUUGGUGUUAUACUCAACUGUAUUGUUGCGCACAUCGCAAUGGACCAGUUCCAAACAGGCCCAGCAAAAUGCUAUUUUACUUAAAGUUCUUGUUGUGACUUUUCUUGCAAAGUAGCUUCUUAAUGGGACACUUAAUUAGCAAAAAGGCCCGGCUUAGAUCAAAAGCCCAAAUUUUAGGCCCAACUCAUAAAUCAUUCCACGCCAAAUUAUGUUGUGAUAGCCCACAAAAGCAUUGGGUAAGGACCUAGCCCAUAAUCAAAUAGAAACAAAGAUGAAAUUAUUAUAAGAAUGAAUUUGGACCUUUCAUGCAAAAAUUAAUAUAAAUAUUAUUAGGGUUAAUUUCAUACGGGUGCCUGUAAAUAUAGUGAAUAAUAAAUAUAUUUCUAUAAAAUUCAACUUUUAUUUGUUGUCCCGACAAAAGUCCAGAUAUUUUUCAAAUAUAUCCCUACCGUGAUAAUCCGUUAGAAAAAUUUAGUUAACCGUAAGUUAAAUACUUAACCCUGAUUAGUUUUUGACACUUUUACCCCUUUAUAUUAUACUAUUAUAUUUUUUGAAGAGAUAUAUUUGUGAUAGCAAAAUUAAAAAUAUAAACAGAUCUCUAACGAUAAUAAACCAGUGGGACAUAUUUGACAAUAUCAGAACUUUUGUAGGGACAAUAUAUGAAAGUUGAAUUUUAUAGAUAUAUAUUUGUCAUUCACUAUAUUUGUAGGGACCUGUAUAAAUUAACCCAUAUUAUUAAUAUAUACGGAAGUAUAUAUUAAGGGUUUUCGUGCAUCCAUAUUUGAUGCAUUCAUAGUUUGGGUAAAUGGAAAUAACAUGACAGUAGUGUUUAUUUAUUUCUGUGAAGUCACAGUUAUAGACCACACUAUGGAUAAUGAACAUGACGAUUAAUUAAUGUUGAAUCACUUUUAAGAGAUUGGUACAUAUGGUACAUAAUUAAUCCUUGAGAUAAAAUAUUAAUUUGUAUUAAUAUAGAAGUAUAUACAACAUCCAAUUUUCAUAUAUUGCAAAACCUCAAUAUUUAUAUUAAAAUUCUAUAUAUCCCUUAUUCUCUUCAUAUAUAUAAAAGUAACUUUGGUUUUAAAUUAUAAGAUUGAAAUUGACAGAAAAGUUACUACUGCACUGUGACGGUAAUAUGCAAGGUGAGAUCACUCAAUCUACCGUUUUUUAUGCGAUUCACAUGAAUCUUACAGCCGAAUGAAAUAGCGAAUGGAGGGUCUCAUGUUGGAGAUCCCUCCACACAAAUUUUUGAUUCUACCGUAAUCCCGACCGAUGAUGUGUUACAAGUCAUGUAUGGCGUAUGCUGAUUGGCUAAGAGUGCACUGAUGGGUUAUAAUAGACUGUAUGUCAGGUAGACUCAGCUCAAUUUCAACUUAUAUCCAAUAUGCGCAGAAUUUUUUCGCACACGGAUAUGCGUGGAAAGAAAAUACAUCUCUUUAAUUUGGAUCAGCAUAAGGGCUAAUUAAACAUCAGUAUGAUUAUGAUUAUGAUUAUGAUUAAAAAGAAGACCAAAGAAAAGGAAUCAUAAAUUUCUCAAGUCAAGUGAAAAAAUAAAAUAAAAUAAAAUAAAGGCGAGUCUAAAUCUUUUUAAAACGACGCCGAGCGUGCUGACGUGGGUGAUGACGUCAAAUCCGACGUCACCCGGUCGCAGAACGCGCACGUUGGUGGAGGACGAACGUGAGCGCGACGCGUUGACGGACGGCGAUCGAGUGGCGGGCGCGAAUGGACGGUGGAUGUGACGCGGGAGUGGAGCGGUAAAAGUAUUAAAUUAAAGAAAAAAAUAAAAAGAAAGAAGGAAAAGAACGUACGUUCCCUGUUGACUUUGACUGCAGCUGGACCUACAGGGCUACACACGCACGACCUAAUUAUAGCUUCGUUAAUAAAACAUACCCACCUCAUUUAGGACACAAAUUCUAUGGGCACCGGCCCCAAAUGACUUAGUUUGGGGCCGGUCCCGGGCGCCGCAUGGCACACGUGCCACGCGGCGUCCAUCCUCCAAUGCUCUCCCAAUAUGGGCAGAGCAGUGGAAUUUUCGGGUGCACCUGGUGCAUCUAUAUUAGGCGCACCAUAAAAUUAUUUUUUAAUUUUUAUUACUUCUAUUUUUUUUUUGAAAUCAAAUAAUGUGUAAAAUUUUAACUUCUACAUGGUAACUCCUAAAAAAAUAAAUAAAUUAUUAUAUAAAAUUAUAAUUUUAAAAAAUUAAAAAUUAAAAAUUAAUUUUAUGGUGCACCUAGUAUACAUGCACUAGGUGCACCCGAAAUUUCACUGCUUUCCCCAUAUUGGGAGACCAUGCGGCGCCCAUCCGGGACGGCCCCCAAAUUAAGUAAUUUGGGGCCGGUGCCCAUAGAAUUUUUGUGCCCUCGUUGACUCUCACGUCCAAGUAUAUUUAUUGAAAUAUUUUAAAAUUUUAAUUUACUUAUUUAAUUUUUAAAUUAUUUAAUUUAAAUUAGUUAAUAAUAUUUUGACUUUAAAUUCUGAAUUAAUUAUCUUAAUAAGUUUAUAAGCAUGAUAAUUAUAUAUAAAAUAUGCUGAUCUACUAAACAUGUAAAACUAAAUGACACAUUUAAAUUUUAAAAUUAAAAUAUUAUUAACUGAUUCAAAUCAAAAUUUUGAAAGGUUAGAUAACCGAAUAAAAGUAAUUCAUAAUUCAGAUAAAUUCUAUAUAUUUUUAUUUUUCAUUUUUUAGAGAUCGAAGAAUAUAUAGCGCUCUAUCCGCUUUAUUUAUUCUUUUUAGAAAUAAUUAAACUGACAUUGUGAAUCACCUAGGUUUCAAACUUGUGACAUCAGAUACCAACCAUCAGGAUGUCCGCCAUUUUGUAUGAAACAAACAAAAUAACUAUAAAUAAAAAAAAUUGGGAAAACUUUAAAAGCCUCCCCUGUGGUUUCGUCCUUUUUCAUUUUAGUACCCUGUGGUUUAAAGUGUAUCAAGUUAGUACCAUGUGGUUUCUCACUUUAUCACUUUAGUACCAUGUGGAUUAAAGUGUAUCAAGUUAGUACUCUAUGGUUUAUUUUGUAUCAAGUUAUUACCAUGUGAUUUUAUUUUUAUAUCAAGUUAGUACCCUGUGGUUUUUAAACCACAGGGUACUAAAGUGAUAAAGUGCGAAACCACACAUCAAGUUAGUACUUUGUGAUUUUAUUUUUGUAUCAAGUUAGUACCCUAUGGUUUUUAAAACACAGGGUACUAAAGUGAUAAAGUGCGAAACUACAGGGUACUAAAGUGAUAAAGUGCGAAACCACAGGGUACUAAAGUGAUAAAGUGCGAAACCACAUGGUACUAACUUGAUACACUUUAAACCACAGGGUACUAAAGUGAAAAGGUGCAAAACCACUGGGUACUAACUUGAUACAUUUUAAACCACAGGGUACUAAAGUGAGAAAAAGUAAAACCACAAAGGGGGUAUUUGAAGUUUCCCCAAAAAAAUUUUUAUCAUAUACAAUUCUUUUACUGGACAAAAUGCAAUUAAUCUCUCCAUAAUUCCAAAUGGAGCCAAAGUUAUAGAUUGUAUUCUAAUUGAUAAAUUAACAUUUUAAAAAUAGUGGAAUAAAUGGUUUUCCUAAGAUAGAAGGUUUAAUUGGUGUGUAGACACACACAAUCGCGCGCGCGCACACGCGCGCGCGCGCACACACAUAUAUAUAUAUAUACACCCGUUGCACAAGUCGCGCCUGAACCGAUAAACCUAAAAUAUGUACUCCAAAAUUUUUGUUCAAAACCAACUAAACGUGCGUGUCGCACGCAAAGUGAAAAUUCGAAGAGAUUUCGAUCUUCUUUUUCUCAUUUCAUCCUCUCAUUCUUACAUGCCAAUAAAAUUCGUAAUAUGCUAUGUCAUCUCGUAUAUACCAAUUGAGGGCAUGACAAUUUGUAAAGGUAAAAUUGUGAGCGAUCAUUUUCAUCGAAAGAUCGAUCGAUGAAUGACUAGAAUUACAACAAAUUUAAGUCUCACACACAUAUUCAUAACAAAUUAAAGCAGUGGAUAUAUAUAUAACAUGUAAUUUAUGCCUUAUCCACUACAAUUUGUUCAAUUUAUAUAUAUGUGAAUGUUUCUUCAUUUGCAAGAUACAGUAAAGUGACACCAUGCUGUGUGCCUUAAAUAUUUCAUGAAAGACUUUGUUUUAUUAUAUAUUUUCUCAAAUAAAAUAGCAUCACGCAGUGCCCUACUUUUUGUAUACUCUCGAUUACUUUUCUAUUCUAUAAAUUAAGCAUGUCAUCAAUUUCUAAGAAACCAACCAAGUUUUUUAUGGAUCUAGAUCAAAACUUUAGAUUGUGUAAACACAUAUAUGUUGGUGUAAAUAUUCAAAAAAUAGAGGUUAGCUACAAAAUAAUUUAAAAAAUAUCAACAAGUCGAUCAGGCCGAGGUACGGAUAUCUCGCUCUCUUUAAGGAGAUUCAAGCCUUCUGCGGUUGGCAAAGCCUUUGAACCGAUGCAGCAGAGCACCGACUUGUCCCCUCCAGCAUACAACGGCUCGACCCUCUUCGUGUGGCUUCACCAACUCUGCACAAGUAGAUGAGCACAAAGCUCCACCAAAACAAACACCUUUCUUUGAUCUUCUCUCUCUCAAGUAUAAUUGAAAUACUUUUGUUGUUUGUUGUUGAGUUGUGUGUUAUAGAAUAGAAAAGAACAUCCCUCUAUAUAUAGGCUCAUAGGAUAUAUAGGAGUUACAUGAAUUAAAAGGUUAGGAGUUUUUCAUACUUUAAAUCACAUUUUGGUUGUGAUUCCAAGUAUGCAAAGGUUGUAGGAAUUAAAUCACGAUGAAAGCAAGGUUAGUGAAGUUGUAACUCCACUAAAUAAUAAAAAUGUAACAACAAUAUAUGUAACUUUCUAAUUUGAGGAAAUUAAGUAACAUGAAGAGCAAGAAUAACCCUAACUCUUGUAAAGGCGUCGAGUAAAGAGUUGUCAAGAAAACAGGUCGGGAUAAAUAUACCAACGCUUUAGUAUAGCGUCAAAAAAUUCUUAUCAGUAUUUGAUAAAAAUAUAUUUAUUAGCGACACUUAAUCAUAGUGCCAGCAUAUGACAAAUAUUGAAAACGCAAGAAUAGAGUGUGUCUAAAACAUAUUUUUGUUACAGUAUUGAUAUGCAAUUACCGUAUAUGUGAACAAGGGGCGUGUCAAUGGAUCUCCUACUUCUAGAUAAAGAACCUAUUGAUUUUCUUUAUAAUUGUAAAAUGAUAUAUAUAUAUAUAUAUAUAUAUAUAUAUAUAUAUAUAUUAGUAACAUAUAUCUAUAUAGAUAUACAUGUAUACCUUGACGAAGUUUAAUUCAGGUUUAAAUAAAUUGACUAAGAGUUUGGUAUUAAUUUUAUAUAUGUAUGUGGUCAUGACUCAUGCGGCUACUAGGUUAAUAGAAUGACAAAUUAAUUAUAGUAAAGAAAUUCAAGUGUGCUUCUCUUACUUGGACCCUGCAUGCGUUCGUAUAUAUGUGCUAAAAUAUAACGAAACAAAUGAGAUGUACAAUUUAAAUUGAUGACUAAUAUAUAUGUGGAGUUGAGCUGAAAUGCUAUCGGUAGCAAACAGGCUCCGUUGCCAUUUAUUUUUUAAUUUCGAUGAUAGAGCAUUCAAAUCAAUGAUCGGCGCUGUUGAACAUGAUCUAUACUACUUGAGUAUUUAAAAAUCAAAUUUCAAAAUUUUUCGACAUCAUUGACCUAAUGAUCAAAGGAUUUCGAAAUUUGUAAUUUUAAUAGCAGAUAAGAGUCGUUUUCUUGUUUAAUGGUGUAAAACUAUCCAAAUUAAUUGAAUUUUGUUUAGAAAAUUGUUUAAGCUAUUUACAACAAGAUCUAUACUCCCGAUCUUGAUUAUAGAAUUUCUACCAUCACUUUUAAAGGAUAUUCAUUUUCAGCCGUUCAUUUUUACGCCCACUUGAUGGACAAGAGAAUAAUAUCGAAAAAGCAUAAAAUUUGAUUUAUAGAUACUUUAAGUGGUAUAGAUCAUUUUCAACGAUACUGGUCGUCGAUUUGGAGGCUCCAUCAUCGAAAACAAAUGGGUGAUAACGGAGCCUAUUUGUUACCGACAGUAUUUCAACUCAACUCUAUAUAUGUGUAGCGUGUGGCUAUAUAUAUAUAUAUAUAUAUAUAUAUAUAUAUAUAUACAGACACACACACACAAGCAGCUGCAAUUAUGAAACUGUGAUAAUUUUUCUCCUAUUAAUUCUGCAGCAUCUGUUGGGGCCAAUUUAACCAGAAAAAUUUGCCAAUUUACAUGAAUUCUCUAAUCAUCCAAGAGACAAAGGGGUAGUCUAAUCCUGUUAAUUAUUGUUCUCUUAUCUUUUUUUUUUUUGAGAGAUAAUUAAAAAAAAAAAAAUUAUUGUUCUCUUGCACAAGUAUUCAGUAGCCUCUUAGCUUAUAAUUUGGCAACGGUACAAUUGGUGCAAAUGGUGAGCACUCGAUUACAGAUUCAGCUGAAAAGAAGGGGGAAAAAAAAUGAUAUGAAGUAGUAAUAUUAGAUGCCCUUUUAGUUUUGUGAUUAAAAUGAGCCAGAUCUUUUCUUUUCUGAGGAAAAAGAAAGCCAAAUAAAUAUUUUCAUACUUUUUUAAAAGAAAUUGCUAUCUGUGCACCAAUAUAUGGAUGUAAAGUUUACACCCUUCGUAUCCGAGGGUNCAGACACACACACAUAAAGAUAGUCGACACUCUAGUAUUUUCUGAACUCUCAUUAAAUUUUAAAUAGCCAUAUAUGUAGAGUUACUUUCGUUUUCCGCACGCAGCUUCGAUUUCGUGGAGCAUGGCGAAGAAUUAACAUGUAAUUUGUGCAUUAUCCACCACAAUUUUUUAAAUUUAUAUAUGUAAGGCCUUUUCUUCAUCCGUAAGAUACAAUAAGUGAUAUCAUGUUGUGUGACUUAAUCACAAUAUUUAGCACAUUUUCCUCACCAUAAUAAUUGAGUUGAAAAUUAAUAUAAGGUAAAAAUGACCUUGGAUAAGGCCUAAAAUUUACUUUAUUUCUUAUAUAUACAUAUAUAUUCUCAAAGGAAGUAGCAUCAUAUAUGCAUGCCCAUGCAGUGCCCUACUUUUGUAUACUCUCAUCAAGUAAUAUAAAGAGGAAAGUAACAUGAAGAGGCAUACAAUUAUAUAAUAACACUCGUAUCAUUGUAAAAUGAGCAUGGGUGAUCAAGGCUAAUAAUAAUAAAAUACUGUGACAAAGUAAGUUAUAUAAAAUAUAUAUGUUUCCUUGACACGGUGCAACUACUGGGUCUACGGACAUGUCAAUGGAUCUACCUACUGGUUCUAGAUAAAGAAGCUAUUUAUUUUAUUUUUUACAAAAUGUUUUAUAGGUAACGUAUAUACCUUGACCAAGUUUGAUUGAGAAGGGAAAUUCAUCAAGGGUUUAAUUAAAUUGACUAAGUGCUAGUAAUGAAACUAAUUAAUUAUGAGAUAUACAACUUAAAUCACUAUAACAGAAUUAGAUUAUAGAAACACAUUUUUGGAACACUUUUGUGUAAAUGUCCCAUUUAUACCACAAAUUUAAAAAUAAAAAAUCUAUUAAGGUCUAAAUAUAAAGUCCAAUCCAAUAAAAAGUAAAAAAUUUCUCUACCCAACCAACCUCGCCCUCCCCAAUCAACCCAAUUGCAAAUAGAAAAUGGAAAAAUAAAAUAAACUAAAAUUGAUCACCAUCUCACAUUCUCCUCCUUCGCCGCUGCAUCCGACGAGGUAGGGUUAAUUCCGGUGGCUGGAGUUCGGCCGCGGAGAUCUCACAGGAACCGUAGAGGGCUACGAUCGCCAUAUGUCCCUCCGCCGGAGGUCGCUGGAAGACUAGGUGUCAAACAACAAGACGGCCCCACAUAUAGCGACCCCACAUAUAGCAAUACUUAAAAAGUGUCAAAGACCGACCGUCCCUAGAGCAAAUGGCAAAGAGCUUGGUGGUUGGUACUCGAGACCCAAGUUCGAAUCAUAGUUGAUUCACAUUUCUAGCUAAAUUUAUUUCUAAAUGAAAUAAAUGAAACGGGUAGCGUGCUACCUAUCUCUUUCAAAAAAAAAGAAAAAAGAAAAAAAAGUGUAAGUAAUUUAGUCAGAAUCACUUUUUUUGAUCUGUACCGAUAUUUAAAAGUGUCGCUAUACACCAUUUUUGUUAUAGUGUUAGGUUCACGUAGACCUGAUCUGGGUCAUGUAGACCGGAUGAUUUUAAUGAUCCUGAGAUAUUCGUCUAAUUAUAUGGUGCAAUCGAGUAAGCGACUGAGCAUUUAGUUCACUCUCAGAAGAAUUGGCCUGACCAGAACUUCCCAACAAUUCCAUAAAAAUGCCAUUAUUGAUUAAAUUUCGUGAUCAUUUUCUAAGUCAUCAACUCAAUUGGAUAAAAAAAAUAAACAGCUAAAAGUAGCAAUCUUCUAAAGCUAGAGGGAUAGAGUUCUUAAAUUCAAAAUUGAAGUUAAAAAUCUUAUUUUCGAUAGUUAAAAAAAUUUAAUAAAAAAUUUAAUAAAUUUUAAUCAUUUUAUUUUAUAUCAUUAAACGAGAAAACACAUCAUAUAAACCAUUUUCUUAUUUUAGAUUGUUAAAAAUAUUUUUUUAUAAAAAAAAAGUGUUUUGAGCUAUAUUAUAUCGUUAAACAAGAAAAGAACCCGAUGUAAGCUAUUAAAAUGUUCACUUCCAAGGUCACAUGACUACUAAGUAAUAAUGUCAAAAAAAUAUUGAAAUUUGAUCAAUAACAAUAAAUUUCGAAUGCGUGAAAAUCCAACUGUGUUGAUCAUUAAAUCAGAUCCUUAGUUAUUGAAAAUUACUUUACAAUACCAAUCUUUAUAUUUAGAUCUUAGUAGAUUUUUAAAAAAAAUUUUAGCAUAUAUUAAUAGAAUACUUACACAAAAGUAUUUUAAAAAUGUGUAUCUAUAACUUAAUUUUGUUGUAGUGAGAAUUACGAUAUUCAUGCGCCAUUACCGGAUCCAAAGAUUUUCUUGCCUUUUUUCUUUCUUUUUUCUCUUCUUUCUUUUUUCUCUCCAUGCGUUUUUAUAACCUGGGAAUCUGGGAUGUUGAUGCGUGAUAUUGUGGGCGAGAUAAUUUAAUUAAGAUUGUUAUAAUAAUAAUAAUAAUAAUUAGUCAUCGCCACGUUGCUAUACACAAUAGUACGCGUUUAAUUUCAAGCGCACAAUGGGAGAAAUAAAGCUUUAAAUUUAAUAAUAAAUUAUAGAGAGACGUAAGCAUGUAUUUAUUAGUUAUUAUUUAUUAAUUAAUUAGAUUACACGCUUGUUGAGUUGACUUCAAUUUCAAGGUCGUCGGUUAAUUCAAUUCCAACUGACGCGGACGUUUGCGAUCUCCUCUUUUUCUACAAAACAUCAAUUUCUUUUUUUUUUUUAGAAAACAACUUCAAAUAUCACCCUUCUAAUUUCACACUUUUUCACUUUAGUACCCUGUGGUUUAAAAUGUAUCACUUUUGUACCCUAUAGUUUUUUUUUUCUUUUUGUUAUCCCCUCUAUUAAUUUUUUUCGUUCAAUUAGUGACAAAUUUAAAACUAAAGAAUAUUAAAGUGAAUAUUCGAUCAACUUUUAGUAUGUGAUUUAACGAAAAGAUAAAAAUAAAAUGAUAGGGUACUAAAUUGAAUUCCGAUUUCGAUUCCCGGGUGAAUGAGAAUCCCCCCUAAAAGCCCCUUUUCCGAUCCGGCCUAGGAGGCAGGAUUGAAAAUUGAAUUCAGGUGGAAUAAAUUUAUUUGGAUUAAAUUUAAUUUUUUUAAACUUAUUUUUUUAGAUUAAAAUAUAAGUUUAAGUUUAAAAAAUACAUUUAUAAAUUUUAAUUUUAAUUUGAAAUUAAAUUUAAAAUUAAAAUUCCAUCAUGCAUUUCAAAUCUAAUUUAUAAAAUUAAAUCUAAAUUUAAAUUUAAUUUUAAAUCUAAAAUUUAGGAUAUUAACAUAUUUUUGGAGUGUGUGUACGAGUCAAUCGAAAUGCAUACUCUAAGGGUGUGUUUGGUUCCACGUAAAACUGUGGAAAAAAAAUUUUCGGUAGAAAAAAAAUUUUCGGCGGAAAAAUAAUUUUACGUCGUUAGUGUUUGAUUUGUUGGAAAAAAAAAUAGUUUUACAUGAAGCUUGUUUGGUUAGAAGAAAAAAAAUAGCUGAAAAACUAUUUAAUAUAUUUUAUUAUAUAAUAUUAAUAUAUAAUAAUUAAUAUAUUUUAUAUAUUAUUAUAAUUUUUAUAUACAUAUUAAAUAUAUUUAAAAUUAUAAUAAACAUAUUACAUCAUAUAUAAUAUAUUUAGAAAUAUUAAUAAAUAAUUACAAAUUUAUAAAUAAAAUAUUAUAUAUAAAUAAAUAAUUAUAUUUUUAUAAAUAGUAUAAUUAUUUGUUUACCAUCUUUUUUAUAUAAUAAAUAUAUAGUAUAUAUAUUUAUGAAGAGAGAAGGUGAGUGUGUCACGCCCGAUUACACUUUCCCCGGUCGCGCCGAUACAAAUCCCGCCGUAAAUUCAAAGAAUUUUUUCUAUUAUACGGAAGCGAUAGCUUGUUAUACCUGUAAAUCAAACACUAACUCUACUAACGAACAGAUAGAUGAGCUGAUAGAGCGAAAAACCAGAAGCCUAAAACAAACAAAGUUAUCAAUAAUACAUCAGUCUCAAAUCCAAAAAUACAAAAGCUACUCGCACUGGCAGUUAAGUCCACUAGUAAAACGAGUAAACUCGAAAAACACAAACAUCUUACCUGCAGGUAGGCACCUCAGCUCAUCCCGUCGGAAGGCCGCGUGAGACACCGCGACGCCCUUUGCCGUCGCUUCCUGAAUUCACCGAAGCGCAGCCAUACCGAAAAGCCUGUGGCUCUGGCGAAAACAGGGGUACAACUGGGCCGUGAAGAACACUGUAAAAAAAAGGUAGUCCUCAGUGGGUAACCGUGCCCAAAAUCAACAUCGGUCCACCCACUAAAGUCCUUACAAGAGGGAAGCAGGAAUAGUAUUAAAAUGCAGGUAAUGAGAGGUGCUACCGUUUAAUCAAACACUACAGCUAUCACUGAUACACUUAAACCAACUGUUUAUAAAAAAUACUUCCCCAAAUUCUGAAACCAAUCCCAAUCGCGAACUGUAAAUACAUACCGUCCCCCGGAACUGUGAAUAACACCCGUCCCUGCCUCUCGCGGGCCGUUGACCGACUAUUGCGGCUCCUUAAAUCUCCACAUACCUGGUUCGUGAGAGCAAGUCAACUGGCAUAAAGCGAACAAACGCGAAAGCAACAAAAGCCCUGAAACUCCGGAGUGCACUCUCGUGGGCGUACCCAACCGUGAGUAUCGCAGCGUAAUCUACUUGUACGGAGCUCCAACGACAGCGCUGCGCAACCUAAGCCAACAGUUCAAAGUUAACUAGGCGUCACCAAAACAUGGUCCCUAGCAAACCAACCCCGCAGGCCGAUCGGCAGAGCAACUCUGUUGAUCCCAAAUAAACAUAAAAUCUGGAUCCACGGCUCAAACCGCUGCCGAACGGCAAACGACCCAUAAUAAGCCUAACACUUUGCUGAAAAAAUAAGCCUCGGGCAUGUCACACGAGCCGUAAAAUGCCUUCUAAAUCUAACCCCAGUAAUCCAAUCGCACACGAACUGCAACGAUAACAAAUCGAACUCACGGCUCCUAGAGCUAAAUCUUGGUAUCUUAAGCAUAAAAUUACGGGUCAAAACGCAGGUUUUUCUCUAAAAAUCAAAUUUCAAUCCACACUGGUAUAUAAUAAUAUUAACAUUUCAUUUUCAGCAUGGCUUUUAUAUUCAAUAUUACGGACUCCAAAAUGCAAAUUGAUGAAUUAAAGCAUGAUAUUAACAGAAAUUCGAUACCUAUAAAACACGUCGAGCUUAUAACAAUGCAACUUAGGAGCGAAAAAACUGAUUCGAUAACAACCACCUCUAGUGGCAAUUCCUGGGCAACCAAUUGGUCUCGUGGAUCACAAGCAACGCACUUGGAAAUAGUUCAACCUAGCAACAAAGCCCCCUCCAAGAUCCUUGUUACCAAAUUCAACCAUCAAAGGUGCCCAAAAAAAAAUCUCAAUUUCAGCCUUAAAGCUUUGGAUUGCUUAUCUCAAUUCCCAAGUCAAAUACUCUCGCUAAAAGCCAUCUCCAAUUUUUAAGGUGUGAAGGGGCUUCCCAGAAUCCAAGUUACUUGUUUGAUUAGGGAAAGUGACUCACUCCACAAAGCCCCUGCUCCCCAAGUUCACCCCAAGAAAAGAGCGCGAGAGCAGAGAUUUAAGCAAAUUCUGUCUCAAAGCAACAGCAGCCCAAAGGAAAACCUCAGUGUCGACCAAGCUAAACCUCGAACCAAAGUUCCUGCAAUUUCAGGCUUCGUGGAUUCCUCUGGAAUCUUAGAAAAAUCCAGUCGAAAGAACCAUAGAGGUUGUGUGGUCAGGAAAUCCGACCUUCGCCAUACGCGUGCACCGAGCCAAAACCAGCUGAAGUCGUUCGCAGAAGAGACCUGCAAGAACUCAGCACCUUGUCUAAUUCUUGGGAGAGGUAGAUCUUUGGAUUACAAAUUGGGGAAAAGAAUUGGAAAGAGAUCUAAGGAUGAAAAUUCUAAGUCCUCUGUGAAGAACAGGUAAAAGAGCUCAAUGGGGUCGAAUACCAGGUAUUUAUAGGCUGCUGGAGGGAUAAGAUAAGCCCUAGGAAAAACAGUUGCUAUCCAGUGUUCCUGCAGAAACGGGCGUUUCUGGGCGCCCGGAACCAUGUUCUGGGCGACCAGAACAUCCCGACUACACAAACCGGGCUCCUCGGACUCUCCGCUCGCGGUGUGCUGCGCCCGUAAAUGGCUCCGACGGAACUCACCUACCGCCCUGCCACACGUCGAAGCAAGCGAUAUUCACGAUGUCGAAUUUCCGGACCCACAUCUGGGCGCCCGGAACAUGGGAUCCGAAUUGGCUUCCAGUUUCAGUUAAAUUCAACACUCAAUUCUGGGCGACCCUAAAAAUGUUCUGGGUGCCCGAAUCUGACAAAACUCCAGUUUUGCCUAUUUGAGUGCGCCGAAUCCAAUUCUGCAUCCAAUUCGUGCAGAAUUGACUCUGACUCAAUCCGACCCUCUUCCAGAGAUGUCGACUAGUCACUAAUACUGAAGCCAAUCCUAUCCAAAGGUCAAGAACACUACAGAGUGAGUGGUCCACAGUUGGACCACUCACGCGGUCCACGAGAAUCAGACUUUCUCGUGGACCGGGUUCUUUUCAACGCUGUGAGCCCCGACUUUGGGAUCAAGUUUUCGUUUUCCGCCCGCGGUGAGCGGAAAACGAAAAGUUGGGUUUUUACACAGAAUCCGUAAAAAAAAAUUUUUCUGACAACUACUUUACAAGCAACCAAACAAGAGAAAAUUACUUUUCAACGAAAAGUUGGGUUUUUACACAGAAUCCGUAAAAAAAAAAUUUUUCCGACAACUACUUUUACAAGCAACCAAACAAGAGAAAAUUAUUUUUCAAUAAAAAAAAAAUUUCAGAGUGUUUUUACAGACAACCAAACACCACCUAAGCAUCAAUACAUGGACAAUAAUAGCAAUACUUUUUCUAAUUUAUACAAAAGAAAUAUUUUGUGUUUCCAAAAAUUAAUGUUACCAUUAGAUAGGGAUGCAAACGGGGCGGAUCCGGGGGCGGGAGAGUUCCCCCACCUCUUGCUCCAUUUCUUAUCUGGGCGGGGCGGAUUCGGGGCGGGUUACUUUUCAUUUUAUUUUUGGCUCCCACUUACCGCUCCAUUCAGGGCGGAUCGGGACGGGAGCGGGGCGGAAACGGAUUUUUAACAGAUCGGGAUAAAUUGAAGGAAGAAAAGAGUCUCCCGCCUCCCGCUCCAUUUACUUGGCGGAUCGGGGCGGAUUCGGAACAGAUUAUAUUUUUCUAUAUUUUUUGUUCCCACUUACCACCCCAUUCGGGGCGGAUCGGGGCGGAGCUCCACCAACCCGGAUCCAUUUGCAUCCCUACCAUUAGAGAUAGUUAAUGUAAUUUCUUUGAAUAUAUGUCAUAUUUCUGAAAAUAUAAGUGAGAAUGGAAAUUGAAACGAUCUCUCAUUUUUACCAAAUUAUUUUAAAACCAGAACAAUAUUCAACUACACUCCGAUUUAUUCCAAAAAUUAAGUAAACAAGUUAUUUUUAAACAAAUUUAACUCAUUAAUUAUUCUCAUCUAAACACCAUUAAAUUUUAUUUAGAUCGACUUGGUUCCACACAUAGUUACGAAAUUUUAUAUUAAUAUCAAUUAAAUGUUUUUUUUUUCAUUCAUGUAGUUUGGAUAGAGUACCAAGUUAGCUAGUUCCUAUGCUUCCAAAAUUUUAUGCUCCAUCAUUUUAAUAUAGCGAUAAUAUCUAAGUUAUUCUUCAAAACUUUAAAAAUAUCUUAUUUAUUUCUAAAGGGCGAAAAUAUUCUUUUUUAUUUUAAAAAAUUUAUUCAAAUAUUUCUUUUUUUUUUUUAGAGUUUUUUAGUAGGAUUUGAUUUUAGAAGGGUAUUUUUGAUAAUUUGAGAAUAAAUUUAAAAGUCUUGAUUAAUAGUAAGGGAUAAAAAAGCAAAAAAUUAGAAACACUCCAUGCAUUAUAAAGAAUUUUAGAACUAAAUUAAAAUUGUUUUUUAUGUGACAUUAAUUUGGUGUUUUUUAGAUGAGACCAGAAAUAAUUAAAUCAUGAGGCAACAUUGGAUACUCUACGUGGAUAUAUGGUUAAUUAAAUAUCAUCUUUGUUUAAUUUCAGGGAAAGAGCAAUAAAGGAUUUGAUUGUUACGUUUACGAAAUUAUUAUAGUCCGUAGGAUUGUGACACUACAACAAAAACGGUUUAUACCGACACUUUUAAAUGUAGGUACAUGUCAAAAAAGUGCUGCUAGCUAAAAUUACCGACACUUUUAAAAAGUGUUGCUAUAUGUGGGGUCGCUAGAUAUAUAGUGACAGUUAAAGAGUGUCGCUAUAAUCUAAAAGAGUGCUGCUAAUUUACCAACACUUAUUUAAGCAUUUAGCAACCGCCGAAACUCUAUCUCGUUGGCUGCGGUGGCGGAGGAGGACGACCGGAAAGGCUCUUCGUCUAGAAUUUUAGUAGAUUGAGUGAAGAGAGAAGAAAAGAUGGUAAUUGAUUUUUCUUUUUUUUUUCUUUUCUGUUUGUAAUCGGGCCAAAUAGACUGGGUGUGGUGGGUUGAGUAGAGUAAUCUUUUAUUUUUGAUUGGAUUGGGCUUUAUAUUUAGGCAUUAGUGGAUUUUUUUUUAAGUUUUAACAUAAAUUGGACACUUACUCAAAAGUGUCCCAAAUAUGUGUCCCUAUAACCUAAUUCUGUUGUAGUGAUGAAUUAAGUUAUAUUUUAUGUUUAAGUAUGAAUUCUAUAUUUGCUCGUCCUUAAAAAAAAAACCUUAUAUAUUUUGUGUUUAAUUAUGGACUAUAUAUUUUAAUCUAUUUCUUUCUUGAUUUUUUAUAAAUCAUGGUGUAUAAUAUAGUUUAUUAUUAUUUUUUAACUUAAUUUAUUUUAUUUUAUAGCUCUUUAUUUUUAUAUUCUUAAGAAUUAUAACUAUUAUUUAGCAUAAAUUUUUAAAAAAAAUUAAUUUAAUAGCCGAAUUGUUUAUCCUGAAUUUUUAAUUGAUGAACAUAUAAUUUUCGUAUAAAUUACAUAUCCGAAUAAUUGAUGAACUCAUUUUUUACGUCGUAAUUUUUAACAAAUUUAAAAAUUAAGGUAUAAAUUUUAUUCGUAUUAUAUUUGUGAUCAAAUUUUUGUGAACUUCAAAUUAACUAACUAUAUUUUAAAUUUUCAUUUAUUGUUCCUAAAAAGUGAACUGGCUUGAUUUAUAUUUAAUUGUCACAUCACCCAUUAGAAAUGAUGGGAUAUUGACAUGAAAGUCAAUUGGUCAAGUACCACAUUAUUUCAUGUAUACCAUGUGAUAAUUUAAUUAUAUGUUAUAGUUUUGAGAAUAUACUUGACUAUAAUUAAGUUGUCCAUUAGAUGUUAGAUGACAGUUGAAUCAAUUGCCACAUAUUUAUAAAUUUAUAAAAAAAAAUUUGAUGAAAUGAUUUGACUAAAUUAGAAAAUAAAGUUUAUAAAUCAAAAUUUAAUGUGUGUGUUUUUUUUUCUGUUUUUUUUCUUUUUUUGAGUCCUUCCAAUUGAAAAUUAAAAUCCACCAGUUCCAAGCUCACACCUUGAUUUCCACUCAAGAUUCUCAUGAUUAAUUUCUUAAUUACCUUUGCCAGUAAAAAUUAACAAUUACCAUCUCAAAUAUAUCUAUAAAUUUAUUUCAGUGGUGAAAUCCUUGGAUAAAUUUAGUUCAACUUUCAACAUCUAUUUAAUUUAUAACUCAAAAAUUAAUAAUAAAUUACACUAAAGAGAUCUCAAUCCUACUUUGUUAAUAUUAUCAAAAUUAAUUUCUUAUUGAACGAUUUUGUUAAAUUUUAUGAUUUUAUUGCAUUAACUAUAAUUAGUUAUAUUACCAAAAGAAUCGAUUUAGUAGAAAAUGGAUCCAAAUAUAUAUAUAAGGGAUAAUUGCCUAUAUAUCCCUCAUACGUUUGAAAAUAUCCGAUUUAUCCUCUUUAUUUUUUCUUUCUAAAAUACCCCUCAUAUAUUCCAUCAUUAUUGCAAAAUAUUCCCGCAGUUAUCUCCUGUUAAGUUAACUUGGGUUAAAUGUGAGUUAAACAUCUACCACAAUUAAAAAAAAUUAAAAUGCCAAAUUUGCCUUUAACUUAAGGGCAAAUAAGAAAUGUUGGUAACAGUAGAGAAGUAUAUUGGAAAAGACCAAAAAUCAAAAUACUUUUAGUGCACCUGACUUUAAGAGCAAAUAAGAAAGCCAGUGAUAGUAAAAUGAUAUAUUUGAAAAGGCAAAAUAGUAAUUUUACAGAAAUAACAGAGUUCAUUAACAAAUUUUAACUCUAGGGAUAUAUUAGAAAUAAGUUGGAACGUAGAAAAGGUAUUUUCAAUAUUAGCCAUCUAAGAGGGAUAAAUUGAAAAGUCGGGAACUUUUCAGGGGUAUAUAAGCAAUUGUUCCUAUAUAUAAACAUAUCCACUCAGAAACAGAUCCAGAAAUUUAUAUUAACAUCUUCACUUACGUGCAUAAUGAAUAUAAAAAAUAUAUAGAAUUGAUAGAGAGAAGAAUAUAUAUAUAUAUAUAUAUAUAUAUACCCUUACUAACGUGUAUGAUGGUGCAUGAUGGAUAAAAUAAAAGGCAUAUGAAAUUGAUAGAUGAGAUAAAAGAUGACCAUUUAACCUCCUAGCGGGAAUUGAACCCACAACCUCACAGACUGAAAGAAUUUAGAAUUAAUUCUGAAUUAAUUCUGAUAUCAUGUUACCCAAAUGAAUAAUCUAGUAAGAAAUGGAUCCAGGAAUAUACUAACUUUAGAUUUAAGUACCUUCGAAUAAACAUUGAUACCCUUUUGAUGAAAAAUCCCUGGGGUUGCUUUUCCUAACAAACAAGUCAAAACUUAAUUUAGCUUCUAAUUAAUUUUGACUUAGUCAAAUCUCUAGAUUUUUUUUUCCUUUUUUUCCGAAGAGAAAUUUUACCUACGCGCUUAAAAAGUUAGCAUAAAUUUUAUACUUUUUCAAUACUAGUCUUAUCGAUUUUUUUUUUUAGAGCGCAAUAUUAUCUGCACGCCUCUUAUAAAGUAUAAAUUUUAUACCUCACACGUCUAAACAUUGCUAUUUUUUUUUAUUAGUUUUAUCAAUAUUUUUUUAAUGUUAAAGGUCUAAAAUAAUUUGUAAAUUUUUUUAUCAGUGCGAUGCAAGAUAUGCACCCGCAAGUAGGUGUACAAGCUAUAGAUAGCAUUAUUACUUUUUCUCUAAAAAAAAACUUCAUAUAUACCCGCUUAUCGUUUGUCGCUUUUUUAUUUUAGUAUUUGAUAGUUUAAUUAUAUUACUUAAGUAUUUUAUUAUAUUAAUUUUUGUUUUUCGUUACUACUGUUGUUAUCUCUUCCCUUAAAAUGGUCACAUUUUUUAAUCGAUUUUUCAUAUUUUUCUUAUCGCAUUUUAUUUUAUGGGACAUCUCCAACGGUCUGUGCGAGAUGCGAUGAUUUUAACGAAAAAAUAACGACAUAGUUAGGCGGUGUUUGGUUGCCUGUAAAAGUCCUCAGAAAAAAAAUUUUCGGUUGAAAAGUGAUUUUCCCUUGUUUGGUUGUUCGGAAAAAAAAAGUUGUUGGAAAAAUUUUUUUAAGGAUUCUCGGAAAAACCGAGUUUUCGUUUUCCGCCAUCUUUCCGCGGAAAACGAAAACAUGAUCCAAAAGGCGCGGCUCACAGCGGCUCCAAAAGGCGCGGUCCACGAGAAAGCCUGGUCCUCGUGGACCGCGUGAGUGGUCCAAAUGGACCACUCACCCACUCCUCUCUCUUAUAUAUAUAUAUAUAUAUAUAUAGAUAAGAUAGUAAAAAUUAUUAUACAUAUUUAUAAAUAAUUAUAUAACUUAUAUAUAUAUAUUGUCUUUAUUUUUAUAUAAGAAAUAUUAUUAUAUAAUAUUUUAUUUAAAAAUUAUAAUUAUUUUUAAUACCUCUAAAUAUAUAACUCUUAAUAUAUAAUAUAUAUAUAUAUAUAUAUAUGAUGUAAUAUUUCAUUAUAAUUUUAAAUAUAUUUAAUUUAUAUAUAAAACUAUAACAAUAAUAUAUAUAAUAUAUUAAUUAUUUAUUAUAGUAUUAUAAAUAAUAUAUAAUUAAAAAUAUAAUUAAAUUGUUUUUAUCUACUUUUUUUUCUUUCAAAUAAAAGAACCCGUUGUGAAAAAAAAUAUUAUACAUAUUGUAAUAAAUAUAUAAUUAUUUUAUAUAUAUAAUAUUUUAUUUAUAAAUUGUGUAAUUAUUUAUUAUAUUCUAAUAUAUUACUAUUAUACAUUAGUUUCAUAGAUAAUUUUAAAUUAUUUAAUCUAACUAAAAAAUAUAAUAAUAUAUAAAUAUAUUAAUUAUAUUAUUAUAAUAUAUAUAUAUAAAUAAUAUAAAAUAAGUUUUUCAUCUAAUUUUUUUACUUCCAACCAAACACCGUACGUGGAAUGAACAUUUUUUCUUCCUACAAACAACACUAACUACGUAAAAUUCGUAUUUUCCACCGAAAUUUCUUUUCCACCGAAAAUUUUUUUCCACAGUUUUACGUGGAACAAUCACACCGAGACCGCUUAGGCGAAAAAAUUAAAACAAUAAAUUAAUAACACUAAAAUAAUAAAUUAAAAAUUAUAUAACAUUUUAGUGUAAACCAAAAAAAAAAAAAAAAAAAUCUAAUAGUUUAUGCCUUUUCCAAUUGUAAUUAAAGCGACGUCGAAACACAGCGAUAUCUCCGUAACCUAAAAAAAGUUUCUACGUGCGGCUACGAAGACCGUAGAAACUCACGCGGUCCUGAUGUAACAUGGGGACCCACAAUGAGUAGAAAAAUAAAUAUAAGUUAAUUACAUUUAAAAGAUAAAUAAUAAUAAUAAUAAUAAUAAUAAUAAUAAUAAUUGUAUAUGGCACACUGCAAAAAUAUUAAAUAGUAAAUAUAUUUUUAUAAAAUUUAAGUUAUCACAUUUAUCUCUCUAAAAAUCCUUAUAUUUGUAAAUAUAUCUUUCGUUUACCAAAAUUACUAACCAUAGUUAGCUAAGGAGUAAAAUAACUUUUUGACCUCUUAUGUGUAUAAUUUGUAUUGUAAUGUUAAGUCUCGUCAUCUUUCUCUACCUCUUUUUUUUAUUUAUAGUGACGGUGAAACCUAUGAAAUUGAGGACGUCGUAGGCAAAACCCUUGAUUCGCGGCAAAAAUGAGGUACGCCACACAUGCCGCGACGAAGGAGAGAGAGAAAGAAAGAUAGCUUUUUGUGAAAAUACAUUUGUAAAAAUAAAAUAAUCAUUUUACAUACUUAAAAAUCUAACGGUGAAUCAAACGAUAGAGAUCUACCCUUUUGAUCAUUUUCACCCGUUAGAUCAUACUAUUCAACCAACCACCCACUCAACCCUAGGGCGCCCACAUCAUUCUAAGCGCACAUCUCUUAAUCCAAUGGCCAAAAACUUAGUAGCAAUAAUGACUUGAUGCUAUUAAUAGCAUAGUAACCUAGUUCUAUAUAUAUAUAUAUAUAUAUAUAUAUAUAUGAACGAACCACAAUUUUUGGAGAAGAGAUAUAUUUGCAAACGAGAGAUUUUUCGAAAAGGAUAAAUCUGAUAACUUAAAUUUUGUAUGGAUAUAUUUGUUAUUUAGAGUCCGGCUAUGGUGCUUGUAAAAGCACCAAGCACUUGGUGCUUGUGAAUUUUUUAGCGUUAGAUCUACGCCUUUAAUCAUUUUCACCCGUUAGAUUAUACUCUUCAACCAACUAACCACUCAACCCUACGGGGCCCGCAUCAUCCUAACCGUAUAUCCCUUAAUCCAAGGGCCGAAAACUUACAAGCACUAAUGACUUAAGUACUUUUAAAAGUAUAGGAGCUCAAUUUUUAUUAUUUAAUAUCUUAAUUUGCGGGAACCUGUAUGAAAUUAAUCUAAAAAAAUAUAUUGAGCUUUUCUUAAAACUAUUGUCCAAUUUGAUCCGAUUGUCCACUAACUUUUAAAUUAUAGUUUGUUUAUAAUACCUAAUUUUCAAUUCUUCUAACUUGGAGAAUUUAAUGGCUCUUUUGCCAUAAAAUUUCAACACACCGAUCACUUGCUCUAAUAUAAAAAACGUGGUAUAUUUUAAUCAAGUUUAUUAAAACAAACGGCGCACCUGAAUUCUAAAUUGAAAUUAAGAGUCAUCAAAUUACUCAAAUUAAAUAAAUUAAAAGAUCAGAUAGUAAAAUUCAAACUUUCAAAAGUAAAAAGAAAAAAGAAUGAACUGCGUAAAAAUUAAAUCAUGUUAUCUCUUACACAGUUAGAGUAAGACAGGUUACACUUCAGGUAUAAUUUAAACAAGUUUUUUAUAUUUUUAUCUAGGGUUUGUUUGAAUUCUCGUAAAACCACUCUGAAAAAUACUUUUCGUUCAAAAAAUAAAUUUCUAUAAUUUGAUUGUUCAUAUUACGGAUUCUCAAAAAACUAAGUCUUUUAUUUUCCACUCUCUUCGAGUGGAAAACGAAAACUUGGUGCUGAAAAAACGCGGCUCAGGCAAUGCGUUAACACACGGUCCUCUUGAAAGAGAGUCCACAAGGGACCUGGACCCGUGGACUCUCUCUCCCUCAUUCAUUAUAUAUAUAUAUAUAUAUAUAUAUAUAUAUAUAUAUGAACGAACCACAAUUUUUGGAGAAGAGAUAUAUUUGCAAACGAGAGAUUUUUCGAAAAGGAUAAAUCUGAUAACUUAAAUUUUGUAUGGAUAUAUUUGUUAUUUAGAGUCCGGCUAUGGUGCUUGUAAAAGCACCAAGCACUUGGUGCUUGUGAAUUUUUUAGCGUUAGAUCUACGCCUUUAAUCAUUUUCACCCGUUAGAUUAUACUCUUCAACCAACUAACCACUCAACCCUACGGGGCCCGCAUCAUCCUAACCGUAUAUCCCUUAAUCCAAGGGCCGAAAACUUACAAGCACUAAUGACUUAAGUACUUUUAAAAGUAUAGGAGCUCAAUUUUUAUUAUUUAAUAUCUUAAUUUGCGGGAACCUGUAUGAAAUUAAUCUAAAAAAAUAUAUUGAGCUUUUCUUAAAACUAUUGUCCAAUUUGAUCCGAUUGUCCACUAACUUUUAAAUUAUAGUUUGUUUAUAAUACCUAAUUUUCAAUUCUUCUAACUUGGAGAAUUUAAUGGCUCUUUUGCCAUAAAAUUUCAACACACCGAUCACUUGCUCUAAUAUAAAAAACGUGGUAUAUUUUAAUCAAGUUUAUUAAAACAAACGGCGCACCUGAAUUCUAAAUUGAAAUUAAGAGUCAUCAAAUUACUCAAAUUAAAUAAAUUAAAAGAUCAGAUAGUAAAAUUCAAACUUUCAAAAGUAAAAAGAAAAAAGAAUGAACUGCGUAAAAAUUAAAUCAUGUUAUCUCUUACACAGUUAGAGUAAGACAGGUUACACUUCAGGUAUAAUUUAAACAAGUUUUUUAUAUUUUUAUCUAGGGUUUGUUUGAAUUCUCGUAAAACCACUCUGAAAAAUACUUUUCGUUCAAAAAAUAAAUUUCUAUAAUUUGAUUGUUCAUAUUACGGAUUCUCAAAAAACUAAGUCUUUUAUUUUCCACUCUCUUCGAGUGGAAAACGAAAACUUGGUGCUGAAAAAACGCGGCUCAGGCAAUGCGUUAACACACGGUCCUCUUGAAAGAGAGUCCACAAGGGACCUGGACCCGUGGACUCUCUCUCCCUCAUUCAUUAUAUAUAUAUAUAUAUAUAUAGCGUAGAGCUACUAUGCUAUCGGAANNNNNNNNNNNNNNNNNNNNNNNNNUAUAUAUAUAUAUAUAUAUAUAUAUAUAUAUAUAUAUAUAAUAUUUUUUUAUUUAUUUUUUCUUUCUUUUUCUUUCAAACCAACAACCAUAACUGAAAAACAUUUUUCUUUCCAACAAAUGAAACACUGGAGAGCAUAAAUUUUUUUCCUCCAAAAAUUUACUUUCCACCGAAAUUUUGUUUUUUCACAAUUUUAUAUGAAACCAAACACACUCCUAGAAAAUUAAUAGGCGUACGUGUAUGGUAAUAUAUUAAAAUCUAUUUCAUUUGAUAAUAAUACUAUUUGUAAUUCGAUAAUCAAAUAAAUAAUCUAAUUGAGAAACUCCUUGAAAUUCAAGGACUCUCUAUCAUUAAGGUCCUUUCAUAUAUAGUAGUAUUAUGUGUAUCUUUUGGUCAAGUCAAAGGAACCUUCUUCCUUAAAUGCGCGACAGCACUUAUUUUGGCCUCUACCUUCUCUCUAUCAAAAUUUUCUACAUGUUAUUAAAAAUUUUAAAAAAAAUUCUAAGACUCCAUUUGGUUUGAAGAUAAUAAAUAUUCGGAUAAAUUUCUUUAUCCCUGAAAUUACUUUAUAUUUCGGGAUAGUCAGGAAUAAAAGUAAAAUUGUAUUUGAUAUGUAAAGCUGCUAGCUACUCUCAGGAAUAACUGAAAUUAUGUUUGGUUAAUUUUAUGGAAUAGUAAAAAAUAGUGAAAAAAAGUGAUGGUCGAAUUUGAUAUAAAUAUAAUUUAAUAAAAAUAAUUUGUUAUGAAAAAUAACUUAUUAUAAAAAUUAUAAUAGAGGAUAGUGGAAAAAAGUGAUGGUUGAAUUUGAUAUAAAAUAUAUAAUUUAUUAUAAAAAUAAUAUAUUAUAAUAUUUAAUAAAAAUAAUUUAUAAUAAAUUAUUUUUUAAUAAAAAUAAAUUUUGAACUCUUCAUCCCUUUCUUGGUUUUAGAUAAACUAAAAUAGUCAUAGAAUAAAAAUGUUGUAGGAUUACAACCCCAUUUGAACUAUAAACCUAGAUAGCGUUAAUUGCUUUAAAAAUAAUAAAUAUGUAUCAAUAUCUCUGAUUGACCAAAACGCCCUUUAUAGUCUUCACAAAUUCCUUCGAAUAUCCCCAUAUCCCUAAGAAGAUUUGGGCUUAGAAAUUGGUAAUUUAUGGAUAAAUUUUAAAAUUUUGAAUAGUAGUCAGGAGUAAAUAAGAAAAAGCCACAAAUAAUUAUGUAUUUUAACAAAAUAUUAAAAGAGAUGAAAAAUAUAUAUAUAUAUAAGCAGGUUAAGUAGAAACUAAUUUUAAGUAUCACAAACAAAAACUCCAAUUUAUGCAUGUGAUUUAGCGGUAGAAAAAAUUCUAAUUAAAAUACUUGCAUGGGGCAUCUGCGUAUGAACUCGAACUCUAGGGUCGAUAUCAUAAAAAUUACUGAAACUAUAUAUUUUUGUCAAAAAUUCUCAACAAUUUACUGUUCAAGUUGUCCUAUUAUUUGACUUGGUUCAUUUAAUUUGCCCUCUUGUAGUUUAGUUCAUUUUCAUUUUGUAACUCUGUAGUUCAAAAAGUUAUACUUAAUCAUCCUGUUGUUCGGCUCAUUCUUACUUUAUCAUCUUGUGUUUUAAAAAAUUAUAUUUAACUACUCUGUGGUAAUGAAAAAAAUAUUACUUUAUUAUCAUAUUUAAUAGUAAAUUUUUAAGAGUAAAAAUAUGGGGAUAAAAUCUAAGGAAGGUAAAAUUAAUGAAAAUGAGCUCAACCAUAUAGAGGGCAAAUUAAAGUUGUGGAUCUCAUUUUUGAAUCAAAUUAACUAAAGUUUCUAGGUUAAAGUACAAUUAGCCUAAUGUUGGAAAAAAGUAAAUACAUAUAAUAUAUUUUUUAUAUAUCUGCACUGAUCAAUUAGGCUUUCAAUUUGAGAAUCAUUGACCUUAUAUGUGCUGCCAAUAUAUACUUUACAUUAAUCAACAACUUCACAUUAAUCAACAAUGUAAAUGGAAAAUAUCUUUUAUUGAACAUAAAAUUAAUAAUUAAAUAUCAUUCUCUAGCAACUAAAGAUUUUAGAAAAAAAUAAAAAAAGUAUUUUCCUAUAUUGCGCUAUUUCCAUUUUCAAUAUCUUGCGGCCUUGAGGCGGUCAUGGCAAUCGCCACUACAGUUCAUAGAGGCGAUUAAAGUGGCUUCGACGAUAACUAAAAACUGUCUCUAAGACUAUUUUUCUGUAGCGAGUUGUUUCGCAUAAUACAGAGCUAGAGGUAUUGAAAUCGUCUUUUCUAGUAGCAAUUUGUACUUAAACAACAUUUUUAUUUUGGUGCAGCUAAGAAAUCGAUGAUUGAAAAUUUUAUUUUUAAGAAAUUUUGAAAUUAUUAUGUAGUUAAUAUAUUUUAGAGGUCUUUCUUUAGAUUUUUAGAAUUUUAUGUGGAAUAAAUUUAUAAAAAUUAGGGAUAUGAUCGAGUUUGGAAGUUUUAAAAUAAAGUUAGAUAUAUUUACAUUAGAAAAACUCUUAAAAUCAAGAGUUUGAUAAGAAUUAGAAUUAGAAAUUAAUUUAUUAUAAAUAAGCUUGCUUAUCUACUGCAAAAAAAAAAAAGUUUUUGAUUAAUGAAAAAUUUUAUUUAAAUCUGUGUGAUCUUUCAUAUCACUUUUGUGAUCUUAUCCUAAUCUUUGUGGCUUCUCUCUUCUUCUCUCUAUUAUUCUCUUUUCCCUUUUUUCCCCUCAGAGCUUAUUACAGUAUCUGCGGCGAAAGUACUACUGCAUGUAUUUUCAGCCUACAUCUUAUUUGAAAGAAGAAUUAAACAUAGAUAUGGACUAGAAACCACUAGAUCUUCAUGUAAUCCGGUUUCAAUAUAUACUUCUUAUCUAGAAUAAAAGUAAAAUAGAAACAUCAUUUUAAUCUAGUUUACAUUUAAAGAGAACAUGAAAAAUUAAUGAAAAGUACAUGCAUUUCAAACUAAAUGACUAAAGAUACCUAAUUUUGACAAGGUGAGCAAUAAUGUAUACACCAUAUAUGGUUGUUGAGCAAUGUUUUCCUCAUGUUUAGUUGAAAAUGCACUUUUGCUUGAUGCCUAAAGUUUUCAAGUCUAAUUUCUAUCUUAUAUUUUGCCAAGGAAAGAAAAAUUCUUUUAGUACUGUUCAUCUCCUACAUCUAUUGACUAGAAAUUAAUUAAUGAUCUCAAAUAGUCUCAAAUGUUUAUCAUGUUUUACUCAUUAAUACUUAACUUGCUUCAUCUUCUAUAUGCACUGAUUCUAGCAAAUUCUUGCAUCUCAACUCAUAGAAAAUACUCUCUAAGAAGUAAUUCAACUUUUUCGGCCAAAAAAUUAAAAAAAAAAAAGAGCAAGGAAAGGAAACAAGCAAGGAAAAUCAAUUGAGAUUUUCAACAUAUUUAAUUCCUAUCGAAAAGUUCUCGAGGAUAUAUAGUCGCGUAUGAAUGGCGCGCAGCUGCACGCGCGUCGAUUUCGACGUAAUAUCAUUGAGAUAACAUUUCAUUUCCUAUUUUAAGGAUGUGAACGCAUGCUAUAUAUUCCUUUCGUCGAAAUAACAAACAUAUAUAUAUAUACAUUUCAAGUCAAGUAAAUUGGAGUCAAGUGCUAAAAAAUGCAUAUAUAAUCAAUUAUGAAAUAGAAAACUCAUCAACUGGAAAGCACACUUCGAUCUGCUUUUUCUUUUUUCCUUUUUCUUUUCACUUUAGUUUUCUCACUGAAUUUCCUAACUUAAAUAUAGAAGAAGCUAUUAUUUCCACAGAAAUGACGAACAUAUUAUUCUUAGGUUUAAUUCUGACCUAUUGAAUGCGCCAAUGGAAAUGCUCAAUAAAUCUAUUAGUUGGCUCUGUAUCAAUGGAAUCUCAUCAUCCAUACAUAACGAAUUGGUAUGGUAUAUUCAUACCAUAACAUAUGAACAGUAAGAACUAGAAUUUUUAUCGACACUGGAACUCACAAGGAAGAAAAUGGAUUUAUGGAUGAAAUCAACUUGCCCUACUUCAUUGCAUACAUGAAAUUUCUCCUUUAUCAUCCUUAUUAGAUGAUAAAAAGCCAAACUAGUUUAAGGCCGAAGUUGGAAAUUCACUACUGACCAUACCUAAUCGACUAAAAGCUUGAUGGUAAUUAGUACUCAAGAGCUUCGAGUUCAAAUUCUAUAUAAUUGCUUCACAUUUCUGGCCGAGUUUAUAAUUUCUAAACGAACGAACGAAGCGAGUAACUAAGAAAUUUACUAUAGUUUGUUUCCUCUUUUGUUCUUUAAAACCCAUUUUUUAUUUUAACUCUAAGCUAAUUUAGAAAAAUUUUUCUUAAUUUGUUCUCCAGUGUUAGAAAAUUUAUUUAUUUGUCGCAUAUCCAAAGAGUCCAUAGUCUUUAGUCUAAUUUUUCGGUUGUCCAGCCUGAAAUUUGCAUGCAUCCUGUUCACACUGUACAAAAAUCAACUUCAACAAGCCACCAAUAAUUAAAAGAAAAAAAAAAAAUUGCUCUAAACUAGCUAGGACAUCGCUUUUGUGAGCUGUUGAUAUAUUGACAAAAAUUUAUAUAAUAUUUUGGGCAGCGUGUAUAAACUGAUCAAAACUAAUAUCCUCAUCGUAUAUAUGCAAUUAUAAAAAUUAUUUUCAAACCCUGCGAACCCCAAAAUACGGCAUCGCCUGAAUUCGAUUACAAAAUUUAUAACUUCCAAUUGAGUGCUUGGUUGUUAUUGGAAUUAAUCCAUCUAACCCAGUAACUCUAGCGGACAAAAUAAAACUAGCUAGGGCAGAAGUAUAUAGAAAUAUAUUUUUUCAUUUUUUUAGCAAAACCAUAAAAAACACAUUGGAACUGAUUUAUUGUGAUAUACGAAAAGUAACACUAUAUACGAAAACAAAUAUUUUUUUACAGCAUGAUACAGUCUCCUGAUAAUUCUAGAAGAAGUUUGAACAUUUUAUCCACUGAUGCUAAAAUGAUUUAAAAAAAAAAAAAAAAAAUUCACAUUGGCCUUCCAAGUCCUCUAAGUAAUGGUACUUGUAUUCUUUUGUAACACAAGAUCAAAGAUGAGGACAAAACAUGCGAGCCUAAUAAAAGAAUAUGUUUCAUAAUAAUAGACCAUAGUCCAGAGACUUCAUAGAAGAAUAUAUUAAUAAGUACAAAAAAUACGUGUGAUAUGACACAACAAGCUAAUAAAAAAAUGCACACAAACGUGACACGCAAAGAGCAAAAAAAUUCCCAGCCACGGAGAAAAUUAAUGUUGCAUCGACUAUGCUCUAUACAUUGGGAUUUCCAUAUUUUAAAUUUAGAAAUUUUUAUAUUCAAAUAAAUUGUUUCAUAUUUAAAAGAUCUAGAGUUUAAGAAUUUCAAGUGUCGACACAAACAUAUUCUCAUGUGAUAAAUAAGAAAAAUUCUUUCCUUUUUUUGAUGAUGAUGAUGUUGAUUUUUUUUUUUAAGUGAUGUUAAUGAUAAUUUAUAUAUUUAUUCAAAAAUUUAGGUCAUGUUUAAAAGUUUAAAUCUAAACUAUUCCAAUAAGUCUCUAGAAAAUUACCUCAAGUCUCUCUUGUACAUAGGUGCUUCUUAUGGCCGGCCCGACUGGUCGGAUCGUGACUCAGUGCUCAAAUUGGGUCGGUUCAACCCAUAAAAUCAAACCGGCUAAAAACCAGCUUUAGUUAACCCUUUCAGACCAAUGAUUCAAUCAGCGGACUAGUUCCGAUUUUACAAGAAAUGGCCAAUUUUUUUUUAUUUUAUAUUUUAAUAAUUAAUUAAAAAUAUGCAUUAGUUUUUUAAUAAUAUACACUUUGGGUAUAUUUUUAAUUAUAUAUAUUAUAUAAUAAUAUUUCAAAAUAAUAUUAAAUUAUAUACUUAUUAAAUAUGUUUAUUAUAUAUACUCCGAAAAUUUAGCAAUAAUUAAGUAUUUACAACGUCAUACUAAUUAACGCCAUUCAAUCCAAUGGUUAAAUCAGGGACUAAACCAGGGACCUGUGAUAAUAUUUUGAAUCAUAAGCAAUUUUAAAUUUUAAAAUAUUAUUUUUCAUAUACUAUUCACUAUAAUUUAAAUAAAAUGUAUCAGUGUAUCAGUGUGUCAGCGCAUCAACAAUUCAGUAGAGAUCUCUUAUAAUUAGGAUACCGCGGCACCAGCAGUCAAUUUCUCCAAGUCAAAAGCACGAGAUUGACUAAUCAACACCCCACCAAAACAAGAAACUAUUCCCUGCACCCGGUGCGCCACCCCAGUCAUGCACCGCAUUCCCCGUCUCCCUCCACCUCUUCUUCUUUCAAAUUUUAAAUUUUAGAACUCCAGCGCUCGGAAAGUUUGAAAAGCUCUUUCGAUUACGGAAGCAGGAUUAGAAUCACGAGUCCGAGUACCGACCAGUGCGGUGCACAGCUGACGUAGGUGGCGGUGCGUGCACUGAGCGCGCGCGAUAAUUUUCGCUGCCAAAAGACUAAGGACUUAGCCACCAUGGUGUGUGGAUCACUUAUUCUCCCCUCUAAAUUGUACUUUGCCUCUUUUGGCAUGAGGUCUCCUUUCAAAUUGAAUCAUCUUUUCCUUAUCUUAUGAGCUCCUCAUGAUGACAUCAACCCAUCAACAAGUGUGUGAUGUAGUAUGGAUGAUGUAAGAUUAAUGAAGUAAUCAAUCUAUUAUUCCUCCUUUCUUUCUCCUUAGUUUCCUCUCAAGUCCUCUAAAAAAUCAUCUCAAUCACUUCAUUUCAUCUCUAUAUAACAGGCCUCAUCCAUGUGCUCUAGUUCAAAUCCCCCUCCCCCCNCCCCCCUCCCCUUCUUUACUCAUCAAAAGUCUAAGCAAAAUUGAUCUCCUAGAAUCGAUUUAUCGCCUUCUCGAAUUGUCGAUGGAGUCGGCGUGGUUCGAUGACCCCUCGCUAAGCCUCGACCUCACCGUUGGGCCCCUCCCGUCGCCCGAUCGAGCUACGGUUAGUGUAGAUUCCCAAUUUCCAUUCUUAGCUACUACUUAGUGGAUUCAUGCUUUGUAUUCUAAUAGCAUCAUGUUCGAUGAAUCGAUUACGCAGAAAGAAAUGGAAAGCGAUCGCUUGCGUGUUCGAGGGGAUUCAGCGACGAAAGAAGAGGUGGGUGGUCGGUUCUCGAUUAUUGUUAAGAUCGAUCGUUGUUUCUCUCAAGCACGCUUAACUGCGGAGUUCUGAUGUUCUGAUUUUUACAUAUUUAUGUAUUCUUAUAGGCCGAGAAUUUGGAAGAUAGGCUUAAUAAGAUGAACGAGGAGAACAAGAGACUUACGAAAAUGCUCGACGCGAUGUACGCGAGCUACACCGACCUCCACAGCCGCUUUUUCAGUCUCGCGAGCUUGUCGCCUUCUCCGAGAGAAGCGUCGCCCGGGAGGAAAAGGAAGAUCGACGGCCUCAACGUGAUCGUCGUCGACGACAAGCCUAACGGGAGGGCUAGCGAGCUCAUCGAGAGCUCCCCGAGCGACGAUUCGUGCAAGCGGUGGCGGGAAGAGCCCAAGUCCAAAGUCACGAAGGUUUACGUGCGGACCGAUCCCGCCGAUUCGAGCCUAGUGAGUGGCAUAAUUAGUUGCGCAAAAAAUUGCACACCUCUUUUGCGCAUCAAAUUGAAGAGAAUUGUGUGAAUUUUGUGUAGUGACCAUUUUUUUUUUUUCUUUUUUUCUUUUUUACGUGUAUAUUCUUAGAUGGUUAAAGAUGGGUACCAAUGGAGAAAAUAUGGGCAAAAGGUGACUAGAGAUAACCCUUCUCCUAGAGCCUACUUUAGAUGCUCUUUUGCACCUACAUGCCCUGUUAAAAAGAAGGUAAUUUGAUUAAUUGUGAGUUAAUUACUUAUAAUCAAAGCACUAAUACUAAUUUUGCACUUUCAUUUUAUGUUGUUUGCUCCAAUUAAUAGGUGCAAAGAAGUGCAGAGGACAAAUCAAUCCUUGUAGCAACCUAUGAGGGAGAGCACAACCACGGCCACCGCUCACCGGGCGAGGCGGCUAACGGGUCGGGCAAAAACGGGGCCCCGUACCCGUGCUCGGUCGCGAUCAGCCCCUCGGGCCCGAUGAUCACACUCGAUUUGACUCGGCAGGGGCCGUGGCCCGACGUCGCCAGAGCCUGCAGGGAGAUGGAGUCCCCCGAUUUCCGGAGGACUCUGGUCGACCAGAUGGCGUCGUCGCUGGUGAAGGACGCGAACUUCACGGCCGCGCUCGCCACCGCAAUCUCCGGGAGGAUCUUUCAGCAUUCGACGACGGAUUAGGACUAGAGUUUUCAGCAUUUGAUAUUUUGUUUUCAGCUUGUCGCGGACCGAAAGUAGUUCGUAUAAUGUGAAUAGAACUGUUUACAUCUUACAUCAUGUUAAGAAGAUCUCUCAACAAGAGAUUUGUUUAGCAAUAUAUACAUAUUGAUGUCAUUUGGUGGUAACAUCUAAUUUAAAACAGUGUUGCAUUUGUGUGCAUGAGUUAUGGAUGAACAAAAACUUAGCUGAAUUUUUCACCAAUCUUGGAUCUAAUAUGUCAAAGAGUAACAAAUAAUAUACAUUAACACAAUAAAAAAAAUUUUAUUAUUUCUCACAAAAAUUGGACAUUUAAUCAGAAACACACAUGCAUAUUUGUGUUUCACAAGGAACUUAGUUACAAAUAUGUACUGUUUUAGAAGCUCUAAUGUAGUUUUAGGAGCUUCAGCUAUGUGGUGUGAAAGAGGAAUGGGUCUUUUGAAUCUGACUAAGAGAAAGAAAACAAAAUUUUCGCUUAAAUACGGCAAACUAUAUGUGGAAAAAAAGUAAAAAUAAUAAAAAAAAAAAAAAAAAGUAAAGGCACCUAAGAAUAUUUCAGAUGUUUACGAAAGCAAUGAUAAUAUUUUGAACUUCAAUUGAAUAGACGUAACGUUACAGUCACGGCAGAAGAGCAUUCAUGAAAUUAUCCUAAUUAUUUUAUAUUCAACACACUCCCUCGAGUAUGGGCUCGUACGAUUCAAAACUAGGACAACAAAACACUUAGAACCGGCACGGCCGCGGCACGAGCCCGUUUUCUCAUCCAUUUCGCCAUUUACUGGGCCUAAAGUAGGCACAAAUUGGCCCACAUGAAGCUGGGCCAAAUGGGUUAUAUAGGCCCAAUUUGGCCUCUUAUUCAAGCCCAAUACAAAACAAAAUGUUAUAUGUGAUUUUUUUUUUCUUUUUGAAACUUCGAGUUGUGUACCCAUGUUUUAAAAAAUAACCUAAUUGUUCGAAUCUUUGUUGCCUAGUCAAUAAAUUAUAUUGAGGGGUGUUUGAUUUGUCCGAAAAGUGUGAAAAAAAAAAUUCGAGAAAAAAGCUUUUCAUGACAUCUUUUUCAGUUUUUCAUCCAUGUGGCUUCAAAAAAACUCGUUUUUUUUUUUUUUUUUAAAUUUGUUUUUCAAAUUUCAUGUCAAAUUACUAUUUUCGUUUUCCGGAUUUUUUAGAAAAAUAAAAACUCUGAUUUUUCAUAAAGUUUGAAAAAAAAAAUUUAAAAAACUAAUUUUAAACAGAAAACUUUAAAAAAAUUAUUUCUGAAAAAAAUUUUCUCCGAAAAUGUGAAACAUGUUUAGACGGUUAAUAUUCAAUUGGUCCAAUCCGGUCCACAUCAUGAGGAACGCCCAAAAUGGUGUACAAUCUAAAUUAUUGGGCGGGCCUGGUCCACCGUAAACCGGUCCUGCAAUUGCUUAAUUAGAAAAAUCUCAAAUAGUAAUUUUUGUCAUCUGAAAAUUUUUUUAACCAUUAAAGAUCAGGUUGGAUAUCAAAAUAAGUCAUUAAUUAAGUAAUAAUUUGUUUAUAUAAGUAUUUUCUUUUGUCAUUGGAAGCUGAGAGUUUGAAUUCUGCUCCUUAAAAUUCUUGAUAUUUAUAAUUUAGUAAGAUAACUCAUUUUAUUCUGAGAAAAUAACUUAAAGGUAUAAUACGGUAUAUCAUUUUAGACAUUUGAUUAUAUUCAUCAGCUACCGUAUAUUGCAAGGUUCUUGCAUAAAUCACUAUUUCAGAUUGGGAGGAUAUUGUGUUAUUUAUUUAUUUUCGUAAAUAAUAUCGUGUUAGUAGUUGAUUAAAUUAAAAUAUAAUUUCUCAUCCAACAAUGUUAGACGGCCCUCAAAUGUUAAAGGAACGACUUCUUUUGCGGCGUUUUGGUUCAUGGACUAGGUCCAGCCAAAGUUGGUGGACCUUCUGCGGCUGAAAAAUGAUGUAGAGGUACUGCAGUACUCGUAAAAGCAAAAUGUAAAUUUUAUACCCACCAACUUAAAAGCUUUUUUUUUAUUUUUUUAAUACUAAAAGAUAGUAUUGAUAAGACUAUAUGAGAAAAUAUUGGCACUUGAAUAAAUAUGCAUAGUGUAACAUGUACAUGUAUUUUUUAAGUGAGCGGAUAUUUUUAUUCCUUUUUUUUUUUUUGAGAAAGGUAGUAGUAUGCUACUGGUUUAUUUAUUUAGAAGAUGAACUUGACUAUAGGGUGAAGCAAUCGGGCCUCGAGAAAAAAAAAAAAUUCAUAGAUCAUGCGAUAUUUGGAAGACAAAAACAAAACCAGAUCUCUAAGCAAACGAAUCUCCGAUAUCAAGAAACUUAACGAGUGUUUAGUUUUUUCAAAGAUUCUUCUGUUGCGCUCUAAUCAAAGAGCCUGGUCACCACGUGGCGGCAAUAGUCGUUAACUCUCUGCUCCUCUAAACUCCUUUUUCAAUAAAGCUCGCCUCCCAAUUCCUUUUUGUAUUAGACAGGGUGCAUAAAUAGAAUGUUUAGAUUGGUGAAAGUCAUUUGCCACAAGUCAAUUACAUGGAGAGAAAAAAUUAUUCACAGAAAAUUAGAGAGAUCUUAAAAAUAGCAAUUACAUUCACCAAAAUAAAUAAUGAAACUUUCUAUUUUUAGUGAAACUUUUUUAAUUUUGGCUCCCUUCAUUAUAAUGAAUUAUUUUUAUCUACUCAAUAAGUACUCAAACAUUAUUAUUUAUAAUUUUUCCUCAAAAAUUUUCAUUAUUUUUCGCUUCCAUUAAAAUGAAUAAUGAAGGUGUCUUUUGUUUAUAACAUUAAAUCUGGAUAUACUUUAAUAUAUACUAGUGAAAUACCCGCGCGAUGCUGCGGAUAUAAAAAUAUUUUUUUAAUAAAUUUUAGCUUUUUAUAUUUUUAAAUAAUUUUAUAAGUCUAAUUAUUAAUUAAAUAAAAGUUAUAUAAAAAUAAUUUAAUAGUUAAUUUUAUUUAAAUAAAAUUUAUUAAAACGACAACUUAUUUUAUAAAGAUUUAUGCGAAAAAAGAUUUGUGAUAAAUAUAUCAAAAUAAUUUUAAAAAANNNNNNNNNNNNNNNNNNNNNNNNNNNNNNNNNNNNNNNNNNNNNNNNNNNNNNNNNNNNNNNNNNNNNNNNNNNNNNNNNNNNNNNNNNNNNNNNNNNNNNNNNNNNNNNNNNNNNNNNNNNNNNNNNNNNNNNNNNNNNNNNNNNNNNNNNNNNNNNNNNNNNNNNNNNNNNNNNNNNNNNNNNNNNNNNNNNNNNNNNNNNNNNNNNNNNNNNNNNNNNNNNNNNNNNNNNNNNNNNNNNNNNNNNNNNNNNNNNNNNNNNNNNNNNNNNNNNNNNNNNNNNNNNNNNNNNNNNNNNNNNNNNNNGAAAAUAUAUAUAUAUAUAUAUAGUUGAGCUAGAAUACUAUCGGUAGCAAACGGGCUCCGUUGCCACCCAUUUGUUUUCGAUGAUGGAGCCUCCAAAUCGACGAUUGGCACCGUUGAACAUGAUCUCUACCACUUGAAGUAUUUAGAAAUCAAAUUUAAAAUCUUUUUGACAUCAUUGACCUAAUGAUCAAAAAAUUUUAAAAUUUGUAAUUUUAAUAGUAGAUGUGAGACGUUUUCUCUUUUAAUGGUGUAAAGAUAUCCAAAUCAAUUGAAUUUUGGUAGAAAAUUCUUUAAACCAUUUAGAACAAGAUCUAUACUCUCGAUCUUAAUUAUAAGAUUUCUAUCAUCACUUUUUAAAAAAUAUUCAUUUUCAGCUGUUCAUUUUGUGUCCACUUGAUGGACAAGGGAACAAUAUCGAAAAAGUACAAAAUUUGAUUUCUAGAUGAUUCAAGUGGUAUAGAUCAUGUUCAACGGUACCGAUCGUUGAUUUGGAAGCUCCAUCAUUGAAAACAAAUGAAUGGCAACGGAGCCUAUUUACUAUCGAUAGUAUUUUAGCUCAACUAUAUAUAUAUAUAUAUAUAUAUAUAUAUAUAUAUAUAUAUAGUCUGUCUAUGGUGCUUGUAAAAGUACAAAGUACUUGGUGCUUGUAAAUAUUUUACCAUUAGAUCUACGCCUUUGAUCAUUUUCACACGUUAUAUUAUAUUAUUCAACCAACUACCCACUCAAUCCUUGGGGACCCACNAACUCUAACUGACUAAUAUCAUCCUAACCCUACAAUUUUUCAUCCAAGGGUUAAAAACUUGAUAGCAAAAAGAGUGUUUUAGUACUAAUAGUAUUCCAGCCUAUAUAUAUAUAUAUAUAUAUAAGUUGUAAUACACUGAACUUUUGCAAAUUGCGGAGUUCGAGUGUGUCAAAUGAGAUGAGGAUUUAUUCCACAUGUUCUAAAAGGCUUGGACAAGUUUUUGGACAAGUUAGAGAGUGAUUUGAUGGCUAAAAGCAAGAAAGUGCAUUGUUGUAGCCUUUCUCUCGAAUUUUUGCAUUAUGUACCGGUACCACAUUAAUGCUGUACCGGUACAGCAAGCAGCAGCUGCAGCAGGUGCGUGGCAGUAGGGUUCUUUUGGUCUUUUUGCUUCCUGUUCUUAUCCCUUACGCCCAGCACGACUGCACGAGCUCAGUAAGGGUUGCUGGAGCUCAGGGGAUGGUUCUUCCACCCUCUUCUCUCUCUCUCUCUAGGGUUUUUCUCUCUCUACAAAGAAAUCGCCGAUUUCGCUCGUUUUCGUCGCAACGUUGGUUUUCCGCUGGUUGCGAGCGUCGCUCAGCCUACGUGGACGUGUGAGAGAGUGUUUUGGAAAGCUUUUCGCAGCCCUGAACCAGUAGUUCACUGGUUGGAAGCUUGAGAAGGUAAUCGACUCGAUUUUUCCGUUAUCGACGUUCUAUUAGUCGAUUUGAGUAUUGAUUUUGGAUUUUUGCUUCCAACUGUUUUAAACUGAGGUUUCAGCAAGUAAAUAUGAGUUAAUUAGCUGUGAAUGAACCUCUUUAGACCAGGGAUAAGCUACUUUGAAGCUUAAUAGAGGUAAUUAGUUCAUUAUGAAGCUAAUUUGGAAUUAAAUGCGGGUUAUUUAAGCAACUUAAUACAGCUUGGUAUGUUUUCUUCGCAGUAGGCCUUUGAGCCUCUUUGAAUUGAACUUGUACUCUUGGAAGCUGGUUUGGAGGAUAUUCUAACCAAGGGUAAUUAGAAAUUUCAGUUGUAAAGCUGAUUUUGCAAGAUUUCGAUGAUAUUAAUUUAUAUUUGAGCGUUCUGAUGCCGUUUCGAUGUUGUUCGCAGCGAGAGGGCGAUCGAGCCUUGGAUCGUCUUUAGUUGACUUGUGAGAGCUCUUGGAGACUCAUCUUGAGGUAUUAAACUAGCCCCAAAGUAGGGAUUCAAGCUACUACUUUGUAAUAAGUGCGAAUUGUGCCGAGAUCGGACAUUUCGAUUGUAGUAAUGAUGCCACUUUCGUGCUUUGUUUUUCAGCAGAGUUGAGACCUUGUGGAGCUGAUUUUGGGAUUUCUUUUGGACUGAUUUGAGCCUAGUAAUAGGUGGGUUUGACCUAACCAGAGCAAGUGAAGCUCCCCUAUGUUGUAUGUGUUACUAUAGAAUUGUUGUGGUUGUGUGCUUUUGAGAUUAAUAUAGGACUUGAGGCUAGCCACUAUACUAUAGUAUCGAUACAUAACUGAAUUGAGAUCUCUGUAAGUAGAGAACAUUCAUGCAUACAAAUCUUUAUGUUUAUGUUGAAUCUAAUUGAAUGACUAAUGGACAAGUUUUCAUGUUCCUAGAAACUAAAGAACAAUGAGAUGUUUUGUGACUAUAAUGAUAGUGCCAUGAUAGUAGAAAGGUUUCUAAUGCCAUAUGUAAAUUAGCAUUAUUCUCACAUAUUUAUUAAUCUAGUCGAUACUAGUUAUGUUCAAUAUCUGUUAUAUUGAAAUUCCGAUCAAUGGAUCGAGAGUGAGAAUAUUGCAAGAUAAAACAUGAUGAUUGAGAUGUAUUGGAUUAUGGAUCUUGCUUGCUUGCCAUCGUGCUCAUUCGCACAUGCUUGUGAGGGUAGCUCCCUACAAGCCGGCACUCCGGAGUUGGCCUACGCGACAGUUGCUCGCCCGUGCAGGAUUGGGUGCCAAAGUGGAUUGCCGUGGGGAGUGUAUACUACCACGGGGCCAUUAGGCACGGCGCAAGCUGGACUAUCUUGGGUAGGUCCUUAUGAAUGAAAUGAAAGUACUAAAUGACAAAGGAUAGUAAUGAAUGCUCAUCAGUUAUAGUGUACAGUAUUUACUUACACAUCCAUGUUUAUGUUCAUGUUUAUAGUAGUGCUAUGCUUCUAUUAUUCAGUUGAUUUAUUACUGCAGAAAUCUUGAUUACAUGUUGAUUACAUGCCUAUUGCCUGCUAGCAUUGCAUAUAGAUAUCAUGCAAUUAUCGCUUUUACUUUCAUUUAGUACAUCAUGAGCCUAGUGGUGUAAUUCGCCGAGGCUGGCGGCUUACCCACUGGGAACUAUUGUUAAUAGUUCUCACGCCCUUUUUGUGGUUAUUUUUACAGAGCCAUCUACAGGAGAGAUUAGGGAUCGUGGUAAGGGAGUCGCGUCUAGCUAGACAUUGUUAGGAGCAUGCUAGUCGAUCACCUUGCUACUCGGGCUACGGUCGAGGGUGAUGUCCCUAUAUAUAGAGAGAGACCACCAUUGUACUCACUUUUUGUAUACCCCGUGAUGUAUAUGUAUCGUUAAACCAGAUAUUAUAGUUGUGUUACUUUUUCUUUUAGUUGAAAUUUUGGAUUGGUUACUCUUUGUUCCUCUAUUGAUAGUAUUUGGAAUUUAUACUUUGCUCUGAUAUCAGGUUAGGAUUUUUCUAUAUUUUUCUUCUAUCGCCUUGCUUUCUUGUAAACGCCUUAUAUACUGCAGGUGUAUGGCGGGUCUGUGCACGUACCGGAUAUGCUUCCACUGGUACCUGGGUAUGCAAAAGCGUAUAGGAAUUCCGACAAUGACAGACGGAAUCCAAAAAGGAAUAAAAUAAUAUUACCGACGAAUGGUUAUAAUUAAUUUGUUAAAAAUAUCUCAAAUAAAAAUAAACGGUUAUGAUUAAUCUAUUAAAUAUAAAAUAAUAUUCCCUACGAAUGGUUAUGAUUAAUUUGUUAAAAAUAUCUCAAAUCAAUAAGAACGAUUAUGAUCCAUCUAUUAAAUCUCUACUAUAUAAAAAUCUAUUAUCUAAAAAUGCUUAUGAUCAAUUUGUUAAAAAAAUUCUCAAAUAAGAACAGUUAUGAUCAAUUUAUUAAAAAAUAGCAUUUCUAUCCAUCUAUAAAUUUAAUCCUACGAACGAUUAUAAUCAAUUUGUUAAAAAAUACCUCAAAUAAAAACAAACUGUUAUGAUCAAUUUGUAAAAAAAUAGCAUUCAUAUUUAUCUAUUUUACAUUAAAAUUUGAGUUUAAAUUAUGAAUUUAAUUUAAUUUUUGAUAUCAAAUUUAAAUUAACAAUUAAUUUUUUUAUUACAGUGGAUCAAUCUUAAAUUUUUAAAUUUGAAAAUAAAUAUAAAUUAAAUUUUGAUGCUUUUAGUUUAAAACACAUAUUUAAAUUUAAUUCACCUCAAAAAUCAAAAAAAAUACUAUAAAAAAUGUCGAUGUGAUAUAAAAAAAAAGACAACGUAGGAUAUUGUAAAUUAUUUUCUAAUAACAUCAGUAAUAUAGUUAAUUUUAAUAUUAGUUUUAGUUAUAAAAUUUUGUUGGAUUAGAUAUAUAAUGUACACACUUAUAUUGGUUGAGAGUAUUCUUAUAAAUUAUGUUACCGUUGCAUUUGCACCGUACAUUCAACUAGUAUUAUAUAUAUUAGUAUAUAUACUACCCGCGGUGUAGGGUGUAGGCGAUACUCUUCGAUUAUAUCGGCGUGGCGCUAUGGGCUACGCACAGUGAGUACUUCAUAUUGAUAUCGAGGCUAUGGGUAACCAUAUUACUAUUAGGGUUGGGGAGACACGUGGCACCCCAAGGUCCCCCAAAUUCUUCUUUAAUGUACUACUAAGAAAGAAUAGAGAAUAGAUAUUGUAGGAAGGAUUCUUUUUCUUAUUAUUAUUGUUAGUUACCUUAUAAUACAUUCAUACUAAAUAAUAAUAGAUGAUAUAUUUUUAUAAAAAUUUUAAUAGUCGAAAAAUAGUUGUAGCUUCCACUUUAUUUACCAGGAUUGCAAAUAAUUCAUCAUUCACUCAAACUAAAUUUUGUAUAAAAAUUUAGCUAAGUUACAUAAAACCUCCAUGUCAAUACCCGCUUUUCACUUUUUUCCUGUCAUCUAAAAACCUACAUUUGGCCCCAUUGUAAAAUAAAAAAUGUUCACAGGAGGUACGGUAUGAAUUAUGAUGACAAAAUGACCAAUUUGCCUCUCACCAAUUUCGUCUCCUCGUUCACGCAUCGAUCGGCCGCGGUUCUCUCCAUUUUCUAGAACUGUGAUGAGAAAAUAUAAACAGUUCGUUAGAGAACUGUUUAUAUUCUAACGAACUGUUUAUAUUUUAAAUUUUUCUAUCAUAAAUAUAUCAUUCCAAAAGGUACAACAGUAUAAUAUAAAAGUGACAAAAAUGUCAAAAAUUAAGCAAAAUUAAGUAUUUAACCUAACGUUAACUAAAUUUUUCCAACGGAUUGUAACAUAUUUGAAAAUAUUAAAACUUUUGUAGAAAUUAAAUUAUAUAAAAAUAUAUUUAUAAUUUACUAUAUUUAUAGAAAUCUAUAUGUAAUUAAUCUCCAAAAAUAAAAAUAAAAAUAAAAAUAAUUUGAGGAUGCUUGUGGUUGCAGGGGAGGGGCCUCGUCCCCACCUAUCCAACUCCAAAGGCUACGACGCAAGCCUAAAAACUCCUCCAAUUUUAUUUAUUUAUUUAUUUAUUUAUUUAUUUAUGUAUUUAUUUUUUUUUAUUUUUUUUAUUUUUUUUGUUUCGAGUCCACGCACAAAAAUAAAAUGCGCUCCACUGUAACCGCUCCAAAUCUCCCUCUUUCCCACAUACGUAUUGGAUUAGAGAGAGAGAGAGAGAGAGAGAGAGAGAGAGAGAGAGGGUGCGGUGGCCUCAAGCGGAUGAUGGCGUGCGAGCUCUCGAACCCUAUCAUCCUCCGCUUAGAGGUAAACCUCACGAAUCGCUCACCAUCCUCUUGGAUUCUCCCCUUUUUGGUGCUCAAAUUUCGUGUUUUUUGCGCUUUUUUGGGGGUUUUUUGGAGCAGGUGCCGCAGAGGAGGUCGUCGUGGAGUGGGAGGCCGAGAUGUUACCCGGGUAUAGUUUUGAUCGCUUGUUCUUGUUGAUUUUUGGUGGUUUCGGUGUGGGAUUGGAGUGGAUUUUGAGGAAAAUUGCUUCUGCUUUAAGCUUCAGUUCCUUGUGUAAUAAUAGAUUAAUGUUUGGCAAUCGGAAAUGUCUAGAGCUUUUGCGUUUGCGGCGAAAAGCAAAAAAAUGUGAUUUUGAAAAGUUUGAAUCUUCUGCUGUAGCGAAAAGCGAAAGCUCAAAAUUCGGAGAUUCUGAUUCUGCUACAUGUAAAAGCUGUAAUUCCAAUAGCACUUGUCAUAUAACUUUGUAUCAAAUAGUAACUAUACCAUAUGGCGACAGUUUGUCAAUUUUCGCACUUUUUCCGUUUUCAGAGGGAUUAGGGUAAUAAAUAACACUAUUUUUACUAAUCGAAGAAGAAAAUGGUAGCUUAAUUCUUAUAUUAUUUAGGUUUUACAUGUUCGUAAUAGCAUUCAUUAUCAAGAUAAGAUCCCAUAUAUGUUUGAUGAGUUUCGAUUUUCAUCGAGAUAAUGCCAUUUCUUGUAGAACCUGCAAAGUCGUUUUUUGUGGUGAAAACCGUAGAGCUUGAAACUUGCUUUUUCAUUAAAUGCUUUCUAUGAAUUAAAUGCACAAUGUUGGAAGAUCAUCUAAUUUUUCAUGAUGUAUCGGACGUAAUUGUCUAGAGCAAAUGACGAGGUAAAUGUGAAUGGAACUUUGUACCAUGAAGGAUCAAUAUUAGGGAGAUUAUUAAGCUUGGACCUGUCGUUAUUUGAAGGUUUCUUUUGUAUACAAGUACAAAAGAAGAAACUUGACUAUUUACAUUCUUGAGAUUAGACUCGUAUGCCGAUUCUGCUUUCAAGACACAAUUCAAUAGUAUAGAAGACACAAUUCAAUAGUAUAUAAGCAGUCCGUUGGAUGUCGAUAGUUUUCUGUCUCUUAAGGAGCUUCAAGAAAAGCAGCCUUCGCUAUCAAGCUCCUGGAUUAGCAAGGCUUGUGUGGCUUGCAUGAAGCUUAUGUCAAAAUUUUGUCGUGUAGACUUGUCCUAGAAGCCCUAUUAACUUUUUUCAUAAACCUCCUAACAAGUUUGAUGCCGAUGAGAAGCUGUUUCAGCUUCCUGCUCCAACCAGAGCUCUAGACAUUUUGGCGAGAUAUGCGGCUACUCUAAUUUUGAUUGCUAUGAAAAUCACUGGUGCGUCAUGUUUUGCUCCCGGACAGGCAUAUUUUGUUUGAAGAAAAAUUUCCAACCGAGGAGAAAAUUUGUGCAUCAACAUUUGCCCUAUAGGACAUCAAAUAAAGUUGUGCAAGCGGCAGUACUUCCCGUAGAACCAGUAUUGCUAGACAAUGAGGAGAAAAGAAAGGAAUUAAGUGAAAAGUAUGGGUUCGCACAAAUCGGGGAACCACUCCCAGAUGAUGUUACUUUGAAAGACAUCAUGGAUAGUCUCCCUAAAAAGGUUUGGCUGGCUAGUGCGGUUUUUUUUUUUUUUCCUUUUUUUCUUUUCUCGUAUUUUUUACACAGAAACUUUCUUUUUGUGAAGGUGUUUGAAAUUGAUGACCUGAAAGCCUGGAAGUCAGUUUUGAUAUCUGUCACUUCAUAUGCGCUCGGAAUAUUCGUAAUUGCAAAAGCUCCUUGGUAUUUGCUUCCUUUGGCUUGGGCAUGGACUGGCACAGCAGCGACAGGGGUUAGUUUGCCUAGCCCAUCUCUCUCUCGUGCGCGCAUGCAUUGGCUUUUUCUACUGUAUUCUAUGCUCUUCCAUGUUUUAAUUAAUUUGUCUUUCUAAAGUUCUUUGUCAUAGGCCAUGACUGUGCUCACAAGUCCUUUUCAAGGAAUAAACUGGUGGAAGAUAUUGUUGGAACUCUUGCCUUUCUGCCGCUGAUAUAUCCUUACGAACCUUGGCGGUUUAAGCACGACAGACAUCACGCGAAAACGAAUAUGUUUGUAUUCUACUUUUCUUAGCCUUCCUCACAUUAGUGUAUGUGAAAAUCUUGACCUUUGCUGUGAUUUGUUUUCUGAUUCUUCUGCUUGAUAGUAAAACUGUAUCUGUCGCCUUCUGUUCUUAAAUUUUUUUCGUACAAUUAAAGGAUAUUCACACGCGCAGAUUUUUCUUGUUACUAUUUAAUCUAACACGUUGUAUAAAUUAGAUACAAUAUUUCAUCUAACAUGUUUAUAUAAAGUAGGUCGACAACUAGACAAAAUUAAAUGCAUGUUAUCCCCCUAUCUAUAGUGUCAUAUUUACCCUCCCAGAAUUAUUAAGUGCCAUAAAAUGCCCUGAAAACAUUAUUAAUCAUUGUAAGUACUCUUUUGUACCAAUUCAUUAGAAGCUAACUGUACACUUCAUAAAUUCCCAUUUUGGCCUUUUGGGACAUUUCUGCAUUUAGGAAGAAGGUGGAAAGUGAGGGGUGAGAAUGCAAAUUUCUCAGUCUGUAUUAAAUUAUGACUUAACCUGGAUUAAGCUGGCAUUUUUUAACAGAUGGUGACGACAAGGUCAUUCUAUGAUAUUAUAUAUUCCAAAUGGUGCAUAAAUUUUUGACAAAUUUUGAGGUGUACACAGGAAAUUAAUCCUUGUUUUUUUUUCCCCCGACUAGGUUGCGAAGUUAAGGUAAAUAGUUUGCCAACUUAUGUUCAAUUUCUUUGCAACUUUGGCUUUUUUGUUUUAUUUACAGUAGGUUAAAAAUUUGCUUUGAGUACCAACUGGUCAAUGUAACUUAACUCCUUAUUGACAUCCCUAUAUACAUGCAUGUAACCAUCAAGCAUACUUUGGUAUAGAAAUGCAUUUCUAAUAGCUUAUCCGCUCCUUUGGCCAACAUCUUGCACAGUCGGACAAUAAAAGGAACUGAAAUUUUGGCACCAUCCUCAACCUUCUUUGCUCCUCAUAUCCAGGUUGUCAGAAGAUACUGCUUGGCACCCAGUUUGGAAAGAGGAAAUUGACACAUCUUCUGCUUUAAGGAAAGCAAUUAUUCUCGGUUAUGGCCCCAUCAGGCCUUGGAUGUCAAUAGCUCACUGGUACCGUGCACACCUCCAUUUUCAUAAUUUUAACAUAUAUGAUAUGCAUGUAAUAUACUAAUAUGACAACAUAUUUUCUUGUUUCGAUGAAUACUUACUUCUCUUAACACUGUCAAGUUACUCGUUAGGUUGACAUGGCACUUCGACUUGAAAAAGUUUAGACCUACCGAAGUUGGAAGAGUGAAGAUAAGCUUAGCAUGUGUAUUUGCAUUUAUGGCGAUAGGAUGGCCGUUAAUUAUUUUGAAGACAGGGAUAGUAGGAUGGUUCAAGUUUUGGUUCAUGCCGUGGAUGGUGUAUCAUUUUUGGGUAAUUUUUUUUUGGUGAUUUUUAGGCUUGUUUUUCUCCCUUUCUCUAGUCUUUGUUAUGAUGCAAGCUUUGGGACACUCCAUUGGUUGAGGUUCUUGGCUUUUUUGCCAAAAAUCCUGUUCGUUUCAUUUUGCAAAGCUUAUCACCUGUUUGGUUCGUGCAACUCCUGCAGACUUUUCAACUUUUAGGGCCAAACAGCCAGUGACAUCCGGACUUAUCACCAGUUCAGAAAUAUGCUUCAAUCCUCUUAAAUUGUGCGUCAUGAUGUUGGAGUCGAGGGACAGUUUGGCCUUAAAUGCUCUAUUAAAAUGUGCUAAAGUUGCGAAAAUGGAAAAUGCCUGCCCUGUACUCUUUUUCAAAUUCUCACAAAACGUGUGGAUUUUCUUUUGCGAAAAGGCCAAGCAUGUCUAACAUUUAAAUUGAAACAUCUUGUAAUCAACUUUGAUUAUGUUAUUUAUCAUAAUUGUACUCUAAAUUUCAGAUGAGCACGUUUACAAUGAUUCAUCAUACUGCUCCGCAUAUACCUUUCAAAGCAUCAGAGGAGUGGAAUGCUGCUCAAGCACAACUUGGUGGCACGGUUCACUGUAACUAUCCUCGCUGGUAAAUAUUCACUCAAAACCUGAUGAUUAUUCAUGGAUCAUUGAAAACAGCUUUUACUUGAUUUUGUCGUUUGUCGAGUUUUGGGACAGACUAGGAUCAAUCUACUAACCGGUGCAAACAAAUGGAUAUCUAACAAAAGACCAUAAUAUCCAAAAAAACAUAUGGAGUUAGAAGCUUCCAUAAUAAAACUAAAUAGUAUGCGUUAACGGAAGCAAAUCUAAAAUCAUGAGGUGUACUUUGGCUUAGAAAGUAGCUCUCGGUAUCAAGUACAUCGACCCAACUCAAGGAAAUCAAAUGUGGAAUUGCAUGUUAGGAAGAGGAAUAUCAUAAGGGAAAAGGUUUUGUAUUGUUAUCAAAAUUUGUGGGCCGUAAAUACAUCCUUAUAUUUUUCAUGCACAAGGGCUCUGGAAUGCAUCAUACAUCAGUAACAAAACUCAGAAUGAAACUAUUGGGACAUGAUAGGUAAAUCACGUAGUUAUUUUGCAUUGUAACAUCGACACUUUCGAAAUCUUCUCCUCGCGAUAACUCGCAACCCUUUUAUACUGCACCUAACAAGACUAAAUGUUUUUAACAGGAUAGAGAUCCUUUGCCAUGAUAUCAGUGUCCACAUUCCGCACCACAUUUCUCCGAGGAUCCCGAGCUACAAUCUCCGUGCAGCUCACGAGGCACUCCUCCAAAACUGGGGCAAGGUGCAUCUAUAUUUCUUUUCGUAAAUGAUUUCCUUCUCCAGUUCCUCAAAAAAUACUUUUUUUUUCUUAUCGACAGUAUCUCAACGAAGCAAACUGGAAUUGGCGUCUCAUGAAGACGAUAAUGACUACGUGCCACGUAUACGAUAAGGAGAAGUAUUAUGUUUCAUUUGACGAGGUUGCGCCCGAGGAUUCCAAACCAAUCACAUUCCUAAAGAAGGCAAUGCCAGAUUAUGCAUGAUUCUCUUGAGCAGCUCUUUUUCUAUACAUCUACUACAGCAAACGGCGGCAAAUAUUCAUAUACAUGCUUCGCAGAGUGCGUAACAAAGUUCGGACACGAGUUAUUUUUUCACAGAAAUUAAUGAAACUUCAUUCUGAUGUUUUGGCUGUAUGAGCUAUAUAUGUUUAGACAUUCAAUUAUUUCUCUGUGUAAUGUUUAGUUGGCUAGGACUACUGAGCAAAAGAAACAAACAGAUGUUAAUAUAACAUCACUCUCUCUGUGUUUCCGAGAAGUUUACAUUUUCAUCUAAAUGGUGAAUUUGUUUCAAUCAUAAGUUCAUUUCUAUGUGCCUAGAGCUUGUUUGCGCAACAAUUAAGUUUUGGCUAAAUUACAAAAUCACCCCCUACACUUUAUCCAAUGUCUCAAUUGCCCUCCUGCAUCAAAUUUUCCUUUAUUUUGAUCCUGCCCAUGCCGCUCUGUCAAAUAGGCCCUUAAAACUUUUUAUGAUCCUUGGCGUUUGGGUGUAAAACUUAAUAAAAAUAAGCUGUCUUAGAUAAGAUUGUUACAUUCAAUAAAACAUAAUCACAUAAAUAUAAUAAAUUGUUCUAUGAACAGGUAAUUCCGAUAGCCUAAAUUAAGAAGAAAUUCUUUUUCUUUUAAGUUUAAAUUAUACCCUACAUAAAUGUUCAAUUAUGGUACUAAAGUUCAAUAAUUUUGCCAAAAAAAAUUUGCCUAUUUGAAACAGUAUGGAGACACAAAAGUGUAAGAGCACAUUUGGUAGUUUAUGUUGGCUUAAAUGGACCAGCAUCCUGUCCUGUGGUGAGAGGCCAUGUUGAGCCGAGUUAUGUUCAAAAUAGCGUGAGGCUGGAUAAGCCGAGUCAUGUUCGAAGUGGCGUGAGGCUGGUUGGACCGAGUCAUAAUCGAGAUCCGUGGGUACUGUAUCCGUACGGUUUAAAUGAAUUGGUUGCAUAUUUCUAACAGCUCAAACUUUUGGGAUUAAUGGUUAGUGCCAAAACAGUUUAGCCUCAAGUUUUUCAUGCCAUCUAAAAUUCUAAAAGAUUAACAUCUAAAUUAGCCUUAAGAAGAGGGAUACAUUAAACUUUUCAAUGAAAUUUCGAUAGUAAAUUAAAAGUCAGAUACCUAUUUAUAAAAUAUCUUGAGUUUAAGGGUUCUUUGUAGUAUUUAAUAAAUGCGCUAAUUUGAUAAUGCAAAAUUAUCCUAAUCCUGUCGCAUAAUUGUCCCUAAAGUGAGCUACACCGUAUCGAAUGAAACCCUAGGAUUCCAUUUUGUGUCCACUGACCCAAUUAAACCCCCUCUCUCUCUCUCUCUCUCUCUCUCUCUCUCUCAUCAUCAGUCAACGGUCACACGAUCUCACGUGCCAAAAUAUGCCCAAAAUACCCCUCCCCGCACGUGCCACCACACGGAGACUCGAGAUAUUAUUUUCUAUACAAGAUGUACACGUACACUCUGUGCGCCGCACCUAAAGAUCAGUUUAGUUGGUGUAAUUUUAAAUAUAUGCACAUAGUUGGAGAUGCAGCAGUUGUAUUUACAUUUCAUAGUUACGAAUGAUGUAACUGUAAUUUAUUGAGUAAUGCUUCUAUACUUUUUUUUUUUAGUUACCGUUUAUUUACGCGUAUUCAACGACUCAGAUUUAAUUUUUUUUAAAUUGUGACCUGCAAUAGCAGGUCACUUUGGGAGAGGUACCGGUUACCAGGUACCUCAAAAAAAGAUAUUUUUGUCUUUUAAUACAUGAGCAAUUUAGUCAUUUUACAUCUACUAUAUUUUCAAAAUUUUUAUUUUUUCUUUGUUUCCUUUCGCACUCUCUAUCUUUCCUUUCAUAAUUUGGCAUUUCAUAUAAGGAAAAUUUCAAAUGAUUUGACAAUAUGAUCAUUGAAUUUAAAGUUUAAAUAGUAAUAUAAAAUUUUUCUAAUUUAAAUUUCACUUUUAAAUUUAAAAUUUAAUAUUAUAUUCAAAUUAUAUUUUUAAAAUUUAAGUUUCAUAUAAAUACUUUGAAAUAUGGUAAACAGAAAUAAUUGUUUGAAUUCUAGUCUUCUGGUUUAGAUUUGAUUUUGGGUUUCGAAAAAUUAGUCAGUUUUGAAUUUGGAUAUGGAUUUUUGAAAUCCGUCGAGUUCGGAAAUAAGUUUUGUGAUUGCUAGUCAGAUUCGAAUUCAAAUUACUAACUAUUUUUUUUCUCACCAAUAAUUCUAAUCUUUUUAAUUUAUAUGUUUAAAAUUAUAUUUAAAAUAUUUAUUAGCUCUAACAGUUAAAUUAUUAUUCUGUUUAAAAUAUCUAUUAUCUUUACCGGUUCCAAAUUGUUCUUAAUGUUAUUCGGUUCAAUAGGUUAAAAUCAGAUUCUUGAUAGAAUAGGUCAAAGUCUGAUCAGUCAAAUCAAUCGGUUCAAUCUAGUUUUUAAAUCAUUGAAUUUAAAAUUUAAAUAGUAAUAUAAAAUUUCUCUAGAGAAAUCUAGUUGUAGAAAUCUUACUCUCUAAGUUUUUUAUGCAUUACGUUUUAAACUGGUGCGAAUAAACUGUAUUUUAAAUCUUGGUAGAAAUUUAGUUUUUAAAUAGUAAUAUGAAAUUCCUCUAAUUUAAAUUUCACUUUUAAAUUUUAAGUAUUUAAUUUUUAAAAUUUAAAUUCAUCGUAUUUAGAAAUAAAACUAUUUCUAAAAUUUCUAUAAUUUAAAUUAAUGCAUAAUUUGAGAAACACUAAAACAUUUAAAGUAGAUUCCUAAAUUAAUGCCUAAUAAUUUCAUAAAUUUGGUUAAUCAAUUAAUUUUCUAAAUUAGUACUAAUUAAUGCAUAAAUUUAGGACCUCAAUUAAAAGUUUCUUUAAAUAUUGUAUUAUUUAAUUACCAAAUCUUGAAUAAAAUAAUCUUUUUACCUGCUAAAUAUUAAAGUUAUAUUUUUACCCUCUAUUAAUCAACGGUUAAAAUUUUUUUUAUUUUUUUUUAAAAAAGUACCGAAUCAUUUCUGUAAUUU